This 384213-nucleotide long non-coding RNA is filed under the name Triticum aestivum (bread wheat). RNAcentral describes it as "long non-coding RNA (TAES_LNC017205)". The stretch from base 148092 to 148178 matches the Rfam family "MIR1120/MIR1122 microRNA precursor family". Lineage: Eukaryota; Viridiplantae; Streptophyta; Magnoliopsida; Poales; Poaceae. The record is from RNAcentral.
AACAUUUGUGGUACCUUCAUAGGAAAAAGUGGUGCCGAAGUUUGUUCUGGUUGUGAUGGUAGUGGAUCGGAAGGUAGCUGGAGUUGUGAGAGAUUGUGAGCCCACGAUGACUGCAUAAGUAAAUGAGUAGUACCCAAAUGAUCUGCCGGCAGAACACUUGGUAGUUGCAGAUCUUGUGCCACACAUGUGCCACCGGUGUUGUCUUCACGACCAUGUAUUGGAGGUAGCCGGAAUCUAAUGUCUUUUUGGACCCGAGAGAGCUCACUAAAGAGCUUGUUCAGAUCUUCAAGACUGAGAUCUUGUUCCUUCGUGAAGAUGAGAUUUGCCACCAUACCUGGAUUCUCUUCUUGGAUAUUUUUCAUACGAAGGAUGGAAAGGUUGUUUUUGUCUUCCUCGGUCAUGUUCUCCAUGUCCAACUGAGCCACCUCGUUUUGUAGGCUUCCAAUCCUAGCAGUGGUUGCCUCGUCGGCAGAGGGAACUGCUGGUGGAGUUCCAAAUAGGGAAGCAUCAACAAUGGGAUCGGCCAAUGGCGUCCCAAAUGAGUGCAUCUUUCCAAUGUUUGUUUCUAGGACGACCGCAACCCUAGCCCUAGUGAGGGCAGAAAUGUCAGUCACCCUCUUGAACAAACCGGAACGUCGCUUGUAGACGGUGAGAUCACGUUCUUUGUCAUUAUGGAUGUAUGCCAAACCUGACUGCCGCUCUUUCCUCGGCAUACUAAUGUGGACAAAGAGGAAGAAACUAACUACUACAAAUAGGAAGCACAAGGAUCUGCAGAAAACUAGAGAUUUAGGAGCACUGUUGGCUAACCACAUAUUGGUGUAGGAUAUGAGAAGAUGUACUCCCCUUAUAUAGAAUUAAAAGGGUUGUAUGGCAGUGGUAUUUGACUAUACAAAGACCAUGUAAAUCUUUAGUAAAAAUUAACAUACAUAACUCACAAAAAGUGCUAUUUUAUGGAUACUAUUAACUAUCGUCCAAAUAUACAUAUGUGAGUGCAUCCACAUCCUUCUUUGCAAACACUGAUAUGUAUUUCUUCUGAUGUAAGUAUUCACAUCCAUAUAUAGAACUAUUAACACUUUUAAAAAUAGAAAUAUUAAAUGAUUCCCAUUUGACCACAUUCAUAUCCUUAUCUAGAAGUAUUAAUGGGAGUUAAACCCAACUAAGUUUUACUCUAAUAUACAAAAUAAUUGUGGUCAAAUUUAUUUGGUUGUUAAUUGCAUCCAAAUCCUUUGUUGAUCACAUUGAUUACAUACUAAUGUAUCCUUGAUCAUAUUGAUUACAUCCAUAUCCUCUACUAGGAACUACCUAAUCUAGAAGUGGUCGUCCUUUAAUCCAUAAUAUCCAAGUAUAACAUGGACCUUGCUUUGGUGCUUAACUUAGAAAUUGAGAUACCAACUAGGACAGAUAUACUAAGAGCAACUAUAAAAUACUAGGACAUUUGGUAAGUCAUGGUAUAACACAUAUGUUACUCGGAGCAUCGACCUGCUUCCUUGGUGAGCCCAGUUCCCGCUCAAGAUGUGUUUUUAUUGGUUACACAUGUAUAUCUUGGGCCCUAGUUUUUUAUGGCCCAUAAAAUAAUAUGUGUAAGGCUUUUUCUGGAAGGAUCCAACACAACCUAAUCUAUUAUGUAUUAAAAGAAUUGACGGGCUCACCAGAAAAACAUAAAAAUGCUAGAAAAUAACUCAAAAAUAAAAACAACUAAUUGUCUAUCUAUUAUAUAUUAAAAGCAAUUGACGGGCUCACCAGAAAAAAGAUAUAGAUGCUAGAAGAUCUCUCAAAAAUCAAAAACAUCUGACUGUCUAUUUAAUAGGCUAAUAUUUUAUAACCAUUAGAUUAGGUUUAAGUGAAAUAAUUACCCACCAUUGCCAUUAUAAGAAAAAAGUGUUCCAUCUAACUUAUUAGGAUGUGGGCUGAUGCCAUCUUAUUAGGACGUGGGCUGAUGACAUAAUAUAAUGGAAAAAACGUUAUGUUCCCAUAGUACCAAAAGGACUGCUCACACAUGAACACAGUGGCAGCAAUGUUCAUGUAAAUGAUCUUUGUGAUUAAUUCCCCCUUGGUAGAGUACCUGAAAAAGCCUCCAGGUUGGAUCUCCCCGGAGCAGAGUGGUGGGCGGCGCAAAAAUCAUCUGUUAAUAUUUCUAACGUUUUCGGGAGUAUAUAAAGGCAGCGGAAGAAAGAUGCGAUGGAGGCAACCUCUAUGGCGGCCAUGCUCCCCCUUGGAUGCUCUUGCCGACCUGUGGCAUGUGUCCUAGGAGGGGUGGGGGUGGGUCUAGGUCCCUCCGGCUUCCUUUCUUCAUGAAACUUAGUGUUUUUUUCUAGUUUUUUGGUCCCUAAAAAGUUGAUUUUUUUCUUCUGAAAAUUCAAAAACACAACAACUAGCACUUUGCACUGAAUUAAUAGGUUAAUCAAGAAAAACUAUAAAAGUUGAUGCCAAUACUAUGCCAUUAUGAUAUAAGUAUAGGAUGAAACAAUAAAAAUUUCUUGAUACAUAUAGUACAUAUCAACUGGCAUGAAUAAAUUGAUGUUUUUCUAGGGAUUGUUAAUACUCGACAAUAUUGUUCUCCUAGAUAACCAGACACAAGGUACUCCUUGGUCCCUAUUGGUUCGAUGUCCAGGCUAAGAUUGUGACUAGCAUGAAUAAAUUGAUGGCUUUCUCUAUCGCUCACUAUUACUUGAUGGAACUUCAGCUGGGUAGCUGGACAGAAGCGAGGUUAUUCCUACCAAUUAGAAAUGGGCGACUCCCAUUCCGUAGCCAUCUGCACGUUACUACAAGCUAAAAUGGUGCCAAGCACGAAUAAAUCGUUAUAUUUCUCCAAGGCUCAUUAAUAAUGCAUGGUACUAUUCGGUUGGAUAGCCACACAGAAGUAAUGUACUCCUUUUCAACUUGAGGGGAUGACUCUUGGCCUUUAUCCAUCUGUCUAGUCACUAGCACGAAUAAAUUGGUGUCUUUCUCUACAACAAAUAAUUGAUGGUACUAUUCAGCCAGACAACCAGUAAGAAGCAAGGUACUCCCUGGUCCCCUGCCGACUCAAGGUGGAUGGCUGCUGGUAAUAUAUGCAUUAAUCCAAACUCAAACGGUGACUAGCACGAAUAAAUCGAUGUCCUUCUUUUUGGCUCUUUAAUACUUCCACUUUUCGACUAGGUUGUCUGAAAACAUGAGGUGGGCACCUCCUGAUACGGAGACGCAUGCACAUUAAUCCAUGCUAAAAUGGUGACUUGCACAAAUAUAUCGAUGUCUUUCUCUAGGGCUCAUUAACACUUGAUGGUAUGGUUUGGUUGGACAACAGGACAAAAAGCAAGGUAUUCCAGGAUUUCUUGUCCAUAUAGGGUGGAUGGCUCCAGGCACGGCCAGUUACACAUUAAUCCGGGCUCGUCUAACACGAAUAAAUGGAUGUCUUUCUCUAUGGCUCAUUAAUACUUGAUGGCACUCUUUGGUUAGGCGGUGUACAAAAGCGAGGUACUCCCUUCUGAUUUCGGGUGGUUGUGGGGCCACUAGACGGACACAAGCAAGGUAUUGCCUGUCACUUGGGGGGAUAUUUUAAAUAUUGUUUUUGUUACAUAAAUUUCAAAAAUAUAACACUAAAAUAUAAUAUUGUACCAGUAGUACUCCGACAUGUCGGUGCCAACAAUGACAGGUAUCAUUGGCACUACCAAUGAUACAUCUGUUAUGUUGUUAUUUUGAGUCAAUGGGCCAUCAUCAGUGCAUCCUGCAUCAGCCCUCCUGCAUGACACACUCGUACAGAGCUAGCUAUGUUAGAGCAUGUACAAUGGUGCUAUCUUCCAAUGUCACCUAAGAUCACUGCUGAGUUAGAAGAGAGCGAAUGGAGGGAAAAAAAGGCUUGCCAUCUCUUACCUAAGAGAUGGUUUGUCAGUAAAGAAGAUAAGACAAUUCUAUCCAUUUUACUAGAUGUCAUCUCUUAGCUACAUAUUUUCUAGUUUAAUUUUAACCAUCGCAUUAAUUUAAGAGCAUGUAAACUUUGCUUGUUAGGCUAAGAGCUAAUUCAUUGUAUCAUAUGUUUUUAAGCUUCUCCAAAUGACAUACAUUGCAUCAGCCCUCCCACAUGACACACUCGUACAGAGCUAGCUACCUUAGGUCGUCGUGUACAAUGAUGCUAUCUUCGCAAUGUCACCUAAGAUCAUUGAUGAGUUAAACGAGAGUGAUUGGAGGAAAAAAGGCUUGCCACCUCUUACCUAAGAGAAGGUCUCUCAGGAAAAGAAGAUAAGACAGUUCUACCCAAUGUACUAGAUGUCAUCUCUUAUAUUUUCUAGUUUAAUUUUAACCAUCGCAUUAAUUUAAGAGCAUGUAAUCUUUGCUUGUUAGACUAAGAGAUAAUUCAUUGUGUGAUAUGUUUUUAAGCUUCUCCAAAUGACAUACAUAGCAUACGAGAAUAUUGUAACAAAUAACUAUUUGUGUACAGUGUGCUCGGUCUAUUAUGAAGAUAUAAAGCAUGUGCUAUUUGAAUGUAAUGUUGCAAGGGAGGUUUGGGACAAUCUUGGUCUACUGGAACUCACCGAAGAGGCAUGCAUGCUGGACAAUUGAGGUAGUGUUUUUUUUCACAAAUUCACGAAUGUUUUUUAAAUUUGCUAAUGUUAUUUUUAGAAAGCAUGAUUUUUUAGUUUGAGAACAUUUUAAAACUUUCAGAAAUUAUUUUAAUUGGGGAAUAUUUAUAAUUUGAUGAGCAUUUUAAACAUCCUAAACAUUUUUUUAAUUACAGAAUAUAUUUUUUAUAAAGUUGCAAACGUUCUUAAAAUCCAUGGAUUGUUUUUCAAACUUGGAAGCAUUUAUUAAAAUUCUUGAAAAGAUGUUAAAAAUGAACAAAAAUUGUCAGCAUUUGUUAAAAUUUUCACAGCAGGCUUCCCACAAAAAAAAUUCACAGCAGGCACCUUUUAAUUUGUUUUCUAGUAAACAGCUCAAAAAUAGAUCUGUACAAUGGAGAAACAGCUAUAUCUCGCUGUACAGCAAGAUAUAACCUGAGCUCGCCUCUGAGCCCACCUUAGAGGGUGGGCCCAAUGGUCCAGAUUUGGAAAGGUAGUACUGACUGGUACAGACUUGUUUUAGAACCAGUUUCUAAAAAAAACAUGUUUUAGAACCUUUCAAGUUAUUUUUUUCCUUUUUGUUACAGUGUUUUCUUGGUAUACUUCAUUGUUAUUGCGUUUUAUGUUUUUCAUUCCUUUCCUUUUUUUUGCAUUUUUCAAAUAUACGUUGACUUUAUUUAAAUACACAUUGAAAAAUGCAUAUGCAUGUUGAACCUAUUUGGAUACACGUUAAACAUUUUCCAAAUACAAUUUGAAUACUUUUUAAAUACACCUUGAACAUUUGUCAAAUGUACAUUAAACAUCUUCAAAAUACAAUGUGGAAUUUUCUUAAACACACAAUGACCAUUUUUCAUAAAUGCCAUGAAUAUUAUUUUUAGUUGUGCAAACAGUUUUUAAGUGCUACGGAAAUUUCUUCAAACUCAUGAACCUUUUUUGAAUGGUACGAAACAUUUUCUGAAGAUUGCACAAUCAAAUUUUAACAUUAGCAAGGUAACUAAUGAUAAAAGUGAGCGUAAACGGUAUUGCAAUGAUAGGAAACAAGGCCUAGGGUUCAUACUUUCACUAGUGCAAGUUCUCUCAACAAUAAUAACAUAGAUAGAUCAUAUAACAAUCCCUCAACAUGCAACAAAGAGUCACUCCAAAGACACUAAUAGCGGAGAACGAACGAAGAGAUUAUGGUAGGGUGCGAAACCACCUCAAAGUUAUUUUUUUGGAUCAAUUUAUUCAAGAGUUCGUACUAGAAUAAUACCUUAAGACACAAAUCAACCAAAACCCUAAUGUCACCUAGAUACUCCAUUGUCACCUCAAGUAUCAGUGGGCAUGAUUAUACGAUAUGCAUCACACAAUCUCAGAUUCAUCUAUUCAACCAACACAAAGUACUUCAAAGAGUGCCCCAAAGUUUCUACCGGAGAGUCAAGAACGUGUGCCAACCCCUAUGCAUAGGUUCAUGGGCGGAACCCGCAAGUUGGUCACCAAAACAUACAUCAAGAGGCACAUGAUAUCCCAUUGUCACCACAGAUAAGUGAUAUCUACUACACAACCUUCUUCUUGUAGACGUUGUUGGGCCUGCAAGUGCACCGGUUUGUAGGACAGUAGCAAAUUUCCCUCAAGUGGAUGACCUAAGGUUUAUCAAUCCGCAGGAGGCGUAGGAUGAAGAUGGUCUCUCUCAAACAACCCUGCAACCAAAUAACAAAGAGUUUCUUGUGUCCCCAACACACCCAAUACAAUGGUAAAUUGUAUAGGUGCACUAGUUCGGUGAAGAGAUGAAGAUGCAAGUGCAAAAUAGAUGGUAGAUAAAGGUAUUUGUAAUCUGAAAUAAUAAAAACAGCGAGGUAGCGAGCGAUAAAAGUGAGCGUAAACGGUAUUGCAAUGAUAGAAAACAAGGCCUAGGGUUCAUACUUUCACCAGUGCAAGUUCUCUCAACAAUAAUAACAUAGAUAGAUCGUAUAACAAUCCCUCAACAUGCAACAAAGAGUCACUCCGAAGUCACUAAUAGCGUAGAACAAACAUAGAGAUUAUGGUAGAGUACGAAACCACCUCAAAUUUAUUCUUUCGGAUCGAUCUAUAAAAGAGUUCGUACUAGAAUAACACCUUAAGACACAAAUCAACCAAAACCCUAAUUUCACCUAGAUACUCCAUUGUCACCUCAAGUAUCCGUGGGCAUGAUUAUACGAUAUGCGUCACACAAUCUCAGAUUCAUCCAACCAACAUGAAAGUACUUCAAAGAGUGCCCCAAAGCUACUACCGGAUGAUACGUCUCCAACGUAUCUAUAAUUUUUGAUUGCUCCAUGCUACUUUAUCUAUUGUUUUGGACUAUAAUGGGCUUUAUUUUCCACUCUUAUAUUAUUUUUGGUACUAACCUACUAACCGGAGGCCCAGCCCAGAAUUGCUGCUUUUUUGCCUAUUUCAGUGUUUCGAAGAAACGGAAUAUCAAACGGAGUCCAAAUGGAAUGAAACCUUCGGGAACGUGAUCUUCUCACCGAACGUGAUCCAGGAGACUUGGACCCUACUCCAAGGAGUGCCAGAGGCGGUCACGAGGGUGGAGGGCACGCCCUUACACCCUGGGCGCGCCCCCCUACCUCGUGGGCCCCCUGACGCUCCACCGACGUACUCCUUCCUCCUAUAUAUACCUACUUACCCCCAACAGAUCGGGGACGGACCCAAAAUCCUAAUUCCACCGCCGUAACUUCCUGUAUCCACGAGAUCCCAUCUUGGGGCCUGUUCCGGAGCUCCGCCGAAGGGGGCAUCUACCACAGAGGGCUUCUACAUCAUCACCAUAGCCCCUCCGAUGAAGUGUGAGUAGUUUACUUCAGACCUUCGGGUCCAUAGUUAGUAGCUAGAUGGCUUCUUCUCUCUUUUUGGAUCUCAAUACAAUGUUCUCCCCCUCUCUGGUGGAGAUCUAUUCGAUGUAACCUUCUUUUUGCGGUGUGUUUGUUGAGACCGAUGAAUUAUGGGUUUAUGAUCCAACUUACCUAUGGAAAAUAUUUGAUUCUUCUCUGAAUUCUUUUAUGUAUGAUUGAUUUAUCUUUGCAAGUCUCUUAGAAUUAUCCGUUUGGUUUGGCCAACUAGAUUGGUAGUUCUUGCAAUGGGAGAAGUGCUUAGCUUUGGGUUCAAUCUUGCGGUGACCUUAUCCAGUGACAGAAAGGGUUGCAAGGCACGUAUUGUAUUGUUGCCAUCGAGGAUAACAAGAUGGGGUAUUUAUCAUAUUGCAUCAAUUUAUUCCUCUACAUCAUGUCAUCUUGCUUAAGGCGUUACUCUGUUUUUAACUUAAUACUCUAGAUGCAUGCUGGAUAGCGGUCGAUGAGUGGAGUAAUAGUAGUAGAUGCAGAAUCGUUUCGGUCUACUUGUCACGGACGUGAUGCCUAUAUACAUGAGCAUUGCCUGGAUAACCUCAUAACUAUGCUCAAUUCUGUCAAUUGCUCAACGGUAAUUUGUUCACCCACCGUAGAAUACUUAUGCUCUUGAGAGAAGCCACUAGUGAAACCUAUGGCCCCCGGGUCUAUUCUCAUCAUAUCAAUCUCUAUCACUUUAUUUACUUGCUUUUCUUUUACUUUUUACUUUGCAUCUUUAUACCAAAAAUACCAAAAAUAUUAUCUCUAUCAGAUCUCACCCUCGUAAGUGACUGUGAAGGGAUUGACAACCCCUAAGCGUUGGUUGCGAGUAGCUAUCAUUUUGUGCAGGUACGAGGGACUUGCGCGUGGUCUCCUACUAGAUUGAUACCUUGGUUCAUAAAAACUGAGGGAAAUACUUACGCUACUGUGCUGCAUCAUCCUCUCCUCUUCGGGGAAAUCCAACGCAAGCUCGAGACGUAGCACCGGAGAGUCAAGAACGUGUGCCAACCCCUAUGCAUAGGUUCCCAAUGUCACAAAACCCGCAAGUUGAUCACCAAAACAUACAUCAAGUGGAUCGCAAGACAUACAUCAAGUGUUCUCAUAAAAGACUCAAUCCGAUAAAAUAACUUCAAAGGGGAAACUCAACUCAUCACAAGAGAGUAGAGGGGAAGAAACAUCAUAAGAUCCAACUACAAUAGCAAAGCUCGGGAUACAUCAAGAUCGUGCCAUAGUGGGAACCCGAGAGAGAACACGAGAGAGAUAUCAAACACAUAGCUACUGGUACAUACCCUCAGCCCCGAGGGUGAACUACUCCCUCCUCGUCAUGGAUAGCGCCGGGAUGAUGAAGAUGGCCACUGGUGAAGGAUCCCCCCUCCGGCAGGGUGCCGGGAAGGGCUCCCGAGAGGUUUUUGGUGGCUACAGAGGCUUGCGGCGGCGGACAUCCUGAUCUAUCUUCUGUUCUGGAUGUUUUACGAUACGUAAGUAUAUAUGGGUGCAAGGGAUACGUCAGUGGACCGAAGGGGGGCCACGAGGCAGGGGGUGCGCCUAGGGGGGUGGGCCUGGGGCGCGCCCCCCACCCUCGUGAGCACCUCCCUUCUUUCCUGACGUGCACUCCAAGUCCAUGGGGUGGCUUUCCUUCCAGAAAUAACUUCUCCAGUUGAUUUCGUUCCGUUUUGACUCCGUCUGAUAUUCAUUUUCCUCGAAACACUGAAAUAGGCAUAAAACAGCAAAUCUGGGUUGGGCCUCCGGUUAAUAGGUUAGUCCCAAAAAUAAUAUAAAAGUGGAUAAUAAAGCCCAAUGUUGCCUAAAACAGUAGAUAAAAUAGCAUGGAGCAAUCAAAAAUUAUAGAUACGUUGGAGACGUAUCAAGCAUCCCCAAGCUUAAUUCCUGCUCGUCCUCGAGUAGGUAAAUGAUAAAAGAGAAUUUAUGAUGCGGAGUGAUACUUUGGCAUAAUUUCAAUGUAAAUCUUCUUAAUUGUGGUAUGAAUAUUCAGAUCCGAAAGAUUCAAGACAAAAGUUCAUAUUGACAUAAAAAUAAUAAUACUUCAAGCAUACUAACUAAGCAAUUAUGUCUUCUCAAAAUAACAUGGCCAAAGAAAGUUAUCCCUACAAAAUCAUAUAGUCUGGCUAAGCUCUAUCUUCAUCACACAAAGUAUUUAAUCAUGCACAACCAAGUUGAUGAGCCAAGCAAUUGUUUCAUACUUUAAUAAUGUCAAACUUUUUCAACUUUCACGCAAUACAUGAGCGUGAGCCAUGGACAUAGCACUAUAGGUGGAAUAGAAUGGUGGUUGUGGAGAAGACAAAAAGGAGAAGAUAGUCUCACAUCAACUAGGCGUAUCAACGGGCUAUGGAAAUGCCCAUUAAUAGAUAUCAAUGUGAGUGAGUAGGGAUUGCCAUGCAACGGAUGCACUAGAGCUAUAAGUAUAUGAAAGCUCAACAAAAGAAACUAAGUGGGUGUGCAUCCAACUUGCUUGCUCACGAAGACCUAGGGCACUUUUGAGGAAGCCCAUCAUUGGAAUAUACAAGCCAAGUUCUAUAAUGAAAAAUUCCCACUAGUAUAUGAAAAUGACAACAUAUGAGACUCUCUAUCAUGAAGAUCACGGUGCUACUUUGAAGCACAAGUGUGGUAAAAGGAUAGUAGCAUUGUCCCUUCUCUCUUUUUCUCUCAUUUUUUUAUUGGGCCUUUUCUCUCUCUUUUUUAUGGCCACUCUUUUUUUCGUCCGGAGUCUCAUCCCGACUUAUGGGGGAAUCAUAGUCUCCAUCAUCCUUUCCUCACUGAGACAAUGCUCUAAUAAUGAUGAUCAUCAUACUUUUAUUUUUCUUACAACUCAACAAUUACAACUCGAUACUUAGAACAAAAUAUGACUCUAUAUGAAUGCCUCCGGCGGUGUACCGGGAUAUGCAAUGAAUCAAGAGCGACAUGUAUGAAAAUUAUGAAGGUGGCCUUGCCACAAAUACAAUGUCAACUACAUGUUCAUGCAAAAAGCAAUAUGACAAAAGUAAUGUGUGUCAUAUGAACAAAACGGUGGAAAGUUGCAUGGAAAUAUAUCUCGGAAUGGCUAUGGUAAUGCCAUAAUAGGUAGGUAUGGUGGCUGUUUUGAGGAAGGUAUAUGGUGGGUGUAUGGUACCGGCGAAUGUUGCGCGGCACAAGAGAGGCUAGCAAUAAUGGAAGGGUGAAAGGGUGCGUAUAAUCCAUGGACUCAACAUUAAUCAAAAGAACUCAUGCACUUGUUGCAAAAAUUUAGAAGUCAUCAAAAACCAAAGCACUACGCGCAUGCUCCUAGGGGGAUAGAUUGGUAGGAAAAGACCAUCGCUCGUCCCCGACCGCCACACAUAAGGAAGACAAUCAAUAAAUAAAAUUGUGCUCCAACUUCAUCACAAAGCGGUUCACCAUAUGUGCAUGCUACGGGAAUCACAAACUUCAACAGAAGCAUUCUUUAAAUUCAUAAUCACCCAACUAGCAUCACUUUGAUAUUAUCACCUCCAUAUCUCAAAACAUUUAUCAAGCAUCAAACUUAUCUUAGUAUUCAACGCACUCAAAAGAAAGUUUCACAUAUCUUGAAUGCCAAGUAUCUUAAUGUUAAGUAAGUUACCAUGCUAUUAAAGACUCUGAAAAAAAAUAUAAGUGAAGCAUGAGAGUUCAUCUGUUUCUUCAAAAUAAAACCACCAUUGUGCUCUAAAAGAUAUAAGUGAAAUACUAGAGCAAACGACAAACUACUCUGAAAGAUAUAAGUGAAGAUCAAUGAGUAGCUAAAUAAUUAUGCAACUAUGCAAAGACUCUCUCUCAUUAAAGAAUUUCAUAUCUUGUAUCUUAUUCAAACAGCAAGCAAAGCAAAAUAAAAUGACAAUGCAAGGAUAGCACAACUCAUGUGAAGAAGCAAAAACUUAGGCUCAACCGAUACUAACCGAUAGUGAUUGAAGAAGAAAGGUGGGAUGCCUACCGGGGCAUUCCCAAGCUUAGAUGCUUGAGACUUCUUGAAAUAUUAUCUUGGGGUGCCUUGGGAAUCCCCAAGCUUGAGCUUUUAUGUCUCCUUAAUUCCUCUCAUAUCAUGGUUUCUCUUCCUUUAUCAAAAGCUUCAUUCACAACAAACUCAACAAGAACUCGUGAGAUAGGUUAGUAUAAACCAAUGCAAAACCAUAGCAUCUUCUACUGUAACAAACCACUAACAUUAUUAUUCAACAUUGCAUACUAAAUGCCUCUGUAUAUUUAAUACUCCUAUCCUCAAAUAGAAUCAUUAAACAAGCAAACAUACGCAAACAAUGCAAACAUAACACCAAUCUGCCAAAAUAGUACAGUCUGUAAAGAAUGCAAGAGUAACAAUACUUCCCUGACUCCAAAAAUUAUGAACUAAAAUUCGCACUGUAAUAAAUUUAUCAGAGCUUAAUAUGCAAAAAUAUUCAACAUUAUACCAUUCUCUGACUUUUCUCGGGAAUUUUUGCAACAGCGGUAAACUUUCUGUUUUCAAACAGCAACAUGUAUACUAGCAAAAUAAGCAUGGCAAAGGCUAUCCUUGACUUUUUUAUUGAAACUAAAGAUACAAAACAUUAUUCUAAUUAAGAUCAAGCAAAAACUAGCAAAAUAAUAUGACGCUCCAAGCAAAACACAUAUCAUGUGGCGAAUAAAAAUAUAGCUCCAAGUAAAGUUACCGAUGAACGAAGACGAAAGAGGGGAUGCCAUCCGGGGCAUCCCCAAGCUUAGUUGCUUGAUUGUCCUUGAAUAUUACCUUGGGGUGCCUUGGGAAUCCCCAAUCUUAGGCUCUUUCCACUCCUUAUUACAUAAUCCAUCGAAUCUUUACCCAAAACUUGAAAACCUCAACCACACAAAACUCAAAACAAAACUCGUAAGCUCCGUUAGUAUAAGAAAAUAAAUCACCACUUAGGUACUGUAAUGAACUCAUUCUAAAUUCAUAUUUGUGUAAUAUCUACUGUAUUAUAACUUCUCUAUGGUUCAUACCACUUAAUACUAGCCAUAGAUGCACCAAAAUAAGCAAACAACACAAUGAAAACAGAAUCUGUCAAAAACAGAAUAGUCUGUAGUAAUCUGUAUCAAAUGUAUACCUCUGGAACACCAAAAAUUAUGAAAUAAAUUUCUGGACCUGAAUAAUUUGUCUAUUAAUCAUCUGAAAAAAGAAUCAACCUAAAAGCACUUUUCAGUAAAAAAUUGCAGCCAUUCUCGUGAGCGCAAAAGUUUCUGUUUUCUACAGCAAGAUCAUUUAAACUUCACCCAAGUCUUCCCAAAGGUUCUACUUGGCACUUCAUUGAAAUAAAAGCUAUAAAACAUGAUUACUACAGUAGAAUAAUAAUGUGGACACACAAAAACAGUAAGGGUAAAUAUUGGGUUGUCUCCCAACAAGCGCUUUUCUUUAAUGCCUUUCUAGCUAGGCAUGAUGAUGACAAUGAUGCUCACAUAAAAGAUAAGAAUUGAAACAUAACGGGAGCAUCAUGAAGCAUAUGACUAGCACAUUUAGGCCUAACCCUCUUCCUAUGCAUAGGGACUUUGUGAGCAAACAACUUAGGGGAACAAUAAUCAACAAGGAUAGGAAGGUAAAACAAGCAUAACUUCAAGAUUUUCCACACAUAGAGAGGAAACUUGACAUUAUUUUAAUUCCUACAAGCAUAAGUUCCUCCCUCAUAAUAAUUUUCAGUAGUAUCAUGAAUGAAUUCAACAAUAUAACCAGGACCUAAAGCAUUCUUUUCAUGAUCUACUAGCAUAGAAAAUUUACUACUCUCCACAUAAGCAAAAUUCUUCUCAUGAAUAAUAGUGGGAGCAAACUCAACAAAAUAACUAUCACAUGAUUGAAAAUUAAGAUCAAGAUGACAAGUUUCGUGGUUAUCAUUAUUCUUUAAAGCAUACGCGUCAUCACAAUAAUCAUCAUAGAUAGGAGGCAUGCUUUCAUCAUAGUAAAUUUGCUCAUCAAAGCUUGGAGGACAAAAAAUAUCAUCUCCAUCAAACAUAGCUUACCCAAGCUUGUGGCUUUGCAUAUCAUUAGCAUCAUGGAUAUUCAGGGAAUUCAUACUAACAACAUUGCAAUCAUGCUCAUCAUUCACAUAUUUCAUGCCAAGCAUUCUAUGUAAUUCUUCUUCUAGCACUUGAGCACAAUUUUCCUUUCCAUCAUACUCACGAAAGAUAUUAAAAAGACAAAGUGUAUGAGACAAACUUAACUCAAUUUGUUGUAGUUUUCUUUUAUAAACUAAACAAGUGAUAAAACAAGAAACGAAAAGAUUCGAUUGCAAGAUCUAAAGAUAUACCUUCAAGCACUCACCUCCCCAAAAAAGAGCUUAGUUGACGGAGUGUGAGUACCCUUUACCUAGCUUCCCCGGCAACGGCGCCAGAAAAGAGCUUGAUGUCUACUACACAACCUUCUUCUUGUAGACGUUGUUGGGCCUGCAAGUGCACAGGUUUGUAGGAUAGUAGCAAAUUUCCCUCAAGUGGAUGACCUAAGGUUUAGCAAUCCCUAGGAGGCAUAGGAUGAAGAUGGUCUCUCUCAAACAACCCUGCAACCAAAUAACAAAGAGUCUCUUGUGUCCCCAACACACCCAAUACAAUGGUAAAUUGUAUAGGUGCACUACUCCGGCGAAGAGAUGAAGAUGCAAGUGCAAAAUAGAUGGUAGAUAAAGGUAUUUAUAAUCUGAAAUAAUAAAAACAGCAAGGUAGCGAGCGAUAAAAGUGAGCGUAAACGGUAUUGCAAUGAUAGGAAGCAAGGCCUAGGGUUCAUACUUUCACUAGUGCAAGAUCUCUCAACAAUAAUAACAUAGAUAGAUCGUAUAACAAUCCCUCAACAUGCAACAAAGAGUCACUCCGAAGCCACUAAUAGCGGAGAACAAACGUAGAGAUUAUGGUAGGGUACGAAACCACCUCAAAGUUAUUCUUUCGGAUCGAUCUAUUCAAGAGUUUCUACUAGAAUAACACCUUCAGGCACAAAUCAACCAAAACCCUAAUGUCACCUAGAUACUCCAUUGUCACCUCAAGUAUCCGUGGGCAUGAUUAUAUGAUAUGCGUCACACAAUCUCAGAUUCAUCCAACCAACAUGAAAGUACUUCAAAGAGUGCCCCAAAGCUACUACCGGAGAGUCAAGAACGUGUGCCAACCCCUAUGCAUAGGUUCCCAAUGUCACGAAACCCGCAGGUUGAUCACCAAAACAUACAUCAAGUGGAUCGCAAGACAUACAUCAAGUGUUCUCAUAAAAGACUCAAUCCGAUAAAAUAACUUCAAAGGGCAAAUUCAAUUCAUCACAAGAGAGUAGAGGGGGAGAAACAUCAUAAGAUCCAACUACAAUAGCAAAGCUCGGGAUACAUCAAGAUCGUGCCAUGGUGGGAACACGAGAGAGAACUUGAGAGAGAGAGAUCAAACACAUAGCUACUGGUACAUACCCUCAGCCCCGAGGGUGAACUACUCCCUCCUCGUCAUGGAUAGCGUCGGGAUGAUGAAGAUGGCCACCGGUGAAGGAUCCCCCCUCCGGCAGGGUGCCGGGAAGGGCUCCCAAGAGGUUUUUGGUGGCUACAGAGGCUUGCGGCAGCUGAACUCCCGAUCUAUCUUCUGUUCUGGAAGUUUUACGAUACGUAGGUACAUAUGGGUGCAAGGGGUACGUCGGUGGACCGAAGGAGGGGGGCCACGAGGCAGGGGCGCGCCCCCCACCCUCGUGAGCACCUCCCUUCUUUCCUGACGUGCACUCCAAGUCCAUCGGGUGGAUUUCCUUCCAAAAAUAACUUCUCCAGUUGAUUUCGUUCCGUUUUGACUCCGUCUGAUAUUCCUUUUCCUCGAAACACAGAAAUAGGCAUAAAACAUCAAAUCUGGGCUGGGCCUCCGGUUAAUAGUUUAGUCCCAAAAAUAAUAUGAAAGUGGAUAAUAAAGCCCAAUAUUGCCUAAACAGUAGAUAAAAUAGCAUGGAGCAAUCAAAAAUUAUAGAUACGUUGGAGACGUAUCAAUAAGCACGGCAAGACAUACAUCAAGUGUUCUCAUAAAAAACUCAAUCCGAUAAGAUAACUUCAAAGGGGAAAACUCAAUUCAUCACAAGAGAGUAGAGGGGGAGAAACAUCAUAAGAUCCAACUACAAUAGCAAAGCUCGGGAUACAUCAAGAUCGUGCCAUAGAGGGAACACGAGAGAGAGAGAGAUCAAACACAUAGCUACUGGUACAUACCCUCAACCUCGAGGGUGAAGUACUCCCUCCUCGUAAUGGAGAGCGCCGGGAUGAUGAAGAUGGCCACCGGUGAAGGAUCCCCCCUCCGGCAGGGUGCCGGGAAGGGCUCCCGAGAGGUUUUUGGUGGCUACAGAGGCUUGCGGGGGCGGAACUCCCGAUCUAUCUUCUUCGUGGAUGUUUUUAGGGUACGUGGGACUAUAUAGGCAAAAUAAGUCGGUCGGAAGGUGCUCGAGGGGUCCAUGAGACAGGGGGCGCGCCCUCCUAUCUCGUGGCCUCCUCGAGGCUCUUCUGACGUGAACUCCAAGUCUCCUGGGUGAUAUUCUUCCAAAAAAUCACGUUGCCGAAGGUUUCAUUCCGUUUGGACUCCGUUCGAUAUUCCUUUUCUUCGAAAUACUGAAACAGGCAAUAAAACAGCAAUAUGGGCUGGGCCUCCUAUUAAUAGGUUAGUCCCAAAAGUAAUAUAAAAGUGUAUAAUAAAGCCCAUAAUCAUUCAAAACAGAUAAUAUAAUAGCAUGGAACAAUCAAAAAUUAUAGAUACGUUGGAGACGUAUCACUACCCUACACUCAAGAAGCCCGGUCCACGUGGCGUCAUCACCAUUAGAGGAAUCACAGAGCGCUCUUCACGCGCAGAGGAACACGUGACGGCCCUGGCAGCCGGACUAUAAGCGGCCUCCAAUAUUAGAAAACAUGACUGGUCAUUAAGACCACAGACAGGUUAGACGAGUCCGGUAGCCCGGAUAAAAUUAAACCAGGGCACCGUAUAUGUAAUCCCGUAGCGGACACCAGGGGCUAUAAAUAUUUAAUACAGCCCCACACUUGGCUCAACCUUAUUGCCAGGCCAACAUCUUACACUUUUACUAUCCAUGGCAUACUUACGUUGUACUCUCCUACGAGUUUUCCUUUUUCCACAGACAACGUUCGUGUGAUACCCUUCCAGGAUACGGCACAACGGAGAUAAAGGCGCAGACAUGCAGCAGGGCCCCGUUCAAUAGGUUUCUUUUUAGAUUAAGCCCCUGUGUAAACCUUUUCUAUUGCCUCUUGUUGUUUAACCAUCCCAUGGGUUCCAUACCCACAGAGGAUACUGUCAUUAUUGGCAUUUCGCCACAAUAGAUUACCGCACGUACCUGGAAACACACGGUUUAUGAUGAAUGGGCAUUCUUUAGCCCAUCUUCUGUUACAAAGCCCGAAUACCUUCGGGAGUGUUCGGCUUCACGAGUUUGGCCUUAUAUGCAUCAGCUCUGAAUCAUGUCUUUGGUCAAAUGUUGGGUUUGCCCGGCUCCUGGGUUUGCUGCCUUACAUUCCGUUAUUAUCGGCUAAGGCGGCCAAAGGAGAACUACUGCGAUUGUACCCUGGUUAUUCCGGAUAGGCACCUCAGUAGAGAAAGCCGAAAACUGACUGUCAUGAUGCAGCAAGAGACUGUUCAACCACUCGAAGACUCACCGGAAUCUUUAGGAUUCCUCCGCAUUAACGAAGGGCCGUUUCCCGGCCAUGUACAUACGCGCCCGUAUUCGGAUGCACGCGAAGGUACCAGGGGCUACAUAGUAGCCCCACCUUUAGACUCCCAUGGCUAAGCAGAAGUGUUACAGCUAUAUAGUCCGGUUGCCUAGUUCGACGUGCGAUCACCUCCUUAAUGGACCAAGACGUUGGAUCAAGUGUGAUUAAGCAUAUUUUUCGCGAAUACCCUCGCAUUGUAUGCGUGGGGGCUGAAGCCAAUGACUGCUAACUUUUGGAUUACUUAUAUACAUAUAUAAAAACGGCCGCACAGGGGACACAAUAUUCUUUUCAGGCAAAAAGUAUAAAUAUAGCCUCAUAAUCAAAAUAAACAUGUUUUACAAUGAUUCGAUUUAUCACUCGAACAAGACAUUCUUCGAGCACUGCGCCUCUAUUAGCCGGGCACCUUCUGUGACCUGCGCCAAGUAGUGCUCAGUCGGAUAUUGGCCUCCUGCCGGAUCCUGGGUUGCUACAAUGGUAGCCUCCAAAUCCGACCAAUAAGCUUUAACGUGGGCAAGAGCCAUUCGUGCACCCUCUAUGCACGCCGACCUCCUCAUGGCAUCGAUCCGAGGCACGGCCCCAAGGAAUUGUUGCACCAAACCAAAGUAGCUGUCCGGCUUAGGCCCCUUCGGCCAAAGAUGGUCUAUUACAGACCGCAUUGCAAGCCCAGACAGCCCGUGAAGCUCCGCCAUAGCAGCCAUCUUCUCAUUUAACGGCAGCGGGCGGGUGGGAGCAUUGAAUUGCGACCAGAAAAGCUUCUCCACUUCCUUAUCACCUUGAUCCUCGAAGAACUUGGCAGCGUCAGCCGUACUAUUCGCCAAGUCCGCAUAUGCGUCGGCCGGACUCCGGCGUCCAUCUAGGGGAGCAUACUUCGGAUCCAAAAACUUCAUCCGCAGUAAGUAGGAGCCCCCAGCCACGAUUUGGUCGGCCUGUUGGAGCUCCUCCCGCAUACCCGGGAUCUCGGUCCGCAUCUCCUUGGUGGCAUUAAGUGCCUUGUCCAGCUCGGCCGAGCUAGCCUUAUUCUCCUUUUCAAGCAGUACAUAUCGGUCGGUGGCAUUUUUUAGCUCCACAACCAUUUUGGCUAUCUUUUCCUCACUUCGGCGAUGAGCAUCCUAUUCGGCUCUCAAUUCUUCGGCCCCCUUUAGGGCAGCCGCAUUGCUAGCCCGAGCUUGUUCCUUGGCUUGAGCAAGUUCCGCCCUCAGGGCCUCCACAGCAGCAGCACCAUCUGCAGUACAAACACAUUGCAUUAAUAUUAUGCCCCUCUCACAUUUUCCUAUACAACAUAAUAAGGGAAGCAGAGCACAUACCCGGUGACUCUUCCAGCCAUUUGUUCACCAGCGUGAUAUCGGCAUCGAUCAAUCCGAUCUGCCUCCUUAGUUCGGCAACUUCAACAGACUGGUCGGCUGCCGGAUCCUUAGAUACCUGCGCACAUGUACAACACAGCCAUUACUAUAUGAUCCCCCGUUUGCCGCCUAUGGCGGGCAACCAGAGUCUCAGGGGCUACUAUCCAUAUGGAGCACACCUAGUGCAUGCCUCACAGCCAAAAAAUAGUGCAUUUUUUUACUACAUACCUCAAAGCCUCUGAGCAGGCUCGUAAAUGCCUCAUUCAAACCGCUUGUAGCGGAUGAAAUCUUCUUAAGCACCGCACUCAUUAAUGAGCGGUGCUCCGCUGAGAGCGCAACUCGCUCCAGAAGACCUGUCAGUACGUCCGGCCGGGCAUCGAACUGUGCCAGACCCUUCUCAUCACCCCCCAUGGGAGCCAAACGCUCCGGGCUCAGGGCGACUGACGUAUUGGCCUCUGUCUUCGGCAGAUCUGGACUCCUCCAUGACGACACCUCAGUGUUGCCCGCUUCAUGAGGCGGAGAGGUGGGUGGGGUGUCGCUCUCCAUCAUCUCCGGAGGAAGAUCCCCCAAAGAUGAACUCUGUUGAGGAGAGCUGCUAGCCGGACUGCAAAAGAUGAAUCCUGGUUAUUGAUCUCGGAGAAACGCAGUACCCUCAGAAUAGUGAUUAACUUACAGCUCGUUCGAGGGCUGGCCCAUUGGUGGGCCUGACGUGGUGAGAACGCCCGUCGAGACAGAGCCCCCCGGGGACACUUUCUUCCCCUGUUUGGGCAUCUCCGUCUCCAAGUCUUCGGAGGCGGCCCUUUUCUUCCCGCGCAGGGAGGUGGCCUCAGAUUCCCCUCCCCGACUAUCCUCCUUUGGGGAGAAAUCAAUUCCCCCGGUCUGGAUGUGUAGUGUCUGAAGUCCGGCUUCGCUGCCCUUUCCUUCGCCUUUCCCUGAGGGCAUUUUGCUAAGCACCCGGCCAAGCAUCUUGGCAACGGUUGGACCCGGCGAGCCUUCAGGAAGUGGCGCCGGACACCUGAUUCUCUCCGCCUUGUUGAACCAUUCCUGGCCACGGAGGGUUUUUCAGAACAAUGGUUAUGGCAAAUAUAAACAGAGUGUCCGUCUUUAAGGUUACUUACUUGGGUAUCUAUGCGAUUGCAGCUUAGGCCUGCAUCCUCAGUGGUGUCCGGACACUUUACUUGUGGUCCAAAGAAUAAUUUACACAUCCCUUCGAGCUUCAGGCCGAAGAAGUGCUUAAUAGUCCACAGACCCUCCGGAUUGAACUCCCACAUCCGGAGAGGCCGACGUUUGCACGGCAACAUCCGUCGGACUAGCAUUACUUGAAUUAUGCUGACAAGAUUUAUGUCCCUCUCGAUAAGCUCCCAGAUACGGCUCUGCAGUAUUGGAACAUCACUGGCAGGCCCCCAAUUCCGUCCUGCGUCGGUCCAUGACGCCAACUAUAUACAUCGUCCGGACUAUUGAAGCGUGAAGAUACAAGACUCAAGACUUCGGCCUGUGUCCGGAUGGGACUCUCCUUUGCGUGCAAGGCAAGCUUGGCGAUCCGGAUAUUGUGUUUCCUUCCUUGUAACCGACUUCGUGUAAACCUUAGCCCUCUCCGGUGUCUAUAUAAACUGGAGAGGUUGGUCCUUAGAAGGACGAUCACAAUUACAAUCAUACCAUCAUAGGCUAGCUCUUAGGGUUUAGCCUCUACGAUCUCGUGGUAGAUCUACUCUUGUACUACCCAUUUCUUCAAUAUUAAUCAAGCAUGAAGUAGGGUUUUACCUCCAUCGAAAGGGCCCGAACCUGGGUAAACGUUGUGUCCCUCGCUUCCUGUUACCAUCAGCCUAGACGCACAGAUCGGGACCCCCUACCCGAGAUCCGUCGGUUUUGACACCGACAGGCACUGCGAGCUAAAGCUCGCAAAAUCAUCCAAGGGGAUGAUAACACACCAUUCUUCCACAUGAUUGCGAAUGGCAAGCAUUGAAAGAAGAGAAUAUUUCACCUUGAGCAAGAUGAUGGGACGAUUUUAGGGCAGGAGAACCCAAAGGUAUAUAUCACCAAUUACUAUAAGCAGCUGUUUGGGCCUCUCGAGGAUAAUUUCGUAUCCUUGGAUGAGUCAAGGGUUGAGGAUGUUCCUCAGCUCGCAGCAGAUGAGAAUGAUAUUUUGACAGCCCCACUUUCGGAGAAAGAGGUGUUUGAGGCAAUUUCCCAAAUGAAAAAUAAUAAAGCUCCAGUACCAGAUGGUUUUACGGCAGAGUUUUAUAAAAAGUGUUGGCAGAUCAUUAAGGGGGACUUGCUCCCGAUGUUCCAUGAUCUAUUUUUGGGACAGUUACAACUGUUUCACAUGAACUUCGGUACAAUUACUUUGCUUCCUAAGAAAACAUAGGCUGUGAGGAUUGAGCAAUUUAGGCCAAUCUGUCUUCUUAAUGUUAGCUUUAAAAUCUUCACCAAAGUUGGGACUAAUAGGCUUACGCAGAUUGUGUUGGGGAACGUAGCAGAAAUUCAAAUUUUUUUCCUACGAAUCACCAAGAUCUAUCUAUGGAGAGACCAGCAAUGAGUAGAAAGGAGAGUGCAUCUACACACCCUUGUAGAUCGCUAAGCGGAAGCGUUCAAGUGAACGGGGUUGAUGGAGUCGUACUCGUCAUGAUUCAAAUCACCGAUGAUCAAGUGCCGAACGGACGGCACCUCCGCGUUCAACACACGUACAGCCCGGUGACGUCUCCCACGCCUUGAUCCAGCAAGGAGAGAGGGAGCGGUUGAGGAAGACUCCAUCCAACAGCAGCACAACGGCGUGGUGGUGGUGGAGGAGCGUGGCAAUCCCGCAGGGCUUCGCCAAGCACCAGGGGAGAGGAGAAGAACUUGGGAGAGAGGGAGGGGCUGCACCAAAGGCAUAAGGUCUGUUUGGGAGGCCCUCCUACCCCACUAUAUAUAGGGAUCCCAAGGGGGGGUGCACCAGCCCCUAGGAGAUCCAAUCUCCAAGGGGGCNNNNNNNNNNNNNNNNNNNNNNNNNNNNNNNNNNNNNNNNNNNNNNNNNNNNNNNNNNNNNNNNNNNNNNNNNNNNNNNNNNNNNNNNNNNNNNNNNNNNNNNNNNNNNNNNNNNNNNNNNNNNNNNNNNNNNNNNNNNNNNNNNNNNNNNNNNNNNNNNNNNNNNNNNNNNNNNNNNNNNNNNNNNNNNNNNNNNNNNNNNNNNNNNNNNNNNNNNNNNNNNNNNNNNNNNNNNNNNNNNNNNNNNNNNNNNNNNNNNNNNNNNNNNNNNNNNNNNNNNNNNNNNNNNNNNNNNNNNNNNNNNNNNNNNNNNNNNNNNNNNNNNNNNNNNNNNNNNNNNNNNNNNNNNNNNNNNNNNNNNNNNNNNNNNNNNNNNNNNNNNNNNNNACCCCCUACAGCCCAUGUGGCCCCCCGGGGCAGGUGGCCCCACCCGGUGGGCCCCCGGGACCCUUCCGGUGGUCCCGGUACAAUACCGAUGACCCCGAAACUUGUCCCGAUGGCCGAAACAGGACUUCCUAUAUAUAAAUCUUUACCUCCGGACCAUUCCGGAACUCCUCGUGACGUCCGGGAUCUCAUCCGGGACUCCGAACAACAUUCGGUAACCACAUACAAGCUUCCUUUAUAACCCUAGCGUCAUCGAACCUUAAGUGUGUAGACCCUACGGGUUCGGGAGACAUGUAGACAUGACCGAGACGUUCUCCGGUCAAUAACCAACAGCGGGAUCUGGAUACCCAUGAUGGCUCCCACAUGUUCCACGAUGAUCUCAUCGGAUGAACCACAAUGUCAAGGACUUAAUCAAUCCCGUAUUCAAUUCCCUUUGUCUAUCGGUAUGUUACUUGCCCGAGAUUCGAUCGUUGGUAUCCAAUACCUUGUUCAAUCUCGUUACCGGCAAGUCACUUUACUCGUUCCGUAACACAUCAUCCCGUGAUCAACUCCUUGGUCACAUUGCGCAUAUGAUGAUGUCCUACCGAGUGGGCCCAGAGAUACCUCUCCGUUUACACGGAGUGACAAAUCCCAGUCUCGAUCCGCAUAAAACAAUAGAUACUUUCGGAGAUACCUGUAAUGCACCUUUAUAGUCACCCAGUUACGUUGUGACGUUUGAUACACCCAAAGAACUCCUACGGUAUCCAGGAGUUACACGAUCUCAUGGUCAAAGGAAGAGAUACUUGACAUUGGCAAAGCUCUAGCAAACGAACUACACGAUCUUUGUGCUAUGCUUAGGAUUGGGUCUUGUCCAUCACAUCAUUCUCCUAAUGAUGUGAUCCCGUUAUCAACGACAUCCAAUGUCCAUAGCCAGGAAACCAUGACUACCUGUUGAUCACAACGAGCUAGUCAACUAGAGGCUCACUAGGGACAUAUUGUGGUCUAUGUAUUCACACGUGUAUUACGAUUUCCGGAUAAUACAGUUAUAGCAUGAAUAAAAGACAAUUAUCAUGAACAAGGAAAUAUAAUAAUAAUACUUUUAUUAUUGCCUCUAGGGCAUAUUUCCAACAGUCUCCCACUUGCACUAGAGUCAAUAAUCUAGUUCACAUCGCCAUGUGAUUAACACUCACAGGUCACAUCGCCAUGUGACUAAUACCCAAGAGUUUACUAGAGUCAGUAGUCUAGUUUACAUCACUAUGUGAUUAACACUCGAUGAGUUUUAUGUUUGAUCAUGUUGCUUGUGAGAGAGGUUUUAGUCAACGGGUCUGAACCUUUCAGAUCCGUGUGUGCUUUACAAAUCUCUAUGUCAUCUCCUAGAUGCAGCUACCACGCUCUAUUUGGAGCUAUUCCAAACAACUAUUCUACUUGGAGCUAUUCUAAAUUAUUGCUCCAUUAUAUGUAUCCGGUCUCUCUACUCAGAGCUAUCCGGAUAGGUGUCAAGCUUGCAUCGUCGUAACCUUUACGACGAACUCUUUUACCACCUCCAUAAUCGAGAAAAUUCCUUAGUCCACUAGUUACUAAGGAUAACUUUGACCGCUGUCCUGUGAGCCAUGGCAAGGCACACUUCAGGUGCGGUACACAGCAUAGCAUACUGAAGAGCCUACGUCUUAAGCAUAGGGGACGACCUUCGUCCUUUCUCUCUAUUCUGCCGUGGUCGAGCUUUAAGUCUUAACUUCGUACCUUACAACUCAGGCAAGAACUUCUUCUUUGACUGAUCCAUCUUGAACACCUUCAAGAUCAUGUCAAGGUAUGUGCUCAUUUGAAAGUAUUAUUAAGCAUUUUGAUCUAUCCUUAUAGAUCUUGAUGCUCAAUGUUCAAGUAGAUUAAUCCAGGCUUUCCAUUGAAAGACACUUUCAAAAUAACCUUAUAUGCUUUCCAGAAAUUCUACGUCAUUUCUGAUCAACAAUAUGUCAACAACAUAUACUCAUCAGAAAUUCUAUAGUGCUCCCACUCACUUCUUUGGAAAUACAAGUUUCUCAUAAACUUUGUACAAACCCAAAAUCUUUGAUCAUCAUCAAAGCAUACAUUCCAACUCCGAGAUGCUUACUCCAGUCCUUAGAAGGAUCGCUGGAGCUAGCAUACCUUUUAGCAUCCUCAGGAUUGACAAAACUUUUCUGAUUGUAUUGCAUACAACCUUUCCUUACGAAAACUAGUAAGGAAACUUGUCUUGACAUCCAUCUGCCAGAUUUCAUAAAUGAAGCUAAUGCUAACAUGAUUCCGACGGACUUAAGCAUCGCUACGGAUGAGAAAAUCUCAUCGUAGUCAACUCCUUGAACUUGUCGGAAAACACUUCGCCACAAGUCGAGUUUCAUAGAUGGUGACAUUACCAUCCACGUCCGUCUUCUUCUUAAAAUAUCCAUUUAUCUCAAUGGAUUGCCGAUCAUCGGGCAAGUCCAUCAAAGUCCAUGCUUUGUUCUGAUAUAUGGAUACUAUCUCGGAUCUCAUGGCUUCUAACCAUUUGUCGGAAUUCGGGCCCACCAUCGCUUCUCCAUAGCUCGUAGGUUCAUUGUUGUCAGGCAACAUGACCUUCAAGACAGGAUCACCGUACCACUCCGAAGUAGUACGUGUCCUUGUCAUCCUACGAGGUUCGUUAGUGACUUGAUCCGAAGCUUCAUGAUCAAUAUCAUAAGCUUCCACUUCAAUUGGUGUAGGUGCCACAGGAACAACUUCCUGUGCCCUGCCACACACUAGUUGAAGAGACGGUUCAAUAACCUCAUCAAGUCUCCACCAUCCUCCCACUCAAUUCUUUCGAGAGAAACGUUUCCUCGAGAAAGGACCCGAUUCUAGAAACAAUCCUUUAUUGCUUUCGGAUCUGAGACAGGAGGCAUACCCAACUGUUUUUGGGUUGUCCUAUGAAGAUGUAUUUAUCCGCUUUGGGUUCGAGCUUAUCAGCCUGAAACUUUUUCACAUAAGCGUCGCAGCCCCAAUCUUUUAAGAAACGACAACUUAGGUUUCUCUAAACCAUAAUUCAUACGGUGUCAUCUCAACGGAAUUACGUGGUGCCCUAUUUAAAGUGAAUGUGGUUGUCUCUAAUGCCUAACCCAUGAACGAUAGUGGUAAUUCGAUAAGAGACAUCAUGGUAUGCAUCAUAUCCAAUAGGGUGCAACUAUGAUGUUCGGACACACCAUCACAUUAUGGUGUUCCAGGCGGUAUUAAUUGCGAAACAAUUUCCACAAUGUCUUAAUUGUGUGCCAAAACUCAUAACUCAGAUAUUCAUCUCUAUGAUCAUAUCAUAGACAUUUUAUCCUCUUGUCACAAUGAUCUUCUACUUCACUCUGAAAUUACUUGAACCAUUCAAUAAUUCAGACUUGUGUUUCAUCAAGUGAAUAUUCUCAACAUCUACUCGAAUCAUCUGUGAAGUAAGAACAUAACGAUAUUCACUGCAUGCCUCAGCACUCAUUGGAUUGGACACAUCAAAAUGUGUUACUUCCAACAAGUUGCUAUCUUGUUCCAUUUUACUGAAAAUGAGGCUUUUCAGUCAUCUUGCCCAUGUGGUAUGAUUUGCAUAUCUCAAGUGAUUCAAAAUCAAGUGAGUCCAAACGAUCCAUUUGCAUGGAGCUUCUUCAUGCAUAUAUACCAAUAGACAUGGUUCGCAUGUCUCAAACUUUUCAAAAAUGAGUGAGUCCAAAGAUCCAUCAACAUGGAGCUUCUUCAUGCGUUUUAUACCAUUAUGACUUACAUAGCAGUGCCAUAAGUAAGUGGUACUAUCAUUACUAUCUUAUAUCUUUUGGCAUGAAAAUGUGUAUCCCUACGAUCAAGAUUCAAUAAACCAUUCCUUUAGGUGCAAGAGCACUUAUUCAGGUUUAAUACUAAUCUUGAUGGUAGAGGGAGCGUGCGAUGUUAGAUCACAUCAAACUUGGAAACACUUCCAACACAUAUCGCCAGCUCACCUUUAGCUAGUCUCCGUUUUAUUCCGUAGCUUUUAUUUCGAGUUACUAACACUUAGCAACCGAACCGGUAUCUAAUACCCUGGUGCUACUAGGAGUACUAGUAAAGUACACAUUAACAUAAUGUAUAUCCAAUAUACUUCUAUCGACCUUGCCAGCCUUCUCAUCUACCAAGUAUCUAGGGUAAUCUUGCUCCAGUGGUUGUUCCCCUUAUUACAGAAGCACUUAGUCUCGGGUUUGGGUUCAACCCCGGGUUUCUUCAUUGGUGCAGCAGCUGAUUUGCCGUUUCAUGAAGUAUCCCUUCUUGCCCUUGCCCUUCUUGAAACUAGUGGUUUUACUAACCAUCAACGAUUGAUGCUCCCUUUUGAUUUCUACUUUCGCGGAGUCAAACAUCGCGAAUAUCUCAAGGAUCAUCAUAUAUGUCCUUGAUAUAUUAUAGUUCAUCACGAAGCUCUAGCAGCUUGGUGGUAAUGACUUCGGAGGAACUAUCACUAUUUCAUCUGGAAGAUCAACUCCCACUUGAUUUAAGUGAUUGUUGCACUCAGACAAUCUGAGCACAAGCUCAACAAUUGAGCUUCUCUCCUUAGUUUGCAGGCUAAGAAAAUCGUCGGAGGUCUUAUACCUCUUGACGUGGGCACGAGCCUGAAAUCCCAAUUUCAGCCCUCGAAACAUCUCAUAUGUUCCAUGACGUUUCGAAAACGUCUUUGGUGCCUCUACUUAAACCAUUUAACUGAACUAUCACGUAGUUAUCAAAACGUGUAUGUUCGAUGUUCGAAACAUCCACAAACGAUGUUUGGGGUUCACCACACUAAGUGGUGCAUUAAGGACAUAAGCUUUCUACUGAUCGCAUAAUCGCUACUGUCAACUUUCAACUAUAUUUUCUCUAGGAACAUAUCUAAAACAGUAGAACUAAAGCGCGAGCUACGACAUAAUUUGCAAAAGGUCUUUUGACUAUGUUCAGGAUAAUUAAGUUCAUCUUAUGAACUCCCACUCAGAUAGACAUCCCUCUGGUCAUCUAAGUGAUCACAUGAUCCGAGUCAACUAGGCCGUGUCCGAUCAUCACGUGAGACGGACUAGUUAACAUCGGUGAACAUCUUCAUGUUGGUUGUAUCUACUAUACGACUCAUGCUCGACCUUUCGGUCUCCGUGUUCCGAGGCCAUGUCUGCACAUGCUAGGCUCGUCAAGUUAACCCUAAGUGUUUUCGCUGUGUAAAACUGUCUUACACCCGUUGUAUGUGAACGUAAGAAUCCAUCACACCCGACCAUCACGUGGUGCUUAGAAGCAACGAACUGUAGCAACGGUGCACAGUUAGGGGAGAACACUUCUUGAAAUUUUGUAAGGGAUCAUCUUAUUUACUACCGUCGUCCUAAGUAAACAAGAUGCAUAAACAUAAUAAACAUCACAUGCAAUUAUAUAGUUGUGACAUGAUAUGGCCAAUAUCAUAUAGCUCCAUUGAUCUCCAUCUUCGGGGCUCCAUGAUCAUCUUGUCACCGGCAUGACACCAUGAUCUCCAUCAUCGUGUCUUCAUGAAGUUGUCACGCCAACGACUACUUCUACUUCUAUGGCUAACGCGUUUAGCAAUAAAGUAAAGUAAGUUACAUGGCGUUCUUCAAUGACACGCAGGUCAUACAAAAAAUAAAGACAACUCCUAUGGCUCCUGCCGGUUGUCAUACUCAUCGACAUGCAAGUCGUGAUUCCUAUUACAAGAACAUGAUCAAUCUCAUACAUCACAUAUCAUUCAUCACAUUCUUCUGGCCAUAUCACAUCACAUAGCAUACCCUGCAAAAACAAGUUAGACGUCCUCUAAUUGUUGUUUGCAUGUUUUACGUGGCUGCUAUGGGUUCUAGCAAGAACGUUUCUUACCUACGCAAAACCACAACGUGAUAUGCCAAUUGCUAUUUACCCUUCAUAAGGACCCUUUUCAUCGAAUCCGUUCCGACUAAAGUGGGAGAGACUGGCACCCGCUAGCCACCUUAUGCACCAAGUGCAUGUCAAUCGGUGGAACCUGUCUCACGUAAGAGUACGUGUAAGGUCGGUCCGGGCCGCUUCAUCCCACAAUACCGUCGAAACAAGAUUGGACUAGUAACGGUAAGCAUAUUGAACAACAUCAACGCCCACAACUACUUUGUGUUCUACUCGUGCAAAGAAUCUACGCAAUAGACCUAGCUCAUGAUGCCACUGUUGGGGAACGUAGCAGAAAUUCAAAAAAAUUUCCUACGAAUCACCAAGAUCUAUCUAUGGAGAGACCAGCAACGAGUAGAAAGAAGAGUGCAUCUACAUACCCUUGUAGAUCGCUAAGCGGAAGCGUUCAAGUGAACGGAGUUGAUGGAGUCGUACUCGUCGUGAUUCAAAUCACCGAUGAUCAAGUGCCGAACGGACGGCACCUCCGCGUUCAACACACGUACAGCCCGGUGACGUCUCCCACGCCUUGAUCCAGCAAGGAGAGAGGGAGAGGUUGAGGAAGACUCCAUCCAACAGCAGCACAAUGGCGUGGUGGUGGUGGAGGAGCGUGGCAAUCCCGCAGGGCUUCGCCAAGCACCACGGGAGAGGAGAAGAACUUGGGAGAGAGGGAGGGGCUGCACCAAAGGCAUAAGGUCUGUUUGGGAGGCCCUCCUACCCCACUAUAUAUAGGGAUCCCAAGGGGGGGUGNNNNNNNNNNNNNNNNNNNNNNNNNNNNNNNNNNNNNNNNNNNNNNNNNNNNNNNNNNNNNNNNNNNNNNNNNNNNNNNNNNNNNNNNNNNNNNNNNNNNNNNNNNNNNNNNNNNNNNNNNNNNNNNNNNNNNNNNNNNNNNNNNNNNNNNNNNNNNNNNNNNNNNNNNNNNNNNNNNNNNNNNNNNNNNNNNNNNNNNNNNNNNNNNNNNNNNNNNNNNNNNNNNNNNNNNNNNNNNNNNNNNNNNNNNNNNNNNNNNNNNNNNNNNNNNNNNNNNNNNNNNNNNNNNNNNNNNNNNNNNNNNNNNNNNNNNNNNNNNNNNNNNNNNNNNNNNNNNNNNNNNNNNNNNNNNNNNNNNNNNNNNNNNNNNNNNNNNNNNNNNNNNNNNNNNNNNNNNNNNNNNNNNNNNNNNNNNNNNNNNNNNNNNNNNNNNNNNNNNNNNNNNNNNNNNNNNNNNNNNNNNNNNNNNNNNNNNNNNNNNNNNNNNNNNNNNNNNNNNNNNNNNNNNNNNNNNNNNNNNNNNNNNNNNNNNNNNNNGGGGCUGGUGCCCUUGGCCCAUGUAGGCCAAGGCGCACCCCCUACAGCCCAUGUGGCCCCCCGGGGCAGGUGGCCCCACCCGGUGGGCCCCCGGGACCCUUCCGGUGGUCCCGGUACAAUACCGAUGACCCCGAAACUUGUCCCGAUGGCCGAAACAGGACUUCCUAUAUAUAAAUCUUUACCUCCUGACCAUUCCGGAACUCCUCGUGACGUCCGGGAUCUCAUCCGGGACUCCGAACAACAUUCGGUAACCACAUACAAGCUUCCUUUAUAACCCUAGCGUCAUCGAACCUUAAGUGUGUAGACCCUACGGGUUCGGGAGACAUGCAGACAUGACCGAGAUGUUCUCCGGUCAAUAACCAACAGCGGGAUCUGGAUACCCAUGUUGGCUCCCACAUGUUCCACGAUGAUCUCAUCGGAUGAACCACGAUGUCAAGGACUCAAUCAAUCCCGUAUACAAUUCCCUUUGUCUAGCGGUAUGGUACUUGCCCGAGAUUCGAUCGUCGGUAUCCAAUACCUUGUUCAAUCUCGUUACCGGCAAGUCACUUUACUCGUUCCGUAACACAUCAUCCCGUGAUCAACUCCUUGGUCACAUUGCGCAUAUGAUGAUGUCCUACCGAGUGGGCCCAGAGAUACCUCUCCGUUUACACGGAGUGACAAAUCCCAGUCUCGAUCCGCAUAAAACAAUAGAUACUUUCGGAGAUACCUGUAGUGCACCUUUAUAGUCACCCAGUUACGUUGUGACGUUUGAUACCCCCAAAGCACUCCUACGGUAUCCAGGAGUUACACGCUCUCAUGGUCGAAGGAAGAGAUACUUGACAUUGGCAAAGCUCUAGCAAAUGAACUACACGAUCUUUUGUGCUAGUCUUAGGAUUGGGUCUUGUCCAUCACAUCAUUCUCCUAAUGAUGUGAUCCCGUUAUCAACGACAUCCAAUGUCCAUAGCCAGGAAACCAUGACUAUCUGUUGAUCACAAUGAGCUAGUCAACUAGAGGCUCACUAGGGACAUAUUGUGGUCUAUGUAUUCACACGUGUAUUACGAUUUCCGGAUAAUACAGUUAUAGCAUGAAUAAAAGACAAUUAUCAUGAACAAGGAAAUAUAAUAAUAAUACUUUUAUUAUUGCCUCUAGGGCAUAUUUCCAACAAACACUUCUUGAAAUUUUGUAAGGGAUCAUCUUAUUUACUACCGUCGUCCUAAGUAAACAAGAUGCAUAAUCAUAAUAAACAUCACAUGCAAUCAAAUAGUGACAUGAUAUGGCCAAUAUCAUUUUGCUCCUUUUGAUCUUCAUCUUCGGGGCUCCAUGAUCAUCAUCGUCACCGGCAUGACACCAUGAUCUCCAUCAUCAUGAUCUCCAUCAUCGUGUCUUCAUGAAGUUGUCACGCCAACGACUACUUCUACUUCUAUGGCUAACGCGUUUAGCAAUAAAGUAAAGUAAGUUACAUGGCGUUCUUCAAUGACACGCAGGUCAUACAAUAAAUUAAGACAACUCCUAUGGCUCCUGCCGGUUGUCAUACUCAUCGACAUGCAAGUCGUGAAUCCUAUUACAAGAACAUGAUCAAUCUCAUACAUCACAUAUAUCAUUCAUCACAUCCUUUUGGCCAUAUCACAUCACAUAGCAUACCCUGCAAAAACAAGUUAGACGUCCUCUAAUUGUUGUUUGCAUGUUUUAUGUGGCUGCUAUGGGUUUCUAGCAAGAACGUUUCUUACCUACGCAAAACCACAACGUGAUAUGCCAAUUGCUAUUUACCCUUCAUAAGGACCCUUUUCAUCGAAUCCGUUCCGACUAAAGUGGGAGAGACUGGCACCCGCUAGCCACCUUAUGCACCAAGUGCAUGUCAAUCGGUGGAACCUGUCUCACGUAAGAGUACGUGUAAGGUCGGUCCAGGCCGCUUCAUCCCACAAUACCGUCGAAACAAGAUUGGACUAGUAACGGUAAGCAUAUUGAACAACAUCAACGCCCACAACUACUUUGUGUUCUACUCGUGCAAAGAAUCUACGCAAUAGACCUAGCUCAUGAUGCCACUGUUGGGGAACGUAGCAGAAAUUCAAAAUUUUCCUACGUGUCACCAAGAUCUAUCUAUGGAGAAACCAGCAACGAGUAGAAGGAGAGUGCAUCUACAUACCCUUGUAGAUCGCUAAGCGGAAGCGUUCAAGUGAACGGGGUUGAUGGAGUCGUACUCGUCGUGAUUCAAAUCACCGAUGAUCAAGUGCCGAACGCACGGCACCUCCGCGUUCAACACACGUACAGCCCGGUGACGUCUCCCACGCCUUGAUCCAGCAAGGAGAGAGGGAGAGGUUGAGGAAGACUCCAUCCAACAGCAGCACAACGGCGUGGUGGUGGUGGAGGAGCGUGGCAAUCCAGCAGGGCUUCGCCAAGCACCAUGGGAGAGGAGGAGUAGGAAGAGAGGUAGGGUUGUGCCAGAACUUCGUCUAUAGCUCCCAUGCGCCUCCCCACUAUAUAUAGGGGUGGAGGGGCUGGUUUCUUGCCCUCCAAGUCCAUUGGGGCGUUGGCCAAGGUGGGAGGAAAGAAAUCUCAUUAUUUCCUUCCCCACCGAUUGUUAUCCCCCCUUUUUAGGGAUCUUGAUCUUAUCCCUUCGGGAUAUGAUCUUAUUCCUUCUAAGGGGGGAUCUUGGUGCGCCUUGACCAGGGGUGUGGGGCCUUGCCCCCACUACCCACGUCCAUGUGGGUCCCCCCAUGCAUGUGGGCCCCACUCCGGAACCUUCUAGAACCUUCCCGGUACAAUACCGAAAAAUCCCGAACAUUUUCCGGUGGCCAAAAUAGGACUUCCCAUAUAUAAAUCUUUACCUCCGGACCAUUCCGGAACUCCUCGUGACGUCCGGGAUCUCAUCCGGGACUCCGAACAACAUUCGGUAACCACAUACAAACUUCCUUUAUAACCCUAGCGUCAUCGAACCUUAAGUGUGUAGACCCUACGGGUUCGGGAGACAUGUAGACAUGACCGAGACGUUCUCCGGUCAAUAACCAACAGCGGGAUCUGGAUACCCAUGAUGGCUCCCACAUGUUCCACGAUGAUCUCAUCGGAUGAACCACGAUGUCAAGGACUUAAUCAAUCCCGUAUUCAAUUCCCUUUGUCUAUCGGUAUGUUACUUGCCCGAGAUUCGAUCGUCGGUAUCCAAUACCUUGUUCAAUCUCGUUACCGGCAAGUCACUUUACUCGUUCCGUAACACAUCAUCCCGUGAUCAACUCCUUGGUCACAUUGCGCAUAUGAUGAUGUCCUACCGAGUGGGCCCAGAGAUACCUCUCCGUUUACACAGAGUGACAAAUCCCAGUCUCGAUCCGCAUAAAACAAUAGAUACUUUCGGAGAUACCUGUAAUGCACCUUUAUAGUCACCCAGUUACGUUGUGACGUUUGAUACACCCAAAGCACUCCUACGGUAUCCAGGAGUUACACGAUCUCAUGGUCAAAGGAAGAGAUACUUGACAUUGGCAAAGCUCUAGCAAACGAACUACAAGAUCUUUGUGCUAUGCUUAGGAUUGGGUCUUGUCCAUCACAUCAUUCUCCUAAUGAUGUGAUCCCGUUAUCAACGACAUCCAAUGUCCAUAGCCAGGAAACCAUGACUAUCUGUUGAUCACAACGAGCUAGUCAACUAGAGGCUCACUAGGGACAUAUUGUGGUCUAUGUAUUCACACGUGUAUUACGAUUUCCGGAUAAUACAGUUAUAGCAUGAAUAAAAGACAAUUAUCAUGAACAAGGAAAUAUAAUAAUAAUACUUUUAUUAUUGCCUCUAGGGCAUAUUUCCAACAUUCUGUGGUGCAGCCGUGUCAAACGGCUUUCAUGCCGGACAAAAACAUCCUAUAAGGGGUUGUGGUUCUGCAUUAAAUGCUCCAUGAAAUCCACACGAAAAAACUAGAUGGGGUGGUUUUCAAAGUGGAUUUUGAGAAAGCGUAUGACAAGGUAAAAUGGCCAUUUUUCAGCAGGCUUUGCGUAUGAAAGGAUUCGAUCAGUCCUGGAGAGACCAGGUAGAUUCUUUCACGCAAAAAGGGAGUGUUGGAAUGGUAAAUGAUGACAUAGGUCAUUAUUUUCAGACACACAAGGGUCUGACACAAGGAGAUCCGAUGUCUCUGAUUCUGUUCAACAAAGUCGUUGACAUGUUGACAGUCCUAAUAGGAAGGGCUCAGGAUGAUGGCCAGGUAGGUGGCCUCGUUCCGCAUUUAGUUGACGUAGGAGUGUCUAUCCUACAGUACGCGGAUGAUACUAUCGUCUUUAUGGAGCAUGAUUUGGCUAAAGCUAGAAACAUGAAGCUGGUAUUGUGCUUGUUCGAAUAAUUAUCGGGGUUAAAGAUUAACUUCCACAAAAGUGAAUUGUUCUGCUUUCGAAGAGCUAAAGAAGAACAACAAGAUUACAAGGAAUUGUUCAGGUGCGAAUUGGGGUCUUUACCCUUCAGUAUUUGGGUAUACCAAUCCACCAUCGCAAGCUUUCAAACAAGGAGUGAAAGAGCAUUGAAGAUCGAUUUGAAAGAAAACUGAGCUGCUGGAAGGGCAAGCUUAUGUCAUACGGAGGAUGAUUGAUUCUGAUUAAUUCGGUUCACACAAGUAUGUCGAUGUUUCUCUUAUCCUUUUUCGAAGUACCAGUUGGUGUACGAAAAAGGCUAGAUUUCUAUCGAUCGCGGUUCUUCUGGCAGAGCGAUGAAUUAAAAAGAAAAUACAGACUCGCUAAGUGGGAUAUCAUUUGUAGGCCGAAAGAUCAAGGGGGUCUAGGCAUUGAAAAUUUAGAGGUGAAGAACAGAUGUCUUCUCAGCAAGUGGUUGUAUAAGUUAUCUGUAGAGACGGAUGCAACAUGGGCCCAGAUUCUUCGUAAUAAGUACCUUCAGUCCAAAACCUUGUCCCAGGUAACGGUAAGACCGACUGAUUCACCUUUUUGGAAGGGACUGGUGAGAGUGAAAUCAGUCUUCUUUAACAGGACAAAAUUUAUAGUUGCAAAUGGUACUUUCACAAGAUUCUGGGAGGAUACCUGGCUAGGGGAGACACCCCUUACAAUCCAAUAUCCUUCUCUCUAUAAUAUUGUUCAGCGGAGAGACACUUACGCUGCAACAGUACUACAGUCCAAUCCUCUUAAUAUUCAAUUCAGGAGGACGCUAGUGGGAAACCGUUGGGAAGCUUGGCUCCAUCUUGUGAGAAGAUUGAUGGAUGUCCAACUUUCUCAACAGCCAGAUCAGUUGCGCUGGAAACUAGCUAAGAAUGGUGAGUUUUCGGUUAAAUUCAUGUAUUUGGAUAUUAUCAACACUAGCGUUAUUCCUAGUUUGAAACAUGUUUGGAAAGUCAAAGUGCCUUUAAAAAUCAAAGUGUUUAUGUGGUUUGUCCACAAACAAGUCAUCCUAACUAAGGACAAUUUGGCGAAGCACGACUCGAUCUAAAAGAUGUAGUUUUUGUGAUAGUGAUGAAUCAAUCAAACACCUCUUUCUUGACCGCCCUUUGGCAACAAUUUUGUGGAGGUCGGUCUACAUAGCUUUUAAUAUUACUCCUCCCAAUUCCAUCAACACGUUAUUUGGGACAUGGCUAGAUGGGAUUGAUGCAGCAACAGCGAGGCACAUCCGUGUAGGAGUAUCCGCUUUAUUAUCGGCAGUUUGGAACUGUAGAAACGACUUGGUUUUUAACAGAACAACAAAUAUUCAUUUCUUGCAUGUUGUUUUCAGGGCCACUACACUCAUCCGUAUGUGGUCGCUACUCACUUCGACGGAGGCCAGGGAGCAUUUGGUUACUGGAUCUAUCCGAUGGGAGACGGUAGCUCGGGCUAUCUUCAACCAGUUUGGAUGGCGGUCAUGUAAUAGGAUAGGUAUUUAGUUUCCUAUCUUUUGUUUUGCCUGCCGGUUGUGGCUGCCCUGUUUUUGCUUUAGUGCUCUUUAUGAGCAUUUUUUUUCAUUUUGUUUGAGACCUCGAGACUUAUGUUGGACCUUUUGUUUAUCAAUAAUAUGGCCGUAUGCAUCAUUCUGAUGCAGAAGGCCGGGGCAAACCUCCUUUUCAAAAAAAGAAAAAAAUACAGAAAAUCACCCUGCUGGAAACAUAAUAUGUGUAAGGAGGAGCGGAACAUACUUCUCUUGCCGUCCCAAAGUCUGACAAUUUAUACAAAACCAUUCGUUAGUCGACACCAACAGAUUUUCUAAAAGAAAAUAACUCUAUGUAAAUUUCGUCAUAUUAUAGGCAUUAAUUGGGGCAUGAGAUAAUCCACCAAAUUACCAGGUUCCAUGUCGCGACGAAAAUAUCCAUAAUUAUGUGAGUACAUAUAGAACCCCAUCUGGUACUGAUGACUAUAUAAACUACAGUCGGAGCAUCUUACCUGCAACUUUUUACUUCUGUUAAUUCAGAUCAAAGCUUCAAUAUGGGCAAUGACAAUGGUUAAUCUACAACAAUAACAAAAUUGAUUCAUACUUGUAUGCUUAAACAAAGUGAUACUGCAUAUGUGAAUUUGGGAUAGCAAUAUAUAAGCUGAGAUGGCGUAUGUGCAGUACAUAAUGUCUAUACCCGAACACGCUGGAGCAUCAAAGGGGUUUGAUCGUCCUAGAACUGCACGACUUUAGCCGCGAACAGUCAGAUUCAUUUGAUCUUGUGGGUCCUGUCCACGGCCGUGGAAUCGACAUGAACAAAAGCACGUAGCCUUACGGGAGGAUAGGUAAGGGAGAUGGGACGGCUUUGGCGGAAUCGACAUGAACCAAAACAGCUGGCCAUACUAUGGUGCGAUCCGGAUCUUGGUGGUGUGGUGACCUGACGUCUUUCAUUGGAGGUCACGGGCAGCAGCGAGACGGAGGGAGGGAGAGCAAGACUGCAGCAGGCGUCACCACUAUAGACACAGGUUGACCUAGUCGGGGCAACCGGAGGCAGCUGGACCAGCGAUCAUGCCGGAGGAGCUCCUUGAUGCAGAGAUCAGUUCCCCGUCGCUGCACCCUGUUGUAGACAGGGGAAACGACAUGUAGUCUCAACAACCAUAUCUAUAUAGAUGCCUCUAGGACUUCAAAUCAGAGAUCUAGCUUGUGCUCCAUAGAUCUCAACAAAAGAGUUAUCUACAUUUUGAGGCUUAAGUGGAAAGAUUUGUAUAAUUACACUAGCUAGCUAGUGUUUCCUUUUUUUUCUAUUCCCUCCUUGUACAUAUGUAUCACAAAGAAAAUAAAAAUAAAUUAACAUAUGUAGUACAAGACUAUUGUCGCUCGUAGAAAACUUCCCUUUGUAAUUCAACCACGCUAAGUACCACUAAGAUUUCCCCUCUCUUUAUAUAAUUAUGAUUUCCCCUCUCUUUUUGUAAUAAUGAAAAUCUAGUUCUGGUGGAUUCUUUGUAUUUUGAAAGUGACAACCGCAAAACAAUUAGUGAUUUCUACCAGUCAUUGAGCGCCGCAAAAUCACCCGUUAGUGAUAGCAAACCUGCAUUUGAUGAGUAUUAAGACGGGUUGACGAUGUGUUACCUACCCGUUCGUCAUGGAUGGAGUGUCGGUUACACAGGCCACUCUCUAGUAGUGCAUGAUAUUAUGACAUCCAGUCUAAGCCAGGUUUAUAAUAAGUGUGAUAUGAGUUUAAUAUUUGAAGUGAUUUUAUAUGUUGGCACCCUGGGUGUAUGUCUUCUUAAGUACGAUGUGCAUCUAGUCUAAACAUUAUCUCUCCAAGCUUGGUGUUAUGUUGAAUAUGAAGGUCAUGUUGCAUCAUAAAAAAUUAAUACUUGAUCAUUAAAAUUGUGACAUGUGAAAGUCCGAGAUUAGGUGUUUCUUUUUUAUGUUCUUAGCCAUAUACAUGUUGUUUUAACUAAUGACAAUAUAUCUUGUCACCAUUACUAUUCUUAGAUUAGUUAUUUACCAAAGCUCAUGCAUACCAUCCACCAAAAAGAAUUGUGUUUAUGGUAAGUUAUAUGUGAGUUCUAGAUUUAGGUUGUUCUUCUACAAAAGUGGCUACAUGUGUUGAUUAACUGAUGUCUUCUAUGAGAUGGUCGUUAUGUCCUUGUAAGUUUGUUGUAUUGCGAUGAUUAAUGGCAUACUUUAAAAUUAAGCCAAUUUACAAUAUCUUCAUGGAGAGCUCUAGAUCCACGGUACUUUUCAAUGUUGUUAAUGGGGCAUAUGUGGUAUCAAUGGAUCACAUGUGGCCACCAUCUCUUCACAUGUCUAAUAUGGCUCUAAUUUCUUGAUAAGGCAUAUUCACGUCUAUUAAGAAAACCUUGAUUUCUCAUAUUCAUUAAUUCAUAUAUGAGACAUAGUUGUUGUUCUUGGUAGUGUUAUGCAACCAGAAAAAGUAAUGGAUUCUAGUCUCUUCAGUUGAAGUUUGGACUUGUGCUAUCUUUUAAUUUAAUUGUUUAAUGAGCAUGGCUUCUAUUUUUAGUUGACAAGCUAAUGUUUGCCUCACAAUAUUCUAAGAGGUGCAUUGUGGUAAAUACAUGUUCCACUUCCAUCAUUCCUCAGAUGACAAUGAUCUACAACAACAAAAUUGUAGGUACUGAUGAAAAAACAUCAUGGACCAAGACCUGGAACACUGAGCAUGCAUAUUUUUCCCAAACAUCCUAAUUAAGAUAGUAGUCCAAAGGAUAAUGAAUUUGGAAAUAAAUAUAUUUUAUUUCAAUAUAGCUCUUACAUGGAAGCGCUAACUAGCAUCUACAAAAGCUCUCCAUAGUCUGUAAGAAUAUCAAUAUCUUGUCCAGUGGAAGAGGGCGGCACAUCAACCCAUCCACCAUUUACCAUGGAAGACUGUCCUAGAUCCGUACCGCUAGAGCCUAAGUAAGCAUCCAUCCCUGGGAAACUAUUGUAGUACGACUGAUCUGAUAGAGGAAAACCCCAUUGUUCAGUGUUAAAUGGGUCAUCAAUAGAAAAGGCAUUGCCACUCGAGUACCCCAAUAGUGGAGAGGCCUCCAAAUUCUGCCCGGAUGUUGAGUCAUGGUUUGCGUCAUUUUGUUGUGGUUGAACUACGUUGCAAGUACUUUUAUAGUUCUGAACAUGCAACUCCUCUGGUGGAGUUUGCUCAUGUACCUGAUUUGUUAUGGGUUGGACAUGGGAAGCCAAGGGUGGAGCUAAAGAUGGUGGUGCAGAAUGGAACAUUGGUACCUGCAUAGAAAAAGUGGUCCCAAAGUUUGUUCUGGUUGUGAUGGUGGUGGAUCUAAAGGUAGCUGGAGUUGUGAGAGAUUGUGAGGCCAUGGUGACUGCAUAAGUGAAUGAGUAGUACUCAAAUGAUCCGCCGGCAGAACACUUGGUAGUUGUAGAUCUUGUGCCACACAUGUGCCACCGGUCUUGUCUUCACGACCAUGCAAUGGAGGUAGCCGGAAUCUAAUAUCUUUUUGGACCCGAGAGAGCUCACUGAAGAGCUUGUUCAGAUCUUCAAGACUGAGAUCUUUUUCCUUCGUGAAGAUAAGAUUUGCCACCAUACCUGGAUUCUCUUUUUGUAUAUUUUUCAUACGAAGGAUGGAAAGUUGGUUUUUGUCUUCCUCGGUCAUGUUCUCCAUGUCCAACCGAGCCACCUCGUUCUGUAGGCUUCCAAUCCUAGCAGUGGUUGCCUCGUCGGCAGAGGGAACUACUGGUGGAGCUCCAAAUAGGAAAUCAUCAACAAUGGGAUCGGCCAAUGGCGUCCCAAAUGAGUGCAUCUUUCCAUUGUUUGUUUCUAGGAUGACCGCAACCCUAGCCCUAGUGAGGGCAGAGAUGUCAGUCGCCCUCUUGAACAAACCGGAACGUCGCUUGUAGAAGGUGAGAUCACGGUCUUUGUCAUUGUGGAUGUAUGCCACACCUGACCGCCGCUCUUUCCUCGGCAUACUAAUGUGGACAAAGAGGAAGAAACUAACUACUACAAAUAGGAAGCACAAGGAUCUACAGAAAACUAGAGAUUUAGGGGUAUUGUUGGCUAACCACAUAUUGGUGUAGGAUAUGAGAAGAUGUACUCCCUUAUAUAGAAUUAAAAGGGUUGUAUGGUAGUGCUAUUUGACUAUACAAAGACCAUGUAAAUCUUUAGUAAAAAUUAACAUACAUAACUCAUAAAAGGUGCUAUUUAUGGAUACUAUUAACUAUCAUCCAAAUAUACAUAUGUGAGUGCAUCCACAUCCUUCUUUGCAACCACUGAUAUGUAUUUCUUCUGAUGUAAGUAUUAACACUUCUAAAAAUAGAAAUAUUAAAUUAUUGCCAUUUGACCAUAUCCAUAUCCUUAUCUAGAAGUAUUAAUGGGAGUUAAACCCAACUAAGUUUUACUCUAAUAUACAAAAAUAAUUGUGGUCAAAUUUAUUUGGUUGUUAAUUGCGUCCAAAUCCUUUGUUGAUCACAUUGAUUAAUUACAUCCUAAUGUAUCAGUGAUCAUAUUGAUUACAUCCAUAUCCUGUACUAGGAACUACCUAAUCUAGAAGUGGUCGUCCUUUAAUCCAUAAUAUCCAAGUAUAACAUGGUCCUUGCUUUGGGGCUUAACUUAAAAAUUGAGAUUCCAACUAGGAAAGAUACACUAAGAGCAACUAGAAAAUACUAGGACAUUUGGUAAGUCAUGGUAUAACACAUAAGUUACUCGGAGCAUCGACCUGCCUCGUUGGUAAGCCCAGUUCCCGCGGAAGAUGUGUGUUUAUCGGUUACACAUGUAUAUCUUGGGCCCUAACUUUUUAUGGCCCAUAAAAUAAUAUGUGUAAGGCUUUUUCUGGAAGGAUCCAACACAACCUAAUCUAUUCUGUAUUAAAAGUAAUUGACGGGCUCACCAGAAAAAGAUAAAAAUGCUAGAAAAUAACUCAAAAUAGAAACAACUAACUAUCUAUCUAUUAUAUAUUAAAAGCAAUUGCUAGGCUCACCAGAAAAAGGAUAAAAAUGCUAGAAGAUCUCUCAAAAAUCAAAAACAUCCGACUGUCUAUUUAAUAGACUAAUAUUGUAUAACCAUUAGACUAGUUUUAAGUGAAAUAAUUACCCACCAUUGCCAUUAUAACAAAAAGGUAUUUCGUCUAACUUAUUAGGACGUGGGCUGAUGCCAUAUUAUAAUGAAAAAAUGUUAUGUUCCCAUAGUACAAAAAGGACUUCUCACACAUGAACACAGUGGCAUCAAUGUUCAUGUAAAUAAUCUUUAAUUGUGAUUAAUUCCCCCUUGGUAGAGUACCUGAAAAAGCCUCCAGAUUGGAUCUCCCCGGAGCAGAGAGGUGGGCGGCGCAAAAAUCAUCUGUUAAUAUUUCUGAGGUUUUUGGGAGUAUAUAAAGCCAGCGGAAGAAAGAUGCGAUGGAGGCAACCUCCUGUGGCAUGUGGCCUAGGGGGGACCAGGUGGGUCUAGGUCCCUCCGGCUUCAUUUCUUCAAAAAACUUAGUUUUUUUCUAGUUUUUUGGUCCCUAAAAGUUGAUUUUUUUUUUAGAAAAUUCAAAAAAACAACAACUGGCACUUUGCACCGAAUUAAUAGGUUAAAAAUGGUGACAGAAGCGAGGUUCUUCCUACCAAUUAGUAAUGGGCGGCUCCCAUUACGUAGAGCUAAAAUGGUGACAAGCACGAAUAAAUCGUUAUAUUUCUCCAAGGCUCAUUAAUAAUGCAUGGUACUAUUCGGUUGGAUAGCCACACAGAAGUAAUGUACUCCUUUUCAAUUUUGAGGGGAUGACUCUUGUCCUGUAUCCAUAUGUCUGGUGACUAGCACGAAUAAAUUGGUGUCUCUCUCUACAACAAAUGAUUGAGAGUACUAUUCGGCCAGACCAGCAGACAUAAGCAAGGUACCCCCUAGUUCCCUGCCGAUUCAAGGCGGAUGGCUGCUGGUAAUAUGUGCAUUAAUCCAAACUGAAAUGGUGACUAGCAUGAAUAAAUCGAUGUCUUUAUUUUUGGCUCUUCAAUACUUCCACUUUUCGAGUAGGUUGUCCGAAAACAUGAGGUGGCCAGCUCCUGAUAUGGAGCCGCAUGCACAUUAAUCCAUGCUAAAAUGGUGACUUGCACAAAUAUAUCGAUCUUUUUCUCUAGGGCUCAUUAACACUUGAUGGUGUAGUUUGGUUGGACAACUAGAUAGAAAGCAAGGUGUUCCAUGAUUUCUUGUCCAUAUAGGGUGGAUGGCUCCAUGCACGACCUAUCACACACUAAUCCGGGCUCGUCUAACACGAAUAAAUGGAUGUCUUUCUAUAUGGAUCAUUAAUACUUGAUGGCGCUCUUUGGUUAGGCGGUGUACAAAAGCGAGGUACCCCCUUCUGAUUUCGGGUGGUUGUGGGGCCACUAGACGGGCACAAGCAAGAUACUCCCUGUCAUUGGGAGGUAUAUUUUAAAUAUUAUUUUUAUUACAUAAAUUUCAAAAAUAUAACCCUAAAAUAUAAUAUUUCACCAGUAGUACUUCGACAUGUCGGUGCCAACAAUGACAGAUAUCGUUGGCACUACCAAUGAUACAUCUGUUGUCAUUUUGAGUCACAUGGGCCAUCAUCGGUGCAUCUUGCAUCAGCCCUCCCGCAUGACACACUCGUACAGAGCUAGCUAUGUUAGAGCAUAUACAAUGGUGCUAUCUUCACAAUGUCACCUAAGAUCACUGCUGAGUUAGAAAAGGGCGAAUGGAGGAAAAAAACGCUUGCCAUCUCUUACCUAAGAGACGGUCUCUCAGUAAAGAAGAUAAGACAAUUCCAUCCAUUGUACUAGAUGUCAUCUCUUAGCUACAUAUUUUCAGUUUAGUUUUAACCUUCGCAUUAAUUUAAGAGCAUGUAAACCUUGCUUGUUAGGCUAAGAGGUAAUCCAUUGUAUACUAUGUUUUUAAGCUUCUCCAAAUGACAUACAUAGCAUACGAGAAUAUUGUAACGAAUAACUAUUUGUGUACAACGUGCUCAGGGUAUUAUGAAGAUAUAAAGCAUGUGCUAUUUGAAUGUAAUAUUGCAAGGGAGGUCUGGAACAAUCUUGGUCUAUUGGAACUCACCGAAGAGGCAUGCAUGCUGGACCAUUCAGGUAGUGUUUAUUUCACAAAUUCACGAACGUUUUUUAAUUUGCUAAUAUUACUUUUUGAAAGCAUGAUUUUUUUAGUUUGAGAAAAUGUAAAAUUUCAUGAAUUAUUUUUAAUAGGGGAAUAUUUAUAACUUGAUGAGCAUUUUAAAAUAUCCUAAACAUUUAUUUUAAAUACAGAAUAUUUUUUAUAAAGUUGCAAACAUAUUUAAAAUCCAUGAAUUAUUUUUGAAACUUGGAAGCAUUUAUUAAAAUUCUUGAAAAUAUGGUGAAAAUGAGUAAAGUUUGUCAGCAUUUGUAGGUGAACUUUUAGGUAGCUUUCUACUCCCUCCGUUAAAUAAUAUAUAAUCACCGUGUUUUUGACAAAAAUGUCCUAUGCUAUGGGACAGAGGAAAAAGUAAACAGCUCAAAAAUAGAUCCGUACAACCGAAAAAAGCCCAGCGAGAUAUAACCCAAGCUCGCCUCUGAGCCCACCUUAGUGGGUGGACCCAAUGGUCUAGAUUUGGAAAGGUUGUACUGAGUGGCACAGACUUGUUUUAGAACCAAUUUCUCAAAAACAAACUUGUUAUACAAGCUUCCGAGUGAUUUUUUCCUUUUUUUGGUGUUUUUUUGUAUACUUCAUUUUUACUUCCUGCAUGUUUUCUCUAUUGGUUUUCAUCACUCUAUUUAUUGAAUUUUAUGUUUUUCAUUCCUUUCCUUUUUUUGCAUUUUUUAAAUACAUGUUGACAAAUUUCAUAUACAUGUUGAACAUAUUUGGAUACAUGUUAAACAUUUUCCAAAUACAAUUUGAAUUUUUUUUUAAAUAUACAUUGAACGUUUGACAAAUGUACAUUAAACAUCUUCAGAAUACAAUGUGAAAUUUUCUUAAACACACAAUGACCAUUUUUCAUAAAUGCCAUGAAUAUCAUUUUUAGUCGUGCAAACAGUUUUAAAGUGCUAUUGAAAUUUCUUCAAAUUCAUGAACCUUUUUGAAUGGUAUGAAACAUUUUCUAAAUAUUACACAAACAAAUUUUAACAUUAUAUGAAUUGUUUUUUAAAAUGCCGCGAACUUAUGUUUAAACACAUGAACAUCUUUUAAAUAUGAUAAUCAUUUUUUGAAUAAUAUGAGUGUUUUCUACAAACUAUGCCAAUAAUCUUUUACAUUACAUGAACAUCUGUUAACGCUGAUCAAUUUAGGGAUGACUAUUCGUCACCCUGGAUGAGAAAUANNNNNNNNNNUUAACAUCAAUAGACCAUACUUUUACGUUCCAUAAAUUUUGUUUUAUUACAUAUGUAAAAGGAGAAAGUAAGAAAAUAUAAUCACUGUAAAAAAUAUUUUAUGUUACGUAAAAUUACAAAAGCUAAAACACAUUUUAAAAUAUACAUAAAAUGCAAAUUUUCUUGUCUUAUAACCUAUAUUUUUGUUUACUUAUACCAAAUUUAAUGUAGUGAAUUAAUAUGAAUAUAACUAUUUGUAUUUCAAAUGCAAUUUAUUUAUAAAACGAUUGUAAGAUUACCUCAGAUAAAUAGUAACUUAUUUGUGUGAUCAAACACAAAAUAAUGAAAAAGAAGACUCCCUACUGGCAGAGCCAUUAUGUGAUCCCUUGAGGCAAGGCGAGCUACUAUCUCACUAAAAGCUAGACAUAGUGACACCCGUAAUGCAUCACAAUCACAUUGGAUAAGAACCAGGCAAAGUGGGCCGGCUCACUAUGUGCGUGAGGGUUUGCUCAACUACAGCAGGCAGCGGGCUGGUCCACGUUGUUGUCCCCCUAAAAAAGUACAUGAUGCUGACUAAAUAAAAUACUUUUUGUGGCCUUAAAAAACAAAUGGCGAACCGGGAGUCCAAUUGAUGAAAUAUUGAACCAACAACUUCACUGGUUCAGUCACUGGUCCGGUUUAUAAAACUAGAGAAAAGUAUACUUUUCGUCACUUAAUUUUUGGUGGAGUCUAGAUUUGAUCCCUCAGCUUCAAAACCGAACAACUUGCACCCCCAACUAUAGAAACCGGACAAGGUUCGUCCCUGGUCUUGGUUUUGACCGGUUUGGUGCUGACUCACCCUGGUUUUGACCGAUCUCACUCAAAUUCGCGUAAUUUUUUUAUAUCCGUGUACUUUUUGAAAUUCGAAUACACUUUCAAAAUCCGCAUAGUUUUUUCAAGGUCGCAUAUUGUUUUUGAGAAAUAAACAUACUUUUUUCAAAUCGGUGCACUAUUUUGAAAUUUUCGUACCUUUUCCAAAUCCGUGAUAUUUUAACAUUUGUGUAGUUUUUUCAAAUCCACGUAUUUUUCCCAAGUUUGUGUAAUUUUAUCAAAUCCAUGAACUGUUUUUGAAGUUCACGUACUUAUUUCAAAUCCGCAUACUUUUGAAAGUUCGCGUUUUUUUUGAAACUGUGUUCCUUUUCUAGUCCAUGAACUUUGUUUGAAAUUCAUGUAUUGUUUCAAGUUGACAUAAUUUUUCAAAUCCACAUAUUUUUGUGUAAAAAAUCCUAAGCCGCUUACUUUUUCUCAAGUUCGCAUAAAUUUUUGAGAUUCAUGAACUCUUUCCAAAAUAUGUACACGAAUAUCAACAAGUACGUAAAUUUUACAGGAAUUUGAAAAAACUACGUGGACUUUAAAAAAGUUCACAGAUUUGAAAAAGUACACGGAUUUGAAAGCAUUACUCGGACUUGGAAAAAGUACGCGAGUUUGAGUCGGCAUGGUCAAAACCGGGGUGGGACAGCAUCAAACCGAUCAAAACCGUGACCAGGGACGAAUCUUGUUUGGUUUUAGAAGUUAAGGGGGCAAGUUAUCCGGUUUUGAAAUUGAGAGACCAAAUCUAGACUCCGUCAAAAAUUGAGGAAGAAAAAGUAUACUUUUCUCUUAAAACUAUGGUAGAAAUGGUUGACAAGCCCUACGGACACCAACAAACUAUGUGGUAUCAAUUUAUAUCUGGCUGGAUGGAAACAAAUCAUCUUAUUUCCAGUUCCUUUGGAAAGGUGCCAAACGGUAAAAAUUCCCAACGUAAACACCGCUGCCCAACGGUCGACCAAGCUCCGUCCCAUUCCGUUAUAGUAGUCGGUAGCAGUACUAUCAUCUCCUUCCUCCUGUGACUCCAUCCCCAUCAAUCCCCUUCCCCUCCUGCCGCUGCAUCGGAGGUCCCGACGGAAGUGCCAUGGCGGUCGUCGACGAGCCCAUGAAAGCAUGUCCCCUCUUUUUUUGACAGGUUAAACAGGAGAGCUUUAUUCAUAUGAAAGCAAAUUUGGGGCAGUCACCAAUAGACUAGUCACCAAAAAGCUAGGAGUCUCCUCAAGCCAGCUAUCGAUCACAUUCAAAGUGCAAGCACACUUUGCACAAAGAUGCGCCGAAAUGUUCGCUGACCUGUUUACAUGCUGAAUAUCGAACAAAGUAAAAUUAUUACAUAGCUCUCCUAUCUCUAACAAUAAAGGAGCCACAAUUGAACAAGAAUUGUGGCGAGUGUUCCAUAGCGUCACCAUCUCCAAGCAAUCAGUUUUCAUUACCAUGUGCGAGAAUCCUCAAAGAGAAGCGAAACGAACUCCAUUUCGUAGUGAUAAACCCUCCAUAAUCAAGGGAUCAGAGAUACCCAAGUAUGGUUUACACCAUGCUCCCAGGAGCGCUGAAGAGGAUCGAGCCACCCCUCCUGCACCACCCCUGCCAUCUGCUAAGUUUAAAGCACCGUCCGUAGUAAUCUUGACAACACCCUCAUCAGGUGGUCUUCAGCCGAGUCCAGGCAGAAUCAUUGCAUGUCGUCAUGGUAGAUGAAGGAGGGCGAUCGCCUCCUUGGUGGCCCUGAUCGUAGUCGUAGGAUUCCUCCCCUCUUCACCGUGCUUGAUCCGAUUCCGGGAGUGCCAUAUAGACCACAUUAUCGUGGUGAUCUUGGCGCGGUCAUCGUCUGUAAACCGAGGAUCACAUGUGAUAUCCCGCGCCCAUGAGUCUGGAUGAACACGAGGCAAUCUGAGGCCAAACCAAGCACAUGCUUCUUCCCAGAAGCAUUUUGCAUGUGUACAAUGUAUGAGUGUAUGCUCCAGAUUUUCGUCCAUAGCCAAACAAACUUUGCAUCGACGAAUCUCUGCAAUAUGUUGAUAGUUGAGAGUGACUUCAUCUGGGAGAAUUCCACGAAGAACCCUCCACCAGAACACACUAACCUUUGGAAUGACAUUCAAUUUUCAUAGGGAUUUCCACAACUAUGUAUCAUCCUCUGAGGUUCCGGUAGCCGUCCCUUCCUCUAGAUCAACACGCUCUUUCUGAGUCACGAGAGCACGGUACGCCGUCUUCACAGUAUAGUUCCCCGAUCUUUCGAAUGCCCAUGCAAGAAAAUCAUCUCCUCCUCCUUGCCGAAUAGGGAUGUUCAAUAUUGCUUCAGCAUCAGGAGCAAUGGAAGUAUGCCGAACAAGCUCUUGUCUCCACGACCAGUUAGAUGGAUCUAUUAGCUCGGACACACGCUCAAUGGUCGUAUAUUGUGGCCGAAAAAUAGGACACAUAGAUAUGGUACCCCGCCAAGUGGCCGACGCCGACUUGGGUAUGGUAGCGUGCAUGAAGUCAGUGUCGGGGAAGUAGCGGCCCUUCAAAGCAUGUCCCCUCUCCAACUCUUUUCAUUCAUUCGUUUAUUUAUGCAUACGUAUCUGUACAUCUACUCCUAUUGAUGUACAUGCGCCGGUCCGUGUGGUUGUUUUCAAUUUUCUGAUUGAUGGAUCGAACAUCACCUUAUGGUAGGUUUCUUGAGAACAUCUCUGUAACUGUAUGUGUGUACGAUCGUUGCCUGAACCAUUGGUUUAUUGGACUCGUUUUUACUUGUCCUGUUGGCAACGCGUUCCAUGUACUGACUAGGAACUACCACCUUAUCGCUAAGAGCAUCUUUAGCAUACCCCGCAUCCCGCCGACCCGCAUUUUCCGUUUGCAGUUCACAGAAAAGCUGUUUUGCAGUCCGCAGCAAAAAGCUGCAGAGGCAGACCCCGCAAAGCCGACCCACAUCCUGUUUUAUGGGUUGGAUUUGCGGGGUCUGUCUCUGCGGCCGUCCUCCACCCAGCCCGCAAAAUAUAAAUUUGCACCUCAAUUUGCAUUUCUUUGCAUUUUCAACCACAUUGGAUACAUAGAACAUCACCAAAUCUUUGCUAGAAAAGCAAGACCAAAAAAAUAAGAACCACAAGUAUGCAUUUUAGAAGAUUUCCAACUUCCAUAACUGCUCCUACUAGUUGUAGCAAUAUCUUCUCCAUGAUCUGCGAAUCCUUGAUCUUGCAUUCUUCGUUAUUCUUCUUUGGUUCUAAAGAAGUAGAUGUUGCGUCCUCUCUAGUUGCACAUGCAUGCGCUUCAUUACCUUCGAUUGUACUAAGGAGUGCACGAACGUCUAUCAGUUUUCUUUAAUGUAUUCGCCUUCCCAAAACCAAAAUGAGCAUCCAUCUUCCUACACGCAUGAUGAUGUUCGAAAUGAGCAAACAUAAUUAGCUAUCAAAAUGAGCCGAAUGUAAAACAACACGUACCCCGUCGUUUUCGCAUUUGAAGAACACGUAUCCGGGGUGCUUCGGCGUGCCCGAAGUCAGCCUCGGCACUGUCCGCGGGCAGUUGUCGCACUGUAUGAGCGGCAUCAGCGAGUCACAGAUCCUCUGCGCGAGGGCUGAGCCCGGCGGCCGGCCGGCCGAAUCCAUGCGGGCAAACUGUCAGCGGCGGCGAGCGGACGAACCCGCACCUGCAUGCGGCGAUGAGCCUUUGCCGGGGCUGCGCGAGGUGCUCCCCGACCAUUCCAUAGCUUGGCGCAGCCGCCAGCGGCUGGGAAAGCCAAACCCGGCCGCCCGCGAUGAAGCGCCGCAGAUCCGCAAGGUCCCAGCCCGCCGACGCAGGAUGAGAGGGAGGGGCGGCGGAGGGCAACCUCGUUCGUGUGGAGGCCUUUCGGCGUGCUCCGGCCGGCCACUUUCGCCGGAAUCUUGGGCGGCAGCGGGGCAAGGAGGAGAGGGGAGGUGGUUUGGUGGGGAAAAGCGCGGGCUGAAAUGCCCCCCCCCCACCAACCGCUCCCGCUAUAUGCAGGGCACCGAUGGGCCGGGGGGACCCACAAAUACGUGGGUUGAGGCCGAGUUUUUGCCGCGCCCCUCAAAUUUUUUUGCGGGCCGGCCGCGUUUGCUGUGUCUGUUCAGGCGGAAUUUUCAUCGCCGGCCCGCAUUUUUGCGGUUAUUUUAUGGGUCGGGACCUUUUGCAGGGUCCGCUAGAGUUGCUCUAAUACAUGAGAUUCGGUGACAAUAUGAAUUGUUGAUCUGAUUGAUCUUUACUCGUGUGCUGCUAGAGUUGCUCUUAUACAUGAGAUUCGGUGACAAUAUGAAUUGUUGAUCUGUUGAUCUUUACUCGUGUGACGAUUACUCUGUCGCAUUAUUUCCAGAGAGAAGGAGGUGAUUCUCCGCAGCCUGUCAAGACCGAGAUCGGGGAGAAGACGUCAUCGACGCUUCAACAUAAAAAAAGUCUCGCUUUGCUCGGAAACAAUGAUAAUGAUUUUGAACCACUGGUGAGAAACUUCAUGGAAUCUCUCAUUGCUGCAUUUUAGGCACUUCAUUCUGCCUUUUCCAAGCUAGCUUCAGUGUUCAGAGUACCUUGUCGAACUGCCUGACAAAUUACAGACAGUUUGCUUACGUUUCUUUUUUGUCCUAGUGCUCAUUGGUAUUGUAGCGUCAACUAAAUAUUAUUGCAAUUUAUUAUGCAAGGAUUUCUUGAGGUUUUUUCAUGCUAUUUUGUUUUUCCAGUUAACUUUGGUCGAUUUUAUUUAUUUAUGAGAGUAACUUUUAGCGAGAAGUGAUUCCUGCACACAGAAAAAGAGAAGGAGAUUGUCGAUUCUACAGAAGAAUAACAAAGAACAAAAUAUCAAUACCGUUUUUUCUGAUUGCUAGCGCUGAUGUCUGUUCGUCUGGUUGUUUCCUAAGAUAUUCAUUUUUGUUGUUCUCUCUUUUUGGAUAGUAUAAAGUUUGCUGAAACUCCCUGUUGUGCUUUUUAAAUUAAGCGAGUAGACGCAGGACGUGUGUACUGCAUGCCAGAUUGUCUAUUUUUGUCUGAGUCAGCAUUGCGCGAUCCGUCUUUGGCAUGUCGUUGCGAGAGGUUUUGUUUCUGUCAUUGUCGAACUGACUAGUAACUACUAGUGCUACUUAUUUCUACAUCACUAGUUAAAAUUUAGUAAUAAAAAUUAUUGUGCAAUUGAGGUUUAUGGUCAUAACAAUGAGUACUCUGACUUUGUUUCCUAACUAAUUUUCCAGAGGAAGGGAUGGACACCAGUGAGUUCCCUCGAGUCUGCCAAGAUCAAGAUGGGGGAGAAGACGGCGUUUUGGCAUCCAAAGCUCACUUUGGUCAACAACGGCGGUUUGGAGAAUGAGCAAGUAAAGCCUCCAGGCUCUCGGUAUGAAGUGGUAGUCCAAAGGACUAUCACUAUUACCUUUAAAGUAAGGAAAUUUUUGGUCAUUCUCAUAAAAGGACGUUCAAUACCUCAGAUUAUCUGUAAUCUCUUGCAGCAUAUGCAAACAGAUAUUGAAUUUGUUGCUUUGUUUUGGUUGAUUACAAUAUUGUCAGAGGAAGAGACGGGGUCCAGCCAAGAGUAAGAUUCAUGACCCAAUGUUUUUUUUUGAAAGAAAAUAUGUACUUUAUUAAUUGGAAAUAAUGAUUACAUCGUCUAUAAGAAGAGGUACAAUAUUCUCCAUAGGCUCCUCAAAUCAAUCUCUAGUUACAGAAACUUUCGCUAGCCUUGCAAGUUCAUGAGCAACCUUAGUAGCUACCCUAUUAUAAUGUUCAAAUCUAGUCAACGGAAAAUCACAUGCCAUGAAGUAGCAAUCCUCGAAGACUGCCGCCGCAACUCCCGUUGAUUGUCCUCCAUUUCUCAUUAUGUCAAUGACUUCCAUAUUAUCAGAGUUAAUAAUAAGACGAUUGCAUCCCGCCUUUUGUGCAAGAAUUAAACUAAACCUCAGAGCCAUCGCUUCUGCUGUUAGUACAUCAGCACACCAAUCGAUCUUCCAAUUUCCACCAACAAUGAAUUUUCCUUUCUCAUCUCUGAGUGCAGCUAAAUCUUCCUCAGGGAAAUAUUUAGCUCUCAAGAUGGUUGCACAUAAAGAUUCAGGAUUAUCAAGAAGACGCCACGCUUGUUUAGCUAAUAGCACCAGGUUGAAAUAGUGUAUAUCUCGGAAGCCCAUACCUCCUUGAUCUUUUGGAACACGCAUUUUCUACCAUGCAAUCCAAUGCAUCCUCUUCUGAUUGUCCUCGUCACCCCACCAAAAUUGCGACAUCGCGUCAAUAAUUCCUUUGCAAAAAAAAUUAGGAAUUUUAAAGACGGACAUGGCAUAGGUGGGGAUGGCUUGUACAACAGAUUUGAGCAAAAUUUCCUUCCUAGAGGGUAACAAUUUUUCCUUCCAUCCACUAAUUUUCAUAAUAAUUCGGUCGAUUAGGAACUGGAAACAAUCACUUUUGUCCAUGCCCACAUUUGCCGGCAAACCCAGGUAUUUGUCAUUGAGGGCUUCAGUCAUAAUAUUUAGAAUUGUACAUAUUUGUGCUUUGUCUUCCAUUUUAGUAUUGGGACUAAAGAAUAUACUGGAUUUUUCAACACUAACCAUUUGCCCUGAGGCGGCACAAUACGAAUCCAAGAGUGAUUUCAACGCCUCCACACUCAUGGGAUUGGCUCGCAUAAGGAUCAAAGAGUCAUCAGCAAAGAGGAGAUUAGAAAUUGAUGGGGCAUCUCUGCAAACCUUUAUACCUAAAAUGUUUCCAUUCUCCUCCGCAGUAGCUAAAAGGGCGGUCAUCUAAGAAAACCUUGAUUUUUCACAUUCAUUAAUUCAUAUAUGAGAUGCAGUUGUUGUUCUUGGUAGUGUUAUGCAACCAGAAAAAGUAAUGGAUUCUAGUCUCUUGAGUUGAAGUUUGGACUUGUGCUAUCUUUUAAUUUAAUUAUUUAAUGAGCAUGGCUUCUAUUUUUAGUUGACACGCUAAUGUUUGCCUCACAAUAUUCUAAGAGGUGCAUUGUUGUAAAUACAUGUUCCACUUCCUUCAUUCUUAAGAUGACAAUGAUCUAAACAACAACGACAAAAUUGUAGGUACUAAUGAAAAAACAUCAUGGAGACAUGGACCAAGACCUGGAACACUGAGCAUACAUAUUUUUCCCAAAGAUCCUAAUUAAGAUAGUAGUCCAAAGGAUAAUGAAUUUGGAAAUAAAUAUAUUUUUAUUUCAGUAUAGCUCUUACAUGGAAGCGCUAACUAGCAUCUACAACAAAUCUCCAUAGUCUGUAAGAAUAUCAAUAUCUUGUCCAGUGGAAGAGGGCGGCACAUCAACCCAUCCACCAUUUACCAUGGAAGACUGCCCUAGAUCCGUACCGCUAGAGCCUGAGGAAGCAUCCAUCCAUAGGAAACUAUUGUAGCAUGACUGAUCUGAUAGAGCAUAACCCCAUUGUUCAGUGUUAAAUGGGUCAUCAAUAGAAAAAGCAUUGCCAGUCGAGUACCCCAAUAGUGGAGAGUCCUCCAAAUUCUGCCCAGAUGUUGAGUCAUGAUUUGCAUCAUUUUGUUGCGGUUGCACUAUGUUGCAAGGACUUUCAUAGUUCUGAACAUGCAACUCUUCUGGUGGAGUUUGCUCAUGUAUCUGAUUUGGUAUGGGUUGGACAUGGGAAGCCAAGUGUGGAGCUAAAGACGGUGGUGCGGAAUGGAACAUUUGUGGUACCUGCAUAGGAAAAAGUGGUGCCGAAGUUUGUUCUGGUUGUGAUGGUAGUGGAUCGGAAGGUAGCUGGAGUUGUGAGAGAUUGUGAGCCCACGAUGACUGCAUAAGUAAAUGAGUAGUACCCAAAUGAUCUGCCGGCAGAACACUUGGUAGUUGCAGAUCUUGUGCCACACAUGUGCCACCGGUGUUGUCUUCACGACCAUGUAGUGGAGGUAUCCGGAAUCUAAUGUCUUUUUGGACCCGAGAGAGCUCACUGAAGAGCUUGUUCAGAUCUUCAAGACUGAGAUCAUGUUCCUUCGUGAAGAUGAGAUUUGCCACCAUACCUGGAUUCUCUUCUUGGAUAUUUUUCAUACGAAGGAUGGAAAGGUUGUUUUUGUCUUCCUCCGUCAUGUUCUCCAUGUCCAACUGAGCCACCUCGUUUUGUAGGCUUCCAAUCCUAGCAGUGGUUGCCUCGUCGGCAGAGGGAACUGCUGGUGGAGUUCCAAAUAGGAAAGCAUCAACAAUGGGAUCGGCCAAUGGCGUCCCAAAUGAGUGCAUCUUUCCAAUGUUUGUUUCUAGGACGACCGCAACCCUAGCCCUAGUGAGGGCAGAAAUGUCAGUCACCCUCUUGAACAAACCGGAACGUCGCUUGUAGAAGGUGAGAUCACGUUCUUUGUCAUUAUGGAUGUAUGCCAAACCUGACCGCCGCUCUUUCCUCGGCAUACUAAUGUGGACAAAGAGGAAGAAACUAACUACUACAAAUAGGAAGCACAAGGAUCUACAGAAAACUAGAGAUUUAGGAGCACUGUUGGCUAACCACAUAUUGGUGUAGGAUAUGAGAAGAUGUACUCCCCUUAUAUAGAAUUAAAAGGGUUGUAUGGCAGUGAUAUUUGACUAUACAAAGACCAUGUAAAUCUUUAGUAAAAAUUAACAUACAUAACUCACAAAAAGUGCUAUUUUAUGGAUACUAUUAACUAUCGUCCAAAUAUACAUAUGUGAGUGCAUCCACAUCCUUCUUUGCAACCACUGAUAUGUAUUUCUUCUGAUGUAAGUAUUCACAUCCAUAUAUAGAACUAUUAACACUUUUAAAAAUAGAAAUAUUAAAUGAUUCCCAUUUGACCACAUUCAUAUCCUUAUCUAGAAGUAUUAAUGGGAGUUAAACCCAACUAAGUUUUACUCUAAUAUACAAAAUAAUUGUGGUCAAAUUUAUUUGGUUGUUAAUUGCAUCCAAAUCCUUUGUUGAUCACAUUGAUUACAUACUAAUGUAUCCGUGAUCAUAUUGAUUACAUCCAUAUCCUGUACUAGGAACUACCUAAUCUAGAAGUGGUCGUCCUUUAAUCCAUAAUAUCCAAGUAUAACAUGGACCUUGCUUUGGUGCUUAACUUAGAAAUUGAGAUACCAACUAGGAAAGAUAUACUAAGAGCAACUAUAAAAUACUAGGACAUUUGGUAAGUCAUGGUAUAACACAUAUGUUACUCGGAGCAUCGACCUGCUUCCUUGGUAAGCCCAGUUCCCGCUCAAGAUGUGUUUUUAUUGGUUACACAUGUAUAUCUUGGGCCCUAGUUUUUUAUGGCCCAUAAAAUAAUAUGUGUAAGGCUUUUUCUGGAAGGAUCCAACACAACCAAAUCUAUUAUGUAUUAAAAGAAUUGACGGGCUCACCAGAAAAACAUAAAAAUGCUAGAAAAUAACUCAAAAAUAAAAACAACUAAUUGUCUAUCUAUUAUAUAUUAAAAGCAAUUGACGGGCUCGCCAGAAAAAAGAUAUAGAUGCUAGAAGAUCUCUCAAAAAUCAAAAACAUCUGACUGUCUAUUUAAUAGGCUAAUAUUUUAUAACCAUUAGAUUAGGUUUAAGUGAAAUAAUUACCCACCAUUGCCAUUAUAAGAAAAAAGUGUUCCAUCUAACUUAUUAGGAUGUGGGCUGAUGCCAUCUUAUUAGGACGUGGGCUGAUGACAUAAUAUAAUGGAAAAAACGUUAUGUUCCCAUAGUACCAAAAGGACUGCUCACACAUGAACACAGUGGCAGCAAUGUUCAUGUAAAUGAUCUUUGUGAUUAAUUCCCCCUUGGUAGAGUACCUGAAAAAGCCUCCAGGUUGGAUCUUCCCGGAGCAGAGAGGUGGGCGGCGCAAAAAUCAUCUGUUAAUAUUUCUAACGUUUUCGGGAGUAUAUAAAGGCAGCGGAAGAAAGAUGCGAUGGAGGCAACCUCUAUGGCGGCCAUGCUCCCCCUUGGAUGCUCUUGCCGACCUGUGGCAUGUGUCCUAGGAGGGGUGGGGGGUGGGUCUAGGUCCCUCCGGCUUCCUUUCUUCAUGAAACUUAGUGUUUUUUUCUAGUUUUUUGGUCCCUAAAAAGUUGAUUUUUUUCUUCUGAAAAUUCAAAAACACAACAACUAGCACUUUGCACUGAAUUAAUAGGUUAAUCAAGAAAAACUAUAAAAGUUGAUGCCAAUACUAUGCCAUUAUGAUAUAAGUAUAGCAUGAAACAAUAAAAAUUUCUUGAUACAUAUAGUACAUAUCAACUGGCAUGAAUAAAUUGAUGUUUUUCUAGGGUUUGUUAAUACUCGACAAUAUUGUUCUCCUAGAUAACCAGACACAAGGUACUCCUUGGUCCCUAUUGGUUCGAUGUCCAGGCUAAGAUUGUGACUAGCAUGAAUAAAUUGAUGGCUUUCUCUAUCGCUCACUAUUACUUGAUGGAACUUCAGCUGGGUAGCUGGACAGAAGCGAGGUUAUUCCUACCAAUUAGAAAUGGGCGACUCCCAUUCCGUAGCCAUCUGCACGUUACUACAAGCUAAAAUGGUGCCAAGCACGAAUAAAUCGUUAUAUUUCUCCAAGGCUCAUUAAUAAUGCAUGGUACUAUUCGGUUGGAUAGCCACACAGAAGUAAUGUACUCCUUUUCAAUUUGAGGGGAUGACUCUUGGCCUUUAUCCAUCUGUCUAGUCACUAGCACGAAUAAAUUGGUGUCUUUCUCUACAACAAAUAAUUGAUGGUACUAUUCAGCCAGACAACCAGUAAGAAGCAAGGUACUCCCUGGUCCCCUGCCGACUCAAGGUGGAUGGCUGCUGGUAAUAUAUGCAUUAAUCCAAACUGAAACGGUGACUAGCACGAAUAAAUCGAUGUCCUUCUUUUUGGCUCUUUAAUACUUCCACUUUUCGACUAGGUUGUCCGAAAACAUGAGGUGGGCACCUCCUGAUACGGAGACGCAUGCACAUUAAUCCAUGCUAAAAUGGUGACUUGCACAAAUAUAUCGAUGUCUUUCUCUAGGGCUCAUUAACACUUGAUGGUAUGGUUUGGUUGGACAACAGGACAAAAAGCAAGGUAUUCCAGGAUUUCUUGUCCAUAUAGGGUGGAUGGCUCCAGGCACGGCCAGUUACACAUUAAUCCGGGCUCGUCUAACACGAAUAAAUGGAUGUCUUUCUCUAUGGCUCAUUAAUACUUGAUGGCACUCUUUGGUUAGGCGGUGUACAAAAGCGAGGUACUCCCUUCUGAUUUCGGGUGGUUGUGGGGCCACUAGACGGACACAAGCAAGGUAUUGCCUGUCACUUGGGGGGAUAUUUUAAAUAUUGUUUUUGUUACAUAAAUUUCAAAAAUAUAACACUAAAAUAUAAUAUUGUACCAGUAGUACUCCGACAUGUCGGUGCCAACAAUGACAGGUAUCAUUGGCACUACCAAUGAUAUAUCUGUUAUGUUGUCAUUUUGAGUCACAUGGGCCAUCAUCAGUGCAUCCUGCAUCAGCCCUCCUGCAUGACACACUCGUACAGAGCUAGCUAUGUUAGAGCAUGUACAAUGGUGCUAUCUUCCAAUGUCACCUAAGAUCACUGCUGAGUUAGAAGAGAGCGAAUGGAGGGAAAAAAGGCUUGCCAUCUCUUACCUAAGAGAUGGUUUGUCAGUAAAGAAGAUAAGACAAUUCUAUCCAUUUUACUAGAUGUCAUCUCUUAGCUACAUAUUUUCUAGUUUAAUUUUAACCAACGCAUUAAUUUAAGAGCAUGUAAACUUUGCUUGUUAGGCUAAGAGCUAAUUCAUUGUAUCAUAUGUUUUUAAGCUUCUCCAAAUGACAUACAUUGCAUCAGCCCUCCCACAUGACACACUCGUACAGAGCUAGCUACCUUAGGUCGUCGUGUACAAUGAUGCUAUCUUCGCAAUGUCACCUAAGAUCAUUGAUGAGUUAAACUAGAGUGAUUGGAGGAAAAAAGGCUUGCCACCUCUUACCUAAGAGAAGGUCUCUCAGGAAAAGAAGAUAAGACAAUUCUACCCAAUGUACUAGAUGUCAUCUCUUAUAUUUCCUAGUUUAAUUUUAACCAUCGCAUUAAUUUAAGAGCAUGUAAUCUUUGCUUGUUAGGCUAAGAGAUAAUUCAUUGUGUGAUAUGUUUUUAAGCUUCUCCAAAUGACAUACAUAGCAUACGAGAAUAUUGUAACAAAUAACUAUUUGUGUACAGUGUGCUCGGUCUAUUAUGAAGAUAUAAAGCAUGUGCUAUUUGAAUGUAAUGUUGCAAGGGAGGUUUGGGACAGUCUUGGUCUACUGGAACUCACCGAAGAGGCAUGCAUGCUGGACAAUUGAGGUAGUGUUUUUUUUCACAAAUUCACGAAUGUUUUUUAAAUUUGCUAAUGUUAUUUUUAGAAAGCAUGAUUUUUUAGUUUGAGAACAUUUUAAAACUUUCAGAAAUUAUUUUAAUUGGGGAAUAUUUAUAAUUUGAUGAGCAUUUUAAACAUCCUAAACAUUUUUUUAAUUACAGAAUAUAUUUUUUAUAAAGUUGCAAACGUUCUUAAAAUCCAUGGAUUGUUUUUCAAACUUGGAAGCAUUUAUUAAAAUUCUUGAAAAGAUGUUAAAAAUGAACAAAAAUUGUCAGCAUUUGUUAAAAUUUUCACAGCAGGCUUCCCACAAAAAAAAUUCACAGCAGGCACCUUUUAAUUUGUUUUCUAGUAAACAGCUCAAAAAUAGAUCUGUACAACGGAGAAACAGCUAUAUCUCGCUAUACAGCAAGAUAUAACCUGAGCUCGCCUCUGAGCCCACCUUAGUGGGUGGGCCCAAUGGUCCAGAUUUGGAAAGGUAGUACUGACUGGUACAGACUUGUUUUAGAACCAGUUUCUAAAAAAAACAUGUUUUAGAACCUUUCAAGUUAUUUUUUUCCUUUUUGUUACAGUGUUUUCUUGGUAUACUUCAUUGUUAUUGCGUUUUAUGUUUUUCAUUCCUUUCCUUUUUUUUGCAUUUUUCAAAUAUACGUUGACUUUAUUUAAAUACACAUUGAAAAAUGCAUAUGCAUGUUGAACCUAUUUGGAUACACGUUAAACAUUUUCCAAAUACAAUUUGAAUACUUUUUAAAUACACCUUGAACAUUUGUCAAAUGUACAUUAAACAUCUUCAAAAUACAAUGUGGAAUUUUCUUAAACACACAAUGACCAUUUUUCAUAAAUGCCAUGAAUAUUACUUUUAGUUGUGCAAACAGUUUUUAAGUGCUACGGAAAUUUCUUCAAACUCAUGAACCUUUUUUGAAUGGUACGAAACAUUUUCUGAAGAUUGCACAAUCAAAUUUUAACAUUAGCAAGGUAACUAAUGAUAAAAGUGAGCGUAAACGGUAUUGCAAUGAUAGGAAACAAGGCCUAGGGUUCAUACUUUCACUAGUGCAAGUUCUCUCAACAAUAAUAACAUAGAUAGAUCAUAUAACAAUCCCUCAACAUGCAACAAAGAGUCACUCCAAAGACACUAAUAGCGGAGAACGAACGAAGAGAUUAUGGUAGGGUGCGAAACCACCUCAAAGUUAUUUUUUUGGAUCAAUCUAUUCAAGAGUUCGUACUAGAAUAAUACCUUAAGACACAAAUCAACCAAAACCCUAAUGUCACCUAGAUACUCCAUUGUCACCUCAAGUAUCAGUGGGCAUGAUUAUACGAUAUGCAUCACACAAUCUCAGAUUCAUCUAUUCAACCAACACAAAGUACUUCAAAGAGUGCCCCAAAGUUUCUACCGGAGAGUCAAGAACGUGUGCCAACCCCUAUGCAUAGGUUCAUGGGCGGAACCCGCAAGUUGGUCACCAAAACAUACAUCAAGAGGCACAUGAUAUCACAUUGUCAUCACAGAUAAGUGAUAUCUACUACACAACCUUCUUCUUGUAGACGUUGUUGGGCCUGCAAGUGCACGGGUUUGUAGGACAGUAGCAAAUUUCCCUCAAGUGAAUGACCUAAGGUUUAUCAAUCCGUAGGAGGCGUAGGAUGAAGAUGGUCUCUCUCAAACAACCCUGCAACCAAAUAACAAAGAGUCUCUUGUGUCCCCAACACACCCAAUACAAUGGUAAAUUGUAUAGGUGCACUAGUUCGGUGAAGAGAUGAAGAUGCAAGUGCAAAAUAGAUGGUAGAUAAAGGUAUUUGUAAUCUGAAAUAAUAAAAACAGCGAGGUAGCGAGCGAUAAAAGUGAGCGUAAACGGUAUUGUAAUGAUAGAAAACAAGGCCUAGGGUUCAUACUUUCACUAGUGCAAAUUCUCUCAACAAUAAUAACAUAGAUAGAUCGUAUAACAAUCCCUCAACAUGCAACAAAGAGUCACUCCGAAGUCACUAAUAGCGGAGAACAAACAUAGAGAUUAUGGUAGAGUACGAAACCACCUCAAAUUUAUUCUUUUGGAUCGAUCUAUAAAAGAGUUCGUACUAGAAUAACACCUUAAGACACAAAUCAACCAAAACCCUAAUUUCACCUAGAUACUCCAUUGUCACCUCAAGUAUCCGUGAGCAUGAUUAUACGAUAUGCGUCACACAAUCUCAGAUUCAUCCAACCAACAUGAAAGUACUUCAAAGAGUGCCCCAAAGCUACUACCGGAUGAUACGUCUCCAACGUAUCUAUAAUUUUUGAUUGCUCCAUGCUACUUUAUCUAUUGUUUUGGACUAUAAUGGGCUUUAUUUUCCACUCUUAUAUUAUUUUUGGUACUAACCUAUUAACCGGAGGCCCAGCCCAGAAUUGCUGCUUUUUUGCCUAUUUCAGUGUUUCGAAGAAACGGAAUAUCAAACGGAGUCCAAACGGAAUGAAACCUUCGGGAACGUGAUCUUCUCACCGAACGUGAUCCAGGAGACUUGGACCCUACUCCAAGGAGUGCCAGAGGCGGUCACGAGGGUGGGGGGCACGCCCUUACCCCCUGGGCGCGCCCCCCUACCUCGUGGGCCCCCUAACGCUCCACCGACGCUCACCGGGCGCUCGGGUCCUCUGGUGCUGGAUCCUCGCGGUCCUGGCAGCCGGAACACCUCUCCUUCCCCAUCACCGGUCGGGCAGACUAUGAGUCCUACCGGUAACGGGCGGCUCGCCGUGGGAAGGAGAGGAUAAGGGCCGCCGAGGCCCGUAUCGCGGCGAAAAUGGCGGCCGAGGCGGCUGAUACGGCGGCGCGGGCGGCCGCAGAGGAGAAGACAUCCACGCCCGCAUUGUGAAGAAACGGCUGUGGAGGAACACGCGCGCGCUCGCCUGAGAGAAGAAUCGGGCGGUCCGUGCCAUGGUUGGACUGCCACCGAAGGAGGAGGAGGACAGCUCCGGUGACGAGCAGAUCCGGCUUGAUCCAUACUGCGUCUUCAACCGGUACUUUCAUGAGAAGGACAACAAGGACACCGAGAAGGGCAAGAGCGCGUCCACGGGCGUUUGAGGGAUCGGAUUUGCCAAGUCUCGGCAGUAGAUGCUCUUAACGAAACAUCCCAUUCUCAACAAUAGAUAUGUAUCAAUUUAUAUCUGGGUUGGAUGGAAACAAAUCAUCUGACUUUUAGCUCUUUUGGAAAGGUGCCAAACGGUAAACAAUCCCGACCAUAAAUAUCGCCGAUCAACGUCGCUGCCCAACGGUCGGCAAGCUCCUUCCCAUUCCGUUAUAAUAGUACUCCCUUCGUUCGGAAUUACUUGUCUCAGAAAUGGAUGUAUCUAGAACUAAAAGACGUUUAGAUACAUUCAUUUCCGCGACAAGUAAUUCCGAACAAAAGGAGUAGGUGGUAAUAGUACUAUCAUCUCCUUCCUCCUCCGACUCCCUCCCCUUCUCCUUCCUCCUCCUCCCACUGCAUCAGAGGUCCCGACGCAAGUGCGGCCAUGGCGGUUGUCGACGAGCCCAUCAAAGCAAGUCCCCUCUCCAACUCCAACUCCUUUCAUUCAUUCAUUCAUUUAUUUAUGCAUACAUAUCUGUACAUAUAUUUCUAUUGAUAUAUAUGUCCGUGUGGUUGUUUUCAAUUUUCCGAUUCAUGGAUCGAACAUCACCUUUCUUAGGAUUCUUGACAAGAUUUAAAAACGAAAACGUUCAUGGACUAUGUCGUUCCUUGAACCAUUGGUUAUAGAUCCGACUGAUAUUUACUCGCGUGACAAUUACAGAUAGCUCUGUCGCAUAAUUUCCAGAGGGGGCGAGGCACGCCGGUAGGUGAUUCCCCGCGGUCUGCCAAGAUUGAGAUCGGGCAGGAGACAGCAUUCGUGCCCGGGAACGGCGGUAGCAGCAGCACACACGUUGAUGAUGCCGAUGAUGAUGAUGAUUUUGCGCCCAUGGUGAGAACCUUCAUGGAACCAACAAAUCACACAUUGCUGCAUUUUAGUCAGUUCUUUCAGCCUUGCUCAAGAUUCAGAGUACUCGUCAAAUGCAUGUUAUCAUAUAUCGAACACUCGGAUAAAAACAGCAAGCCACUUUGCGGGUUGGUCGUGGAUCGAUGAAUUUGACAAAGGAAAAGUUUUAGUCAGAUUGUUCUGAGGGGACUUCAGUAUAGUCUUUUUUUUUCGACCAUUUAAUUAGCCUUUUCACCUUUUGUUUCUGAAUGUUCGGCUAUGCCUACCUGUGGAACCGCCGGACAAACUAAAAACUGUUUUUCUAUGUUUUUUUUCAAUUCUACUAAUGCAUUGUUUAUCUAUUAUACUAGGAUUUCUUGAGGUUUCUUCAUGUUGUUUUUUCCCAGUGACUAUCUUGUCUCGCUUUGGUCGAUUUAUCUAUUUAUAUGUGAAUAGUUUUUAGUGAGCUGUUUCCGGCACUGAAAAAAAAGGACAAAGAUGGUCGAUUCUUAAGAAGAAUAACAAGAAAAGAGUCCUCUUCAUUUUCUCUAUCCCUGAGACUGGGAUACUCUUUUUUUUGUUGUUGUUAUUCUCUCUUUGUUGGUGGUACCUGUUGGAUGAAUGGCAACUAAGCUUUACUGAGGGUCAAAGGCCAUUACAUAUACAUGUGUGGUAAAGUGCAUAAAACCCCUCAUACAAUAGGGAAAUAACAAAAAGAGACUAUACACAUCUAACACCCCCCUCGAACUCAUGGUGGAUCAACAACACUGAGUUUGGAGAGGAAAAAGCCAUGCUGCGCUCGAGUCUGUGCCUUCGUGAAGAAGUCAGCCAAUUGUAACUCAGAAGGCACAUAGUGAAGAGCGAGAGUCUGAUCCUGCACAGCAGCACGCACAAAGUGGGCAUCCACACCGAUGUGCUUGGUGAGCUCAUGCUUCACCGGGUCACGCGCAAUACUGAUAGCGCCAGUACUGUCUGAUAGUAAGGGAGUCGAGGUAGUAGCAGACACACCAAAAUCCUCAAGUAGCCACCGUAAACAGAUCACCUCAGCCGUCAGCAUAGCCAUGGCUCGCAACUCAGCCUUCGUACUCGAGCGAGAAACUGCAGUCUGUUUCUUGGUCUUCCAGGCAAUAAGAGAGCCACCAAGAAAGACACAAUAAGCAGACAACGAGCGUCGAUCAGAGGGAUCACUAGCCCAGGUAGCAUCAGAGUAGGCCUGGAGCUCAAGAGAGCUGGAGCGGGGAAAGAAAAGGCGCCGAGAGAUCGUGCCACGAAGAUAUUGUAGAACACGGAGGAGAUGACUAUAGUGGACAGAGGUGGCAGCUGAAACGAACUGACUCAGAAUGUGAACGGGAUAGGAGAUGUCAGGACGCGUCACAGCAAGAUAGACAAGACUGCCAACAAGGUGACGAUAGCGAGUGGGAUUAGGGAGAGGGUCACUAUCAGAGGCACGAAGCUGAACGUUGAGCUCCAUGGGAGUCACAACUGUGCGCUCAUCACCGAGAGCAGCGCGAGCAAGAAGGUCCUGGAUAUAUUUUCUUGGGAGAUGUAGAAGCCAUCAGAGGUCGAGGAGAUCUCAAUCCCAAGAAAAUAGCGAAGUGGACCAAGAUCAGUCAUGAGGAACUGGUCGCGAAGGCGAGCCUUAACAAAGGCAAUAUAAUCAGCAUCGUCACCAGUGAUGAUCAUGUCAUCAACAUAGAGAAGGAGAAGAGUCCGACCACGAGGAGACGUGUGAACAAACAACGCGGGAUCAUGAUCACUGGGCAGGAAACCAGCGGAGGUCACCAUAGAGGUGAAGCGCUCAAACUAGGCGCGAGGGGCCUGUUUGAGACCAUAUAGGGAGCGGCGAAGUUUUCAGACCAUACCAUCAGGAGCAUAGUACCCCGGUGUGGCUACAUAUAAACCUCCUCACGCAACUCGCCAUUGAGAAAAGCGUUCUGAACAUCAAGUUGAGAGAUAGACCACUGACGAACCGAAGCCACGACAAGAAGAGUGCGAAUAGUGGUCAUGUGGGCCACAGGAGCGAAUGUCUCAUCAUAAUCGCGCCCCUGCUCCUGCUGAAAACCACGGGCCACAAGACGAGCUUUGUAGCGCUCAAGAGAACCAUCUGAGCGAGUCUUAAGCUUGUAGACCCACUUGCAGGUGAUGGACGGACACCGGAAGGGAGGGGAACCAGAUCCCAUGUGCCAGAGCGCUCAAGGGCAGCAAGCUCUUCGGCCAUCGCAAGCUGCCAUUCAGGCUGAGUCAUGGCAGUGCGAUAGGAAGUGGGCUCAGUCAUAACAGAGAGACCAUAAUGAUCAGGGGAGUAGCGAUCAGGCGGGGGGCGAGGCCGAGCACGGAGAUUGUGAAUCGGGGGAGGCGUGAGAGGAGGUGCACCAGAGGUGGAAGGCUCGUCAGAGGACAUCCUCAGUACGAGAUCGACGAGUAUAGUGGAGAGGAAACGGUGAGAGAGGGCGGCGGAUUGGAGAGGAUGGGGGAGAGGUGGAGGAGGAGGAUGGAGAAGACGGGGUCGAUGGUGAAUGAGAAGGAAUGAGAGGUGCCGCAGGAAGAGGUGACACAUGAGGCACAUAGAAGGGUGUAUCAGGAAGGAGAAGGAAAGAAAGGUCGUCCACAGAGAAACUCGAGGAAGAAGAACGUGGGUAGUAAGAACGUGACUCGUCAAAAGUCACAUCACGCGAGAUGCGCAAGCGACGACCCAUGGGAUCCCAACAUCGAUAGCCCUUGUGCUCAUCACUGUAGCCAAUGAAACCACACUCAACCGACUGAGCUGUCAGUUUGGUGCGUUCUCGGGGAGCAAGAAGAACAUAGCAGACGCAUCCAAACAUACGAAGAGCUGAGUAGUCAGGAGAGCGACCAGUGAGACACCCCAUAGGAAUGCCACCUUUCAAAGCAGUCGAUGGCUGAAUGUUGAUGAGAUAGGUGGAUACGGAAAUAGCCUCAGCCCAAAAGUGGGGUGGAAGGGAAGCAACAAUCAUCAGUGCACGAGCCGUCUCAAGCAAAUAACGAUGCUUUCGCUCGGCAACGCCAUUCUGAGCAUGAGCACCAGGACAGGAGAACUGGGCAAGAGUACCCUGUUCCGCGAGAAAACCACGCAAUAGCUGAGAGAUAUACUCUCCAGCAGAGUCAGCACGAAAAGUACGAAUGGGCGUGGCAAACUGGAUGUGAACCAUGGCAGCAAAACGUUUGUAUAUAGGGAGAACCUCGCUACGAGAUUUCAUGAAGUAAAGCCAAGUGUAGCGAGAGAAAUCAUCAAUAAACAAAACAUAGUAGCGAUGACCACCUUUCGAAUCAAAGGGAGUGGGACCCCAGACAUUAGAUUGAACCAAGUCAAAAGGAUGCUGAGAUACAGACUCACUAGUAGGAUAAGGUAACUGAGUCUGUUUGCCAAGUCUGCAACCAUUACAAUGUAAGGAGACAUCUCCAGAUACAGACCCUAAGAGGCCCUGACGAACUAAGGAAGACAAGCGAGAGCCACAGAGGUGACCAAGUCGAUGAUGCCACUGCUGGAAGGACGCAGACAAAGAGGCAGCAAGAGCAUGAGAGCUGGCAGAAGUGGUGGCAGCGGAAGGAACACAAAGCCAGUCAACCUCCCAAAGGCCCUCUGACUCACGGAGCCAGGGGCCAGCACCAACCAAAGCCUUGGUGCGACGAUCCUGAAUGGAGCAAGAUUCGCUAUCAAGAAUAACACGACGACCAGAAUCAGUGAGUUGGGCAGCGGAAAAAAGAUUCAUGGUAAGGCGAGGAACAUGUGAAACACUCGGAACAGAAAAAGAUGGAAUGGAAAGAAUACCACGACUAGCAAUAGGAAGAGAUGUGCCAUCGGCAGUAAGAACAUUAACAGGCGAAUCAAGAGGUCGGAGAGAAGACAUCAUGGAAGAGUCAGAAGACAUAUGAAAAGAGGCUCCAGAAUCCAGAACCCACGAAUAUGUACCUGACUGUGUAGAUGCCUGUGAUGGUGAAGAGGAGGAUGCAGUCACAGCAGCAGCAGAGCCAGUCGACGAGGAGCCUGAGGAAGCAAGAAGACGCUUGAGGCGAACAAUGUCCUGGUCAGUGAGUGACGGAGUCGAGAAGACACAGGAGGCCCACUGGCAGAGGAGCGCCUCUGGUCUCGCUUCUUCUGGCGACAAUCAGACUCUAGGUGACUUGCUGGUAGCAGUAACCACAGACGGUGUCACGGUGCGACGNNNNNNNNNNNNNNNNNNNNNNNNNNNNNNNNNNNNNNNNNNNNNNNNNNNNNNNNNNNNNNNNNNNNNNNNNNNNNNNNNNNNNNNNNNNNNNNNNNNNNNNNNNNNNNNNNNNNNNNNNNNNNNNNNNNNNNNNNNNNNNNNNNNNNNNNNNNNNNNNNNNNNNNNNNNNNNNNNNNNNNNNNNNNNNNNNNNNNNNNNNNNNNNNNNNNNNNNNNNNNNNNNNNNNNNNNNNNNNNNNNNNNNNNNNNNNNNNNNNNNNNNNNNNNNNNNNNNNNNNNNNAGUGAGGCGAGGAGAUGACACAGGAGCUCGGGCAGCCAAUACUGAUGGAACCAGAAGCAACCCAGCAGAGCGAAGGCCGGUCUCCUCAGCACGAAGCUCAGCAAGUAUCUCUGAGAUAGGAACACGACCACGAGCAAGCAAGUGAGCACGGCGAGGCUCAAACUCAGAGCGGAGACGAGAUAAGAACUCAUGGACCCUCUGAAACUCCAAGUCAGACCUCGUAGUCUGGCAACAAUGGCAAGUGCCACAAACAACUGUCCGUAGUGAGUCAAGCUGACGCCAGAUGGCAGAGCACUGUGAAUAGAACUCAUCCACAGACGAGUCACCCUGCUGAAGAGCAUGCUCCUGACGCACCACAGAGAGGUAUAGAGCAUCGCCAGAGGGCUGAUAGCGAUGACAAAGAUAGGACCACGUCGCUGCAACAGUGCCGAGGCCCAUGAACUCCGAAGCAAACCGAGGCAGGACACUCGCAGUAAGAACAGCACAGCUCGAGCAUCAUCAUUGCACCACUGAGUGUAAGCAGACAGAUCAUCCCGGUAGACAGAGAGAGCAUCAGAAUAGGCAGAUACCUGCUGAUCAUAAGCAUCAACUGCAGCAUCAUCAAGAGCCUUGGCUGCAUCCCGAUCAGCCUGAGAAGCAUCAGCAGCAAGCACCGGCGGUACCGGCGGUACAGGAGCAAUCGGAGCAACAGGGCAGGGCGGACAGGGUACCUCACCAGAGAGAACGCCCCACAGCAGAAGACCGCGCAUAUGGAUACGCAUGAAGCCCACAAACUCAGCAUAGUUGGUGCCAUCAAAUAUCACUGAGCAGCGAGCAACAACCAAAUAGCCCGAGGAUGACAUUCUGAGAUAUCCCUCUGUUUCUUUUCUCUCUCUCUUUUUUUUGAGUCAACGGGCACAGGACGACCCAAUCUGGAUCGAGAGGAAAGCGAGCCUCCGCUUGCACGCCCGGACACGCGCUCGCUCUGGCUGGCCGAGCAGAGGCGAGGGAGCAGCACUCGCUCAGAUCCGGCCAGGAAAGAGAGAGCCGGCCCGGCCGGACAGCAGCUGGGGGCGCAGGAGGCGGACGGAGGCGGACGGGGGCGGCCGGAUGGACCCGAGGAGACUGGGGCAGAGCUUGGGCAAGAAACGGCAGCGUGGGCGGCGGCCGGAUCCAAGCCAGGCCACGACGACGACCGAACGGGCCGACGGAGGCGGCGGCCGAAUGAGGUCAGCCGCGGCAAUGGCGACCGAGCGAGCCGACGAGGAAGGGGAGCAGCGGGAUGGGCUGGUGGUGGCGGCAGCCAGAGCCGGAGAUGGCCGGAGAGAGCGGCGACCAGAGGAGAUGGCCGGAGAUGGCUGCAGCCAGAGACUGGCACGCUAGGUUCGGAAUGCACGGAGUUGCGUCGUGCGGGAGAACGGGACUAGCCUAGCAUCUGAUACCAUGUUGGAUGAAUGACAACUAAGCUUUACUGAGGGCCAAAGGCCAUUAUAUAUACGUGUGUGGUAAAGUGCAUAAAACCCCUCAUACAAUGAAAAAUAACGAAAAGAUACUAUACACAUCUAACAGUACCUACCUUACAUGCCAAGAAUAGGCGCAUCUGAAUUUUGCUGAAACUCCCUGAUAUAUAUGACUUUUCUAUUUAAGCAAGUACAAUAUUGACCCGCACAUUUAUCCGAACAUGCCAGAUUGUCUAUUUUUAUCCGAACCUGCAUUUCGUGAUCCGUCAUUGGGGUGUCGUCGUUCCAGGAGAUUUUGUUUCUGGCGUUGAGGAACUGACUAGUGACUGCUACUGCUAGUUAUUGCUACAUCACAAGUUGAAGUUUCGUAUCAAAAACUAUUGUGCAAUUUAUGUUUAACUCAUGCUCAUAACAAUGAGUAGCCUGGCUUGGUUUCCUAACUAUUAUCCAGGGGAAGGGAGGGAGGCCAGCGGGUUCCCUCGAGUCUGCCAUGACCGAGAUGGGGCAGAAGACGGCGUUGGCACAUCCGAAGCUCACUUUGGUCGGCAACGGCGGUUCAGAGAAUGAGCAAGUAAAGCGUCCAGGCUCUCGCUAUGAAGUGAGGACUAUCACUAUUACCUACAAUGUAAGGAAAUCCUCAUAAAAGUACUUUUCAUGCCUCAGAUUAUCUGUUAUCUUUGCGGCAUAUGUAAACAGAUAUUGAAUUUGUUGCUUUGUUUUGUUUGAUUACUUUAUUUUCAGAGGAAGAGAAGGUGGCCAGCCAACAGUACGAUAGUGCAUAAGCCAAUAAUGUUGAUUGACAGCGGCAGUAGCAGCGAUGCCAAGAGUGACAAGGGUGAUGACUAUGAGCCACCAGUAAGGCAUUCCAUGAAAUAUUUUCAAAUUGUUUCUCUUAAGACAUUUUCAAUGACUUUGAGCCACCCAUAAGGCCUUACAUUCAAUAAUUUAAAUUUAUCUCUUCCGAAAUUUUUGCUGUUCAAAUAUUGAUGUAUUUCACACCUUGCGUUGUGGAUGGAUGAGCCUAAAUUCUUAUUGGGAAAAAAAUAGGCAACUCUUUGAUUGAUUGUUUUACAGACGAAGAGGAGGAGGCCACCAGUUCUCAAAACCGCCAAGAGCAAGAGAGGGGGGCCACCGGGUUCGAAAUCAGCCAAGAACAAAGAAGAUGCGCUAGUAGAAAAGGGGCUUUUAGUCCCGGUUCAUAAGGGCCUUUAGUCCCGGUUCUGGAACCGGGACUAAAGGGUCGUUACUAAAGCCUUCCCCUUUAGUCCCGGUUCUUACACGAACCAGGACUAAAGGCUCUCCACGUGGCCACUGUCUGGAGGUCCACCUUUAGUCCCGGUUGGUAACACCAACCGGUACUAAAUUAAAUUUAUGAUUUUUUAAAAAAAAUGAUUUUUUUGGAAUAUUUUUUUAUUUUCAAAUUUUGAAUACCGGGACUAAAGGCUCUCCACGUGGCCACUGUCUGGAGGUCCACCUUUAGUCCCGGUUGGUAACACCAACCGGUACUAAAUUAAAUUUAUGAUUUUUAAAAAAAAAUUGAUUUUUUUGGAAUAUUUUUUUAUUUUCAAAUUUCUGAAUUAUUUUAACCUCUCAUCUCUAAUCACCCCUCAUCACUGCGCUCAAUUUAACCUCUAAUCACCCCUCAUCAUCUAACUUCCCGGACAGUCACCCAUCCUCUCACUACUCCAGCCUGAGCACGCUUAACUUGCGAGUUCUAUUCUCUCUCAUUUCCAAGUCUGCACUUGUUGUUUUCCUGACAAUAGUAAGAUGUCAAUCCUAUUAACCUCAGGAAUUUAGCUUGAGCAUGAAGUCACACAUUUCACUGUUUGAGUUUGAAACUAUUGUUCUAAAAAAUAACACUAAUAUUUAGUAACACUAAUAUUUCUUGAAUAAUUAGUUUGACCAUUUUUUGAUCACAGUUUGACCAGAUUUGACCAAAAUUCAAAAAAACUGAAAUAAUUAUUUAGUAACACUAAUAUUCUUGAAUAAUUAUUUAGUAACACUAAUACUUCUUGAAUAAGUAGUUUGACCAUAGUUUGACCAGAUUUAACAAAAAUUCAAAAAAAUUGAAAUUUGAGCAUAACUUUUUUCCUUUUUCAUAUUACGUAUCAUAUUUUGAAAAACAAUUCCCCAAAAAAAUCGAAACUAAUUUUUGAGAAAUCGGUAAUAAAGGUCUAACCUUUAGUCCCGGUUGGUGCCACGAACCGGUACUAAUGGGCAUGGCACCCUUUAGUCCCGGUUCGUAGCACCAACCGGGACUAAAAGGUCCAGACGAACCGGGACAAAUAGCCCACGUGGCCCGGCCGGCCCCCUGGGCUCACGAACCGGGACCAAUGCCCCCAUGGGUCCCGGUUCUGGACUGAACCGGGACUAAUGGGCUAACCCGGCCUGGACCAAAGCCCUCUUUUCUACUAGUGAUGGCAUUGGAUCUUUGGAACCAGGCACUGAGUUUGACGUUGGCAAAAGCUUCAGAAGCUUCAAGGUCGUCGUCGGUGGUUCUGCCAUCAACGACAAACUACUACCCAUUGAGAUGCGUAGGGCGUACCACGGGCUCUUCCGCGACCGGAAGUCGCUCCAGAGCGAGCGUAUGUAGAAGCCCAUAUGCCCUUUGCUCGUUGCAGGAGUGAUCAUCGAGACGGUUCGCAUAGCUGAGGGCAUCAGGGCCUCCGCCGCCUCCCCGUCCUGCGAGGACCUCACACGGUGGAAGAAAGGCAUGGAGUCCUUUGAGAUGAUGGGCAUGGAUGUUGGCUUCAUGCGCGAGCACGUUGAUGGCCUCCUCACCCUUCUCGAGAAAGCAGAUCACCUGCAUUAAGGGUUAGAUGCGGCAAAGCUGGAGAGGGCUCACGCCAUGGAGGGGUUGAGGGCGCUUGAGUCGAAGCUGUCGAGCCUCAAGAACACUAUGAAGGAAAUUGACGUGGAGUUGCAAGAGAUGGCUGCGUCGAGCACGAAGAGGAAGAGAGUGACCGCGCCAUGGUGAUCGACGACCGUCUAGUGCAUACAUCUUCAGCAACGUAGUGCUGCUAGCAUGCUGUUGUGUCUCGGUGUACAUCGAUUUAAAUUACUACCUCGAAUGUAGCUGCACUUUGAUUCAUGGUUUAUUAUGAGUAUGCUGUAUUUUGAUUGUGCAUACAUCUUUUUUUUUGUUAUUCUCUCUUUGCUGGUGGUACCUACCUUACAUGCCAAGAAAAGGCGCAUCUGAAUUUUGCUGAAACUCCCUGAUAUGCCUUUUCUAAUCUAAUUAAGCGAGUACAGAGGGAGUACCUUACAUGCCAGAUUGUCUAUUUUUAUCCGAGACUGCAUUCCGCGAUCCGUCAUUGGGGUGCUGUUGCGGGAGAUUUUGUUUGUGGGCGUUGACGAGCUGACUAGUAACUGCUACUGUUACUUAUUGGUAAAUUCACUAGCUAAAGUUUAGUACAGUAAAAUAAUAUUGUGCAAUUUAUGUUUAUGCUCAUAACAAUGAGUAGUCUGAAUUGGUUUCCUAAUUAUUUUCGGGUGGAAGGGAGGGAUGCAUUGCACGAUCCGUCUUUAGCAUGUCGUGGAGAGAGGUUUUGUUUCUGUCAUUGUCGAACUGACUAGUAACUACUAGUGCUACUUAUUUCUACAUCACUAGUUAAAAUUUAGUAAUAAAAAUUAUUGUGCGAUUGAGGUUUAUGGUCAUAACAAUGAGUACUCUGACUUUGUUUCCUAACUAAUUUUCCAGAGGAAGGGAUGGACACCAGUGAGUUCCCUCGAGUCUGCCAAGAUCAAGAUGGGGCAGAAGACGGUGUUUCGGCAUCCAAAGCUCACUUUGGUCAACAACGGCGGUUUGGAGAAUGAGCAAGUAAAGCCUCCAGGCUCUCGGUAUGAAGUGGUAGUCCAAAGAACUAUCACUAUUACCUAUAAAGUAAGGAAAUUUUUGGUCAUUGUCAUAAAAGGACAUUCCAUACCUCAGAUUAUCUAUAAUCUCCUGCGGCAUAUGCAAACAGAUAGUGAAUUUGUUGCUUUUGUUUUGGUUGAUUACAACAUUUUCAGCGGAAGAGACAGGGUCCAGCCAAGAGUAAGAUUGCACAUGACUAAAUGUUGAUUGACAGUAGAAGUAGCAGCAGUAGUAGCUAUGGCAAGAGUGACUAUGAGUCGCCAUCUCUUCACGUAUCUACUGUGGUUCUAAUUUCUUGAUAAGGCAUAUUCAUGUCUAUUAAAAAAACCUUGAUUUGUCAUAUUCAUUAAUUCAUAUAUGAGAUGCAGUUGUUGUUCUUGGUAGUGUUAUGCAACGAGAAAAAGUAAUGGAUUCUAGUCUCUUGAGUUGAAGUUUGGACUUGUGCUAUCUUUUAAUUUAAUUAUUUAAUGAGCAUGGCUUCUAUUUUUAGUUGACACGCUAAUGUUUGGCUCACAAUAUUCUAAGAGGUGCAUUGUUGUAAAUACAUGUUCCACUUCCUUCAUUCUUAAGAUGACAAUGAUCUAAACAACAACAACAAAAUUGUAGGUACUAAUGAAAAAACAUCAUGAAGACAUGGACCAAGACCUGGAACACUGAGCGUGCAUAUUUUUCCCAAACAUCCUAAUUAAGAUAGUGGUCCAAAGGAUAAUGAAUUUGGAAAUAAAUAUAUUUUAUUUCAAUAUAGCUCUUACAUGAAAGCGCUAACUAGCAUCUACAACAGAUCUCCAUAGUCUGUAAGAAUAUCAAUAUCUUGUCCAGUGGAAGAGGGCGGCAAAUCAACCCAUCCACCAUUUACCAUGGAAGACUGCCCAAGAUCCGUAUCGCUAGAGCCUAAGGAAGCAUCCAUCCAUAGGAAACUAUUGUAGCAUGACUGAUCUGAUAGAGCAUAACCCCAUUGUUCAGUGUUAAAUGGGUCAUCAAUAGAAAAAGCAUUGCCAGUCGAGUAUCCCAAUAGUGGAGAGUCCUCCAAAUUCUGCACAGAUGUUGAGUCAUUAUUUGCAUCAUUUUGUUGCGGUUGCACUAUGUUGCAAGAACUUUCAUAGUUCUGAACAUGCAACUCCUCUGGUGGAGUUUGCUCAUGUAUGUGAUUUGGUAUGGGUUGGACAUGGGAAGCCAAGUGUGGAGCUAAAGAUGGUGGUGCAGAAUGGAACAUUUGUGGUACCUGCAUAGGAAAAAGUGGUGCCUAAGUUUGUUCUGGUUGUGAUGGUAGUGGAUCUUAAGGUAGCUGGAGUUGUGAGAGAUUGUGAGCCCAUAAUGACUGCAUAAGUAAAUGAGUAGUACCCAAAUGAUCUGCCGGUAGAACACUUGGUAGUUGCAGAUCUUGUGCCACACAUGUGCCACCGGUCUUGUCUUCCUGACAAGGUAGUGGAGGUAGUCAGAACCUAAUGUCAUUUUGGACCCGAGAGAGCUCACUGAAGAGCUUGUUCAGAUCUUUAAGACUGAUAUCGUGUUCCUUCGUGAAGAUGAGAUUUGCCACCAUACCUGGAUUCUCUUCUUGGAUAUUUUUCAUACGAAGGAUGGAAAGUUUGUUUUUUUCUUCCUCGGUCAUGUUCUCCAUGUCCAACUGAGCCACCUCGUUUUGUAGGCUUCCUAUCCUAGAAGUGGUUGCCUCGUCGGUGGAGGGAACUGCUGGUGGAGCUCCAAAUAGGAAAGCAUCAACAAUGGGAUCACCAAUGGCGUCCCAAAUGAGUGCAUAUUUCCAUUGUUUGUCUCUAGGACGACUGCAACCCUAGCCCUAGUGAGGGCAAAGAUGUCGGUCGCCCUCUUGAACAAACCGGAACGUCGCUUGUAGAAGGUGAGCUCACGGUCUUUGUCAUUAUGGAUGUAUGCCACACCUGACCGCCGCUCUUUCCUCGGCAUACUAAUGUGGACAAAGAGGAAGAAACUAACUACUACAAAUAGGAAGCACAAGGAUCUACAGAAAACAAGAGAUUUAGGGGUACUGUUGUGUGACGCCCGGGUAAUUAAGCUACAAUAAUCCCACGCUAAUCAUGCCAUGACACCUCGGUUACUGUUGCUAUCCUCACAAUAAUUCGAAACCGUUCGAAAUUCAAAUUUAAAUUAAUGAUAACAAUAAAAGUUUUCAAAAAUUAAAACAGAAUUGUUCGGUGGUUGCCGAAUAUUACAAAGGUAAUUAUGGUGCAACAAACACAUUUUUAUAAAAUGACUAAAUGGUUUAAAAUGAAUUUGAAUAGAAAAGAAAUAAUAAAGAAAAUACAAAAGAAAAAAAAGCAAAGCAAAAAAAAAGGAGAAACCCCCCUGGGCCGUGGCCCAACUAGGCCAACCCACCGGCCCCAACCGGCCCACCCCGUGCCCCAUAACCUCCCCCCACUCCCCCACANNNNNNNNNNNNNNNNNNNNNNNNNNNNNNNNNNNNNNNNNNNNNNNNNNNNNNNNNNNNNNNNNNNNNNNNNNNNNNNNNNNNNNNNNNNNNNNNNNNNNNNNNNNNNNNNNAAAUAUCUCUCCCCCUCUCCCCCGAUUGGAUCGGGAUCAUGGGAAGAGGCCCUCGUCGCCGUCCGUCGCCGCCAGGACCGCGCCGCCGCCCGGAGCUCGCCGCCCCACGCCAGGACGCCGCCACCACGCCGACCUUCUUCCACUCCGUCGCUCGUCCCCGUCGGCCUCCCCAGACUUCCCCGAGCCCGCUGCCCGUGCCCUACUCCCCCUGUGAGCUCCCCCUCUCCUCGUCCGUCGCCGCGGUCACCGCACUCAGCGCCCGCGCUCGUGGCCGCGCCACACGCGCCCCGGUCCUUCUCCCCGUGCCCGCGCGCCGCGCUCGCCCGCGGCUCUGCUGCAGCUGCUCCUGGCACCGCCUGAGUUCGUGCUCAGCGCCACCGGCCGGCGCUCCCACUAGCCUCACCAUGGUCGCCGCUCGCGCCGGCUGCGCCCCUCACCUGCAUCGCCCGGCGCCUGCCGCACCCCAUCGCUGCUGCUGUGCCGCCCCGCCUCCGCCACUACUACCGCGCCGCGGUCGCCCCUACUUCGNNNNNNNNNNNNNNNNNNNNNNNNNNNNNNNNNNNNNNNNNNNNNNNNNNNNNNNNNNNNNNNNNNNNNNNNNNNNNNNNNNNNNNNNNNNNNNNNNNNNNNNNNNNNNNNNNNNNNNNNNNNNNNNNNNNNNNNNNNNNNNNNNNNNNNNNNNNNNNNNNNNNNNNNNNNNNNNNNNNNNNNNNNNNNNNNNNNNNNNNNNNNNNNNNNNNNNNNNNNNNNNNNNNNNNNNNNNNNNNNNNNNNNNNNNNNNNNNNNNNNNNNNNNNNNNNNNNNNNNNNNNNNNNNNNNNNNNNNNNNNNNNNNNNNNNNNNNNNNNNNGGGCUCGGCCUCUGCCCCGCGGUGCCGCGGCCCGCACCUGACCAUGCCCACAGCCGCCUGGCUCGCCGCCGUCCUGCUCCCCGCCGGUGACCGCCCUCGCCCCGCGGCCAUCCCCUGCGCCCGGGCGGGCUUCGCCCUGCACGCGCCCGCUACACAGCCGCCCGUUUUGGCCCCCUGGGCCACUGACCCAGGGGCCCCACACCCCUUUUUUCUCUAAAAAAAUAAAGUAAAUAAAUAAAAAGUUAAUUAAUAAUUACAAUAAUUAAUUAAUUAAGGAUUUAAUUAAGUUAAUUAAUCAUAUUUAGAUUAAUCUAUUUAGUAAUUAACCUAGUCAAUUAACUAAACUAAUUAAACCUAAUUAAUUAGUCUCAAACUAUGACAGGUGGGUCCCACUGGACCCACCGGUCAGGUUGACUCUGGUCAACGGACCGUUGACCGCUGACGUCACCUCUACGUCAUGCUGACGUCACCAGGCACUGUUCUGGAUAAUGCUGAAUUAAAAUAAUUAAAUAAAUCCUAAAAAUGCAUUAAAUCUUUUAAAAUCAAUAUAAAAUAAACCGUAGCUCGGAUGGAAAAACUUUGUACAUGAAAGUUGCUCAGAACGACGAGACGAAUCCAGAUACGCAACCCGUUCGUCCGCCACACACCCCUAACAUAUCAAACUCGCAACUUUCCCCCUCUGGCUCCUCUGCCCGAAAACACGGAACACCGGGAAUACUUUCCCGAAUGAUUUCCCCCUUCGCCAGCAUCACCUCAUACUGCGUUAGGACACACCUAGCACCGCUCUUUGUCAUGUCUUGCAUCGUCUUGCUUAUGUUUGCACUGUAUUUAUUGUUUCUUCCCCCUCUUCUCUUCGGUAGACUACGAGACCGACGCUGCUGCUGCCCAGUUCGACUACGGAGUUGACGACCCCUCUCUUUUGCCAGAGCAACUAGGCAAGCCCCCCCUUGAUCACCAGAUAUCGCCUAUUCUACUCUAUACUACUUGCAUUAGAGUAGUGUAGCAUGUUACUGCUUUCCGUUGAUCCUAUUCUGAUGCAUAGCCUGACAUUGUUGCUACAUCUGUUGAUACCUUACUUGCAAUCCUAAAUACUUAGUAUAGGAUGCUAGUUUAUCAUUAUUGGCCCUACAUUCUUGUCAGUCUGCCUUGCUAUACUAUUGGGCCGUGAUCCCUCGGGAGGUGAUCAUGGGUAUAUACUAUACAUACAUACAUACUAUACAGAUGGUGACUAAAGUCGGGUCAGCUCGAAGAGUACCCGCGAGUGAUUCACGGAUUGGGGGCUGAAAGGACCUUUGUCCCGACGGCCCUCUGUGUGGAUCUUUGUGGCGGAGCGACAGGGCAGGUUGAGACCACCUAGGAGAGAGGUGGGCCUGGCCCUGUUCGGUGUUCGCGGAUACUUAACACGCUUAACGAGAUCUUGGUAUUUGAUCUGAGUUGGCUACGAGCUUAUACGCACUAUCCAUCUACGCGGGAGUAGUUAUGGGUAUCCCGACGUCGUGGUAUCAGCCAAAGCACUUCAGACGUCAGCGACGGAGCGGCGCGCGCCGAAUUGGACUGGAACGCCACUAGGCUAGGUCUGCUUUCGGCCGCCCUCGCAACGUGCAGGUGUGCUAUGGGCGAUGGGCCUAGACCCCUGUGCGCUUAGGUUUAGACCGGCGUGCUGGCCUCUCUGUUGUGCCUAGGUGGGGCUGCGACGUGUUGAUCUUCCGCGGCCGGGCAUGACCCAGGAAAGUGUGUCCGGCCAAAUGGGAUCAAGCGUGCUGGGUAAGUUGGUGCACCCCUGCAGGGAAGUUAAUCUAUUCAAAUAGCCGUGAUCUUCGGUAACAGGACGACUUGGAGUUGUACCUUGACCUUAUGACAACUAGAACCGGAUACUUAAUAAAACACACCCUUCCAAGUUCCACAGACAACCCGGUGAUCGCUUUUCUACAGGGCGACGAGGAGAGGAUCGCCGGGUAGGUUUAUGCUAUGCGAUGCUGCUUGGAGAUGCUACUUGAAGAUGCUACUUGGAGGACUUCAAUCUACUCUCUUCUACAUGCUGCAAGACGGAGGCUGCCAGAAGCGUAGUCUUCGACAGGAUUAGCUAUCCCCUUCUUAUUCUGGCAUUCUGCAAUUCAGUCCACUGAUAUGGCCCUUUACACAUAUACCCAUGCAUAUGUAGUGUAGUUCCUUGCUUGCGAGUACUUUGGAUGAGUACUCACGGUUGCUUUUCUCCCCCUUUUCCCCUUUCCCUUCUACCUGGUUGUCGCAACCAGAUGCUGGAGCCCUGGAGCCAGACGCCACCGUCGACGACGACCCCUACUACACCGGAGGUGCCUACUACUACGUGCAGCCCGCUGACGACAACCAGGAGUAGUUAGGAGGAUCCCAGGCAGGAGGCCUGCGCCUCUUUCGAUCUGUAUCCCAGUUUGUGCUAGCCUUCUUAAGGCAAACUUGUUUAACUUAUGUCUGUACUCAGAUAUUGUUGCUUCCGCUGACUCGUCUAUGAUCGAGCACUUGUAUUCGAGCCCUCGAGGCCCCUGGCUUGUAUUAUGAUGCUUGUAUGACUUAUUUAUGUUUUAGAGUUGUGUUGUGAUAUAUUCCUGUGAGUCCCUGAUCUUGGUCGUACACAUUUGCGUGCAUGAUUAGUGUACGAUUGAAUCGGGGGCGUCACAAGUUGGUAUCAGAGCCGACUGCCUGUAGGAAUCCCCCUUUCACACUUCUUGGCCGAAGUCGAGUCUAGACAUUGCAAAACUUUUACUAACUUGGUUGUGUGCCUUACGGGCCCACGUCGCCAUUGGGUGGUACUAGGAUCUUUUACUCCUCGACCUUUACUCUGGGACUCUGAGCUCUCUUCUAUUCGGGUUAAAUGAUUUCGCUAAAAACAAAACUAACUUUAGGUUCUCGCAAGUACUUUCUCCCGGAGAGCCACUUGUUACCGAUGACCGCCUGCUGCACCAGAAGAUUCCGAAGAUACUCUACAAUGUGCUCUCGAGACUAUGUGCCAUCGCUUUUGCAAUUCACUUCCAUCGAUAAAUACCUCUGGAUAACUACUUACACCUAUCGUUCAUAUUGUCAUCCCCAGUUGCUCUUGUUAUUACAAGAUGUCCUGAAAUACUCUUUGAUAUUCCGAGAAUUCUUUACGCUUACUGCCCUGCAGUUCCUUGCUGCAUGAAUACCCCUACGGAUAAUUACUCGCGCUUGCCGAGUAUCCGCUCAUCCCCAGUUGUUCUUGUGUUUCACAAAAGUCUUCAAAAUAAUAUUCGAACUUCCGAAAACCCUCUGGAGCCUUUGGCUCUUGAAAUUCUUGCUUGCUUGCAUUAUGGUUAAUCCCAUAAGUCUCGUAGUCUUAAUGACAUUCAUUGUCAUUAUCAUUUUGAGUCUGUUGACUCAAUAUGUUUGCGAAUACACGCAAUCAUCAUUGAUCCUUAUAAAUUGUCAGGACCCCGAUCUAGCAUGUAACACAUCAUAUCACUUUGCAGCCUCACGCACGGUAUUCCCACGGGUGCCACCUUACCUUUGCCCGGGACCGUUUGCGCCUUUUGGCUCACGUAUAUGAUAGUGUCGCUAGCAUCCAUAUGACAAAGGACCCGGGCUGACAUGGCUAGUCGUAAACCCAAAGUGGCACAGACCUACAGGGACAGGCAUCCAUGACCCAGCAUCGAACGUGUCGGUCAUCAGCGAGUGAAUCCAGGCUGUAGCACUGGGCUAGCAGGACUCCGGUGAACCGGGCUGUAGCGGGCUAACAGGACUCCGGUAUUCAUCGCGUGACAUUUCCCCGAAGGGACAGACACAGGAACGAAGAAGGACACAUGCCGGCCAGCCUAAGUGUUCCGGAGCAGUAACAAGAUACCAUGGCUCGGUGGAAACACUAGGAGACAUUUCCCGGUAAGAGAGGCUACUAAAGAUAAACAACUAGAAGGUCAGAUCCCACACAUACCAAGCAUUUCAAUAACAUACACACAAUAUGCUCGAUAUGUGCAAAUACAACAUGGCAUCACAACAUGACUCUACGACUCAAGUAAUUUAUUCAUUAGGCUCCGAGGAGCGAGAUAUUACAAACAUGGGUCUUAUGACCCAACAAUCAGAGCAUACAAGUCAAAGCACAUGCGGAAGCUUAACAUGUCUGAGUACAGACAUCUAUAAAUGAAAAAGGCUGAGAAGCCUGACUAUCUACCAGAUCCUGCCGAGGGCACAAGAUCGUAGCUGAGGUAACAAGCUAAACGUUGAAGUCCACGUGGAACUACUAGUGAGACUGAAGUCUCUCUGCAAAAACAUAAAAUAGGCAAACGUGAGUACAAAUGUACCCAGCAAGACUUACAUCAGAACUAACUACAUAUGCAUCAUUUUCAACAAGGGGAUGGUGGGGUUUAACUGCAGCAAGCCAGCUUUGACUCGGUGGCUAACCUGAACUACGACUGCAAGUAACUCUUUUGAGGUGGCGCACACGAGUCCACAUAUUCACCAUAUCAAUACACCACUAUGGAUCCGCUCCCGUCUCCCUACGAGAACGCCAUCCAUAGCACUCACGCUUACCUUGCGUAUUUUAGAGUAUCCACUUUCACUUGUCUAUGAACUGAUAUAAGCAACCCAGAGGUCCUUUACCGCGGACACGGCUAUUCGAAUAGAUGAUGUUAACCCUGCAGGGGUGUACUUCUUCAUACAUGUUUCCACCACUUAGCGUCUGCACACGACAUGUGCUCGGCAGACUUCAAGCGAAAGCCGACGUGGGUGUAGACCAGGACCUACCUAAACACCUAAGUCUCUAGUCCAGGUUUAUCGCCUAUUCGGGUUCCAUCCAUGAGGAGAUCCGGCCGGAGUUUCGCUCACAGCCCCAAACGAUGUGAACAGGGUUCCGUGACACCAAACGGGUGCCCGGUUUACCCGGCCACGUGCCUACCGCAUCACAGCCCACCCCUACGGUCAGCGCUGUCCACGGCCUCCAGCAUACUACAAACACCAGAAACUACUUGCAACUCCUGGACAGAGGACUAGGGUGAAUAAGAAGUCGAGCGGGGUCAUAUUUCAGGGCCCAAUGCAUGGUAGUAGCUGAAUCAUGGAUCACAAACACAGAACUCAGUUCCUAAGGACGGCUUCAAUGAGACAACCCACCAUGUACUCCUACAUGGCCUCUCACCGACACCUUUUACCAAAUCGUGUUCACACACUUAGCUCACACAUAGUAGGACAAGUUCACACACCUCUGAUUCAUCCUCGAUGAAUCAGACCUGACUCAACUCUAAGCAGUAGCAGGCAUGACAAACAAGCAUGAAUGAGUAGGCACAUCAGGGCUCAAACAACUCCUACUCAUGCUAGUGGGUUUUAUCUAUUUACUGUGGCAAUGACAGGUCAUGCAAAGGAUAAAGGGUUUCAGCUACCGCAGCAAGUAACAGAUGAAUCGAUGUUGUCCUAAUGCAGUAAAAGAGAGCAGGAGCGAGAGAGUAGGAUUGUAUCGGAAUGAACAAGGGGGUUUUGCUUGCCUGGCACUUCUGAAGAUAGCAUUGAGUCUUCAUCAGUGUCAACGAUCACAUCAUCGGUAUCAUGUCUAUCGAGAGGGGACAAUUACCGGCAACAUAGAAGCGAACACAAUCAAUGCAAUGCACAAUAUGAUGCAUGAUCAUGACAUGGCAAAAUGAAUGUGUUUUGAGCUAAUGCAACUAGCAACAGAUUAAAUGAAGUUGGUUUGAAUACAAGAUUCAAAUUUAAACUCCAUAUGUGAUUAUUCAAAUGCCAUUUAAUUGAUUUGUGCUAAACAGCAGCUAUAAGUUGUUCUAUCAUGCAUGAAAAUGGUACAGAUGGAUUCCUUGAAUUUUUCUGAUAAUUUUUCAUAUAUAAAUUAUUUAAUUUGGAGUUACGGUUGAAUUUCUAUGAUUUUUAGAAGUUUUAGCUAUUUUCUGGAAUUUCCUGAAUAUAAUAAAAUAAACUAAAUUCCAGAAAAUGAAUAUUGCGUCAGCAUGACCUCACCCUGACGUCAUCAGGUCAACAGGGGCUGGUCCGGGUCAAACUGACCAGUGGGGUCCACUGGUCAGUGACACAGUGCUGACUAGUGUCGUUGACAGGUGGGGCCAGGUCAACGGCCACGUCAGCAGAGUCAAUGCUGACGGGUGGGUCCUACUGCUUAUGAACUAAUCUAAACAGAAAAUAAAAUUAACCUAAACAGGCCCAAGGCCCACAUGGCAGUGGCUUUAGGGGGGGGGUUAGUUAGUGCGUCAUUAGCGCUAAUGGUGGUGCCACGUCAGCGUCGCCGGAUUAAGCACCGGCGACCACAUCUCGCGGCGGAGGCUCGCCGGAGUUGCUCGGACUCGCGCUACAGGCGGCAGUUUGCGACGCGGUUGGGUCCUACGAAGAGCUGGGGCUCGUGCGCAUCCAGCGGUGGCAGUGAGAGGGCGCGAGGUGGUCCAUAGCGGCGGCAGCGGCGAGCUGGGCGGCGGCCGGAGCUCGGGUGUCGACGGAAUCGACGACACGGCGCGCGGGAGGACCAGCGGUAUGCACCUACAUGAUCGACGAGAGCUCACGAACCCAACGGAGGCACGCACGUGACCAUUUGGUCACCGGAGCCUCGUCGGCGACGACCUCGUGCGGCGGCGGCAUACGGGACUCGCGGUCAUCGGCCUUGCAGCAAGAAAUCGACCAUGGGGAGAGGGGGAGAUGACGGCGGGGCUCACAGGGAUUCGAACGGCGCCGUCGUUGAGCUCGGGGAGGGACUGGGCGAUGCAGACCAACGGGCAAAGUCCGGCGGCAGAUGCGGCGGUGACGAGCUCGGAGGCAUCGUCACAGGGUGUCCGGCGGUGCUUGGCUUGGUGGGGAGGUCGAGGAUGUCGUGACGGAGCUCCUGGGCUGCUCAAGGGGACGAGGGAGGGGCCAUGGCCGCGGUGGUUCUCGUCGGCGGCGGCAGGCGCGUUCGGUGAGGAGAACAGAGGUGGGGGAGAGUGUUCGGGGAAGAGAGAGGGAGCAGCGAGGGAGGAAGAGGAGCGAGGGGACACGAGGCGUCGUCGUGGCGUCGCUAGGGAGACCGGGGGAAGCAGGAGGUGGCCGGGGCAUCGCCAGCGCUCGCCACCGAGCAGCUUCGGUGCGAGGGGAGGAAGACGACAGGAGAAGGGUGGGCUGGGCUGCGCUGGGCCGGUCCUGUUGGGCCACCAGGUGGGCUUCACAGGUAAGUCCAGGUGGUUCUGCUCUCUUUUCUUUUUUUAUAAUUCUGUUCUGUUUUUCUUUUAUUUAAUUCUUUUGCCACUGUUUUGAAUUAAAAAUAAUAAUUCAAACAAUGCCAAAGCUCCUCUGAAUAUUUUUAUUUUGCUAUAUGGACUUUUCCAAAAGCUCAUAAAGUAUUUCAAGGGUAUUUGAAAUUAUAUUCUAGUUAUAUGAAUAUAAUUCAAAUUCAAAUAGCUAAUGAUUUAAACUCAAAGUCCCAAAAAUAAAUCGUGAAAAAUGUUCAAUAUUUUGGUUGGGACCAGAACCCUUACCAAAAAUUAUCAAACAUUUAAGAAGAGCAUUUUUGGAGCAAUGAAUGAGAUUUCUAGGGUUUUUGCCCCUCUUUUAUUUAAGUUUUUGAGGCUUCCAAAAUUCCUCAGUUCAAGUUUCGAAAAUAUAGACAUGAUGCACACAUGAAGCUAGCCUAGAGCACUACCAGCAGCUAGGGAUGUGACAUAAAUUACCUUUCCGGCUGAGCUUCCAUUCUUUUAACUGGAGUUGGUUCUCGACCAAUCCAAUUGUCGUUGGUUGUACCCUAAGGCUAUUCAACUUAUCCAUCCCUAAUCAGAGCAUUGCUUUUGAUCCCUUGAUUUGGAAAUCAUAAUUCCUUUGCAUUUGACAAUUGAGUUAGUCAGUUGUUUCUAUAAUCUGAUCUCCUUGCAUUCUUCUUCCUCUAGUUGAGUACCGAUACUCGUAUCAGAUCCCUUGUGGACCAUCAAGUCCUUUGUUGGAUUUAUCUGACAACGCCCUUCAUAUUCAAUAACCUUGUGAGCCUUUCCUCGGAUACAUAAUGCCUUUGGUAAAUUGUAUCCUCUGCUUUUCUCAACCAUGCUCUGCCAUCGAGUUUGUGUUAUUUACUCUUGAAACUUGUUGUAUAUGUUUCUAAGAAGCCCCUAUGGGUUGAACAUAUGCCUUCUCUAAACCGUGUGAACCCGAAAGUUUUCACGAGUCAUACCCUUCUGGUGCUUCACCAGACAAAAUUUCAACACUACAACUUCAUCGAACGUGAGAAGUGAAUGAAAGGUUAUGCACUGGAGAAGUGGGAGUCGACCUUGAACCUUGUGUUCAUGCCCAUGGACGCGAUAUAUAUCCUAUCAUGAAAGCUUCUUGUAACAAUAACUAUUUCCUUGAUAACUAACCUAUGGUAUCUGUGAAUUGAUCCCUUGCAACCGUGGUUCCGACCAUGAUUGUUCUUCUUUGAUCUCAUUUCUCGGACAAGUUAAAACAAUUGUCUUCUAUGGAUCAAUACACCAGUCCAACCUUUACUUUGAUCUUGUGUCGAGUAUUACCCCCUGGUAUCUCGAGAUUAUCAUGGAACUGCAUAACUUUUAUGAGUUCUUCAUCAAGUGCUACCUUCCCAUUGAUUCCAAUUUUUCGCGGGCUCUGAGUUAUUGAACACUCAAAGACCCCGAUAACUGAACCGAGUCUGCUCUACGGUUCAACAACUCUUCAGUAAGCUUCUAUAAGUACGAGUUUGUACCCGAUCACGCCAUUCCUAGCAUGUUUGGCUAUAUCAUUGUCAUGAUGAUUCUAACUGUGCUACCUGGUCCUUAUUCUCGGAGCACCAAUUUUCGACGAUGAACUAACCUUACGUCGAUCCUCAUCGUCAUAUCAUUUCGCCUUGAACAACAAGCUUGGUUUCGAGUUUGUGUCGUAACUAUGGUUCCAAUAACCUCUUGCUUCAUCAUUCCUUUGACUUGUUGUCAUCGCUGAUUGACUACAUCUGCAUGAAAUCUCCCGACAAUUGUGUCGUGAUCAUCAUCAACCUUAUGAGCUCUUCCAGGAAUUCAAUUGAAUUCAUGAUGGGUAAUACCAUCCUUGCCCCUGAUGAUUCCUGUUCUCAUCAACCACUUUAUUGCCUUCCGUUCAACACAACUUGUUCGUGUUUUGUGUAAACCUUGAGAUCACUGCUACCCAGCAGUUGAUCUUCCUUACCUCGGAAGUAUUACCACCUCUUUUUGUCAAGAAUGUGGUGAGAAUUUCACCACCUCUUAAUGAGUCUUGAUAUCAUAAUACUUCUUGCCAUCUUCGUUCAUUCCUUGGUCCCCGUAUUGUUUUCAACCGGAAUACCGACAAUGGAGCUAUGACGUGUGAAUUCAAAACUUCUAGCAACCCUAUUGCUUUGAAGUGAAUGGGCGAUAGUUCAUUCUAAGUCCUUCGCUAAUUGAAUCACCAUUCUGACAUUGGUCGUGCAACCCAACCCAUAUUUCGGGCGCACCUUUCAACCAAUGUUUAAUUGUGUAUGUUUUCCUCGAGCAUACUUCCUUAUAUCAUUUGUUCUGACAAAUGUUAUCUCCUUGUUCACUUAAUGGUGGAAAUCCAUCUUUUGGGGAUCUCGGUGAAUUGCCGUUGAGUUCACCAGACACCUCCUUGUCCUCUCCUUGGGUUAAUGAUGAACUCUUGUUAACGGAAGUCACUUCAUAGUUCAUUUCCCGAGAANNNNNNNNNNCCACUACUACCGCGCCGCGGUCGCCCCUACUUCGCCUUCGCCGCUCCGCGACCGGCUCCCCCGGGGCUCGGCCUCUGCCCCGCGGUGCCGCGGCCCGCACCUGACCAUGCCCACAGCCGCCUGGCUCGCCGCUGUCCUGCUCCCCGCCGGUGACCGCCCUCGCCCCGCGGCCAUCCCCUGCACCCGGGCGGGCUUCGCCCUGCACGCGCCCGCUACACAGCCGCCCGUUUUGGCCCCCUGGGCCACUGACCCAGGGGCCCCACACCCCUUUUUCCUCUAAAAAAAUAAAGUAAAUAAAUAAAAAGUUAAUUAAUAAUUACAAUAAUUAAUUAAUUAAGGAUUUAAUUAAGUUAAUUAAUCAUAUUUAGAUUAAUCUAAUUAGUAAUUAACCUAGUCAAUUAACUAAACUAAUUAAACCUAAUUAAUUAGUCUCAAACUAUGACAGGUGGGUCCCACUGGACCCACCGGUCAGGUUGACUCUGGUCAACGGACCGUUGACCGCUGACGUCACCUCUACGUCAUGCUGACGUCACCAGGCACUGUUCUGGAUAAUGCUGAAUUAAAAUAAUUAAAUAAAUCCUAAAAAUGAAUUAAAUCUUUUAAAAUCAAUAUAAAAUAAACCGUAGCUCGGAUGGAAAAACUUUGUACAUGAAAGUUGCUCAGAACGACGAGACGAAUCCGGAUACGCAACCCGUUCGUCCGCCACACACCCCUAACAUAUCAAACUCGCAACUUUCCCCCUCCGGCUCCUCUGCCCGAAAACACGGAACACCGGGAAUACUUUCCCGGAUGAUUUCCCCCUUCGCCAGCAUCACCUCAUACUGCGUUAGGACACACCUAGCACCGCUCUUUGUCAUGUCUUGCGUCGUCUUGCUUAUGUUUGCACUGUAUUUAUUGUUUCUUCCCCCUCUUCUCUUCGGUAGACUACGAGACCGACGCUGCUGCUGCCCAGUUCGACUACGGAGUUGACGACCCCUCUCUUUUGCCAGAGCAACCAGGCAAGCCCCCCCCCUUGAUCACCAGAUAUCGCCUAUUCUACUCUAUACUGCUUGCAUUAGAGUAGUGUAGCAUGUUACUGCUUUCCGUUGAUCCUAUUCUGAUGCAUAGCCUUACAUUGUUGCUACAUCUGUUGAUACCUUACUUGCAAUCCUAAAUACUUGGUAUAGGAUGCUAGUUUAUCAUCAUUGGCCCUACAUUCUUGUCAGUCUGCCUUGCUAUACUAUUGGGCCGUGAUCACUCGGGAGGUGAUCACGGGUAUAUACUAUACAUACAUACAUACUAUACAGAUGGUGACUAAAGUCGGGUCAGCUCGAAGAGUACCCGCGAGUGAUUCACGGAUUGGGGGCUGAAAGGACCUUUGUCCCGACGGCCCUCUGUGUGGAUCUUUGUGGCGGAGCGACAGGGCAGGUUGAGACCACCUAGGAGAGAGGUGGGCCUGGCCCUGUUCGGUGUUCGCGGAUACUUAAUAUGCUUAACGAGAUCUUGGUAUUUGAUUUGAGUUGGCUACGAGCUUAUACGCACUAACCAUCUACGCGGGAGUAGUUAUGGGUAUCCCGACGUCGUGGUAUCAGCCGAAGCACUUCAGACGUCAGCGACGGAGCGGCGCGCGCCGAAUUGGACUGGAACGCCACUAGGCUAGGUCUGCUUUCGGCCGCCCUCGCAACGUGCAGGUGUGCUAUGGGCGAUGGGCCCAGACCCCUGUGCGCUUAGGUUUAGACCGGCGUGUUGGCCUCUCUGUUGUGCCUAGGUGGGGUUGCGACGUGUUGAUCUUCCGCGGCCGGGCAUGACCCAGGAAAGUGUGUCCGGCCAAAUGGGAUCAAGCGUGCUGGGUAAGUUGGUGCACCCCUGCAGGGAAGUUAAUCUAUUCAAAUAGCCGUGAUCUUCGGUAACAGGACGACUUGGAGUUGUACCUUGACCUUAUGACAACUAGAACCGGAUACUUAAUAAAACACACCCUUCCAAGUUCCACAGACAACCCGGUGAUCGCUUUUCUACAGGGCGACGAGGAGAGGAUCGCCGGGUAGGUUUAUGCUAUGCGAUGCUGCUUGGAGAUGCUACUUGAAGAUGCUACUUGGAGGACUUCAAUCUACUCUCUUCUACAUGCUGCAAGACGGAGGCUGCCAGAAGCGUAGUCUUCGACAGGAUUAGCUAUCCCCUUCUUAUUCUGGCAUUCUGCAAUUCAGUCCACUGAUAUGGCCCUUUACACAUAUACCCAUGCAUAUGUAGUGUAGUUCCUUGCUUGCGAGUACUUUGGAUGAGUACUCACGGUUGCUUUUCUCCCCCUUUUCCCCUUUCCCUUCUACCUGGUUGUCGCAACCAGAUGCUGGAGCCCUGGAGCCAGACGCCACCGUCGACGACGACCCCUGCUACACUGGAGGUGCCUACUACUACGUGCAGCCCGCUGACGACAACCAGGAGUAGUUAGGAGGAUCCCAGGCAGGAGGCCUGCGCCUCUUUCGAUCUGUAUCCCAGUUUGUGCUAGCCUUCUUAAGGCAAACUUGUUUAACUUAUGUCUGUACUCAGAUAUUGUUGCUUCCGCUGACUCGUCUAUGAUCGAGCACUUGUAUUCGAGCCCUCGAGGCCCCUGGCUUGUAUUAUGAUGCUUGUAUGACUUAUUUAUGUUUUAGAGUUGUGUUGUGAUAUCUUCCCGUGAGUCCCUGAUCUUGGUCGUACACAUUUGCGUGCAUGAUUAGUGUAUGAUUGAAUCGGGGGCGUCACAUGUUGGAUACCCACAUACUGGUGUAGGAUAUGAGAAGAUGUACUCCCCUUAUAUAGAAUUAAAAGGGUUGUAUGGCAGUGCUAUUUGACUAUACAAAGACCAUGUAAAUCUUUAGUAAAAAUUAACAUACAUAACACAGAAAAAGUGUUAUUUUACGGAUACUAUUAACUAUCUUCCAAAUAUACAUAUGUGAGUGCAUCCACAUCCUUCUUUGCAACCACUGAUAUGUAUUUCUUCUGAUGUAAGUAUUGACAUCCAUAUAUAGAACUAUUAACACUUCUAAAACUAGAAAUAUUAAAUGAUUGCCAUUUGACCACAUCCAUAUCCUUAUCUAGAAGUAUUAAUGGGAGUUAAACCCAACUAAGUUUUACUCUAAUAUACAAAAUAAUUGUAGCAAAAUUUAUUUGGUUGUUAAUUGCGUACAAAUCCUUUGUUGAUCACAUUGAUUACAUCCUCCUAAUGUAUCAGUGAUCAUAUUGAUUACAUCCAUAUCCUGUACUAGGAACUACCUAAUCUAGAAGUGGUCAUCCUUUAAUCCAUAGUAUCCAAGUAUAACAUGGACCUUGCUUUGGGGCUUAACUUAGAAAUUGAGAUACGAACUAGGAAAGAUAUACUAAGAGCAACUAGAAAAUACUAGGACAUUUGGUAAGUCAUGGUAUAACACAUAUGUUACUCGGAGCAUCGACCUGCCUCCUUGGUAAGCCCAGUUCCCGCUCAAGAUGUGUUUUUAUUGGUUACACAUGCAUAUCUUGGGCCCUAGUUUUUUAUGGCCCAUAAAAUAAUAUGUGUAAGGCUUUUUCUGGAAGGAUCCAACACAACCUAAUCUAUUAUGUAUUAGAAGUAAUUGACGGGCUCACCAGAAAAAGAUAAAAAUGCUAGAAAAUAACUCAAAAAUAAAAACAACUAACUCUCUAUCUAUUAUAUAUUAAAAGCAAUUGACGGGCUCACCGGAAAAAAGAUAAAAAUGCUAGAAGAUCUCUCAAAAAUCAAAAACAUCCGACUGUCUAUUUAAUUGGCUAAUAUUUUAUAACCAUUAGAUUAGUUUUAAGUGAAAUAACUACCCACCAUUGCCACUAUAAGAAAAAAGUGUUUCAUCUAACUUAUUAGGACGUGGGCUGAUGCCAUCUUAUUAGGACGUGGGCUGAUGCCAUAUUAUAUUGGAAAAAAAGUUAUGUUCCCAUAGUACCAAAAGGACUGCUCACACACAGUGGCAACAAUGUUCAUGUAAAUGUCCUUGUGAUUAAUUCCCCCUUGGUAGAGUACCUGAAAAAGCCUCCAGAUUCGAUCUCCACGGAGCAGAGAGGUAUGCGGCACAAAAAUCAUCUGUUAAUAUUCCUGAGGUUUUUGGGAGUAUAUAAAGGCAGGGGAAGAAAGAUGCGAUGGAGGCAACCUCUAUGGCGGCCAUGCUCCCCCUUGGAUGCUCGUGCCGACCUGUGGCAUGUGGCCUAGGGGGGCCAGGUGGGUCUAGGUCCCUCCGGCUUCCUUUCUUCAUGAGACUUAGUGUUUUUUUCUAGUUUUUUGGUCCCUAAAAAGUUGUUUUUUUUUCUGAAAAUCCAAAAAAACAACAACUGGCACUUUGCACUGAAUUAAUAGGUUAAUCAAGAAAAACUAUAAAAGUUGAUGCCAAUACUAUGCCAUUAUGAUAUAAGUAUAGCAUGAAAUAAUAAAAAUUUCUUGAUACGUAUAUUACAUAUCAACUGGCAUGAAUAAAUUGAUGUUUUUCUAGGGCUUGUUAAUACUCGACAAUAUUGUUCUCCUACAUAACCAGACACAAGGUACUCCUUGGUGCCUAAUGGUUCGGUGUCCAGGCUAAAAUUGUGUCUAGCAUGAAUAAAUUGAUGGCUUUCUCUAUCGCUCACUAUUACUUGAUGACACUUUUGAGCUGGGUAGCUGGACAGAAGCGAGGUUCUUCCUACCAAUUAGAAAUGGGCGACUCCCAUUCCGUAGCCAUCUGCACGUUACUACAAGCUAAAAUGGUGACAAGCACGAACAAAUUGUUAUAUUUCUCCAAGGUUCAUUAAUAAUACAUGGUACUAUUCGGUUGGAUAGCCACAUAGAAGUAAUGUACUCCUUUUCAAUUUGAGGGGACGAAUCUUGGCCUGUAUCGUAUGGUGACUAGCACGAAUAAAUAGGUGUCUUUCUCUACAACAAAUGAUUGAUGGUACUAUUCAGCCAGACAACCAGACAGAAGCAAGGUACUCCCUGAUUUCCUGCCGAUUCAAGGUGGAUGGCUGCUGGUCAUAUGUGCAUUAAUCCAAACUGAAACCGUGACUAGCACGAAUAAAUCGAUGUCUUUCUUUUUGGCUCUUUAAUACUUCCACUUUUCGACUAGGUUGUCCGAAAACAUGAGGUGGGCACCUCCUGAUACGGAGACGAUGCACAUUAAUCCAUGCUACAAUGGUGACUUGCACAAAUAUAUUGAUGUCUUUCUCUAAGGCUCAUUAACACUUGAUGGUAUCGUUUGGUUGGACAACCGGACAAAAAGCAAGGUAUUCCAUGACUUCUUGUCCAUAUAGGGUGGAUGGCUCCAGGCAAGGCCAGUUACACAUUAAUUCGGACUCGUCUAACAUGAAUAAAUGGAUGUCUUUCUCUAUGGCUCAUUAAUACUUGAUGGCGCUCUUUGGUUAGGCGGUGUACAAAAGCAAGGUACUCCCUUCUGAUUUCGGGUGGUUGUGGGGCCACUAGACGGACACAAGCAAGGUACUCCCUGUCACUUGGGGGGAUAUUUUAAAUAUUAUUUUUUAUUACAUAAAUUUCAAAAAUAUAUCCCUAAAAUAUAAUAUUUAACCAGUAGUACUCCGACAUGUCAGUGCCAACAAUGACAGGUAUCGUUGGCACUAGCAAUGAUACAUCUUUUCUGUUGUCGUUUUGAGUCACAUGGGCCAUCAUGAGUGCAUCCUACAUCAGCCCUCCCGCAUGACACACUCGUACAGAGCUAGCUAUGUUAGAGCAUGUACAAUGGUGCUAUCUUCGCAAUGUCACCUAAGAUCACUGUUGAGUUAGAAGAGAGCGAAUGGAGGGGGAAAAAGGCUUGCCAUCUCUUACCUAAGAGAUGGUCUCUCAGUAAAGAAGAUAAGACAAUUCUAUCCAUUUUACUAGAUGGCAUCUCUUAGCUACAUAUUUUCUAGUUUAAUUUUAACCAUCGCAUUAAUUUAAGAGCAUGUAAACGUUGCUUGUUAGUCUAAGAGUUAAUUCAUUGUAUUAUAUGUUUUUAAGCUUCUCCAAAUGACAUACAUAGCAUACAUUGCAUUAGCCCUCCCACAUGACACACUCAUACAGAGCUAGCUACCUUAGGUCGUGUACAAUGAUGCUAUCUUCGCAAUGUCACCUAAGAUCAUUGAUGAGUAAAACAAGAGUGAAUGGAGGAAAAAAGGUUUGCCACCUCUUACCUAAGAGAAGGUCUCUCAGGAAAAGAAGAUAAGACAAUUCUAUACAAUGUACUAGAUGUCAUCUCUUAUAUUUUCUAGUUUAAUUGUAACCAUCGCAUUAAUUUAAGAGCAUGUAGGUUGCUUGUUAGGCUAAGAGCUAAUUCAUUGUAUAAUAAGUUUUUAAGCUUCUCCAAAUGACAUACAUAGUAUACGAGAAUAUUGUAACGAAUAACUAUUUAUGUACAGUGUGCUCAGUCUAUGAAGAUAUAAAGCAUGUGCUAUUUUAAUGUAAUGUUGCAAGGGAGGUUUGGGAGAAUCUUGGUCUACUGGAACUUACCGAAGAGGCAUGCAUGCUAGACCAUUGAGGUAGUGUUUUUUUCACAAAUUAACGAAUGGUUUUUUAGAAAGAAUGAAAUAUUUAGUUUGAGAACAUUUUAAAAAUUUCGGAAAUUAUUUUUAAUUGGGGAAUAUUUAUAAUUUGAUGAUCAUUUUUAAACAUCCUAAACAUUUAAUUAAUUACAGAAUAUAUUUUUAUAAAGUUGCAAACAUUCUUAAAAUUGAUGGAGUUUUUUUCAAACUUGAAAGCAUUUAUUAAAGUUCUUGAAAAGAUAUUCAAAUGAAUAAAAUUUGUCAGCAUUUGUUAAAAUUUUCACAGUAGGCAACUUUUUAUUAGUUUUCUAGUAAACAGCUCAAAAAUAGAUCUGUACAACUGAGAAAAGGCUAUAUCGCUGUAUAGCCAGAUAUAACCUGUGCUCGCGUCUGAGCCCAUCUUAGUGGGUGGGCCCAAUGGUCCGGAUUUGGAAAGGCAGUACUGAUUGGUACAGACUUGUUUGAGAACAAGUUUCUAAAAAAAAAAACUUGUUUAGAAAAUUUCGAGUAUUUUUUCCUAUUUGUUAUUCGGUGUUUUCCUGUAUACUUCAUUUUUAUUUCCUGUUUGUUUUCUCUAUUGGUUUUCAUCAGUCUCAUUAUUGAAUUUUAUGUUUUUCAUUCCUUUCUCUUUUUUUGCAUUUUUCAAAUACACGUUGACUUUAUUUAAAUACACAUUGAAAAAUGCAUAUACAUGUUGAACCUAUUUGGAUACACAUUGAACAUUUUCCAAAUACAAGUUUAAUAAUUUUUUAAAUACACCUUGAACAUUUCUCAAAUGUACAUUAAACAUCUUUAAAAUACAAUGUGAAAUUUUCUUAAACACAUAAUAAAAAUUUUCAUAAAUGCCAUGAAUAUUACUUUUAGUUGUGCAAGCACUUUUUAAGUGCUACGGAAAUUUCUUCAAAUUCAUGAACCUUUUUUGAAUGGUAGAGAACAUUUUCAGAAGAUUGCACAAACAAAUUUUAACAUUUUAUGAUUUUUUUAAAUGCAACAAACUUAUUUUUAAACAUGUGAACAUCUUUCAAAUAUGAUAAUCAUUUUUUGAAUAUUGUUAACAUUUUCUUCAAGCUAUGCAAACAACUUUUUAACAUUACAUGAAGACUUUUUAAAGUUGAUCAACAUUUUGAAAACUUAAUAAAAUAAAAUAAAAAGUAAACUAAUACCCAAAAAUAUUUAGAAAUAUAAAAUAUAUAUAAAAAAAUCAAACACAAACAAACAAAACAGAGCAAGACUCCCUACUGUUGCCGUUUGCUCGACUACCAGCAGGCAGCGGCCUAGUCCAUGUUGCUGUCAUCCACUCAUCCCCCAAAAAAGUACAUGAUGCUGUAAAAUAAAUGAAAAUGAGUUUAUUUGACCAUUUUUUUACUACUAAAUAAAAUACUUUUUGUAGCCUUAAAAAAACCGGAUAACGAACCGGUGAACUGGCGGUCCAAUCAAUCCAUGAAAACUUGAACCGACAGCUUCACUGGUUUAGUCACUGAUCCGAUUUCUAAAACUAUGGUGUAAAGGGUUGACCAACAAAUUUUUUAAACGAGAGUAGCUAGCUACCUUAGGUCAUGUACAAUGAUGAUAUCUUCGCAAUGUCACCUAAGAUCAUUGAUGAUCUAAACGAGAGUGAAUGGAGGAAAAAAAGGCUUGCCAUCUCUUACCUAAGAGAAGGUCCCUCAAGAAAACAAGAUAAGACAAUUCUAUCCAAUGUACUAGAUGUCAUCUCUUAUAUUUUCUAGUUUAAUUUCAACCAUCACAUUAAUUUAAGAGCAUGUAAUCUUUGCUUGUUAGGCUAAGUGCUAAUUUAUUGUAUGAUAUGUUUUUAAGCUUCUCCAAAUGACAUACAUAGCAUACAAUACUAUUUUGUGUACAAUGUGCUCGUUCUACAUGGUAAGAAAACGGAGAGGAAGAAAAAGGUGCUGCUCAAAAGCAUAAGCAUGGCCUCGGGCCUACGAGCACAAGUUCAACACACAACUCAGCCAUCUAAAAGGAAACAUGAUGAAAAGAUCCAUUCAAUGCCUCCAGCCACCUUAAAAACUACCGGCCUCAUUUAAAGGCAAAAACUGUUUCUCGCAUGACACGCGAAUUUUCUUGAGGAAACCGAAAAUGUAUACAAACCGAACAUGUAUACAGUAUAGUAUAUCCAAGUUUACCCGAUGAUUCAGCUAGCUAACAUGGACAGCUUAUUUGGGUGAACUAAAAGACAAACUAGCAGCCACCACACUGAAUCUUGACUACUUGAAAUCCACCCGGCUCCCUACAUUUGGGUGAACUGAAAAAAGAAAAAACCUAUAUAGAUGAAAUACACAAAUAAAAAAGUAUAAGUUGAUGCAUUCGUGAGGUGCUUAUUUAUUUAUGUUUAUCUCUUUUCUUUCAAACAAAAAAAAAUCUAGACUGAAAAAUUGGUUUUAGCCUGCCACAAUUGAUCCAAAUACUCACUAAGACAAAAUAAAAACACAUGUAUAAGUUGUUAUACUGGACAAAAACUUAACAAGAAUACUGUCAUGGAAAAUGGAAGAACAUGGAUCUAGACUGAAAAACAAAAAUCAACCAUGAUUGAUACAAGAUUAUAUUGAAAUUCUAGCAUGAGAUGCUGAAUCUCUGCACACUACAUAAGAUUAUACUGAAUUUCUAGCACGAGAUACUGAAUCUCUGCACACUACACAAGAUUAUACUGAAUUUCUAGCACGAGAUACUGAAUCUUUGCACACUACACAAAGAUAUACUGAAUUUCUAGCAGGGGAUACAAAAAAACUGCCUAUUGUUUUCAAUCUAAAUCGCCCAAAACAACAUGUUGAAUCUCUAUCUACUUGAAAUCCACAUCCCACAUUUGGAGAAUUUAAGGAACAAACCCUGCAUAGAUCAAAUACACAAACAAAAAAGGGGACGUGCUAAACUGUAACGAACCCUACCCACGUUUGGCUAGAAUCGUGGGGCAAACCUAGAUCGAUGAACACACAAACAAAUAACAGAGGAUGGUGCUAAAUCUGUGAGCAAGGAACAGUAACCGGAUAGAGAAAAAAAAACAAAGAAAAGAAGGGCAACUCACUCCAAUGGCGUCUCUCUCCCAUCUCGCUCGCCAAAAAUCACCGCCGCCUGGAGGAGCUCCUGUUGAGGAGGAUUUGUUUUUUGAGGGUCCUGUUGAGGAGGAAUUGGGAACAUGAGAAAUUAGUGCGAUGGGAAACAAGGAUGGUCGCCCCCUAUGGACUUCGAUGUGAGAUAGUUAUUUCACAUCUAGAUGUGAAAAAUAGCAAAUCUGUAGAAAAUUAUCUUCACGUCUGUACUAAGGCAUGCAUAGUCUGCUAUGAGAAAAAGUACAAUUGAAAUUCUAUCUCAACUCUUCAGUUUUAAUGCAGCACAUGAUUCAAUCAAAAAAAUGCAUACAUAUAUGUACAUAGCAUCAACUCCAACAUUCAAAAAUACAAAAACCAGGGGUAGGUCAUAUCUCUCUUCCUCAAAAACAUGACAAGUAGAAAAUUGUUUGCUCGGGAAACCAUUCAGUGACUAACACACUAAUUUAAUACCACGGGUGCACACUACUUUAACCUAUACACAUAAAAUAAACAGAGAUGGCAUUUUGCUAAAUCUGAAGUGGGAAGAAAAGAAAAAACACAUAAAUCAUGGAAAAACGCCACAUACUUGGCUGCUCCUCUCCUCCCCCUCCCCUUCUCGCUCCCAAACAAUCGCCGCCACCUGACAUAAAAAAAAAACAGAUGUCACAAAAACAAAUGACUGAUAUAAAUCGAAACUAGCUCUGUCAAAACAUACAUACUAAAACUAAGACAUAUAUCAACUACAUACUGCUAAAACAUAAAAACAAAUGUACAAAUCUGCCACUGAGUCUAGCAAAAAAACACUAAUCCAAAAAAAUCAACCUGAACGAAAAACACAUGGUCUCCGCUGAUUCAUCUCUGAGUUGCUUCUCUAUUUAUAUUCAGUUGUUUGCAUAUAAAAAAAGUUGAUUCACAAACUCUUAAAAAAGUUGAGUUCAGACGGCAACAAGUAGACCACAUGCUCACAAAAAAAGUCAAACACAAAAAAUGUAGCAGAUCAUAUAAAAUCUGAAUCACAACACUGAAUCUUUCUGAAUCUGUAUCUACUGUGAAUUUAGCAGAGCAUAUAAAAUCUGAAUCACAACACUGAAUCUUUCUGAACAUUUAUCUUUCCGAAUCUGUAUCUACUGGGAAUUUAGCAGAGUAUGUAAAAUCGGCCCCAUUAAACAAACUACACACCACAUGGCACUGAAAAAAUCUUUCUGAAUCAUCUGUGAAUCUAUCAGAGAGAUUGAACAAAAAUCUGCUCCAUCCAUCAAAGCCUAACACUGAACAAAACAUCCCCACCUACCAAAAAAGAGGCUAUAAUCUAUACAAAAAUGAGCAGUGACACACUCAAUUCUUUAUCAAUCCUUAUCUACACCCGAAAUCCUCACCUCACCNNNNNNNNNNNNNNNNNNNNNNNNNNNNNNNNNNNNNNNNNNNNNNNNNNNNNNNNNNNNNNNNNNNNNNNNNNNNNNNNNNNNNNNNNNNNNNNNNNNNNNNNNNNNNNNNNNNNNNNNNNNNNNNNNNNNNNNNNNNNNNNNNNNNNNNNNNNNNNNNNNNNNNNNNNNNNNNNNNNNNNNNNNNNNNNNNNNNNNNNNNNNNNNNNNNNNNNNNNNNNNNNNNNNNNNNNNNNNNNNNNNNNNNNNNNNNNNNNNNNNNNNNNNNNNNNNNNNNNNNNNNNNNNNNNNNNNNNNNNNNNNNNNNNNNNNNNNNNNNNNNNNNNNNNNNNNNNNNNNNNNNNAUGGACACACAAACAAAAAGAAACAAACUCAUGGAGGCAUUGGAAGCAUGAACCCAAGAUCGAUUAACACACAAAAACAACCCAUAAACUAGAUAUUAGAUCUGUGAGCAAACCACAUACACGAAGAAAGAAGAGAAGAAAGGGGAGAACAACAGAUGCAACUCACUCCAAUGUCUCUCUCUCUUCUUGUAGCUCUCCAAAAGUCGCCGUCGCCUCCAAGAGCAACUGACCAAGAGGAGAAUGGGGAACGGGGCGAAAUGAAUGCCUCGGGAAGGAGAAGGAUGUGAAGAGGACAAACCUGAAUCACCGCCCUCUAAUUCACGAAACUACUCUCGCAGAGAAAAAAGACGGCCCGCCAGCCCAACAAACAACGGCCCGCUACGCAAAAUCCACUGGAAAGAACGGGCUGUGAGACAGGCAACGAGAGCUCCUAUAUGAGGCUAAUUGAACUGGGACUCGAACCAGCGACCUUCAGGUCAAGCGCGUGCUAUGCUAGCCACUGCAACCAACAAGCUCUAGUGAUGAAUUAGCAGGAGAACAAUAAAAGAAACAACAACGACAUCGAUAAAACUCAAUGUUUGCUAAAAAUCCAAAAAAUUCAAACAAGAACAUUUUUCAAAAUUACAAACAAAUUUGUAAAAAAAAUUCGAAAAACGAGAACAGAAAAUUGAAAUUCUGAACAAAUUUCGAAAAAAUAAUGAAAUCUGAACCUCCAAACUUUCUGAAAAAACGAACAGAUUUAUAAAUUCAGAACAUUUUUUAGAAAAAUGAACAGCAUCUAAAAUAGUAAACUUUUUUCAGAACACAAACAAAAUUCAAAAGUGAGAACAUUUUUUGCAAAUGCGAACAAAAUUUUGAAACUCUAAGCAUAUUCUGCAUGAUUUUCUUUGGAAGUUGUGAACAUUUUUUAACAAUGCGAACAAUUUUAGAAAAUGUGAACAAAAUUCUGAAUUUCGAACAUUUUUCAGAACAUGAACAAAACUCCAAAACAUUUUUUGAAGCGAUGAACAAAUUUCGAAAUUACAAAUAUCUUUAUUAUUUGAGAACAAUUUUUUUGAAAAUGUGAACAAAAGUUGGAAUUUUUUGAACAUCUUUUUGAAUUGGAAUCGAAAACAUGAAAACAGGAACAUUUUUUCAAAUUGUGAUUUUUUUGGCAAUGUGAACAUUAUUUCAAAAUAUGAACAAAUUUUGAAAACAAGAUUUUUUUGAAAAUUAUGAACAAUAUUUUAACUUAAAAUAAAAUAAAAAAUAAAGAAAAAUGAAAGAAAAGAAAAGACAGUGAAGAAAACCCGAAAAAAACAGUAGAAGGAACAAAAGUUUUUUGGAAAUUCUGUGUACUGGUUUUAAGUUCUGGCGCUGCUGUGUGUUUCUCUUAAUUUCACGUUGUUGUUUGUUAACGUGAACGAGCCAGUCGGGGUGGCUAGCGCGGCUUGUACAUCUACAGGAGGUGCUGGGUUUGAUCCCUGGCGAAAACUCAUUUUGCUGUUUUUAAUCUCGCGAGAAGGGAAACGACCGUAAAUGGGCCGGCCCAGGGUGAGCUGUGCCCUGUGCGAAGGCGCGACAAUUUGCCGCAAUAAGCGGCGAAUAGGAAAUUCCACAGGCAACAGCACCAGCGACACGAGCGCGCACGAAGCGGGACGAAAAAAGUUGUACGCGCGAAUUUCAAAGACAGGACAAAAUCCAAUGGCUAUGCAUUUAGAUGUGAGAUAGCUACAUGUGAAAUAGCUAACCUGAAAAAUAAAUCGACAUGUGACGAACCACACAGAUCCAUUUAGCAACAGAAAAUUAAGAUCCAAGAUAAAGUGGGAGUUGAGGAACACAUGCAUCCACGCACAAGCACAUUGAAAGAGCACUUGACAGAAAGCGGUUCGCCAGCAAAACAAACCUGUUUGCAUUAAACAAUAGCACAGUACAUAGGGCCCAUCCAACCAAACUCUACGUAUCCCAUGACCACGCAGGGGAGGGACAUGCACGAACCCACGCGUCAUCUACAUAGAGCAACCACAGAGAUGAGGAAAAGAAUCCACCACUUCACUGAGUUUCCAUGCAUCUCUGAGCAUAGCCUACUUAGCUAGACUGCUCACGUCUUACGACCAAGUUGUAAUAAGUAAUACAAUACACACAUAGCAUCGCGGAAGCAACAAUCCCCUGAAUGGAAGCCAUGGCCAGCAGAGUCUGUGCUAUCUUGCCGCCUGCGUCUUUCUCAUCUCCGCCGUCUACACUAGCUUUCCUGUGUCCAUGAACCAAUGCAACUCCUCUCUAGCGAGAGCGCUCCUGGGCGUCUCCGCCGUACAUCCCUACAUCUUCUCUUGCGCAGACGACGUCCUUACCGCCGCCCAACAUGCACCUACCUACAGCCGCGCCAGCCUGAAUAUUGGCGGGCCUCUGGUGACCAGCCAAUCCACGUGCCGCAAGCCAAAGCUUCCGCCGCAUGCGCUCCCGCCCUUUUUCUGCUGCCCUCCCACGUCCGCGGCCGAGCCCAUCAACUUCACCCUCCCAGACCCGGCCGAGCCGCUCAGGGUCAGGCGGCCGGUGCACCUCAUGGGGGCGGCCAAGGACGAGCGCGCCAUAGCACUCAUGAAGGCGCUGCCUCACACCGACCCACGCAGCUUCUACCAAAUGGCCAACAUCCACUGCGCGUAUUGCACCGGCUCCUACCGCCAAAUGGGAAACCCGGAGCUUAACAUGCAGAUCCAUUUCUCGUGGCUCUUCUUCCCGUUCCAUUGCGCUUACCUCUACUUCUUUUUUUUUCUUUUUUUUUUUGCGAGGCGCGCUUACCUCUACUUCUUUGAGCGCAUCACCGCCAGGCUGCUUGUGGAGCCCGACUUUGCCCUGCCCUUCUGGAGCUGGGACGUGCCAGACGGGGAUGCGGAUGCCGCCUGAGUUUGCCAACUCGUCGUUGCCGUUGUACGAUCCGGUGCGGAACCCGAGGCACGCGUCGCCCAAAGCUCGUGGACCUCGNNNNNNNNNNNNNNNNNNNNNNNNNNNNNNNNNNNNNNNNNNNNNNNNNNNNNNNNNNNNNNNNNNNNNNNNNNNNNNNNNNNNNNNNNNNNNNNNNNNNNNNNNNNNNNNNNNNNNNNNNNNNNNNNNNNNNNNNNNNNNNNNNNNNNNNNNNNNNNNNNNNNNNNNNNNNNNNNNNNNNNNNNNNNNNNNNNNNNNNNNNNNNNNNNNNNNNNNNNNNNNNNNNNNNNNNNNNNNNNNNNNNNNNNNNNNNNNNNNNNNNGCCAACAUCCACUGCGCGUAUUGCACCGGCUCCUACCGCCAAAUGGGAAACCCGGAGCUUAACAUGCAGAUCCAUUUCUCGUGGCUCUUCUUCCCGUUCCAUUGCGCUUACCUCUACUUCUUUUUUUUUCUUUUUUUUUUUGCGAGGAGCGCUUACCUCUACUUCUUUGAGCGCAUCACCGCCAGGCUGCUUGUGGAGCCCGACUUUGCCCUGCCCUUCUGGAGCUGGGACGUGCCAGACGGGGAUGCGGAUGCCGCCUGAGUUUGCCAACUCGUCGUUGCCGUUGUACGAUCCGGUGCGGAACCCGAGGCACGCGUCGCCCAAAGCUCGUGGACCUCGACUUCACGUACGCCGACAACAACUUCACCAACGAGCGGUAGAUCCAGCACAACCCUAGGAUCAUGUACAAACAGGUGCCUUACCUACGUCUAUGUCUGUUUGUACCUUCUAAACUACUUAUGGUACGUGUAUUAUAUAUGCACUAGAGAAAAAAAGAUUUGUUCCAUCGUGUUUCACCCCCGCUAUACCCACACAAGAAAACAUAUCAGAAUUUUGAAAAAAAAUCUGAAACUUUAUAAAAAUGAUUAUGAACAAAAGUUAUAGGUACUUACAAAGUUUGGUGGUCAAAUGUUAUUCGAGGAGCUCUGUAAAAAACAAUUACUCAAAAUGUAUGCGCACUGUUUGAGCAGAAUUUGUAAUUUUAUUUUUUGUACAGAGUUCCUAGGAUGUCAUCUGAUGACCAAACUUUGCAAAUAUCAAUAACAUUUGUUCAUAAUCAUUCCUAUAAAGUUUCAGAUAUUUUAAAAAUGUUUUGUUAUGUUUUCUUGCGUGGGUGUAGUAUGGGUGCACCGAGUUAGAGUUCGGCCACUACUUUCCCUUCCGAAUAAGUAGAGUAUAAUCUAUUGGGCGAUCGAUCGGCUUCCGGCAGUGUAAGCCGGGCACAUACACAAAAACAGCAUAGCAAAGGAAGGGCCCUCGGCUUACGGCGUUGUACGCCCACAAGAGCCCGAAAUACACCCUGCUUAUAUGACGCUCUCGGCAUAUCUAUUUAUAUAUAAAAAAUAUUUGACGGAUUAAUCAGAAAGAAGAGAAUUAUGCUAGAAAAUUCCACAUUAAUCAGAAAACAGUGACCCUCGAUGGGAUAGAUCAUGUAUUAAUUUCAAUCUCUAACCGUUUGAUAUGCAUAACAUAAUACGGUGGGUCCAAACCAAGUUCACAUGUAUACACGUCAAGUAACAUUUUUUUUCUAGACAUCAAGUAACAUAUACGUUGAUACCCAUGAUUUAGAUCUGUCACAUGCGUCCACGUUAAAGAAAGAAAUCUCACCUAAAAAAGGAACCAACUUGGUCACGUUUACUCAUGCAUGCACCAGAAAAAUACACUAACCUAAAAUACCGUGACCAACUUGGCCAGGUUAGUCUAAAAAAAAUAGGGCCAGGUUACCUCAUGCAUGCACGUCAUCCCACAAAAAAAAAACUCAUGCAUGCACGUCAAAAAAAAAAGGAUAUGUCACCUAAAAAAAGUAUAGCCAACUUGCACGCUCCCCUUCCAUAUAUUAUUUUGCAUGCAUGCAGAUUUUUUUGACACAUGCAUGCACGCCAAAGAAAAUAUAUAUCUCACCUUAAAAAUAGAAAUAGGCUAGAAAAUCCCAUAAAAAUUAGAGACAUCCGACCAUUUAAUUUGUAGACUAAAAUACGAGAGCCGCUAUAUUAGUUUUAAGAGGAAAAAUUACCCACCAAUGCCACUAUAAAAAAAGAAAAUGUUUCAUUCACCUUGACUAUGAUAAAGAGAACUAGCGUGGGGCUGUUCUCUGAAAAAUAAUUAGCGCGGACCUUUGACUAUACGAUAGAAAUAUAGUAGCCGGGAAAAAAACAUCGAACUUUUCUUAUAUGAUAGGAAAAAAGAAAUGUGGGACUCUCCCUAGAAACAGCUAGCAUGGACUCUUUCCUUGAAAGAAAAAGCUAGCAUGUAAGAUAUUUUUGCGACAAUAAGCUCGCAUGGAACUACAUGCAAAAAUAAAACAUUGUGGCACUAAGAUGUGCUGGUAAAAAAACUAGCGUACUAGGCAGGCAGAUGCCUCAAUAUAUAUGCAUUCAUGCAUCUCUACUCCUAAUGUCUCAGUUGGUAGGUCGCGUUCCGGGUUUAUUUUCGUCCCACAAUUUUCGUCCGGUUUUUUUCGCCGGUUUUUUUGUCCCCUCCCCCCACCCCACCCCACGCACGAACCGCUCCUCUCCCUCUCCUCGCGUGAGCGGAUCCUCUCUUGGUACACUCGCACGCGCUAGGGUUCCUGCGCCGCCGCGAGCUCGUCGACCAGCCCAACUUCCUGCUGCUCCGCGCCUCGCUUCCCUCGUCGCUCGCCUUCGGACUCCUCGCUAGCCUCAGGCGAUCCAUUGCUUGUCUGCAAGCCAAGCCGCCGCCUCUCCGCCGAGAAAGAGGGCUCCCGAUCUCCGCCGUGGUCGACCAACAGCCCAUCGCGCCUGCUCCGUCACCUCGUCACGCGUGCUGUCUGCUCCGCCGCCUCGCCGCCUGCUCCGUCGCCUUGCCACGCGUCGGCCGCCUUCUCCCCCUCAUCUCGCCGCUUCUCUCCGUCCGCACUAGGAGAUCAAGAGGGAAGGGAUCCCCUUUUCUGCAAAGCCCGUGCCUUGCCGGCUUCGGCGGCGGCGCUCGAUGACCCGCUCCUCGUCCUCGAGCACCUCCUCCAGACCUCGAGCUCCGGCAGCGGCGGCGUGGGAAAGACGACCAGGGCAUGGGGAAGACGAAGACUUGCUCCACACACAUGCCACUGCCCCGUGCUUGUCUUGCUCCUUGAGUUGGCGGGCUGAUGAUGGAGGAUCUGCACUCUUCGCUCCACUGGCGCCGUCGCUGCCGCUUUUGCUUCUGCUCCCCGCUCGCCCACGGCGCAGGUCUGUCUUCUGAAUUUACAGGUGAUGUCUGUCUGUUGAAGCACGCAGGUGAGCUGAUUUUGUACAGCGAUUGGAGGAGGAAUGGAGUAUUGCAUAGGAUUGGAUACUCUUCCGUUGGUGCAGGUGAACAUACAGUAUAAACUCAGUUAGACUUGCACUUUUUAUGCUUUCAGUAUUGGUGAACAUACAGUAUAGAUUCAGUUAGCCUUGCAAUCUGUAUGCUUUCAGUAUUGGUGAACAUACAGUAGAUAAACAUACAAUAUAAAUUCAGUAUGAACAGUACUGGUGAUAAUUGAAUUCAGAUGGGAACAUCCUCAGGCCCCUGAUCUUAUUCUUAUUCUGAAAAUUUAUUCUUUACACUUUAUUCUUUGGUUACUUCAAGUGAGUAACUACAAUAACUUCAAGUGGGUAACUCCAUUUUCUGAUUUUUUUUACACAUUAACCAUGAUAUUUGUUCCUCUGUUCUGGUCAUAAUGAUAAUCUGAUUGCCGAACCCUUAAUCAUUCUCAUAAUAUGAAUGCAACAAGAGCAUCCAAAAUCUGGAGCAAACAAUGUUUGAAAUUUUCCAAACUUCUGUUGAAAAGUUAACUGAAUUUUUUUGUAUCAACAUUGCAACAUUUCAGCAUGACAACUCAACUCAACUCAAUUCAGUAAAUUAAAUGGCAUAUUGCAAUAUUUACAAAGAUUCAGUUAACUUCUAUUAACAUUCAGUUAACUGAAGAACAUGUUUAUCCAGAUCAGGAACAUUCAGUUAACUUCUUUGACAUUGGAGGUGAACCCAUUCAACUAACUUUUUUGCAACAUUUAUGCAAAAUACAUGAUCAAUUGCGUUUGAAAUUAAUGAACAAGCGCAAUUUGCAGAAAUUGGAGCCCGGGUUCUUCCUCUCACCAGCAGCAGCACCAGCAGGGGAUUAGUGUUUGAAAUUAGGGUCUUCUGAAUGUUGUUUCCUUGUUGCUGAAGAUAGGUGACUCUGAGGAAUGUAGGUAGGCUGGCUAUGUCGCCGAGGUUGAGAGGGAGAGCCCACCACCUUUUCUGAUUAAUGUUGUUUAGGUUUAGAGAUGGUCCUAACACUAAUCCCCUUACACCCAAAACAAAAAAAAUCCUAAUCUAAUGUUACUCACCUAAAAGAAAAGCAUCCUAAUCUAAUGUUAUCUCUGAUUUCUUUUGCAAAUGUUACUGUUCAUAAUUCCCGAGCUUGUGUAACGUCUUUGUUUUAUUGCUGUCCAUUGGGAGUAUUCUUAUGCAUGAUUGCUUCUUCAGACUGCAAAUGUAGCUGGUGCACUCCGGGAGGCGAAGAAUAAACUUCAAAAGAAGUUGGAUGAUCUUACUUUGUAAGACUUACUCUCGAAAGGAGAAUGUGGGUAUAUUUUUCUCUGUCUUCAGUGCUUUUAUGUUUAUUGUGGUCCCCUUAUUUUCGGUGUGCUAUCCUGCAUGUCGUAGUUUGAGACAGUUCUGCUUGUUCCUGCCAGUAUAAGGACAAAUACAAUUUCGCCUACGAAACUUCCAUUCUUUCCGUGUUCUGUUUGUGUAGAUUUUCUUCUUAUAUAAGAUACACAUAAUUUUUUUUGUUACAAGCAAAUUAGAUUGGUCUUCUGUAUGUUCAAAUGUAUCCAUAAUUUUUUCUGUUUUAUAUGCACGUCCCAAUCUUGGUCUUCUGUAUGCAGGGUACACUCCUGAUGGCUGAUGAUGUUUCACAACCUCUUCUGCAGAUUUUCAGAAUACCGACGGAAAUAUUGCGUUGGAACGAUCCCGGGUCGGCGGGGGCGGCCAGACCAGGUGGCAAAUGCGGUGCACAAGUUGAGGAGCGAAGGCAAAGAGGAAAGGCCAGAACAACCCGAGCAGCGGCAAGGGGAUGGAGCAGCGGCUGCGCAGCUGCGUCGACCCGAGCAGUUGCGAGAGCGAAUGAAGCUGCGGUUGCACAGACAAGCUUGUGGAGGUGUCAGUAUGCACGCAUGCGUCCCUGAUUUGGAGCAUGCCUCUGGCCUGGUAGGAUUCUCGCUCUGCCCCGACCUCAAGGGCGUUCGUCUAUCUGUGUCGUGCUCGGGACGAUGCACUAAUGCAGGUGUGGUUCUUCAGCUUUUCUUUGUCUUUUUGUUGGUAUGUAUAUCUCUGAAUCUUGUGAGCCGUGAUUUUCAUGCUGCCAUGUAUGCCAUUGUGUCCUGUAUAAUGAUUCUUCUUAUUAUUUUUGAAUGGCAUAAUUAUUCUUAUUGAGGCACUGCCGCUGCCUAUUUUGCUUAUAGUAACAUACUAAUUAAUACAGGGAGAGAGUACGAUUUUUUAACACAAUCUGCAGUACCCGUGAGCCUGCCCAUAGGUAGAUAUGGAUACAUUUUGUAGCUUCCAUUCUUGUUUUCUUUCAUUGAAAUUAUGGAUUUGGAAACUAAUAAUGGUGUGUCUAGAUUGCCUGCUAUAUUACCAAGUGGGCUGAAGGAAAAGCUGCUGCCACUGUUGAUGACCACUCUAGGUGAUAUAAUUCAUGUUUGCUUUGUUGUUUCAGUAACUUCCUGUAGCAUAUUGGUUCCAUCUUUUUUUUGCAUCAUGGUACAUUAUUCUCAUCUUGAUAUAUAUCAUUUGGUCAACUGAAGAUUUGAGUGCAGGGUAGAAUUCUUGGUUGAUUUUAGAAUUUCGUUGUUGAUUACUUGGCCAACAGACUUUUAUGAAAUUCAAGGCGUCAUUUAGUGUACUAUAUGUCAUAUUUGUCUUAUUUCUAUACUCACAAUAUUUCCGCAUCGUCUCAACAAAUGAUGCUAAAUUGAUAUAAUCAUUUUGGAUCAGUGUCAUCUUCUCAAUGCUGAACAGCCAAAAUAUAUACAUAGUGAGCAGUUCGCCGCACAUGCUCAUACGUCAUAUUUAUGUACUGUUUAACACGGCAAAAAUUGGUGAAACAUUUAAAUAUUUCUACUGUUUAACACAGCCAAAGUAUAUACAUAAUGAUCAGCCUUCUGCUGCACAUUAGAUUCAGCCUCCCUCCCUUGACACCAUUCUUCUUACUUAUUAUUAUUUCUUUUAAAAAUAUCUUUGGUUUUAUUUAAGGAUCCUCAUGUUUUCUUACUUUUCAACACUUAUUUGUGAUUUUGUUCACAAGUUUUCAAUUUCAUUAUGUAGAAUGAAGAUAAUAAUUUUGUUGUAUUUUUUGUCCAUGUAGAGGAUACAAGACAUCAUAUUAAGUAAUUAAUUAAUGAAAUAAUGAAUUAACUUACGUAUGUGUAUGUUUAUGCCUCGCUCUUUGUCCCUCCCAGCGAGAGGGCGACGAUAAGGACGGUUGUCUUCGGGUGUCCCCCAACGUGGUUGACGGGUUGGCGGUGUGAGGAAAUGUGUGACUAUUGAGGGAGCUCAACAAUUGGGCUACAAUGACAGGAAGAAAAGAUGUUAUGGGAAGAGAGUGGUUGAUUACAAAUCAAGUGUUAGCUAUGUUGCAGCGACUGUCCACACAGCUGAAUUUUGGAGAGCCUACCGGCCGUCCGUUUGAUGUUCAAACAUGCCCAAAUAUACAAGGGAGAAAUGUCCAAACAUGCCCAAAUAUACAAGGGAGAAAUAAGCUUCGACCUUGAAGAAAACUUUAGUCAUUUGUUUAAUUUAUUUAUAUGCACUGUAUUGUUGGGCCCUUGUCCCUUGCUGCUGGGUUAGUCUUAUGAUAGAAAUUGAAACGCCUAUCAGCUUCAUAGAAGAAAGUUAGUCUUAUGAUAGAAGAAAGGCCCAUCAGCCCUUACAGUGCCUGAUUGGUUAGCGACUGCUUUUCAGGCUCAACUGAUUACUGACUACGUCCAACAACAUAUGACUGACAUGACCAAGUAGAAGUAAAUUUCGUUGUGAUCAAGAUGGUGCCUUUAUUUUGGAAAACACGAUUGAGAUGGGUAGGCGCAUGGGCAUCUCACCGGAACAAAUAGACAGACUGAUUUCACUCAUACACAGGUUGAUUAUAUUAUAUGGUCAACUCACGAAGUAGCCGGAUACCUUCUGCUUGAAGUUUGAAAGCCAUUAGCAUGCUAAAUUAUAUGGAUGUGCUGGUCUUGACGUGUGUGCACGUACAUUGUAAAAUAAACUUGAGUAAUGAUUAAUACCUUGUUUACUCUUGUUUUGCUUUACAGGUAUUUGGAGUAUCUAUUAUCAUUCAAGAUAUCUUAAGGAGAAAUUUGGUUUUUGGUGAACUGAAACAAUAUACCAAUAAAAAUUUAGCACUUGGCUAUACAUAUGAAUGUUAACUUUGUUAAAAUAAUUUUCCCUUUAUAAGAGAAGAUUUCUUAGUUCAAAUAUAUUUUUUGAAAAAAAUAUAGUAUUUUCCUGACAAUCCUUUUGAUUCUAAAACAUCCAUAUCUCAGAAGGAUAAUAGUGGUGUGGUUAUGUUGCUUUGGGUCUCUUAUCACUCGGAUCAUUCAUCAGAAAAAUAUUUAAAAAAUAAUUCUAUUUUGAUGUUUCCUUUGUGUUCAUUGUUCCGUCAUAGUAGUUUAGGUUCACAUCAAGCCAGACCAUAUGUUUCAGUUUCACUCUUUGGACCAUGAUGGUGGUGUGCAAGGUGGGCUAGAUCGUAAUGCUAAAAGAAUCAAUGGAGGUUAUUGGAUAUCUUUUAGAUUCUCCAAAAAAUAAUCUAGCAGAUGGAUGAUCCUAUUAUCACGUAUGGUGGUGGUGUGCAAGGAAAUGGAGCAGCAUGAUGGUAGCUAAUGCUGUUAUUUUCACAUGUAAGAUGUAUGAGCUUCAGUUUGUCAUGCUAUUAUCAUGUAUAGUCAAAAAUGAUUAGUUUAAUCGGAAUUUUAGAGUUUCAUUCUUAGUUCUCUGAAAUAUUGUUUUUAUAGGUAAUUCAUGCGGAGUGUAGUAUAUAGGGAGCAAGGCCGAGUAGCAAGCCAUGUCACAGGUUUUAUCACUUACAUUUCCUUCUAUGGUGGUCUGAUCAUUGUACUUUGGGACAUUGUACUUUUAGGACGUAAUGUGCACUUCUGGUUGUUAUUUUAAAUUGCUCAUGUCUUGAUAUGUCUCUCAAAUUCUUGACAUCUGCGCCAGUAGCCUAAACCUCCAUGGCAUGCUCCAUCGGAGUAUUUUGUUUGUUGUACAAUUUUCAAUUGCGACCUUCCAAUUUAUUUUGUUGUAACUAUAAGGUUUGGCACCUCAGAUAAGUUCUCGAAAUACCAAUGUCAUAUUUCAAUUAGAAAAUAAGAUUUAGUUUGAUCAUGCAUGCAAUUGUAAUAACCCUACUUUGAGCUUUUAUGUACUGGUUUAAAUAGUUAAAUCUUCUAGAUUCUUUUGCAUAUUUUCUUGGAAUUAUACUGUGAGAGCAUCUUAGUUUUCACUAAGCGAUAAAAUACAUUUUCUAUUUCCGUAAUACAGGUCAUUAGUGGUCACUUGGGAUGAGUGCGAUCUGUAGCAUUUGAUCCAGGGAACAAAUGGUUUUGUCCUGGUUUUGCUGAUAGGACAAUAACGGUAAGCCCCACAACCUGCAUUCCUUUCGUAGAAAUUUAAGAUGAAUUCAUGUAUACAUGCAAGUAGUUGAUACAACAACCUAUUAGUUAAUCGGAUGCUUGCUCUAUUGGUGUCUGCAUUUUUUAAUGUUACAUGCAUCUAUUUUUAUUACAUAAUGUUUUUCAGCUUUGGGACUCCAUGUUGAUGUGUUUUUUACCUUAACAUUUUAUUAUCUGUUUUUGUUUAGGCAAGGAAGAAGGUUGCAGAGCACGGAUGGAUGUGAAAAGGAAGAGGAUGGAUGAGAGAGGAGAGAAGAGGGGUGAAAGAGGAUACAGAUGGAAAGAAGGAGAAGGACAGGGUGGAGGCGCUUCUUGAGGAUUAUUGUCGACUGAUUUCAUACUCUCUUAUAAAUUCAUGGUUAGCUAGGUAAACCUUUUGUACAACAACUCUUGUUCAAAAGGAAGUUUGAUUUUUCGGCUUCUUAUUUUAGGUCAAUAUCAAGAACAUUUUAGUUAAUUUAGUUUAAUGUUUAUGUUUGAAAUUGACUUUUACCAUACUGGUUGAAUGGGGGUGUGGAUAGAAGAGAUUGCGAGUCGGGUUCGGUGAUGCCAACAUUGUAUUAGGGGCAGAUAGAUUUAAGUUCCGUCUUAUGUGCAUGAGGAUAUGAUCACUAUUAAAUCAUCAGAAUAAGUCUGCUCCUGUUGCAACGCACGGAGAAUGGGAGAAAUGUGAUGUCCAUGUGAGUAUCUAAAGGUAACAAGUUAGACAUGAUUAGUAUUGUGCACGAGCUACUCGUGAGUCAAUUGAGUUUUGAAUCUUUGCAAGUUGAUUUUUGGGAGAACACAAGUGCAACCUGAGGCCGAAGUCGUUCAUGGCACUACGAGAUGCAAUGGCGAUGCCGAAGGCGUCGAUGGCACUGCGAGGCUGAGCCCUCGUAGGAGACAAGGACGACACUUCGAGCGGUAGUGAGGAGUGGCGUCAUAGUCGGAGGCGAGGAAGAAGGUUUGUAGGGGUGCGGUGGUUCACCGGAAAAAUCUGGUCGCUAGGCGGUAGUGAGGAGUGGCAUCAUAGUCGGAGGCGAGGAAGAAGGUUCAUAGGGGUGCGGUGGUUCACCGGAAAAAUCUGGCCGCUAGGCUGGUUCAGAGGGUUGGUCGGGGGUGGCGGUCGCGGCUAGCGGAUCGGUGGGCGGUGGCUGGCUGGUAAGGAGGAAGAAGCCCAAGGUAGAAGACAAACAACAACCAUUCGAUGAAGAUCCAACGUUGCUCGAGCAGUGGAGUCAUAGUCGAAGGCGGGAAGAGGGUUGACAGGUGUGGGUGCGGGUGCGAUGGCUCGCCGAAAAAAUCUGGUUACCGGGGUGGUCCAGAGGGAUAGUCGAGGGUGGCGACAGGGGAGGGCAGGGAAGCAACGCGGUCGGGGGUGGUGGCGAUAGGUGGAUCGGCCGGUGGUAGUUGGCGGUUCAGUAGGAGGAAGAGGUCAGGGGUAGAGGAUAAACAACAACCAUCCGACUAAAGACCCAACAACCCUCAUAAAUCAACUUUGCAUCAAAUUUUCAUAGUCUGACAUAUAGCUGACACCCUUAAUACCGAGAUAUUUAGAAUAUUUUUGACCAUAUUUAUAUGAAAAAAUACCAUCUUAUGCAAUACUAAAGUUAUACAUUAUAAAAAUUGAACUCGUGAUGUGCAUCUAAUGAUAUUGAUUCUGUAUUGUGACUUUUUUUGUAUUUUCUAUAAAGUUGGUAAACUUUACAAAGUUUGACUUUAGACAAAUCUUAUGUGCGAGUAAAAGGACCGGAGGGAGUACUAUGUUGCUUUCUACAUGUCUUCUUAUGGCCUUAUUAAAUAUCUUCAUUUCUAUGGGUUUAAACACAAGAUGUUGUUUUUGUAGCACAUUUCUGAUAAGUUUUUCUUCUAUAAAGCUAUAAUUUCAACCACAUUCUAAAAUAUAAAUGGGAUUUGGUGAUAAGUAAUCAUUGUGUUUGUUCAUAAUCUAUCAGACACGACAACGUUCAUGUCGAAUGUGUUCUAGAAAUGUUCUUUGAUAAAUAUGUUUUUAGCUAUUAAUAUUUUAGUAUGGUCGUAAAUUUAUCAAUUCACAUAUCACUUCGAUAAACAAUUUUUAGUUGGGAGAAUCAAGAAAGAAAGAAAAGAAGAGCGCUUCAAGGGUAAAAAAGGUAGUUGCCGAUGCAGCCCGUUGCAACGCACGUGCAUCCCAUCGUGCAACAUGGUAAGUAAAGUAUUUUGUCUAUUGUUAUCAUGGUUUAUUGUUGUUUCUAAUAGCUCCACUUGUAGAUUUAUCUUCCCUAUGCAUUCAUCGGCCAAUACAUCUUGUACGUCAUCGACAAAGAGGCACGUCGUCUAUAUAUUAUGGACCCUAUUCAAACAUCACAAUCGUCAGAGGAAUAAAAAUUUGAGGCAUGCACUGAAAUUAAAAAGUUUUGCAAGGGAUUUCAAAGAAGCACUCAAAAUAAAGCUGUCUGGUUGGAAUUCCGAUAUAUCUAAAUAGCAACGUUUAUUUCCGAUUAGUAUUCCAACGAGUAUAGAUGGUAAUGAAUUCAUAAGAAAAACUUUUAUUUUUGUUAUCACUAUAUUUUUUAUUUAUUAAUUUAAAAAAUUGCAGGAAUGUGUCUGCCUAUUUUGUUUUUCAUUUUAUGCUCUGGUGGAACGGUAAAGAAUUGGUCAAGCCGGUUUGCACGGUGAGUAUUGUCCGUUACAUGUUUUAAGACCUUUGGCGUGAACUUCUCAUACUAACUAUAUAUAUUUGUUUGUGCAGAAUGGGUAUGAGUUGAGGAAGCAGUUUUUACUAUACUUGCUAAAACGUCGUGGGAAUGAAGCUAAAGAAAACUUUCCAGAUAUUGUGAAAGAAUUUUUUAAGCGCAUCAUCUAGAUAUUGAUAGUUUUGAAAUAGAUGUUUAGUUCGAACAUCGCUCAGUUUGUUACAUGGACAUGUCGUUAAGCUUUAUUUUUGUUAUCAAUUUACAUUAUAAAAUUGGACUUCAAUUAUUCAAUAAUUGUGUUUGUGUUAUAUUGUUUGUACAUAUGAAAUUUAACAUGUAACUUUUGUAAACUAUUUCAAGAGCCCGUGGCAACGCACGGGCACUCUACUAGUACAACUAGCGUGGCACUCUUACCUAGAAAAUAAAUAGCCUGGGACUCCACGCAAAGAAAAAAUAGAGAGCAUGGGACUAGGACAUGAUGGUAAGAAAACUAGGUGCUACGUGGGCAGAUACCAUGAUGUAUAUGCAUGCAUGUAUUCUCCCAUGAAAUAUGGACGCAUGAAAAAGUAAGCAGACAUCCUCUUCCAUUAAGAGCUACAUCUUUCUUCCAUCGAGCGAAACGACCAAACAAAUAUUAUGGGCUCAAACUGGAGCCGACCGUGACAAGACCAAUACCUGUUAAGAGGACCUGACUAAUUAGCCCCUCAUCCUUUCUCCUUGUGACAUAUUCAAUGCAAAGGAAUGCGCUAAUGAAACAAUAAUGCAAUACACAGUUCAGCCCCAUGUGAGUUGAAAGGCAAACUAUAUAGUGUCAGCAACAACUACAAGACGAAGCAUCUGCUUGAUGUAUCCCGAUGUCAUGCAGGACUCACAUCAUUGUAUCUUCUCCUUGCAUGCACAUGCCUUCCUUUUAGUUUUUAGUCAACAGGACACAUGGGAAAAGGUUAAUAUGCAAUGCCUACUCUAAUCACAUGUUUACGCACCGACAUGAACUUCCUAUUCGUAGGGAAAACUAUUGUUUGCUACCACAUGGUACCUACAAAAUUGAUAUGAAAGGAGAAUGAGCAUCAACAAAAAAAUAUUGGUUCCUGCUUGGGUAAUGAUGGACUUACCAGCCCAUAAUUGAUUGGUUCCCCAAAUAUAUAUUAUGAUUAACCUCUUUGGCUUUUAUUCCAUUGCACAUGGCAGUAAAAUAUGGUGGUUCAUGCUAUGGAGCAGGAUCAAGAGACAAUGGAAGAUAAAGUGAAACAUGGAUGAAUCACGGAGCAAUCAUAGGAAGAUUAAGUUUCCCCAUUAUUGCUCCAUGUAUGUAUCAUGGUGUGAUGCAUCCAAUAAAUAAGUCGGCUUACGUAUGUGCCAUGGUGAGUUGAGGUGAUGAGUGCGGUUUCAAGAUCUGAUGGAACUGGAGCCGGAGAGUACAUUUGAGUUGAGGUCACGAGUGAGGUUUCAAGUAUGAGCACAUAUGUGUGUGUUUUGUUCUGGAUUGUACUCUAUGUGCCCUAUUAGUUGAUUUGGAGCACUCAAAUGAAUCAUGGUGAGCACUUGUAUAUAAAGCUUAAACAUGGGUUGUUUCCCCUUCGUAUUAUUUACAACUUCCAGCAGUUUUCCGUUUCCUAUAUUUGCUUAUCCAGAUUAUAUGUGUUUUGUAAGUGGGUUAUUCUUUUGCGGUAUCUUGAUUAUUUGCUUCUAGAACACUGGAUAAUGGACAUUUCAUUGUGAUUACACUCGUAAUAUUACUAAUGAUGUACAUUUAAACAAUCUACCAACAUGUACAUACCAACAUGCCAUUUGAACACCCUUACAUGAAACGCUUGGUAAGUGUUGAAUAUGGCUUUGUUGGCAUGGUCCAUACUGCAUACGCAUUGUUUUCGAUGAGCAGACAAUUAGAUUUAUUCGGCUAAGCUAAUAUUCCUUGUAUUUUUAUUCUAUUACUCAUGAAUAUAAAAUUCAAGCACUUAGGUAUUACAAUGUUUAGUUUUCAUUUAGGAAUGGUCUCUUCCUACGUUUACUAAUAUAUAUUAAUUGUUUGAAAAAUUAAGAUUUUCAUAUCUUCUUUUACUUAUGUUCUUACACUCUGUAUAAAUAGAUCCUCUUUGUUAUUUUGGCUUCUCAACUUGAUAGAACAGAGCCAACAUAAUUGGUGAAUAUUACAUGUACACGCAUUAACAACUAACAUAUUAAUAUGUAAAUCUUACACAACAUUAGCAAAUAUACAUAUCCCUAUCUUUGUUUAAAUAAAAAAACUUAGAACAACUAACAAGAUGAAAGGCUAGAGAAUGAUACAAAUAUAAAUUGCAUAGGAAAAAUUAUGAAAAGUUAGUAUAGCAUGCAUAACAAGCAAAUACAUACAUGCUUAAUUCAUAACAUACAUACUUAUUUAUCAAUCAGUCAAUACAAUCACAUUUGAUUCCAAUUUUUUCUUGAGAAAAAUGAAUGAAAAUGUUCUAAACUUUAUGAAAUUCUUGCCGGCGCAUCGAGCCGGCUACUCUGCUAGUUGCGUUAACAACACUCAGCUUUUACGAUAGAACACGGCAAACAACACUGCCAUGUGGCUGCGCUCGCCGCACGGUAUAAGCCGAGUGCCCUCUAACGGUGGCUCUGCUUACAUAUUGCAUUUACUUUUUUUAAAGUACAAAAAAAGUGGUGGCUUGGGUGGACGGCGGCGCCUGUGUCCGCGUCGCGCGGCGCGAGCUGCUUCAUGGCGGGCGCUGUCAGCGGAUCUGGAUCGCCCCGCGCGAGGUGACGGCGCCGUGCGCACGAUGCCGGCCUCCUGUGCUAUGGUGGUCCGCGCGGCGGCGUCCUUCCUGUGGCCCCGCCCCUGAUGGUUCUGGGCCAGGUGCUGCUCGUGUUGGGGUGGAUCUGGAGGCUUGUUGAUGGUGCGUUUCGCUUGAGUGGCUGAAUCCGGUUGGAUCAGCCCGUGGUCGUCCGGCUUGGGGCAAAGGAGGAUGGUGGUGAGUGGUGCUGGUCGAGGUGGAGGGGUGGUGGCGGUGCUGCUGCAGCCGAUGAUCUCACUGCUUUCUGUUGGCGGGGUGGGCUUGAUACGUCUCCAACAUAUCUACUUUUCCAAACACUUUUGCCCUUGUUUUAGACUCUAACUUGCAUGAUUUGAAUGAAAUUAACCCGGACUGACGCUGUUUUCAGCAGAACUGCCAUGGUGUUGUUUAUUGUGCAGAAAACAAAAGUUCUCGGAAUGACUUGAAAAUCCACGGAGAUAACUUUUGGAAAAUAUAAAAAAUACUGGCAAAAGAAUCAAGGCCAGGGGCCCCACACCCUGUCCACGAGGGUGGGGGGCGCGCCCUCCCCCUUGGGCGCGCCCCCCUCUCUCGUGGGCCCCCUGAUGCUCCACCGACCUCAACUCCAACUCCAUAUAUUCCGUUUCAUGGAGAAAAAAAAUCAGAGAUAAAGUUUCAUCGCGUUUUAUGAUACAGAGCCGCCGCCAAGCCCUAAUCAGUCCCGGGAGGGCUAAUCUGGAGUCCUUCGAGGCUUCAAAGAGGGGGAUUCGUCACCGUCGUCAUCAUCAACAUCCUCCAUCACCAAUUUCAUGAUGCUCACCGCCGUGCGUGAGUAAUUCCAUCGUAGGCUUGCUAGACGGUGAUGGGUUGGAUGAGGUUUACCAUGUAAUCAAGUUAGUUUUGUUAGAGUUUGAUCCCUAGUAUCCACUAUGUUCUUAGAUUGAUGUUGCUAUGACUUUGCUAUGCUUAAUGCUUGUCACUAGGGCCUGAGUGCCAUGAUUUCAGAUCUGAACUUAUUAUGUUUUCAUGAAUAUAUGUGUGUUCUUGAUCCUAUCUUGCAAGUCUAUAGUCACCUAUUAUGUGUUAUGAUCCGACAACCCCGAAGUGACAAUAGUCGGGAUACUUCUCGGUGAUGACCGUAGUUUGAGGAGUUCAUGUAUUCACUAUGUGUUAAUGCUUUGGUCCGGUACUCUAUUAAAAAGAGGCCUUAAUAUCCCUUAGUUUCCACUAGGACCCCGCCGCCACGGGAGGGUGGGACAAAAGGUGUCAUGCAAGUUCUUUUCCAUAAGCACGUAUGACUAUAUUCGGAAUACAUGCCUACAUUACAUUGAUGAACUGGAGCUAGUUCUGUGUCACCCUAUGUUAUAGCUAUUACAUGAGGAAUCACAUCCGACAUAAUCCAAUGCCUACGAGCUUUUCAUAUAUUGUGCUUCGCUUAUUUACUUUUCCGUUGCUACUGUUACAACUACUACAAAACUAUUAUCUUUACUUUUGCCACUAUUACCAUUACUAUCAUAUUACUUUGCUACUAAAUACUUUGCUGUAGAUACUAAGUUAUCCAGGUGUGGUUGAAUUGAAAACUCAACUGCUAAUACUUAAGAAUUUCUUUGGCUCCCCUUGUGUCGAAUCAAUAAAUUUGGGUUGAAUACUCUACCCUCGAAAGCUGUUGCAAUCCCCUACACUUGUGGGUUAUCAAGACUAAUUUCUGGCACUGUUGUAGGGGAGCAUAGCUCUAUUCUUUGAGUCACUUGGGAUUUAUAUCUGCUGAUCACUAUGAGGAACUUAAAAGACGAAAGAACUAAGAUUUUUUUCCUCAACUGCGAGGGGAGGUAAGGAACUGCCAUCUAGCUCUGCACUAGAUUCUCCUUCUGUUUUGAGUAAGCUUGCGACACCUAAACCUGCUACUGCUAUGAAUUCUGAUAUGUCGCAUGUUAUUGAUGAUGUCACUUCUCCUAUGCAUGAUACUUAUGAUGAAACUACUUCUGUGCGUGAUACUACUUUGCCAUUGGGUGAAUUUCUUGAUGAACAACUUGCUAGGGUUAGAGAGAAUGAAAUUAUUGAAGAUGCUAUUAUUGAUGAUAGUGAUGAUGAAAGUUCUCCCCCUGAUUAUGAAUUGCCUGUUGUUCCUGAGGGUUAUGUUAUGGAUGAGAAAGCUGCUAGAGCUAUUUUUGCUUGCAAAGAUAGAUAUGAUCUUAAGAAGUUAUUAGCCAAAUGGAAGCAGAAAUCUCUUAAUGCUAGAAUGAAACCUGACCCUGCUUUUGCUAUUUCACCUAUCUGUGUUACUGAUAAGGAUUAUGAAUUCUCUGUUGAUCCUGAGAUAAUUACUUUGGUAGAAUCUGAUCCUUUUUAUGGCUAUGAAUCUGAAACUGUUGUGGCACAUCUUACCAAGUUAAAUGAUAUAGCCACCCUGUUUACUAAUGAUGAGAAGUCUCGCUAUUAUUAUAUCCUUAAGAUAUUUCCAUUCUCAUUAAAGGGUGAUGCUAAAACUUGGUUUAAUUCUCUUGAUCCUGGUUGUGUGCGUAGUCCCCAGGAUAUAAUUUAUUACUUCUUUGCUAAAUAUUUCCCUGCUCACAAGAAACAAGCUGCAUUGCGGGAAAUAUAUAAUUUUGUGCAAAUCAAAGAAGAGAGUCUCCCACAAGCUUGGGGGAGGCUUCUCCGAUUACUUAAUGCUUUGCCUGAUCAUCCUCUUAAGAAAAAUGAAAUACUUGAUAUCUUUUAUAAUGGACUAACCGAUGCUUCCAAGGACUACUUGGAUAGUUGUGCUGGUUGUGUUUUCAGGAAAAGAACAGUCGACCAAGCUGAAUUACUAUUAAAUAAUAUGUUGACUAAUGAAAAUAAUUGGACUCUUCCCGAGCCAAUUCCUGAGGCAAUUCCUGAGCCAAUUGAGCCAACUCCUGAGCCUAUGCCUAAACCUACUCCGAAGAAGAGGGGUGUUCUAUUUCUCAGUCCUGAAGAUAUGCAAGAGGCAAAGAAAUCAAUGAAAGAAAAAGGUAUUAAAGCUGAAGAUGUUAAGAAUUUACCAACUAUUGAAGAAAUACAUGGUCUUAAUAUACCGCCUGUUGAAGAACCACAUUGUCUUGAUAACCCGACACAGGUAGUAAAGGUAAAUUCUCUCUAUAGAUAUGAUAAAGUUGAAAUUCCUUCUACUAAAUUUCAUAGCCCAUGCUUAGAUGAAUUUGAUGACUUUAUGGCUAGACAAGAAAGUUUUAAUGCUUAUGUUGGUAGAGAAUUAAAGAAUAAUGCUUUCGAAAUAGGACGCUUGAGUGAUUAUAUGGCUAGAGUUAAAGGUGAACUUAAACUCAUUAGCAAAUAUGCUUCUAUGGUUACCACUCAAGCUGAGCAAGUACUUAAGGCUCAAAGUGAUUUGCUUGAUAAUUAAAUAAUAAACAUGAUUUUUCUGUUAGAGUGGCUACUCGAACUGGUAGAAUGACUCAGGAACCUUUGUAUCCUGAAGGCCACCCUAAGAGAAUCGAGCAGGAUUCUCAGAGAAAUAAUUUAGAGGCACCUAGUUCUUCUAAAAAGAAGAAAAAGAAAGACAAUAGGACUUUGCAUGCUUCUAGUGAACCUAUUGUAGACACACCUGAGAAUUCCAACGAUAUUUCUAUUUCUGAUGCUGAAACACAAUCAAGUGAUGAACAUGAACCUAGUGAUAAUGUUCAUGCUGAUGCUCAAUCUAGCAAAAAUAAUGAUGUAGAUAUUGAACCUGCUAUUGAUCUUGAUAAGCCACAAUCAAAGAAUCAACGUUAUGAUAAACAAGACUUUGUUGCUAGGAAGCAUGGUAGAGAAAGAGAACCAUGGGUUCAGAAACCCAUGCCCUUUCCUCCUAAACCAUCCAAGAUAAAGGAUGAUGAGGAUUUUGAGUGCUUUGCUGAAAUGAUUAGACCUAUCUUCUUACGUAUGUGCUUAACUGAUGUGCUUAAAGUAAAUCCUUAUGCUAAAUACAUGAAGGAUAUCAUUACAAAUAAAAGAAAGAUACCAGAAGCUGAAAUUUUCACCAUGCUUGCUAAUUAUACGUUUAAAGGUGGAAUACAAAAGAAACUUGGAGAUCCAGGAGUACCAACUAUACCAUGCUCCAUUAAAAGAAAUUACGUUAAAACUGCUUUAUGUGAUCUUGGAGUCGGUGUUAGUGUUAUGCCUCUCUCUUUAUAUCGUAGACUUGAAUUGAAUAAGUUGACACCUACUGAAAUAUCUUUGCAAAUGGCUGAUAAAUCAACUUCCAUACCUGUAGGUAUUUGUGAGGAUGUGCCUGUUGUGGUUGCAAAUGUCACUAUCUUAACGGACUUUGUUAUUCUUGGUAUUCCCGAGGAUGAUAGUAUGUCGAUUAUCCUUGGUAGACCCUUUUUGAAUACCAUAGGGGCUGUUAUUGAUUGCAACAAAGGCAAUGUCACUUUUCAUGUUAAUGGUAAUGAGCAUACGGUACACUUUCCGAGGAAACAACCUCAAGUUCAUAGCAUCAAUUCUAUUGGAAAAGUUCCAACUAUCAUUAUUGGAGGUUUUGAAUUUCCUCUUCCUACUGUCAAGAAAAAGUAUGAUAUUCUUAUUGUUGGGGAUGUUCAUAUCCCUGUUGAGGUAACCUAGUGUUAUUCGAAAUUUCUCCGGUUCCGUGUUAUUCGGAAUGAGUUUGUUAACAAGACUUGAUCAACCUUGUUAGUGGAUUCAUUUUGAUGAUCAUGAGAUGGAUGAAACUAGAAGGCACAACCUUCUGUAUCUUCUUUUUACUUUCUGUUAUUUAGAAUAAAUAAAGCAAAAAUAGUAUUAUAUGUCUGUUUUCUGAAUUAUCCAUGCAAUAAAAAAUAUCCCGAAAUUAAAAGUGCUCCAAAUGCCCUGCAAAUUUAGUCUGAUUUUUUAUGGAAUAUUUGAGGAUUUUAGGCACUGAAAAUACUACAGGGGGAUAAGCACCUGGCCACGAGGGUGGAGGGCGCGCCCCCUGUCUCGUGGGCCCAUGGUGGCCCCCCUCCACUUAUUCCUGCACCCACAAACUCCAUCUUCCUCCCAAAAAAAUCCACAUCCAGCUCAAGCACGAGUUCUAGCUCAUUUUGCUGCGAUUUUCGAGCUCCUUGCUCAAAGCUCCAUUCACAAAACUGCUUUGGGAGAUUGUUGCUUGGUAUGUGACUCCUCCAUUGGUCCAAUUAGUUUUUGUUCUAGUCCUUUAUUCCUUGCAAUUUUUUGCUGCAUAGGUGACCCUGUUCUUGAGCUUGCAUGUCAAAUUUAUGAGGUCCCAAGUAAUUCUAAUGCAUGAUAUAGGCUCUAGGCACUUGUAGGAGUAGUUGCUACCAAUCUUGUUUAGUUUUAUUCACUUUUAUUUUGAAGUUACUAAAAUUUCAGAAAUUUUUCAGAAAAAGCAAUAUGUCUAGGAUAAUGUACCAAGGUGGUUCCUCAACAAAGAAAGGACCCAGACAUGCUAUGCAUGAGCAAGACGAUGAACCACCAAGGGACGCAGAAGUGCGAGCUUGUGAGUGGCCAUCAGAAGAGUUUAUGGUCAAAGCAGGCAUUAAGGAUGAAUUUGACGCAUAUGUGCGUAAUGCUGAUCUUGAGGACUUCUUACAAGAUAAGUGUCCUCAGUACUACCAAUUGACUGAUUCAUUCGUAAGAAGGUUUAAAUAUAAAUCUUCAUGUAAUUCUCAGAGUGUCCUGUUUGGUAUUUAUGAUAAAUCUUAUACCAUGGACUCAGAAGAUUUUACAACUGCUUGCAAACUCCCGCAGUGGGGCAAUGUUAAUGACCCCCACAGAUCUGAAUAUAAAGACUUUCUUGCUAGUAUUACUAUGGGAGAAUCUAGGGAUAUAGCACAAGCUACCAUAGGGAGCAUUCAUUUUCCUGCUAUACAUUAUUUUGCUCUCUUCAUUGGUAGAUGCAUUAACGGUAAAGAUGAAGCAUGUCACAUGUGUGUCCCUAAUCCUUGUGUCCUCAAGAGUGCUGUGUUAGGUAAUAAAGAUUACAACUUGGGGGCAAUAGUUGUACGUAUGUUGCAUAAUAAUGCUAUAUCCAGAGAUUUAUUUGGAGGGAUUUAUGUGACCCGUGUUGCUAAGUAUCUUGGUAUAGCUCCACGUGAGGAGGAUGUUGAGUUACUUCCUGCUUAUUUAGAUUAUGACGCGAUGGUCAAACAUCGUUUUCUUUUGAGGAAUGAACAAUUCCUCCAGUAUCGACUAAUCUUUGACAGGCGUAGCUCUGUCCAUGUUACUCUCCCUGCUCCUUCCCUUUUUGAUUACCAGGCAAAACGAAGAUAUGUUGUUACCAGGGAGGAGGCAGCUGAACACGAGGGGAGAGCGGAGGCAGCUCGCCAAUAUGCCGCAACUCAGGAGGCAUUGGUUGCUGCAUCUCAGUACGACCCCAGUUAUAACUUCGGAUAUCAGCCAGGCUAUCCUUGGCAUUAGACCAACUUAGGCCAAAAGCCUAAGCUUGGGGGAGUACGUAUUUCUCACCGACUUUACAUUCAUGUUCACACACUAUUCUAGUUGUCGGUGCUCAUACUCUUUCAUUGUAUUAUCCAUGCUAGUUUAAAUUUCUUUUUCUAGCCUUCUUCUUGUGUGUUUGAUAAACCUUAAGAAAAACCAAAAAAUAUAUAUUAGUUAGUUUAAUUUCCAUGCUUGUAGUAGUGAUUAAAAUGAAAACCCAAAAAGAUUUCCCGUUCUUAUUUUACUUGUUGGGAGCUUUCCCGUAUAAAUAGUUUUCUUUUCUUUUCUUUCCUUUGGGGGUCGAGAGUAGAAGACCAUAUUGAAAAUGUUUAGUGGCUCUCGUAUGCAUGAUUGUUGAUUUAACUUAGAGCCCAUAUUACUUUGCCUUCUCUCUUGAAUUGAAUGUUUGCAGAUUCCAGCUUAGUCCAAUGCACGUGCACUAUUAUUAUUAUACACACCAUUUGGUCGUGCAAGUGAAAGGAAAUAAUGAUGAUAUAUAAUGGACUGAUUGAGAUGAGAGAAGCUGGUAUGAACUCAGCCUCUUUUGUUUUUGUAAAUAUGAUGAGUUUAUCGUUCCUGAUUUUUCCUAUUAUGAAGCAAACAUAUUUGCAAUACCAUUUAGAGAUUAUAGUUGCAUGUGCCAUGCUUAAUUAGUUAUGAGUUAUAAUGGUUUACCUUGCGUGCCAACAUGCUAUUAAAAUGAUUAUGAUGUGGUAUGAUGGGAUGGUAUCCUCCUUUGAAUGAAUUGAGUGACUCGACUUGGCACAUGUUCACGCAUGUAGUUGAAACAAAUCAACAUAGCCUUCACGAUAUUUAUGUUCAUGGUGGAUUAUAUCCUACUCAUGCUUGUACUUAGUGUAAAUUAAUUUUAAUGCAUGCUCAUAACUGUUGUCGCUCUCUCAGUUGGUCGCUUCCCAGUAUUUUGCUAGCCUUCACCUAUACUAAGCAAGAAUACUGCUUGUGCAUCGAAACUCCAUAAACCCCAAAGUUAUUCCACAUGAGUCCACCAUACCUUCCUAUAUGCGGUAUCUACCUGUCGUUCCAAGUAAAUUGUAUGUGCCAAACUCCAAACCUUCAAAUGAAAUUCUAUUUUGUAUGCUCGAGCAGCUCAUGUUUCAACUAGGGUUGUCUGUAUCUUUCAUGCUAGGUGGGUUAUUCUCAAGAGGAGUAGACUCCGCUCCUCAUUCACGAGAAAAUGGCUGGUAACCGGGAUGCCCAGUCCCAUGAUCAAAAAGAUCAAAGCAAAUCAAAAAUAAUUAAACAAAACUCCCCCAGGGUUGUUGUUAGUUGGAGGCACUCGUUGUUUUGAGCAAGCCAUGGAUUGAUGCUUGUUGGUGGUGGGGGAGUAUAAACUUUUACCAUUCUGUUUGGGAACCGCCUAUAAUGCAUGUAGUAUGGAAGAUAUCGCCAUCUCAUAGUUGUUGCGUUGACAGUGAAAGUAUGCCGCUCAAAAUGUUAUUCAUCUCUAUUUUAAAAUCGAGCUCUCGCACCUCUACAAAUCCCUGCUUCCCUCUGCAAAGGGCCUAUCUAUUUACUUUUAUGUUGAGUCAUCGCCUUCUUAUUAAAAAGCACCCGCUAGAGAGCACACUGUCAUUUGCAUUCAUUACUAUUAGUUUAUAUUGGGUAUGACUUGACUGGAUCUCUUUUACCAUGAAUUACAAUGUUUAGUCAGUCCUUGAUCUUUAAAGGUGCUCUGCAUUUAUGUUUUGCGGUCUCAGAAAGGGCUAGCGAGAUACCAUCUUGUUAUAUCAUAUUAUGAUUGUUUUGAGAAAGUGUUGUCAUCCGAGUUUUAUUAUUAUUGCUCGCUAGCUGAUUAUGCCAUUGAUAUGAGUAAAUAUGAGACCUAAGUGUUAUCGUGAAUAUGGUUAGUUCAUAAUCUUUGCUGAAAACUUGAAUGCUAGCUUUACAUAUUUACAACAACAAGAGCAAAUAGAGUUUGUAAAAGUUUUUCUUUGUCACUUUCAGUUUAUCAACUGAAUUGCCUGAGGACAAGCAAAGGUUUAAGCUUGGGGGAGUUGAUACGUCUCCAACAUAUCUACUUUUCCAAACACUUUUGCCCUUGUUUUGGACUCUAACUUGCAUGAUUUGAAUUAAACUAACCCGCACUGACGUUGUUUUCAGCAGAACUGCCAUGGUGUUCUUUAUUGUGCAGAAAACAGAAGUUCUCGGAAUGACCUGAAAAUCCACGGAGAUAACUUUUGGAAAAUAUAAAAAAUACUGGCAAAAGAAUCAAGGCCAGGGGGCCCACACCCUGCCCACGAGGGUGGGGGUGCGCCCUCCCCCUGGGCACGCCCCCCUGUCUCGUGGGCCCCCUGAUGCUCCACCGACCUCAACUCCAACUCCAUAUAUUCCGUUUCACGGAGAAAAAAUCAGAGAGAAAGUUUCAUCGCAUUUUACGAUACGGAGCCGCUGCCAAGCCCUAAUCUCUCUCGGGAGGGCUGAUCUGGAGUCCGUUCGGGGCUCCGGAGAGGGGGAUUCGUCGCCGUCGUCAUCAUCAACCAUCCUCCAUCACCAAUUUCAUGAUGCUCACCGCCGUGUGAUACGUCUCCAACGUAUCUAUAAUUUUUUAUUGCUCCAUGCUACUUUAUCUAUUGUUUUAGGCAAUAUUGGGCUUUAUUUUCCACUUUUAUAUUAUUUUUGGGACUAAUCUAUUAACCGGAGGCCCAUCCCAGAUUUGCUAUUUUAUGCCUAUUUCAGUGUUUCGAGGAAAAGGAAUAUCAGACGGAGUCAAAACGGAACGAAAUCAACUGGAGAAGUUAUUUUUGGAAGGAAACCCACCUGAUGGACUUGGACCCCACGUCAGAAGAUACGGGAGGUGCUCACGAGGGUGGGGGCGCGCCCACCCCCCUAGGGCGCGCCCCCUGCCUCGUGGGGCCCUCGUAGCUCCACCGACGUACUCCUUUCACCCAUAUAUACAUACGUACCCUAAAACUUCCAGAACAGAAGAUAGAUCGGGAGUUCCGCCGCCGCAAGCCUCUGUAGCCACCAAAAACCUCUCGGGAGCCCUUCCCGGCACCCUUCCGGAGGGGGGAUCCCAUCACCGGUGGCCAUCUUCAUCAUCCCGGCGCUAUCCAUGACGAGGAGGGAGUAGUUCACCCUCGGGGCUGAGGGUAUGUACCAGUAGCUAUGUGUUUGAUCUCUCUCUCUCGUGUUCCCUCUAUGGCACGAUCUUGAUGUAUCCCGAGCUUUGCUAUUGUAGUUGGAUCUUAUGAUGUUUCUCCCCCUCUACUCUCUUGUGAUGAAUUGAGUUUCUCCUUUGAAGUUAUCUUAUCAGAUUGAGUCUUUUAUGAGAACACUUGAUGUAUGUCUUGCCGUGAUUAUCUGUGGUGACAAUGGGAUAUCAUGUGCCACUUGAUGUAUGUUUUGGUGAUCAACUUGCGGGUUUCGUGACAUUAGGAACCUAUGAAUAGGGGUUGGCACACGUUCUUGACUCUCCGGUAGAAACUUUGGGGCACUCUUUGAAGUACUUUUAUGUUGGUUGGAUGAAUCUGAGAUUGUGUGAUGCAUAUCGUAUAAUCAUGCCCACGGAUACUUGAGGUGACAAUGGAGUAUCUAGGUGACAUUAGGGUUUUGGUUGAUUUGUAUCUUAAGGUGUUAUUCUAGUACGAACUCUUUUAUAGAUUGAUCCGAAAGAAUAACUUUGAGGUGGUUUCGUACUCUACCAUAAUCUCUACGUUUGUUCUCCGCUAUUAGUGGCUUUGGAGUGACUCUUUGUUGCAUGUUGAGGGCUUGUUAUAUUAUCUAUCUAUGUUAUUAUUGUUGAGAGAACUUGCACUGGUGAAAGUAUGAACCCUAGGCCUUGUUUCCUAUCAUUGCAAUACCGUUUACGCUCACUUUUACUACUUGUUACCUUGCUGUUUUUAUAAUUUAAAAUUACAAAUACCUUUAUCUACUAUCUAUUUUGCACUUGUAUCACCAUCUCUUCGCCGAACUAGUGCACCUAUACAAUUUACCACUGUAUUGGGUGUGUUGGGGACACAAGGGACUCUUUGUUAUUUGGUUGCAGGGUUGUUUGAGAGAGACCAUCUUCAUCCUACGCCUCCUACGGAUUGAUAAACCUUAGGUCAUCCACUUGAGGGAAAUUUGCUACUGUCCUACAAACCUGUGCACUGGCAGGCCCAACAACGUCUACAAGAAGAAGGUUGUGUAGUAGACAUCACCGUGCGUGAGUAAUUUCAUCAUAGGCUUGUUGAACGGUGAUGGGUUGGAUGAGUUUUACCAUGUAAUCAAGUUAGUUUUGUUAGGGUUUGAUCCCUAGUAUCCACUAUGUUCAGAGAUUGAUGUUGCUAUGACUUUGCUAUGCUUAAUGCUUGUCACUAGGGCCCGAGUGCCAUGAUUUCAGAUCUGAACCUAUUAUGUUUUCAUGAAUAUAUGUGUGUUCUUGAUCCUAUCUUGCAAGUCUAUAGUCACCUAUUAUGUGUUAUGAUCCGACAACCCCGAAGUGACAAUAAUCGGGAUACUUCUCGGUGAUGACCGUAGUUUGAGGAGUUCAUGUAUUCAUUAUGUGUUAAUGCUUUGGUCCGGUACUCUAUUAAAAGGAGGCCUUAAUAUCCCUUAGUUUCCACUAGGACCCCGCCGCCACGGGAGGGUGGGACAAAAGAUGUCAUGCAAGUUCUUUUCCAUAAGCAUGUAUGACUAUAUUCGAAAUACAUGCCUACAUUACAUUGAUGAACUGGAGCUAGUUCUGUGUCACCCUAUGUUAUAGCUAUUACAUGAGGAAUCACAUCUGACAUAAUUAUCUAUCGCUGAUCCAAUGCCUACGAGCUUUUCACAUAUUGUGCUUCGCUUAUUUACUUUUCUGUUGCUACUGUUACAACUACUACAAAACUAUUAUCUUUACUUUUGCCACUGUUAACAUUACUAUCAUAUUACUUUGCUACUAAAUACUUUGCUGCAGACACUAAGUUAUCCAGGUGUGGUUGAAUUGACAACUCAACUGCUAAUACUUAAGAAUAUUCUUUGGCUCCCCUUGUGUCGAAUCAAUAAAUUUGGGUUGAAUACUCUACCCUCGAAAGUUGUUGCGAUCCCCUACACUUGUGGGUUAUCAGGGCGCUUCGGUUUUGGUCUCCGACGGGUGUGCGGUGGCGCGCGUGGAGCGUGUCGGCGCACCUGAUGUAUGGCUGCAGCCCGGACCGUGGUGGUUCUUGGCCUCGGCCAGUGCUCCUCUGCUCCUUGCCGGCAUGGUGCUCGGAAGGGGAUGGUGGCCUGCGCUGCGUCCGGUGGCCUGCGCUCGGGCGGCCGUUGAUGGAUCUGGCGCCUAGUGUUGACGUUUGGUUGUCGGUGAUCUCCGUAGGGUGCGGUUGGCUCCGGCGGCUUGUCGUGCUUUUUCGUCUUUUGAAGGGCUCGAUGGUGGUGGUGGUCGGCUGUCGUCUUAUUGUAGGGAUGUGCUCAAACUCCGGGUGAGAACCCUGCAUCGACUAAGUCGAUGCCGGCGGCAACGGCAUCUAUGGACGUCGUUUUCCUUGCAGGAGGUGCCGUUGCGGAGCUCUAGCACCUACAAUACUUUGCUUUAUGGUUUCCGGGUGAAAACCUAAGAUUGGGCUUGCCGGAUCGGAUGGUGGUGGUGUGUCCUCGACAACACUACCUCCUUGGAGGUGUCGUCUUGGAGACCCAAGCGACGGCUUCAGUUGCUGCGGCUGGUUGAGGGUGGUUCGCGUGGUGGUGGUCGGGUGGCCUGCUCAGGACCGAGGGUGGUGUGUUCUUCUUCAGGUGUUUCUCUUCGGCUGCGCUACGUGUGGUCUCCGGCCUGCUACUUUGCAUGCUCAUGACCCUGUUCUGCUGAGGCGAGCCUCGGGCUCUUGGUCUUGUCUUGGUUCAUCUUUGCUCAAUGACGACGCAAUGACGUCCCCCCGACUUGCUAAUCGUCUUCAACUCCCAUGGCGGAGCUCCCAGUGAAGGUUCGUAUUAGGCGUUGGCACUCGUUGAUUCUGGAUGCUCCUCUGUUGUGCCGUGGGGUUUGAUACGCACGCCGGUGCGGUGCGUUAGGCUGCUUGUAGAGUCUUGGUAUUGUGAUCCCUCGACGCACCCCUCAUCUACCUGGUCCUGUUAGUUUGCUAGCUAGGUCUUGCCUUAUGUUGGGCGUCACGUUUCUCUCCUUUUCUUGUAACACUUGUUACUUGUCUGGUUUUCGGCUCGGUUUUUCUCAUAAACGGGGUCAAUUUGUUAAGGUUUUCGAUCCGGUUUUAUUCAGGUGAAGGGACUCCUCCCCUGGUGAUUCUCAAAAAAAAGUUUCAUCUCCCAUAGUUCAAUUUUUUUUGCGGGGAUACAAUUAUAUAUUCAUCGAAUGGCCUAGGCCGUUCUUUCAUUAGAUAGAAAAGAGAGAGCAGUACAAGGCAAAACAGUUAUAUAUUCAGUUACGUUUGAAUGUGUCAUGUCGCCGCCGACCCAUCAGCCAGUUAUCGCACCCCGGCGCCCUCUCUAUCCUUAGUACACCGAGUGCUCGGCAGAUGUAAGUGUGUAAUAAAAAAUCAAAAAGGAGGGCAGAUGCAAGUGUUGGAUUAAUGUGGCCUUUGGGUAAUUAUAUUUCAGAUGAUUGGCAGUGCGACUUUGCUAUCCCUCUUCCACGGCCAGCCCUUUCGUGCUGGUCAGUCUGACAUGCCGGGCCCUGGGACAAUGGAGCUGUCCCCACCUAACACAAGGCACACCUGGACGGGCGACAUAACUCUCCCCAACGUGGAGAACAUGGACACGUACUACUCCGCCGGGCGAGACCCGUUCUUCUACCCGCACCACAACAACAUCGACCGUCUAUGGGAGGCCUGGCGUGACAUCGGCACUGCCCGUGGUUACCGUGGCCAUGUUGAUUUCACGGAUAUCGACUGGCUCUACUCCUUCCUCUUCUCCGGCGAAGAAUCCUGGCUGGUUACGCAUCACCGUCCGUGAACAAGCUCCGAUACAGGUUUGAUGGCGUUGGCACGCCAUGGUUUGAUGAGCUACGUGUGUUUGAGUCAUCCCAGUAUGGACGGCACGGGGAAGGGGGUGAUGAUAGAAACAAGGAUGAUGGUGGCGUUGAACGAUCUCUUGAAUGAUCUGGGUGCCGAUGGAGACAAUAGUGUGACAGUAACGUUGGUGCCUAGACUUGGGAAGGUUAAGAUCGGAAGCCUGAGAAUAGUAUACAUGGUGGAGUAAGAUUACUGUAAGAGUAAACUGCAUAUCGUAUUUGUACUGUAAGGAGAUAUCUACCGUGAAUCGUUAGGGAACUUUUCUACUCCCUCGGUUCCUAAAUAUAAGUCUUUUUAGAGAUUUCACUAUGGUCUGUAUACGGAGCAAAAUGAGUGAAUCUACAUUCGAAAGUAUAUCUAUAUACAUCCGUAUGUAGUCCAUACUGAAAUCUCUCCAAAGACAUACAUUUAGGAACGGAGGGAGUACAUCAUUAGGGAACUUUUCUACUGUGAAUCGUUAGGGAACUUUUCUACAUCAUUAGGAAACUUUUCUACCGUGAAUCGUUAGGGAACUUUUCUACAUCAUAUCGUAUUUUAUUUGUGCACAAAGGGAACUUUUCUUAUCACUAGGCAAGUGUAUGUGCGUUGCUACGAGUACAUCGCAAAAAAUUACCACAUUACGGUCAGGGUUACAAAAAAACUACCAUCUUCUUUAAUUUCCUAAAAAGCUAUCACUAUUUUGGCUCGCUGUUUCAGAAAAACCAAGUGGCUGAACCCUAAAUUUUUAAUCGCGAUUAUGACAACACUGUCCCACUCGUCAAGUCUAAUGCGGCAUAAAGGUCAACACCGUCAACUUUGUGUUUUUUCUUUCCUUUCCUUUUUUAUUUUUUUCUUGCAUUUUUCGAAUACACGUCGAAUUUAUUUAAAUAUACGUUGAAAAAUUUGUUAUACAUGUACAUAUUUGGAUACACGGGCUCGCCCGCGGAGAUUGAAGAGAAGAAGGUUUUCCCUGGUCGCCUUGUGAGAGGGCAAAGAAAACAACGCAAUUUGGAAGUUAUUUUCAUUGUAACCCUAAAAAGAAAAGUACAUGAUGCUGUAAAAUAAUGGAAAUGAAUUUAUUUGACCAUUUUGUACUAUUAAAUAAAAUAUAUUUUGUAGCCGUAGAAAACAGAUGGCGAACUGGCCGGUGAACCCGAGGUCCAAUCGAUGAAAACUUGAACCGACAAGUUCACUGGUUCAGUCACUGAUUUGGUUUUUAAAACUAUGGUAUAAAGGGUUCACAAGCCUUACGGACGUCAGCUGACCAGCAAAUUGAUGUAGUUAGCGGAACGUCCCAUUCCCAACAGUAGAUAUGUAUCAAUUUAGGAAUCUGGGUUGGAUGGAAACAAAUCAUCUGAUUUUCAGCUGCUUUCUAAUGGAAAGGUGCCAAACAGUGAACAAUCCCAACCGUAAAUAUCACGGAUCACCGUAGCUGCCCAACGGUCGGCCAAGCUAAAAAAAAAAGGUGGUAGCAGUACUAUCGUCUCCUUCCUCCUCUGACUCCACCCCCUUCCCCUUCCUCCUCCUCCCACUGCGUGUCUGCGUCAGAGGUCCCGACGCAAAUGCCAUGGCAGUCAUCGACCAGGCUAUGCGGCAGCUGGCGCCGCUCCGUGGCUAGUGAAGUCGUCAGCAACCUGUCUAUAUAUCUAGUGUUACCUGUUUUUGGUACAUACGGCAACACACUGCUGCUCGUAUGUUGUGUAUUGGUGGUUCGAUGGUUUAUCAUGGGUACAAGUACAUGUAGCAAUUUGGUGGUUGUGUGUUCUGAUUGAAGUUCGGCGUUGCAGUUCCCAUCUCAUGAGGCGGAGAAUGUGAUUGCCUGGCACUAUGAGAGCACCGGUAGAUUUACGGUCAAAAGUGCAUAUAACCUGGCUUAUAGGAUCAACAGAAACUCCAUUGUUGGAGCCUCCUCUUCGGCAAAAGAGGUAGGAGACAGAUGCAUCUGGGACAUCAUCUGGAAGGCAAAAGUCCCUCAAAAGAUUAAGGUCUUAGGAUGGCAUGUAGCCACACAGUCUCUAGCCCCCAAGCAUAAUGCUUUCCGUCGCACAAUAGCCACUGAUAAUAUUGUUGGGCUAAGUCCCUCCACAUGGAGGUGUGUUGGCAGCCCAACAUCAGCCCAUAAGUCCAACACAUGUCAGCCGUUGAUCUUCGCUGCAUCCAACGGUUGAGAGCGCUUCCAAGGGAAGUGAAGCAAGAAGAAAACCCUAGCCACUCCACACCUUGCUGGUGGUGGCUGCCAUUCAUGAGAGUGAGAGAGAGAGCACACAAGAGAAAACACAACCUGAGAGAGGAAGAAGAAGAUGCAGAGGUUCUGUCCAGAUUUGCUGCAUCUGACUAGACAGUGUUCAAGCUGGUGGUUGGAGGCUCAAACGUGCUUGGAUCGACCCCAAACUUGGUGAGCUCGUUCCUUACUUUGAGUACUUCGAUCUGGUUAGCUGGUUUGAGGAUUGGGUCAGUGGAGCAUCAGAUUUGAGAGUGGUUUUGUCAGCUCUGACUACUGCAAUUUCAGAACAGAGUAGUUUUGGGAGACGAACAGUUUGGGUAGGCAAACGAUGUCCUAUUGAGCUGAAAUUUGGAGGGGGUCUCAAGAACUCGUGUGUCUACUUGUCUACAAAAUUUGGUGCUGUUUGGUUCAGCAGUUUAAGAGCAGUUUGCAAAACGCUAGAGGGUACAAAAGCUGUGUAAACUCUGCUUUGCUGAAAUCUUACUUCUUGUGGUUGUUGUUGCUGUUGCCGGUUGGCAACGUGGAGAGUGUGUUGUAAAUCUCUCUAGAGGUUCUAGAGAAGACUUUGUACUCAUCAUUCUCAUAGUGAAGUUGUGUGGACCGGUCGGUCCACAGCCGUGGUUUUUUACUCCUCAAGUUGAGGAGGUUUUUUCACGUUAAAUCCUGUGUCACAUGUGCAUGUUGUUUGUGUUAUUCCGCUGCUUACUUGUUGGUUGAAUCUGUCCUCAAAGUUCAUCACAAGUAAAGGGGGCUGUGUAGUGUGCAUAUUUGCCGUGUCGGUGAAUUUGUGCAGCGCAUUGUUGCUGUCCAUUCCAACAAAGUGGUAUCAGAGCCUUGGUUUGCUUGUGCAUAUUGCUGAGUUUCUUGUGGUGAAAGAUGGAAGUGAAUACCAGCAGGAUGAUAUCAUUGAAUGGUACAAAUUAUCAAGCAUGGAAGGGCAAGAUGGAGGAUUUGUUGUAUGUGAAAGAAUACUGGAAGCCAGUGUUCUCCACUGAGAUGCCGAAGGGCAUUGAGGAAGGUCAAUGGAAGGUACUUCAUUGCCAAGCUUGUGGGUUUAUUCGACAAUGGGUCGAUGACAAUGUUUUGAACCAUAUCAUUGAUGAGACACAUGCACGCACCUUAUGGCAGAAAUUGGAAGAGUUGUUUGCCCGGAAAGAAGGUACAAACAAGAUGUUCUUGAUCAAACAAUUGAUGUGCUUGAGGUACAAAGAGGGCACUCUAAUUGCAGAUCAUGUCAAUACAUUCCAAGGCAUUAUAAAUCAGCUUUCUUCAAUGGGAAUUAGAUUUGAAGAUGAAGUGAGAGCUUUGCUGCUACUAAGCUCAUUACCGGACAGCUGGGAGACCUUUAAGGUCACGGUUUGCAAUUCAGCACCUAAUGGAGUUGUCACUUGGAAUCUUGUGAAAACCAGGGUACUAAAUGAAGCGUCCAGAAAGGUGGCUGAAGCCACUUCUUUAUCACAUUCAGAGGUGCUAGUCACUCAGUCCAGGGGGAGAAGCAAGAGCAGAGGUCCAGGUAAAGGGGCAGAAAGAGGUAGGAGCAAACCAAAAAGUAAGUAUGCUGAUUAUGAGUGCCAUCACUACCAUCAGAAGGGCCACAUUAAGUGGCAAUGUGACAAGUGGAAGAAAGACAAAAAGAAAAAGAAGAAACAAGAUCAAAAGCAAGUUGACAGUGACAGUGACACAGAGGGCAACCGAGUUACUGCAGUAGAAGAGGACAUCAUGCUUGUUAUGCAUGAAGAAAAUGAGGGCAGAUUUGGUUCCACUGUUGAGGAGAGGAUCACUAUUGUUUCUGAUGAAACCGUCAACCUUGUGGACGGUGACGAGAUGAUUUGGAUACCGGACAGCGGUGCUACCAUUCAUGCUACAUCUCGCAAAGAGCUCUUCACUAACUAUAUAUCAGGUGAAUUUGGUGUUGUGAAGAUGGGGAACAAUGAUAGGGCAGCUAUCAUUGGAAAAGGAGAUGUGCAUUUGGAGACCGCAAAUGGUACAAGGUUAGUCCUCAAAUCUGUGAGGCAUGUUGAGGCACUUCGUCUCAAUAUUAUCUCGGUUGGUUUGCUUGAUGGAGAUGAUUACUUGAGCAGUUUUGGAAAAGGGUAGUACAAGCUCACCAAAGGCAACAUGAUUGUUGCAAGAGGUAAAAUGGUCUCAGUUUUGUAUCAUGUUCAUGCUAAGCUCUUUAGUGCUUCUGUCAAUGCACUAGAGAAGGAUGAUCAUUGUGCUUUAUGGCACAAGAGACUUGGGCACAUGAGUGAGAAGGGGAAGACAGUGAUAGUGAAGAAAAAAUUGUUGAAGGGUGUGAAAGGAGUUCACAUCAAGAACUGUUCAGAUUGUCUAGCAGGGAAGCAACACCGAGUUGCCUUCAAGACUCUACCUCCUCACAAGAAGCCCGAGAAGCUGGACUUGAUACAUUCCGAUGUUUGCAAAAUGUUGGUAAGAUCUCUUGGUGAUGCUAAGUAAUUUGUUACUUCUAUUGAUGACUUUUCCAGGAAAGUUUGGGCCUUCACUUUGAGUGAAGGAAAUAUGCCCUAGAGGCAAUAAUAAAGCUAUUAUUUAUUUCCUCAUAUCAUGAUAAAUGUUUAUUAUUCAUGCUAAAAUUGUACUAACCGGAAACAUGAUACAUGUGUGAAUAUAUAGACAAACAUAACGUCACUAGUAUGCCUCUAAUUGACUAGCUCAUUAAUCAAAGAUGGUCAUGUUUCCUAACCAUAGACAUGUGUUGUCAUUUGAUUAACGGAAUCACAUCAUUAGGAGAAUGAUGUGAUUGACAUGACCCAUUUCGUUAGCCUAGCACUUGAUCGUUUAGUAUGUUGCUAUUGCUUUCUUCAUGACUUAUACAUGUUCCUGUAACUAUGAGAUUAUGCAACUCCCGUUUACCGGAGGAACACUUUGUGUGCUACCAAACGUCACGAUGUAACUGGGUGAUUAUAAAGGAUCUCUACAGGUGUCUCCGAAGGUACAUGUUGGGUUGGCUUAUUUCGAGAUUAGGAUUUGUCACUCCGAUUGUCGGAGAGGUAUCUCUGGGCCCUCACAUCACUAUAAGUCUUGCAAGCAAUGUAGCUAAUGAAUUAGUUACGGAAUGAUGCAUUACGUAACGAGUGAAGAGACUUGCCGGUAACGAGAUUGAACUAGGUAUUGGAUACCAACGAUCGAAUCUCGGGCAAGUAACAUACCGACGACAAAGGGAACAACGUAUGUUGUUAUGCAGUUUGAUCGAUAAAGAUCUUCGUAGAAUAUGUAGGAGCCAAUAUGAGCAUCCAGGUUCCGCUAUUGGUUAUUGACCGAGAAUAGUUCUAGGUCAUGUCUACAUAGUUCUCGAACCCGUAGGGUCCGCACGCUUAACGUUACGAUGACAGUUUUAUUAUGAGUUUAUAAGUUUUGAUGUACCGAAGGUUGUUCGGAGUCCCGGAUGUGAUCACGGACAUGACGAGGAGUCUCGAAAUGGUCGAGACAUAAAAAUUAUUGGAAGCUUAUAUUUGGAUAUCAGAAUGGUUUCGGGUGAAAUCAGGAUUUUACCGGAGCACCGGGGGGUUACCGGAACCCUCCCGGGGGUUAUUGGGCCUUCAUGGGCCCUAAGGGAGAAGAGGAGAGGAGGCAAGAGGUGGGCUGCGCCCCCUCCCCUCCCUAGUCCGAAUAGGACAAGGAGAGGGGGGCGGUGCCCCCCCUUUUCCUUCCCCUCUUCCUCCUCCUUCCCCCUUCUCCUUCUCCAACUAGGAAAGAAGGGAGUCCUACUCCCGGUGGGAGUAGGACUCCCCCUUGGCGCGCCCUCCUUGGCCGGCCGCCCCCUCCCCCUUGGCUCCUUUAUAUACGGGGGCAGGGAGGCACCUCUAAACACACAAGUUGAUCUUCGUGAUCUUUCCUUAGCCGUGUGCGGUGCCCCCUCCACCAUAUUCCACCUCGGUCAUAUCAUUGCGGUGCUUAGGCGAAAUCCUGCGUCGGUAGAACAUCAUCAUCGUCACCACGCCGUCGUGCUGACGGAACUCAUCCCCGACACCCUGCUGGAUCAGAGUCCGGGGAUCGUCAUCGAGCUGAACGUGUGCUGAACUCGGAGGUGCCGUACGUUCUGUGCUUGGAUCGAUCGGAUCGUGAAGACGUACGACUACAUCAACCGCGUUGUCAUAACGCUUCCGCUUAUGGUCUACGAGGGUACGUGGACAACACUCUCCCCUCUCGUUGCUAUGCAUCACCAUGAUCUUGCAUGUGCGUAGGAUUUUUUUGAAAUUACUAUGUUCCCCAACAGUGGCAUCCGAGGCUAGGUUUUAUGCGUUGAUGUUAUAUGCACGAGUAGAACACAAGUGAGUUGUGGGCGAUACAAGUCAUACUACUUAACAGCAUGUCAUACUUUGGUUUGGCGAUAUUGUUGGAUGAAGCGGCCCGGACCGACAUUACGCGUACGCUUACGCGAGACUGGUUUUACCGCCGUGCUUUGCACACAGGUGACUAGCGGGUGUCUGUUUCUCCAACUUUAGUUGAACCGAGUGUGGCUACGCCCGGUCCUUACGAAGGUUAAAACCGCACUAACUUGAUGAACUAUCGUUGUGGUUUUGAUGCGUAGGUAAGAACGGUUCUUGCUCAGCCCGUAGCAGCCACGUAAAAUUUGCAACAACAAAGUAGAGGACGUCUAACUUGUUUUUGCAGGGCAUGUUGUGAUGUGAUAUGGUCAAGACGUGAUGCUAUAUUUUAUUGUAUGAGAUGAUCAUGUUUUGUAACCGAAGUUAUCGGCAACUGGCAGGAGCCAUAUCGUUGUCGCUUUAUUGUAUGAAAUGCAAACACCCUCUAAUUGCUUUACUUUAUCACUAAGCGGUAGCGAUAGUCGUAGAAGCAAUAGAUGGCGUAACGACAACAAUGCUACGAUGGAGAUCAAGGUGUCGCGCCGGUGACGAUGGUGAUCAUGACGGUGCUUCGGAGAUGGAGAUCACAAGCACAAGAUGAUGAUGGCCAUAUCAUAUCACUUAUAUUGAUUGCAUGUGAUGUUUAUCCUUUAUGCAUCUUAUCUUGCUUUGAUUGACGGUAGCAUUUUAAGAUGAUAUCUCACUAAAAAUUAUCAAGAAGUGUUCUCCCUGAGUAUGCACCGUUGCGAAAGUUCUCCGUGCUGAGACAUCACGUGAUGAUCGGGUGGGAUAGGCUCAUCGUUCAAAUACAACGGGUGCAAAACAGUUGCACACGCGGAAUACUCAGGUUAAACUUGACGAGCCUAGCAUAUAACAGAUAUGGCCUCGGAACACGGAGACCGAAAGGUCGAACGUGAAUCAUAUAGUAGAUAUGAUCAACAUAGUGAUGUUCACCAUUGAAACUGCUCCAUCUCACGUGAUGAUCGGACAUGGUUUAGUUGAUAUGGAUCACGUGAUCACUUAGAUGACUAGAGAGAUGUCUGUCUAAGUGGGAGUUCUUAAGUAAUAUGAUUAAUUGAACUUAAAUUUAUCAUGAACUUAGUACUUGAUAGUAUUUUGCUUGUCUAUGUUUGUUGUAGAUAGAUGGCUCGUGCUGUUGUUCCAUUGAAUUUUAAUGCGUUCCUUGAGAAAGCUAAGUUGAAAGAUGAUGGUAGCAAUUACACAGACUGGGUCCAUAACCUAAGGAUUGUCCUCAUUGCUGCACAGAAGAAUUACGUCCUGGAAGCACCACUGGGUGCCAGGCCUGCUGCUGAUGCAACUGACGACGUUAAGAACGUCUGGUAGAGCAAAGUUGAUGACUACUUGAUAGUUCAGUGUGCCAUGCUUUACGGCUUGGAACCGGGUCUUCAACGACGUUUUGAACAUCAUGGAGCAUAUGAGAUGUUCCAGGAGUUGAAGUUAAUAUUUCAAGCAAAUGCCCGGAUUGAGAGAUAUGAAGUCUCCAAUAAGUUCUAUAGCUGCAAGAUGAAGGAGAAUAGUUCUGUCAGUGAACACAUACUCAAAAUGUCUGGGUAUAAUAAUCACUUGAUUCAACUGGGAGUUAAUCUUCCCGAUGAUAGUGUCAUUGACAGAAUUCUUCAAUCACUGCCACCAAGCUACAAGAGCUUUGUGAUGAACUAUAAUAUGCAAGGGAUGGACAAGACUAUUCCCGAGCUCUUCGAAUGCUAAAAGCCGCGGAGGUAGAAAUCAAGAAGGAGCAUCAAGUGUUGAUGGUAAACAAGACCACCAGUUUCAAGAAAAAGGGCAAAGGGAAGAAGAAGGGGAACUUCAAGAAGAACAGCAAACAAGUUGCUGCUCAAUAGAAGAAACCCAAGUCUGGACCUAAGACUGAGACUGAGUGCUUCUACUGCAAGCAGACUGGACACUGGAAGCGGAACUGCCCCAAGUAUUUGGCGGAUAAGAAGGAUGGCAAAGUGAACAAAGUAAUAUGUGAUAUACAUGUUAUUGAUGUGUACCUUACUAAUACUCGCAGUAGUACCUGGGUAUUUGAUACUGGUUCUGUUGCUAAUAUUUACAACUCGAAACAGGGACUAUGGAUUAAGCGAAGAUUGGCUAAGGACGAGGUGACCAUACGCGUGGGAAAUGGUUCCAAAGUCGACGUAAUCGCGGUCGGCACGCUACCUCUACAUCUACCCUCGGGGUUAGUUUUAGACCUAAAUAAUUGUUAUUUGGUGCCAGCGUUGAGCAUGAACAUUAUAUCUGCAUCUUGUUUGAUGCGAGACGGUUAUUCAUUUAAAUCAGAGAAUAAUGGUUGUUCUAUUUAUAUGAGUAAUAUCUUUUAUGGUCAUGCACCCUUGAAGAGUGGUCUAUUUUUUGAAUCUCGAUAGUAGUGAUACACAUAUUCAUAGUGUUGAAACCAAAAGAUGCAGAGUUGAUAAUGAUAGUGCAACUUAUUUGUGGCACUGCCGUUUAAGUCAUAUCGGUAUAAAGCGCAUGAAGAAACUCCAUACUGAUGGACUUUUGGAAUGACUUGAUUAUGAAUCACUUGGUACUUGCGAACCGUGCCUCAUGGGCAAGAUGACUAAAACGCCGUUCUCCAGAACUAUGGAGCGAGCAACUGAUUUGUUGGAAAUCAUACAUACUGAUGUUUGUGGUCCAAUGAAUAUUGAGGCUCGCGGCGGGUAUCGUUAUUUUCUCACCUUCACAGAUGAUUUGAGCAGAUAUGGGUAUAUCUACUUAAUGAAACACAAGUCUGCAACAUUUGAAAAGUUCAAAGAAUUUCAGAGUGAAGUGGAAAAUCAUCGUAAGAAGAAAAUAAAAUUUCUAUGAUCUGAUCAUGGAGGAGAAUAUUUGAGUUACGAGUUUGGUUUACAUCUGAAACAAUGCGGAAUAGUUUCUCAACUCACGCCAUCCGGAACACCACAACGAAAUGGUGUGUCCGAACGUCGUAAUCGUACUUUACUAGAUAUGGUGCGAUCUAUGAUGUCUCUUACUGAUUUACCGCUAUCGUUUUGGGGUUAUGCUUUAGAGACGACCGCAUUCACGUUAAAUAGGGCACCAUCAAAAUCCGUUGAGACGACGCCUCAUGAACUGUGGUUUGGCAAGAAACCAAAGUUGUCGUUUCUUAAAGUUUGGGGCUGCGAUGCUUAUGUGAAGAAACUUCAACCAGAUAAGCUCGAACCCAAAUCGGAGAAAUGUGUCUUCAUAGGAUACCCAAAAGAGACUGUUGGGUACACCUUCUAUCACAGAUCUGAGGGCAAGAUUUUUGUUGCUAAAUUCGGAUCCUUUCUAGAGAAGGAGUUUCUCUCGAAAGAAGUGAGUGGGAGGAAAGUAGAACUUGAUGAGGUAACUGUACCUGCUCCCUUAUUGGAAAGUAGUCCAUCACAAGAACCUGUUCCUAUGACAACUACACCAAUUAGUGAGGAAGCUAAUGAUAUUGAUCAUGAAACUUCAGAUCAAGUUUCUACUGAACCGCGUAGGUCUACCAGAGUAAGAUCCGCACCAGAGUGGUACGGUAAUCCUAUUCUGGAAGUCAUGUUACUUGACCAUGCGAACCUACGAACUAUGACGAAGCGAUGAUGAGCCCAGAUUCCGCAAAAUGGCUAGAAGCCAUGAAAUCUGAGAUGGGAUCCAUGUAUGAGAACAAAGUAUGGACUUUGGUUGACUUGCCCGAUGAUCGGCAAGCCAUUGAGAAUAAAUGGAUCUUUAAGAAGAAGACUGACGCUGAUGGUAAUAUAACUGUCUAUAAAGCUCGACUUGUUGCAAAAGGUUUUCGACAAGUUCAAGGGUUGACUACGAUGAGACUUUCUCACCCGUAGCGAUGCUUAAGUCUGUCCGAAUCAUGUUAGCAAUUGCUGCAUUUUAUGAUUAUGAAAUUUGGCAAACGGAUGUCAAAAUUGCAUUCUUGAAUGGAUUUCUGGAAGAAGAGUUGUAUAUGAUACAACCAGAAGAUUUUGUCGAUCCAAAAGGUGCUAACAAAGUGUGCAAGCUCCAGCGAUCCAUUUAUGGAGUGGUGCAAGCAUCUCGGAGUUGGAAUAAACGCUUUGAUAGUGUGAUCAAAGCAUAUGGUUUUAUACAGACUUUUGGAGAAGCCUGUAUUUACAAGAAAGUGAGUGGGAGCUGUGUAGCAUUUCUGAUAUUAUAUGUAGAUGACAUAUUAUUAAUUGGAAAUGAUAUAGAAUUUCUGGAUAGCAUAAAGGGAUACUUGAAUAAAAGUUUUUCAAUGAAAGAGCUCGGUGAAGCUGCUUACAUAUUGGGCAUUAAGAUCUAUAGAGAUAGAUGAAGACGCUUAAUUGGACUUUCACAAAGCACAUACCUUGAUAAAGUUUUGAAAAGGUUCAAAAUGGGUCAGGCGAAGAAAGGGUUCUUGCCUGUAUUACAAGGUGUGAAGUUGAGUCAGACUCAAUGCCCGACCACUGCAGAAGAUAGAGAGAAAAUGAAAGAUGUUCCCUAUCCUUCAGCCAUAGGCUCUAUCAUGUAUGCAAUGCUGUGUACCAGACCUGACGUAUGCUUAGCAAUAAGCUUGGCAGGAAGGUACCAAAGUAAUCCAGGAGUGGAUCACUGGACAGCGGUCAAGAACAUCCUGAAAUACCUGAAAAGGACUAAGGAUAUGUUUCUCGUAUAUGGAGGUGACAAACAGCUAGUCAUAAAUGGUUACGUCGAUGCAAGCUUUGACACUGAUCCGGACGAUUCUAAAUCGCAAACCAGAUACGUGUUUUUAUUAAACGGUGGAGCUGUAAGUUGGUGCAGUUCUAAACAAAGCGUCGUGGCGGGAUCUACAUGUGAAGCGGAGUACAUAGCUGCUUCGGAAGCAGCAAAUGAAGGAGUCUGGAUGAAGGAGUUCAUUUCCGAUCUAGGUGUCAUACCUAGUGCAUCGGGACCAAUGAAGAUCUUCUGUGACAAUACUGGUGCAAUUGCCUUGGCAAAGGAAUCCAGAUUUCACAAGAGGACCAAGCACAUCAAGAGACGCUUCAAUUCCAUCCGGGACCAAGUCCAAGUGGGAGACAUAGAGAUUUGCAAUAUACAUACAGAUCUGAAUGUUGCAGACCCGUUGACUAAGCCUCUUCCAUGAGCAAAACAUGAUCAGCACCAAGACUCCAUGGGUGUUAGAAUCAUUACUGUGUAAUCUAGAUUAUUGACUCUAGUGCAAGUGGGAGACUGAAGGAAAUAUGCCCUAGAGGCAAUAAUAAAGUUAUUAUUUAUUUCCUCAUAUCAUGAUAAAUGUUUAUUAUUCAUGCUAGAAUCGUAUUAACCGAAAACAUGAUACAUGUGUGAAUAUAUAGACAAACAUAACGUCACUAGUAUGCCUCUACUUGACUAGCUCAUUAAUCAAAGAUGGUCAUGUUUCCUAACCAUAGACAUGUGUUGUCAUUUGAUUAACGGGAUCACAUUAUUAGGAGAAUGAUGUGAUUGACAUGACCCAUUCCGUUAGCCUAGCACUUGAUCGUUUAGUAUGUUGCUAUUGCUUUCUUCAUGACUUAUACAUGUUCCUGUAACUAUGAGAUUAUGCAACUCCCGUUUACCAGAGGAACACUUUGUGUGCUACCAAACGUCACAACAUAACUGGGUGAUUACAAAGGAGGUCUACAGGUGUCUUCGAAGGCACAUGUUGGGUUGCCAUAUUUCGAGAUUAGGAUUUGUCACUCCGAUUGUCGGAGAGGUAUCUCUGGGCCCUCUCGGUAAUGCACAUCACUAUAAGUCUUGUAAGCAAUGUAGCUAAUGAGUUAGUUAUGGAAUGAUGCAUUACGUAACAAGUAAAGAGACUUGCCGGUAACGAGAUUGAACUAGGUAUUGGAUACCAGCGAUCGAAUCUCGGGCAAGUAACAUACCGAUGACAAAGGGAACAACGUAUGUUGUUAUGUGGUUUGACCGAUAAAGACCUGCGCAGAAUAUGUAGGAGCCAAUAUGAGCAUCCAGGUUCCGCUAUUGGUUAUUGACCGAGAAUAGUUCUACGUCAUGUCUACAUAGUUCUCGAACCCGUAGGGUCCGCACGCUUAACGUUACGAUGACAGUUUUAUUAUGAGUUUAUAAGUUUUGAUGUACCGAAGGUUGUUCGGAGUCUCGGAUGUGAUCACGGACAUGACGAGGAGUCUCGAAAUGGUCGAGACAUAAAGAUUGAUAUAUUGGAAGCCUAUAUUUGGAUAUCGGAAUGGUUCCGGGUGAAAUCGGGAUUUUACCGGAGCACCGGGGGGUUACCGGAACCCUCCCGGGAGUUAUUGGGCCUUCAUGGGCCCUAAGGGAGAAGAGGAGAGGAGGCAAGAGGUGGGAUGCGCCCCCUCCCCUCCCUAGUCCGAAUAGGACAAGGAGAGGGGGGCGGCGCCCCCGAUUUUCCUUCCCCUCUUCCUCCUCCUUCCCCCUUCUCCUUCUCCAACUAGGAAAGAAGGGAGUCCUACUCCCGGUGGGAGUAGGACUCCCCCUUGGCGCGCCCUCCUUGGUCAGCCGGCCCCUCCCCCUUGGAUCCUUUAUAUACGGGGGCAAGGGGGCACCUCUAAACACACAAGUUGAUCUUCGUGAUCGUUCCUUAGCCGUGUGCGGUGCCCCCCUCCACCAUAUUCCACCUCGGUCAUAUCGUUGCGGUGCUUAGGUAAAGUCCUGCGUCGGUAGAACAUCAUCAUCGUCACCACGCCGUCGUGCUGACGGAACUCAUCCCCGACACCCUGCUGGAUCGGAGUCUGGGGAUCGUCAUCGAGCUGAACGUGUGCUGAACUCGGAGGUGCCAUACGUUCGGUGCUUGGAUCGGUCGGAUCAUGAAGACGUACGACUACAUCAACCGCGUUGUCAUAACGCUUCCGCUUAUGGUCUACGAGGGUACGUGGACAACACUCUCCCCUCUCAUUGCUAUGCAUCACCAUGAUCUUGUGUGUGCGUAGGAUUUUUUUUUUGAAAUUACUACAUUCCCCAACAUUGAGGACCAAAGAUCAAGUACUAGGUGUAUUCAAGCAAUUCCAAGCCUCGGUUGAGAGAGAAACUGAGAAGAAGAUCAAGUGCAUUCGCACUGAUAAUGGAGGAGAGUACAUUGGGCCAUUUGCUGCAUAUUGCAAGCAGCAAGGUAUUAGGCAUCAAUUUACUCCCUCGAAGACACCACAGCUGAAUGGUCUUGCUGAGAGGAUGAACAGGACAACUGUGGAGAGAGUUAGAUGCUUGUUGUCAAAUGCAAAGCUAUGCAAACACCUUUGGGGCGAGGCUUUGAUGACUGCGGUUUAUCUUAUUAAUCUCUCACCAAGUUAUCCUUUGCAGGGAGAUGUUCCUAACAGGGUUUGGUGUGACAAGGACGUCUCAUAUGACCACCUGAAGGUUUUUGGGUGCAAGGCCUUUGUUCAUAUUCCUCAAGAUGAAAGGUCAAAGCUUGAUUUGAAGACACGACAAUGUAUCUUUCUUGGUUAUGGUGGUGAUGAGUUUGGCUACAAACUGUUUGACCCUAUAGCAAGGAAAGUUGUGAGAAGUUGUGAUGUUGUGUUUGUUGAAGACCAAACAAUUCAGGAUAUUGUGAAGACAAAGGGGCAGGUUCCUCCUUAGCAGCAGCAAGAGAUGAUUGAUUCUGACCCAGUUCCUGUAGCUCCAGCUCUUGUGCAAGAUGAAGCAGAUGCAGAAGAUGUACAAGAUGAUGUACAUGGUGGUGCAGGUGAAGAAGAUGCUCCCCAGCAGCAGCAACAAGAGUAUGAUGCUGAAGUUGAUGAUCCGGAUCAGUAGGAAGCACCAGCACCAGAAAGUCCACCAGCCGCUCCACUCAGAAGAUCCAACAGGGGUCGAAUUCCCUCCAGCAGGUAUCCCUCAGAUCAAUACGUGGUGUUAUUAUCUAACGGUUCAGAACCUGAAUGCUUUGCAGAUGCAAUGGAAGAUGAGCACAAGGAGUGGAAAAAUGCUAUGCAAGAAGAGAUGGAUUCCUUGCAUAAGAAUCAUACUUAUGAGUUGGUGAAGUUGCCCAAGGGCAAGAAAAUUUUGAAGAACAAGUGGGUCUACAGAAUCAAGCAAGAAGAGCACACAUCACAUCCAAGGUACAAGACCAGGCUAGUUGUAAAAGGAUUCGGCCAGAGAAAAGGCAUUGACUAUGAUGAGAUCUUUUCUCCGGUUGUGAAGAUGACAUCCAUAAGAGUAAUCCUUGGCAUGGCAGCAAGUCUUAACUUGGAGGUUGAGCAAAUGGAUGUGAAGACUGCAUUCCUUCAUGGUGAGUUGGAGGAAGAAAUAUACAUGGAGCAACCUGAGGGGUUUCUUGUGAAAGGCAAAGAAGACUAUGUGUGCAAGCUGAACAAAAGUCUCUAUGGCCUGAAACAAGCACCAAGACAAUGGUACAUGAAGUUUGAAACUGUCAUGGGGGAGCAAGGCUACAAGAAGUGUAGCUCAGACCAUUGUGUGUUUAUUCAGAGGUUCUCAGGUGAUGAUUUGAUCAUAUUAUGUCUCUAGGAUUGCUAAGUUGAAGAAGGAGUUGAGCAAAUGUUUUGCCAUGAAAGACUUAGGUCCAGCAAAGAACAUUCUCAGAAUGAGAAUUGAGCGAGACAGAAAUUGCAGCAAGUUGUACUUGUCUCAAGAGAAGUAUAUUGAGAAAGUACUUCAGAAGUUCAGGAUGGAAAAUGCUAAAGUUGUGAGUUGUCCACUACCAGCUCAUUUCAAGUUGAGCAGAAAGCAAUGUCCUACCACUGAUGAGCAGAAAAAGGAAAUGCAUCAUGUUCCUUAUGCUUCAGCGGUUGGGAGUUUGAUGUAUGCUAUGGUGUGUACAAGGCCUGACAUUGCCCAUGCGGUUAGUACUGUGAGCAGAUUUAUGUCCAAUCCAGGAAGACCUCAUUGGGAAGCCGUGAAGUGGAUUUUGAGAUAUCUCCGGGGCAGCACAAAUCUGAAAGUUUGCUUUGGUGAUGGUGAGGCAAAGCUGAUUGCUUUUUCAGAUUCUGACAUGGCUGGAGAUGUUGACAGAAGGAAGUCUAUUUCAGGUUACUUGGUUACCUAUGCAGAGGGAGCGGUGUCAUGGCAAAACAGGCUGCAGAAGUGUGUGGCACUGAAUACAACUGAAGCUGAAUUCAUUGCUGUAAUAGAGGCGAACAAAGAGCUAUUGUGGCUGAAACAUUUGGUUUGUGAGCUUGGUUUUAACAAGACAAGUAUGUGUUAUUUUGUGACAACCAAAGUGCUAUCCACUUGAGUAAGAAUGCAAGUUUUCAUUCAAGGUCUAAGCAUAUAGAAGUCCAUUAUCAUUGGAUUCGAGAUGUGUUGUAUUCCAAGAAAAUGCAACUUGAGAAGGUUCACACCGAUGACAAUGAGGCUGAUAUGUUGACUAAAGUGGUGACAAGGAAGAAGCUCGAAGUAUGCCGUCGGCUCGUUGGCAUGGCUGCCGGAAGGCAGUGAGACCCUCCAUGAUGUCGGGAGGGGGAGUUUGUUGGGCUAAGUCCCUCCACAUGGAGGUGUGUUGGCAGCCUAACAUCAGCCCAUAAGUCCAACAUAUGUCAGCCGUUGAUCUUCGCUGCAUCCAACGGUUGAGAGCGCUUCCAAGGGAAGUGAAGCAAGAAGAAAACCCUAGCCACUCCACCCCUUGCUGGUGGUGGCUGCCAUUCGUGAGAGUGAGAGGGAGAGCACACAAGAGAAAACACAACCUGAGAGAGGAAGAAGAAGAAGCAGAGGUUCUGUCCAGAUUUGUUGCAUCUGACUAGACAGUGUUCAAGCUGGUGGUUGGAGGCUCAAACGUGCUUGGAUCGACCCCAAACUUGGUGAGCUCGUUCCUUACUUUGAGUACUUCGAUCCGGUUAGCUGGUUUGAGGUUGGGUCAGUGGAGCAUCAGAUUUGAGAGUGGUUUUGUCAGCUCUGACUGCUGCAGUUUCAGAACAGAGUAGUUUUGGGAGACGAACAGUUUGGGUAGGCAAACGAUGUCCUAUUGAGCUGAAAUUUGGAGGGGGUCUCAAGAACUCGCGUGUCUACUUGUCUGCCAAAUUUGGUGCUGUUUGGUUCAGCAGUUUAAGAGCAGUUUGCAAAACACUGGAGGGUACAGAAGCUGUGUAAACUCUGCUUUGCUGAAAUCUUACUUCUUGUGGUUGUUGUUGCUGUUGCCGGUUGGCAACGUGGAGAGUGUGUUGUAAAUCUCUGUAGAGGUUCUAGAGAAGACUUUGUACUCAUCAUUCUCAUAGUGAAGUUGUGUGGACCGGUCGGUCCACAGCCGUGGUUUUUUACUCCUCAAGUUGAGGAGGUUUUUCCACGUUAAAUCAUGUGUCACAUGUGCAUGUUGUUUGUGUUAUUCCGCUGCUUACUUGUUGGUUGAAUCUGUCCUUAAAGUUCAUCACAAGUGAAGGAGGCUGUGUAGUGUGCAUAUUUGCCGUGUCGGUGAAUUUGUGCAGCGCAUUGUUGCUGUCCAGCCCAACAAAUAUCUGGGUAGGUCGUAACGAUGUGAUUCAUGCAGCUGGGAAAGAGACAGUGACGGGAUCAGUGCGCUUCCUAGUCAGACAUGAAGCUGAAAUAAAAGAUGCCCAGACACCCACUGAAACUGAGGUAGUGGGGAAUCUACAACAUGAACGCGCCUGUCGUAGCCUUGUCGCCCCAUCCAUGCACUGGUCCCCGCCGGCCCCUGGUUGGGCAAAGCUAAAUUCAGACGCUGCCUUCCUAGUGGACACGGGUGAUUGCUGGGGUGGAGCUGUGGCUCGCAACUCCCAAGGCCUCGUUUUCAUCUCGGUUUGCCAAAGCCUGAAAAAAUGCAGAUCAGUAGAGGAGGCCGAGGCAGAGGUUGUCCUUGGUGGACUGAAGGAAUUAGCAAAGAGAUACCGGGGGAGAAUCAUAGUGGAGACUGACAACGCUUGGGUUGGCAGAGAACUGAGGAACAACACGACUUGCCUUUCAGAAUACUACCCCACCCUGACGGAUAUCAAACAAACACCGGAGCUAUUUGCUGAUUACCAGAUCAGUGUGGUUUGGAGGAACCUCAAUAAACUGGCCCAUGAGCUGGCCUUCUUAGCGAGAACCUCAGGCAACCAGGCACUAGUUGGUACGUACAGUCCCGGAGAAUCUUAAAGAGAUGUUUUUAGUUGAGUGUAAUCCCAACCAUUGAGUAGCCUGUUACUCUUUGGAUCAGAGAGAGAGAGAGAGAGAGAGAGAGAGAGAGAGAGAGAGAUGGUCGGUUAUAGAGAAGAAUAAAAUACUAGAAGAGAGAUUCACCGUUUUCUCUGAUUGCUAGCUAGGGGCCUAGUGCUGAUGUCCCUCCGGUCAUUUUCUGAGAUAUUCAUUAUUUCUAUUCUCUAAUAUUUAUAGUACAAAGUUUGCCAAAACUCCAUGUUUUGCUUUCUAAAUUAAACGAGUAGACGUGCGCGCGCACACACACAGGCUGUGUGUACCGCUAGCUUACAUGCCAGAUUAUCUAUUUUUGUCUGAGCCAGCAUUCCAUGAUCCGUCUUUGGUGCAUCGUUGCGAGAGAUUUUGUUUAUGUUGUUGACGAACCGACUAGUAACUACUACUGCUACUUAUUUCUAGGUCACUAGUUUUCUACUUCCUCCGUUCCUAAAUAUAAGUCUUUUGAGAGAUUUCAUUGUAGACUACAUACGGAGCAAAAUAAGUGAACUUAUACUUAAAAGGCGUCUAUAUACAUCUGAAUGUAGUCUCUACAGUGAAAUCUCUUAAAAGACUUAUAUUUAGGAACGGAGGAAGUACAUCACUAGUUAAAAUUUAUAGUAUAAAAAAAUGAUGUUAUUGAUUUUUUAUGCUCAUAAUAAUGAGUUCUAGCUACUAUUUUCCAGAGGAAGGAACGACGUCGUCUGUUUCCCUCAAGUCACCCAAGACCGAGUUUACUUUGCUCUUGAACAAGUUUGAGAUAGGACAAACCCAGUACUUCAAUUAUUUGAAACGGAGGUAGUAGAAUGCAAGGUGAAUUACACAGAAUGACAAAUGCAACGUCUAGAACCCAACAGUUAUUUAGGACGCAAGCUGGUACAUUUUAUAGACUUACAUGACGAGAUGAUGUUGAUGAUUAAACAAAAUAAAUAAAAUAACGGCUGAGGACUCCAACUUUACAUGACGAGAACAACAACGAAACAACAGUCACAAAUCCACCAAGAACGGCUGAAACAAGUAAGCAAACAAACUGAACCAGAUGAUGACCGCCAAGAACAGCUGCAAGCACAGUUAUCACUCGUAUCUCACUUUGACGGUCAACUGAUUGGACUGGCCGCGCCUCCGAUUCUCAUUCUUUAGCUCCUCCAAUGCAAGUUUCAGGGCUUUGUUGUCUUUCCGACCAAAGAACUGCACCUCUUUUAGGUUGGUCAAGUGCUCGAUGCCAACAAUUUUCUUCUCAAUGUUAGCAAAAUCCAGCUCAAACACCUCAACCUUUGGCAUGCAUCCUUUCUCAAAUUCGUAAACCUCAACUCCAGGAGAAUUUGUCAGUUUCAGAUCCGUGAGCACUGGAAAGAUCUGGGUCUCGCGUACAACCAGCCUUUUCUCUGCGUAGAAGUGUGUCUCCAGGGUGAGCCUCUUCAGGUUGGGCAACUUACACAGUGUGUCUAAUAGUUGGUCACCCUCAAGGUAUGCCCACGCUAUGACAAACUCAACAAGAUUAGUGAGUAGCCCAACCCAGGCAGGCAAUCCACCGCCAACAAGGCCACCACAGAUCCUAAGGUAUCGAAGGAGCCUUGGUGGCGAGGGGAGCUUAUGUAGAAAGUUCAUUACCUUUCGGUCAUAACCCGUGUCCCCAAUGUUCAAGCAUCGGAGGGAGUAUAGCUUGCCUAUUGAAUGGAUAAGCUGUAGAUGGACAUGCUGAUGAUUGUCAGAGUCACUGGCGACAUAGAUACGCAAGUCUUGCAAUUUUUCCAGCUCACCGACCUCCCGAGCAACUACAAGGUUUGAUCUGAUAACCACUUUGUUCGCCUUGCGCAGUGACUUCAUUUUCUUCACUCCCUCGGGCAGUGUCCACCCAUUGGAGAACUGCAGGCUCUCGAGUUGCUCUAGAUCUGUCAAACUCUCCGGUAGAUCUUUAAGCCACGUGUUGCGUGCAUCAAGGGUCUGCAAAUGCUCCAGUUUACCAACUUCCGAAGGCAUCUCACUGAUAUUUGUACCCUUCAAGCUCAAGAACCUUAGAAGGUACAUCCGGCAGAUGUGGCGCAUAUGUUUGUUUUCUAGGCCCUUGCAAUCUUCCAGGUCAAGCACCCUAAGCAGGGUGAACUCACGUAGCCGACCAAGCAGUUUGUCUCCUUCAAACUCAAACAGGCUCAAUGAUCGGGCAUGCUGCACAUUCAUCCCCUCGAUGCCAUCCUUACGACCAUGCCUCGCUGUCUUCUUCUGGGAUGGAGAUUCUUUGGCAAUCUCCCCACCUCCAUGAAUUGAGAGGCGACGAAUCCUAUCGUAUGACAUCCCCUCGUACUGCCCACCUAUGAGGCUAACAAAGUUAGCCUCGAGGGAUUUCGAAACCAUGACCUCGAGUGUCAUGUCAUGCACUCGACACGUCUCCACCCUCCCAUCAUAGUAGGUGACUACAUCAGAGUCCCGAUCAAUCAUGCUUCUACUCACCAGCUCAUUGAAGUAUGAUUCUGCUACCUCCAUCAUUGUCAACCCCCGCUUCUCAGCAACCAAUCCUUCAGCAAUCCAUCUCAUCAACAAUCGAUCCUUGACAAUCACAUAAUCCUCUGGGAAAAUGCUAAGAUACAUCAUGCAACCCUUAAGAUGAUGAGGCAGGUGGUCAUAGCUCAAUGUAACUAUUUGUCUCAUCCCCUCAAGGGUAGGGUGGCUGUCCAUCUGUGAACCAAUUGAUUUGAAAACUAUUUCCCACAUAUGUUUGCUUUCAGGUGAGCUGUAGCUUGCCAAAAGGCUGGCAACACUUAUAAUUGCCAAUGGCAGUCCACCACAUUUUUUUAAGACUUUCUCCAUAACCUCUUCCAAGUCCUUGGGGCAAGAGUCACUCACUGAGCUAAAUGCUCUUCUUAGGAACAGCUUCUUGGAGUCUGAUGGAUUCAGAGCUUGUAUAUUAUAGAUGUCACCACUAGCAUCACUGCAUGCCUUUGCAACAUUAUCUAUCCGAGUGGUAACAAUGAUUCUGCUGCUGCACUUGUUGUCCGGUAACUUGGAAAAGAUUGCAUCCCAGGCUGCAAUGGUCCAUACGUCAUCAAUCACAAUGAGGUACCUAAUUUCAUAUAGUUAUAUAUGUUAGGCUUAGAGAAAGACUUGUCUUGUACAAAAUCAAGGCAUCAGUCAUUUCACUAGGUUUGAUAAAACCACAUCUGUUGACUUUUCAUGUAAACAUGUAGAACUAUACAUUUUAUUAUAUGUUUUCCUUAACUUGAUAGCACAAAUGACUAAUGAGGAAAAGAUGGAUGCGAUGGGAUGAACUUUUAUAUCACUCCUAGCACUAACCUCCUAGACUAGAAAGGAAGGGAACACAUUAGACAUAGGUUAAUUUGAAAGCAAUAUAUUCGUUGUUGCACGUAGCCUCGACCAAUUUGGAUUUCUCGUCAUAAUGUUUUCUUUAUUAUAUUAUUCCAUCAACUACAAAUUAUUUGUUCAUAUACUAAUAUGCUACAUUCCUUCUCUUUGCUAUGAUGAUGGCAAGAGGCAUAAUAAGACAUUUUAUUUUACAGAGAGAGUACAUGCUAAUAUUGAAUAUUCCUACUUCAGCCAUGGACACGAGAGUAUAGUAAGAUAUGCUUUCAUUCGGCUUUCCAUUUGUUCAUGUUAAUCUGCCUUUAUGUUUUCAUGCUUGAUCACUUGUCAGUUAUCACCUCAGGGUAACAAACUGUUCGAUAGCGUGUCAAUUGCGGCUGGGAAAAAAAUGCUCCAUUAAUGAAAAAAGGUACUAGUACGGCAUACCAAAUAGUAGUGGUUUAUACUGCAACACUGCUAAUCAUGGUUAACCAAGGGAUGCUACCACUGGAGCCCAAAAAAUUAUAGUUUGCCAGUUGAUUGGUUCUCUCUAGCUUUAGUACUAGAUUAGUUGUGGAGAUUGACAUAUACUACAUUAUAAGGGUAGGUGUGCCAUGACAUAUUAGGUUAAUCUUUUGGGAAGAGUGGACCCAUGACAAAUAAUAUUAAUCAAGAGUGGACCCAAGAUCGUUGUACGUUUAGCACUGCUCUUUGAUGAAUCCCAAAAUACAUCCAUUAUUACUAGGUCUGUUAUUGAUCAAACUAUCUUAAGUUUGAUUAAGUUCUGUAAGAUAUAGUACAUAAACAUCUUGAACAAGAAAGUACUAUCAUUAUAUUAGAUUCAUCAUGAAAAUAUAUUUAAUUGUUCAUUUACUUGGCGUUCCUUCUUCCCAAAACUAUUCCUAUAUGCAAAAAUGUUUAUUUUAUCAUGGGUCUGUGUAGGGCACAUCUAGAUGUGUCCGAUGUAUUGCACAUCAAAAGUUACUCGACCAACAUAAGAAAGAAAAAGAAAAAGAAAAAAGAAAAAAUACCCGCAUGAAUGUUCACGUAAAUUCAAUUGUAUAGGACUUUGAUGUGUAAUACUUAAGGCACAUCUAGAUGUGCCUUAGCAAACCUGAUUUUUCAUUCAAAUGUGUUCCUUCUUUUCCUUAAAAUUGUUCUUUUUCCCGAAAAUCGUUUCCUCCUCCCCUCAAAUGUUCUUUCUCAUAAUAAUUGUUCCCUUUUUAAGGAAAUAUCCACUACAUUUUCAUAUAUAGUAUUAAAAGAGCAAUAUUUGCAAAAUAUCCAAUGCUAGCAAUGUCAACACAUAGAGCUAAAAAGAGAAAACAUACAUAAAAUGUAUAUAGGGAACAAGGUAAAAAGAACUAGGUAACUUGCGGCAAUAAUGAUAUCAGGCAUUUGUUUAGAUUUUUGGGUACCUCUUGUUUUCGAGGAGCUCCUUUAGCUUGUCAGACAGUUUCUCCUCGUCCAUGCUCUCGAUGCCUUUGAUAGAAUCCUCUUCUGUGAUGCCUUGGUCAUUAUCUGACUUGGGCUUGACGAUCUGCUGCAGCACGCGUAUGAGAAGUCCCUUGAGGCCCUUCCUGCCGUCGAACGCCUGGGACACGGACACUUGCGCUUGACGUUGGAAAUCUGCCUCCAGCUGCCGGCACACCUCCAUGGCCAGCGUAGUCUUGCCGAGGCCCCCGAAGCCCACGAUGGAGAAAACCUUGAGCUUCAUGUCACCCUCCACGUUGUCCUUCACCUUAUUGGCCAGGGGGGUAGCCUUCUCCGUGAUGCCGACGAACUGACACGGGUCGUCGGCAGGGCGGAGCGCACGCGCGGACACGGCCACCGCCCGCAAGGAUACAGAAGGAGGGCGGCGCAGUGGCUCGAGGUUGACGCCGUAACGAGCGUGCUGCUCGUUGAUGGCGGCGGCAUGGGCACGGAGGGCCCUGAUGUCACCGGCGAGGCGGCGCCGAGACAUGAGCGUCUCAAGCAGGUGCUUGCACCAGACGAAAUAGCGGUCGCCCGAUCGGCACCGGACGCGGAAUAAGUAGAGGUCGACGCAGUCCUCGGCGUCGUAGGCGACCUCCCGCAGCUGCUUCAUCCACUCCCGGACGAAGUGGUCCACGGCACCCUCCUCUGCUUCAGACUGCAUGCGGAGGAGGGCGUUCAUGGUGGCCAGCUCGUCCCUCAGACGAGCGACCUCGCCGCCCACUCCGCGGAGCUGCCGGAACUCCUCCCCCACCAGCUGCCCAACGUUGCUCACGAGGGCCUGCGCGGCACCCUCCAUUACUCUUCUCUCUCUUGGUUGGUUAUCAAAAGUCAGAAGAGUGAAUUUUGCUUUGCUACAGGAAGCGCAAAUGGACACAUCUAUCUUAUAGUACUGGUAUUGUCUGAUUAGUCUUGUUGACGAAGAUUAGGCCAAGGGAGUACGGUCAUAGAGAAUCCAAGAAAACAGAAGUAACGUGCGGGCAUGUGAGGAAGCCUUGUAAGAUACUAUUGUGUCAAGAUAAAAAUUAGAAGAGAAAACAACAACGGAUGAAUUGGCAUGAAUGAUGGGAGCCAGGGUUAGGGGUAGUUGACUCUCUUUUUUCCCGGAUGAAGACAACUCAUUAAUAUCAAGAUGAUACAAAAUACAACCGGCCUCUCCAAGAACACAAUGUCAAGAGCAAACUGAGACAUCGAGGUUGCACUUUGAGAUAAAUAAACAUUCGUCUUUUAAAUAAACCUCGAAAGAGGCUCUCGUCCCGCUUUAUAGAUAAAUCACAUAACAAAGUACACGGUCAAAUGAUACAAAGAUUAUUGCAGUAUUUGGUUUGGAACAAGUAUAGUAAAAAAGAAGUGUUGUCUCAGCUAGCUAUUAAACUUAAACAAAAUCAAUCUUACUUCCUGAAUGGUAUCUUGGAAUCUGGUAGCAGUGGAUGUAAUGGUUGUUGUUUGGUCGACAUGGUGAACAAGAAACAUCUUGCUUAAGUGGUAUUUUCCCCCUUAGGAACUGGUGAUAUAUUAGAGUAAUAUAAUCUAAUUAGUCUCUACCUACAGAACUCCUUGCCGGCGAGAUAUGCAGGUAGAGGCUUGCAAUGCUCGCUUAUGUGGGCUUUUCCCUUAGAAUCGAGGAUGCGGGGUAUCUGAGAGUUGACACGUAACUCCUCGUGCCGAAGAUUUGACUACGAUUAAUCGACAGUGGCAAGCUAGGCAUGUAAGGACGAGACGCCAGGACUACAAAUUUGGUUGAUCAUGCGUAAUGGCCUAGUAAGACCACUUCCUCGUGAGAAAUGCACCGAUAUAUACGCAACUUGUGUUUAUCCACUUGAAUUUACUAAAUAAUUUACUACUCCCUCCGUAAAGAAAUAUAAGAGCGUUUAGAUCACUAAAGUAGUGAUCUAAAUGCUCUUAUAUUUCUUUACAGAGGGAGUAGUUAGAAAGAUUCAGUUGCGUCUCGAGUCUUCAACCAUUUUUGCUUUGUUUUCGCUUUUGCAUUUGCGUAUCAAGGAGAAGUUUUCUAGUAUUAUUCUACAAAGUAAAUCUGAAAGUAAGAUAAUGCUACUUGUAAGUGUGAUGCGCAUGUUACUGAAGUUGAUCCCAUUAUGUUAGACCUAGCUAUGAAUGGGACGUAUGAACUACUACCGUGUUUAAUUAGCCGUUGCGUCCGCUUCCUCCCAACCUGCAGCCUAUGAGCCUGGCCCCUUUUGUUUCACCCAGUACUCCACUAACGGCUCUCAUAAAUAAACUGUAUGUUGGUUUCCUGGACCCAACGCAAGGAAUUAAACAAAAGACUCAUAGAGUCGUAAACGAGGUCAGGUCGCCUAAGGCUGCUCAUAGUGGACACUAUCAUAUACUAGUAUAAUGCAUAUAAUAGUAGUGUAUGAUACUACAUCCAUAAUGCAUAGUAUCAUAUGUAAUUAAAUAUAUUGUCAUGCAUGACACAUAGUAGCAUAACAUUUAUUAUGAUACGGUAUCUACCUACGUUAUUAUAACCCCCCUCUCUCUUCUUUAAUUGUUUGCCACAUAAGCAUGUUUGCGAGUCCCAAGUGCAUGAUACCGCUUAUGUUACCUCCACUAUGGUCAGCCUUAAGAGCAUGGUUAAUAAGAGAGGCAACAACCGGCUCUACAGUCAUGUCCAUGUCACCUAUAGUCUUCAUAAAGCCAAGACCAUAUAAUAGGAUAGCUAUAAGUUGGCUGUUGGGUUGGAUUUAACUAUUAAUCUUUUCAUGCUGGGAUUGGAGGAAAAGCAAAGCCCUAGUUUACAGCCAGCAGCUCGGGCUGCAAGCCAGCUAUUGUGCCUCGUAACGUGCGUAUAGGCGGGCAACUACUGAAGCGCCGGCACUGCUCUCCCUCCUCACUUCUCUCUCUUCCAUAUAGAUUUUUUGUGACAUGGCAAGUCUUAUAGCCUGCUAAGUAGAAUUUAUUAUACUCCCUCCGUCCGGAAUUACUUGUCAUCAAAAUGAAUGAAAAUAGAUGCUCUAGAACUAAAAUACAUCUAGAUACAUCCAUUUCAAUGACAAGUAUUUCCGGACGGAGGGAGUACUUGCUCUAAAGAAUAUCGGGUGUGAUCCAUGUGCCAACUGCCAGAGGCAUGACAUGUGACGUGAGUAAACGUGCCAAUUUUAUAAGGACGCCGGAGUUUGGUAGUUAUCCAAUGGCAAAGUUCUUCGGCCAAAGAAAAGAGUAUAUAGAAGUAGUGAUUCGGUGCUCGAGCGCACCUGCUCCCGAAAUCGCUGGCGUUGGUUCGCGUCCUGGGAUCCGCAAAAUUCGGUCUGACUCACCUGCACGAAUGCAUCGAAAAAUUGAGAUACGUCUCGGGUACGUAGCGAACAGUGCGGCUAAGUAGGCCCAGACCGUAUGGACGGAGGGCCGGCCGCGCGAGGUUAUUCCUGGUCCGUGGACCAUCACGUUUACUUUUUUGUGCUGAGCCCAGUGAGCCGUGGUACAGAAGCUUGGAUCUCGAAACCAGCCGCCGCCGUUGACGGCUAUCGCCAUUCCCCUAGGUCGUGGAAUGCCGCGGUUCCUCCGGCUAGCCGGCGAUGGAGGAUGCCAUUGACCGGUAAGUGAACCCUGGGCAGUUGGAGAUCUGCUAGUUAUCCUGUGCCCCUGUCGGUUCCACCGGCUGACUCUUGCUGCACCGCACCCCAUGGCCGCGACUUGCAGGUUUCCCCUCCGGGGAAGAAUUCGUCGACAGCUUGGACUAUCCAGAUCCGGUUCCUCUGGUGGUUCUCCCGCGGCGUGAUGCCACGAACAAUGAGCCGGCGGACUCGAAUGCGGACUCCGGGUGCGGCCAGCAUGUUGGCGGUGCUAGCCCGGGGAGGCCGUAGGGCGACGGUCGCCGGCGGCGGCAUGCUUCUACGACAAGGCCAGCGCAAUCGACAGACAGGUUCAAUCCUGAUGCGUUGGGUUGGACAAAAAGGUACAGAAGCCAAUCCUGAGGUGUUUUAUGAAUGCUGCUCUAUGGCCUACGACGCUGUGAAGGUCAUUGCCAUGGUAGUUAUAUGUGCGAUUGCUGAAGAAACAAAAUUAAAAUGAUCGAUCAUGUGAUGUAUAAAGGAGAUGAGUAGGUUGUUUUGCUAGGCCAGCGUGCUUUUGAGCCCCUGUUUUCCCCUAUUCCAACUUAAAUAUAUUGUUUUUCCCUGGAAAUUCAGGUUACGUCUUGUGAGUGCACCGGCAGACAGAACGCCUCCAUCUAGGAUAAGUGCCCUAGAGCAGUCAAUUCGCAAGUGUGCGUCCUGAUGCGUGAUGAGCAAGUAGAGAGUUUCGAGUGGGUUUUCCGCGAGUUUUCCGUAUGAUGGGAGGGCCAGCGCCUAGGACGAUACUUACAGGUUAGUACAACUUUUGGCUGUUGUUAUGCAUUCUUACAUCUUACCUGGAAUUGAAUCUGAAUUGAAGGAACAAGCUUUUCCGACUUGACUAGUACUAACUGCUGACAUGGCUGGCAGACCAAAAGAGAGCUAUGGAGGUGGCAAUCAGGAAGGAUUUUCUAGAUGGCGUCCACCAGAGGUGCAAUUUGCAAAUGGCACGUUCUGAAGAAAGCGAAGGAAAGCCUUGGACCACUGUACAUGAAGAAUUGUGAGUUCCAAGUUGGGUUCUAUAAAGUUGUAAACCAUGUUGACUGCGGAUGAGUUUGAGACGGCAUGGGGUAUCCUGCUUGACAAGUACAACCCGAGGAAGCACCUCUAUAUGACCCAGAUAUUUGAAAUAAGAUCAAAGUGGGCAAAGCCGAGCUUCAAAGGUUUUUUCCGUGCCAAGAUGACAAGCAUACAAAGAAACAAAAGUGUGAACAGCCGUACAUGCUGCCUGCAAGCCCGAUGCAAAUUUUUGCUAGGCAAUACAUGAGGCUCCAGUUUCACCAUGAGAUGGAGGAAAGCUACGAGAAGAGGACAAUGAUUGUGAGUUUAAUGGCUGUAGACUACUACCUAAUAGUUAUGGUUGCUACAAAUUGUUCAUAGCUAAUUUUUUUUAUUCCGUUAACAGGGUGUUGUUGUUAGGAGAACAAAUCUUGCAAUAGAGCGUCAUGCUAGCAAAAUAUACACGAGAGCCAUGUUCAAACAGUUCGGUCGGUUACUCAUCGAAGGCACGGCGUACAAUGUUAUGGAGGUUGAGAAGAUGAGGAAGUAUGUUACGAGACACACAGCAAUGCAGCCAAGAGGGAAAAUUGGUGUAGGGUUGUCUACAAAGUGAUUAUGAAGGAUGACGGUUCAGAGUUCGAGUGUGAGUGCGGUCAAUUCAAGCACAUGGGCAUGCUGUGGUGUCCUGUCCUAAGGGUAAAAAUUCAUGAUGCAUAUAGUUUGUUCUCUCACUCUAAGCAAGAAGCAUUUGAGUUCAUUUUCAUUUGUCAGGUCUAGUAGUAGCCGGAAUGACAUUGGUUGUCGUAAUAUAGGUGAUGGACGUACUUCACCUUGAGGAGACUCCUGCAAAACACAUCAUGAAGAGGUGGACGAAGGCUGCAAAAGAUAUUAUGCCCGAACACCUAUUGUAGAACCAGAAAGACCAGUCGGUUAAUAUGUCCUUUACAUGCAAGCAUUUGACUCUCUACAUGCAAGUUAUGGGCGUUUUUCUCCUGGGCAACACGGGUGCGGAAGCUUUUGAGCACAUGUCGGCUGGACUGAAGGCAUUGCUCGUCCGCGAGCGUCAUUCCCGGAGAAGAGGGAUGAUUUGGGCUUUGAGGACCAUCAGAGAAAUUUGCUAGCAGGAGGGUUGCCUUUUUUUUCGAAAAGGGGGGCUCCCCGGCCUCUGCAUCAGAAUGAUGCAUACGGCCAUCUUAUUAACCAAAUAACAAAAAGUGCCAACAAGGUUCCACAGUCUCCAGCGAAAGAAAAAGAAAAAGAUAAAUGCAGCUCACACAAAGCGACAAACGGCUAGACACAAACUAGCCAGGAAAAAGGUGCCACAACCGGCCGGCUAAAAAUAGAUAGGGAAACUAAUUGUCUAUCCUAUUACAUGACCGCCAUCCAAACCGGUUGAAGAUAUCCCGAGCUACCAUCUCCUAACGGAUAGAUCCAGUAACCAAAUGCUCCCUGGACUCCAUCGAAGUGAGUAGCGACCACGAACGGAUCAGUGCCGUAGCUCGGAAAAUAACCUGCAAGAAAUGAAACUGUGAUGUUCUGUUAAAAACUAAAUCAUUUCUGCAAUUCCAGAUAGUCCAUAACAAAGCGCAAAUUCUAACCCGAAUAUGUCUUGCUAAGUCAGGCUCAACCCCGUUAAACCAUGUCCCAAAUAAUGCAUUGACCGAAGUCGGUGGAGUAAUAUUAAAAGCAAUAUGGACCGUCCGCCAAAGAACUUUGCCCACGGGCAAUCAAAGAAUAAAUGCUUAAUCGUCUCAUCCCGAUCACAGAAACUACACCUAGUAGGUCCUGUCCAAUUACGUUUAAUCAAGUUGUCCUUUGUUAAAAUAACUUGUUUAUGGACAAACCACAUAAACACUUUAAUUUUUAAAGGAACUUUGACAGCCCAAACAUACUUGGAAGUUGGAAUAGCAUUCGAAUUAAUAACAUCAAUAUACAUUGAUUUAACUGUAAAAACUCCAGAACUAGUAAACUUUCAGCGUAAUACAUCGGGUUGGUGAGAAAGUUGAACCUCCAUCAGUCUCCUAACUAGAUGGAGCCAUUCUUUCCAACGAUUGCCCGCUAGCGACCGUCUAAACUGAAUAUUAAGGGGGACAGAUUGAAAUACCGUUGCCACAAACACCUCACGUCGUUGAGUUGCCUGGGAAUGGAGAAGAUGCAUUCUUUGCAAAUGGGGUUGCAGACCGUGAAGUCAGUGCAUGUCUACCUGUGAGUCUGAAUGCACUUGGAGGUCUAGCUGCCCUGGAGAAGCAAAGAGGAUUCGGCAGGCCGACGAACAGCCGGGACAAAGCACCAUACGAGGGACUGAGUAAACAAACAAGGUUCUGCAGUCUUUGUCGCCGCGAAGGGCACAAAAAAACAACCGCGAUAACCAAGAAAAUGCAAGAACUGUGGUAUGUAAGGACACGGCGGGAACAUCAUGCACGAGACCGCUUGGUGGUCCGCAGAAUCAAAUGUGAUAAGAAGAUUGUAAUUUCUAUAUGUUGUAUUAUGAGGAUUUUCUGGUGUGUUUCAUUGAACUUUGCUCCGUGCUUGCUCCUCCCGUUCAGGAUGUGAGACUAAACUGUGACAUUGAGUACACUAGCUAGGUUGCCUUAGUUAUGCGUGAUUGCACAUGGUUUGGAGAAAUAUCUGUUUGUUGUGCACCGUCUGUAGGUCACUUCUGCGUGAUGCCUACUUGUAGCACUGCAGAUGUCAAACAUACCAUGGGGCUGUUCAUGAGUGUUUCCCAGCGGCUCAGCACUAUAAGAGUGAGCGACCAGCUGGUGUCUUGGUAGUCAUCAGUAGAGAUUCAAAACAGGAGGUGUGCACGGCUGGGGAUGGCACCUUCCGCCGCGGAAUCAGCUACGAGUGGUACGACAGGAGGUCUGCCCGCGGCGAGGACAGAUAACAUAAGGAGGCGCAGGUACGUGCAGUAGCACAAAGUGGUACAGUGAACACUGUUAGUGUGGGUGCAGUAUAUGCUGGUGGUUGGACGGCUCAGCCUGGAACAGGAAAUUCACUGAGCCGUGUCGGGAUUAGCUGUUCCGCCUCUACCUUACCGGCUGCCGUCGCAAUUAAUACGCUGACAAGCUGGCUUUAUUUUCCUACCUCUACUUCUGCUAUACCAAGAGAAAUACAACAACCGGUAAACAUCCACAUGCUACCUAACGGUGAUGAUUUCAGGAUCAGCUGAGCCUGGGUUCAGAAUUGAAUAUCCGGUAUAUAUAGGAAAGAAUCAUGGGAAAUUUGAUUAAUGGCCGGCCCGAACGGCAGAGUUAAAGAGUGCGAUGGAGACAUAUCUCUACUAUCUUCUGUUAAACACGUCAUGUUAUGUGACCGGCGCAUCUCAUACGAGAUAGUUAAGGUAGGUAGGUUGUUAGAGUAUCAUGUUUAUCUCAUGUAACCUCUUAUCUCUAUCUCUUUUCUUGAUCUUCAAGCUUGUAAUCCAAACCGCAUGUAUGCGCUGUUAUGGGAGGUGCGCCCCAUCUAUUUAACACGAACCCGUCGGCCUGAGCAAGGCAAGACGUUCCGCUAGUUGCACAUGGUAAUCAGAGCCCCAUCUCUUCCCAUCUACUGAGAUCCCAUCUACCAAGCCUAGCCAUGUCUUCCUCCUCCUCCUCCGGUGCUUCCCAGACCACCCUCAAUGGACAGGUCACCGAGAAGCUAACACGCACGAACUACGUGCUCUGGCGCACGCAGGUCACCCCUCACCUGCGUGGCGCCGGUGUCUUCGGCUACGUCGACAGCACCACACCGGAGCCGGUCAGGCUUCAUGUCACCAAGGACAAGGAUGGCAAAGAAAGCGCUGAGCCCAACCCUCUCCACCCCAUCUGGGUUCGGGAGGAUCAACAGGUGCUGGGUUACUUACUCAGCACCCUCUCCAAGGAGGUUCUCAUCGCGGUGACCACGGUCACCACGGCGCACGCGCUCUGGACAGCGGUGGCAGGUAUGUUUUCCUCACAGUCCAUGAGCCGCGUGAGUAAUAUCAGGACGGCGCUCAUCAACGCGCAGAAGGGCAACCAAACGGUUGCUGCCUACUUCGCCUCCCUCCGUGGUCUCGCCGACGAGCUCGUCGCGGCCGGGAAGGCCAUCCAAGACGACGAACUCAUCUCCUACAUCAUCCACGGCCUCGACGUCGACUACCAACCCCUCGUCUCCGCCCUCGACGCAUGCGUCACACCGGUCUCCCUCAACAAGCUCUACGCCAUGCUCAGCAACUUCGACCAGCGCAUGGCUCAGUUCAACCACUCGGGCAGCGGCGGUUUCCGUUCGUCUGCCAACGUUGCCGUGCGUGGUCGUGGCGGCGGAUCACGUGGUCGUGGCGCCUCUCGCGCAAAAGGACGAUGUCGGCGUCAAAACCGGCGGAUCUCGGGUAGGGGGUCCCAAGCAGUGCGUCUUAGGAUCAAUGGUAACAGGAGACAAGGGACACGAUGUUUUACCCAGGUUCGGGCCCUCUUGAUGGAGGUAAAACCCUAUGUCCUGCUUGAUUAAUAUUGAUGAUGUGGGUUACAAGAGUAGAUCUACCACGAGAUCAAGGAGGCUAAACCCUAGAAGCUAGCCUAUGGUAUGAUUGUUGUUUCUAUCGACUAGCCUGGCCUCGGUUUAUAUAAUGCACCAGAGGCCUAGGAUAACAAGAGUCCUAGCCGAAUACGCCGGUGGGGGAGGAGUCCUUGUCUUGAUCGCCAAGUCUUGUUGAUUCUUCCUUGUAUGCGGCAGCUGUCCGGACUGGCCCAUGAGUAUACGGCCAUGGGGGUCCUCGGCUCAAUCCAACUGAUCAGGAGACGACGCGUUGAGUACCCCCUAGUCCAGGACACCGUCAGUAGCCCCCUGAACCGGUCUUCAAGUUAGGGACGCUCCUCGAUUCUUCCGAACUGUUCUUCAUCUUCGGUUGCCGGUCUUUAAAACUGGUUCAACAAAUCUUCUCAUCUUCUAUCUUGAGGAUCUCCGAAAUGCAUUCGACGAGUUUACACGUUGGGUAUCCGAGGAGCCCCUUUAAAUUUACGGCCUUUAUCAAUGCCUUGUUAUUUUUAUGCCAUGCCUCGGGCUUGAGGUUCUUCCCGGGCGGCAACGUCCUCUUGCGUCCGAGCUCCAGCGCCGGACUGCAUUCGAGGUAUCUUUUGCAGCCGAGCACCAAUGCCGGACUGCUUCCCAGCUCUAACGCCGGACUAUGUAUCCGAGCUCCAACGCCGGACUGUAUCCGAGGUGUCGUAAAUCACCUUGGUUCAAAGAAGUUUGAAAGAGUUUAGCCGAGCUUAAUGCCGGAAGUGCCCUCUAUGGAGCCAGCCACUAGCGUCCGAGCUUUACGCCGGACUGCUUCUGAGGUGGUGCACCACCCCGAAUGUGGGCCGAUUUUUAUCAAUAUUUUUGAUUGGUGCCAGUAGCCCUCAAGGUGGGUAUCGGUCUAAAACCCGAGAUGCACAUGAAGGAUGACAUAAGACCGCUGAUCCCCGUAGCCGCUGAGACUCAUGUUGAUUUGCAAAAUCGGUCUGAGGAUCAAGUCCUAGCUCGGCAGAAUACUUCAGGACACAAAAAGCAGCGUGCUCAGUCCUCGAGACUCAGGUUGGGUGCGGCCGACCAACCUGAGGAUCAAAAUCUCCUCGGAAACUGUAUUGCACUUAAAAUUUUCUGCAUAGAACAGGCAAUGCAGUAGCCCCCGAGACACUGGUCGGGUGGCAACACCAGAUCAGGGGAUCGAUAUGCCCCUUUAAUAUUUGUAAAUAAUAAGCCCGAAGCCCAGUAGCCCCCCGAGCCUUAAUGCGGGCACGGGAGGCCGAAUUAAGGAUUGAUAUCCAUAGUAAAAUCACAAAUUAUGUGUAAUGACUCUAUGUAUUCAAGUACUUUAUGUCAUUAAUGCUCGGAUCCGCAUUGUACAAAACUUUGUUGACCGACCAUCGGCUUCCACCUCCUCGGCCAAUAGCCGAGGAGUGUUUGUCCUACUUUAUAAAGCCUUUAUGAGGGCAAAGAUUUGCAACAAACAAGGCAAUCUGGUCAUACGGUUUUAUAAACAAAGGUACGCGGAGAGACAUGUUAUAUUACUGUUUAAUAAAAGAAAUGUCUUCCAAAGAAAAUAGUGCCACUAUCGGUUCCUUUCUUUGGGUUGUCAUGCUAAGCAUGAUCAUGAAACCUCAGCUCCAAUGUAUGAGCAAAUAUCGAGGAUUUAGUGUGGGAGGCCAGUUAAUAGCCCCCGGUAGUGUUCGGCGACAGUCGAGGUCAAGCCGUAAACACUUCGGCCAUUGUUAUGAAUGGUCUGCCGUUUAACGCCGUCAUCGGAUCACCGACCAGUUUACGCUUAUUGUGACAGUCAGUUUUCGGCUUUCUCCACUGAGGUGCUUAACCAUGUGAGCUGGAAGCACAAUCACAGUGGUUCUCCCUUUGCACACCUAGCCGAACAAAGCGGAACAUAGGAGGCAAGCGCAGGAGCCGGGCAACCAAACUAUUGACCAAAGACACAAUUCGAAACGGAUGCAUAUAUAGCAAUAUCCGAGAAUGUUUUUGUCGAAUCUCUAAAGGUGUCCGGCGUUGCACUGCGAGAAUUGUGCUGAAAACACACAAAUAGUUAAAAAGUGCCAUGGGCUCGAAAAGCCAAAAAACUUAUUCAAAAGGUUAAUGUCCGAACUAGAUCAAGUGUUCGGUGCCAAUCCGAAAAUUGGACUUUAGAAAAAAAAGGUACUUUUGCCGUGCUUUAACAUGACACAUCCUAUCUCAAAACUUCAAGCGGGUCAGCCUACGGCUUCAACCUCCUAUCCCGAAGGCGGAGUACUUCUUACUAGGCUAGUUUAGCAAACUAAACUCUAGCGGCUUUGAGAGAGAAAUUAGGCUCCCCGGCUAGUGACCGCACACUUGUGUCGAAAAAAAGGAGUGAUAAAUAAUAAUAAAAACUUUGCAAGGACUAAGAAGAAAAACACUUAUCAUAAAAUGGCUCAUAUAAAUUUAAGAGCCCCCAAGUGACUUGGGUAAAAGAAUGAUUGCAUGUACCGAAGUACUUAUAUCAUAUCUAUGUUCAACUGAACUUUAAACGCGUCUUAACCGACCGUCGGCUUCUCCCUCUUCGGUCAAGGACCGAAAAGUGUUAUGUACUCCAUCUGUCGAGAAUAUCGACGGUGUCUCCAAUAACCAGGCAAUCAGGCCAUAAGGAUGUAACAGACAAAGCACGCUCAGGGAACUUAUGCUAUAUUACUUGCAAAGAGUAAGAAGCAUCUUCGAAGAAAAUAGUACCCCCACCGAUAUCUUUCUUCGGUGCUCAUUGUUAUUAUGAGACUUGUGCAAUAGAUUUUUUGUACUCAUGAGUUCCGUUGUGUGCCGACCAUGAUUGAAAACAAUAAGAGCGCUAGCUUUUAGCUUCACCCAGUCUGAGGUCCGGCUCGGGUGACCCGAUCGUGACAAUCGCAGAGGUGCUCCCUUUACUCCCUAGCCGAACAAUCGGGAACGUAGGGGUAAGCACAGGAGCCAGGCAACCCAGCUUGCAAAUCGCUUAAGUUAAUAUAGUGCAUAUUGUGGCGUAAUACACGAACAAGGAACGAAGCCGUACAAGUAUAACCAUAUGCAAGAGGAAAAAGCUUCAUGAAGGAAGCCCCCAAGUAAACUGGGUAUUUGAAUUUGCGCGUCACAAACAAAGUUUGGACAAGGAAAUUUUUACAAGCAACUUUUUUCCAAAAAAGUAUAAUGCUUGGCUGAGCUGAGCACAAGUUAAAAAUUUAAAACUUUGAGCAUGAAGACAACUUAGCUGGUUAAUGUGUUCGGUAUUGAUGAUGCGGUCCGAGCUUGAAGCGGGACAAGGUUCCAUCCCCGAGCCAGUCCCGAGGUGGCGAAGCAAAGAGCUCGUCCCUCCGCAGUGGUGACAUAGCACGGUCAAUGCGGGACAGCAGGGUGAUGCCGAAGUCCCCGGCAUGGGGUAAUGAAGUGUUGACGAAGCCCCCCGUCCAGCCGAGGUGACGCCAAAGGAUAUAGUCCGUCUGGAUCAUUUUCCUAUGCACAAAAAAUAGUGCAAACUGGAGAUAAUAGUAAUAAUAACAAUAGAAAAAUUUGUUGCAUAACAAAUAAUUUAUGCAAAGUGAGUAAUAAAAGAAAUAUGGCCUGGCGCCGAAGUCAAUGUCGAUGCAGGGCGGCGGCGUGAUGCGGUAAAGGCAUGGCAAGGCCUGAAUUCACAGGUCGGUUCAAGUUCCGGAUGCGGCGUUCGCCGGACUAUGUACGGAAACUGACCGAACCACCAUGCGACCAUCGUUAAUGCGGCCCCCAUUUGAUAGACCUGCGUACAUAUGACGGACAAACCAGAGUAAUAAUUCAUUGGGAAAAAUGAACCCUAACAAGCAAAAAAUACUAGGGUUAAUAGCACCUGGCUUAUUUGUUGUAGCAAUCCGAAGAAAGGUGAUUCCCAAAAUUGGGACUCGAUCCGCACACCUAUCGUCUGAUGGGCGAUAAAGCAACGGCAUGGCGAUGCUGGCAAAGGUUGGCUCGCCGAGGCAAAGCCCUCGGUCCAGCUAAUGUGACGGAGCUGGUCGGCCAGCGACGCCGAAGUCUCCGGAGUAGGUUGAUGAAGAGAUGAUGAAGCCCCUGGUCCCGCGAUGCAGGUCGUGACGUGGUCGAUGCCGGCUUGAUGAAGUGACCGUGUGGCGAUGCAGGUGUGCCCACUCCGUAUAAUCCGUGGGGCGGUGAUGUUGGUGACGAUUUAUCCUUCGCAAUGCCGAACUAUUGUUCGGCUGGCCGAGAUGAUGAUCCGAAGAAAUUGAGCUCGGCUCAACAAAGCGACGACGUGUCUAACGCAUGCCGGCCGCCGUGGUGUGAUGUUGUCGGGCUGGUUUGACACCGGCACGACGGUGAAGUUCGUAUUGCAAGAAUACUUUUAAUACUACUAGGAUGUGUUUGAGAAUAAAACACAACACCCCAUACGAAAACUUCCUUCAAAAAGAAUGUCCGAGAUCCUAUUCAUAAAGAAGAUGAAUUCGGGUCGGAUUCGUUCUCGCGCAGAAAACAGAUCCAAAAAGUGAUGCACUAAUCGGAAGUUUCCCGGAGUUUGGACAGUCGGAUCGAGCUGAAUUUUUGGCAGCUGGUAGAUAUGGGAAUUCUGCAGCAAAUCAACGGUUGAAUCCUCCAAAGGACAUCCGAUCUAGACGCUGGAUACCACGCCCUAAACUCGUCUGGAUUCUUGUCCAGAUUCAAUAGGGCUCCGGUAUAUCGGAGAUUGCCGGAGAUUCCUCCAUCGGAACUCGACGAAAUUUUUGCAGGGUUGUUGUAGACUUAAUUCCGCAUAAUUCCACCGAAGCAAUCGUUUAAGCGACACUUGAGGAGGCGGUGGCGGCGGAUACAAGUUUGCUGUCCAGAAAAACAGCACGGUCGCCUGAGGGCAAUGUUGACGUUGAGCCCCUGAGCUCCAUGGAUGACUCCUCCAUGAUCUUGAUAGAGAUCGGAGUUGGUGUUGAUGAAGGCCUUCAUCCGAACAUGACGAUCGGAGGUAGGGUGCAGUCCUCGGUCAAGCCAAGGUGACCAGUCGAGCUGGUGACGAAGAAGCCGACGUCGCAGUUGACCUGCAGUCGAGCCAUUGAUCCUUUCGCCGAUCACACAGCGGAACUCUCAAUGAAAGCACCAAUGUCGGUGUCAAAACCGACGGAUCUCGAGUAGGGGGUCCCAAGCAGUGCGUCUUAGGAUCCAUGGUAAAAGGAGACAAGGGACACGAUGUUUUACCCAGGUUCGGGCCCUCUUGAUGGAGGUAAAACCCUACGUCCUGCUUGAUUAAUAUUGAUGAUGUGGGUUACAAGAGUAUAUCUACCACGAGAUCAAGGAGGCUAAACCCUAGAAGCUAGCCUAUGGUAUGAUUGUUGUUUCUAUCGACUAGCCUGGCCUCGGUUUAUAUAAUGCACCAGAGGCCUAGGAUAACAAGAGUCCUAGCCAAAUACGCCGGUGGGGGAGGAGUCCUUGUCUUGAUCGCCAAGUCUUGUUGAUUCUUCCUUGUAUGCGGCAGCUGUCCGGACUGGCCCAUGAGUAUACGGCCAUGGGGGUCCUCGGCCUAAUCCAACUGAUCGGGAGACGACGCGUUGAGUACCCCCUAGUCCAGGACACCGUCAGACGCUCUGGAGGUCACGGUGGUGGUGGAAACAACGGCAGCGGCAAUAGCCGCUCUGGCGCAUCUCACGGUCGCCGCAGCGGCGGUCCACCUCGGGCCUGUCCAGAGCUCCCUCGCUGUCAAAUCUGCGGUAAGCCAGGGCACACCGCGCGGGACUGCUGGUACCGUUAUGACGAAGAUGACGAGGACUCUCAAGAUGAAGAAAAGGUGGCUGCCGCGGCUGAUGGAUCCUAUGACAUCGACACAAAUUGGUAUGUUGAUAGCGGCGCCACCAACCACAUCACCAAUGAGCUUGAGAAGGUCACGGUGAAGGAAAAAUACCGUGGAAAAGACCACAUCCACACGGCAAGUGGAGAAGGUAUGCAGAUUUGUCACAUUGGUCAUUCUACUUUUCGUACCCCUCAUCGUCCAAUUCAUCUCAAGAAAAUUUUGCAUGUUUCUAGUGCCGCCAAAAGCCCUCAUGCCCAUCAACAGAAUGGCUCUGCUGAAAGGAAGCACAGACACAUAGUUGAGGUUGGGCUAGCUCUCUUGGCAGGAGCCUCCAUGCCCCUAAAAUUUUGGGAUGAGGCCUUUCUUACUGCCGUCCACAUCAUCAAUAUGCUCCCUAGUCGAGUCAUCAACAAUCAAACUCCAGUAGAAAGACUCCUUCAUGUCAAACCAGACUAUAAAUCUCUUCGUGUUUUUGGUUGUGCUUGUUGGCCCAACCUUUGCCCAUACAACAAAAGAAAACUCAUGCUCCGCUCAAAACAAUGUGUUUUUCUCGGGUAUAGACCUCAACACAAAGGUGUCAAGUGUUUAGAUAUAUCCACUGGCCGUGUCUACAUAUCUCGCGAUGUCGUUUUUGAUGAAACCAACUUCCCCUUCGCCACCCUACAUCCAAACGCCGGUGCUCGCCUCCGAGAAGAAAUUCUCCUCCUACGUACUCAUCUUGCCACCAUUGAUCAAGGGGGUCCGAAUUAUGAUGAUCAACUGUUGACUAAUCCUGCUACUAAUGGUGUGCAUGAGUUUUUUUGAUGAUGUUCCAGGAGACAGCAGCGAAAAUAAUGAAGAAACAAGUGAAAAAAACGCGCCGGCAGUCCCACAUCGCAUGUGUCCACAUCCAGGAGGCAAACCCUCCUCGGGAUUGGCCCCGCAGCAGCAGUUCAGUGGAUUCCCCUCGGGAUCGGUGCCGGCUGACGCGCCAGACGUGCAGGCGACAGCACCAGCCGAUCGUGCGGCUGUCCCUAGCCCAGCGCGCGACGCGCAUCACGCUCCAACUGGCGGCGGCUCCAGCGUCUCUCCGCACCAACCCUCGCUCGACACGCGGCAGCCUGAGGUUCGCCAGGACGGCGCGUGCUUCUGUGACCAGCCGGUCACGUAUAAGCGGCGCGACCAGAUUCGCCGACACGACGCGGGCUCUCGGUCUGCUGCGGGACCGGGCGUGAGUUCCUGUGCGCCCACGCGUGCACAGCAGAUCGGCAUCCGCCUCAAGGCUGAUCUGCCAUCAUCCUCCAAUGAUGAGGCCCCGGGAUCUUCUGUGCAUACAGAACACGCUACACCUGAUCAAACUGUCACAGAAGAUCCGGCGGGAGCUGAUUCUGCUACAGGAGCUUCUGCCUCGGGAUUUUCUUGUGGCCGAGGAUCCCAAUGCUGCACCGCCACGACGUAUACGACUCCAGCAUGGGGUAAUACAUCCUGUUAAAUAUAAACACAUAACCAAAUACGGUAUGGUCUGUUCCACAGGUGAACCAGGUGAACCUUAGACACUUCAGGAAGCACUUGGUGAUGAAAGAUGGAAAAAUGCUAUGAAUGAAGAAUACAUGGCACUCAAGAAGAAUAAAACUUGGCAUUUGGUUCCCCCACAGCAAGGUAAAAAUUUAAUUGAUUGCAAGUGGGUAUUCAGAAUAAAGAGGAAAUCUGAUGGAACUAUUGAUCGCUACAAAGCUAGGCUCGUUGCAAAAGGUUUUAAACAACGGUAUGUCAUAGACUACGCGGACACUUUUAGUCCAGUUGUUAAGGCUGCCACUAUUCGUCUUGUUUUGUCUAUUGCCGUUUCCAGGGGAUGGAGUCUCAGGCAACUUGAUGUUCAGAAUGCGUUUCUUCAUGGUGUUCUGGAAGAGGAGGUAUAUAUGAAACAACCUCCUGGGUUUGUAAGUAAAAGUGCACCCUCUCAUGUUUGCAAGUUGGACAAAGCACUUUAUGGUUUGAAACAGGCACCAAGAGCAUGGUACUCUCGUCUCUGUCACAAAAUGCAAACACUUGGUUUUGUCCCUUCAAAAUCUGACACCUCUCUGUUCAUCUACAACAAGUCCAAUACAUGCGUAUUUGUCUUAAUAUAUGUUGAUGAUAUUAUUGUGACAAGCUCAUCUGAUGAAGCCAUCAUAGGACUGUUAAAAGAUUUGAGUGCAGAUUUUGCCUUGAAGGAUCUGGAGACUUGCAUUAUUUUCUUGGGAUUGAAGUAAAGAGGCACAAGGAUGGACUUCAUCUCUCCCAAGAAAAGUAUGCAGUUGACUUGGUAAGAAAAGCUGGUCUACAGGGUUGUAAACCUACACCUACUCCAUUAUCCAGCUCAGAAAAAUUAUCUCUGACACAAGUGACUCUCUUGACUCAAGAGGACAGUACCAAAUACAGAAGCUUGGUAGGGGCACUUCAAUAUCUUACUCUUACCAGGCCUGAUAUUUCGUUUGCUGUCAACAAAGUAUGUCAGUUCCUUCAUGCACCUACAACUGUUCAUUUAACUGCUGCCAAACGCAUAGUCAGAUAUGUCAAAAACACAUUAAGCACGGGUCUCAAUUUUAGCAAGUCAUCUUCCACUCUUGUCAGUGCUUUUUCUGAUUCUGAUUGGGCAGGCUGUCUUGAUGAUAGACGCUCUACUGGUGGUUUUGCUGUUUUCUUUGGACCCAACUUAAUUUCAUGGUGUGCUCGUAAGCAAGCUACAGUCUCCAGAUCAAGUACAGAAGCAGAAUAUAAGGCAUUGGCCAAUGCCACAGCUGAAAUCAUAUGGGUUCAAUCCAUGCUCAAGGAACUUGGUAUAAAGAGUCAACAGGCUCCAUGUUUGUGGUGUGACAAUCUUGGUGCCACCUAUCUUUCAGCUAAUCCAGUGUUUCAUGCUAGGACCAAACACAUUGAGAUAGACUUUCAUUUUGUCGGAGAGAGGGUAGCUCAUAAGCAACUUGACAUUCGUUUUGUGCACUCCAGAGAUCAAAUUGCAGAUGGAUUCACAAAGGCAUUGCCAGUCAAGAGUUUUGAAAACUUCAAGUAUAAUCUCAACCUCAUGGAGUUGUGAUUAAGGGAGGGUGUUAAACACGUCAUGUGAUGUGACCGGCGCAUCUCAUAGGAGAUAGUUAAGGUAGUUAGGUUGUUAGAGUAUCAUGUUUAUCUCAUGUAACCUCUUAUCUCUAUCUCCUUUCUUGAUCUCCAAGCUUGUAAUCCAAACCGCAUGUAUGCGCUGUUAUGGGAGGUGCACCCCAUCUAUUUAACACGAACCCGUCGGCCUGAGCAAGGCAAGACGUUCCGCUAGUUCGCACAUCUUCUUCUUCUAGAAAAAAUAGGUAAGUUUCCCUUUCCUGCCAUUGGACCAUGUCCUGCCUCACCCUUCUUCCGCCUUGGUUUCGCUCGCCUUCUUUCAUCGCCGAUUCAAGUCUUUUUUUUUCACGCACAGUCGUCGCUGCCGAAAAUAUCAGGACGCAAAUGCCAUCUACCCGCCGAUCCACCCCAGCUCACCUCCGUAUUGGGCUGCUGGGCGCUGCCCCCCUCCUCCCUCCUCUCUUCCUCCCCUCCCAAGCAGGCAAGCACAGCCGCCACCUCAUACCCCAUCAGAGCGCCUUCCCUUCUCGUUUCUCUUUCUCUCUCUAGGAGCCGCCAUCGCUCCCCUCCACAUUGCGUACAGUAUACAUUCGCCCGCAGCCAGUUGCCUUUUGGCUUCUUGUUCACCCACUUGUGUGCCUUUCGGCGCCUCCCCUGGAUGAUCUGAUAGUCCUGCCAUAAGAUAUGCAACUGUGUUAGCAUUGUUGGUAUAUAAUUCGGUUUUUCUCGAUGGAGGGACACAUUACCAGGCGAUGCCUUCUUGGAUUUCUCUAGUUCGACUGUCGCAGAAGCUAGCUAGGGCCGACACUUUUCCAGCUCUUGGGAUAACAUGUUGCUCUUCUCCGUAAGCAUCUGGUUUACAAUGAUCCUUAAAUCAGCUGAAUCAACUGCUUCAUGUCUCGGGGGCUAGUAGUAUAUAAUGUGAGCUCACCCGCAUAUCUUUCAAAUAUUGGUCUGUGGCUCUGGCAAGCCCAUCUCGAGCAGCUCGGAUAUACGCAUCACCCGAGCUGAAGGCAUUGAAUGCCUUUGUUGUGAAGCCGGGGUCGCUAAGAGCGGCCCUCCGACACCGAUGGUUCAUGGCGCUCUCUACUUCCGAAUUUGUGACGGACACAUCAUCCGAAUCCUCUGCCAAAGGACAAUACGGUGGUACUUCCGUACCAGCCCUCGCUGUUACGGCAGGGUCUGGAACCUGGCUAUUGGGAGUGUGACAGGCAGGACUCCCGGACAUAGUCCGGCGAACGCUCUUCCUGAUAAGACGCGAACGGAUAAUGUCACAGUUGGAUGUGACUGCCAAAGGUCAUAUUUUCAAAGCCAUACCUCCUUGAUGAUGGCUCCGAUGUGUCUUCGCUUGCCUUCCUCUUUGAAAGCUUGCCCGGUGCGGGCGCCGCUCUCUUUGGAGUCGCCUCUGGUGCAAGAUGGCGUGCCGAUCGCCUCCCCUUUGGAGCAUGAGAUAGUGCGGUGGGUGAGGCAGAAUGAGGAAAUUCUUUCGGAGGAGAUGUCUCCUAAUUACUUACGUGUGAGGCAGGAAAAAGUCGGGAUAGUCGGCAAUGAUGGCCACUUCCGUGCCAUCAUGGCUCGCCUGGUAGAACACCCCAUCCUCGAGCUCCACGAAUAUAUCUGGAUCCUCUUUGAAUCCGGGGUCAAGGUCCCGGUUGUGGUCCUCUGGAUGUGGGGCAAGGCUGUAGAGCCCCUGGGUGAUCUUCCGCCAUUCCUGUUACAAAUGGACGGAUUAAUGUCCAUGGAAAGUGACUCAGGGAGUAGAUUGAGUAGAGUAGUAGGAUUGGAACUCACCCAGCUAGGAGGAUUGUACACGGAAAAUCCAUCUCGGCGCUUAAUACGAAUGAAUUCCUCUUUCUCCCCUUUGUAUAAUUCGGCCAGUAUUUUGUCCAAAGCGGCGGGGGUGUCCUGACCCUUCCGACUGCAGCGGCAGGCGUCAUCUACCCCAUUACAGUGCCACAUGGGAAGCCUUCUGUAUUGGAGUGGCUGAACCCCUCAUACUAUGGAAGUCGCCAUUACCUCGACUAUUGAUAAUCCGGACUGGGCGAGCGUCUUUAUCUUGCUCAGCAAUUGACAGACUUCCGCACUAUCUUCCUCCUUGAGGCUCCGAGGGCGCCAGCUGUGGCGUUUCUUCAACGGAAUGCUUGAGAAUUCGGGAAGACCCAUUCGGAUUGGGUCGGGAAGGGCGACGUCCUCGAUAUAGAACCAUUCGGAAGGUCACUCUUCGGAUGUCUUCUUCGGUGUGCCGGACAGGUAUCCAGUCCCAGCGAUGCGCCAUACCUCGGCUUCGCCCACUUCAAAUAUUGAUCCUUCUUGGCUGCGAGGGACGAGGCAGAAUAGUUUCCUCCAUAAUUCAAAAUGGGCCUCACAACCCUGGAAUAGCUCACAAAGAGCAACAUAACCCACGAUGUGCAGGAUAGAGGCAGGAGUGAAAUUGUGCAGUUGGAGGCCAUAAUACUCCAGAAGCCCUCGGAGGAAUGGAUGGAUUGGAAAUCCAACGCCUCUCAACAAGUAGGGAACGAAGCAUAGGAUGGAUUGGGGCAAUUCUCCGCCUGAGCCCCGCCACUGAAGGAAGUCAAUCCUACUCGAACGGGGACUAGAUCCGCGGGGGGAAGAAAUCCUUGUGUCUGCAGCUUUGCUAACUGACUGUGGGGUACAGAGCAUUUCUCCCAAUCGCCUUUUCCGGGGCCGUGGGGACGGGAGGAAGAGUUGGGAGCGCUAGCCAUGUUGGAAUGGUUUCUCCUAGCAAGCUCUGAGGAUUCCUCGCUUGGUGUGGAAUGGAUCUGAAAAUCCCAAUCUCUUUAAAUAGACGCCUUUCUUACAUGGUCAGGGUGAUAUGUGCAAAAAUACCCCGACCUCUCGUAUUCGCUCGACACGUGGAAGCCGAAAGUCAUGAAGGUGUGGAAGCCGAUGGGCGUGACAUUAAAUGGAAAGCCGAAUACUGCUCUUUAAGUCAGGUACUUUGAAGUAAUCGGAGGAGGAACCCCCCUUGCAAUGCCGAAGACAAUCUGCACGCCGAACACAUCAUCAUUGAAAGAUUGGUUCGAGGGCUACUGAGGGAGUGCUGGAUUAAGGGGUCCUCGGGCGUCCUGCCUAUUGACAUGGGCCGGACUGAUGGGCUGUGAAGAUACAAGACCGAAGACUCUCACCUGUGUCCGGAUGGGACUCUCCUUGGCUUGGAAGGCAAGCUUGGCGUCUGGAUAUGAAUAUUCCUUUCUCUGUAACAGACUUUGUAUAACCCUACUCUCCUCCGGUGUCUAUAUAAAUCGGAGGGCUUAGUCCGUAGAGGCAAUCAUAAUCAUAUAGGCUAGACUUCUAGGGUUUUAGCCAUUACGGUCUCGUGGUAGAUCAACUCUUGUAAUACUCAUAUUCAUCAAGAUCAAUCAAGCAGCAAGUAGGGUAUUACCUCCAUAGAGAGGGCCCGAGCCUGGGUAAACAUCGUGUCCCCCGCCUCCUGUUACCAUCAACCUUAGACGCACAGUUCGGGACCCCCUACCCAAGAUCCGCCAGUUUUGACACCGACAGUCAUGUUCUCCGUGUCCAACUGAGCCAUCGAGUUUUGUAGGCUUCCAAUUCUAGCGUUGGUCGCCUCAUUGGCGGAGGGAACUGCUGGUGGAGCUCCAAAUAGGAAAGCAUCAACAAUGGGAUCGGCCAAUGGCGUCCCAAAUGAGUGCAUCUUUCCAUUGUUUGUCUCUAGGAUGACUGCAACCCUAGCCCUAGUGAGGGCAGAGAUGUCGGUCGCCCUCUUGAACAAACCGGAACGUCGCUUGUAGAAGGUAAGAUCAUGAUCUUUGUCAUUAUGGAUGUAUGCCACACCUGACCGCCGCUCUUUCCUCGGCAUACUAAUGUGGACAAAGAGGAAGAAACUUACUACUACAAAUAGGAAGCACAAGUAUCUACAGAAAACUAGAGAUUUACGAGUACUGUUGGCUAACCACAUAUUGGUGUAGGAUAUGAGAAGAUGUACUCCCCUUAUAUAGAAUAAAAGGGUUGUAUGGGAGUGCUAUUUGACUAUGCUAAGACUAUGUAAAUCUUUACUAAUAAUUAACAUGCAUAACUCAUAAAAGGUGCUAGUUUAUGGAUACUGUUAACUAUCGUCCAAAUAUACAUAUGUGAAUUCAAUGACAUCCUCCUUUGAACCACUUAUAUGUCUUUCUUAUGAAGUAUUCACAUCCAUAUAUAGAACUAUUAACACUUCUAAAAAAGAAAUAUUAAAUGAUUGCCAUUUGACUACAUCCAUAUCCUUAUCUAGAAGUAUUAAUGGGAGUUAAACCCAACUAAGUUUUACUCUAAUAUACAAAAUAAUUGUGGUCAAGUUUAUUUGGUUGUCAAUUGCAUCCAAAUCCUUUGUUAAUCACAUUGAUUACAUCCUAAUAUAUCAGUGAUCACGUUGAUUACAUCCAUAUCAUGUACUAGCUAUGAACUAUCUAACCUAGAAGUGGUUGUCCUUUAAUCCAUAAUACGCUAGUAUAACAUGGACCUUGCUUUGGGCCUUAACUUAGAAACUGAGAUCGCAACGAGGAAAGAUAGACUAAAAGAAAUUAGAAAAUACGGAGCCAUUUGGUAAGUCAUGGUAUAACACAUAUGUUACUCUGAGCAUCAACAUGCCUCCUUGGUAAGCCUAGUUCCCACGAAAGAUGUGUUUUUAUUGGUUACACAUGUAUAUCUUGGGCCCUAGUUUUUUAUGGCCCAUAAAAUAAUACGUCCAAGGCUUUUUUGGAAGGAGCCAACACAACCUAACAUGUUAUAUAUUAAAAGUAAUUGAUGGGCUCACCAGAAAAGGAUAAAAAUGCUAGAAAAUCCCGCAAAACUAAAAAAGCGUCCGACUGUCAAUCUAUUAUAUAUUAAAAGUAAUCGACAUGGCUCCCUAGAAAAAAGAUAAAAAAUGCUAAAAAAACCUCAAAAAACAAAAUCAUCCGACUGUCUAUUUAAUAGGCUAGAAUUUUAUAACCAUUAGACUAGUUUCUAAGUGAAAUAAUUACUCACCAUUGCCAUUAUAAAAAAAUGGUUCAUCCAACUUAUUAGGACUGGACUGAUGCCAUCUUAUUAGGAUGUGGGCUGAUGCCAUAUUAUAAUGGAAAAAAUAGUUAUGUUCCCGUAGUACAAAAAGGACUACUCACACAUGAACACAGUGGCAACAAUGUUCAUGUAAAUGAUCUCUGUGAUGAAUUCCUCCUUUGCAGAAUACCUGAUUGGAUCUUCACGAAGCGGAGAGGUGGGCGGCGCAAAAAUCCUCUGUUAAUAUUUGUGAGGGUUUUGGGAGUAUAUAAAGGCAGCGGAAGAAAGAGGCGCCGGAGGCGACAUCUAUGGCGGCCAUGCUCCCCCUUGGAUGCUAGUGCCGACCAGUGGCAUGUGGCCUAGGGGGUCCAGGUCCCUCCGGCUUCAUUUCUUCAUGAAACUUAGUUUUUUUUCCUGGUUUUUUGGUCCCUGAAAAGUUGAUUUUUCUAAAAUCCAAAAAAGCAACAACUGGCACUUUGCACUGAAUUAAUAGGUUAAUCAAGAAAAUAUAAAAUUUGAUGCCAAUACUAUGCCAUCAUGAUAUAGUUAUAGCAUGAUAAAAUAAAAAAAUAUAGAUCGAUAUAGGACAUAUCAACUGGCAUGAAUAAAUUGAUGUUUUUCUAGGGUUCGUUAAUACUCGGCAAUAUUGUUCUCCUAGAUAACCAGAUAGACACAAGGUACUCCUUGGUUCCUAUUGGUUCGAUGUCCAGGCUAAAAUUGUGACUAGCACGAAUAAAUUGAUGGCUUUCUCUAUCGCUCAGUAUUACUUGAUGACACUUUUCUGCUGGGUAGCUGGACAGAAGCGAGGUUCUUUCUACCAACUAGAAAUGGGCGACUCCGACUAUGUAGCCAUCAACACGUUAAUCCAAGCUAAAAUGGUGACAAGCAUGAAUAAAUCGUUAUCUUUCUCUAAGGCUCAUUAAUAAUUCAUGGUACUAUUCGGUUGGAUAGCCAGACAGAAGUAAUUUACUCCUUGUCAAUUUGAGGGGACGACUCUUGGCAUCUAGGCAUCUAUCUAGUGACUAGGACGAAUAAAUUGAUGUCUUUCUCUACAACAAAUGAGUGAUGGUACUAUUCGGUUAGACAACUAGACAGAAGCAAGGUACUCCCUGGUUCCUGCCGAUUCAAGGCGGAUGGCUCACGAUACUAUGUGCAUUAAUCCAAACCAAAAUGGUGAAUAGCACGAAUAAAUCCAUGUCUUUCUUUUUGGCUCUUUAAUACUUCCACAUUUUGACUAGGUUUAGGUUGUUCUUCUAUAAAAGUGGCUACAUGUGUUGAUUAACUGAUGUGUUCUAUGAGAUGGUCGUUAUGUCCUUUUAAGUUUGUUUUAAUUGCAAUGAUUAAUGACAUACUUUAAAAUUAAGCCAAUUUACAAUAUCUUCAUGGAGUGCUCUAGAUCCACGGUACUUUUCAAUGUUGUUAAUGGUGCAUAUGUGGUAUCAAUGGAUCACAGGUGGCCACCAUCUCUUCACAUGUCUACUAUGGUUCUAAUUUCUUGAUAAGUCAUAUUCACGUCUAUUAAGAAAACCUUGAUUUCUCACAUUCAUUAAUUCAUAUAUGAGAUGCAGUUGUUGUUCUUGGUAGUGUUAUGCAACCAAAAGAAGUAAUGGAUUCUAGGUUCUUGAGUUGAAGUUUGGACUUGUGCUAUCUUUUAAUUUAAUUAUUUAGUAAGCAUGGCUUUUUUAGUUGACAUGCUAAUGUUUGCCUCAUAGUAUUCUAAGAGGUGCAUUGUUGUGAAUACAUUUUCCACUUCCUUCAUUCGUAAGAUGACAAUGAUCUAAACAACAACAACAAAAGUGUAGGUACUGAUGAAAAAACAUCAUGGACCAAGAUUUGGAACACUAAGCAUGCAUAUUUUUCCCAAACAUCCUAAUUAAGAUAGUAGUCCAAAGGAUAAUGAAUUUGGAAAUAAAUAUAUUUUAUUUCAAUAUAUCUCUUACAUGGAAGCGCUAACUAGCAUCUACAACAGCUCUCCAUAGUCUGUAAGAAUAUCAACAUCUUGUCAAGUGGAAGAGGGCGGCACAUCAACCCACCCACCAUUUACCAUGGAAGAUUGUCCUAGAUCCAUACCGCUAGAGCCUAAGUAAGCAUCCAUCCCUAGGAAACUGUUGUAGUACAACUUAUCUGAUAGAGCAUAACCCCAUUCUAUGUUAAAUGGGUCAUCAAUAGAAAAAGCAUUGCCACUCGAGUACCCCAAUAGUGGAGAGUCCUCCAAAUUCUGCCCAGAAGUUGAGUCAUGGUUUGCAUCAUUUUGUUGUGGUUGCACUAUGUUGCAACGACUUUCAUAGUUCUGAACAUGCAACUCCUCUGGUGGAGUUUGCUCAUGUACCUGAUUUGGUAUGGGUUGGUCCUGGGAAGCCAAGUGUGGAGCUAAAGAUGGUGGUGCAGAAUGGAACAUUGGUGACUGCAUAGGAAAAAGUGGUGCCGAAGUUUGUUCUGGUUGUGAUGGUAGUGGAUCUAAAGGUAGCUGGAGUUGUGAGAGAUUGUGAGGCCAUGAUGACUGCAUAAGUGAAUGAGUAGUACCCAAAUGAUCCGCCGGCAGAACACUUGGUAGUUGCAGAUCUUGUGCCACACAUGUGCCACCAGUCUUGUCUUCACGACCAUGCAAUGGAGGUAGAUGGAAUCUAAUGUCUUUUUGGACCUGAGACAGCUCACUGAAGAGCUUGUUCAGAUCUUCAAGACUGAGAUCUUUUUCCUUUGUGAAGAUAAGAUUUGCCACCAUACCUGGAUUCUCUUCUUGUAUAUUUUUCAUACGAAGGAUGGAAAGCUCGUAUUUGUCUUCCUCGGCCAUCUUCUCCGUGUCCAACUGAGCCACCUCGUUUUGUAGGCUUCCAAUCCUAGCGGUGGUUGCCUCAUCGGUGGAGGGAACUGCUGGUGGAGCUCCAAAUAGGAAAGCAUCAACAAUGGGAUCGGCCAAUGGCGUCCCAAACGAGUGCAUCUUUCCAUUGUUUAUUUCUAGGACGACCGCAACCCUAGCCCUAGUGAGGGCAUAGAUGUCAGUCGCCCUCUUGAACAAACCGGAACGUCGCUUGUAGAAGGUGAGAUCACGGUCUUUGUCAUUGUGGAUGUAUGCUCCAGAGGCCCUUUAGCCCCGAUUUUGGAACCGGGACUAAAGGGUCGGGACUAAAGUCCAAACCGGGACCUGGACAGAAGGGGCUCCACGUGGCCGCUGCAGGGCGCCUAGGCAGGAGGACCUUUAGUCUCGGUUGGUAAUACCAACCGGGACCAAAAUGCCUCCACGUGUCAGCAGCUAGUAGGAGCUGGGUUUUUUGUUUUUUUAAAGGGGGGGGGGGUAGAUGGUUUUCGAGGGUUAAUUUAGUGGGUUGAUCAUAUUGUGUUAGCCAACUAAUAGAGAGAUGUGACCUCUCUUUCUCCGCGCUUGAUCGACGCUAACUACUAUACGUAUAGAGAGAACUCGACAUGCUUGCUAGUAAGAAAAUGAAGGAACCAUUAAUUGCGCAAGAUCGUCAUGAACAUAUAUAUACACAGAGAAGUGAGACCUCUCUUUUUCUGAGAGAUUGGUCGAACAACAUGUUUUCGUAUAUCUAUCUGACGCUACUACAUAUAUACAAUAUAACAUGUCUUACAAUUCCUAACAUCUAAAAUUGGUUCCAACUUCCACAUGGUAUUCUCCGGCUUUAGGUAUGACGUGGUCAAGAAAGAAUCCCGCCAAUUCCUCUUGAGUUGCUCGUAUGUGAUCAUGUUGUAGGAGUUCAUCCCGCAUCUACCACAACUAAUUUAAAGAAGGGGGUCAAUACAUAUAUAUGAAUGAAACUCAACACAAUUGAUGGUAAUAAAAUAAAAUUAUGAAUAUUUUUGUUUACGUACUUCAUAUUGCUCUUCAGAGUAGCCCCGCUUAGAGGCCGUCGAGUUGUAGAUGAACUCGCAAACGUAGUAUCCACAAAAAUCAUUCCCGGCUUCCUGCCACAAGCACUUCACGAGAAGUAGAGUUCAAUCAAACUUAUAAUCAAGCAUGCUAAAUGGUAUUGAUGAAACUAGCUAGAAUCAAUGGGAGAUGCGCAGAACUAGCUAGUAGUACGCACUUUCGGGUGUGUAAAUUUUAGCUCCGUCGGCAGUCCCGGAACAAUUACGGUGAACAAAGAGGAAGAAACUAACUACUACAAAUAGGAAGCACAAGGAUCUACAGAAAACUAGAGAUUUAGGGGUACUGUUGGCUAACCACAUAUUGGUGUAGGAUAUGAGAAGAUGCACUCCCCUUAUAUAGAAUUAAAAGGGUUGUAUGGCAGUGCUAUUUGACUAUACAAAGACCAUGUAAAUCUUUAGUAAAAAUUAACAUACAAAGCUCAUAAAAAGUGUUAUUUAUGGAUACUAUUAAUUAUCGUCCAAAUAUACAUAUGUGACUGCAUCCACAUCCUUCUUUGCAACCACUGAUAUGUAUUUCUUCUGAUGUAAGUAUUCACAUCCAUAUAUAGAACUAUUAACACUUCUAAAAAUAGAAAUAUUAAAUGAUUUCCAUCUGACCACAUCCAUAUCAUUUUCUAGAAGUAUUAAUGGGAGUUAAACCCAACUAAGUUUUACUCUAAUAUACAAAAUAAAUUAUGGUCAAAUUUAUUUGGUUGUUAAUUGGUCCAAAUCCUUUGUUGAUCACAUUGAUUACAUCCUAAUGUAUGAGUGAUCAUAUUGAUUACAUCCAUAUCCUUUACUAGGAACUACGUAAUCUAGAAGUGGUCGUCAUUUAAUCCAUAAUAUCCAAAUAUAACAUGGACCUUGCUUUGGGGCUUAACUUAGAAAUUGAGAUACCAACUAGGAAAGAUACACUAAGAGCAACUAGAAAAUACUAGGACAUUUGGUAAGUCAUGGUAUAACACAUAUGUUACUCGGAGCAUCGACCUGCCUCCUUGGUAAGCCCAGUUCCUGCGGAAGAUGUGUUUUUAUCGGUUACACAUGUAUAUCUUGGGCCCUAGUUUUUUAUGGCCCAUAAAAUAAUAUGUGUAAGUCUUUUUCUGGAAGGAUCCAACACAACCUAAUCUAUUAUGUAUUAAAAGUAAUUGAUGGGCUCACCAGAAAAAUAUAAAAAUGCUAGAAAAUAAUUUAAAAAUAAAAACAACUAACUAUCUAUUUAUUAUAUAUUAAAGCAAUUGACGGGCUCACCAGAAAAAAGAUAAAAAUGCUAGAAGAUCUCUCAAAAAUCAAAAACAUCCGACUAUCUAUUUAAUAGGCUAAUAUUUUAUAACCAUUAGAUUAGUUUUAAGUGAAAUAAUUAAGCACCAUUGCCAUUAUAAGAAAAAAGUGUUUCAUCUAACUUACUAGGGCGUGGGUUGAUGCCAUCUUAUUAGGACGUGGGCUGAUGCCAUAUUAUAUUGGAAAAAAACGUUAUGUUCCCAUAGUACAAAAAGGACGCUCACACAUGAACACAGUGGCAGCAAUGUUCAUGUAAAUGAUCUUUGUGAUUAAUUCCCCCUGGGUAGAGUACCUGAAAAAGCCUCCAGACUGGAUCUCCCCGGAGCAGAGAUGUGGGCGGCGCAAAAAUCUGCUGUUAAUAUUUCUGAGGUUUUUGGGAGUAUAUAAAGGCAGCGGAAGAAAGAUGCGAUGGAGGCAACCUCUUUGGCGGCCAUGCUCCCCCUUGGAUGCUCGUGCCGACCUGUGGCAUAUGGCCUAGGGGGGGCAGGUGCGUCUAGGUCCCUCCGGCUUCAUUUCUUCAUGAAACUUAGUAUUUUUCUAGUUUUUUGGUCCCUAAAAAGAUGAUUUUUUGAAAAUCCAAGAAAAUAACAACUGGCACUUUGCAAUGAACUAAUAGGUUAAUCAAGAAAAACUAUAAAAGUUGAUGUCAAUACUAUGCCAUUAUGAUACAAUAAUAGCAUGAAACAAUAAAAACUUCUUGAUACAUAUAGGACAUAUCACCUGGCAUGAAUAAAUUGAUGUUUUUCUAGGGCCUGUUAAUACUUCAAUAUUCUUCUCCUAGAUAACGAGACACAAGGUACUCCUUGGUUCCUACUGGUUCGAUGUCCAAGCUAAAAUUGUGACUAGCAUGAAUAAAUUGAUGGCUUUCUCUAUCGCUCACUAUUACUUGAUGACAUUUUUAGCUAGGUAGCUGGACAGAAGCGAGGUUAUUCCUACCAAUUAGUAAUGGGCGGCUCCCAUUACGUAGCCAUCUGCACGUUACUACAAGCUAAAAUGGUGAUAAGCACGAAUAAAUCUUUAUAUUUCUCCAUGGCUCAUUAAUAAUGCAUGGUACUAUUCGGUUGGAUAGCCACACAAAAGUAAUGUACUCCUUUUCAAUUUGAGGGGACGACUCUUGGCCUGUAUCCAUAUGUCUGGUGACUAGCAUGAAUAAAUUGGUGUCUUUCUCUACAACAAAUGAUUGAUGGUACUAUUCGCCCAGACAAGCAGACAGAAGCAAGGCACUCCCUGGUUCCCUGCCGAUUCAAGGCGGAUGGCUGCUGGUAAUAUGUGCAUUAAUCCAAACUGAAACGGUGACUAGCACGAAUAAAUCGAUAUCUUUCUUUUUGGCUCUUUAGUACUUCCACUUUUCGACUAGGUUAUCCGAAAGCAUGAGGUGGGCAGCUCCUGAUACGGAGCCGCAUGCACAUUAAUCCAUGCUAAAAUGGUGACUUGCACAAAUAUAUCAAUGUCUUUCUCUAGGGCUCAUUAACACUUGAUGGUGUCCUUUGGUUGGAAAACUGGACAGAAAGCAAGGUAUUUCAUGAUUUCUUGUCCAUAUAGGGUGGAUGGCUCCAUGCACGACCAGUUACACAUUAAUCUAGGCUCGUCUAACAUGAAUAAAUGGAUGUCUUUCUCUAUGGAUCAUUAAUAAUUGAUGGCGCUCUUUGGUUAGGCGAUGUGCAAAAGCAAGGUACUCCCUUCUGAUUUCGGGUGGUUGUGAGGCCACUAGACGGACACAAGCAAGAUAAUACCUAUCAUUUGGAGGGAUAUUUUAAUAUUAUUUUUUAUCACAUAAAUUUCAAUAAUAUAACCCUAAAAUAUAAUAUUUCACCAGUAGUACUUCGACAUGUCGGUGCCAACAACGACAGGUAUCGUUGGCACUACCAAUGAUACAUCUGUUGUUGUUUUGAGUCACAUGGGCCAUCAUCAGUGCAUCUUGCAUCAGCCCUCUCGCAUGACACACUCAUACAGAGCUAGCUACGUUAGAUCGUGUACAAUGGUGCUAUCUUCGCAAUGUCACCUAAGAUCACUGCUAAGUUAGAAAAGGGCGAAUGGAGGAAAAAAAGGCUUGCCAUCUCUUACCUAAGAGAUGGUCUCUCAGUAAAGAAGAUAAGACAAUUCCAUCCAUUGUACUAGAUGUCGUCUCUUAGCUACAUAGUUUCUAGUUUAAUCUUAACCAUCACAUUCAUUUAAGAGCACACUAGUAGAAAAGGGGGCAAUGGUCCAGGCCGGGCCAGCCCAUUAGUCCUGGUUCAAUCCAGAACCGGGACCAAUGGGGGCAUUGGACCUAGUUCGUGAGCCACGGGGGCCGGCCGGGCCACAUGGGCCAUUGGUCCCAGAUCGACUGGACCUAUUGGUCCCGGUUGGUGGGACGAACCGGGACCAAUGGGCCUUGCUCCUGGCCCACCACCAUUGGUCUCGGUUGGUGGCUUGAACCGGGACCAAAGGCUGCCCUUUAGUCCCGGUUCUGGCCACGAACCGGGACCAAUUAGUUGCCUAUAUAUACCCCUCGCCCGCGAGCAGAGCACUCCCACUGCUCUGUUUUUCAUGGCCGGUGAGGGGAGAGCUUUGUGGUGCUCUAGCUCACCUCCUAUGCACACGAGGUGUUCGAUGGAAUGCCCGAGCCACACUACUUAAGCUUUCUCCUCUCCAAGCUCGACCUCCAAGCUCCAUUUACCUCAAUAUUUGUCUAGGUUUAGCGGUCCGUCACGUCCCGUCCCCAUCUUCACCGCCGUCGAUCGCCCGCGCCGAUCUCGUCGCCGGCACCACCGUGGUGAGCCUCUUGUUCUUAUCUUCUUUUUGAAAGGAAAAAAAAUCUUACUUGUAUGUUUAUAUAGAUAUUUGUAUAAUUUUCUUACUUUUAUUAUUGCAUCUUAUAUAGUGCGAUGGUUUUGGUAUCCUCCCCCGUGGGCCCUCGUCCUGUCUAUGAUUCGGAUGUGGUAUAUAUUAUCUUUUCAUAACUAUUGGUUCAUUUAUUGUUUAUGACAAUUAUGCCGACCAACGUGACAUAGAUUUUAUUUAUCUAGGAGGUUGUUGAACUAGAAAUUCCAACCGACCCUAUUGUCGAGAGGUUAAAUUUAGUUGAAGAAGAAAACAAUUUGUUGAAGGAAAAAAUUAGAAAAAUUGAGGAGGAGAAGAUGAUAUUGGAGUUGCAUGUUGCGGAUGUCGUAGAUGAUCACAAGAUCAAGAUGGAUGCAAUGCGCUUGAAGAUUAGAAAGAUGAGAAAAUAUGCCAUUCAUACCGAGGCUUUGUAUCAUUAUGCUGUUGGAUCAGUUGUUACAUUGGUUGCGAUUAUGAUCGCAUUUGUUUUCGCAUUGAAAUGUUUUACAUAGUUUUAGUGUAUGGUUUAAUUAAUUUAGAUGCUCUGCAGAGCUUUAUGUUGUUAGAUGAGAACUAUGUAUGUACUUUGGUUUUAAUGUGAUGAUGAACUUCUAUUAAUUUGGUCACUUAAUUAUCUAUUCAUGAUGUUCUGUAAUGAUUUUUGACACACUUAAUUAUAUAUAAUGCACUCAGAUGAACCGGCAAUGGAUGUACGGUUUAAGACACACCUCCGAGUACAUUAAGGGCGUGCAUGAUUUUCUCGAAGUGGCUGAGGCAAACAAGCAGAAUGGUUUUAUGUGUUGUCCAUGCCCUAUAUGUGGGAAUACAAAGUCUUACCCUGACCGGAAAAUCCUCCACACCCACCUGCUUUACAAGGGUUUCAUGCCACACUAUAAUGUUUGGACGAGGCACGGAGAAAUAGGGGUUAUGAUGGAAGACGGCGAAGAAGAAGAGUACGAUGCCAACUAUGUGCCCCCUGAAUACGGUGAUGCUACUGAACAUUAAGAGGAACCAGACGAUGUGCACGAUGCUGCUGCAACGGGCGAAGCUGCUGAAGAUCAAGAGGAACCAGACGAUGUGCCCAAUGAUGAUGAUCUCCGCCAGGUCAUUGUCGAUGCAAGGACGCAAUGCGAAAGUCAAAAGGAGAAGCUGAAGUUCGAUCGCAUGUUAGAGGACCACAAAAAAGGGUUGUACCCCAAUUGCGAAGAUGGCAACACAAAUCUCGGUACCGUACUGGAAUUGCUGCAGUGGAAGGCAGAGAAUGUUGUGCCUGACAAAGGAUUUGAGAAGCUACUGAAAAUAUUGAAGAAGAAGCUUCCAAAGGAUAACGAAUUGCCCCACAGUACAUACGCAGCAAAGAAGGUCAUAUGCCCUCUAGGAUUGGAGGUGCAGAAGAUACAUGCAUGCCCUAAUGACUGCAUCCUCUACCGCGGUGCGUACAAGGAUCUGAACGCAUGCUUGGUAUGCGGUGCAUUACGGUAUAAGAUCAGACAAGAUGACCCUGGUGAUGUUGACGGUGAGCCCCCCAGGAAGAGGGUUCCUGCGAAGGUGAUGUGGUAUGCUCCUAUAGUACCACGGUUGAAACGUUUGUUCAGAAACGGAGAGCAUGCCAAGUUGAUGCGAUGGCACAGUGAGGACCGUAAGAAAGACGGGAAGUUGAGAGCACCCGCUGACGGGUCGCAGUGGAGAAAAAUCAAGAGAAAGUACUAGGAUGAGUUUGCAAGUGAGCCAAGGAACGUAUGGUUUGCUUUAAGCGCGGAUGGCAUUAAUCCUUUCGGGGUGCAGAGCAGCAAUCACAGCACCUGGCCCAUGGCUCUAUGUAUGUAUAACCUUCCUCCUUGGAUGUGCAUGAAGCAGAAGUUCAUUAUGAUGCCAGUUCUCAUCCAAGGCCCUAAGCAACCCGGCAACGACAUUGAUGUGUACCUAAGGCCAUUAGUUGAAGAACUUUUACAGCUGUGGAAUGGAAACAGUGUACGUACGUGGGAUGAGCACAAACAGGAGGAAUUUUACCUAAAGGUGUUGCUGUUCAUGACCAUCAACGAUUGGCCCGCUCUCAGUAACCUUUCAGGACAGACAAACAAGGGAUACCACGCAUGCACGCACUGUUUACUUGACACCGAUAGUAUAUACCUGGCAAGCUGCAGGAAGAAUGUGUACCUGGGCCAUCGUCGAUUUCUUCCGACCAACCAUCCAUGUCGAAAGAAAGGCAAGCAUUUCAAAGGCGAGGAAGAUCAUCGGAAGAAGCCCGCCAUGCGUACCGGUGAUCACGUACUUGCUAUGGUCGAUGAUUUACACGUAAUCUUUGGAAAGGGUCCCGGCGGACUAGCUAUUCCGAGUGAUGCUGGGGGACACGCACCCAUGUGGAAGAAGAAAUCUAUAUUUUGGGACCUACCCUACUGGAAAGACCUAGAGGUCCGCUCUUCAAUCGACGUGAUGCACGUGACGAAGAACCUUUGCGUGAAACUGCUAGGCUUCUUGGGCGUGUAUGGGAAGACAAAAGAUACAGCUGAGGCACGGGAGGACCUACAACGUUUGCACGAAAAAGACGGCAUGCCUCCAAAGCAGUAUGAAGGUCCCGCCAGCUAUGCUCUUACCAAAGAAGAGAAGGAAAUCUUCUUUGAAUGCCUGCUUAGUAUGAAGGUCCCGACUGGCUUCUCGUCUAAUAUAAAAUUAAUAAUAAAUAUGGCAGAGAAAAAGUUUCAGAACCUAAAGUCUCAUGACUGCCACGUGAUUAUGAUGCAACUGCUUCCGGUUGCAUUGACGGGGCUUCUACCGGAAAACGUCCGAUUAGCCAUUGUGAAGCUAUGUGCAUUCCCUAAUGCAAUCUCUCAGAAGGUGAUCGAUCCAGAAAUCAUACCAAGGCUAAGGAGUGAUGUGGUGCAAUGUCUUGUCAGUUUCGAGCUGGUGUUCCCACCAUCCUUCUUCAAUAUCAUGACGCACGUCCUAGUUCAUCUAGUUGACGAGAUUGUCAUUCUGGGCCCCGUAUUUCUACACAAUAUGUUUCCCUUUGAGAGGUUCAUGGGAGUCCUAAAGAAAUAUGUCCGUAACCGUGUUAGGCCAGAAGGAAGCAUCUCCAUGGGCCAUCAAACAGAGGAUGUCAUCGGGUUUUGUGUUGACUUCAUUCCUGGCCUUAAGAAGAUAGGUCUCCCUAAAUCGUGGUAUGAGGGAAGACUGACUGGAAAAGGCACGCUUGGAAGGGACUCAAUAAUAUGCAGGGACAGAUAUUCUUGGUCUCAAGCACACUACAUAGUUCCACAGAACUCUACCUUGGUGACCCCGUAUGUCGAUGAACACAAGAACAGUCUGCGCUCCAAACACCCGGAGCAGUGCGAUGACUGGAUUACAUGUGAACACAUUAGGACUUUCAGUAGUUGGUUGGAAGCACGUCUCAGAGGUGACAACACUGUUUGUGAUGAGCUGUACUUGUUGUCCAGGGGAGCAUCUUUGACUGUAUUGAUUUGGAAAGAUACGAGAUAUAUGGGAAUACAUUUUACACGAUUGACCAAGAUCAAAAGAGCACCAACCAAAACAGUGGUGUCCGCUUUGAUGCAACAACCGAGAGGGGAAAGGACACAUAUUAUGGUUACAUAGUGGACAUAUGGGAACUUGACUACGGACAUGAUUUUAAGGUCCCUUUGUUUAAGUGCAAAUGGGUCAAUCUGUCAGGAAGCGGGGUACAGGUAGACCCACAGUACGGAAUGACAACAGUGGAUCUGAAAAAUCUUGGGUACACUGACAAACCGUUCGUCCUAGCCAAUGAUGUGGCACAGGUUAUCUAUGUGAAGGACAUGUCUACCAGACUGAGAAAGAGAAAAGAUAAGGAAGCGAAUACAUCAUACGAUGAGCCAAAGCGCCACAUAGUUCUUUCAGGAAAAAGGGACAUCAUGGGAGUGGAGGGCAAGACAGACAUGUCUGAAGAUUAUGAAAAGUUUCAUGAAAUUCCUCCCUUCAAAGUCAAGGUUGACCCCAGCAUCCUGAUAAACGAUGAAGAUUAUCCAUGGUUACGGCGCAAUAAGCAAAUGACACAAGCGAAGAAAAAGUGAAGACUUUCUCCCGCAACUAUUAUGAUGAUACCAUGCCAACUUUGUAACUGACGAGUAUGAUACCAUUGUCCGUUUUGUACAUGCACAUGCUAUCUGGGUCAAUUUAUGAUACCAUGCCAACUUUCAACUUUUUCAGAGUUCAUUUGAAAUGCUUUAAUGUCUCAUGGUUCGGCCCUCGUAAUAAUUAAAAAUAGCAACAAUAAGUAUUUUGUUGUAAGUAGAAACAAAAUAAAAUAAAUAAAGCAAGAAAAAAACAAAAAAAGUGUUUUCAAAUUUCAAAACUAAUGGCACUAACAGAAAGUUUAUAAUUUUCCUAAAACUAAAAGCAAAAAGAAUUAAAAAAUAAAGCAAAAAACAAAAGAAAAUAAAUAAUGCAGAAAACAAAACAAAAAACUGGAAAAAAAUAGCAACAAUAAGUAAAGAAAACGAAAAAACAAAAAAAAUGCCUCCUACUGGGCCCCCACGGCCUGAAUAUGACUAGAAACCCUACUAUGGGCCAGGAUUCAGGCCCGCAGUAGGCCCAGAAGGCCCAUCAGGCAAAGCAAUAGCAAGUAGGCCCGAAAGCCUGCGGUCGAGAGGAGCUCGAGAGGGGUGCGGCAGUGGGGCUUAUAAACCACUGCGCGCCCCUCUCAACUAGCGAGGUGGGACUAAACUUUGGCCCCGACGCGGGCAGCACAGGGGCCUUUGGUCCUGGUUGGUGGCACCAACCGGGACUAAAGGGGGGCAUUGGUCCCGGUUGGUGGCACCAACCGGUACCAAAGGCCGCCGCUUCCCGCCCUUUGGGCUGCCGAAAAAGAGGCCUUUGGUCCCGGUUGGUGGCACCAACCGGGACUAAAGGGUGCAUUAGUCCCGGUUGGUUUCACGAACCGGACCAAUGGCUUUGUUAUAUAAGCAAACACUUUGCAAAAAUUCAGAAUUUCAUCGCCAGUUGCCCCCGACGACGCCGACCUCCUCGACGCCGCUAGGAUGCUCCACCUCGCCGUCGUCGCCACCGCUGCCAAGGCCGUCGCCUCCCCGAGCCCACGCCGUCCUCGUCGCCGGCCUCCCCGAGCCCGCGCCGUCCUCGUCCCCGUCGCCGCGUGCCUCCCCGAGCCCACCCUCCUCGUCCCUAUCGCCGUGUGCCGCCUGAGACCGCCGUCCCCGUCACCGCGUGCCGCCACGAGCCCCUGCCCCGUCCCGUCCCCGCGCGCCGGCGCCCUCGCCGCCCCCACUGUCGCCAUCAUCAUCGCUAGCCGCCCCCGCUGUGAGCCGCCANNNNNNNNNNNNNNNNNNNNNNNNNNNNNNNNNNNNNNNNNNNNNNNNNNNNNNNNNNNNNNNNNNNNNNNNNNNNNNNNNNNNNNNNNNNNNNNNNNNNNNNNNNNNNNNNNNNNNNNNNNNNNNNNNNNNNNNNNNNNNNNNNNNNNNNNNNNNNNNNNNNNNNNNNNNNNNNNNNNNNNNNNNNNNNNNNNNNNNNNNNNNNNNNNNNNNNNNNNNNNNNNNNNNNNNNNNNNNNNNNNNNNNNNNNNNNNNNNNNNNNNNNNNNNNNNNNNNNNNNNNNNNNNNNNNNNNNNNNNNNNNNNNNNNNNNNNNNNNNNNNNNNNNNNNNNNNNNNNNNNNNNNNNNNNNNNNNNNNNNNNNNNNNNNNNNNNNNNNNNNNNNNNNNNNNNNNNNNNNNNNNNNNNNNNNNNNNNNNNNNNNNNNNNNNNNNNNNNNNNNNNNNNNNNNNNNNNNNNNNNNNNNNNNNNNNNNNNNNNNNNNNNNNNNNNNNNNNNNNNNNNNNNNNNNNNNNNNNNNNNNNNNNNNNNNNNNNNNNNNNNNNNNNNNNNNNNNNNNNNNNNNNNNNNNNNNNNNNNNNNNNNNNNNNNNNNNNNNNNNNNNNNNNNNNNNNNNNNNNNNNNNNNNNNNNNNNNNNNNNNNNNNNNNNNNNNNNNNNNNNNNNNNNNNNNNNNNNNNNNNNNNNNNNNNNNNNNNNNNNNNNNNNNNNNNNNNNNNNNNNNNNNNNNNNNNNNNNNNNNNNNNNNNNNNNNNNNNNNNNNNNNNNNNNNNNNNNNNNNNNNNNNNNNNNNNNNNNNNNNNNNNNNNNNNNNNNNNNNNNNNNNNNNNNNNNNNNNNNNNNNNNNNNNNNNNNNNNNNNNNNNNNNNNNNNNNNNNNNNNNNNNNNNNNNNNNNCGAGGCCACCCAAAUUUACCAAGUUAAAAGAGCGUUGUCGUCGAGGCCACCCCAAACCCUUGAAGCGUUGUGUCGAGGCGACCCCAAACCCUAGAGAAGUAGCGUCGAGGCCACUAACAUGAUUCCUUAUUGUGAUUAGCUAGCUAGUUCUACGUUUGCCACUAACAUAUAUAUAUAUAUAUAUAUAUAUAUAUAUAUAUAUAUAUAUAUGCAUCUGUACCAUGUUUGAAUAAUAAUUGACAUGUUGUAAAUAUUUGCAGAAACUAUGGAGCACUCCCGAGACAAAGAAACAGAAGCGAUGUUGGGGGACAUAAUCGCGCAAGGAAGUGAUGAAGUUGCGCCAUUUCUCAACGACACCGAUGGUCAGGAAGAACUGGGUGAAGAAGAGGGCUAUGUUCAUGAUGGCUUUGGCCCAUUAAUGCCGUUACAAGAAGAGGACUAUGUUCAUGAUGGCUCCGAUGACAUAAUGGAGGUACAAGAAGGAGACAGUGCUGACUGCUCCGGUGACCGAACCGAGUCCGGCCAGCUAUAUAUAUAUUAGUUAAGCCCGUGCUGACUAGUUAAUUGAUGCAUCCAUUGUUUUGGUAUAUGUACACAUAUUAAUUACUCUCGUCUUUCUUCCUUAUAAUUUCUAGCCCUCCGGAUCGAGCACAACUUCGGUAAGGAGAUGAGGCCCGAAGAAAAAGUUGAGCUCGGAUGAAAAGUUUGAGAUCAUAGAAAUCGCGCCCGACGGCGAACUGAUUGAACCCAUCCGGACAAAGCGCGCAUUUUCUGCUCAGUGCGGGGUUCUUGUUAGGGACAAGAUCCCGAUCAGCAUCCAACAAUGGUAUAAGCCUAAGGAGGAAGACCCUGAGGUGUCUUAUGUCAAUGAUAUGCAGAAAGAAGAUCUUUGGACUCAGCUGAAGGCAAAUUUCACCCUACCGCCAGAGGAGGAUCCGGAGAAGCCAGUUAAAGAGCAAUUAAUCAAGUCUUGUGCUCUUAAGAAGAUGGCAACCCUAUUCAGGAGGUGGAGGAAAGAGCUGAACAAGUUUGUCGACAAAAAAAAGACACCAGAAUUCAUCGGCAAAUAUGAGAAGAUCAAAGAUCACUGGCCCGCAUUUGUGGCCCACAAGACAUCGGAAAAGAUUAAGAAGAUGUUUGCGACAAACAAGCAAAAUGCUGCGAAGAAGAUGCUUCACCAUCGCACGGGGUCAGGUGGCUACCUCAAAGCCCGGCCUAAGUGGUCCAAGGCUGAGCAUGAUCUGCUUGAAAAAGGGAUCGAACCAGAGACAAUGUACUGGCCAGACCGUUGCCGGACUUGGUUCUUCGGGGCUGGCGGAACCUUGGACCCUGUAUCAGGGAAGUGCCAUUGGAUGGACGAGCAACUGCAAAUACCAGUCAAGAACCUUCGACACUAUAUCGAUGCAGCGCAGCGAGGGACGUUCGUUCCAGACAGGGAGAAGGACGAGCUCACAAUGGCCCUCAGGAAUCCUGAGCACCCUGGACAGACACGAGGCACGCCAGGCUCCAUUCCGUGGAAGGUUGGUUUUCCGGACGCAGGGGGUUACAAAACCCAUGAGAUGAGGAAGAAACUGGAGCAGGGCCAACUACAGGCGCUGCACGAAAGGGUAAUGGUGCUAGAGGAACGAGAAGGGGAACGAGAAGCAGCAGAUCGCAGCAAACGACCUGCCGAAGCUUCCCCCGAAGCUACCCCGCCAUCUCAGCGGAGAAGCAACAUGGCUUCCACCGAGCUGCUUCAGCCGGAACAUGUCUUGACGGCUCCUGCCAUCUAUCCCGUGGAUGAUAUCACGGAGUCUCAAAAUUGCCACAUUAUGGCGCGAUGGAUGAAUUUGAAGGUCAAGGUGGUUGUUGGCUCUGUUUAUCCUAGUGGACCCGGUACAACUUAUCACUGCCAGCCAAUUCCAGAAGGAUAUGCUAAGGUGAUGGUGGAUGAAAUAACGGAGUGAUUUGAGGACCUCCUGCUUGACCACCCUACCGGUAAAGGGGAGACUAGGCUGGGUUCUGCUCUGAAGACUCCAUGCCUAUGGCGGAAGGAGCUCAUCAACCUUCCGAACUGGACGCCUCCGCCUCCUCCUCCUCCUCCGGCGAGUCAGGGCACUCCGCCUCCUCCACCGCCUCCUCCUCCGGUGAGUGACGAUCAGGGCACGCGUGGCGGCACUCCGCCUCCUUCUCCAGUGCGUGGCGGCACUCCGCCUCCUUCUCCGUCUGCGCCGGCGCUCCCGAGAAGCCAGCAGCCUCCUCCUUCUCCGCCUCGCCAGCAAGGGCAAAGAGACCCGCCGCCGCCCCGGCUGUGUUGGAAAUAUGCCCUAGAGGCAAUAAUAAAUUAGUUAUUAUUAUAUUUCCUUGUUCAUGAUAAUCGUUUAUUAUCCAUGCUAUAAUUGUAUUGAUAGGAAACUCAGAUACAUGUGUGGGUACAUAGACAACACCAUGUCCCUAGUAAGCCUCUAGUUGACUAGCUCGUUAAUCAAUAGAUGGUUACGGUUUCCUGACCAUGGACAUUGGAUGUCAUUGAUAACGGGAUCACAUCAUUAGGAGAAUGAUGUGAUGGACAAGACCCAAUCCUAAGCCUAGCACAGAUCGUGUAGCUCGUAUGCUAAAGCUUUUCUAAAUGUCAAGUAUCAUUUCCUUAGACCAUGAGAUUGUGCAACUCCCGGAUACCGUAGGAAUGCUUUGGGUGUACCAAACGUCAGAACGUAACUGGGUGGCUAUAAAGGUGCAUUACAGGUAUCUCCGAAAGUGUCUGUUGGGUUGGCACGAAUCGAGACUGGGAUUUGUCACUCCGUGUGAUGGAGAGGUAUCUCUGGGCCCACUCGGUAGGACAUCAUCAUAAUGUGCACAAUGUGACCAAGGGGUUGAUCACGGGAUGAUGUGUUAUGGGACGAGUAAAGAGACUUGCCGGUAACGAGAUUGAACAAGGUAUCGGGAUACCGAUGAUCGAAUCUCGGGCAAGUACAAUGCCGCUAGACAAAGGGAAUUGUAUACGGGAUCGAUUGAGUCCUUGACAUCGUGGUUCAUCCGAUGAGAUCAUCGUGGAACAUGUGGGAGUCAACAUGGGUAUCCAGAUCCCGUUGUUGGUUAUUGACCGGAGAACGUCUCGGUCAUGUCUGCAUGGUUCCCGAACCCGUAGGGUCUACACACUUAAGGUUCAAUGACGCUAGGGUUAUAAAGGAAGUUUGUAUGUGGUUACCGAAUGUUGUUCGGAGUCCCGGAUGAGAUCCCGGACAUCACGAGGAGUUCCGGAAUGGUCCGGAGGUAAAGAUUUAUAUAUAGGAAGUCUUAUUUUGGUCGCCGGAAAAGUUUCGCGCAUUAUCGGUAUUGUACCGGGAGUGCCGAAAGGGGUCCGGGGGUCCACCUGCCCCGGGGGGCCACAUGGGCUGUAGGGGGUGCGCCUUGGCCCAUAUGGGCCAAGGGCACCAGCCCCAAGAGGCCCGUGCGCCAAGGAGACUUGGGGAGGGAAGAGUCCAAAGGGGGGAAGGCACCUCCGAGGUGCCUUGGGGAGGAUGGACUCCUCCCCCCCUCUUGGCCGCACCCCUUCCUUGGAGGAAGGGGCAAGGCUGCGCCCUCCCCCCUCUCUUGCACCUAUAUAUAGUGGAGGGGAGGGAGGGGAAGACACACCUAAGUUCCUGGCACCUCCCUCCCUCCCGUGACACCUCCUCCUCUCCCGCAGGUGCUUGGCGAAGCCCUGCAGGAUUGCCACGCUCCUCCACCACCACCACGCUGUUGUGCUGCUGCUGGAUGGAGUCUUCCUCAACCUCUCCCUCUCUCCUUGCUGGAUCAAGGCAUGGGAGACGUCACCGGGCUGUACGUGUGUUGAACGCGGAGGUGACGUCCGUUCGGCACUAGGAUCAUCGGUGAUUUGAAUCACGACGAGUACGACUCCAUCAACCCUGUUCACUUGAACGCUUCCGCUUAGCGAUCUACAAGGGUAUGUAGAUGCACUCUCCUUCCCCUCGUUGCUGGUUUCUCCAUAGAUAGAUCUUGGUGACACGUAGGAAAAUUUUUAAUUUCUGCUACGUUCCCCAACAGUGGCAUCAUGAGCUAGGUCUAUUGCGUAGAUUCUUUGCACGAGUAGAACACAAAGUAGUUGUGGGCAUUGAUUUUGUUCAAUAUGCUUGCCGUUACUAGUCCAAUCUUGUUUCGACGGUAUUGUGGGAUGAAGCGGCCCGGACCGACCUUACACGUACUCUUACGUGAGACAGGUUCCACCGACUGACAUGCACUUGGUGCAUAAGGUGGCUAGCGGGUGCCAGUCUCUCCCACUUUAGUCGGAUCGGAUGCAAUGAAAAGGGUCCUUAUGAAGGGUAAAUAGCAAUUUACAUAUCACGUUGUGGUUUUGCGUAGGUAAGAAACGUUCUUGCUAGAAACCCAUAGCAGCCACGUAAAACAUGCAAACAACAAUUAGAGGACGUCUAACUUGUUUUUGCAGGGUAUGCUAUGUGAUGUGAUAUGGCCAAGAAGAAUGUGAUGAAUGAUAUGUGAUGUAUGAGAUUGAUCAUGUUCUUGUACUAGGAAUCACGACUUGCAUGUCGAUGAGUAUGACAACCGGCAGGAGCCAUAGGAGUUGUCUUUAUUUAUUGUAUGACCUGCGUGUCAUUAUACAACGCCAUGUAAUUACUUUACUUUAUUGCUAACCGGUAGCCAUAGUAGUAGAAGUAAUAGUUGGCGAGACAAUGAAGACACGAUGAUGGAGAUCAUGAUGAUGGAGAUCAUGGUGUCAUGCCGGUGACGAUGAUGAUCAUGGAGCCCCGAAGAUGGAGAUCAAAAGGAGCAAAAUGAUAUUGGCCAUAUCAUGUCACUAUUUGAUUGCAUGUGAUGUUUAUCAUGUUUAUGCAUCUUAUUUGCUUAGAACGACAGUAGUAAAUAAGAUGAUCCCUCAUUAAAAUUUCAAGAAGGUGUUCCCCCUAACUGUGCACCGUUGCGAAAGUUUGUCGUUUCGAAGCACCACGUGAUGAUCGGGUGUGAUAGAUUCUUACGUUCACAUACAACGGGUGUAAGCCAGAUUUACACACGCAGAACACUUAGGUUAGCUUGACGAGCCUAGCAUGUACAGACAUGGCCUCGGAACACAAGAGACCGAAAGGUCGAGCAUGAGUCGUAUAGUAGAUACGAUCAACAUGAAGAUGUUCACCGAUGAUGACUAGUCCGUCUCACGUGAUGAUCGGACACGGCCUAGUUGACUCGGAUCAUGUAAUCACUUAGAUGACUAGAGGGAUGUCUAUCUAAGUGGGAGUUCAUGAGAUGAACUUAAUUAUCCUGAACAUAGUCAAAAGAUCUUUGCAAAUUAUGUCGUAAGCUCGCGCUUUAGUUCCACUGUUUAGAUAUGUUCCUAGAAAAAUAUAGUUGAAAGUUGACAGUAGCGAAUAUGCAGACAGUAGAAAGCUUAUGUCCUUAAUGCACCGCUCAGUGUGUUGAACCCCAAACGUCGUUUGUGGAUGUUACGAACAUCGGACAUACAUGUUUUGAUAACUACGUGAUAGUUCAGUUAAACGGUUUAGAGUUGAGGCACCAAAGACGUUUUUCGAAACGUCACGGAACAUAUGAGAUGUUUCGAGGGCUGAAAUUGGGAUUUCAGGCUCGUGCCCACGUCAAGAGGUAUAAGACCUCCGACGAUUUUCUUAGCCUGCAAACUAAGGGAGAAAAGCUCAAUCAUUGAGCUUGUGCUCAGAUUGUCUGAGUGCAACAAUCACUUGAAUCGAGUGGGAGUUGAUCUUCCAGAUGAGAUAGUGAUGUUUCUCCAAACUCAUUGCCACCAAGCUGCUAGAGCUUCGUGAUGAACUAUAACAUGUCAGGGAUAGAUAUGAUGAUCCUUGAGGUAUUCAUGAUGUUUGACACCGCGAAAGUAGAAAUCAAGAAGAAGCAUCAAUUGUUGAUGGUUGGUGAAACCACUAGUUUUAAGAAGGGCAAGGGCAAGAAGGGACACUUCAUGAAACGGCAAAUCAGUUGCUGCUCCAGUGAAGAAACCCAAGGUUGAACCCAAACCCGAGACUAAGUGCUUCUGUAAUAAGGGGAACAGCCACUGGAGCAGAAUUACCCUAGAUACUUGGUAGAUAAGAAGGCUGGCAAGGUUGAUAGAAGUAUAUUGGAUAUACAUUAUGUUAAUGUGUACUUUACUAGUACUCCUAGUAGCACCAGGGUAUUAGAUACCGGUUCGGUUGCUAAGUGUUAGUAACUCGAAAUAAAAGCUAUGGAAUAAACAGAGACUAGCUAAAGGUGAGCCGACGAUAUGUGUUGGAAUGUUUCCAAGGUUGAUAUGAUCAAGCAUCGCACGCUCCCUCUACCAUCGAGAUUGGUGUUAAACCUAAAUAAUUGUUAUUUGGUGUUUGCGUUGAGCAUAGACAUGAUUGGAUUAUGUCUGUUGCAAUACGGUUAUUCAUUUAAGGAGAAUAAUGGUUACUCUGAGUAAUACCUUCAAUGGUCUAGCACCUAAAAGGAAUGGUUUAUUGAAUCUCGAUCAUAGUGAUACACAUUUUCAUGCCAAAAGAUAUAAGAUAGUAAUGAUAGUACCACGUACUUGUGGCACUGCCAUGUAAGUCAUAUUGGUAUAAAACGCAUGAAGAAGCUCCAUGUUGAUGGAUCUUUGGACUCACUCGUUUUUCAAAAGUUUGAGACAUGCAAACCAUGUCUAUUGGUGUAUACGCAUGAAGAAACUCCAUGCAGAUGGAUCGUUUGGACUCACUUGAUUUUUAAUCACUUGAGAUAUGCAAAUCAUACCACAUGGGCAAGAUGACUGAAAAGCCUCGGUUUCAGUAAGAUGGAACAAGAUAGCAACUUGUUGAAGUAACACAUUUUGAUGUGUGCAGUCCAAUGAGUGUUGAGGCAUGCAGUGAAUAUCGUUAUGUUCUUACUUCACGGAUGAUUUAAGUAGAUACUGAGUGUAUUUACUUGAUGAAACACAAGUCUGAAUUAUUGAAUGGUUCAAGUAGUUUCAGAGUGAAGUUAAAGAUCAUCGUGACAAGAGGAUAAAAUGUCUAUGAUAUGAUCAUAGAGAUGAGUAUCUGAGUUACGAUCUUUGGCACGCAAUUAAGACAUCGUGGAAAUUGUUUCACAAUUAAUACCGCCUGGAACACCAUAGUGUGAUGGUGUGUCCGAACAUCAUAGUUGCACCCUAUUAGAUAUGGUGCGUACCAUGAUGUCUCUUAUCAAAUUACCACUAUCGUUCAUGGGUUAGGCAUUAGAGACAACCGCACUCACUUUAAUAGGGCACCACGUAAUUCCGUUGAGACGGCACUGUUUGAACUAUGGUUUGGAGAAAUCUAAGUUGUCGUUUCUUAAAGGUUUGGGGCUGCGACGCUUAUGUGAAAAAGUUUCAGGUUGAUAAGCUCGAACCCAAAGCGGAUAAAAUGCAUCUUCAUAGGACACCCAAAACGGUUGGGUAUACCUCCUAAUUCAGAUCCGAAAGCAAUAGGGGUUGUUUCUAGAAACGGGUCCUUUCUCGAGGAAAAGUUUCUCUCAAAAGAAUUGAGUGGGAGGAUGGUGGAGACUUGAUGAGGUUAUUGAACCAUCACUUCAACCAGUGUGUAGCAGGGCACAGGAAGUUCCUGUGGCACCUACAUCAAUUGAAGUAGAAGCUUAUGAUAGUGAUCAUGAAGCUUCAGAUCAAGUCACUACCGAACCUCGUAGGACGACAAGGACGCGUACUGCUUCGGAGUGGUACGGUGAUCCUGUCUUGAAUGUCAUGUUGCUAGACAACAAUGAACCUGCAAGCUAUGGAGAAGCAAUGGUGGGCCCAUAUUCCAACAAAUGGUUAGAAGCCAUGAAAUCGGAGAUAGGAUCCAUGUAUCAGAACAAAGCAUGGACUUUGGUGGACUUGCCCGUUGAUCGGCAAGCCAUUGAGAUAAAUGGAUCUUUAAGAAGAAGACGGACGUGGACGGUAAUGUCACCGUCUAUGAAGCUCGACUUGUGGCGAAGAGUUUUUCACAAGUUCAAGGAGUUGACUACGAUGAGAUUUUCUCAUCCGUAGCGAUGCUUAAGUCCGUCGGAAUCAUGUUAGCAUUAGCUGCAUUUAUGAAAUCUGGCAGAUGGAUGUCAAAACGAGUUUCCUUACCAAUUUUGUAAGGAAAGGUUGUAUGUGAUACAAUCAGAAAGUUUUUUUUCGAUCCUAAGGAUGCUAAAAGGUAUGCUGGCUCCAGCAAUCCUUCUAAGGACUGGAGUAAGCAUCUCGGAGUUGGAAUAUACGCUUUGAUAAAAUGAUCAAAGAUUUUGGGUUUAUACAAAGUUUGUGAGAAACUUGUAUUUCCAAAGAAGUGAGUGGGAGCACUAUAGAAUUUCUGAUGAGUAUAUGUCGUUGACAUAUUGAUGAUCAAAAAUGAUGAAGAAUUUUCUGUAAAGCAUAUAGGGUUAUUUGAAAAGUGUUUUUCAAGUGAAAACCUCGAUUAAGCUGCUUAAACAUUGAGCAUCAAGAUCUAUGAGAACAGAUCGAAAACGCUAAAUGAUACUUUCAAAUGAGCACAUACCUUGACAUGAUCUUGAAGGUGUUCAAGAUGGAUCAGUCAAAGAAGGAGUUCUUGCCUGAGAUUUAAGGUAUGAAGUUAAGACUUAAAGCUCGACCACGGCAGAAAAGAGAGAAAGGACGAAGGUCGUCCCCUAUGCUUUAGACGUAGGCUCUAUAGUAUGCUAUGUUGUGUACCGCACCGGAAGUGUGCCUUGCCAUGAGUCAGUCAAGGGGUACAAGAAUGAUCCAGGAAUGGGGAUCAUUGGACAGCGGUCAAAAUUGUCCUUGGAGUAAAUAAGGACAUGUUUUUCGAUUAUGGAGGUGAUAAAGAGUUCGGCGUAAAGGGUUACGUCGAUGCAAGCUUUGACACCUAUCCGAAUGACUCUGAAUAGCAAACCGGAUACGUAUAGUGGAGCAACCAUUUGGAAUAGUUUCAAAUGGAGCGUGGAAGCAGCAUUUAUAAUAUGACCUAGAAAUUUGUAAAGCACACACGGAUCUGAAAGGUUCAGAUCCGUUGACUAAAACCUCUCUCACAAGCAAAACAUGAUCAAACCCCAGAACUCAUUGAGUCUUAAUCACAUGAUGAUGUGAACUAGUAAACUCUUUGGAUGUUGGUCACAUGGCGAUGUGACCUGUGAGUGUUAAUCACAUGGCGAUGUGAACUAGAUUAUUGACUCUAGUGCAAGUGGGAGACUGUUGGAAAUAUGCCCUAGAGGCAAUAAUAAAUUAGUUAUUAUUAUAUUUCCUUGUUCAUGACAAUCGUUUAUUAUCCAUGCUAUAAUUGUAUUGAUAGGAAACUCAGAUACAUGUGUGGGUACAUAGACAACACCAUGUCCCUACUAAGCCUCUAGUUGACUAGCUCGUUAAUCAAUAGAUGGUUACGGUUUCCUGACCAUGGACAUUGGAUGUCAUUGAUAACGAGUAUUUAAAAGAAAAAUUGAAAAAAAUUGAGGGGGAGAAGAUGGAAUUGGAUUUGCAUGUUGCCGAUGCCGUCGAUGAUCACAAGAUCGAGAUGGAGAAAAUGCGCUUGAAGAUUAGAAAGAUUAGGAAAUAUGCCAUCGAUAGUGAGGCUUGGUAUCAUUAUGUUGUUACACCAAUUGUUACCUUAAUUGCGAUCUUGAUCGCAUUUGUUGUUGCAUUUAAAUGCUUUAGCUAGAGAGUUAUGUGUAUGUUGUUUUAUGAGAAUAAGUGUUGUAUGAACUUUAUGUAUGAACUUGUAUUAAUUUGAUCUUUUCGGUGCUGUGUAAUGGAUGAGCCGACAAUGGAUGUACGAUGACCGAUGCUCUCCCCAGUUCAUUAAUGGUGUGCAUACUUUUGUGCUUGCAGCUGUGGCAAACAAGCGGGCAAAUGGUUUUAUGCCUCAUCCAUGUGCUGGCUGUAAAAACGAUCAAAAUUACUCUAAGUCAAGAACCAUUCAAGUCCACCUGUUUGACUCUGGUUUCAUGCCCCAUUAUAAUGUUUGGACCAAGGACGGAGAAAGAGGGGUUAUGAUGGAAGACAAUGAAGAAGAAGAGGACGACGACAACUAUCCUGGCCAUGGGUUCCCUGAAUACGAUGGUACAACAAUGGGGGAAGAAGCUGAGCAGGCAAUGCGGGAAGAAGCUGAAGAACAGGCAUCAGAUGAGCCCACUGAUGAUCUAGGUCGGGCCAUUGCCAAUGCAAGAGAAACUGCGCAAGUGAAAAGGAGAAGAAGAAGUUGCAAUGCAUGUUAGAGGAUCACAAGAAAUUGUUGUACCCGAAUUGCAAAGCUGACAAGAAAAAGUUGAGCACCACAUUGGAAUUGCUGCAAUGGAAGGCAGAGAAUGGUCUAUCUGACAAGGGAUUUCGAAACUUGUUGACAAUGUUAAUGAAGAUGCUUCCAAAGGACAACUUAUUGCCCGAGAGUACGAGUACGUACGAAGCAAAGAAGGUUGUCUGCCCUCUAGGAUUAGUGGUGCAGAAAAUACAUGCAUGCCCUAAUGACUGCAUCCUCUACCGCAUUCAGUACGAGGAUGUGAACGCAUGCCCGGUAUGCGGUGCAUUGCGCUAUAAGAUCAACUGCGAUGACCCUGGUGAUGUCGAGGGCGAGUGCUCCAGGAAGAAGAUUCCUGCCAAGGUGAUGUGGUAUGUGUUGACACCAGAUUUUGGCAUGGUCAAUAACUUAUUUAAGAUGGCCUCAAAUGGAGAAGUGAUCUUCAUGAAAGAGUUCUGUAUUGUCGAUAUGAACAUCUUUCAAGUCUGGGUCAUCGCAGUCCGAUUUCAUCUCGAAGGCCGAAACUAUGCUCAAAGUACUAAGAUCUUAUAUUCAGAGUACAGUUUGGCUGAUUAAGCCUCCAAGAAGACCUCAAAUGGAACAAUUAUCUACACGGAUUGUCUUCGUCUCGUCGAAACUAUCGAUUUUGAUAUAAAAAUCGUUCCAAUCCGAGUUCGUAUGCAAAAGUUAGAGCCAUCAGAAUACAGCCCUGUCAGGAGGCAAAAACUGGCGCGCCCCACCAGACACCCUGUCUGAUGGGUAGCGCGAGGGAUAGCCUGUUUUGCGCGACCGAUUUGACCCUCAAGAUGCCCUCUGAUCAAAAAAUGUUCAACAUAAAAGUUGUUCGUAUCGUCGAAACGGUCAAGAUUGCUUUUGGGCUCGUUUCCAUCUAAAAUCGUUUACCACCACAAAAAAGACCCGCAAGGUGCAGCCAGUUUAAACCAAACAGUUUUGGAAAGUUCGGACAAAACCAAUCCGAAUUUGACUAGGGUUUUGGACGUGAAUCCAAGCCUUUUCCUUGCACGGGAAGUCCAGCCGCCUCUUAUAUACCUAAGGGGUGACGGCUGAUUGAACAACACACAAUCGAACAAAUCAAUCUACCACUUUUAUCUUUUAUCUUUUCUCCUUAACCCUAGUUCUUCUUCUUCCUCGUUCUUCGUUGUUCUUCUUCAUUGCAGGGCGGCGAACCUCGAGGCCAUAGGGACGGUCAGGCCGACCUAGGGCAGCCCAUAGCCGCUGCGCUCCCAGACGGGGUCCCUCCCGGGCGUGUGAGGUUUCGGGUCUACAAAAGAGCCCGCCGGAUUGUCUUGCGUACCGCGCUUUCGGCGGGUCUCCUUCGACGUGAGCUGCGGUGCAUCACCCCCAGCGUCGAGGGUACACGGUGACGUGUUUGUGUACGAACACACUUUUUGGCGACUCCGCUGGGGACGAAGCUUUGAACGGUCUCCGGCCUAUUUUUUCUACGAAAGGAUCGUCAUCUAGGGUUUGCAAUCUACAAAGGUAAUAUGAAUACCCAAUUCCCUACUGUAGAUGCAAAUAAUUCAUAUGGUUUUAAUAGAUCGUUCAAUGAGUAUACUCUAUCGGCCAGCCCUAGUUUUUUCAAUAAUCCAUCUAAUUACGUGCAAGGGCCGAUUCAAAGUAAUUUGCAUGCUUUAAGUUCUUAUGAUACUAGUAACCUACACCAUAUGUAUCCCAACUCUCAUGCAUCAGCAACCCCACAAAUUGUUAUGCCGAUGAACAACAUGGUGAGUUCAGUUAAUAAAUUUGAAACACCUCAUGUUAGAAUCUCCAAUGCCAUGAAAGAAAGUGUUUCACCCUUUUAUUCAUCGGCAAGUAAUGUGCAAUAUACUAAUCCAACCAUGCCGAUGAACGAGAGAAUUGGCCAUGCAGCUACUAGUUAUUCGGCCAGUUACUCUCAAACGUCAUAUGCUACACCUCAUGUUAGUAAUUCUUCGGCACCAUACACAACUGUAGAUGCUCAUAAUUCGGCUUCACACCUUCCUGGUUAUAGCCGAAUGAAUGUAAAUUUUACAGGAGCGGUUGUGCCCAAUAUUGUAGAAGAUGAGGUAGUGGUGGCUGCAUUGAAGAGUUUAGCCCAAAAUAAGAGAAUUAGUGUUCUUUGCCUUGAACAACAUGAAAAGGGGCUAUUUCCUGAUUAUGCCGCAAUAAAACCUAGAGUUCUGCAAGAAGAUGAAUCUUUGCCAAUUGAUAAAAUUGGCGAGCAAAAGGAUGGUCUUACAACAAUGCAUAUGCCUUCACCUAGUACUACAUCAUAUUAUACACCCCCUACACAAUUGCAAAAUUUCCGCAACACCCGUGUGUCAUUGCCGAAAGAAUCUAAAAGCAUUGGGGGCAAUCAUAUCCGGAGUGGGCUGAAAUUGAGAAAAAGCUUAAAGCUAAUUUUGCUGCUCGCCGUCAGAAACAAAUAGAAAAAGAAUUGGCUCAGAUAAAAGAAGCAUUGCCAAUUGGUAGUAUCAAUGAAAAGAAGGAUGAUUCGGAACAUGAAAGUGCUUCGGUUGAAAAAUCCGAAUCAAGUAGUAUAUAUUCUGAAUCCAUCAAAUCCAACGAGGCAAGCAUUAUUGAGAAAGGGCAUGGCAAGCAUAGGAAAACAACGGUGCUUGAUUAUUCUGAAGUUAAUAGAACCUACUUCCUCCCCUAUGAGUUCCGUGCCGUAGAAAUUGACAAGCUUCAAGGACAAGAACAAGUAGCCGAACAAAGUUCAGCCGACAAAAAUCUUCAAAGCAAUGAUGCACGGAUUCAAGAAAAAGAUGAUGACAAGGUGUUGGGGAGCCAUCCAAAGACGGAGCAAGAUGUUCUUCAAAUGGCACCACCAUCAUGCUCUCCCAACAUAUUUGAAGAGGUAUGCAUAGCCAGUAAUUUACCUAUUUUCAGAUUUGGUCGCAACUUCAUUAUUGAUGCAUCUAUAAGAAAUAUUCUCAUAAGUAAUUUUGAAAGACCAAUGAAGAAGGGUAAUUUACUUGUUAGCAAUAAAAUUGUUAUGGAACAUAUCGGUCAAACCAUUGCGCCAUUCAUAAAGACCGGUAAUGACUUAUUGUUACAGCCAAAGCUUUCCCCGUUGCUUUAUCUAAAGUUCAUAUCUAGUUGGGUAGCUUUGCUUAUUUCGUACUUGGCUUGCACUUGGUCUCAACUGAGACAUGUAUGUUCUAAAUAUCUUCGUUUCAGAAAUUUAAAGCCAAGGUUAAAUUCUUUUGAGAAAACUGAUGCUAAUACAAUAUCUUAUCCAAAGACAUCGGAGAUAAAGUGGAAAACACAAUGCAUAGCCGAAUGGGGAGAUUCCAAAUCUGAACCAUUUGUUUGCUUAUCUCCAAAGCUGUUCAAACAGCAAGAUCGGCUAGAAAACAAGAAGUAUACCUUCAAUUCAAGCAUGUGAGAUCAAAUAUAUGAUUUGUUGCAGAAAAAUAAUUACAUUACAAUUCUCGAUCACCAUGUUAAGACAUCAAUUCAAGGACGAAUGUAUUGUAAGUUGCAUGAUUCGUCCAAACAUAAUUUUGAGGAUUGCAAUAUGUUUCGGCAAAUAGUUAAAUCGGCCAUUGAAAAAGGACGAUUGAAGUUUGUUGAAACACCAAGAGAUGACCAGUCUAUUCCGAUUGGUCCCGAUGGCAAAAAGUUUUUGCAUCGGCUGCUUCAAGCCGAGCCAUUUAAAGAGAAUGUAAAAAUUGCAGGUGAUGGGAUCAAGGUUUCAAGUAAAGAAGUUGUUGAAGAGCAUAAUGAACAUAAUCUUGAGGGCGAGAAUUCCAUCGAAGCUACAAUGGAGACGCCAAGGACUGGGGGGCAGCAAGCAAAUCCAAUGAUCGAUGAAAGCAAACCAAAAGAAAACAAAGGCCGAAAUAAGCGCAAGUGUAAGAGAUCAAAAAUCACCUUUGCUGAACUAUUGGAUAAAUAUCAAAAGAUGAGUGAAGAGAAGAAUGCUUAUUGGCCAAAUCAUGCAAAGAAACCAAGAUCACCCCCAAGGCGCAAAUAUGAUGACUGGUAUUGGCAAAGUGAUAAUUUUAAUGCAACAUAUUCAUACCCUUAUUUUGGCCGCCAAUGCCAAUGCCGUGGAUGCCUCCCUAUGCUCAUAUAGAUACAUAUUCAUCAUGGGAUAGGUAUGGUACAAGGGCACAUUCUCCAUCUUAUUCUAGACCAUCUCACCAAUACUAUGCAGCUCCAAGAAGAUCAACAUUUGAACAAUCACGCAUCAAAGACCGUUUCAAUCAUAAGGAAUCAGUCCAGAGCUCAAGGAAGAAAAAAGAGGUGGUAAAACAAGUUUACCGCGUGAAAAAAGAUGGCCAUAAGUGUGCUACUUCAGAUUUGAUCUCAAAUAACAAAGAGCCAAUUAAAGUGUUGACAUUGGCUACAAAAGGCAAAGAAGUGAAACAAUCAAUUGAUAAAAAUCAGAGUGCCAAAUCUGAGGAAAAGAAGUUGAGGGUACACAAGGCCCAAAAAGAGUUUCCAUUGCUUCAAACAAAAUCACAGCCGGGGUGCUCACUCGGCUUAUCGUAUUGGCGAAAGAAGGAAUUACAAAAACCUAGUGCACAAGAGCUGAAAAAGAAGAACAUGGCAUGGGUUCCGAAGAGGAGCAGUCAAAAUUAAAGUGAUGUGCAACCUUCUAUUGCAACAAGUGUUACAAAAGUGAAGAAAGAGAAGGAUGGAAGCCAAAAACAGUUAGGCCGAAGGUUUGCAUCACCCCAUCAAAAUCUUCGGUUAGCACAUCAUCCAUAUUAUUCAACCAUACCAUUGAUGCCUUUGCCAUGGAAUUCAUCAUCAGGUAUGAUAAAUUACCCUCCCUGGAUUUAUUUUAAUCCAUGGAAGCGACAUAAUUUUCUGCAUCAUGAGAGGGUAUUACCAAAUCUCUAUACAUUUUACUAGCUACAUUUUUUCUUGCUAAUCCAAAGGGCCCAAAUAUUUGAUUGCUAUUUCAUUUGUUUAUUUCGGCUAUACAUGAUUUGGUGAAUGAAUUCUACAUGGGCAUUAUGUUGAUGGCCGGUAUUUAUCUAUCGCCCUAAGAAUAUGUCAAAGCAUGGCUGAUGUAGUAUCCUAACAUCGUCCUUAGUUCAAUUAGAGGCCAAAACGAGGUACAUGUUCAUUGAUAUUGCCCUUGUCUUUCUAGUACUAUGGAGAUUAUUUUUCACGGUAAAUUUGUGGCCAAGGUGUUGGUGUUGCUUAUUUAUCUCCAUAUGGAGCUAUUUUGUGAAGCCUCAGGCCGCUUAUAAUAUUUUUGCACAAUCAUCAAAGCCGAAUAUGCAUUGUCAUUCGGAUUGGAGCUUUGCCUUGAUAUAGGUGCUAUACAUAUUGAGGCUUCCUGUGAUUCAUUAUUAGUAGUGCAACAAAUAUCCAAGGGUUAUCAAUGUUUUGACGGAUCACUUAUAGUUUAUCUUUUGGUAUGUCUAGAUGCAAGAUUUACCUUGGGUUGCUUUGAAAUUGUUCAUAUAUCCAGGCAUGACAAUUCGAAAGAGUUGGCACAGCAAGCGUCCGGCUACUAUGUUAACCAUGGUGUAUUGCAUUUCUAUCAAUAGCCGAUGCUAGGUCUUGUCAACAUAGGUAAGGCUGAAUCGAAGCCCACCGCUUCGACCACUAAUGAAACAUUUAUGCAUGAGAAGUAAGGAUUGGAGGAAGUUCAUUCUUGAUUAUCUGCAAAAUCCUAGCGAAAGGGUGAACAAUAUGGUUCGGAGGAUGGUUUUGAUCUAUGGAACCUUAUCACCGGAUUGUUAUAGAAACUGAGAAGUUUUCAUCCAAGUUUGCAUCAAGAGGUUCAAAAAAGCAAUGGCCGAUAUAUACAUGUCGUCCUAAGAACAUGCAAAAUGUCCGAUGGAGUGUUGACAUCAUCCUUAGAACAAUCUGUGCGGAAGUUAUUUUUCUGCACACAAACUUUGCCGAAAAACAGGGGGGCAUGUGUUGACACCAGAUUUUGGCAUGGUCAAUAACUUAUUUAAGAUGACCUCAAAUGGAGAAGUGAUCUUCAUGAAAGAGUUCCGUAUUGUCGAUAUGAACAUCUUUGAAGUCUGGGUCAUCACAGUCCGAUUUCAUCUCGAAGGCCGAAACUAUGCUCAAAGUACUAAGAUCUUACAUUCAGAGUACAGUUUGGAUAAUUAAUCCCCCAAGACAACCUCAAAUGGAAAAAUUAUCUACACGGAUUGUAUUCGUCUCGUCGAAACGAUCGAUUUUGAUAUAAAAAUCGUUCCAAUCCGAGUUCGUAUGCAAAAGUUAGAGCCAUCAGAAUACAGCCCUAUCAGGAGGCAAAAACUGGCGCGCCCCACCACACACCCUGUUUGAUGGGUAGCGCGAGGGAUAGCCUGUUUUGCGCGACCGAUUUGUCCCUCAAGAUGACCUCUGAUCAAACAACGUUCAACAUAAAGAUUGCUUUUGGGCUCGUCUCCAUCCGAGAUCGUUUAUCACCACAAAAAAGAACCGCAAGGUGCAGCCAGUUUAAACCGAACAGUUUUGGAAAGUUCGAACAAAACCAAUCCGAAUUUGACUAGGGUUUUGGACGUGAAUUCAAGCCUUUUCCUUACACGGGAAGUCCAGCCGCCUCUUAUAUACCUAAGGGGUGACGGCCGAUUGAACAACACACAAUCGAACAAAUCAAUCUACCACUUUUAUCUUUUAUCUUUACUCCUUAACCCUAGUUCUUCUUCUUCCUCGUUCUUCGUUGUUCUUCUUCAUUGCAGGGCGGCGAACCUCGAGGCCCUAGGGGCGGUCAGGCCGACCUAGGGAAGCCCAUAGCUGCCACGCGCCCAGACGGGGUCCCUCCCGGGCGUGUGGGGUUUCGGGUCUACAAAAGAGCCCGCCGGAUUAUCUUGCGUACCACGCUUUCGGCGGGUCUCCUUUGAAGUGAGCUGCGGUGCAUCACCCCCGGCGUCGAGGGUACAUGGUGACGUGUUUGUGUGCGAACAGUAUGCUACUAUAAUACCACGGUUGAAACGUUUGUUCCAAAACAAAGAGCAUGCCAAGUCGAUGCGAUGGCACAGAGAAGACCGUAAGAGAGACGGGAAGUUGAGAGUACCCGCUGAUGGGUCGAAGUGGAGAAAAUUGAGAGAAAGUACCUGGGAGGACUUUGCAGAUGACGCAAGGAACGUGUGGUUUGGUCUAAGCGUAGAUGGCAUUAAUCCUUUUGGGGAGCAGAGCGGCAACCAUAGCACCUGGCCUGUGACUCUAUGUAUGUAUAACCUUCCUCCUUGGUUGUUCAUGAAGUGGAAGUUCAUUAUGAUGCCAGUGCUCAUCCAAGGCCCUAAGCAACCCGGCAAGGACAUUGAUGUGUACCUAAGGCCAUUAGUUGAAGAACUCUUACAGCUGUGGAAUAGAAAAGGUGUACGGGAUGAGCACAAACAGGAAAAAUUUGACCUACAUGCGUUGCUAUUUGGAACCAUCAAUGAUUGGCCUGCUCUCAGUCAGGACAGACAAACAAGGGAUACCGCACAUGCAUGCACUGUGAUACUGACAUUGUAUAUUUGGAUAAUUGAAACAAGAAUGUGUACCUGGGACAUCAUCGAUUUCUUCCAAGCAGCCAUCUCGUAAGAAAGAAAGGCAAGCAUUUCAAAGGUGAGGCAGAUCACCGGACGAAGCCUCGCUACCGUACCGGUGAUGAUGUACAUGAUAUGGUCAAGGAUUUGAAGGAUCUUUGAAAAGGGUCCUGGCGGACAAUCUGUUUCGAAAGACACUGAUGGACGCGCACCCAUGUGGAAGAAGAAAUCUAUAUUUUGGGACCUGCCCUAUUGGGAAGACCUAGAGGUCCGCUCCGCAAUCAACGUGAUGCAUGUGGCAAAGAAUAUUUGCGUGACCCUCCUUGGCUUCUUGGGAAAGUAUGGGAAGACAAAAGAUACACCAGAGGCAUGGGAGGACCAGCAACGUAUGCACGGAAAGGACGGCGUACAUCAGGGUCAUGCCAGCUAUGCUCUUACUAAAGAAGAGAAUGAAAUCUUCUUUGAAUGCCGUAUGAAGGUACCGUCUGCCUUCUCAUCGAAUAAAAAAGGGAAUAAUGAAUAUGGCAGAGAAAAAGUUUCAGAACCUAAAGUCUCAUGACUGCCACAUGAUUAUGACGCAGCUGCUUCCGGUUGCAUUGAGGGGGCUUCUAUCAGAAAACGUUCGAUUAGCCAUUGUAAAGCUAUGUGCAUUCCUCAAUGCAAUCUCUCAGAAGGUAAUUGAUCCAGAAAUCAUACCAAGGUAGGAGAAUGAUUUGGUGCAAUGUCUUGUCAGUUUCGAGUUGGUUUUCCCACCAUCCUUCUUCAAUAUCAUGAUGCACGUCCUAGUUCACCUGUGCGAAGAGUUUGCCGUUCUAGGUCCUGUAUUUCUACACAAUAUGUUCCCCUUUGAGAGGUUCAUGGGAGUCUUAAAGAAAUAUGUUCAUAACUGUGCUAGGCCAGAAGGAAGCAUCUUCAAGGGCCAUGAAAAUGAGGUCAUUGAGUUUUUUGUUGACUUUAUUCCUAAUCUUAAGCCGAUUGGUGUUCCUGAAUCGCGGUAUAAGGGCAGACUGGAUGGAAAUGGCAGGCUAGGACCGGAUCAAAUAAUAUGUAUGGACGACCAUUCUCUCACUGAAGCACACUACACACUUCUAAGAAAUUCCUCCUUGGUGGCUCCGUAUAUGGAGGAACACAAGAAUAUUGUAAGCUCCAAAUACCCGGAGCAAGUUGGAAAUAAAAUGGUGGAUAAUCCAGAUAACCAAAUUCCCCUCCCCCACCCCAGAUAGGGCUAGAUUUGGGUGAACCUGGAUCAUCUAUGGUUGAAUAUUGAGGAGCUCUCUAGACGCCCCUUUGUCUGAACACGCUCGGACCCACGUGGGAGAAUUGAGCUUCAACCAUAGAGACUAGCUUAAUUAUUUGUUUGCUGCAUUUAUAUGAUUUGUAGCCCAUAGCAAUGCACGAGCAUUCUACUAGUAAUGAAAGGAUCCAAGAGAAAUGAUUUAGUCAAUGGUACUAUGAGGACAUGCUUAUCCACAUUUCACUCACUUAUAUAUGGUACCCAAUGUGCCAACCUUGCAUGGAGUUGCUUGUCCAUUGGUUUGAUGAAAUCAAUGGCACUACCAAGCAUAUUUUGUUGUUUAUUUUUUCUGUGUGUAUUUGACUUCAUAAGAAAUGAAAAUACCUUUGUUUUGUUCUUCUUGAUGCUAAUUGAUGAACUAACUUUUGCACAACUUAUGACCAUAUAUAUUUUACUGAGUGCUAGAUUAUAAUUUUCCAUUUAACCUUUUUGUUUGUGAUGUUUAGUUGCACUUAAUAAGAAUAUGGAAACAAAUUAUUUAAUCAUUCAAUUCACCAGGGUUGAUGAAUAGGCUCGACUGCGGGACUUUCCCUAGACACAAGCUUUUGUGUGUGUCGCCGUGUUUUCAUACUCAGGUAGCCACAACUUUUUCCAUAGACUCACCUGAAGAACUAAUUUCGUCCAUAUGUUUUCUAUUAUGAUAUUUGAAGAUUGCUAAUUAUCAUGCUAGGAAGUGUGAAUGUCUUCCCUUUUAGAAAAGUAGGCACAUAAAUGGCCGUAGAUGAGGGGUGCCAACUUCUAGGGAAGUGAUUUUGGGAAGAAAUGAAUUCCGUGCUAACCAUGUUGUGUGUAUGCAGGCAAAGAGGCUGAUCGAUCUGACACUAAUGACUAUCCCGGGGGACAUGGGAAGAGAUGAUCACUGAGGAUGACGUUGCUACAAAAGAGGAAUUAAGAGAAUUUUCCCUUCUUUUGUGGAUUGUGGUGUAAGUACGAAACUAUACAUUUUACUAUAUCGUACUGGAACUUAUUUUGACUUGCAAUGUGUUUCACUGAAUAUUUCAUCAAUGUUGUUAGUUGGAAUCAGGGAAGUUCCAAGGACAACAAACAAACCCUUAUCCUGUAAAGAACAUUUUGUUGACACUGUGCUGACCAUAUGAAUAGUUUAGAGAGUUGUAUCAUUAACAGAGAUCAUCCAGAUGUUUCUCAGGAAAUCAGCUAGUGUAGUGUUGUAGUGGAAGAUAAUAAAAGCCUACCUAUAUAAUUGUUAGGUUGAAAUUGUUGCUCCAUGUGGGCUAUUUUUUUUUUGUUGCGGGAAAACUUCCGAUCUAUUGAUCUUAAAUCAUGGUAGUACAACGAACACCAGAAAUAAUAAUAAAUACGGCCAGAUUGGUAGACGACCUUGCGGGAACUACAACCAAUGAAGCGAGCCGAAGGCGCACCACUGUCAUUGACCCUCCUUUGGCGGAGCCGGGAAAACUUGCUGAAAUAAACAGUCAAGAAGUCAUUGUUUAAAGUCCCCAUAGGACAAGCGCACCAGAAAAAAAGACCACCAAUGAAAAUAUGCGUAGACUGAAAGGAUCCAACAUGAAGACAAAAUGAAUAAAGACCAAAUUCAAAUUUUCUUUUUAGAAAAGGAGGAGGACCCCCGGCCUCUGCAUCUGGGCGAUGCAUACGACCACUUUAUUAAUUAUUCUCACAAGACCUUAUAAAAUCAUACAAUAGUAAGAUUAAAGCCACCGUCUAAGCAACAACUGACGCUACUCCUAUUCAAUUGAUGAAGGGGCGCUGAUAGUCUGGGCCUAAUACCAAACAGACUCGCAGCCAAACCUAAACAUGUAAGGCCUGAGGUCCCAACCAGGACGCCUGCCGGGUAUGGCGCACCUACCAGUCCGUUGCACUCCUCAACCAGGCCACCUGCCGGGUAUGAGGUCGCCGCAGCCACCUGCCAUCAAUCCAUCUUCAGUGAUGUACUGCUGCACCACCUUGCCCGGCCUCUCUGCCAUCGACGCCACCACGACGCUUGAUAACGUCACCCUCCUGCGCGAGUCCCUCGCCACACAUCGGGCGACGAGUCUCCACUGCGCCACGCCGCCGAGAAAUGCUACCAUUAAUGUGCAGGAUGAAUCACCGCUCCACCAAUUAUUCCGCCCACUGGUCCUUCGAGCCCGUGUACACCUCCCAGAAUGACGCCACAAGAGGAAAACGACACAAUAAUGCUGCCGUCAUCUGAUCUCCUGAUCUAGGGUUUCCCCCGGAGGUAGCAGAUAGUGGCCUGAAACUUCUCAAUAGCGAUGCCUUCAACAAGGGAACGACGCCGAAUAGUGCCGCCAUCGCCGGCCUCGGCAGCAGCUGCGAGCAGGUGUUCACCCAGAUCUGUUCCAAUGGCCUCCAUCAAGCAUCUUGUGCACGGAUCCUCCACCACCGCGGCCGCCGCAUCACCCGUCGCGAGUCCACAACAGCCGACACAUCCUCCACCGUCCGGGGCCGCCGCCCCGGGAUCCAGCCCUCGCUGGCCGCCGGAACGAAGCCACCGUGCCCCAUCGAGGGCGGCCAACGGGGGUGGAGAAGCUAGAUCCGGCCAAGCCCGGCCAGGAUCCGGCCUCUCCACGCGCCGAAGCCGAGGUUGCGGGUGCAGGGCCAGAUCCAAGACGGAUCCGCGCCUGCGCCGCCGCCCGUUCUCGUCCAGCUGCCCGAGUGAGAUGAUGUUGGCCCGUAGCUUGGGGAUGAAGUAGACGUCCGCGAGCAUCCGCUCAUUGCCGUUGGCGCACUGGAAAAUGACACAGCCCUUUCCGCAGAUCGUGACGAGGGAGCCAUCGUCGAAGCGCACGGAGCCAUGCACCAUCUCGUCGAGGUUGAUGAAAGCAUCACGCGCACCUGUCAUGUGUCUGCUGGCACCGGUGUCCAUGUACCAGGAACCACGCGCUCCGGUGGUCUCUGGCACGACGGGCUCUUCAUUGAGGAAGACCGCCUGGGUGCGCACAGGUACCAGCUGCACCUCGCUCGCCGUGCUCGUGGCCUGGACUGGGUGGUCGCCCUCCUCGACGGCAACCAUUAGAAGCGCUGGUGGCUGCAUGUCCGCCUCGGCGAGGUUCGUCGCCCCGCCUUGGUUCUGGCGAUCGCGCUCCGCCUACGACACUCCCUAGCCCAGUGGCCAGGAAUGUUAUAGUAGCGGCAUUUUCCCUUUCGCUUCAUGUUGGCGGGCUUCUUGACACCAUCGACGUGCCCACUGGCCCGCUUGCCGCCUUGCGGUCAUGUGCCGGAGUGUCCCUUGCCGUCCUUGGUGCCCGAGGAGGAGCCCUGGCCUUGAUGUUGCAGGCGCGCGUACAACUCCCUCUCAGUGAGGGGCAAUUCGCCAACACCAUGGUCGACAUCGUCAAGAGCGUAGCUCUCCUCAAAGGACCGCAGGCGCCCGCACAUCGAUCGAGAGCGACCGCAGGUCGACGAAGGAUUGGAUGGCCAUGGCCAUCUGCCUGAACUUGCGUGGCACCGCGCAGAGAAACUUUAGCACGGCGCGGUACUCCGUCACAGGGUCGUUCAGUAGCUCCAGCUUGUUCACGAUCGCUAUCAGACGAAGAGAGUAAUCUUCAAUCGACUCCCAGUCGCGGAAGCGUAUCUCCUCGAACUCGCGUCGGCGGGUCUGCGCCUUGGCCUCCCGGACGCGCUCGCUGCCCAUGCGCAUCAUCAUCAGCGUCUCCCUCGCCUCCUUAGUUGAGUCCUUGCCGGCGAGGGCGCGGAUCAUCUCCGGAGACACCGUGCGGAGCAACGCGGCCAGCGCAGAAAGAUCGUCACCGUCGCCGUCGCCGUACUCCAUGGCCUCCCACAGGCCCUGAGCCUGCAGUUGCACGCGCAUCACCAUGGCCCAGUCGACGUAGUUGGUGCAAGUGAGUGUCGGAUAUUGGGAAGAGCCUCCGCUCUCCCUCAUCACUCGCUCGUGCACCACCAGUUCGUCGUGCCAUCCGUGACGCCUCGGAGGCGAGUGUGACACCCUGCGAUUAUGCGCAGGUGACCUGGAGCCAAGGCGUUGCGUCCCGUCGCCGGCACAACCAGCGCCUUGCUGCUCGUUGACACCUGCGUCCAGAUGCAUGCCACCGCCGUCGCCCUGCUGCUCGUUGCCGGCAGCGGCUUGCGUUGCGCCGCCACCAUUGCCAUGCAGCGGCCCACGCCCUCCGGCCAUGGAUCUUUGAAGGCUCUGAUGCCAAUUGUUGUUGUGGAAUCCGGCCCAAGCCGAAGAACAACACUAGAGGCGAGGCAAGUUUUGCGUUGCAAACUGUUGCAGCUUUUCUGUUUCUCCUUCCUUUUAUUCAGAGAACAAACAAAUGUGCAGCGAGACUAGCUCAGCUACUAGAUCGUGCCAUCCCACGACCUCGAGCAUGCUCCUGUCACAGCUACUAUCGCGCCAGUGAUCGCACAUCCUGCGUCUUCUGGCGCUUAACAGAAACUAACUGAAAAUGCUAAGCUGAAAACGUGCAAGUGUCUAACUGAACCUACACUACAUUAUUUCUGAAAACUGAAACUAGAGACGGGUGCGGCAGGGUUAGACGAGCUAACAGAAUCUUCCGUGUCAGUACUCAGCUACAGCAGACUCAUUCUUCCUCUUACGAUCAGCAGAUUUAAUGUUGAGUGUCAUCUAUCUAUCUAUCUAUCUAUCUAUCUAGAGAGGGAGAGAGAGAGAGAGAGAGAGAGAGAGUCACUAUUUAAAUGGUUAUAUAUUUAAAUUCAGAGAACCGCAUGGGACACGUGGUUAGCAAAAUCAAAAUUCAUAUAUUUAAAUUCAGAGAGAUGAGAAAGAAAGAGAGGCGUGGAUCUAAUUAUAUUACUCCUAAGUCCUAAGUGCAUAAUGUUUUGUCAAUACCUUAAAUUUGAUUUGAGGGAAAGGAGGUACUAUCACUAAGAAGGGAAGGUAGUUGCCGCCCUUGUCCGUUGUUGCUGGCCUGCCAUGGUGGUGGCUCGCUUAGUACUGAAUUUUGUGAUAAGAGUGAGGGCCGAGAGUGAGAGAGAUGGGGGUUGGAGUUGGCCAGUUUACUUGCGGCUCUGUGCAAAAUAAUUUUCCUACUUUUAAAAAUGUACCAAAUUACAUUUCACUAGAGAUGGCUUUGCAGCAAAUUGCAUGAGCGAGCAGUUCAUAUUUUUUUUCUUCAAGUCAUGCAAAUUUUUGGUUAAGAAAGGAGGGUAAAUGCAUUUAUUUGUUACCUCAAGAGUCAAUAAAACACACGGCGGCGUCUAAGGUGCAUGCCCAACAACGAACAUCUUAUUUUUGUUUCGUGGUAAUGCACAACAUUCAACUUUUUGUUACAACUUGUCAAUGGCUCGGAAGACAUCAGAUCCGUCUUCUUGGCUUGGCGGCGUCACGGGUGGCGCACGCCUCCUAGCCCUUGGUGGCGGUGGUGGAUCGACACGGACAUGGGGGGAGGGGGUCAGGGCCAAGAGCAGAACGAUUAGCGGGAGACUCCUCCUUCGCAGUCCAUGGGGAAGUACAGUGUGAAGAAGAGAGCACGCCAUGGCGAAGGUGAGGUGGGCAUCAUCUAGUUUUAAAGGAGAGGGCUCCAGGGAGUAAUGUCCAGUCUUAGCGGAAAACCGAGCGGUGAGGGGAAGGUUCAACAAGAAAAGGGAAGUGUCUAUCAUGGGGUGGAGUCUUUUCUGUUCGGACCGCAUGUUGGAAAUAAAAUGGUGGAUAAUCCAGAUAACCACAUUCCCCUCCCCCCCUCCCACCAGAUAGGGCUAGAUUUGGGUGAACCUGGAUCAUCUACGGUUGAAUAUCGAGGAGCCCGCUAGACGCCCCUUUGUCCGAACACGCUCGGACGCACGUGGGAGAAUUGAGCUUCAACCAUAGAGACUAGCUUAAUUAUUUGUUUGCUCCAUUUAUAUGAUUUGUAGCCCAUAGCAGCGCACGUGCAUUCUACUAGUAAUGAUAGGAUCCAAGAGAAAUGAUUUAGUCAAUGGUACUGUGAGGACAUGCUUAUCCACAUUUCACUCACUUAUAUAUGGUACCCAAUGUGCCAACCUUGCAUGGAAUUGCUUGUCCAUUGGUUUCAUGAAAUCAAUGGCACUACCAAGCAUAUUUUGUUGUUUAUUUUUUCUGUGUGUAUUUGACUUCAUCAGAAAUGAAAAUACCUUUGUUUUGUUCUUCUUGAUGCUAAUCGAUGAACUAACUUUUGCACAGCUGAUGACCAUAUAUAUUUUACUGAGUGCUAGAUUAUAAUCUUCCAUUUAACCUUUUUGUUUGUGAUGUUUAGUUGCACUUAAUAAGAAUAUGGACACAAAUUAUUUAAUCAUUCAAUUCACCAGGGUUGAUGAAUAGGCUCGACUGCGGGACUUUCCCUAGACACAAGCUGUUGUGGGUGUCGCCGUGUUUUCAUACUCAGGUAGCCACAACUUUUUCCAUAGACUCACCUGAAGAACUAAUUUCCUCCAUAUGUUUUCUAUUAUGAUAUUUGAAGAUUGCUAAUUAUCAUGCUAGGAAGUGUGAAUGUCUUCCCUUUUAGAAAAAUAGGCACACAAAUGGCCGCAGAUGAGGGGUGCCAACUUCUAGGGAAGUGAUUCUGGGAAGAAAUGAAUUCCGUGCCAACCAUGUUCUGUGUAUGCAGGCGAAGAGGCUGAUCGAUCUAACACUGAAGACUAUCCCGGGGGACAUGGGAAGAGAUGAUCACUGAGGAUGGCGUUGCUACAGAAGAGGAAUUCAGAGAAUUUUCCCUUCUUUUGUGGAUUAUGGUGUAAGCACGAAACUAUACAUUUUACUAUAUCAUACUGGAACUUAUUUUGACUUGCAAUGUGUUUCACUGAAUAUUUCAUCAAUGUUGUUAGUUGGAAACAGGGAAGUUCCAAGAACAACAAACAAACCCUUAUCCUGUAAAGAACAUUUUGUUGAGACUGUGCUGACCAUAUGAAUAGUUUAGAGAGUUGUAUCAUUAACAGAGAUCAUCCAGAUGUUUCUCAGGAAAGCAGCUAGUGUAGUGCAGUAGUAGAAGAUAAUAAAAGCCCACCUAUAUAAUUGUUAGGUUGAAAUUGUUGCUCCAUGUGGGCUGUUUUUCUUUGUUGCGGGAAAACUUCCGAUCUAUUGAUCUUCAAUCAUUAGUACAACGAACACCAGAAAUAAUAAAAAAUACGGCCAGAUUUGUAGACGACCUUGCGAGAACUACAACCUAUGAAGCGAGCCGAAGGCGCACCAGUGUCAUUGACCCUCCUUUGGCGGAGCCGGGAAAACUUGAUGAAAUAAACAAUCAAGAAGUCAUCGUUUAAAGUCCCCAUAGGACAAGCGCACCAGAAAAAAAGAACCACCGAUGAAAAUAUGCGUAGACUGGAAGGAUCCAAUAUGAAGACAAAAUGAAUAAAGAUCGAAUCCAAAUUUUUAGUUUUUAGAGAAGGAGGAGGACCCCGGGCUCUGCAUCUGGACGAUGCAUACGACCACUUUAUUAAUUAUUCUCACAAGACCUUACAAAGUCAUACAACAGUAACACUAAAGCCACCGUCUAAGCAACAACUGUCGCUACUACUAUUCAAUUGAUGAAGGGGCGUUGAUAGUCUAGGGCUAAUACCAAACAGAUAUCGCAGCCAAACCUAAACAUCUAAGACCUGAGGUCCCAACCAGGACGCCUACCAGGUAUGGGGCACCUACCAGUCCGGCGCACUCCUCAACUAGGCCACCUGUCGGGUAUGAGGUCGCCGCAACCACCUGCCACCAAUCCAUCUUCAGUGAUGUACUGCUACACCACCUUGCCCGACCUCUCUGCCGUCGACACCACCACGAUGCCUGAUAACGUCACCCUCCUGCGCGAAUCCCUCGCCACACAUCGGGCGCCGAUUCUCCACUGCGACAUGCCGCCGAGAAGCGCCACCAUUAAUGUGCAGGAUGAAUCACCGCUCCACCAAUUAUCCGCCUACUAGAAAAAGGCCAACUAAUGGCGCAUCGGUUUUGCCUACUAAUGGCGCACUACAGGUGCGCCAUUACUAGCACGCCAUUAGUAUUUUUUACUGAUGGCGCACCACUGGUCGCCAUUAGUAUCUGGUAUACUAAUGGCGCACCAUGUAGUGCGCCAUUAGUAUAGCCCACUGUGCGCCAUUAGUAUCUGGUAUACUAAUCGCGCACCACAUAGAAGUGCGCCAUUAGUAUCUGGUAUACUAAUGGCGCACCACAUAGAAGUGCGCCGUUAGUAACAUUUUUUUUCCAAAUUUUUUUUCGAAUCUUUUUCAGAAAUUAUUUUUUUUAAAAAAAUCAAAUUUUUUUUAAUUUUUUCUUAAUCUCAGUUCACUAUGGUUUAAUUUCGGGUCAAUAUGCUUAAUCUCAAGUCAAAUCGCACUCCGUGGUCAAACUUCCUGAAAGGUCACCCAUCCUCACACUACUCCAGCCCAAGCACGCUUAACUUCAGAGUUCUAUCCAACCCCAGCAACAGCUCACUUCACAGGCAGUUGUUGAUAUAUCUAGCAUAUCAAUCCUGUUAUACCUUGUUGAUGUCUAGGACUUUGUUCAUGUUCAUGAGUGUGAUGAAAUUUUGAAAAAUAUAUCAAACUUCCCGAUCAUAUUACGUAUCAUUUUUUUGAAAAAAAUUCAAAAAAAAAGAAAUUCAAAACCAAUUUUUUUUCUGUUACUAGUAGCGCACCACAUCCACGCUGUGCCACUAGUAAAUUUGAAAUUUUUUAAAUUUUUUUGCCGCUAGAUCUUGAAAGCCCCGUAACUUUUUUUCUGUUAGGUUUUUGGGGAUUUUGAAAAGGAGCAUAGAUGCUUAUUUUUAAUGACUUAUUACAACUCAGAAAUAAAAAGAAGAAAAAAUAGUUGUGAUUAACUUUACUAAAAUAUGAGCAUAGAUGCUUAUUUUUAAUGACUUAUUACAAUUCAAAAAUAAAUAGAAGAAAAAAUAGUUAUGAUUAACUUUACUAAAAAAUGAGCAUAGAUGCUUAUUUUUAAUGACUUAUUACAACUCAGAAAUAAAAAGAAAAAAAUAAAUAUAGCAGAAAAGAAAAAAACUAUAUAAAAAGCUACUCAGAAAUGAGUAUAGAUGCGCUUAUAGAGGAAAUUUAAAUUAAAUUCAUAACACAUUUCAAGAGAAAUUCGUAUGAAUUUAGCCUAAAUUCCCUAUAUAAGGGCAUCUAUUUUCAUUUUCAGAGGAGCUCAAUAAGGCAGAGAGGGAGGGGCUUAUAAACCGGUCUGAUUCCCCUCCGGUUGGUGAGGUGGGACUAAACUUUGGCCGCAACGAGGACCAGCCCUUUAGUCCGAUUGGUGGAAUGGACCGGGACUAAUGGUCGUCCUUUGGUCCCGGUUCAGGCCACCAACCGGGACCAAUGGUGGUGGGCCAGGAGCGAGGGCCAUUGGUCCCGGUUCGUCCCACCAACCGGGACCAAUAGGUCCAGACGAACCGGGACCAAUGGCCCACAUGGCCCGGCCGGCCCCUGGGGCUCACGAACCGGGUCCAAUGCCCCCAUUGGUCCCGGUUCUGGAUUGAACCGGGACUAAUGGGCUGGACCGGCCUGGACCAUUGGCCCCUUUUCUACUAGUGUAAACAAGUCAUUUUAACAAAGGACAACUUGGUUAAGCGCAAUUGGACAGGCUCUACUAGGUGUAGCUUCUGUCAUCGGGACGAGACCAUUAAGCACCUCUUCUUCGAGUGCCCGUUGGCGAGAGUCUUGUGGCGCACGGUGCAAAUUGCCUUUAACAUUACUCCCCCGGACUCGGUAGGUUCGUUGUUUGAAACGUGGUUUGCUGGGAUAGAGUCCGAUACCGCUGGACACAUUCGUGUUGUUGUAUGUGCGUUGUUAUGGGCAAUUUGGAACUGCGGGAAUGAUUUGGCUUUUAACAGAACAACAACUAUUCAUUUUUUGCAGGUUUUAUUCCGCGCUACGGUGCUGAUCCAUUUGUGGUCCUUACUCACUCCGAUGGCGGCCAAGGAGCGUUUGGUUACUGGCUCUGUCCGGUGGGAGAUGGUUGCGCGGGAUAUCUUCAACCGGUUUGGAUGGCGGUCAUGUAAUAGGAUAGGCGAUUGGUUUUCCUAUCUUUAUUCUGCCAGCCCGUUGUGGCUCUGUGGCUUUUUAUCUGUUCGUGUUGAGGCUCUGUGUGAGCUUCCCUUUAUUUUCAUUUCCAGACUUUGAGAUAUUGUUGAACCUAUUUAUUUAUAAUUAUGGCUGUAUGCAUCGUUUUGAUGUAGAGGCCGAGGAGGCCCCCCUUUUCUAAUAAAAAAUGGCUAUAUUUGUUUUCUGCACUAUUAUUCAUGAUAAGAAGCAAAGAUACGUCUCUAUUAUUGAAGCAAAAUAUAUGCUGGAGAGACUGAGAAAUGGUUGAUGUACGUGGGAAUACAAAACCAACAGCCAUUAGCCGACGUGUUUAAGUUUUAUGGGUUUAUGUACGUAACUAUAGGUACAAGAAGCAGAACGGAACUUGUUUGAUCAAUUUCUUUGCAACAGAUUUAGUGUUAGAGACAGCUGCAUACAUACUCCCUCCGUCCCAAAAUUCUUGUCUUAGAUUUAUCUAAAUAUGAAUGUAUCAAGUCACAUUUUAGUAUUAGAUACAUCGUAUCUAGACAAAUAUAAGACAAAAAGUUUGGGAUGGAGGGAGUAAUAUAAUCUAUCAAUGACUCUUAUAACUUGGAAUUUUAGGAAGUGGUACACAUACACGGAGGUAAAAUGAAGAUUUCAUUUGCCAUAAGUCAUAACGUACCUAACAUUUUUUAUCUCAUUUCCUAGUAGUAGAACUCGCAUCACUGUAGAAGCUGAUGGUAUGCGUAUGAACAAUGAGAGACCUAUGGUAGUAGGUUUGAAUGUUUGGCAGUAUGAACAGUGCAACAAAUAAGGAAAACUUGUCAAUGAGCCAUUGUUUCUAGUUCAUGUGGAAUGGUUCAGUCAAGUAUUUCUCGGAACAUUCUUCACCAAUCUCGCAUGGCUCUGCAAAAAUAAUGUAAAUAUCAAAUAUAGAUAUUCUGAAACUGGGAUUUAUCCAAACACUUCCUAACAAAAGCAAUAGGGAAAAUCUGGAAGCAAGGGGCCCAAGAACGGACUGCUGGAGGAAAAUAUAAAAUAGCACAGCUGCACCAGGGCCCUCUCUAUCUAGCCAUCCAUUUUACGCAUCGCGAUUCGUGCAAACACAUUUCUCUUUUUUGUUUCUCUCACAUAAAAGAUGUCUUGAAGUUCAAACCUUUGCAGCGGCAAAGCUUUCCAUCUAGAAUCUAGGAUAAAUCUUUCAGAUUUUUUUGUCAAAUAUAAAUAUACAAAAAAUGAUUUUUUAAUCUAAAAAGUCAUUUUUUGUAUAUUUAUAUUUGAUAAAAAAAUCUGAAAGAUUUAUCCUAGAUUCUAGAUGGAAAGCUUUGCCACGCUGCAAAGGUUUGAACUUUAAGACAUCUUUUAUGCGAGAGAAACAAAAAAGAGAAAUUUUCAUACGAAAAGUUAGUUGUGUUGCACAGAUCUUAAAGCAAGAUUGGACAUCCAGGAUACAAGGGCCGGGGUGCAGCUGUUCUAAAAAUCCACAUCCGACUGCUGGAGCAGACGAUCUCAUUAGCACGACUGACAUAAGCGGAAGAAUAUUUAAUAGAAGAUAUUUGUACAGACGAACUGGAAAUAAUAAAAGGGACAAUCCAAAUGCAGGUUUACGAAAACUCGUAUCAGGAUCAUAAUGUCGUCUAAGAGACAAAACAAUAGGUGGAUGAAGAGAUCAACUUGUAAGGCAUAGAAUGAUAGAAACAUACUUGAACGAACGAAGCGGGCGAGAGGAGCAUAGCGGAAGCGGAGAUACAAAGGCAAUAGUGCCCGCUGCCGGCGCUGAGCCGAAUUGCGGCAUCUCCACGCAUUGCGGGGUACUGGGGAGUCGCGUCGGCAUAGAUUUGUUUCUCUUUCGAAGUUGGAGUACGCAAGGAAGCUACGUGGGCUUUUGGUCGCUGAUCGGCCCGUGAAACGAGGUGGUCCCUAGCUCGGUUUGCGGAGCAGCGGCCCAACUACAUGUGUGUUGAAUGGAUCGUGACAUGGUGAAAAGCUGUAUCGAUCUGGUUUAUUACUGGGUUGAUCCGACGGCUGACGGUGUCAAAACGCUGUGGUGGCACGUAGAUGGCUGAGUUAUACUGUUAAGUAAUGUGAUCUUUGGAGUUUCUACAUGCCGUUAUUGGGUAUUUUUCCUCUGGGGCGACGAUUUGUUUCUUGGAUCGGGGCCACCAGUGUCUGUGGUCUGCAUGGAGGGCUUUCGGCCGUUGCUUCUACAAACUCCUAGGUUUCAAAAACUUGUUCUGCCGUGGGGGAGGUCUAGAGGCGGCAUCGAGCUAUGCUCACGGCGCACCACCGAUGGAUGCGGGUGGUAGAAUAUUUCGGCACCCAAAUAUUCUGAAUAAAUAUCUAUUUUUUUGGAAGGGUGUAUUUGUAAGGACUUGUGAUAACUGAUAUAUGUAUGACUUUAGACGUUUUCGCAAAGGGUGUGACUUAGUCUCAGUCUAAGACUUAACCAAGUCUCAGUAAGUGACAUAGUAUAAGAAGAAAACAGAAAAGACUGAAAAUAAAAAAAUUGUAUAAAUCCCCAUGCAAAAUCAAAGAAAUAUAGAAUCGACUGAAACGUAACGAAGUCUCAGUAGUCUCAGUCGACUAAGACUUAGCAAAACUGUUUCGUGGACAUAAAAUACAUAGUGCUCACUACUUUCAAUACAGACAAUAUUUGGAUGUAUAUAGACGUAUUUUAAAGUGUAGAUUCACUCAUUUUGAUGUAGUCCAUACUGGAACGUCUAAGAUGACUUAUAUUUAAGAAUGGAGAGAGUACUAAACCAGAAUUCAUGCAUGCGUUAUUAUACAGUCACGUACAUGCAUGCAUAUAUAGGCUCCGGCGCGCGCUCGUCCAACACCUUGCUGAGCUCCCCGGCAUCGUACAUGCAUACAUUGACGAGGCCGACAAGGUCUCCCAAAAAGCAAACCCUCCUCGAACUUGCUGAAUCGUCGGGGUGCGCCUGCUCUGGCUUCCCACUCAACACUAUCACGAGCCACGUGCAGGAUACCGCUAUGUGCACGUUUUGGUUUUUUUAGGAAGACCAUCAUGACAAUUUUAUUGAAUUAAACAGGGAUAACAUCGUUCACCCGUUUUGAGACUAAUAAGCCAGGAGGCUCGUUCGUCCAACUACUAGUAAUCUUAUUACAAUAAGAGUAGUUAGCUAGCACAUGCACCGCUUCGUUACAAUCACGAUAACAAUGUUUAAAGACGACCUUCCCAAUAGAAGAAGAAAUAUCAACACAUUAUGCGAACAUUGCUGAAUUUGCAUCCCAUUUUGUGUGUCCCACACACGCAUCAACGACAAUCAUAGAGUCCGAUUCCGCUUCCACCCGCGGCAUGCCUAAGGAAUUAGCAAGCGCCAGUCCAUCUCACAUUGCCAUUGCCUCCACAUUAACCACAUCUGCUGCAUAUGAAAUGAAUUUGCAUUGUGCAGCUAGAAAAUUUCCUUUAGCAUCCCGAAUCAUUGCCGCUGUUGCCCCUUCUCCAACAUCAGGAUGGAAUUAGGCGUCAACGUUGAGCUUGACAUACUUUGGGUCCGAUUUUUUUCCAUCAUUGUAGUACUACCACACUCUUGGAAUUAGCAACAUGAUAAUUAUUAGCAAUUGCCAGAACAGACCACCUCAUGGGAGUAGGAGUAGUCUCAUCAAGCGUGUGUUGUCUUCGGAUCCACCAAAGAUACUAACCACCCAUUGCUAUGAUUUGUUUAACAUCCAGAUUCGGUUUAAUGAGAGCUGGACUAUCUGGUGCAAGAAGGAUAUGUUCCAAAAUGACCGAUCCUGACCGGUCUACUCUCCUUGCCUCGUCCACUCUGUCCAGAACACCCAGCCGACUCCAUAAAUCCCUUGCAUGAGUGCACUCAAACAGCAGAUGCCGCACAUCCUCUACACCCUGAUGACAGAUCGGGCAUGCUCCCAUCGAACCCACAUGCCAGUUAUGGAUUAUGGAUUUUAGAGGCAUAGUUCCAUGUAACGCACGCCAGUAGAAAAUUUGUAUUUUCCGUGGGAUGUUCAGCUUCCACAAUGCACUCCACACCGCGUGAGAACAGGACCCGCUCGGCCUCUCCAGCACAUUUGCAUUGCGCUGAAAAGUUUGAGUCCAUUGCACCCGGUAUGAUGGUCUGACUGAGAAUAUACCCUUCCGGUCAGGAUGCCAAUCGAUAAAAUCAUCAAAAGCGCCAUAGCUCAAUGGAAUCUGAAGUAUUCUCCUUGUAUCAACUGGGUUAAAGAUGGAGCUAAUCAGAUCUUCAUCCCAUGUGUUUCCAUUAGGAUCGGUGAGUUCAUCAACUGUAGCUAGGAUUGUGUGUCCCCUUGCUGUAAUGACCUUCCAAUCCGGACUUAAUGGAAUCCAGGGAUCUCUCCAUAUAUGAACAUUUUCUCCUGUAUCAAUCCUCCAUACGUACCCCAACUUGAAGGUUUCUAGUCCCUUUAUAAUACUUUGCCAUGUAAAGUAAGAACCAUUAUUAAGGGUUCCUUGUAAAAGGCUGUUGUUAGGGACGUACUUCGCUUUUAGAAUUCUAGCACAUAAUAAGUCGGGGUUUGUAAUAAUCCUCCAGCACUGCUUUGAUAACAAUGCUAAGUUGAUGGAAUAUAAAUCUCUGAAGCCCAUUCUUCCCUCGGCUUUAGGAUAGCAGAGUUUCCACCAAGAGUACCAAUGCAUCCUAUUAUAUUCCUCAUCAUCACCCGACCGGAACUGGGAAAUUAAAUCAGUUAUUUCCUUAGAAAUUCCUUUAGGGAUGCUGAACACAGACAUGGCAAACACAGGGAUCGCUUGUGCAACUGAUUUUAGUAAAAUCUCCUUACCACCAGUAGACAGUUGUUUCUCCAUCCAUCACAUUAAUCUUUCUUUAAUCCUCUCAAUAAAGUGCCUGAAACAGUCACUUCUAUCAGCCCCUACCAAUGCUGGAAGGCCCAGAUAUUUAUCAGACAAUGCUUCAGUGUUAAUAUGUAGUUGUUCACACACUUCAGUUCUGGAUACAGCAGGAGUAUUUGGACUAAAGAACACACUAGAUUUGGACAGACUCACCAAUUGCCCUGAACUCUGAUGGUAGGUCUCUAAAACAUGUUGUAAGGAAGCUGUAUUAAAAGCAUUUGCUUCCGUGGUAUGAGGGGUUUGUGGAUUGGAACGCCGACUAUAGAAGCCGUCCGAGAAAGAAGAUGGAGGAGGAGAAGAAGAGGAAGCUGCAGGUGGAGCAGAGGAAGCAGGAAGCAGAACGCCUUAAAGGGCUAGAAUCAGCACACGCGGAGUUGGCACUCCAAUUCCAGCGGCAGCAGCAGUAGAUCGACUCACUUAGCCAGGAAAGGGGGUCUCUGCAGCGGCAGAAGCUAGCGGAUCCAGCAUUGGAUAGCACUGUCCCAUCCAUGCCGAGAAGCAGCAUGGGUUCCGCACCGGGCGAUGAGGCACUACUGCUGGAUAGAUACCCUGUGGAUGACAUCAUGGAUAACACUAAUUGUGAGCUACACUACAAAAUGAAGAACAUAUCCAUCAAGGUGAUGGAUGGCGUUGCUUAUACAAAUCCCCCUAAAGCAACCUUCCAUUGCAAUCCACUAGUAGAAAAAGGACCUAAUAUGAGACACAUUAGUGCCGGUUUGGUUUUGAGCCGGCACUAAUGUGUCCAUUAGUGCCGGUUCCAACGGCUAGCCGGCCGUUCUCAUUAGUACCGGUUCGUGGCGAACCUAUAGUAUCGGUUCGUGCCACGAACCGGUACUAAAGAGGGUGGUGGCAGGGUGUUGUCAGUCUGGGGCCCGUCCAGCACCUUUAGUACCGGUUCAUGGCACGAACCGGUACUAAAGGUCAACGUACAUAAACCCUUCGUCCCCCCGAGCCACUCUGUUCUUCCCCUUUCCCCUCACUUCCUCUGUUCUUCCCCCUCUCUCCUCUAGCUCCUCACAAAUUUUGCCCAAAAUUUGUCAAGAUUUGAAGGCCCCCAUCCAUUCAAAUGAUCACAAAGGUUAGGAACUUUGUCCUUUCAACUCUCACUACUAGAUUAGCUCUUGCAAUGCUUUGUAUAGUGAUUAAUUUGGGAGGAAUAAUUAUAUUUGCUAGUAUUUGAUUUAUAUGCAAUUUGAGCACAAAAAUAACAAUUAGUUUGCAUAUGUAGGUGUGGUUUACUUAGUGCCUUCUAAAUCUCCGUCGUAACCACAGUCGAUCGCCCGCACCGUCCCGUCGCCGGCACCACCUUCUGGUGAGGCUCUUGUUCAUGAAUGUUUUACAUUACCAAAUUGAUGUUUAUGUGAUUUGGAUAUAUAGUUACUCGUAUAAUUAUCUUACCCGUACGUUGUUUGUUAUACAUAGUGCCAUGGUUUUGAUAUCCGUCCCUGUCGGCCCUCGUCCUUGUUAUGAUUCGGAUGUGGUAUAUUCUAUUUUAAAACUAGUUGUUGCAUUUCGUGUUUAUGACAAAUUAUGCCCAUCAAGUUGACAUAGAUAUUUUUAUCUAGGAGGUAUGUGAACCGGAAAUUCCAACCGACCCUAUUGUCGAGAGGUUAAAUUUAGUUGAAAGAGAAAACUAGUAUUUGAAAGAUAAAUUGAAAAGAAUUGAGGGGGAGAAGAUGGAAUUGGAGUUGCAUGUUGCCGAUGUCGUCGAUGAUCACAAGAUCAAGAUGGAGAAAAUGAGGUUGAAGAUUAGAAAGAUUAGAAAAUAUGCCAUUGAUAGUGUGGCUUGGUUUGGUAUCAUUAUGCUGUUGGAUCAAUUGUUACCUUAAUUGCGAUCUUCAUCGCAUUUGUUGUUGCAUUUAAAUUCUUUAUCUAGACAGUUAUUUGUAUGUUGCAUUUAAUUAAGUGUUGUAUAUGAACUUUAUGUAUGAACUUUAUGUAUGAACUUGUAUUAAUUUGGUCUAUUCGGUGUUGUGUAAUGAAGAUGAGCCGACAAUGGAUGUAUGAUGACAGAUGCUCUCUCGAGUUCAUUUAUGGCGUGCAUACUUUUCUGCUUGCCGCCGAGGCAAACAAGCGGGCGGAUGGUUUUAUGCCUUGUCCAUGUGCUGGCUGUAAGAAUGGUCACAGUUACUCUACGUCAAGAACCAUUCACGUCCACCUAUUUGAGUCCGGUUUCAUGCCCCACUAUAAUGUUUGGACCAAGCACGGAGAAAUAGGGGUUAUGAUGGAAGACAAUGAAGAAGAAGAGGACGACGACGGCUAUCCUGGCCAUGGGUUCCCUGAAUACGAUGAUACAACAAUGGGGGAAGAAGCUGAGCCGGCAAUGCAGAAAGAAGCUGAAGAAGAGGCAUCAGAUGAGCCCGCUGAUGAUCUAGGUCGGGCCAUUGCCGAUGCAAAGAGAAACUGUGCAAGUGAUCUGGAGAGGACAAAGUUGCAGCGCAUGUUAGAGGAUCACAAGAAAUUGUUGUACCCGAAUUGCGAAGCUGACAAAAAAAAGUUGGGCACCACACUUGAAUUGCUGCAAUGGAAGGCAGAGAAUGGUGUAUCUGACAAGGGAUUUGGAAAGUUGCUGGUAAUGAUAAAGAAUAUGCUUCCAAAGGACAACGAAUUGCCCGAGAGUACGUAUGAAGCAAAGAAGGUUGUCUGCCCUCUAGGGUUAGAGGUGCAAAAGAUACAUGCAUGCCCUAAUGACUGCAUCCUCUACCGCAGUGAGUACGAGGAUUUGAAUGCUUGCCCGGUAUGCGGUGCAUUGCGUUAUAAGAUCAGUCGCGAUGACCCUGGUGAUGACGAGGGUGAGCGCCCCAGGAAGAAGAUUCCUGCCAAGGUGGUGUGGUAUACUCUUAUAAUACCACGGUUGAAACGUUUGUUCCAAAACAAAGAGCAUGCAAAGGCGAUGCGGUGGCACGCAGAAGACCGUAAGAAAGACAGAAAGUUGAGAGUACCCGCUGACGGUUCGCAGUGGAGAAAAAUCGAGAUAAAGUACUGGGAGGAGUUUGCAGGUGACCCAAGGAACGUAUGGUUUGGUCUAAGCGCAGAUGGCAUUAAUCCUUUUGGGGAGCAGAGCAGCAACCAUAGCACAUGGCCUGUGACUCUAUGUUUGUAUAACCUUCCUCCUUGGUUGUGCAUGAAGCGGAAGUUCAUUAUGAUGCCAGUGCUCAUCCAAGGCCCUAAGCAACCCGGUAACGACAUUGAUGUGUACCUAAGGCCAUUAGUUGAAGAACUCUUACAACUGUGGAAUGGAACAGGUGUACGUGCGUGGGAUGAGCACAUGGGGGAAGAAUUUGACCUAAAGGCGUUGCUGUUCGUGACCAUCAAUGAUUGGCCUGCUCUCAGUAACCUUUCAGGACAGACAAACAAGGGAUACCGCGGAUGCACGCACUGUUUGGAUGAUACCGACAGUAUAUAUUUGAAUAGUUGUAAGAAGAAUGUGUACCUGGGAUAUCAUCGAUUUCUUCCGAGCAGGCAUCCCGUAAGAAAGAAAGGCAAGCAUUUCAAAGGUGAGGCGGAUCACCGGACGAAGCCUCGCCACCGUACUGGUGCUGAUGUACAUGAUAUGGUCAAGGAUUUGAAGGUAAUCUUUGGAAAGGGUCCUGGCGGACAACCUGUUGCGAAGGACGCUGACGGACGCGCACCCAUGUGGAAGAAGAAAUCUAUAUUUUGGGACCUGCCAUAUUGGAAAGACCUAGAGGUCCGCUCCGCAAUCGACGUGAUGCACGUGAUGAAGAAUCUUUGCGUGACCCUGCUUGGCUUUGUGGGCGUGUAUGGGAAGACAAAAGAUACACCAGAGGCACGGGAGGAACAGCAACGUAUGCACGGAAAAGACGACAUACAUCAGGGUCAGGCCAGCUAUGCUCUUACCAAAUAAGAGAAGGAAAUCUUCUUCGAAUGCCUGCUCAGCAUGAAGGUACCGUCUGGCUUCUCGUCGAAUAUAAAGGGAAUAAUAAAUAUGGCAGAGAAAAAGUUCCAGAACCUAAAGUCUCUUGACUGCCACGUGAUUAUGACGCAACUCCUUCCGGUUGCAUUGAGGGGGCUUCUACCGGAAAACGUUCGAUUGGCCAUUGUGAAGCUAUGUGCAUUCCUCAAUGCAAUCUCUUAGAAGGUAAUUGAUCCAGAAAUCAUACCAAGGUUACAGAAUGAUUUGGUGCAAUGUCUUGUGAGUUUCGAGUUGGUGUUCCACCAUCCUUCUUCAACAUCAUGACGCACAUCCUAGUUCACCUUUGCGAAGAGAUUAACAUUUUGGGUCAUGUAUUUCUACACAAUAUGUUCCCCUUUGAAAGGUUCAUGGGAGUCUUGAAGAAAUAUUUUCAUAACCGUGCUAGGCCAGAAGGAAGCAUCUCGAAGGGCCAUGAAAAUGAGGAGGUCAUUGAGUUUUGUAUUGACUUUAUUCCUGACCUUAAGCCGAUUGGUGUUCCUGAAUCGCGGCAUAAGGGCAGACUGGAAGGAAAAGGCACGCUAGGAGGGCAUCAAAUAAUAUGUAUGGACGGGCAUUCUCUCACUGAAGCACACUACACAGUUCUACAGAAUUCCGCCUUGGUGGCUCCGUAUAUGGAGGAACACAAGAAUUUUCUACAGUCCAAACACCCGGAGAAUUCUGACGGCUGGAUUACACGCGAACAAACGAGGACUUUCGCCGGUUGGUUGCAGAAACAUGCCCUGAAUGAUGGCGAUAUUCAAAAUGACCUGUACUCGCUGUCCUAGUUACCAUCUUCGAAUAUAAUGACUUUCAAAGGGUACCAGAUAAAUGGGAAUUCAUUUUACACGAUCGCCCAAGAUAAGAAGAGCACCAACCAAAACAGUGGUGUCUACUUUGAUGCAACAACCAACACGGGAAAGGAAACAUAUUAUGGUUACAUAGAGGACAUAUGGGAACUUAACUAUGGAUCAGGUGAUUUGAAGGUCCCUUUGUUUCGGUGCAAAUGGGUUAAUAUGACACGAGGCGGGGUAACGGAAGACCCGCAGUACGGAAUGACAACAGUGGAUCUCAACAAUCUUGCGUAUGCAGACGAACCAUUCAUCCUAGCCAAUGAUGUGGCGCAUGUUUUUUAUGUGAAAGACAUGUCUACCAGGCCGAGAAAAAGAAAAUAUAAGGAAGCGAAUGGAUCAUACGACGAGCCAAAGCGCCACAUAGUUCUUUCGGGAAAAAGAAACAUCGUGGGAGUGGAUGACAAGACAGACAUGUUAGAAGAUUAUGAAAAAUUUGAUGAAAUUGCUCCAUUCACAGUGAAUCUUGACCCGAGCAUCCAGUUAAAUGAUGAAGAUUUUCCCUGGCUACGGCGCAAAGGGACACACGAGAAGAAAAAGUUUCACACCCAAAGAUCUGGGAUGUGAUCGGCUUCACUAUCAUCACUUUCUUCUGUGUUUCACACCCAGGAGGGAAUGUCUGUAAUAGUUAGGGUAGUUAAUUAUGUGUUUUGGCAUUUGAAACGCGAAAUUUUUUAUGUGGAAACAAAUUCUUUUUCAUGCAUUUACUGAUUUUUUUUCCAACUAAAUGACCCUGAAAUUGAAAAGCAUUUGAAAUGAACUCAGAAAAGGUUGAAAGUUGGCAUGGUAUCAUAAUUUCAUACAAAUAGCAUGUGCAAAAAAGUAGAGAGGGUUACGGCAAAAACUGAAUACACUUCGUGUACAAAAUGGACAAUCUUUUUCGAAGUAUCAGGGUUUCCGACAAAAACUGAAAUGUUAUAAAGGCAUUUCAUUUUUUAAAUAACCUAAGCAUUAACAAAUUGAAUAUAAUGAUAAAACACACUAAUAUUAAACAUAAGAAAAAAGAAUCACUGAAAAAUCUUUUUUCAAAGUUAAGUUAUUCACAAACUAGUGAUUCACACAAAUUUCAAAUAAUUCAAAAUUUAAACUAUUUAAAUUUGAAAACUACCGGCACUAACAAAUCAAAGUUUGUAAAUUUUUGUACCUAAAGAAAAAAUAUUCACAAAGAAACUCUAAUACAACAAAAAACAACUCAAAAAUAAAUAAAACAAAUAAAAAGCAAAAAAAAUUAAGUAAAUAAAAAAAAGCCCGCCUACUGGGCCAAAGCGGCCUGCAUACGAAUAGAAACUCAACCUUUUGUUGGGCCAGGAUGCAGGCCCGCAAAGGCCCAGUAGGCCCACAAGGCAGCAAUGAAUUGGUAGGCCAGUAGGCCUGCUUAGGAGAGGAGUUCGAGAGAGCUACCGCACUGGGGCUUAUAAACCAGUGCGGUAGCCCUUCGACUAGCGAGGUGGGACUAAACUUGCCACACCGCACUGCGCCAGCGCACCCCUUUAGUACGGGGUGGUGGCUCCAACCGGUACUAAAGACCCACCCUUUAGUACCGGUUGGAGCCACCACCCGGUACUAAAGGGGGUGCACUUCCCGCCGCUUGGCCUGGCCAAAAGAGACCUUUAGUACCGGUUGGUGGCUCCAACCGGUACUAAAGGUCCAUCCUAUAUAUACAACACUUGAAAAAAAUUCAGUUUCCCUCUGUUCUUCCCUCUGUUUCCUCCAUCCGUCGCGCCGCCCAGCCCCGAUCGUCGCCGCCCCCGCCCCUCGUCGCCGACCCCGGCCGUCCCCGCCCCUCGUCGCCGCCCCCGUCGACGUCGCCGCCCCGGCCAUCCCCGUCCCCGNNNNNNNNNNNNNNNNNNNNNNNNNNNNNNNNNNNNNNNNNNNNNNNNNNNNNNNNNNNNNNNNNNNNNNNNNNNNNNNNNNNNNNNNNNNNNNNNNNNNNNNNNNNNNNNNNNNNNNNNNNNNNNNNNNNNNNNNNNNNNNNNNNNNNNNNNNNNNNNNNNNNNNNNNNNNNNNNNNNNNNNNNNNNNNNNNNNNNNNNNNNNNNNNNNNNNNNNNNNNNNNNNNNNNNNNNNNNNNNNNNNNNNNNNNNNNNNNNNNNNNNNNNNNNNNNNNNNNNNNNNNNNNNNNNNNNNNNNNNNNNNNNNNNNNNNNNNNNNNNNNNNNNNNNNNNNNNNNNNNNNNNNNNNNNNNNNNNNNNNNNNNNNNNNNNNNNNNNNNNNNNNNNNNNNNNNNNNNNNNNNNNNNNNNNNNNNNNNNNNNNNNNNNNNNNNNNNNNNNNNNNNNNNNNNNNNNNNNNNNNNNNNNNNNNNNNNNNNNNNNNNNNNNNNNNNNNNNNNNNNNNNNNNNNNNNNNNNNNNNNNNNNNNNNNNNNNNNNNNNNNNNNNNNNNNNNNNNNNNNNNNNNNNNNNNNNNNNNNNNNNNNNNNNNNNNNNNNNNNGCCCCGCCCCGUCGUCACCACCCCGUCCCGUCGCCCCGUCGUCGCCGCCCCGUCCCGUCGUCCCUUCGUCGCCGCCCCGUCGUCGCCUCGCCGGUGAGCUCGCCCCGGCCGCCAAUGUCCACACACACACACAGUACUACACAUACACACACACACUACACACACACACUACACACAUCAGUUUGUUUGUUAUAAAUUUUUCUGUUUUUUAGUUAUAGAAAUGUUAGAAAUGUUGGGGAACGUUGCAGAAAACAAAAAUUUUCCUAUUCGUUUCACCAAGAUCAUCUAGGAGUUCAUCUAGCAACGAGAGAUUAGAUGCAUCUACAUACCUUUGUAGAUCGCGCACGGAAGCGUUCAAAAGAACGGUGAUGAUGUAGUCGUACUCGACGUGAUUCAAAUCACCGAUGACCAGCGCCGAACGGACGGCACCUCCACGUUCAACACACGUACGGGACGGGAGACGUCUCCUCCUUCUUGAUCCAGCAAGGGGGAAGGAGAGGUUGAUGAAGAUCCAGCAGCACGACGGCGUGGUGGUGGAUGCAGGGCGUCACAGCAGCAGGGCUUCGCUGAGACUACGAGGGAGAGACGUAACGGGGGGAGAUGGAGGCGCCAGGGGCUGGUCUGAAAUCCCUCCUCUCCCCCCCACUAUAUAUAGGGGUGCCAGGGGGGCGCCGGCCCUAGUAGAUGAGAUCUACUAGGGGGGCGGCGGCCAAGGGGAGGUUUCCCUCCCCCCCAAGGCACCUAGGGGUGCCUUCCACCACAUGGACUCUUCCAUGGUGGAAACCCUAGGCGCAUGGGCCUAUAGGGGCUGGUGCCCUUGGCCCAUCUAGGCCAAGGCGCACCCCCUACAGCCCAUGUGGCCCCCCGGGACAGGUGGCCCCACCCGGUGGACCCCCGGGACCCUUCCGGUGGUCCCGGUACAAUACCGAUAACCCCGAAACUUGUCCCGAUGCCCGAAAUAGCACUUCCUAUAUAUAAUUCUUUACCUCCGGACCAUUCCGGAACUCCUCGUGACGUCCAGGAUCUCAUACGGGACUCCGAACAACAUUCGGGUUUCUGCAUAUACAUAUCUUCAUAACCCUAGCGUCACCGAACCUUAAGUCUGUAGACCCUACGGGUUCGGGAGACAAGCAGACAUGACCGAGACGACUCUCCGGUCAAUAACCAGCAGCGGGAUCUGGAUACCCAUGUUGGCUCCCACAUGCUCCACGAUGAUCUCAUCGGAUGAACCACGAUGUCGAGGAUUCAAUCAAUCCCGUACGCUAUUCCCUUUGUCUAUCGAUAUGUUACUUGCCCGAGAUUCGAUCGUCGGUAUCCCAAUACCUUGUUCAAUCUCGUUACCGGCAAGUCACUUUACUCGUACCGUAAUGCAUGAUCCCGUGACCAGACACUUGGUCACUCUGAGCUCAUUAUGAUGAUGCAUUACCGAGUGGGCCCAGUGAUACCUCUCCGUCAUACGGAGUGACAAAUCCCAGUCUUGAUCCAUGUCACCCAACAGACACUUUCGGAGAUACCCGUAGUCUACCUUUAUAGUCACCAAGUUACAUUGUGACGUUUGGCAUACCCAAAGCACUCCUACGGUAUCCGGGAGUUACACGAUCUCAUGGUCUAAGGAAAAGAUACUUUGACAUUGGAAAACUCUAGCAAACGAACUAUACGAUCUUGUGCUAUGUUUAGGAUUGGGUCUUGUCCAUCACAUCAUUCUCCCAAUGAUGUGAUCUCGUUAUCAAUGACAUCCAGUGUCCAUAGUCAGGAAACCAUGACUAUCUGUUGAUCAACGAGCUAGUCAACUAGAGGCUCACUAGGGACAUGUUGGUGUCUGUUAUUCACACAUGUAUUACGAUUUCCGGAUAACACAAUUAUAGCAUGAAUAAAGACAAUUAUCAUGAACAAGGAAAUAUAAUAAUAAUGCUUUUAUUAUUGCCUCUAGGGCAUAUUUCCAACAGUCUCCCACUUGCACUAGAGUCAAUAAUCUAGUUACAUUGUGAUGAAUCGAACACCCAUGGAAUUCUGGUGUUUAUCAUGUUUUGCUCUAGGGAGAGGUUUAGUCAACGGAUCUGCUACAUUCAGGUCCGUAUGUACUUUACAAAUCUCUAUGUCUCCAUCUUGAACAUUUUCACGAAUGGAGUUGAAGCGACGCUUGAUGUGCCUUGUCUUCUUGUGAAACCUGGGCUCCUUGGCAAGUGCAAUAGCUCCAGUGUUGUCACAGAAGAGCUUGAUCGGCCCCGACGCAUUGGGUAUGACUCCUAGGUCGGUGAUGAACUCCUUCACCCAUAUUGCUUCAUGUGCUGCCUCCGAGGCUGCCAUGUACUCCGCUUCACAUGUAGAUCCCGCCACGACGCUUUGCUUGCAACUGCACCAGCUUACUGCCCCACCAUUCAAAAUAUACACGUAUCCGGUUUGUGACUUAGAGUCAUCCAGAUCUGUGUCGAAGCUAGCGUCGACGUAACCCUUUACGACGAGCUCUUCGUCACCUCCAUAAACAAGAAACAUUUCCUUAGUCCUUUUCAGGUACUUCAGGAUAUUCUUGACCGCUGUCCAGUGUUCCUUGCCGGGAUUACUUUGGUACCUUCCUACCAAACUGAUGGCAAGGUUAACAUCAGGUCUGGUACACAGCAUGGCAUACAUAAUAGAACCUAUGGCUGAGGCAUAGGGGAUGACGCUCAUCUCUUCUAUAUCUUCUGCCGUGGUCGGACAUUGAGCUGAGCUCAAUUUCAUACCUUGUAACACAGGCAAGAACCCCUUCUUGGAUUGAUCCAUAUUGAACUUCUUCAAUAUUUUAUCAAGGUAUGUGCUUUGUGAAAGACCUAUGAGGCGUCUCGAUCUAUCUCUAUAGAUUUUGAUGCCUAAUAUAUAAGCAGCUUCUCCAAGGUCCUUCAUUGAAAAACUUUUAUUCAAGUAGGCCUUGAUGCUGUCCAAGAGUUCUAUAUCAUUUCCCAUCAAAAGUAUGUCAUCUACAUAUAAUAUGAGAAAUGCUACAGAGCUCCCACUCACUUUCUUGUAAACGCAGGCUUCUCCAUAAGUCUGUGUAAACCCAAACGCUUUGAUCAUCUCAUCAAAGCGAAUGUUCCAACUCCGAGAUGCUUGCACCAGCCCAUAAAUCGAGCGUUGGAGCUUGCACACUUUGUCAGCAUUCUUAGGAUCGACAAAACCUUCCGGCUGUAUCAUAUACAAUUCUUCCUUAAGGAAACCAUUAAGGAAUGCCGUUUUGACGUCCAUUUGCCAUAUUUCGUAAUUAUAGAAUGCGACAAUUGCUAACAUGAUUCGGACGGACUUCAGCUUCGCUACCGGUGAGAAAGUCUCAUCGUAGUCAACCCCUUGAACUUGUCGAUAACCCUUAGCGACAAGCCGAGCUUUAUAGAUGGUCACAUUACCAUCCGCGUCUGUCUUCCUCUUAAAGAUCCAUUUAUUUUCUAUGGCUCGCCGCUCAACGGGCAAGUCAGUCAAAGUCCAUACUUUGUUUUCAUACAUGGAUCCUAUCUCGGAUUUCAUGGCUUCUAGCCAUUCGUCGGAAUCCGGGCCCGCCAUCGCUUCUUCAUAGUUCGAAGGUUCACCGUUGUCUAACAGCAUGAUUUCCAAGACAGGGUUGCCGUACCACUCUGGUGCGGAACGUGUCCUUGUGGACCUUCGAAUUUCAGUAGGGGCUUGAUCAGAAGUAUCUUGAUCAUUAACUUCCUCUCUAGUCGGUGCAGGCACCUCAGGAACAUUUUCUUGAGUUGCGCCAUUUUUCGGUUCAAGAGGUAAUACUUCAUCAAGCUCUACUUUCCUCCCACUUACUUCUUUCGAGAGAAACUCUUUCUCCAGAAAGGACCCAUUCUUGGCAACAAAGAUCUUGCCUUCGGAUCUGAGGUAGAAGGUGUACCCAAUAGUUUCUUUUGGGUAUCCUAUGAAGACACAUUUUUCCGACUUGGGUUCGAGCUUUUCAGGUUGAAGUUUCUUGACAUAAGCAUCGCAUCCCCAAACUUUUAGAAACGACAGCUUAGGUUUCUUCCCAAACCAUAAUUCAUACGGUGUCGUCUCAACGGAUUUCGACGGAGCCCUAUUUAAAGUGAACGCGGCAGUCUCUAAAGCAUAGCCCCAAAAGGAUAGCUGUAAAUCGGUAAGAGACAUCAUAGAUCGCACCAUAUCUAAUAGAGUGCGAUUACGACGUUCGGACACACCAUUACGCUGAGGUGUUCCAGGCGGCGUGAGUUGUGAAACUAUUCCACAUUUUCUUAAGUGUGUGCCAAACUCGUGACUCAAGUAUUCUCCUCCAUGAUCUGAUCGUAGAAACUUGAUUUUCCUGUCACGUUGAUUUUCAACCUCACUCUGAAAUUCCUUGAACUUUUCAAAGGUUUCGGACUUGUGUUUCAUUAAGUAGAUAUACCCAUACCUACUUAAAUCAUCAGUGAGGGUGAGAACAUAACGAUAGCCACCGCGAGCCUCAACACUCAUUGGACCGCACACAUCAGUAUGUAUGAUUUCCAAUAAGUCGGUUGCUCGCUCCAUUGUUCCUGAGAACGGAGUCUUGGUCAUUUUACCCAUAAGGCAUGGUUCGCAUGUGUCAAAUGAUUCAUAAUCAAGAGACUCUAAAAGUCCAUCAGCAUGGAGCUUCUUCAUGCGUUUGACACCUAUGUGACCAAGGCGGCAAUGCCACAGGUAUGUGGGACUAUCAUUAUCAACCUUACUUCUUUUGGUACUCACAUUAUGAACAUGUGUAGCAUCACGUUCGAGAUUCAUAAAGAAUAAACCAUUCACCAUAGGAGCAUGACCAUAAAACAUAUCUCUCAUAAAAAUGGAACAACCAUUAUUCUCAGAUUUAAAAGAGUAGCCAUCUCGAAUUAAACGAGAUCCCGAUACAAUGUUCAUGCUCAAAGCUGGCACUAAAUAACAAUUAUUAAGGUUUAAAACUAAUCCCGAAGGGAGAUGCAGAGGUAGCGUGCCGACGGCGACCACAUUGACCUUGGAACCAUUCCCGACGCGCAUCGUCACCUCGUCCUUUGCCAGUUUCUGCUUAUUCCGCAGCCCCUGCUUUGAGUUACAAAUGUGAGCAACUGCACCAGUAUCAAAUACCCAGGAGCUACUACGGGCACUAGUAAGGUACACAUCAAUUACAUGUAUAUCACAUAUAACUUUUGUUUUGCCGGCCUUCUUAUCCGCUAAGUACUUAGGGCAGUUCCGCUUCCAGUGACCGCUUCCCUUGCAAUAAAAGCACUCAGUCUCGGGCUUGGGUCCAUUCUUUGGCUUCUUCCCGGCAGCUUGCUUGCCGGGCGCGGCAACCUCCUUGCCGUCCUUAUUGAAGUUCUUUUUACCCUUGCCUUUCUUGAACUUAGUGGUUUUAUUGACCAUCAACACUUGAUGUUCCUUCCUGACAUCUACCUCUGCUGAUUUCAGCAUAGCAAAUACUUCAGGAAUGGUCUUUUCCAUCCCCUGCAUAUUGAAGUUCAUCACAAAGCUCUUGUAGCUUGGUGGAAGCGACUGGAGGAUUCUGUCAAUGACCGCAUCAUCCGGGAGAUUAACUCCCAGAUGAGUCAAGCGGUUAUGCAACCCAGACAUAGUGAGUAUGUGCUCACUGACAGAACUGUUUUCCUCCAUCUUACAGCUGAAGAAUUUGUCGGAGACUUCAUAUCUCUCGACCCGGGCAUGAGCUUGGAAAACCAUUUUCAGCUCUUCGAACAUCUCAUAUGCUCCAUGUCUCUCAAAACGCUUUUGGAGCCCCGGCUCUAGGCUGUAAAGCAUGCCGCACUGAACGAGGGAGUAGUCAUCGGAACGUGCCUGCCAAGCGUUCAUAACAUCUUGUUCUGCAGGGAGAACGGGUGCGUCACCAAGCGGUGCUUGUAGGACAUAAUCUUUCUUGGCAGCUAUGAGGAUGAUCCUCAGGUUCCGGACCCAGUCCGUAUAGUUGCUGCCAUCGUCUUUCAGCUUGGUUUUCUCUAGGAACGCGUUGAAGUUGAGGACUACGUUGGCCAUUUGAUCUACAAGACAUAUUGCAAAGAUUUUAGACUAAGUUCAUGAUAAUUAAGUUCAACUAAUCAAAUUAUUAGUGAACUCCCACUUAGAUUAGACAUCCCUCUAGUCAUCUAAGUAUUACAUGAUCCGAGUUAAACUAGACCGUGUCCGAUCAUCACGUGAGACGGACUAGUCAACAUCGGUGAACAUCUUCAUGUUGAUCGUAUCUUCUAUACGACUCAUGCUCGACCUUUCGGUCUUCUGUGUUCCGAGGCCAUGUCUGUACAUGCUAGGCUCGUCAAGUCAACCUAAGUGUUUGCAUGUGUAAAUAUGUCUUACACCCGUUGUAUGUGAACGUCUGAAUAAAACACCCGAUCAUCACGUGGUGUUUUGAAACAGCGAACUGUCGCAACGGUGCACAGUUAGGGGGAACACUUCUUGAAUUUAUUGUGAGGGAUCAUCAUAUUUACUACCGUCGUUCUAAGUAAACAAGAUGCAAAACAUGAUAAACAUCACAUGCAAUCAAAUAAUAAACGUGACAUGAUAUGGCCAAUAUCACAUAGCUCCUUUGAUCUCCAUCUUGGGGCUCCAUGAUCAUCUUGUCACCGGCUUGACACCAUGAUCUCCAUCAUCAUGAUCUCCAUCAUCGUGUCUCCAUGAAGUUGCUCGCCAACUAUUACUUCUACUACUAUGGCUAACGCGUUUAGCAAUAAAGUAAAGUAAUUUACAUGGCGUUUCUUGAUGACACGCAGGUCAUAUAAAAGAAUAAAGACAACUCCUAUGGCUCCUGCCGGUUGUCAUACUCAUCGACAUGCAAGUCGUGAUUCCUAUUACAAUAGCAUGAACAUCUCAUACAUCACAUAUAGAUCAUUCAUCAUUCAUCACAACUUUGGCCAUAUCAUAUCACAAACCACUUGCCGCAAAAACAAGUUAGACGUCCUCUAAUUGUUGUUGCAAGUUUUACGUGGCUGAAUUAGGGUUCUAGCAAGAACGUUUUCUUACCUACGUUAAAGCCACAACGUGAUUUGUCAACUUCUAUUUACCCUUCAUAAGGACCCUGUUCAUCGAUUCCGCUCCAACUAAAGUAGGAGAGACAGACACCCGCCAGCCACCUUAUGCAACUAGUGCAUGUUAGUCGGUGGAACCGGUCUCACGUAAGCGUACGUGUAAGGUUGGUCCGGGCCGCUUCAUCCCACAAUACCGCUGAAGCAAGAAAGGACUAGUAACGGCAAGAAAGUUGACAAAUCUACGCCCACAACUAAUUGUGUUCUACUCGCGCAAGAAGAACUACGCAUAGACCUAGCUCAUGAUGCCACUGUUGGGGAACGUUGCAGAAAACAAAAAUUUUCCUACUCGUUUCACCAAGAUCAUCUAGGAGUUCAUCUAGCAACGAGUGAUUAGAUGCAUCUACAUACCUUUGUAGAUCGCGAGCGGAAGCGUUCAAAAGAACGGUGAUGAUGUAGUCGUACUCGACGUGAUCCAAAUCACCGAUGACCAGCGCCGAACGGACGGCACCUCCGCGUUCAACACACGUACGGAACAGCCACGUCUCCUCCUUCUUGAUCCAGCAAGGGAGGGAGGAGAGGUUGAGGGAGAUGGCACCAGCAGCAGCACGACGGCGUGGUGUUGAUGGAGCUGCAGUACUCCGGCAGAGCUUCGCUAAGCACUAUGGAGGUGGAGGAGGUGUUGGGGAGGGAGAAGGAGGCAACCAAGGGCCAAGGCGUUCAGGUAUGAAGUCCCUCCUCUCCCCCACUAUAUAUAGGAGGGCCAAGGGGGGUUGGUGCGCAGCCUAGGAGAUCCAAUCUCCUAUGGCCGGCGGCCAAGGGGAGGUUUCCCUCCCCCCCAAGGCACCUAGGAGGUGCCUUCCCCUCCUAGGACUCUUCCCCCCUUCAAACCCUAGGCGCAUGGGCCUAUGUGGGGCUGGUGCCCUUGGCCCAUUAGGCCAAGGCACACCCCCUUACAGCCCAUGUGCCCCCCCCGGGACAGGUGGACCCCCGGGACCCUUCCGGUGGUCCCGGUACAAUACCGAUAACCCCGAAACUUGUCCCGAUGCCCGAAACAGGACUUCCCAUAUAUAAAUCUUUACCUCCGGACCAUUCCGGAACUCCUCGUGACGUCCGGGAUCUCAUCCGGGACUCCGAACAACAUUCGGGUUACUGCAUAUACAUAUCCCUACAACCAUAGCGUAACUGAAACUUAAGUGUGUAGACCCUACGGGUUCGGGAGACAAGCAGACAUGACCGAGACGACUCUCCGGUCAAUAACCAACAGCGGGAUCUGGAUACCCAUGUUGGCUCCCACAUGCUCCACGAUGAUCUCAUCGGAUGAACCACGAUGUCGAGGAUUCUAUCAACCCCGUACGCUAUUCCCUUUGUCUAUCGAUAUGUUACUUGCCCGAGAUUCGAUCGUCGGUAUCCCAAUACCUCGUUCAAUCUCGUUACCGGCAAGUCACUUUACUCGUACCGUAAUGCAUGAUCCCGUGACCAGACACUUGGUCACUCUGAGCUCAUUAUGAUGAUGCAUUACCGAGUGGGCCCAGUGAUACCUCUCCGUCAUACGGAGUGACAAAUCCCAGUCUUGAUCCAUGUCACCCAACAGACACUUUCGGAAAUACCCGUAGUCUACCUUUAUAGUCACCCAGUUACGUUGUGACGUUUGGCAUACCCAAAGCACUCCUACGGUAUCCGGGAGUUACACGAUCUCAUGGUCUAAGGAAAAGAUACUUUGACAUUGCAAAACUCUAGCAAACGAACUAUACGAUCUUGUGCUAUGUUUAGGAUUGGGUCUCGUCCAUCACAUCAUUCUCCCAAUGAUGUGAUCUCGUUAUCAAUGACAUCCAGUGUCCAUAGUCAGGAAACCAUGACUAUCUGUUGAUCAACGAGCUAGUCAACUAGAGGCUCACUAGGGACAUGUUGGUGUCUGUUAUUCACACAUGCAUUACGAUUUCCGGAUAACACAAUUAUAGCAUGAAUAAAGACAAUUAUCAUGAACAAGGAAAUAUAAUAAUAAUGCUUUUAUUAUUGCCUCUAGGGCAUAUUUCCAACAGCUUUGAGUUACAAAUGUGAGCAACUGCACCGGUAUCAAAUACCCAGGAGCCACUACGGGCACUAGUAAGGUACACAUCAAUUACAUGUAUAUCACAUAUACCUUUUGUUUUGCCGGCCUUCUUAUCCGCUAAGUACUUAGGGCAGUUCCGCUUCCAGUGACCGCUCCCUUGCAAUAAAAGCACUCAGUCUCGGGCUUGGGUCCAUUCUUUGGCUUCUUCCCGGCAGCUUGCUUGCCGAGCGCGGCAACCUCCUUGCCGUCCUUCUUGAAGUUCUUUUUACCCUUGCCUUUCUUGAACUUAGUGGUUUUAUUGACCAUCAACACUUGAUGUUCCUUCCUGACUUCUACCUCUGCUGAUUUUAGCAUAGCAAAUACUUCAGGAAUGGUCUUUUCCAUCCCCUGCAUAUUGAAGUUCAUCACAAAGCUCUUGUAGCUUGGUGGAAGCGACUGGAGGAUUCUGUCAAUGACCGCAUCAUCCGGGAGAUUAACUCCCAGCUGAGUCAAGCGGUUAUGCAACCCAGACAUAGUGAGUAUGUGCUCACUGACAGAAUUGUUUUCCUCCAUCUUACAGCUGAAGAAUUUGUCGGAGACUUCAUAUCUCUCGACCCGGGCAUGAGCUUGGAAAACCAUUUUCAGCUCUUCGAACAUCUCAUAUGCUCCAUGUCUCUCAAAACGCUUUUGGAGCCCCGGCUCUAGGCUGUAAAGCAUGCCGCACUGAACGAGGGAGUAGUCAUCGAAACGUGCCUGCCAAGCGUUCAUAACAUCUUGUUCUGCAGGGAGAACGGGUGCGUCACCAAGCGGUGCUUGUAGGACAUAAUCUUUCUUGGCAGCUAUGAGGAUGAUCCUCAGGUUCCGGACCCAGUCCGUAUAGUUGCUGCCAUCGUCUUUCAGCUUGGUUUUCUCUAGGAACGCGUUAAAGUUGAGGACUACGUUGGCCAUUUAAUCUACAAGACAUAUUGUAAAAUAUUUAGACUAAGUUCAUGAUAAUUAAGUUCAACUAAUCAAAUUAUUAAUGAACUCCCACUUAGAUUAGACAUCCCUCUAGUCAUCUAAGUAUUACAUGAUCCGAGUUAAACUAGACCGUGUCCGAUCAUCACGUGAGACGGACUAGUCAACAUCGGUGAACAUCUUCAUGUUGAUCGUAUCUUCUAUACGACUCAUGCUCGACCUUUCGGUCUUCUGUGUUCCGAGGCCAUGUCUGUACAUGCUAGGCUCGUCAAGUCAACCUAAGUGUUUGCAUGUGUAAAUCUGUCUUACACCCGUUGUAUGUGAACGUCUGAAUAAAACACCCGAUCAUCACGUGGUGUUUUGAAACAGCGAACUGUCGCAACGGUGCACAGUUAGGGGGAACACUUCUUGAAAUUAGUAUGAGGGAUCACCUUAUUUACUACCGUCGUUCUAAGUAAACAAGAUGCAAAACAUGAUAAACAUCACAUGCAAUCAAAUAAUAAACGUGACAUGAUAUGGCCAAUAUCACAUAGCUCCGUUGAUCUCCAUCUUGGGGCUCCAUGAUCAUCUUGUCACCGGCUUGACACCAUGAUCUCCAUCAUCAUGAUCUCCAUCAUCAUGAUCUCCAUCAUCGUGUCUACAUGAAGUUGCUCGCCAACUAUUACUUCUACUACUAUGGCUAACGCGUUUAGCAAUAAAGUAAAGUAAUUUACAUGGCGUUUCUUGAUGACACGCAGGUCAUAUAAAAGAAUAAAGACAACUCCUAUGGCUUCUGCCGGUUGUCAUACUCAUCGACAUGCAAGUCGUGAUUCCUAUUACAAUAGCAUGAACAUCUCAUACAUCACAUAUAGAUCAUUCAUCAUUCAUCACAACUUUGGCCAUAUCAUAUCACAAACCACUUGCUGCAAAAACAAGUUAGACGUCCUCUAAUUGUUGUUGCAAGUUUUACGUGGCUGAAUUAGGGUUCUAGCAAGAACGUUUUCUUACCUACGUUAAAGCCACAACGUGAUUUAUCAACUUCUAUUUACCCUUCAUAAGGACCCUGUUCAUCAAUUCCGCUCCAACUAAAGUAGGAGAGACAGACACCCGCCAGCCACCUUAUGCAACUAGUGCAUGUUAGUCUGUGGAACCGGUCUCACGUAAGCGUACGUGUAAGGUUGGUCCGGGCCGCUUCAUCCCACAAUACCGAUGAAGCAAGAAAGGACUAGUAACGGCAAGAAAGUUGACAAAUCUAAGCCCACAACAAAUUGUGUUCUACUCGCGCAAGAAGAACUACGCGUAGACCUAGCUCAUGAUGCCACUGUUGGGGAAGGUUGCAGAAAACAAAAUUUUUCCUAUUCGUUUCACCAAGAUCAUCUAGGAGUUCAUCUAGCAACGAGUGAUUAGAUGCAUCUACAUACCUUUGUAGAUCGCGCACGGAAGCGUUCAAAAGAACGGUGAUGAUGUAGUCGUACUCGACGUGAUUCAAAUCACCGAUGACCAGCACCGAACGGACGGCACCUCCGCGUUCAACACACGUACGGGACGGGAGACGUCUCCUCCUUCUUGAUCCAGCAAGGGGGAAGGAGAGGUUGAUGAAGAUCCAGCAGCACGACGGCGUGGUGGUGGAUGCAGGGCGUCACAGCAGCAGGGCUUCGCCGAGACUACGAGGGAGAGACGUAACGGGGGGAGAUGGAGGCGCCAGGGGCUGGUCUGAAAUCCCUCCUCUCCCCCCCACUAUAUAUAGGGGUGCCGGGGGGGCGCCGGCUCUAGUAGAUGAGAUCUACUAGGGGGGGCGGCGGCCAAGGGGAGGUUUCCCUCCCCCCCAAGGCACCUAGGGGUGCCUUCCACCACAUGGACUCUUCCAUGGUGGAAACCCUAGGCGCAUGGGCCUAUAGGGGCUGGUGCCCUUGGCCCAUCUAGGCCAAGGCGCACCCCCUACAGCCCAUGUGGCCCCCCGGGACAGGUGGCCCCACCCGGUGGACCCCCGGGACCCUUCCGGUAGACCCGGUACAAUACCGAUAACCCCGAAACUUGUCCCGAUGCCCGAAAUAGCACUUCCUAUAUAUAAUUCUUUACCUCCGGACCAUUCCGGAACUCCUCGUGACGUCCAGGAUCUCAUACGGGACUCCGAACAACAUUCGGGUUUCUGCAUAUACAUAUCUUCAUAACCCUAGCGUCACCGAACCUUAAGUGUGUAGACCCUACGGGUUCGGGAGACAAGCAGACAUGACCGAGACGACUCUCCGGUCAAUAACCAACAGCGGGAUCUGGAUACCCAUGUUGGCUCCCACAUGCUCCACGAUGAUCUCAUCGGAUGAACCACGAUGUCGAGGAUUCAAUCAAUCCCGUACGCUAUUCCCUUUGUCUAUCGAUAUGUUACUUGCCCGAAUUCGAUCGUCGGUAUCCCAAUACCUUGUUCAAUCUCGUUACCGGCAAGUCACUUUACUCGUACCGUGAUGCAUGAUCCCGUGACCAGACACUUGGUCACUCUGAGCUCAUUAUGAUGAUGCAUUACCGAGUGGGCCCAGUGAUACCUCUCCGUCAUACGGAGUGACAAAUCCCAGUCUUGAUCCAUGUCACCCAACAGACACUUUCGGAGAUACCCGUAGUCUACCUUUAUAGUCACCCAGUUACGUUGUGACGUUUGGCAUACCCAAAGCACUCCUAUGGUAUCCGGGAGUUACACGAUCUCAUGGUCUAAGGAAAAGAUACUUUGACAUUGGAAAACUCUAGCAAACGAACUAUACGAUCUUGUGCUAUGUUUAGGAUUGGGUCUUGUCCAUCACAUCAUUCUCCCAAUGAUGUGAUCUCGUUAUCAAUGACAUCCAGUGUCCAUAGUCAGGAAACCAUGACUAUCUGUUGAUCAACGAGCUAGUCAACUAGAGGCUCACUAGGGACAUGUUGGUGUCUGUUAUUCACACAUGUAUUACGAUUUCCGGAUAACACAAUUAUAGCAUGAAUAAAGACAAUUAUCAUGAACAAGGAAAUAUAAUAAUAGUGCUUUUAUUAUUGCCUCUAGGGCAUAUUUCCAACAAGAAAUUAUUCUGUUUUUUAGUUAUAUAAAUAUUAGAAAUGUUAGUUUUAUAGAAAUGUUAUAAAUUUUUCUGUUUUUUAGUUAUAGAAAUAUUUAUAGAAAUGUUAGCAAUUUUUCUGUUUUUUAGUUAUAUAAAUAUUAGAAUUGUUAUGGAAAUGUUAGUUAUAUAAUCAGGAAAUUUUAGAAUUAGUUUUAGUUAGAUGAAUUAGAUUAAUGUCAAAUUGUUAGAAUUUGCAUAUAUAUAGAAUUUUAGUUAUCACAAUCCAAUCAUUUAAAAAAUGUUACUUUUUGCGGGCAUAUAGUAUUUGUUCUCGAUGAUAUGCCCGGCCCGCAUCCUCGCCGUCGACCUGUUUGCAACGACGUCAUGCUUCAGGGGACCCAUGUCCGGGACUGGGCUCCGCCAGGCUGGCACUGGGAGGUGCUACCUGGAGGGGCGCGCCGCUUGGUGAGGAACCCGAGCUCGGGUCCCGUCGUCGACCCUGAUCUUCUUUGGUGGCGUUCGCGUGGGCCACAUUCGGUGCAGAGCCAGCCGGCCCCACCGGAGGUGGUGCGUCACCGUGUCAGGGAGGAAGAUGAGCACGUCCAUCGCUACAUGGCUGCUAUGAACGACGUCAGGUUCUCCACUACUUGGCGGGUUCUUUGGGCAGAUGACCGGAGAUAUGAUCCUCUGAUGGUUCCUUCUCUUUGGGUGUGCACCGCCCGCGCCCCAGGAACCUCGAGUGGCGCCCUAGAUUCUUCUGUAGUACUCGAUCUUUAUUAGGUACCUAGCCAGUGAUGUAUUCGAUAUAUACUAUUCGAGACGAUGUAUUCGAGAUUAUAUAUAUUAAGACGAUGAUGUAUUCGAGAUUAUAUAUUCGAGAGGAUGUAUUCGAGAUUCAGAUUUUCCUUAUUGAUUAAUUGCAUCCAUGCAUUGUAAUUUGAAUACUAAAUUGUUUUAUAUUUCUUCUGUAUUAUUAGUAAAGUAAAAGCUAUGGCGGACAAUACCGGCAGAGAGAGAGAAGAGGAAUUGUUCCACAUCAUACGCAGCCCUCACAGGCUAGAUGAUCUGAAUGAAGCAGAUGACGGCUCCCAAUAUCUUAACAAUACCGGAGAGGGUGAUGAAAAUAUAUUCGAUCUCGACGACCGGGCUGAUGAAGUCAUGAACUAUGAUUAUGAUUAUGACACAGACAAUGUUUGUGAUGACACAGACAAUGCUGAUCUUCAAAUAACAAACACUACCAGCGAGGUAUAUUUAUAUAAGCAUGCAUCAUGAUGAUCAUCACAUGUUUUUUUUAUUGAAGAUAUAUUAACGAAUCGAUCUUUCUUCUUUCAGCCCUCCGGAUCGAGCAAAUCUGCUUCUACAGACAGCAAGACAAAGCGAGGCUCGGGCAGAUUGUUGAAGGAUGGUGUAAAGUACCACAUCGAAUCCAUCAAACCUAGUGGCGAACCCCUCACGCCUAAGAACAUUGCGAACAAGUGGACUCGUCAGUGCGGAGUUCUUGUGAAGGACAAACUCCCGAUCUCCAUUCAAGAAUGGAAAGAGCCAAAGACUAAAUGUCCAGGUGUUACUUGGGUUGAUGGCAGAGCCAAAGAAGACCUGGUGAAAUCUCUGAUGGAACAUUUCACCCUACCAGAUCAUUUCACUAAAGCAGAUGUGGACAAAGUCAAGGCCGCUGCUCUUAAGAAGAUGGCAAUUGCAUUCAACACCCACAAGAAAACUGUAUGGGCCAACUACCUCGCUAAUGAAAGGAAGACUCCAGAUUUCAAGGGAACACUGGAGAAGCAAAGAGAACAUUGGGACGAUUUCGUGACCUUCAAGGAUUCAGAAUUAUCUAAGGAACGAUCGAUGAAAAACAAGGCAAAUGCCGCAAGAAAGACGCAGUUCCAUAGGCUGGGUCCAGGUGGCUACGCGGUGGCAUUGCCUAAGUGGGAUAAGUCUGAGCAAGAGAUGGAGGAUGCAGGGGUCACUCCGGUUACCCGGCACUGGCCCCCCAGGUGCAGAACUUGGUUCUAUGCGCAUGGGGGAGCGUUGGACCCGAAGACAGGCGGAGUUUCACGGAAGGCAAGUCUGAAAGGAGCCGAACAAAAGAUAAUUGAUGCAAUAGAUGAAGCUCGAAGGGGGGUCUUCACGCCCAACAGAGAGAACGACGAGCUUACGCGCGCCCUGGGAAAUCCUGAACACCCGGGAAGAACACGAGGCAUGGGCGUUAUUCCCUGGUAUGAGGGCUUUUCAGAAUGGAACAAGGACUACAGGAGCCGUGCAAGAAGGAAGAUGGAGGAGGAGAAGAAAAGGAAGCUGGAGGAGGAGCAGAGGAAGCAGGACGCAGAAUGCCUUCAGGGCCUAGAAGCAAGGCACGCGGACCUGGCACUCAAAUUCCAGCAGCAGCAACAACAGAUCGACUCACUUAGCCAGGAAAGGGGGUCUCAGCAGCGGCAGCAGCAAGUGGAUGACCGUCCAGCAUUGGAUAGCACCAUCCCAUCCAUGCCGAGAAGCAGCGUUGGUUCUGCCCCGGGUGACACACUGCUGGAUAAAUACCCUGUGGAUGACAUCAUAGAGAACACUAACUGCGAGCUACACUCCAAAAUGAAGAACAUAUCCAUGAAAGUGGCGGAAGGCGUUGCUUUUCCAGUUACCCCCGAAGCAACCUACCAUUGCAUCCCGAUUCCAGAGGGCUAUGCUCGUGUCAUGGUUGAUGAAGUGGUGGACCCAUAUUCGGGGCUAACGCUUGACAUUCCUGGAGGUGAAGACGAGCGCACACUCGGAGAGGCCAUACAUCGUAUCAUCCUAUGGAGAAAGGACUGCAUAAUCAUUCGAAGUCCACCGACACCGCGUCGUCUGCCGACUCCUCGAAGUCCGCCACCGAGUCAGCAGACUCCCGCUCCUCCAAGUCCACGAACGCGUGAGACGACUCCUCCUCGAAGUCCGCCACCUUCUCCAAGUCCCCGAACGCGUGAGCUGACUCCUUCGGUUUCAAGCCCGGCACAGUGUCAUGCCACUUCUCCGGUUGCAAGUCCGGCACCGUGUCAGGCCACACCUCCUGCUUCAAGUCCGGCACAUCGUCAGGCCACUUCUCCUGGUGCAACUCCACGUCAGCCGUCUCCGUCAUCUCAGCAUUCGCAGAAGAGACAUCCCGCAGCUUUGGUGCGUAGCGGUAUGAGUCGAGGUAGUUCAGGAAGUACAGGCGAAGGCAAGCGAUAUAAAUAUGGUCCAAGCCUCGCUCCUCUUCCUCAGAGGCCUUACGACAUGACUAAGGAGCAAAACACAGCCAUAGUGCAAGCCCAAGUGGACGCCCAUUUUGGACCGAAACCGGCACCGCCACAAAAGGAGAAAGUGCCUGAGAAAGUAAUUGACCACUUCAUUCGUAUGGCUAGAGAACCAGCUCCCAAGUCUAUUGACUCGGACUAUGAGCGCCAAAUCAGGAAGGCACAUCGAGCACGACUACAGAAGGAAGCGAGCUCAAGCUCGAGCCAACAAGAAGCUGGCAAAAAAUGCGGGAAAACCGUUCCCCAGUUGGGAGAACAGGCGGCGCAAGCGAUCCCCCCGCUUGUUGUGCCAACAACACAUGAGAGGAGUAGUACGCGCGCCAAAUAUUAUUGUGGGCAAACCAUUAGUGUUCCCCAACAUGGCGAUGUGGUAAUAACAGAGGAUCAUAUAAUGCAGGCUCAAAUGCUCAAUAUCUCUGUUGGACAACUCCUCGAAAUCGAGCCCAUGCCUACGCUUAAAGAAUCGUAAAUAGCAUGGCAAUAUGUCCGGGGCAAACCUUUGGUCCAUCUAGACAAGGUCAAGGACCUCCCAAAGAGAAUGUAUCAAUUGCAUCAAUGGUACAUGAACAUUACCAGGAUUUCCAAUCGAGAGUCCCUCAUGGUGAAUGUCAAGCAUGAGCAUUAUUACCAUGAGAAAGCUCUGGCCGUUGAGUAUCCAGAACUAUUUCAGUUAUUUAAACAAGACGCACUCGACAAGUCAAUCGUCAGUUGCUAUUGUCUGUAAGUGAUUUCUUUCUGUAAUUUAAGUCUCAAGCUAGUUAUGUAGUGAUAAUUUUGAUCAAUCAUUACAUGUAAUUAUCCUCACUAUAUUCUUUUUCUGUGGUAUUAUAUGCAGGAUGAAGAUGUAUGAAAUGAAAAAAGCUGGACACUAUGGCGUUGGGUUCAUUGACCCGAAUACCAUUAACCAGGACAUAUGGGAGAUUGAACAUUGUAAAGCUACUGUAGAGGAAAGCAUGCUACAGUUCUUGAAGCGCCUCAAUACCUUCGAAGAUAUACUACUUCCUUACAACUUCCCGUGAGUCAUACUGUCUUGUACUACAAAUUCUGUUUUUGCUUACUAGCUAGCUAGAUAUUAAUAAUUAAGUGUAUACGGUUUACGGUAGUUGAUUAAUUUUAUGCACAUGCCCGCUUAAUUAAGACAUGCAAACAUGUGCGUAUGCAGUUGGCACUGGGUCUUGAUAGACAUUAAAGUUGAGGAAGGAAAAGUUGAAUUACUGAACUCACUAACUAAAGAAGAUAAAGACUACACCAUCAUGAAGGGGAUAGUCAACAGGUAAUUUCAAUCAUAAUUAACUAUUAGUUCCUGAUAUGAACUAUUUAAUAACCCCUUUAUUAAUUUUCUUUGCCGGCGGGUAGGGCAUGGGCAAAGUUCAUCGCGGUGACUCCAGGAGAAUGGAAAAAAAAUGUUUAGGCAUCGACCCAAGGUAAGUAAUUAACUAAUACUAGCUAGCUACCAUCUCUUUAAUUCUUGUUUCAAUAUCAUUAAUUAAUUAUUAUGCUUGAUUAAUCAUUAUCAGAUUCAAUUCCAUUCUCGUAAAGGCCCUGAGGCAGGCGAAAGGGAAUAAUCUGUGUGCAUACUACGUUUGUGAGAACUUUUGCAUGAUGACGUGGGAAAGGAGCAUAUCUGAUAGACAGGACUGGGUACGUUUUUGUCAGAACACUAUUCACACUAUUAUCAAUAUCUAGUCACACAACUAACACACAUGCAUAUUGAUCUCCUUCUUAACAGUUCAGAUUGGUGCGAGAUAGGCUCCUAACAUCGGACCACAUACAAGCACUUCAAGAGGAAAUAGCCAGAUUUUUGCUCGACCAGGUCAUAGAUCCGAAAGGAGAAUACUAUUACCCGCUACCGCCCUCAUGAACCACUUGUCAUCGUGCUCCGAAGGCACCAAGGCAACAUGUAGUAGAAAUUGUAUAUGUAUAUACAUGUGUAUAUGUGUGAAUAGUUAAUGGUGUUGGCUGUGAGACAUUCGAUGAUAUAUAUUAUAUAUAUAUGCGGUUCUACGUAUGAGAAAAUCUAUUUAAUAUAUAUGCAUAACGUGUACAAUUUGUAGUAUCGUGAAAUACCAGCAAACAAAAAAUAAUUAAAUGGAAAAUAAAGCCAAAUUGAAAACACAAAAUUAAAGCAAAAAUUAAAAAAAAACACCCAAACAUUUAGUACCGGUUGGUGUUACCAACUGGUACUAAUGUCCUACACGCACACGGGCCUGGCUCGUGCCACGUGUUUGCACUUUAGCGCCGGUUCGUGACGAACCGGUACUAAAGGCCGUCACGAACCGGCACUAAAGCCCGGUUCUGCAGUAGUGAUCCGAUUCUAGCCGCCUAUGCUCGUGUCGCGAUUGAUGAAGCGGUGGCAGAAUAUUGGGGGCUACAACUUGACAUUCCUGGAGGUGACAACGAGCGCACACUGGGAGAGCCAUUACAUCAUAUCAUUCUAUGGAGAAAGGAUUGCAUCGCCUUUCCAAGGCCACCGACUCCGCAUCAGCCGACUCCUCCCCAAAGUCCGCCACCGCGUCAGCAGACUCCCGCUCCUCCAAGUCAUCAGCCACCGCCUCAGCAGAGUACUGCUCCUCCAAGUUCGCCAACGAGUGAGCCCACUCCUGCUCCUCCAAGUCCGGCACCGCAUGAGCCCACUCCUUGUCCAAGUCCGCCACUGCGUCAUCCCAGUCCUCCUCCUCCAAGUCAUCAGGCACCGCGUCAGCUGUCUCCGCCGCCUAAGCAACAGCGAAAGACAGCCGCCGCAGCUUCGGUGGCUAGCUAUACAAGUACAGGAGGCAAGAGAUUCUAAUAUGGUCCAAGCCUCAAGCCUCUUCCUCUUUGGCCUUACGACCUGAGUGAGGAGGAAAACGAAGCCGAAGUGCAUCGCCAAUUGGAUGCCCAUUUUGGAUGAAACUGCCAUCACCGCAAAAGGAGAUUGUACCUGAGCAUAUCAUUGACCACUUCAUUCAUAUGGCUAGAGCACCAGCUCCCAAGCCUAUUGACUCAGACUAUGAGCGCCAAAUCAGGAAGGCAUAUCAAGCACACAAAAAGAAAGAGUCGAGCACGAGCCUAGCAGCUGCCAAAAAAGCGGGAAACUGUUCCCCAGCUGGGAGAACAGGCGGUGCAAUCGACCNNNNNNNNNNCGAAAGACAGCCGCCGCAGCUUCGGCGGCUAGCUAUACAAGUACAGGAGGCAAGAGAUUCUAAUAUGGUCCAAGCCUCAAGCCUCUUCCUCUUUGGCCUUACGACCUGAGUGAGGAGGAAAACGAAGCCGAAGUGCAUCGCCAAUUGGAUGCCCAUUUUGGAUGAAACUGCCAUCACCGCAAAAGGAGAUUGUACCUGAGCAUAUCAUUGACCACUUCAUUCAUAUGGCUAGAGCACCAGCUCCCAAGCCUAUUGACUCAGACUAUGAGCGCCAAAUCAGGAAGGCAUAUCAAGCACAAAAAAAGAAAGAGUCGAGCACGAGCCUAGCAGCUGCCAAAAAAGCGGGAAACUGUUCCCCAGCUGGGAGAACAGGCGGCGCAAUCGACCCCCCCCCCGCUCAUUGUACCAACACAAAAGAGUACCAGUGCGGCAGAUCAUCUGGUAAUAACCAAGGAUCAUAGAAGGCAGGCUGCAGAGAUUGGAUGCACUGUAGAACAACUCCUAGAGCUCGAGCCCAUGGAAAGUUUUACAGAGCAGAAACUAAAAUGGAAAUAUGCCCGCGGCAAACCUUUGGUCAAGCCUGAGGAGGUCCAGAAGCUCUCAACGAGAACGUAUUAAUUGCAUGAAUGGUACAUGAAAAUUGCCAACACUACCAAUCGAGAGUCCCUCAUGGUGAGAGUCAAGCCAGAGCAUUACUACCAUGAAAAUGCUCUGUAUGUUGAGUUUACAGAACAGUUUCAGUUAUUCAAUCAAGACGCACUCGACAAAUCUAUCGUCAGUUGCUAUUGUCUGUAAGUGAUUUCUUUGUAUAAUUUAAGUCUCAAGCUAGUUGUAGUGCUCGUUGAUCAUUACCUGUAAUUAUCCUCACUAUAUUCUUUUCUGUGGUAUUAUGCAGAAUGAAGGUCUAUCAAAUGAAAAAAGUUGGACGCUAUGGCAUUGGGUUCAUUGACUCAAAUACCAUUAAUCAAGAGACAUGGUCACAGGAAUUCUAUCGAAAAGUAACAAAGAAAAGCAUGCUAGAGUUCUUGAAGCGCCUAAAUACCAAUCGAGAUAUACUACUUCCUUACAACUUCGGGUGAGUCACAUUGUCUUGUACUACAAAUUCUAUUUUGCUUACUAGCUAGAUGUUAAUGAGUGUAUAGGGUUUAGGUUAGUUGAUGAGUGUUAUGCACAUGCCCGCUUAAUUUAUACAUGCAAAUGUGUGCGCAUGCAGUUUUCACUAGAUCUUGUUAAUCAUUCAAGUUGACGAAGCAAAACUUAAAGUACUGGACUCACUACUUAAACCAGUUACUGAGUACGAAAUCGUGAAGGGGAUGGUCAACAGGUAAUUUCAAUCAUUAUCGAACUAUAUGUCGGCCUCUUUAGUUUGUCAUUUCCUGAUAUCAACUAAUUAAUAACUCCUUUAUUCAUUUUCUUUGCCGGCGGGUAGGGCUUGGGAAAAGUACAUUAAAACGGUUCAAGGCCAAUCGAAACAAAAGCUAUUUUGGUAUCGACCCAAGGUAAUUAAUUAAGUAGUACUAGCUAGCUACCAUCUCUUUAAUUCUAGUUUCAAUACCAUUAAUUAUCAUGCUUGAUUAAUUAUUAUCUGAUUGAAUUCUAUUCUCGUAAAGGCCAUGAAGCAGGCGCAGGGAAAUGAUUUAUGUGCAUACUACGUUUGCGAGAACAUUCGUAUGAUGGCGUCCGAAAGGAGCAUAUCUCAUAGACAACUAUGGAUAUGUUUGUGAGAACACUAUUUACAAUUUUUACAUCAUUAUCGAUAUCUAAUAUAUAUAUACACACAACUAAUACAUGCAUAUUGAUCUCCUUCUUUAAAGUUCAAUGAGAUGCGGGAUAAGCUCCUACCAACGGAAUCGCGUACUAGCAAUUCAAGAAGAAAUAGCGGGAUUUUUGCUCGACCAGGUCAUAUAGAUCCCAAAGGAGAAUUUCAUUACCCGCUACCGCAGUAAUGCCUCCAGGUAAGAUAAAUUGUAUAUACCAAAUUGUAUAUAUACAUGUGUAUGUGUGAAUGGUGGUGCGAGACAUUCGACGAUAUAUAUAUCAUCAGUUCUACGAGAAAUUCUAUUUAUAUAUAUACAUAAUGUAUACAAUAUGCAUUAUCAUAAAAUACCAGCAAAUGAAAAAGAAUUAAAUGAAAAACACAAAAUUAAAGGAAAAAGAAAUCAUAAACCCAAAAACCCCUAAACCUACCAACCGGUACUAAAGGUCUCCCAACCCCCGGCGCGGGCUCAUGCCACAUGGUGGCCCUUUUGUGACGGUUUGUGUUGAACCGGGACUAAAGGGGACCUUUAGUCCUCACUCUUUAGUGCCGGUUACAGAACCGGCACUAAAGGACCUUACGAACCGGUACUAUAGCCCGGUUCUGCACUAGUGUGAUUCUAUGAGAGUAUAUAUAUAUAUGUCUAUAUAUAUCGGCAUGCAUGUUAGUGUGGAAACAGGUUGUUGUUCUAGCGGUCAGUGAUCAGUGAUGCAGUGCUAAUUCCAAAUGGUCUUGGUUCAAGUGAUAGGCAGUGCAACGUUUUUUUAAUAUUUUUCCCUCCCAUACCUUUAGCAUGGUUUCUGAGAGAAAAAAACCAAGUCAACCUGCAAAUAAAUCCCGCUAAAAAAUAGUUAAUUUAUAAGCGGUGAAAGAAAUGAUGACAUGGCAUUGAUGUGGUCAUUUUUUCCAGGUGACGACGCUGCCGCCGAGGAAGUAGACCACGCCGGAGGUGCUCUUGCAGUCGUUCCUAUCGCCGGCGUGGUAUCUGUUGCUAUAGCCGACCAGGGAGGGCGCACCCGACCUCCUCUUGUAGCCGCAGCCAUAAUGCAGAGUGCCGCGGAUGUACCUGAGGAUCUACUUCACCUCGUCCAGUGGUGCGUGCUCGGCGCCUCCAUGUACCGGUUGGUCACGCCCACGGCCAGAGCCAUGUCCGGCCUCAUGUUGACGAGGUAGCGCAGACAGCCGAUGAUGCCGCGGUACUUUGUGGCAUCCGCCGAAGGCGCGCUGUCCUCCUUGCUCAGCUUCAGGCGCACCUCCAACGGUAUGUUGCAUGGAUUGCAGCCACUCAUCCCAGCGCGCUCGAGAACUUUCUCCACGUAUCCUCUCUUGCAGAGCGUGAUUUUGCCCCGCUCCUACUUCACCUCGAUCCCGAGGUAGUAGGACAGCAACCCAAGGUCGCUCAUCUUGAAUAGGUGCUGCAUCUCGGCAUUGAACACCAUGAUCUCGUAACCGUUAGCUUCAGUAAUGACCAAGUCGUCAACGUAGACCCCCACGAGGAGGAGCGAGGCCCUCGCCGCGUCUGUACACGGCGUGUUCCAGAGGACUGCGUGCAAACCCAAGUUCAUGGAGAGAGGCAUCAAGUUUGGCAUACCAUGCAAGUGGCGCCUGUCGCAGCCCAUACAGGGCCUUGCUGAGCUUGAGGAUGACUAAAGGAUCAUCGGGGUUGACGAAACCCUCCGUAUGCUGGACGUAGACCUCCUCUACCAGAUCGUCGUUCAGGAGCGCUGACUUGACAUCCAUAUGAUGGACCUGCCUGCCAGCAUGCGUGGCAAGCGCGAUCAGCACGCACACCAUCUCCAUCUGCGCCAUUGGCGUGAACACCUUGUUGAAGUCCACCCUCUGUUUGCUGGGCGUAGCCCUUCACGACGAGCCUGGCCUUGUGCUUCACCAUGUUGCGAUCCGCAGCCUGUUUCAACUUGAAGACCCAUUUCAGACCGAUCGCACGACACCCAGGAGAAGCCACGGUGACCGACCAUGUGUUGUUAUUGAUGAUGGCCUUCAUCUCUUUUUGCAUCGCCGCCCUCCACUCGGGGAAGGUCAGUGCUACUUCCACGCCCACCGGCUGCUGCGACCAGGCACAGCAUCCCCGAGCUCGUCGUCAUCGAACUCUGGAUCAGGCGUCUUGCGCCUGCACAGGAUUGGCGGCAUCGUACACAUCCUCCAUGUGACUGUAGUGUCACAGCGCAUCCGUGUACACCGCAGCGUCCAGCGCGCUGUCGUGCAACGGUGGAGUGCACAGCUCUGUGCUCGGUCCGGGCGUGACGAAGGUCGGUGUCACACGCUCGGAGACGCAUCGCGUCAUUGGCGGGGUAGACUCCUCAUUCCUGUCGAUGAUGUGCUCCUCCAACUCGGUGGUGUAUGUCACAGUGAAUGAUGAUGUUGCCGCCUCCUUACCGCGCGUCGCCGUCGCUGCCCCGUCCACUGACUAGGCCCACAGACGGCGCUCCUCGAACAUCAGGUCGCGGGUGACGUACACCCGAUUUGCCACCAGGUCGUACACCUGAUAGGCUUUGGAGCCCUCCUCGUAGCCGAUGAAUACGGUGAGGACCGAGCGAUCGGACAACUUAGUCACACCGGGCCCCAUCUUCUUUAUAUGGGCGACGCAGCCGAAUGUGUGCAGGUGCUCGACAGUGGGCCUCCUCUCGUUCCAAGCCUCAUACGGGGUCACCCCAUUGAGACUCCCUGUGGGCGCUCUGUUGAGCACGUACACGACGCACUUGACGGCUUCGCCCUAGAAUUUGGCCGGCAUGGCCAUGCUCUUGAGCAUGCACGGGCCAUCUAGACCACCCUUUGGUUUCGGCGCUCGACGACCCCAUUCUGCUAUGGUGAGUACCGAGCAAUGGUGUGGUGCACGAUCCUGCCCUGCUCGCAGUGGGCCUUUUUUUUUAGAACGAAGGCUCGAGAAUGAGCCCGGCUUUGAAUUAACAAAGCCAUCAACCGGCCAGGAAUUACAGCCAACAAGAGCAGCCCAACGCCACUUACAAAGAAAAUAAAACAAGAGCGGCCCAAAGAUACAUGGGUGCUGAAGAUACAGCUUACAACACAAUCCCAAACUACAAGCACCUAAACAAGAUAGAGAUGAAGAACCGCUUGGAGAAAGGACCUCCCUUGAAGCUCGAAACACCGGCGCCUAAGGAAACAUCAGCGACAAUGGCAUUGCCAACUGCCUUGGCCACAAACACGCCAAAAACUCCUGCACUGGACCAGAAAGAUAUCACACCUUCCUUCUCCCUCACCGAAGAGGGUCCCUACCCCCUCGUCCUGGCUCGAAGGAUGCCGCACCGUCGAGCGAGGGAUGAGUUCACCCUAGAACAAGGAAAGGCACGAUCUUGGGGUAGCAGACACAGAACAUUUGCUCGCACCCGUGUCGUAGCAACAGGCAUACCUCACUGGGCAUUUAAGCACAGACCGCAUGUGUCCAAACAAGAAGAGAGUAAGCUGUAGGAAACGGCACAUCGGAGCUGAAGAAGCAUCGAGCUUGCGGCGAAACAACAGGGAAACAGAACAUGCACAGGAUGCGAGGGAUAUGGCCCUGGUGCUCAUUGAGCUGCCGAGUCUUUGUUGCCGGGAAGGGGAACCCUUUCCUCUUCCACCCAGGCUCAAGGGAGCCGAGCACCGGCGAACAAGGGACGGCCAGCAAGCACCAAACAGAGAAUGGCAAGCCCGACAUCUCUGGAAACCACGUUGUCACACGUACCCCCGCUGCAAUUGCAAACCUCGGAUCUAGCACCGCACACCUACACCCUUCUAACCAGACGACGCCCCCAGGGAGGUUACGACGCUGAGCGCCGCCGCCGCCGAAUCCGCAAGGGAUUACAGGAUUUAACCUUGGAAUGGAGGGGAAGGGGUGGGAAGAGGGGAUCUCGACGGUGCCUUCAAGAAGGGGAGCCGCGCCCGAGGGCCUGGCCACCGCCGUGGUCGGAGCCACCAACCAGGGAUUUCUCCCGGUCCCAACGGACACCACCGCAACCAGCUACCAACAGAACGGCAAAGAACACCAGCGCUAGUACUCGCCGCCCCUGUCCGAGCAGAACACACGCAGGCGGCAGCUCUGCUUCGCCUCGGCUUGCGCUUAAAUCUUCUUGAAACAUGCGAACACCUCGUCCUUGGACCUGAGAACUUCCAGCCACAUGUAUCUACUAUAGUCAUCAACGACCAAGAGGAAAUACUGAUUACCGCCCGCAGUCGCUGGCUUGAUCGGACCGCCAAGGUCAGUGUGCACCAGGUCCAGGGCGCGCUCUGAGCGGUGUGGGCUCGCGCGCGGGAACGCCAGGCGAUGUUGCUUUCCGAUUGUGCACCCAUCACCGAUCUCGUCGGUGUGAUCCACGAGCGGCAUCCCACGAACCAUGCCCCUCCUGGGCAUGGCGUUCAUGGCGCGGAAGUGGAGGUGGCCGAGGCGGGCAUGCCACAGCCACGCCGGGUCAUCCAACUUUGCCACGAGGGCACGCCAGCGAGGCGAGGUCCAGCCGCAGGAUGUACAUGCGAUUUGCGGUGUGCCUGACCCGUACGAGCAGCUCCAUCUGUUGGUCGAACACACAAAGGUGCAAAUCCUCGAUCACGGAUUUGCAUCCCUUCUUGUCCAGCUGCCCGAGUGAGAUGAUGUUGGCCCGCAGCUUGGGCAUGAAGUAGACGUCCGGGAGCAUCCACUCGUUGCCGUUGGUCCACCGGAAAAUGACGCAACCCUUUCCGCAGAUCGUGACGAGGGAGCCAUCGCCAAAGCGCACGGAGCCGUCUCGUCGAGGUUGAUGAAAGCAUCGCUCGCCCCUGUCAUGUGUCUGCUGGCACCGGUCUCCAUGUACCAGGAACCACGUGCUCCGGUGGUCUCUGGCACGACGGGCUCUUCGUUGAGGAAGACCGCCUGGGCGCGCACAGGUACCACCUCCACGGCUCCACAUCGCUGGCCGUGCCCACGGCCUGGACUGGGUGCUCGCCCUCCUCGACGGCAGCCAUUAGAAGCGAUGGUGGCUCCACGUCUGCCUCGGCGAGGUUCGUCGCCCCACCUUGGUUCUGGCGAUCGCGCUCCGCCUACGACACUCCCUAGCCCAGUGGCCAGGAAUGUUAUAGUAGCGGCAUUUUCCCUUUCGCUUCACGUCGGCGGGCGUCUUGCCACCAUCGCCGCGCCCACCUGCCCGCUCGCCGCCUUGCGGUCGUGUGCCGGAGUGUCCCUUGCCUUCCUUGGUGCCCGAGGAGGAGCCCUGGCCUUGAUGUUGCAGGCAUGCGUACCACUCCCUUUCAGUGAGGAGCAGUUCGCCAACACCAUGGUCAACAUCGUCAAGAGCGUAGCUCUCCUCAAAGGACCGCAAGCGCCCGCACAGUUCCUCGAUAGAGAGCGACCGCAGGUCGACGAAGGACUCGAUGGCCAUGGCCAUCUGCUUGAACUUGCGUGGCACCGCGCGGAGAAACUUCAGCACGGCGCGGUACUCCGUCACACGGUCGUUCAGCAGCUCCAGCUCGUUCACGAUCGCUGUCAGACGAAGAGAGUAAUCUUCAAUCGACUUCCAGUCGCGGAAGCGUAUCUCCUCAAACUCGCGUCGGCGGGUCUGCGCCUUGGCCUCCCAGACGCGCUCGCUGCCCAUGCACGUCAUCAUCAGCGUCUCCCAUGCCUCCUUAGUCGAGUACUUGCCGGCGAGGGCGCGGAUCUUCUUUGGAGACACCGUGCGGAGCAACACGGCCAGCACGACACGAUCGUCGCCGUCACCGUCGCCGUACUCCAUGGCCUCCCACAGGCCCUGAGUCUGCAGUUGCACGCGCAUCACCAUGGCCCAGUCGACGUAGUUGGUGCGAGUGAGUGUGACAAAAUCAAAAUGUGGUUAGCAAAAUCAAAAUUCAUAUAUUUAAAUUCAGAGAGAUGAGAAAGAAAGAGAGGCGUGGAUCUAAUUAUAUUACUCCUAAGUGCAUAAUGUUUUGUCAAUACCUUAAAUUUGAUUUGAGGGAAAGGAGGUACUAUCACUAAGAAGGGAAGGUAGUUGCCGCCCUUAUCCGUCGUUGCUGGCCUGCCAUGGCGGUGGCUCGCUUAGUACUGAAUUUUGUGAUAAGAGUGAGGGCCGAGAGUGAGAGAGAUGGGGGUUGGAGUUGGCCAGUUUACUUACGGCACUGAGCAAAAUAAUUUUCCUACUUUUAAUAAUGUACCGAAUUACAUUUCAUUAGAGAUGGCUUUGCAGCAAAUUGCAUGAGCGAGCAGUUCAUAUUUUUUUUCUUCAAGUCAUGCAAAUUUUUGGUUAAGAAAGGAGGGUAAAUGCAUUUAUUUGUUGCUUCAAGAGUCAAUAAAACACACGGCGGCGUCUAAGGUGCAUGCCCAACAACGAACAUCUUAUUUUUGUUUCGUGGUAAUGCACAACAUUCAACUUUAUGUUACAACUUGUCAAUGGCUCGGAAGACAUCAGAUCCGUCUUCUUGGCUUGGCGGCGUCACGGGUGGCGCACGCCUCCUAGCCCUUGGUGGCGGUGGUGGAUCGACACGGACAUGGGGGGAGCGGGUCAGGGCCAAGAGCAGAACGAUUGGCGGGAGACUCCUCCUUCGCAGUCCAUGGGGAAGUACAGUGUGAAGAAGAGAGCACGCCAUGGCGAAGGUGAGGCGGGCAUCAUCCAGUUUUAAAGGAGAGGGCUCCAGGGAGUAAUAUCCAGUCUUAGCGGAAAACCGAGCGGUGAGGGGAAGGUUCAACAAGAAAAGGGAAGUGUCUAUCAUGGGGUGGAGUCUUUUCUGUUCGGACCGCAUGUUGGAAAUAAAAUGGUGGAUAAUCCAGAUAACCACAUUCCCCUCCCCCCUCCCACCAGAUAGGGCUAGAUUUGGGUGAACCUGGAUCAUCUACGGUUGAAUAUCGAGGAGCCCGCUAGACGCCCCUUUGUCCGAACACGCUCGGACGCACGUGGGAGAAUUGAGCUUCAACCAUAGAGACUAGCUUAAUUAUUUGUUUGCUCCAUUUAUAUGAUUUGUAGCCCAUAGGAGCGCACGUGCAUUCUACUAGUAAUGAUAGGAUCCAAGAGAAAUGAUUUAGUCAAUGGUACUAUGAGGACAUGCUUAUCCACAUUUCACUCACUUAUAUAUGGUACCCAAUGUGCCAACCUUGCAUGGAAUUGCUUGUCCAUUGGUUUCAUGAAAUCAAUGGCACUACCAAGCAUAUUUUGUUGUUUAUUUUUUCUGUGUGUAUUUGACUUCAUCAGAAAUGAAAAUACCUUUGUUUUGUUCUUCUUGAUGCUAAUCGAUGAACUAACUUUUGCACAGCUGAUGACCAUAUAUAUUUUACUGAGUGCUAGAUUAUAAUCUUCCAUUUAACCUUUUUGUUUGUGAUGUUUAGUUGCACUUAAUAAGAAUAUGGACACAAAUUAUUUAAUCAUUCAAUUCACCAGGGUUGAUGAAUAGGCUCGACUGCGGGACUUUCCCUAGACACAAGCUUUUGUGGGUGUCGCCGUGUUUUCAUACUCAGAUAGCCACAACUUUUUCCAUAGACUCAUCUGAAGAACUAAUUUCGUCCAUAUAUUUUCUAUUAUGAUAUUUGAAGAUUGCUAAUUAUCAUGCUAGGAAGUGUGAAUGUCUUCCUUUUUAGAAAAAUAGGCACACAAAUGACCGCAGAUGAGGGGUGCCAACUUCUAGGGAAGUGAUUCUGGGAAGAAAUUAAUUAUGUGCCAACCAUGUUCUGUGUAUGUAGGCGAAGAGGCUGAUCGAUCUAACACUGAGGACUAUCCCGGGGGACAUGGGAAGAGAUGAUCACUGAGGAUGACGAUGCUACAGAAGAGGAAUUCAGAGAAUUUUCCCUUCUUUUGUGGAUUGUGGUGUAAGCACGAAACUAUACAUUUUACUAUAUCAUACUCGAACUUAUUUUGACUUGCAAUGUGUUUCACUGAAUAUUUGAUCAAUGUUGUUAGUUGGAAACAGGGAAGUUCCAAGAACAACAAACAAACCCUUAUCCUGUAAAGAACAUUUUGUUGAGACUGUGCUGACCAUAUGAAUAGUUUAGAGAGUUGUAUCAUUAACAGAGAUCAUACAAAUGUUUCUCAGGAAAGCAACUAGUGUAGUGUAGUAGUAGAAGAUAAUAAAAGCCCACCUAUAUAAUUGUUAGGUUGAAAUUGUUGCUCCAUGUGGGCUGUUUUUUUUUGUUGCGGGAAAAUUUCCGAUCUAUUAUCUUCAAUCAUUAGCACAACGAACACCAGAAAUAAUAAAAAAUACGGCCAGAUUCGUAGACGACCUUGCGAGAACUACAACCUAUGAAGCGAGCCGAAGGCGCACCACUGUCAUUGACCCUCCUUUGGCGGAGCCGGGAAAACAUGCUGAAAUAAACAGUCAAGAAGUCAUCGUUUAAAGUCCCCAUAGGACAAGCGCACCAGAAAAAAAGAACCACCGAUGAAAAGAUGCGUAGGCCGGAAGGAUCCAACAUGAAGACAAAAUGAAUAAAGACCAAAUCCAAAUUUUUAGUUUUUAGAAAAGGAGGAGGACCCUGGCCUCUGCAUCUGGGCGAUGCAUACGGACACUUUAUUAAUUAUUCUCACAAGACCUUACAAAGUCAUACAACAGUAAGACUAAAGCCACCGUCUAAGCAACAACUCUCGCUACUCCUAUUCAAUUGAUGAAGGGCAUUGAUAGUCUGGGGCUAAUACCAAACAGAUAUCGCAGCUAAACCUAAACAUCUAAGACCUGAGGUCCCAACCAGGACGCCUACCAGGUAUGGGGCACCUACCAGUCCGGCGCACUCCUCAACCAGUCCACCUGUCAGGUAUGAGGUCGCCACAGCCACCUGCCACCAAUCCAUCUUCAGUGAUGUACUGCUGCACCACCUUGCCCGGCCUCUCUGCCGCCGACACCACCAUGAUGCCUGAUAACGUCACUCUCCUGCGCGAGUCCCUUGCCACACAUCGGGCGCCGAGUCUCCACUGCGUCACGCCGCCGAGAAGCGCCACCAUUAAUGUGCAGGAUGAAUCACCGCUCCACCAAUUAUUCCGCCCACUGGUCCCUCGAGCCCGUGUACACCUUCCAGAAUGACGCCACAUAAGGAAAACAACACAAUAAUGCCGCCGUCAUUUGAUCUAAUGAUCUAGGUUUUUCCCCGGAGGUAGCAGAUAGUGUCCUAAAACUUCUCAACAGCGAUGCCUCAACAAGGGAACGACACCGAAUAGUGUCGCCAUCGCCGGCCCCGGGAUCCAGCCCUCGCUGGCCGCCGGAACGAAGCCACCGAGCCCCAUCGAGGGCGGCCAACGGGGACGGAGAAGCUAGAUCCGGCCAAGCCCGGCCAGGAUCCGGCCUCUUCCCGCGCUGAAGCCGAGGUUGCGGCCGCAGGGCCAGAUCCGAGCCGGAUUCGCGCCUGCGCCAGCCCCGAUCUGUCGCCACGCCAUGGUCUUGCACCAUGCAGCCACCACGGCCUGGACGCCCGCCCGCACCGCACGGCCGAGAGCCAGGCCGCCGCCAUGCCUCGCACCAGCGGCACGCCCCCGCCGCACCGCCGCAGCUCGCGCUGCCGCCACACACCUUCUGGAUUCAUCAAAGACAAUCAUCGAAUGAAUCCUGUGAGAUACGCCAGAGAUCUCCACACGCCUUCUGACAAUCGAAACGGGCCAGGCGGGGAGAAAAUCAUUCUAUAUUAAAGGAGCCCCCGCCGUCUGGCCUUCCUUAGCAGGACAGAAACCCUAACAAAAUGGAAAAAACCAUCUAAAAUUGAGGCUAUCCCACGGACAAGGGUCGAGAUCCACCGUGCCCCCCGUAUGAUUCUAAGGCCAACGGAGACUAGACGGACGGGCGGGAGGCAGAGGAACCAUAUGUACAUGUGGAUUGUUGGUUGCUAGAUGCAAAUUUUCAAGAUUCAUACCACGAGAGCAUCAAUUGGUGAACCUGCUUCAUUUAGUGCAGAACUGAACAAGUUUUUCUUUUUUGAGGGGAAAUCAACUUGGUUAUGUACGUGUCAUAAUUAUGCUACUUCAAAUUAUCAAAGUAGAUAGAUUAGCUGUAGCUGGCUCAACUGGUUCCCUGGUUGCGUACGACUUCUUGUUUUUUGGGUGGUUGCGUACGGUUGUUGAUUCCUUGGUUGGAGACCUCGCACGCGCAGUGCUCGUUACACGAAAUCCAUCCGUUCCAGCUUAGCCGGUGGGCCGAAGACGCGAAGACCAGGGCGCUUAGCCACAGGUGGGCCGAAGACGAGCGCACCACUCGGUUGACGCUGCGUGCUACGGAGUAGUAGUAUUUUAGUACCACAUCGCUUGUUUCGGUAGACACCUCGCGGCUUAAAUAGCGAGACGUUCAAUCAUGUAUCGUCGAGGACGCAAAGCUAGCACUAGCUAUGCUGGCCUGUCGAGGCAAAAAGCGUUCGUGACGUACUUCUAGCCGGGUUUGGCCCAGCAGCCUGUAACCCUAGGUCGCUGUUAACUCGUGCAUGUUGGGGGCUAGAAGCGCGGAGCGAUUUAAGUCUUUUUUGCGUUUUGAUGCCGUUUUUCUUUUGCCUUGGUUCAUUCUAUUUGAGUCGACCAAAAUAUUUUCUCUCUUACUUACACAUUAUUCGUGGGACCUGCAAAUUUCCCCUUCCACACGGACUAGUGUAAAUAAAGAUUUUUAUUUUUCUUUUCCAUAUUUUUCCUCUUCCUUCCACUCCGACCGGCACCAAACCAUUUAUUUCCUACCGCUUGUUCUAGCUCCGACUCAUCAUUUAUUUGCUCUAAAGAUUGUGUGUGUUGGGCGCCAAAAGUAUAUGGCCACAUCAUCGUUUCUCUAGCUUCAAAAAAAGAAACAAAUCUGUCCGGAGUACUUCUCUCCACCACUUCCCUCCCUCCAUAGGGCCAAAUUGGUCAUACACCGCAGGGUCAUUUUCCUAUGACAUGAAAAGCUGCAAUAUGACGUUCUAUCUCAUACCCUCUUCGACCGGACAUCUAUGUUGGUGUAAUGCCACACGCUUCAAUGGACAAAUGUAUGGAAUGUCAUGCCCCUUUUUCCCGCUUCGCUAUAGUGCUCAGGCAGUGUGGCGCCAAAACUUUUUUUAAAUUGUUUUUGCAUCAUCAUGCCGUUUUUAGUCAUUCUAUUUGGGUCAAUGCAAUUCUUUUCUCCUCUUACUUAUAAACUCGUCAUUUGAGUUAGGGUCGAUUCGGACGGAUGAAAACUUUUCCCUUUCACAUAGACCAAUGUAAUUUUUUCCUCUUCAUUCCACUCGGACCGAAAGUGAACUAUUUAUUCCUAUCCCUCCCUCUAGAAGGCCAAGUUACUGCUGCACCACCGGGUCAUUUUUCUAUGACAUGAAAAUGCUACAAUAUGUCGUUCUCCCUCACACCCUCUUCAAUUGGACAUCUAUGUUGGAGUAAUGACGCAUACUUCAAUGGACAAAUGUAUGGUGUGUCAUGUCCUUUUUUUCCGCGUCACCGUAGUGGUCAGGCUGGGGGAUGCCAGGACUAUAGAUUAAUGUAACUCUGUUAUUUCGUACCGUCUCUCCAUCAUGCUGGUUCGGCGGUGUGACACCAGAUGUAUGGAGUAUUAAUCUCUACUACCUAAAACAUGUAAGGUUCCCACUCCCGUCUUACGUCUCACCCCUUCGGCCAUCCCUCCCAGUACAUUCCUCCAUCGAUUUUUCUCCACCCUCCCCGGUUUUUCUCCUCUCCUGAUUUACUCGGACAAACCCAAUAAUUCUUUGGUAACACAACCAAUUCGUGGAUGGCAGUCAAUCUCUCCUUUGUGACGCAUAAGGCAAUCAAUUAAUGUAAUCAACCUAUUCUAUCGUAACACAAUAAACACAUGGCCAGUAAAUAUUCACGCGUUCCAUCCACCUCCUACAAGUUUUGAUUAUUUUUAUUACCUCAUCCACUGCUUCCUUCUACCUCUCUCUCCCAUCUCACCGAUGACACCGUGUCCCCCGAGCAAACCCUAUUCGUCCCCUCACAUUGGUUCUUCUCUUAUGGUAGCACGCGGUAGAUCAAGCGACAACCAGGAUAGUAUUGGCAGUGGGCCUAGGUGGCAUUGGAGCACAUUGAUGCCUUCGUUUUUCCAGCGUGAGAAUAUGAUCUUUUAUGCCUCUCGCUCGACUUCUUUGGUGCCUAGGGUUUGAAGAUUUUUGGGAUGCCCUCCUUAAUUAGCUCUACGAUGGUUACCUCAUCACGAGCAUCUUCUUCUUGCCGUUGUGGGUCGUUGGCCAUUAAUGCCCAACAUGUUCUUCGUUGGCGCACCUCCCGUAGUAAGUGUGCAUGUUUAUAUUUUUGAGAUCAUGACCCAUUAGUUGAUUCUUCCUUUUUAUUUUAUUCAAGUAUGGUAGAAUUUUUUUACUAACAUUUCAUUCUAAUGGCAAUUAGUUUCGUAUUCGUGUAUACAACCAUGCAUCCAUAUCUAUAGCUUGUGCGAUCUCCAUGACGACAACACAAUGCCAAGGCUAUGCGAUUGUCUCCAUCAAAGACACACACACACACACACACAGGCCCCCGAUUGUUACUAUGUGGCGGAGCGAUAGGGCAGGUUGAGACCACCUAGCCGAGAGGUCGGCCUGGCCCUGGUCGGCGCCCGCGGUUAUUUCAUAAUAACAUGCUUAACGAGAUCUUGGUAUUUGAUCUGAGUCUGGCCACUGGCCUAUACGCACUAACCAACUACGUGGGAACAGUUAUGGGCACUCGACGUCGUGGUAUCAGCCGAAGCCUUCUUGACGUCAGCGACGGAGCGGCGCGCGCCGGAUUAGACUGGAAUGCCUACUCUUGUAUAAGAGAGGCUAGGUUUGCUUCCGGCCGCCCUCGCAACGUGCAGGUGUGCAAUGCGCGAUGGGCCCAGACCCCUGCGUGCAUAGGAUUUAGACCGGCGUGCUGACCUCUCUGUUGUGCCUAGGUGUGGCUGCGACGUGUUGAUCUUCCGAGGCCGGGCAUGACCCAGGAAAGUGUGUCCGGCCAAAUGGGAUCGAGCGUGUUGGGUUAUGUGGUGCACCCCUGCAGGGAAGUUAAUCUAUUCGAAUAGCCGUGAUCUUCGGUAACAGGACGACUUGGAGUUGUACCUUGACCUUAUGACAACUAGAACAGGAUACUUAAUAAAACACACCCUUCUAAGUGCCAGAUACAACCCGGUGAUCGCUUUUCCACAGGGCGACGAGGGGAGGAUCGCCGGGUAGGAUUAUGCUAUGCGAUGUUACUUGGAGAUGCUACUUGGAGGACUUCAGUCUACUCUCUUCUACAUGCUGCAAGACGGAGGCUGCCAGAAGCGUAGUCUUCGAUAGGGCUAGCUAUCCCCCUCUUAUUCUGGCAUUCUGCAGUUCAGUCCAUCGAUAUUGCCUUGUAGUGUAGUUCCUUGCUUGCGAGUACUUUGGAUGAGUACUCACGGUUGCUUUCUCCCUCCUUUUUCCCCCUUUCCUUUCUUUCUGGUUGUCGCAACCAGAUGCUGGAGUCCAGGAGCCAGUCGCCACCGUCGACGAUGAUUCCUACUACACUGGAGGUGCCUUCUGCUACGUGCAGGCUGCUGACGACGACCAGAAGUAGUUAGGAGGAUCCCAGGCAGGAGGCCUGCGCCUCUUUCGAUCUGUAUCCUAGUUUGUGCUAGCCAUCUUAUGACAACUUGUUUAACUUAUGUCUGUACUCAGAUAUUGUUGCUUCCGCUGACUCGUCUAUGAUUGAGCACUUGUAUUCGAGCCCUCGAGGCCCCUGGCUUGUAUUAUGAUGCUUGUAUGACUUAUUUAUGUUUUUAGAGUUGUGUUGUGAUAUCUUCCCGUGAGUCCCUGAUCUUGAUCGUACAUGUUUGCGUGCAUGAUUAGUGUAUGAUUGAAUCGGGGGCGUCACAAGUUGGUAUCAGAGCCGACUGCCUGUAGGAAUCCCCCUUUCCAACUCCUUGGCCGAUGUCGAGUCUAGACAUUGCAAAACUUUUACUAACAUGGCUGUGUGUCCUACGGGCACACGUUGCCAUUGGGUGGUAUUAGGAUCUUUUAUUCCUUGUCCAUACUCUGAGAUUCUGAUCUCUCUUCUAUUCGGGUUAAAUGAAUUUUACUAAAUCUAACAUUAGGAUCUCGUUAUCACUUUCACCCGGAGAGCCCCUUAUUACUGAUGAUCGUCUGCUGCACCAGAAGACCAUGAAGAUACUCUCCGUUGUUAACUCGAGAACUUGUGUUCAUCGCGUUUGCAAUUCCCCUUCCACCGUAAACCCUUAUGGAUAACUACUUGCAGUUGUUAUUCUUACCUUCAUCCCCAGUUGGUCUUGUUAUUACAAGAUACCCUGAAAAACUCGUCGUUGUUUCGAUAAUCCUUUGAGCUUACUGCCUCGUUGUUCUUUGUCAUCUGAAUACCCCUACGGUUAAUUCUCGCACUUAUCGAGUAUCCGCUCAUCCCCCAGUUGUUCAUGUGUUAUACAAAAGUCUUCGAAAUACCAUUCGAUAUUCCGAAAAUCCUCAGCAACCUAUUGCUCUGGAAUUUCUUGUUUGCUUUCAUUAUGAUUAAUCCCAUAAGUAUAGUAAUCAUAUUGGCAUCCUUCAUCACCAUCUUUUUUGAGUCCGUUGAUUCAAUACGUUGUGAAUGUUCACAAUCAUCAGUCGAGUCCUAGUAUUAUCUUUCCGGCUCAGACGUCAUUUUUAACAUGAGCUGGUUCUCGACCAAACUAUCUGUCGUCGAUUGUGCCUCUGGUAUAUUCAAUUGAUCCAUCCUUGAUCAGAACGUCUGCUUCUGGUCCUUUGUUGUGGAAAUCAUAAUUCCUUUGCAUUUAAGCUUUGAAUUAUUCAGAUGAUUCCAUAACCUGUUGCAUUUGCAUUCCUUCCUUUUCUGGUUGAGUAUCGAUACUCACAUCAGAUCCUUUGUUGACCAUCAAGUCCUUUGUUGGGUUGUUAUCCGACAGUGUCCUUCAUAUUUGAUCACUUUGUGAGUUCUUCCCCUGAUACAUAAUGCCUUUGUUAAGUUGUAUCCUCUGCUUGGCCAACCAUGCUCUGCUUUCGGGCUUGUGUUAUUUACUCUUGAAACUUGUGGUAUAUGUUUCUAAGAAGCCCCUAUGGGUUGAACAUAUGCCUUUUCUAAACCGUGUGAACCCGAAAGUUUUCACGAGUCAUACUCUUCUGGUGCUUCACCAGAUAAAAUUUCAACACUGCAACUUCAUCGAACGUGAGAAGUGAAUGAAAGGUUAUGCAUUGGAGAAGUGGGAGUCGACCUUGAACUUGUGUUCAUGCCCAUGGACACGAUGUAGAUCUUAUCUUUAAAGCUUCUCUGAAAUUAAUUAUUCCUUUGGUAUAAGUUCAUCUUAUAUCUGGGAUCUGGCCUUUUGCAAUCGUGGUUCCGACCAUGUUCUCUUUUAAAUACCAUUUCUCGUGCAAGUUUAAGCACUUGUCUUCUGUAGAGCAAUACCCCAGUCCAACCUCUACUUUGAUCUGUCAUCGAGUAUUACCCCCCUGGUAUCUCGAGAUUAUCAUGGAACUGCAUAAACAUCUUACGAGUUCUUCAUCAAGUGCUACAUUCCCACUGAUUCCAAUUUUUCAUGGGCUCUGAGUUAUUAAACACUCAAAGACACCAAUAACUGAACCGAGUCCGCACUACGGUUCAACAACUCUUCAGUAAGCUUCUAUAAGUACGAGUUUGUACCCGAUCACAUCAUUCCUAGCAUGAUCGGCUAUAUCAUUAUCAUGCUAAAUUUUAACUGUGCUACCGGGUCCUUCUUCUCGGAGCACAAAUUUUGAUAGUGAGCUAAUCUUACAGUCGAUCUUCCUCGUCAUACCGUUUGUCCUUGAACAGCAAGCUUGAUUUCGAGUUUGUGUCGUACCCAUGGUUCCAAUGACUUUUGGCUUCAACAUUUCCGUUGACUUGAUGUCAUCGCCGAUCAGUUACAUCUUCUUGAAACCUCUCGACAAAUGUGUCGUGAUCAUCAUCAACAUUCUGGGGUCUUCCAAGAUAUCUAUCGAAUUCUUGAUGAGAAAUAGCAUCCUUUGCCCUCGAUGGUUUGGGUUAUCAUCCACAACGUUAUUGCAUUCCCUCCAACACAAAAAUUGUUCCUGUUUUGUGUUGUCCCUUGAGUUCCUUUCUAUCCUACUUAUGUUAUGAUUCUACCGCGGAGUAUUACCGUCUUUGAUGUGAAGAAUGUUGUGAGGAUUGCUCCACCUCUUCAGAAUUCUUGCUAUAAUGAUACUUCUCACCAUCACCAUUCUUUCUUGGUCCUUGUGUUGAUUCCAACCGGGGUACCCACAAGUGAACGGUGUUGUUUGGAUUCUACCCUUCUAGCAACCCUCUUAAUGGUCGACCGUUCAUUCUUAGACUAUUAAUUAUUGAAUCACCAUUCUGACAUUAGUCGUGCAACCCAACCCAUAUUUUGGGCGCACCUUUCAACCAAUGUUUAAUUGUGUAUGUCUUCCUCGAGCUUACUUCCUUAUAUCAUUUGAUAUGACAAAUGUUAUCUCCUUAUCCACAUAAUUGUGGAGAUCCAUCUUUCGGAUACCUCGAUGAGUUAUCGCUGAGUCCAUCAGUCACCUCCUCAUCCUCUUCUUGAUUUAAUGAUGAACUAUUGUUUCAGGAACCCGCUCCCAUAGUUCAUUUCCCGAGAAUCUUGCUAUGUCAUUUCGUCGAUUUGUGUUGCACCUUUUCUUCUCGGACAACCUGAGUCUGAUGUAUCACGACACCAAUCGAAUCUGAAUCUCGGUCAGAGAUGAUGGUUGGAACAUAUUUCCAAGAGUUAUAACAAUGGUCUUUAUGUGACCCGGUAAGGUGAUGUCAUGCCUAGCACCCCUGGCCGGAGGACCUAUUGUUAUAGUUUCCUUUUUGGUAAGGUUAGUCAUUCUUCCAUGAGCAAAUUGUAAAACUUAUUCUAUAAGUUGUUCCUGAUGGAUCCUUUUUGAUUCCAAAGUCUGAUCUUCACCUGUUGACCAUGUCAAUGCUAUCUCGAAGCAUGUCUAUGGUACUCCGAUUUUCAACAGGAACAUUUGAAGCCCAAUGCUAAAUGUUUCUUGCUCAAUUAUCCAAACACCGUUGCAUGGGUAAUGUCAUGAUAUUUCUCUCCCCUUUCCUAAAGGGUUUGCUACGUUAUAUCCUGUCAUGGAUAUCAUGCUCUGCUUGUCCUUGGGAAGAUAUACCCUUGAAAUAUGUGUUUAAACACCUUUUCCUUUCCAUGCUUCUGUUUAAACCUGAUAAUCACUUUUCCUUUCCAUUGAUUUGUUUAAACCUUCUGGUGAUCUAUAUGAUCCAAGCAGAAAUAUUCUUCUGCUUAUGUAAACACCUCAGUGUACAUUUCUGUCAGCAAGACCCUGUUACUAUUGUUGAUGACAUUAUGGUAACCACUGAUGGACGAGAACACUGCCUAUUGGUCCGCCUCGUUCAACGAGCAGGAAAAUGGUUCUCUUCAUCCCUCGCCCUUGGUACCGACAUUGUUGUCGACAUAACUGAUAGGCUACUGUAACACCCCGGAUGUAACUUUCCAUCUUUGCAUCUCCAACUCUUGCCAUUUUCAGCUAUGUGAUAUGAUAUUCCCUCCGUGGUUGGGUUUUGUCUUUUGUUUUGCAUUUUAUUCAUGUCAUGCAUAUCAUAUCAUGUCAUCAUGUGCAUCUCAUUUGCAUACGUGUUUGUCUCAUGCAUCCGAGCAUUUUCCCCGUUGUCCGUUUCGCAAUCCGACACUCCCACAUGCACCGACGCACCCCUCUUGUAUAUUUUCGUGUGCGGGUGUUAAACGUUCUCGGAAUGGACCGAGCCUUGCCAAGUGGCCCUGGUAUAGCACCGGUAGAUCGCCUGUCAAGUUUCGGGUCAUUUGGAGCUCGUUGGGUACUCCAACGGUUAACCGCACUCCCGCAAAGGCCUCUUUUGAGUUGCAGCCCAACACCCCUCCAAAACAUCCCAAUAACCCAUCUAAGUCACUUCCAUGCUCUCUGUCGUCGGAUCACGAUCGUGUGGGCGAAAACCGCACCUCAUUUCGACACUCCUAGCUCCCUCUACCUAUAAAAACACCUCCUCCCCGAAAAUUCCGGAUCAAAACCCUAGUCCCGCUCCUCCCCGCCACCACCGGACGCAUCCGAACCGGGCCGGACACGUCCGCCCGCCNNNNNNNNNNNNNNNNNNNNNNNNNNNNNNNNNNNNNNNNNNNNNNNNNNNNNNNNNNNNNNNNNNNNNNNNNNNNNNNNNNNNNNNNNNNNNNNNNNNNNNNNNNNNNNNNNNNNNNNNNNNNNNNNNNNNNNNNNNNNNNNNNNNNNNNNNNNNNNNNNNNNNNNNNNNNNNNNNNNNNNNNNNNNNNNNNNNNNNNNNNNNNNNNNNNNNNNNNNNNNNNNNNNNNNNNNNNNNNNNNNNNNNNNNNNNNNNNNNNNNNNNNNNNNNNNNNNNNNNNNNNNNNNNNNNNNNNNNNNNNNNNNNNNNNNNNNNNNNNNNNNNNNNNNNNNNNNNNNNNNNNNNNNNNNNNNNNNNNNNNNNNNNNNNNNNNNNNNNNNNNNNNNNNNNNNNNNNNNNNNNNNNNNNNNNNNNNNNNNNNNNNNNNNNNNNNNNNNNNNNNNNNNNNNNNNNNNNNNNNNNNNNNNNNNNNNNNNNNNNNNNNNNNNNNNNNNNNNNNNNNNNNNNNNNNNNNNNNNNNNNNNNNNNNNNNNNNNNNNNNNNNNNNNNNNNNNNNNNNNNNNNNNNNNNNNNNNNNNNNNNNNNNNNNNNNNNNNNNNNNNNNNNNNNNNNNNNNNNNNNNNNNNNNNNNNNNNNNNNNNNNNNNNNNNNNNNNNNNNNNNNNNNNNNNNNNNNNNNNNNNNNNNNNNNNNNNNNNNNNNNNNNNNNNNNNNNNNNNNNNNNNNNNNNNNNNNNNNNNNNNNNNNNNNNNNNNNNNNNNNNNNNNNNNNNNNNNNNNNNNNNNNNNNNNNNNNNNNNNNNNNNNNNNNNNNNNNNNNNNNNNNNNNNNNNNNNNNNNNNNUGCCCCUGGGUUGACUUUUUCUUCUCCCCCCGAAAUUCCUCCAAGUCCUUAUCUGUCUAUACUUUUGUUGCAUGUUCAUCGCACCACAUCUUUGCACCCGUGGCCCGUUUUGGGCGUGUAGCAUACUAAAUUGUUCGUCUCGAAGAGUACAUCAUUUCAUCUCAUUGCAUCAUUUUCAUUUGAGCUCAUCUUGAUGCCCGAAAAGCUGUUGGAAGAGUGCUUCAUAAUGUUAGUUUCAGAUUCUUAUCAGAACAUGCACUUUUGUCAUUUUUGCCAUGAUUGAUGUGUGCAUCCUAUAUACUUGAGCCCUACAUGUGAGUUUAACUAUGCCAUGUAUUCUUUAUAGAGGUGCUUACCAUGUAUUUUUGUGAUCAAUGUGGUGACUAGCACAAGCAUGCAAACUAGGCUUCGUGAUAUUGCUGAUUUUAGUCCCUGUUCUGCUGUUAUUUUGAUGCCAUGUAAACAUGAUGCUACAGAGAGAUCCAUGCAUAUUUUGAGACACUUCAGUAAGCGUGUUUUGAACAUAUGGUUAUGCUCUAUCCAUCCAUGCCCCUGGUUGAAAUUAUGGAGUAGUCUAGCAUGUUAUUUUCGUGCUCUACUUUUGCUUCAAAAUGUUUCCUGGCAGAUUGUUUACAUGUUAUCGAAUUUUGCCAAGGUUGUUGUAGUUGAUCCGUGUAUGCUAUGAUGUUGUUCUUGCCAUGUAUAGCUUCUACGUCAUGUCUUCUUGAUGGAUGUAUGCUUAGUUUAUAAUGAGAUGCUCCGUAGUGAGUGCAUCGAGCUCACGAAGGUGCCUUCGUAAUUCUGUCAAUGCCAUGCUUGGUUUGCUGAAUCUGUUAACGAAACUUGCUAUGUUUACAUGGGUGCCAUCAUAUUUUCUGAUCCUUUUUGGCUGAUGGUCAGUAAGGGCCUUUUGAUCUAUGCUUUGAUUAGAUUCAUGCCAUGUCUUGUUUUGCUAUUAUAAGUUCCUGUAGCUUGUUGAUAACUUGCUAUGAACUUUGCUUCGUGAUGCUGUUUAUGCCAUGUCCAACCUGAUUUUUUUUGCACUUUCACCAUGCUUGUUUGAACUUGUUAUGAUGUGAUUUAGCCGUAGCUCAGUGUUCCUCUUUUGUUAAGCAUCUCCUGUAGAUCACUGCCAUAUGUUUUGUUUUUAUGUUGGGGUGCUGUAGCAUAGUUUCUUGUUGCAUGCUAAGUAGCAUCGUGCUGUUAAUCGCAGCUUUGUGCCAUUCUUGUUUUGCUUGCCAUUUGCAAACCGUGCAUCCGUUCCCGGUGACCCUUAUAUCGAUUUCAAUCGAAAUCAUCUCAUCUUUCCAGCGGCAUAAUUGGUUUGCCAAGUUGAUGCCUUGUUCAUCCUUUUCCGCCCGGAGCACGCAUAUGCAUUGCAUAUCACAUCUCGCAUAUCAUGUCAUGUAUUACAUCAUGUUGCUUGUGCAUUGCACCGUGAUUUAUUUGUUGGGUUUCGUAGUAAUUUCAAAAAAUUUCCUACGCACACGCAAGAUCAUGUGAUGCAUAGCAACGAGGGGAAGAGUAUUGUCUACGUACCCUACGCAGACCGACUGCGGAAGCGAUGACACGACGUAGAGGAAGUAGUCGUACGUCUUCACGAUCCAACCGAUCAAGCACCGAAACUACGGCACCUCCGAGUUCGAGCACACGUUCAGCUCGAUGACGAUCCCCGGACUCUGAUCCAGCAAAGUGUCGGGGAAGAGUUCCGUCAGCACGACGGCGUGGUGACGAUCUUGAUGAACUACAGCAGCAGGGCUUCGCCUAAACUCCGCUACAGUAUUAUCGAGGAAUAUGGUGGCAGGGGGCACCGCACACGGCUAAGGAAUCGAUCACGUGGAUCAACUUGUGUCAACUUGUGUGUUUAGAGGUGCCCCUGCCUCCGUAUAUAAAGGAGCCAAGGGGGGAGGGGGCGCCGGCCAAGAGGGAGAGGCGCAGGAGGAGUCCUACUCCUACCGGGAGUAGGACUCCCCCCCCCAAUCCUAUUCCAACUAGGAUUCCCAAGGGGAAAGAGGGAGAGGGGUGGCCGUCCACCUCUCCUAGUCCUAAUAGGACUAGGGGAAGGGGGGAGGCGCGCAGCCCCCUUGGGCUGCUCCUUUCUCCUUUCCACUAAGGCCCAUGAUGGCCCAUAUGGUUCCCGGGGGGUUCCGGUAACCCUCCCGGUAUUCCGGUAAAAUCCCGAUUUCACCCGGAACACUUCCGAUAUCCAAAUAUAGGCUUCCAAUAUAUCAAUCUUCACGUCUCGACCAUUUCGAGACUCCUCGUCAUGUCCGUGAUCACAUCCGGGACUCCGAACAACCUUCGGUACAUCAAAAUGCAUAAACUCAUAAUAUAACUGUCAUCGUAACCUUAAGCGUGCGGACCCUACGGGUUCGAGAACAAUGUAGACAUGACCGAGACACGUCUCCGGUCAAUAACCAAUAGCGGGACCUGGAUGCCCAUAUUGGCUCCUACAUAUUCUACGAAGAUCUUUAUCGGUCAGACCGCAUAACAACAUACGUUGUUCCCUUUGUCAUCGGUAUGUCACUUGCCCGAGAUUCGAUCGUCGGUAUCCAAUACCUAGUUCAAUCUCGUUACUGGCAAGUCUCUUUACUCGUUCCGUAAUACAUCAUCUCACAACUAACAUAUUAGUUGUAAUGCUUGCAAGGCUUAUGUGAUGUAUUACCGAGAGGGCCCAGAGAUACCUCUCCGACAAUCGGAGUGACAAAUCCUAAUCUCGAAAUACGCCAACCCAACAUCGACCAUUGGAGACACCUGUAGUACUCCUUUAUAAUCACCCAGUUACGUUGUGACGUUUGGUAGUACCCAAAGUGUUCCUCCGGUAAACGGGAGUUGCAUAAUCUCAUAGUCAUAGGAACAUGUAUAAGUCAUGAAGAAAGCAAUAGCAACAUACUAAACGAUCGGGUGCUAAGCUAAUGGAAUGGGUCAUGUCAAUCAGAUCAUUCUACUAAUGAUGUGACCUCGUUAAUCAAAUAACAACUUAUUGUUCAUGGUUAGGAAACAUAACCAUCUUUGAUUAACGAGCUAGUCAAGUAGAGGCAUACUAGUGACACUCUGUUUGUCUAUGUAUUCACACAUGUAUUAUGUUUCCGGUAAAUACAAUUCUAGCAUGAAUAAUAAACAUUUAUCAUGAUUAUAAGGAAAUAAAUAAUAACUUUAUUAUUGCCUCUAGGGCAUAUUUCCUUCAGUCUCCCACUUGCACUAGAGUCAAUAAUCUAGAUUACACUGUAAUGAUUCUAACACCCAUGGAGCCUUGGUGCUGAUCAUGUUUUGCUUGUGGAAGAGGCUUAGUCAACGGGUCUGCAACAUUUAGAUCCGUAUGUAUCUUGCAAAUCUCUAUGUCUCCCACCUGGACUAGAUCCCGGAUGGAGUUGAAGCGUCUCUUGAUGUGUUUGGUCCUUUUGUGAAAUCUGGAUUCCUUUGCUAAGGCAAUUGCACCAGUAUUGUCACAAAAGAUUUUCAUUGGACCCGAUGCACUAGGUAUGACACCUAGAUCGGAUAUGAACUCCUUCAUCCAGACUCCUUCAUUUGCUGCUUCCGAAGCAGCUAUGUAUUCCGCUUCACAUGUAGAUCCCGCUACAACGCUUUGUUUAGAACUGCACCAACUGACAGCUCCACCGUUUAAUGUAAACACGUAUCCGGUUUGCGAUUUAGAAUCGUCCGGAUCAGUGUCAAAGCUUGCAUCAACGUAACCUUUUACGGUGAGCUCUUUGUCACCUCCAUAUACGAGAAACAUAUCCUUAGUCCUUUUCAGGUAUUUCAGGAUGUUCUUGACCGCUGUCCAGUGAUCCACUCCUGGAUUACUUUGGUACCUCCCUGCUAAACUUAUAGCAAGGCAUACAUCAGGUCUAGUACACAGCAUUGCAUACAUGAUAGAUCCUAUGGCUGAUGCAUAGGGAACAUCUCUCAUAUUCUCUCUAUCUUCUGCAGUGGUCGGGCAUUGAGUCUUACUCAAUUUCACACCUUGUAACACAGGCAAAAACCCUUUCUUUGCUUGAUCCAUUUUGAACUUCUUCAAAAUUUUGUCAAGGUAUGUGCUUUGUGAAAGUCCAAUUAAGCGUCUUGAUCUAUCUCUAUAGAUCUUAAUGCCUAAUAUGUAAGCAGCUUCACCGAGGUCUUUCAUUGAAAAACUUUUAUUCAAGUAUCCCUUUAUGCUAUCCAGAAAUUCUAUAUCAUUUCCAAUCAGUAAUAUGUCAUCCACAUAUAAUAUCAGAAAUGCUACAGAGCUCCCACUCACUUUCUUGUAAAUACAGGCUUCUCCGAAAGUCUGUAUAAAACCAAAUGCUUUGAUCACACUAUCAAAACGUUUAUUCCAACUCCGAGAGGCUUGCACCAGUCCAUAAAUGGAUCGCUGGAGCUUGCACACUUUGUUAGCUUCCUUUGGAUCGACAAAACCUUCCGGUUGUAUCAUAUACAACUCUUCUUCCAGAAAUCCAUUCAGGAAUGCAGUUUUGACAUCCAUCUGCCAAAUUUCAUAAUCAUAAAAUGCGGCAAUCGCUAACAUGAUUCGGACGGACUUAAGCAUCGCUACGGGUGAGAAGGUCUCAUCGUAGUCAAUCCCUUGAACUUGUCGAAAACCUUUUGCGACAAGUCGAGCUUUGUAGACAGUAACAUUACCAUCAGCGUCAGUCUUCUUCUUAGAGAUCCAUUUAUUCUCAAUUGCUUGCCAAUCAUCGGGCAAGUCAACCAAAGUCCAUACUUUGUUCUCAUACAUGGAUCCCAUCUCAGAUUUCAUGGCUUCAAGCCACUUUGCGGAAUCUGGGCUCACCAUCGCUUCUUCAUAGUUCGUAGGUUCAUCAUGAUCUAGUAGCAUGACUUCCAGAACAGGAUUUCUGUACCACUCUGGCGCGGAUCUUACUCUGGUUGAUCUACGUGGUUCAGUAGUAUCUUGAUCUGAAGUUUCAUGAUCAUUAUCAUUGGCUUCCUCACUAACCGGUGUAGGUGUCACUGAAACAGUUUUCUGUGAUGAACUACUCUCCAGUAAGGGAGCAGGUACAGUUACCUCGUCAAGUUCUACUUUCCUCCCACUCACUUCUUUCGAGAGAAACUCCUUCUCUAGAAAUGAUCCAUUCUUAGCAACGAAUGUUUUGCCUUCGGAUCUGUGAUAGAAGGUGUACCCAACAGUUUCCUUUGGGUAUCCUAUGAAUACACAUUUCUCCGAUUUGGGUUCGAGCUUAUCAGGUUGAAGCUUUUUCACAUAAGCAUCGCAGCCCCAAACUUUAAGAAACGACAACUUUGGUUUCUUGCCAAACCAUAGUUCAUAAGGCGUCGUCUCAACGGAUUUUGAUGGUGCCCUAUUUAACGUGAAUGCGGCCGUCUCUAAGGUAUAACCCCAAAAUGAUAGCGGUAAAUCUGUAAGAGACAUCAUAGAUCGCACCAUAUUUAGUAAAGUACGAUUACGACGUUCGGACACACCAUUUCGCUGUGGUGUUCCGGGUGGCGUGAGUUGUGAAACUAUUCCACAGUUUUUCAAAUGUACACCAAACUCGUAACUCAAAUAUUCUCCUCCACGAUCAGAUCGUAGAAACUUUAUUUUCUUGUUACGAUGAUUUUCAACUUCACUCUGAAAUUCUUUGAACUUUUCAAAUGUUUCAGACUUAUGCUUCAUUAAGUAGAUAUAUCCAUAUCUGCUCAAAUCAUCUGUGAAGGUGAGAAAAUAACGAUAUCCGCCACGAGCCUCAAUAUUCAUCGGGCCACAUACAUCGGUAUGUAUGAUUUCCAACAAAUCUGUUGCUCUCUCCAUAGUACCGGAGAACGGUGUUUUAGUCAUCUUGCCCAUGAGGCACGGUUCGCAAGUACCAAGUGAUUCAUAAUCAAGUGGUUCCAAAAGUCCAUUAGUAUGGAGUUUCUUCAUGCGUUUUACACCGAUAUGACCUAAACGACAGUGCCACAAAUAAGUUGCACUUUCAUUAUCAACUCUGCAUCUUUUGGUUUCAACAUUAUGAAUAUGUGUAUUACUACUAUCGAGAUUCAGUAAGAAUAGACCACUCUUCAAGGGUGCAUGACCAUAAAAGAUAUUACUCAUAUAAAUAGAACAACCAUUAUUCUCUGAUUUAAAUGAAUAACCGUCUCGCAUUAAACAAGAUCCAGAUAUAAUGUUCAUGCUCAAUGCUGGCACCAAAUAACAAUUAUUUAGGUCUAAUAUUAAUCCCGAAGGUAGAUGUAGAGGUAGCGUGCCGACCGCGAUCACAUCGACUUUGGAACCGUUUCCCACGCGCAUCGUCGCCUCGUCCUUUGCCAGUGCCCGCUUAUUCUGUAGUCCCUGUUUCGAGUUGCAAAUAUUAGCAACAGAACCAGUAUCAAAUACCCAGGUGCUACUGCGAGCUCUAGUAAGGUACACAUCAAUAACAUGUAUAUCACAUAUACCUUUGUUCACCUUGCCAUCCUUCUUAUCCGCCAAAUACUUGGGGCAGUUCCGCUUCCAGUGACCAGUCUGCUUGCAGUAGAAGCACUCAGUUUCAGGCUUAGGUCCAGACUUGGGUUUCUUCUCUUGAGCAGCAACUUGCUUGCCGUUCUUUUUGAAGUUCCCCUUUUUCUUCCCUUUGCCCUUUUCUUGAAACUAGUGGUCUUGUUAACCAUCAACACUUGAUGCUCCUUCUUGAUUUCUACCUCCGCAGCUUUCAGUAUUGCGAAGAGCUCGGGAAUAGUCUUGUUCAUCCCUUGCAUAUUAUAGUUCAUUACGAAGCUCUUGUAGCUUGGUGGCAGUGAUUGGAGAAUUCUGUCGAUGACGCAAUCAUCCGGAAGAUUAACUCCCAAUUGAAUCAAGUGAUUAUUAUACCCAGACAUUUUGAGUAUAUGCUCACUGACAGAACUGUUAUCCUCCAUCUUGCAGCUAUAGAACUUAUUGGAGACUUCAUAUCUCUCAAUCCGGGCAUUUGCUUGAAAUAUUAACUUCAACUCCUGGAACAUCUCAUAUGCUCCAUGACGUUCAAAACGUCGUUGAAGUCCCGAUUCUAAGCCGUAAAGCAUGGCACACUGAACUAUCGAGUAGUCAUCAGCUUUGCUCUGCCAGACGUUCAUAACAUCUGGCGUUGCUCCAGCAGCAGGCCUGGCACCCAGCGGUGCUUCCAGGACGUAAUUCUUCUGUGCAGCAAUGAGGAUAAUCCUCAAGUUACGGACCCAGUCCGUGUAAUUGCUACCAUCAUCUUUCAACUUUGCUUUCUCAAGGAACGCAUUAAAAUUUAACGGAACAACAACACGAGCCAUCUAUCUACAAUCAACAUAAACAAGCAAGAUACUAUCAGGGACUAAGUUCAUGAUAAAUUUUAAGUUCAAUUAAUCAUAUUACUAAAGAACUCCCACUUAGAUAGACAUCCCUCUAAUCCUCUAAGUGAUCACGUGAUCCAAAUCAACUAAACCAUAACCGAUCAUCACGUGAGAUGGAGUAGUUUUCAAUGGUGAACAUCGUUAUGUUGAUCAUAUCUACUAUAUGAUUCACGCUCGACCUUUCGGUCUCUGUGUUCCGAGGCCAUAUCUGCAUAUGCUAGGCUCGUCAAGUUUAACCUGAGUAUUCUGCGUGUGCAAAACUGGCUUGCACCCGUUGUAGAUGGACGUAGAGCUUAUCACACCCGAUCAUCACGUGGUGUCUGGGCACGACGAACUUUGGCAACGGCGCAUACUCAGGGAGAACACUUCUUGAUAAUUUAGUGAGAGAUCAUCUUAUAAUGCUACCGUCAAUCAAAGCAAGAUAAGAUGCAUAAAAAGAUAAACAUCACAUGCAAUCAAUAUAAGUGAUAUGAUAUGGCCAUCAUCAUCUUGUGCUUGUGAUCUCCAUCUCCGAAGCACCGUCAUGAUCACCAUCGUCACCGGCGCGACACCUUGACCUCCAUCGUAGCAUCGUUGUCGUCUCGCCAAUCUUAUGCUUCCACGACUAUCACUACCGUUUAGUAAUAAAGUAAAGCAUUACAUCGCGAUUGCAUUGCAUACAAUAAAGCGACAACCAUAUGGCUCCUGCCAGUUGCCGAUAACUUGUUUACAAAACAUGAUCAUCUCAUACAAUAAAAUUCAGCAUCAUGCCUUGACCAUAUCACAUCACAACAUGCCCUGCAAAAACAAGUUAGACGUCUUCUACUUUGUUGUUGCAUGUUUUUACGUGGCUGCUACGGGCUUAAGUAAGAACCAAUCUCACCUACGCAUCAAAACCACAACGAUAGUUUGUCAAAUAGACUCCGUUUUAACCUUCGCAAGGACCAGGCGUAGCCAUACUUGGUUCAACUAAAGUUGGAGAGGCAGUCGCCCGCAAGCCAUCUCUGUGCAAAGCACGUCGAGGGAACCGGUCUCGCGUAAGCGUACGCGUAAGGUUGGUCCGGGUCGUCUCGUCCAACAAUACCGCCGAACCAAAGUAUGACAUGCUGGUAGGCAGUAUGACUUGUAUCGUCCACAACUUACUUGUGUUCUACUCGUGCAUAUAACAUCAACAUCAAUAACCUAGGCUCGGAUGCCACUGUUGGGUUUCGUAGUAAUUUCAAAAAUUUUCCUACGCACACGCAAGAUCAUGUGAUGCAUAGCAACGAGGGGAAGAGUAUUGUCUACGUACCCUACGCAGACCGACUGCGGAAGCGAUGACACGACGUAGAGGAAGUAGUCGUACGUCUUCACGAUCCAACCGAUCAAGCACCGAAACUACGGCAUCUCCGAGUUCGAGCACACGUUCAGCUCGAUGACGAUCCCCGGACUCUGAUCCAGCAAAGUGUCGGGGAAGAGUUCCGUCAGCACGACGGCGUGGUGACGAUCUUGAUGAACUACAGCAGCAGGGCUUCGCCUAAACUCCGCUACAGUAUUAUCGAGGAAUAUGGUGGCAGGGGGCACCGCACACGGCUAAGGAAUCGAUCACGUGGAUCAACUUGUGUCAACUUGUGUGUUUAGAGGUGCCCCUGCCUCCGUAUAUAAAGGAGCCAAGGGGGGAGGGGGCGCCGGCCAAGAGGGAGAGGCGCAGGAGGAGUCCUACUCCUACCGGGAGUAGGACUCCCCCCCCCCCCCAAUCCUAUUCCAACUAGGAUUCCCAAGGGGAAAGAGGGAGAGGGGUGGCCGGCCACCUCUCCUAGUCCUAAUAGGACUAGGGGAAGGGGGGAGGCGCGCAGCCCCCUUGGGCUGCUCCUUUCUCCUUUCCACUAAGGCCCAUGAUGGCCCAUAUGGUUCCCGGGGGGUUCCGGUAACCCUCCCGGUAUUCCGGUAAAAUCCCGAUUUCACCCGGAACACUUCCGAUAUCCAAAUAUAGGCUUCCAAUAUAUCAAUCUUUACGUCUCGACCAUUUCGAGACUCCUCGUCAUGUCCGUGAUCACAUCCGGGACUCCGAACAACCUUCGGUACAUCAAAAUGCAUAAACUCAUAAUAUAACUGUCAUCGUAACCUUAAGCGUGCGGACCCUACGGGUUCGAGAACAAUGUAGACAUGACCGAGACACGUCUCCGGUCAAUAACCAAUAGCGGGACCUGGAUUCCCAUAUUGGCUCCUACAUAUUCUACGAAGAUCUUUAUCGGUCAGACCGCAUAACAACAUACGUUGUUCCCUUUGUCAUCGGUAUGUCACUUGCCCGAGAUUCGAUCGUCGGUAUCCAAUACCUAGUUCAAUCUCGUUACUGGCAAGUCUCUUUACUCGUUCCGUAAUACAUCAUCUCACAACUAACAUAUUAGUUGUAAUGCUUGCAAGGCUUAUGUGAUGUAUUACCGAGAGGGCCCAGAGAUACCUCUCCGACAAUCGGAGUGACAAAUCCUAAUCUCGAAAUACGCCAACCCAACAUCGACCAUUGGAGACACCUGUAGUACUCCUUUAUAAUCACCCAGUUACGUUGUGACGUUUGGUAGUACCCAAAGUGUUCCUCCGGUAAACGGGAGUUGCAUAAUCUCAUAGUCAUAGGAACAUGUAUAAGUCAUGAAGAAAGCAAUAGCAACAUACUAAACGAUCGGGUGCUAAGCUAAUGGAAUGGGUCAUGUCAAUCAGAUCAUUCUACUAAUGAUGUGACCUCGUUAAUCAAAUAACAACUUAUUGUUCAUGGUUAGGAAACAUAACCAUCUUUGAUUAACGAGCUAGUCAAGUAGAGGCAUACUAGUGACACUCUGUUUGUCUAUGUAUUCACACAUGUAUUAUGUUUCCGGUAAAUACAAUUCUAGCAUGAAUAAUAAACAUUUAUCAUGAUUAUAAGGAAAUAAAUAAUAACUUUAUUAUUGCCUCUAGGGCAUAUUUCCUUCAGUCUCCCACUUGCACUAGAGUCAAUAAUCUAGAUUACACUGUAAUGAAUCUAACACCCAUGGAGCUUUGGUGCUGAUCAUGUUUUGCUCAUGGAAGAGGCUUAGUCAACGGGUCUGCAACAUUCAGAUCCGUAUGUAUCUUGCAAAUCUCUAUGUCUCCCACCUGGACUAGAUCCCGGAUGGAGUUGAAGCGUCUCUUGAUGUGUUUGGUCCUUUUGUGAAAUCUGGAUUCCUUUGCCAAGGCAAUUGCACCAGUAUUGUCACAAAAGAUUUUCAUUGGACCCGAUGCACUAGGUAUGACACCUAGAUCGGAUAUGAACUCCUUCAUCCAGACUCCUUCAUUUGCUGCUUCCGAAGCAGCUAUGUAUUCCGCUUCACAUGUAGAUCCCGCUACAACGCUUUGUUUAGAACUGCACCAACUGACAGCUCCACCGUUUAAUGUAAACACGUAUCCGGUUUGCGAUUUAGAAUCGUCCGGAUCAGUGUCAAAGCUUGCAUCAACGUAACCUUUUACGGUGAGCUCUUUGUCACCUCCAUAUACGAGAAACAUAUCCUUAGUCCUUUUCAGGUAUUUUAGGAUGUUCUUGUUAGGUUUCGUAGUAAUUUCAAAAAUUUUCCUACGCGCACACAGGAUCAUGUGAUGCAUAGCAACGAGAGGAGAGUGUUGUCUACGUACCCAACGCAGACCGACUGCGGAAGCGAUGACACGACGUAGAGGAAGUAGUCGUACGUCUUCACGAUCCAACCGAUCAAGCACCGAAACUACGGCACCUCCGAGUUCGAGCACACGUUCAGCUCGAUGACGAUCCCCGGACUCCGAUCCAGCAAAGUGUCGGGGAAGAGUUUCGUCAGCACGACGGCGUGGUGACGAUCUUGAUGAACUACAGCAGCAGGGCUUCGCCUAAACUCCGCUACAGUAUUAUCGAGGAAUAUGGUGGCAGGGGGCACCGCACACGGCUAAGGAAUCGAUCACGUGGAUCAACUUGUGUCAACUUGUGUGUUUAGAGGUGCCCCUGCCUCCGUAUAUAAAGGAGGAGAGGAGGGGAGGCUGGCCGGCCAAAGGGGGGAGGCGCAGGAGAGUCCUACUCCCUCUGGGAGUAGGAUUCCCCCUCCAAUCCUAGUCCAACUAGGAUUCCUCGGAGGGGAAAAGAGGAGGAGGGGGCCGGCCACCUCUCCUAGUCCUAAUAGGACUAGGGGAAGGGGGGGCGCAGCCCAUCUAGGGCAGCCCCUUCUCUUUUCCACUAAGGCCCACUAUGGCCCAAAUAGCUCCCGGGGGGUUCCGGUAACCCUCCCGGUAUUCCGGUAAAAUCCCGAUUUCACCCGGAACACUUCCGAUAUCCAAAUAUAGGCUUCCAAUAUAUCAAUCUUUACGUCUCGACCAUUUCGAGACUCCUCGUCAUGUCCGUGAUCACAUCCGGGACUCCGAACAACCUUAGGUACAUCAAAAUGCAUAAACUCAUAAUAUAACUGUCAUCGUAACCUUAAGCGUGCGGACCCUACGGGUUCGAGAACAAUGUAGACAUGACCGAGACACGUCUCCGGUCAAUAACCAAUAGCGGGACCUGGAUGCCCAUAUUGGCUCCUACAUAUUCUACGAAGAUCUUUAUCGGUCAGACCGCAUAACAACAUACGUUGUUCCCUUUGUCAUCGGUAUGUCACUUGCCCGAGAUUCGAUCGUCGGUAUCCAAUACCUAGUUCAAUCUCGUUACUGGCAAGUCUCUUUACUCGUUCCGUAAUACAUCAUCUCACAACUAACAUAUUAGUUGUAAUGCUUGCAAGGCUUAUGUGAUGUAUUACCGAGAGGGCCCAGAGAUACCUCUCCGACAAUCGGAGUGACAAAUCCUAAUCUCGAAAUACGCCAACCCAACAUCGACCAUUGGAGACACCUGUAGUACUCCUUUAUAAUCACCCAGUUACGUUGUGACGUUUGGUAGUACCCAAAGUGUUCCUCCGGUAAACGGGAGUUGCAUAAUCUCAUAGUCAUAGGAACAUGUAUAAGUCAUGAAGAAAGCAAUAGCAACAUACUAAACGAUCGGGUGCUAAGCUAAUGGAAUGGGUCAUGUCAAUCAGAUCAUUCUACUAAUGAUGUGACCUCGUUAAUCAAAUAACAACUUAUUGUUCAUGGUUAGGAAACAUAACCAUCUUUGAUUAACGAGCUAGUCAAGUAGAGGCAUACUAGUGACACUCUGUUUGUCUAUGUAUUCACACAUGUAUUAUGUUUCCGGUAAAUACAAUUCUAGCAUGAAUAAUAAACAUUUAUCAUGAUUAUAAGGAAAUAAAUAAUAACUUUAUUAUUGCCUCUAGGGCAUAUUUCCUUCAUUAUUGUGGUUCCUUUGCUUGUGUUCUUGCUUUGGGUAGAGCAGGGAGAUGAGUACGUGAACGAGGAACCUGUUAAGUACGCUAACGAGGAUCAAGCCUUCUACAACUCUGAGAACCUCGCAGGCAAGAUGACCAUACCUUCGAUAUCACUUCUAUCUUUGCUUGCUAGAACUCGCUCUAUCGCUAUGUUAGCUCUACCUGCCAUUGUUUAUCAUGCCUCCCUAUUGCCAUGUCAAACCUCUAACCAUCCUAUCCUAGCAAACCGUUGUUUGGCUAUGUCACCGCUUUUGCUCAGCCCCUCUUAUAGCGUUGUUAGUUGCAGGUGAAGAUGAAGUUUGUUCCUGGUCGGAACAUGGAUAUUUUGGGAUAUCACAAUAUCUCCUGUUUAAUUAAUGCACCUUAUAUACUUGGUAAAGGGUGGAAGGCUCGGCCUUAUGCCUGGUGACUUGUUCCACUCUUGCCGCCCUAGUUUCCGUCAUACCGGUGUUAUGUUCCUUGAUUUUGCGUUCCUUACACGGUUGGGUGAUUUAUGGGACCCCUUAACAGUUCGCUUUGAAUAAAACUCCUCCAGCAAGGCCCACACUUGGUUUUACCAUUUGCCACCUAAGACCUUUUCCCUUGGGUUUUCGCGAGCCCGAGGGUCAUCUUUAUUUUAGACCCCCCCGGGCCAGUGCUCCUUCGAGUGUUGGUCCGAACCAAGCCGCCUGCGGGGCCACCUCGGGGAAACUCGAAGUCUGGUUUUACUCGUAGCCUGUCUCAUCCGGUGUGCCCUGAGAAUGAGAUAUGUGCAGCUCCUAUCGGGAUUUAUCGGCACAGUCGGGUGGUCUUGCUGGUCUUGUUUUACCAUUGUCGAAAUGUUUUGCGAACCGGGAUUCCGAGGCUGAUUGGGUCUUCCCGGGAGAAGGUAUAUCCUUCGUUGACCGUGAGAGCUUGUGAUGGGCUUAGUUGGGACACCCCUGCAGGGUAUAUUAUCUUUCGAAAUCCGUGCCCGCAGUUAUGAGGCAGAUGGGAAUUUGUUAAUGUCCGGUUGUAGAUAACUUGACACUUGACUUCUUUAAAAUGCAGCAACUGUGUGUGUAGCCGUGAUGAUCUCUUCUCGGCGGAGUCCGGGAAGUGAACACGGUUUGUGUUAUGCUUGAUGUAAGUAGUUUCAGGAUCACUUCUUGAUCGCUUCUAGCUUCUCGACCGUUGCGUUACUUCUCUUCUCGCUCUCACUUGCGUAUGUUAGCCACCAUAUAUGCUUAGUGCUUGCCGCAGCUCCACCAUAUUACCCCUUUUCCUAUCUAUGAGCUUAAAUAGUCUUGAUCUCGCGGGUGUGAGAUUGCUGAGUCCUCGUGACUCACAGAUUCUACCAAAACAGAUGCAGGUGCCGUGGAUACCAACGCAGAUGGCGCAACCGAGCUCAAGUGGGAGUUUGACGAGGACCUUGGCCGUUACUAUGUAUCGUUUCCAGAUGAUCAGUAGAGGUGCCCAGUCGGGAUGAUCGGGGAUCUAGCAUUUGGGGUUGUCUUCUUUUCAUUUGAAUUUGACCGUAGCCGGUCUAUGAGUGUAUUUGAAUGAUGUAUGAUCUUAAUUAUGUAUUGUGUGAAGUGGCGAUUGUAAGCCAACUCUCUUUAUCCCAUUCUUGUUAAUUACAUGGGAUUGUGUGAAGAUGACCCUUCUUGCGACAAAACCACCAUGCGGUUAUGCCUCUAAGUCGUGCUUCGACACGUGGGAGAUAUAGCCGCAUCGUUGGUGUUACAAGUUGGUAAUCAGAGCCAGCCCCAACUUAGGAGCCCCCUGCUUGAUUGUUUGCUGGCGAUGUUGAGUCUAGAACAAAAAUGUUUUGAGUCUUAGGAUUAUAUAUAUCGGAGAGUAGGAUUCUUUUUACUCCUCAGUCCCUUCGUCGCUCUGGUGAGGUCUCCUGACGUAGAUGUUUUGACUUUCCUCUUCUCAAAUUUCACUAAAUUUUUUUAGGAUCACGCGGGUAUCUUGGAAUCGUUUCGAUGGUUUUGUGACGAGAACAUUGUUCUUGGUGCCUCCUGUCUAUUAUGUGGAUUUGACCCGGGGAGUUGAGCUCUGAGGUGUUGUCGUCACAAUUUUAUCAUUGCAGUUCUGGAAUACCUGAGUUUUGUCGACAUCGAAAAUCUCUUUUAUGCAGUUGUUGGUGAGAUAUCCUCGACGCCACCCAGUACUGGGGCGGGAGUUCAGGAGUAUUGCCAUAACUCAUAUAAUGGAUGCUUUUCAAAGGUUGAGGUACACGAUUUCCGAAGGUUUCUUGGUUAUGUGUUGACGGAUGGAUACAACUGGAUGUAGGGAUUGUUAGUUUGGGUGAGAUAUAUUGCUUCCCCUGUAUCCCCAACACCUGAUUGCAUAACCAGAAAGUUUCGGGAGUUUAUAGGUGGGAUUCAAGUAGCUCUAGCUUUUCUUCCCGCAGAUAUUUGGUUUGUGAUUGGGUAAUCGUUACCACUUAUUUGUUCCAGUUGUACCUUGUUUAUUUCAUUCAUCAAUCUCUUAUCAAGUGGCUUCUCACCUUAAUGGACGUGUGACGUUUGCUUUGGAAUUCAUUCGUUCAUCCUUGUUCAAAUGUUUAUUGUGAAGACUAUAUGUUGCAAUUUCUAUCCGUUGAUUCAACUUGUCUAUCUGUCUAUCAAGAUGCUAACGGAUGUCACCCUCUUCAGGAUGGCUCCGCCAACGCGUCAGAAUUUGGAACGCAAUGAUGGGAGUCAGGCGAACCCUCCACCUCCUCCUCCGCCUCCGGAGGCAUGGCAAGCUUUGAUGGCAGCCACAAACGCCAAUGCCCAGAUGAUGAUCCAGCUCAUGCAAGAGCGCAACCAAGGCCAAGGCAACCAAGGGAAUCAAGGCUAAGGGCAGUUCAAUCAUCAGCCUCUAUUUCCUACCCUCAACCAAUUCCUUGCAAAUCAGCCGAAGUCUUUCAGCUACUGUGUCGAGGCCACAGACGCCGAUGAUUGGCUCGUGGAUAUCAACAAGCAUUUUGAAUGCAGCAAUGUCAGGCCCGAGGACUAUGUCAAGUUCGCUUCUUUUCAGCUCAAGGAUCAAGCAGCUGAUUGGUUCCAGCAAUACAAGGAUUCCAGAGGAGGUCGAGUGAUUACUUGGACUGACUUUUGUCAGGACUUUAAAGCUCACCACAUUCCUACCAGUGUCGUUGAGAGCAAGCGUGAGGAGUUCCGCAAUCUCAAGCAAGGCAACAUGUCAGUGUACGAAUACAACAAGCAGUUUCAGAAACUUGCUCGCUUCACUAAGCAAGAUGUUCCUGAUGAGAAGAGUAUGAUAUAUAAAUUCAGAGGUGGCCUAAGAGAGGAUCUGCAGUUAGCUCUCGUUCUUGUUGAGCCUACUCAGUUUGAUCAAUUCUACAAUAUGGCACUCAAGCAAGAAGGUGCUCAGCUCAAGUGUGAGGCUUCUAAGAAGAGAAUCAGGGAUGCAGUGCAAUCUUAUUCUUCCUCACAAGUGGCAGCUAAGCAGCAGAAGUUAUACCUUCCUCCUCCUCCGUUUCGUCAGCCUUACCAACAGAAGAACUCAGGUGGUCGUGGAUCUUCCCACCCACCCAACCCAGGCUAUCAGAACAAGUCUCAGUCUCAAGCUCCAAGGUCAAAUUCUCCUUAUCAUCGUCCGCUCUCAGAAGUGACUUGCAACAAGUGCCAGCAGAAAGGUCACUACGCGAACAAAUGCUUCAAUCAAAGGCGCCUUCCUCCUCCUCCUGUGAGUUCUUCAAGCAAUGCUGUGGUCAAGCAUAAUCCAAAGUCUGCAAAGGUGAACAUGAUGAAUGCAGCUCAGGCAGAGGAUUCUUCAGAUGUGAUAAUGGGUAAUCUUCCUGUUAAUGAUAUUCCUGCAAAAGUCUUAUUUGAUACUGGUGCAUCGCAUUCUUUCAUGUCAUAUCCUUUUGCAUCGAAGCACAAUUUUGACACAGAGGAGUUACCUAGAGCAAUGCAAGUUAUUUCUCCGGCUAAGCGUUUGAGAUCUACCUUAUUGGUUCCGAAUGUCGGUAUCAAGAUGGGCGACUAUAAAUUUCUGUCUUCUCCAAUUGUUCUUGGCGACUCUGAUAUUGAUCUAAUUCUCGGGAUGGACUGGCUUUCUAAGCACAAGGUUCAGCUUGAUUGUGCUGCCAGGCAAAUUCAAUUAACACACUCUUCUGAGGAUGUUAUCAUCUAUGCCGCUCGUGAUGAAACCAUUCGGCUAUUUUCUCUCAAUGAGAAGGGCGAGUUAGAUGCAAUUUCUCAAAUUCCAGUCGUUUGUGAGUACCAAGAUGUCUUUCCAGAAGAGCUUCCGGGUAUGCCUCCUCAUCGGCCAGUCGAGUUCGUUAUCGAUCUUGAGCCUGGAACUGAACCCGUUUGCAAGCGUCCUUACAAGCUUGGACCCAAGGAGCUGAAGGAAUUGAAGAAGCAGCUCGAUGAACAAGAGCGUCUGGGCUUGGUCAGACCGAGUUCAUCCCCAUGGGGUUGUGGAGUUCUUUUUGUCCAGAAGAAGGAUGGUACGGACCGACUUUGCGUCGAUUACUGUCCAUUGAACAAGAAGACAAUCAAGAACAAGUAUCCACUUCCCAACAUCAAUGAGCUUUUUGAGAAACUCAAAGGUACUAAAGUUUUCUCCAAGCUUGACCUUCGUAUGGGUUAUCAUCAGAUUCGUAUUCGUGAACAAGAUAUUCCCAAGACAACAUUUAGAACAAGCUAUGGUUCUUAUGAAUAUACUGUCAUGUCUUUCGGCCUUGUCAAUGCUCCUCCAACAUUCUCUCGCAUGAUGAACUUUAUCUUCAACCCCUACACCAAUGAAUUCGUCUUGGUGUAUCUCGAUGAUAUUUUGGUCUUCUCCAAGAAUAAGUCAGAUCAUGCCAAACAUUUGCAAUUGGUGCUCGACAAGCUCAGAGAGCAUCAAUUCUAUGCGAAGUUUUCCAAAUGUGAGUUCUGGCUUGAUGAAGUUCUUUACCUUGGUCAUAUCAUCUCUGCCAAGGGCAUUGCUGUUAAUCCCGCAAAGGUUUCUGCAGUUGUGAAUUGGGAACCUCCUCAGAAUGUCAAACAGCUCCGCAGUUUUCUUGGUCUUGCAAGCUAUUGCCGAAGAUUCGUUGAGAACUUCUCUAAGAUUGCAAAGCCUCUUUCCAACCUCCUCCAGAAGCAUGUCAAGUAUGUCUGGACGCCUGAGUGUGACGUCACUUUCAACACCCUCAAAGAGAAGCUAGUCACAGCUCCUGUUUUGACUCCUCAUGAUGAAUCCAAGCCAUUCGAAGUAUUCUGUGAUGCUUCCCUUCAAGGUCUCGGUGCUGUGUUGAUGCAAGAGAAAAAAGUUGUGGCCUAUACCUCUCGUCAGUUGAAGCCCAACGAAAAGAACUACCCCACUCACGAUCUUGAGUUGGCGGCAGUUGUCCAUGCAUUGAUAACAUGGAGACAUCUCUUAUUGGGAAGGCAAGUGGACAUUUUCACCGAUCACAAGAGUCUCAAGUAGAUCUUCACUCAACCCAACCUUAACCUCAGACAAACUCGAUGGGUCGAAAUGAUUCAAGAGUACAAUCUGAGUAUUGAAUAUACUCCUGGCAAGGCGAAUGUGAUUGCAGAUGCUCUGAGCAGAAAGGCUUAUUGCAAAAGUCUAAUUCUCAAGCCGUUUCAACCGGAUCUUUGUGAGGCUUUUCGCAAGCUGAAUCUUCAAGUUGUUCCUCAAGGAUUUCUUGCCAACCUCAUAGUCUCUCCUACUUUGGAAGAUCAAAUUCGUGAGGCACAACUCCUGGAUACCAUGGUGAAGAAGGUGAAACGUGGUAUUGACAAGGGCAUUCCCAAAUACAAGUGCUAUCGCUUGGAUGACAAAGAUACUCUUUUCUUCGAGGAUCGAAUUGUGGUUCCUAAAGGUGAUCUGAGAAAAGUCAUCAUGAAUGAGGCACACAAUUCCCUCCUAUCCAUUCAUCCUGGAAGUACAAAGAUGUACCAUGACCUCAAGUAGUCGUAUUGGUGGACUCGAAUGAAGCGAGAGAUUGCUCAAUUCGUGAAUGAAUGUGAUGUCUGCAGAAGGGUGAAAGCAGAACACCAACGACCAGAUGGUCUCCUCCAACCUCUUGCUGUUCCGGAAUGGAAGUUUGACCAUAUCGAGAUGGACUUCGUGACUGGUUUUCCUAAGCCCAAGCGUGGAAAUGAUGCUAUCUUCGUUGUCAUUGACAAGCUUACCAAAGUGGCUCAUUUUCUUCCUAUCAAAGAAUCUAUCACAGCAGCUCAGCUGGCAGAGCUAUACACCUCCAGAAUUGUCUCCUUGCACGGCAUUCCACAAUUGAUAUCUUCAGAUCGUGGAAGCAUCUUCACUUCUAAGUUCCGGGACUCCUUUCAGACGGCCAUGGGCACCAACAUCCGUUUUAGCACAACUUUCCAUCCUCAAACAAGUGGCCAAGUCGAGCGAGUCAAUCAAAUCCUUGAAGAUAUGCUCAGGGCUUGUGUCAUCUCUUUCGGUAUGAAGUGGGAAGAUUGUCUUCCAUAUGCCGAGUUCUCCUACAACAACAGCUUCCAAGCGAGUUCGGGCAAGGCCCCAUUCAAAAUUCUCUAUGGCAGAAAGUUCCGUACUCCUCUCAAUUGGUUUGAGACAGGUGAACGCCAACUUCUUGGCAAUGACUUGAUCACAGAAGCCGAAGAAAUGUGCAAAGUCAUUCGUGAGAAUCUCAAAGCCGCGCAAUCGCGGCAGAAGAGCUAUUAUGUUAGCAAGCACCGUGACUUGGCUUUUGAAAUGGAAGACCAUGUCUACCUCCGCGUCUCUCAAAUGAAAGGCACUCGUCGCUUCGGUAUCAAAGGGAAGCUUGCCCCUAGAUACGUGGGUCCUUUCAAGAUAAUUGGCAAAAGAGGCGACCUCGCCUAUCAACUUGAGCUUCCGUCCAACUUUGCAAACGUGCACGAUGUGUUUCACGUGUCACAGCUUCGCAAGUGCUUCAAGACUCCUGAGCGCACUAUCAACUUCGAAGAGAUCGACCUCCAAGAAGAUCUCUCUUAUCAUGAGGACCCCGUUGCUAUUCUUGAAGAAACCGAGCGCAAGACUCACAACAAGUCAAUCAAAUUCCUAAAAGAGAAGUGGUCACACCAUUCUGACCGAGAAGCCACCUGGGAGCGCGAGGAUCACCUCCGUUCCGAAUAUUCGGAGUUCUUUCAGUCCUAGAUCUCGGGACGAGAUCCUCUUGUAGUGGUGGAGUGUUGUAACACCCCGGAUGUAACUUUCCAUCUUUGUAUCUCCAACUCUUGCCAUUUUCAGCUAUGUGAUAUGAUAUUCCCUCCGUGGUUGGGUUUUGUCUUUUGUUUUGCAUUUUAUUCAUGUCAUGCAUAUCAUAUCAUGUCAUCAUGUGCAUCUCAUUUGCAUACGUGUUCGUCUCAUGCAUCCGAGCAUUUUCCCCGUUGUCAGUUUCGCAAUCCGACACUCCCACAUGCACCGGCGCACCCCUCUUGUAUCUUUUCGUGUGCGGGUGUUAAACGUUCUCGGAAUGGACCGAUCCUUGCCAAGUGGCCCUGGUAUAGCACCGGUAGACCGCCUGUCAAGUUUCGGGUCAUUUGGAGCUCGUUUGGUACUCCAGCGGUUAACCGCACUCCCGCAAAGGCCUCUUUUGAGUUGCAGCCCAACACCCCUCCAAAACAGCCCAAUAACCCAUCUAAGUCACUUCCAUGCUCUCCGCUGUCGGAUCACGAUCGUGUGGGCGAAAACCGCACCUCAUUUGGACACUCCUAGCUCCCUCUACCUAUAAAAACACCUCCUCCCCGAAAAUUCCGGAUCAAAACCCUAGUCCCGCUCCUCCCCGCCGCCAACGGACGCAUCCGAACCGGGCCGGACACGUCCGCCCGCCACCGGACGAAUCCCGCCGACGCCUGUGUCCAUCCAGGAGCUGUCACGUGGNNNNNNNNNNNNNNNNNNNNNNNNNNNNNNNNNNNNNNNNNNNNNNNNNNNNNNNNNNNNNNNNNNNNNNNNNNNNNNNNNNNNNNNNNNNNNNNNNNNNNNNNNNNNNNNNNNNNNNNNNNNNNNNNNNNNNNNNNNNNNNNNNNNNNNNNNNNNNNNNNNNNNNNNNNNNNNNNNNNNNNNNNNNNNNNNNNNNNNNNNNNNNNNNNNNNNNNNNNNNNNNNNNNNNNNNNNNNNNNNNNNNNNNNNNNNNNNNNNNNNNNNNNNNNNNNNNNNNNNNNNNNNNNNNNNNNNNNNNNNNNNNNNNNNNNNNNNNNNNNNNNNNNNNNNNNNNNNNNNNNNNNNNNNNNNNNNNNNNNNNNNNNNNNNNNNNNNNNNNNNNNNNNNNNNNNNNNNNNNNNNNNNNNNNNNNNNNNNNNNNNNNNNNNNNNNNNNNNNNNNNNNNNNNNNNNNNNNNNNNNNNNNNNNNNNNNNNNNNNNNNNNNNNNNNNNNNNNNNNNNNNNNNNNNNNNNNNNNNNNNNNNNNNNNNNNNNNNNNNNNNNNNNNNNNNNNNNNNNNNNNNNNNNNNNNNNNNNNNNNNNNNNNNNNNNNNNNNNNCUCGCCCGCCCGCCACCCGGGCCGGAUCUCGCCGCCGCCGUCCCGGCCAACUCCGGCAGCCGCGUCCCCGCGCCGCAGCACCGUCCUCGAUCCGCGCCUAGAUCCGAUCUGCCCCUGGGUUGACUUUUUCUUCUCCCCCCGAAAUUCCUCCAAGUCCUUAUCUGUCUUUACUUUUGUUGCAUCUUCAUCACACCACAUCUUUGCACCCGUGGCCCCGUUUUGGGCGUGUAGCAUACAGAAUUGUUCGUCUCGAAGAGUACAUCAUUUCAUCUCAUUGCAUCAUUUUCAUUUGAGCUCAUCUUGAUGCCCGAAAGGCUGUUGGAAGAGUGCUUCAUAAUGUUAGUUUCAGAUUCUUAUCAGAACAUGCACUUUUGUCAUUUUUGCCAUGAUGGAUGUGUGCAUCCUAUGUACUUGAGCCCUACAUGUGAGUUGAACUAUGCCAUGUCUUCUUUACAGAGGUGCUUACCAUGUAUUUUUGUCAUCAAUGUGGUGACUAGCGCAAGCAUGCAAACUAAGCUUCGUGAUAUUGCUGAUUUGUCCCUGUUCUGCUGUUAUUUUGAUGCCAUGUAAACAUGAUGCUACAGAGAGAUCCAUGCAUAUUUUGAGAUACUUCAGUAAGGGUGUUUUGAACAUAUGGUUAUUCUCUAUCCAUCCAUGCCCCUGGUUGCAAUUAUGGAGUAGUCUAGCAUGUCAUUUUCGUGCUCUACUUUUGCUUCAAAAUGUUUCCUGGCAGAUUGUUUACAUGUUAUUCAAUUUUGCCAAGGUUGUUGUAGUUGAUCCGUGUAUGCUAUGAUGUUGUUCUUGCCAUGUAUAGCUUCUAUGUCAUGUUUUCUUGAUGGAUAUAUGCUUAGUUUAUCAUGAGAUGCUCUAUAGUGAGUGCAUCGAGCUCACGAAGGUGCCUUCGUAAUUCUGUCAAUGCCAUGCUUGGUUUGCUGAAUCUGUUAACGAAACUUGCUAUGUUUACAUGGGUGUCAUCAUAUUUUAUGAUCCUUUUGGCUUAAGGUCAGUAAGGGACUUUUGAUCUAUGCUUUGAGUAGAUUCAUGCCAUGUCUUGGUUUGUUAUUAUAAGUUCCUGUAGCUUGUUGAUAACUUGCUAUGAACAUUGCUUCGUGAUGUUGUUUAUGCCAUGUCCAACCUGAUAUUUUUUGCACUUUCACCAUGCUUGUUUGAACCUGUUAUGAUGUGAUUUAGCCGUAGCUCAGCGUUCCUCUUUUGUUAAGCAUCUCCUGUAGAUCACUGCCAUAUGUUUUGUUUUUAUGUUGGGGUGCUGUAGCAUAGUUUCUUGUUGCAUGCUAAGUAGCAUUGUGCUGUUAAUCGCAGCUUUGUGCCAUUCUUGUUUUGCUUGCCAUUUGCAAACCGUGCAUCCGUUCCCGGUGACCCUUAUAUCGAUUUCAACUGAAAUCAUCUCAUCUUUCCAGCGGCAUACUUGGUUUGCCAAGUUGAUGCCUUGUUCAUCCCUUUCCGCCAGGAGCACGCAUAUGCAUUGCAUAUCACAUCUCGCAUAUCAUGUCAUGUAUUGCAUCAUGUUGCUUGUGCAUUGCACCGUGAUUUAUUGUGGUUCCUUUGCUUGUGUUCUUUCUUUGGGUAGAGCCGGGAGACGAGUACGUGCACGAGGAACCUGUUGAGUAUGCUAACGAGGAUCAAUCCUUCGACAACUCUGAGAACCUCGCAGGUAAGAUGACCAUACCGUCGAUAUCACUUCUAUCUUUGCUUGCUAGUACUCGCUCUAUCUCUAUGUUAGCUCUACCUGCCAUUGUUUAUCAUGCCUCCCUAUUGCCAUGUCAAACCCCUAACCAUCCUGUCCUAGCAAACCGUUGUUUGGCUAUGUCACCGCUUUUGCUCAGCCCCUCUUAUAGCGUUGUUAGUUGCAGGUGAAGAUGAAGUUUGUUCCUGGUCGGAACAUGGAUAUUUUGGGAUAUCACAAUAUCUCCUGUUUAAUUAAUGCACCUUAUAUACUUGGUAAAGGGUGGAAGGCUCGGCCUUAUGCCUGGUGACUUGUUCCACUCUUGCCGCCCUAGUUUCCGUCAUACCGGUGUUAUGUUCCCUGAUUUUGCGUUCCUUACACAGUUGGGUGAUUUAUGGGACCCCCUUAAUAGUUCGCUUUGAAUAAAACUCCUCCAGCAAGGCCCACACUUGGUUUUACCAUUUGCCACCUAAGCCCUUUUCCCUUGGGUUUUCGCGAGCCCGAGGGUCAUCUUUAUUUUAGACCCCCCCGGGCCAGUGCUCCUUCGAGUGUUGGUCCGAACCAAGCCGCCUGCGGGGCCACCUCGGGGAAACUCGAAGUAUGAUUUUACUCGUAGCCUGUCUCAUCCGGUGUGCCCUGAGAACGAGAUAUGUGCAGCUCCUAUCGGGAUUUGUCGGCACAGUCGGGUGGUCUUGCUGGUCUUGUUUUACCAUUGUCGAAAUGUUUUGCGAACCGGGAUUCCGAGGCUGAUCGGGUCUUCCCGGGAGAAGGUAUAUCCUUCUUUGACCGCGAGAGCUUGUGAUGGGCUAAGUUGGGACACCCCUGCAGGGUAUAUUAUCUUUCGAAAGCCGUGCCCGCGGUUAUGAGGCAGAUGGGAAUUUGUUAAUGUCCGGUUGUAGAUAACUUGACACUUGACUUCUUUAAAAUGCAUCAACUGUGUGUGUAGUCAUGAUGGUCUCUUCUCGGCGGAGUCUGGGAAGUGAACACGAUUUGUGUUAUGCUUGACGUAAGUAGUUUCAGGAUCACUUCUUGAUCGCUUCUAGCUUCUCGACCGUUGCGUUGCUUCUCUUCUCGCUCUCACUUGCGUAUGUUAGCCACCAUAUAUGCUUAGUGCUUGCCGCAGCUCCACCAUAUUACCCCUUUUCCUACCUAUGAGCUUAAAUAGUCUUGAUCUCGCGGGUGUGAGAUUGCUGAGUCCUCGUGACUCACAGAUUCUACCAAAACAGAUGCAGGUGCCGUGGAUACCAACGCAGAUGGCACAACCGAGCUCAAGUGGGAGUUUGACGAGGACCUUGUCCGUUACUAUGUAUCGUUUCCAGAUGAUCAGUAGAGGUGCCCAGUCGGGACGAUCGGGGAUCUAGCAUUUGGGGUUGUCUUAUUUUCAUUUGAAUUUGACCGUAGCCGGUCUAUGAGUGUAUUUGAAUGAUGUAUGAUCUUAAUUAUGUAUUGUGUGAAGUGGCGAUUGUAAGCCAACUCCCUUUAUCCCAUUCUUGUUCAUUACAUGGGAUUGUGUGAAGAUGACCCUUCUUGCGACAAAACGACCAUGCGGUUAUGCCUCUAAGUCGUGCUUCGACACGUGGGAGAUAUAGCCGCAUCGUGGGUGUUACAGCUACCCUGUGACAUGUCUUGCUAUCAUGACCGUGCAAGAGUCAACACCCUUCCUACUUUUAACCACAUGGUGGGCCCAUAACCCACAGUUCCACAGGAUCAAAACCUGACUCUCCUGUACAGCCCUGUUACUAAUGGUUAUUUCCCACGCUUGGCUUCGUAUUUAAUUCAUGGGCCACCUUCCUAAUGCUCUAUUCUGGUAUCAAACGCAAUACUUACUCUCGUUGCUCUGAACCCCUUUCUCACUCCGGUUCAGACUUCGAGCAACUAUCUAUCCGCUUGGAACCUCUUAUUGUACCUUCGUACCUUACCCUCGACAUAUUUUAUUGGUUCAGCUCGAGAGAUACUCUUAUGCUCAUUCAUGGGUUAACCCCAGAUUGUCUCCCUCAUAAGCAUUCUGUCGUAGCCGAGCUGCCCCUUACCUAUUUGUAAGUACGUUGGAGUUCCCGAAGAAAAGGACGACUUCACCAUGAUGACCUGAAGCACAGAAAUAAAGAUGUCAAUGUAACGGAUCGACCUCUUCGAGAAGAGCAACCAAAGACGAGAAGACCCGUUAGAAUUUCGUAACCAAAAUUUUCCCCUUAGUCCCCCUCUUAAAUCUCGGGACGAGAUUUCUUGUAGUGGAGGAGAAUUGUGACGCCCGGAUAAUCAAGCUACAGUAACCUCUGUUAAUGAUGCCACGUCUCCACUAUUACUGUUGCUAACCUCGCAAUGAUUCGAAACUUUUUCAAAUUCAACUUCAAAUUAAUGUCAAACGACAAAGUUUUCAAAAUAUUAAACUAAAAUAUUCGGAGUGUGCAGUUAAAUGCCUAGGUGAUUAUAGUGCAACGAACACCCUUUUUGAAAAUGUCUAAAUAUAUUAAAAUGAAAUAAAACAAAAAAAUGAAAUAAAUAAAUAAAUAAAAGGAAAAGACAAAUCUAACUAAAAAUAAAAAGAGGCCCCCCCCCCACUGGGCCAUUUGUGGCCCAGCUAGCCAGCCCAACUGGGCAAAGGCCCAGCCGGCUGACCCACUCCCUCCAUAUCCCCACCAGGGAGGAAACCCUAAACCACGACCCACCUCACUCCCCACCCCCACGAUCCCACUCCCCCUCUGCUCCCCCCGAAUCUGGAUCGGGAAUGGGGCACCUGACGCCGAUGCCCCAGCUCGUCCCCGCCGNNNNNNNNNNNNNNNNNNNNNNNNNNNNNNNNNNNNNNNNNNNNNNNNNNNNNNNNNNNNNNNNNNNNNNNNNNNNNNNNNNNNNNNNNNNNNNNNNNNNNNNNNNNNNNNNNNNNNNNNNNNNNNNNNNNNNNNNNNNNNNNNNNNNNNNNNNNNNNNNNNNNNNNNNNNNNNNNNNNNNNNNNNNNNNNNNNNNNNNNNNNNNNNNNNNNNNNNNNNNNNNNNNNNNNNNNNNNNNNNNNNNNNNNNNNNNNNNNNNNNNNNNNNNNNNNNNNNNNNNNNNNNNNNNNNNNNNNNNNNNNNNNNNNNNNNNNNNNNNNNNNNNNNNNNNNNNNNNNNNNNNNNNNNNNNNNNNNNNNNNNNNNNNNNNNNNNNNNNNNNNNNNNNNNNNNNNNNNNNNNNNNNNNNNNNNNNNNNNNNNNNNNNNNNNNNNNNNNNNNNNNNNNNNNNNNNNNNNNNNNNNNNNNNNNNNNNNNNNNNNNNNNNNNNNNNNNNNNNNNNNNNNNNNNNNNNNNNNNNNNNNNNNNNNNNNNNNNNNNNNNNNNNNNCUCGAUGUGAGCACGCGCCCCUCCUCUCUCUCCCUCACCCGCGACCACGCGAGCCCCGCCAUGGCCGCGCGCGCCGACCCCGGCCGUUGCUCCUCCCCACGGUCGCUCGUGCUCACCACCGCCACUCCCGCCGAGCACCGCUGCUCCCCACGGCCCUACUCGCCUGCCCGCGCGCGCCCGCCGUGGCCGCGUCCGGCCACUGCACUCCGCCCCGCCUCUGUAGUCCCGUCGCCGCCCGCCGGCCGGACCCUGCUCCAGCAAUGGCCUCGCCAUGGCCACUGACCUCCCCUGCGCCGGUGCCCUGCCGGGUUCGCCCAUACUGGGCGUGCGCCCGCUCGGGCGCGUCAGACGCCCCCGCCCGCUAUCGGCGCCCGAUUGGCCCCUUGGGGCCACAGGCAUGUGGGGCCCCGCCCCAGAACGUUUACAAAAAAAUAAGAAAAAUAAUAUAUAAAAUAAAAUUAAUAAUAAUUGAAUUAAUUAAUUAAUUAAUUAACUUAAUAAAUCUUGUUUAGAUUAACCUAAUCAUUUAGUUAGACUAACUAAACCUGAUUAGUUAGUCUUAGCCUAUGGCAUGCAGGACCCACAUGUCAGGUUGACCAAUCAACUCUGUUGACUGCUGAUGUCAGCAUGACCUCAUGCUGAUGUCAUUAAUCCAUUUUCCGAAUUAAUUUAAAUAAUUAAUUAAAUUCCAGAAAUUCAUAAAAUCUUUAGAAAAUCAUAACUUUUAAUCCGUAACUCGGAUUAAAUUAUUUUCAACAUGAAAGUUGCUCAAAACGACGAGACGAAUCCGGAUAUACAGCCCGUUCGUCCGCCACACAUCCCUAACCUAUCGAACUCGCAACUUUCCCCCUCCGGUUUAUCUGUCCAAAAACGCGAAACACCAGGGAUACUUUCCCGGAUGUUUCCCCCUUCACCGGUAUCACCUACUACCGCGUUAGGGCACACCGAACACCGCGUAUUGUCUUCUUAUGCUUUGUGAUGCUUUGAUUACUCUGUUAUUUAUUGUGUUCCCUCACCGUUACUUCUUUCCGAUAGACCCCGAGACUGCCGGCGACCCCCAGUUCGACUACGGUGUUGGUGACUCGUCCUUCUUGCCAGAGCAACCAGGAAACCCCCCCCCCCCUGAUCACCAGAUAUCGCCUAUUCUUCUCUAUACUGCUUGUAUUAGAGUAGUGUAGCAUGUUACUGUUCGGUUACUCCUAUUCUGUUGCAUAGCCUGUCAUUGUUGCUACAGUCAUUGAUACCUUACCCGCAAUCCUAAAUGCUUAGUAUAGGAUGCUAGUUUAUNNNNNNNNNNNNNNNNNNNNNNNNNNNNNNNNNNNNNNNNNNNNNNNNNNNNNNNNNNNNNNNNNNNNNNNNNNNNNNNNNNNNNNNNNNNNNNNNNNNNNNNNNNNNNNNNNNNNNNNNNNNNNNNNNNNNNNNNNNNNUUGCAUUAGAGUAGUGUAGCAUGUUACUGUUCGGUUACUCCUAUUCUGUUGCAUAGCCUGUCAUUGUUGCUACAGUCAUUGAUACCUUACCCGCAAUCCUAAAUGCUUAGUAUAGGAUGCUAGUUUAUCAUCAUUGGCCCUACAUUCUUGUCAGUCUGCCUUGCUAUACUAUUGGGCCGUGAUCACUUGGGAGGUGAUCACGGGUAUAUACUAUUCAUAUAUACAUACUAUACAGAUGAUGACUGAAGUCGGGUCAGCUCGUUGAGUACCCGCAAGUGAUUCCGAUGUGGGGGCUGGAAGGACAGGUGGUUCCAUCCCGGUAGAGGUGGGCCUGGGUUCCCGACGGCCCCCGACUGUUACUAUGUGGCGUUGCGACAGGGCAGGUUGAGACCACCUAGCCGAGAGGUGGGCCUGGCCCUGGUUGGCGUCCGCGGUUAUUUCAUAAUAACAUGCUUAACGAGAUCUUGGUAUUUGAUCUGAGUCUGGCCACUGGCCUAUACGCACUAACCAACUACGCGGGAACAGUUAUGGGCACUCGAUGUCGUGGUAUCAGCCGAAGCCUUCUUGACGCCAGCGACGGAGCGGCGCGCGCCGGAUUGGACUGGAACGCCUACUCUUGUAUAAGAGAGGCUAGGUCUGCUUCCGACCGCCCUCGCAACGUGUAGGUGUGCAAUGGGUGAUGGGCCUAGACCCCUGUGCACAUAGGAUUUAGACCGGCAUGCUGACCUCUCUAUUGUGCCUAGUGGGGCUGCGACGUGUUGAUUUUCCGAGGCCGGGCAUGACCCAGGAAAGUGUGUCCGGCCAAAUGGGAUCGAGCGUGUUGGGUUAUGUGGUGCACCCCUGCAGGGAAGUUAAUCUAUUCAAAUAGCCGUGAUCUUCGGUAACAGGACGACUUGGAGUUGUACCUUGACCUUAUGACAACUAGAAUCGGAUACUUAAUAAAACACACCCUUCUAAGUGCCAGAUACAACCCGGUGAUCGCUUUUCCACAGGGCGACGAGGGGAGGAUCGCUGGGUAGGAUUAUGCUAUGCGAUGUUACUUGGAGAUGCUACUUGGAGGACUUCAGUCUACUCUCUUCUACAUGCUGCAAGACGGAGGCUGCCAGAAGCGUAGUCUUCAAUAGGGCUAGCUAUCCCCCUCUUAUUCUGGCAUUCUGCAGUUCAGUCCACCGAUAUUGCCUUUUUACACAUAUACCCAUGCAUAUAUAGUGUAGUUCCUUGCUUGCGAGUACUUUGGAUGAGUACUCACGGUUGCUUUCUCCCCCCUUUUCCCCCUUUCCUUUCUUUCUGGUUGUCGCAACCAGAUGCUGGAGUCCAGGAGCCAGUCGCCACCGUCGACGAUGAUUCCUACUACACUGGAGGUGCCUUCUGCUACGUGCAGGCUGCUGACGACGAUCAGAAGUAGUUAGGAGGAUCCCAGGCAGGAGGCCUGUGCCUCUUUCGAUCUGUAUCCCAGUUUGUGCUAGCCAUCUUAUGGCAACUUGUUUAACUUAUGUUUGUACUCAGAUAUUGUUGCUUCCGCUGACCCGUCUAUGAUCGAGCACUUGUAUUCGAGCCCUCGAGGCCCCUGGCUUGUAUUAUUAUACUUGUAUGACUUAUUUAUGGUUUUAGAGUUGUGUUGUGAUGUCUUCCCGUGAGUCCCUGAUCUUGAUCGUACACGUUUGCGUGCAUGAUUAGUGUACGAUUGAAUCGGGGGCGUCACACAUUGGUUCUUCUCUUAUGGCAUCACGCGGUAGAUCAAGCGACAACCAGGAUAGUAUUGGCAGUGGGCCCAGGUGGCAUUGGAGCACAGCGAUGCCUUCGUUUUUCCAGCGUGAGAAUAUGAUCUUUUAUGCCUCUUGCUCGACUUCUUUGGUGCCUAGGGUUUGAAGAUUUUUGGGAUGCCCUCCUUAAUUACCUCUUGCCGUUGUGGGUCAUUGGACCAUUAAUGCCCAACAUGUUCUUCGUUGGCGCACCUAUAUUUUUGAGAUCAUGACCCAUUAGUGGAUUCUUCCUUUUUAUUUUAUUCAACUAUGGUAGAAUUUUUUUACUAACAUUUCAUUCUAAUGGCAAUUAGUUUCGUAUUCGUGUAUACAACCAUGCAUCCAUAUCUAUAGCUUGUGCGAUCUCCAUAACGACAACACAACGCCAUGGCUAUGCGAUUGUCUCCAUCAAAGACACACACAGAGAGAGAGAGAGAGAGACACAGAGAGAGAGAGAGAGAGAGAGCACUGGGGUAUAGGGAAAGCGAGAUUUUCACGGUUGUAACUAAGAAAGAGAGAAAGAGAGAAAUAGAGAGAUUUUCAUGGGCGAGAAAAUACUUUCACAUGAGAGAGGGAGAGAGAUUUUCAUGGGAGACAAAUACUAUCAAGAGAGAGGGAGAGAGAGAGAGAUUUCAUGGGAGAUAAAUACGAGAGAGAGAGAGAGAGAGAGAGAGAGAGAGAGAGAGUUUAAUGGGAAUAAUUGAAAGCGAGACAUUUUCGUUGUAUGGAUUUUUCUGAGAAGUGUUCGUGAGAGAUUUACAUACGAGAUACAAAAGAAUUUAGUUUUGCUCAUUUCUUGAAUAGGCUUUAGAAGUAUAUAAUGAAAUGGUGUGCACACUCGUUGUACCCUGACUACAAAAGUUAUCGAUAUUUAUUUAGAUCUGCAACACAUAAUGUAAUUAUUGACUAACUGGAUUAUUUAUGGACAAAAAAUGGUUGUUGUAAUAAUGUAUACAUACUAUUGUUUCUCGGAUUUUGUUAUAACUAUAUGCAUGGACAUUUUGAUAUGAUACAUAUAUAAUAUUUUAAAGAUGGGGUUAUUAACAUAUGGAACUAAAUGAAUAUGCCGAGAACUAAUGAUUUUCUGCCGCGACGAUUCAUUGACAGUGCUAUGGUAGCGGUUACUUCCACGAUAUGACAAUUUUGCCGCCACGAUAGUGUUUUAAUCGUGUAUCCCAUUGCAACGCACGUGUAAUUUCCUAGUAUUUAUUUAAUUCCUUGCCGAGGAUUGGUUUCCUUGCUCCCUUUUGUGUGCUUGGGGGCCAAAAUUUUGUAGCAACAUCAGUGUUUUCCUUCCGCUAAGACUAAUGCAUCGUUUAUUUUCCGUCCUUCGAAUGAUACGGAUGGAAAUUUUCCUUCUGGAUGGACUAUCGUGAAAUUUAUAAUUUUUAAUUAUUUCUCUUCAUUCCAAUCGAACAUGCACCAAAUCAUUCAUUUCCUUCCACUCAAACGAAUUCUGAAUCAAAUGUUCCUUGCUCACUAGCUCGUUUGUAUUGGGCACCAAAAGUAUGGUUUAAGGCUAGCCUUUUUUCCCUCUGAUGUUUUUUUCUACUAUUUGGACCUGGAAGUAAUGCAUUCGCAUGGAGUACUUCUGUACACCGCUCCUGUUAUGUAUCAUCAUGUCAUUUCCGUAUGACAAGGAAAAGCUACAACAUGUCCUUCACUCUCGCAUUCUCUUCGGUGGAACAUAAUGCUCGAGAAUGCUGCCAACUUCAAUGGACAAAUUGUAUGGAGCGUUGUGUCCUUUUUCGGCUUCUACAUAGUGGUCGGUCGGCUGUGCGGUGCUUCAAGGACGGCGAACACAUGUGUGGCAAGUAGUAAGAGGUCAUGUUACGAGCGGAGGCAGAACUUGGUGCCAACCCGUUGACUGUGGUCAGCUGAGCUCAUGACACCAAUGAUUGCAAAGUAUGUGGCCAAAGGCGUUUGGUGAGGCGCCCGGCACGACGGAGGGCUAGAAUUGGAGAGGCUCAGUGUUGCAACCGACACAAAAAAAGCUGGAACCAGAGGAACUUAGUGGUGCAACCUAACAUGGCGGCGAGCCUUAGCAACUACAACCAGAGGCGCCCGGUACUGCAACCGGCACGAUGACGAGUUGCAACCAGUAAUGAAGCAUUGUAAUUUGAAUGCUAGAUACUUAUACUAUUCAGUUUUGAAAAUAAUUUUAAUAUACUUGCAUUGAGAUGGGUGGGCGUGGCAACAUCUUUUAUGUUCUAGUAGGAAUGUUAGAACCGAUUGUCGCCUAGAGCAAGUCAUAGGCAAUCCUUUGGGAGCAUGCCAAGGAGAUGCCCAAUAUGUAAAUGGAACCAUGCACCAAAUCUUUGUCCUGGUCUUUGGGAGAAUUGGUAUACAUUUGGAAUGUUUAUGCACAUUCGGUAUGAGUGUCCAAAUAAAGAGUGAAAUGUACCACCAGCCCAUAAACUCAAACCGAUUACACAUUUUAAGCCUAUAACUCAGGAACUGAUAGAAUAUAGUCCGUAAACUCGUUAAUUUGAUCGAAUAAGGCCAAAACUGGCCCGAGAGGGAAAAACCCGGCCAUGUGGAUGCCAUGUCAUCGUUCCUUUGACCGCUUAUGAAUUAGCUAUUUUUUUAAGGAUCUAUCUGUAAAUUGGUUGGGUUCUUAUUCACAACCCAUGCUAAGGGCGUUGGACUGAAAAGAAUAUGCACCUCAAAUUGUAUAUAUUCACGUAGAAUCAGGAGAAAAGACUGAAGAUCCCAUCCGAUCGUUUUCCAAUCACGCGAUUUCUUUCCUUCUGUUGCAUCGACUACUGUUUGUUCCUAGAUCAUAGCGUUCCCUUCCCUUCUGGUUUGUCUUAUGUGACUUGUCCAUCACGCGACGGAGAUCGGCAAUUGACCACGGUGCCGUCUACCUGCAGAUGAUUCACUUUUGUAUUCUCUGAAAUCCACUUAUUAUAUAUAGAUAUUUCACACGGUUCUGUGCAGAUAUAUAUAAGUUAGGCUGUAUUUUGAUACAUAAAUCAUUUUAUGGUGUGCUGUUUUGGAUUCCGAUACCUUACCCAGUUGUCAUGGGUUCAAGUCCUACAAAACAUAGUUUUUUUUAAAUCUACUGACACUAGUAGAAAAAGGGCCUAAUGUGAAGCUCAUUAGGCCCGGUUUGUAUUUGAACCGGCACUAAUAUGACCAUUAGUGUCGGCUGCAACGGCUAGGCGGGCGGCUCACAUUAGGUGGUGGCAGGCUUUUGUCAGGCUGGGGCCCCACCAGCACCUCUAGUACCGGUUCAUGCCAUGAACCGGGACUAGAAAUGCACCUUUAGUCCUGGUUCGUCUAACAAACCGGUACUAAAGGUCUUCCUAUAUAAACCCCUUCGUUCAUCCCGAGCGCUCUGUUCUUCGCCUUUCCUCUCCUCUGUGUUCUUCCUCUUCCUCUCGAGCUCAUACUUCUUUUUUGCCAAAAUUUGGGAAGAUUUGCAGUCACCCCAUCCAUCCAAGUGAUCACAAAGGUUAGCAACUUUGUCCUUCCAUCUCUCAUUGCUAGAUUAGCUCUUGCAGUGCUCUAUAAGUAUAGUGAUUUGUGGGUUUUAUUUUGGGAGGAAUUAUAUGUGUUAGUAUCUGAUUUACAUGCAAUUUGAGGUCAAAAUAACUCUUAGUUUGCAUAUGUAGGUGUGGUUUACUUAGUGCCUUCCCGUCUCCAUCCUAACCACCAUCGAUCGCCCGCACCGACCCGUCGCCGGCUCCACCUUCCAGUGAGCCUCUUGUUCUUAUCUUUUUCAUAUAAAAGAAUCAUGUUUAUGUGAUAUAGAUAUAUAGUUACUUGUAUAAUUAUCUUACCCGUACGUUGUUUGUUAUAUAUAGUGCCAUGGUUUUGAUAUCCGUCCCCAUCGGCCCUCGUCCGGGUUAUGAUUCGGAUGUGGUAUAUUCUCUUUUAUAACUAUUUGUUGCAUUUCAUGUUUAUGACAAAUUAUGCCCAUCAAGUUGACAUAGAUAUUUUUAUCUAGGAGGUAUGUGAACCACAAACUCCAACCAACCCUAUUGUCGAGAGGUUAAAUUUAGUUGAAAAAGAAAACGAGUAUUUAAAAGAAAAAUUGAAAAAAAUUGAGGGGGAGAAGAUGGAAUUGGAUUUGCAUGUUGCCGAUGCCGUCUAUGAUCACAAGAUCGAGAUGGAGAAAAUGCGCUUGAAGAUUAGAAAGAUUAGAAAAUAUACCAUCGAUAGUGAGGCUUGGUAUCAUUAUGUUGUUGCAUCAAUUGUUACCUUAAUUGCGAUCUUGAUCGCAUUUGUUGUUGCAUUUAAAUGCUUUACCUAGAGAGUUAUAUGUAUGUUGUUUUAUGAGAAUAAGUGUUGUAUGAACUUUAUGUAUGAACUUGUAUUAAUUUGAUCUUUUUGGUGCAGCGUAAUGAAGAUGAGCCGACAAUGGAUGUACGAUGACCGAUGCUCUCCCCAGUUCAUUAAUGGUGUGCAUACUUUUGUACUUGCAGCUGAGGCAAACAAGCGGGCAUUCUACUAGUAAUGAUAGGAUCCAAGAGAAAUGAUUUAGUCAAUGGUACUGUGAGGACAUGCUUAUCCACAUUUCACUCACUUACAUAUGGUACCCAAUGUGCCAACCUUGCAUGGAGUUGCUUGACUAUUGGUUUCACGAAAUCAAUGGCACUGCCAAGCAUAUUUUGUUGUUUAUUUUUUCUGUGUGUAUUUGACUUCAUCAGAAAGGAAAAUACCUUUGUUUUGUUUUUCUUGAUGCUAAUCGAUGAACUAACUUUUGCACAGCUGAUGACCAUAUAUAUUUUACUGAGUGCUAGAUCAUAAUAUUCCAUUUAACCUUUUUUUUGUGAUGAUUAGUUGCACUUAAUAAGAAUAUGGACACAAAUUGUUUAAUCAUUCAAUUCACCAGGGUUGAUGAAUAUGCUAGACUGUGGGACCUUCCCUAGACACAAGCUUUUGUGGGUGUCAUCGUGUUUUCAUACUCAGGUAGCCACAACUUUGUCCAUACACUCACAUGAAGAACUAAUUUCGUCCAUAUGUUUUCUAUUAUGAUAUUUGAAGAUUGCUAAUUAUCAUGCUAGGAAGUGUGACUGUCUUCCCUUUUAGAAAAAUAGGCACACAAAUGGCUGCAGAUGAGGGGUGCCAACUUCUAGGGAAGUGAUGCUGGGAAGAGAUGCAUUUCGUGCCAACCAUGUUGUGUGUAUGCAGGCGAAGAGGCUGGUCGAUCUGACACUGAAGACGAUACCGGGGGGCAUGGGGAGAGAUGAUCACUGAGGAUGUCGUUGCUAUAGAAGAGGAACUCAGAGAAUUUUUUUUGAACCGCUGAAACAGUAGGAGAGGUGAGGGAGUCCUGGACUGGGGGGUGUCCGGAUAGCCGAACUAUCAUCAUCGGCCGGACUCCAAGACUAUGAAGAUACAAGAUUGAAGACUUUGUCCCGUGUCCGGAUGGGACUUUCCUUGGCGUGGAAGGCAAGCUUGGCAAUACGGAUAUGUAGAUCUCCUACCAUUGUAACCGACUCUGUGUAACCCUAGCCCUCUCCAGUGUCUAUAUAAACCGGAUGGCUUUAGUCCGUAGGACAAAGAACAAUCAUACCAUAGGCUAGCUUCUAGGGUUUAGCCUCCUUGAUCUAGUGGUAGAUCUACUCUUGUAAUACCCACAUCAUCAAUAUCAAUUAAGCAGGACGUAGGGUUUUAGAUCCAUCAAGAGGGCCCGAACCUGGGUAAAACAUCGUGUCCCUUGUCUCCUGUUACCAUCUGCCUAGACGCACAGUUCGGGACCCCCUACCCGAGAUCCGCCAGUUUUGACACCGACAUUGGUGCUUUCAUUGAGAGUUCCUCUGUGCCGUCACCGAUAGGCUCGAUGGCUUCUUCGAUCAUCAACAACGACGCAGUUCGGGGUGAGACCUUCCUCCCCGGACAGAUCUUCGUAUUCGGCGGCUUUGCACUGCGGGCCAAUUCGCUUGGCCAUCUGGAGCAGAUCAAAAGCUACGCCCCUGGCCGUUAGGUCAGAUUUGGAAGUUUGAACUUCACAGCUGACAUCCGCGGGGACUUGAUCUUCGAUGGAUUCGAGCCACAGCCGAGCGCGCCGCACUGUCACGACGGGCAUGAUUUAGCUCUGCAGCCGGACAGUACCCUGGAGGCCGCCCACGAGUCCGCUCCGAUCUUCAAUUCGGAGCCGACUGCUCAGAUCGAGGACGGGUGGCUAGACACCGCCUCGGGGGCUGCAACCUCUACAGCGAUAGAGCCGAACACUGACCUUGUUCCUCACGAAGCUCGUGGCUCCGAGGUGCCAGACUCCUCGCCGAACUCCGAACCUCCCGCGCCCCUCCAAUCGAAUCCGAUUGGGCACCGGUCAUGAAGUUCGCCGUUGCGGACAUCUUUCAACACUCACCUUUCGGCGACAUCUUGAGUUUGCUAAAGUAUCUCUCGUUAUCAGGAGAGCCCUGGCCGGACUACGGUCAGGACGGUUGGGAUGCGGACGACAAAGAAAUUCAAAGCCCACCCACCACCCACUUAGUAGCCACUGUCGACGAUCUAACCGACAUGCUAGACUUCGACUCCGAAGACAUCGACGGUAUGGACGACGGUGCCGGAGACGACCAAGAACCAGCGCCUACUGGGCACUGGAAAGCCACCUCAUCAUAUGACAUAUACAUGGUGGAUACACCAAAAGGAAGCGACAACGAGGAACAACGGGACGUGGCGAAGGACAACUCCCCCAACAAACAACCAAAACAGCGACACAAGCGCCGCCCGAAGUCCCGCCUCGAUAGCAACGACACCCAUACUGACCCAGCCUUAGAGCAGGGUGAAGCGGUGGACGACGAACAUGCCACCAAGCAACCAUCCGAAUAGGAUGGAUCGGACAAGCAACCCAUCCCCGGCGAAAACAACAGUCCAGACGAUCUCACGCCCGACAAACCACCGGAGCAUAAGAACCUUCAUAAAAGGCUCAUUGCCACUGCAAGAAGUCUGAAGAAGCAAAAGCGGAAGCUCAAAACAGCGGAGGAUGCACUCAAAAUGAGAUGGAGCAAAGUACUCAAUACCGCAGAUAAAUACGGCAAUAGUCACCAGGCGAAGAGCUACCCGAAGCGCAAGUUGUUGCCCGAAUUUGACGAGGAGGCCGUAGAGCCCCCACAGUCAAAAAACAAAGACGCCGCCUGGCCGGAUAGACGACCAGAUGACAGGCUAAGAGCGGCAAGGGGCGCCGCACACAAACCGGCACACGAUCCACAUAAAGAUCCUCGCAAAAAAGAUGGCCCGGUUAGGUCCAUCUACGGGCCAAAAAAGAAGACUCCAGGGAGCAAUACAACCCGCCGAGUGUUUGAAGACAACGGCACACCUAAAUACAGGGUCGCUGCACACCCACUAUGUUUCACCGAUGAGGUACUGGACCAUUAAUUUCCAGCGGGAUUCAAACCCGUCAACAUAGAGGCAUAUGACGGAACAACAGACCCCGGAGUCUGGAUUGAGGAUUAUAUCCUACACAUACAUAUGGCCAGAGGAGACGAUCUCCAUGCCAUAAAAUACCUACCCCUCAAGCUCAAAGGGCCAGCUCGGCAUUGGCUCAAAAGCCUCCCAGAAAAUACCAUUGGAAGUUGGGAGGAGCUCGAGGAUGCGUUUCGAGCAAAUUUUCAGGACCGCCCUCCGGAUGUAGACGAUUUAAGUCACAUAACUCAACAGCCCAGAGAGUCAGCACAAAAAUUCUGGAACAGGUUCCUCACCAAAAAGAACCAAAUAGUCGACUGUCCGAACGCCGAAGCCUUAGCAGCCUUUAAACACAACGUCCGAGACGAAUGGCUCGCCAGACAUCUCGGCUAGGAAAAACCAAGAACAAUGGCCGCACUAACAAGCCUCAUGACCCGCUUUUGCGCGGGGGAAGACAGCUGGCUGGCUAGAUGCAGCACCAGCGACCCGAGUAUAUCCGAAGUCAGGGAUGGAAAUAGGAAAUCACGACGCAGAAAAGAUCAGCGUCGGAAUAAGGAAAAUGGCCCAAAUAGCACGGCGGUCAACGCCGGAUUCAAAAGCUCUCGGCCGAAUAAUAAAACACUGCCCCUCAAGGACAACAGUGAUGAGCUAUCCAACCUAUACAAAAUUUUGGAUAGGGUAUGUCAAAUACAUAGUACCCCCGGGAAGCCUGCAAACUAUACCCACAGAGAUUGUUGGGUCUUCAAGCAGUCCGGCCGACUUAACGCCGAACGCAAGGGGUUCGACACACCAAGCGAAGACGACGAACCCCACAAGCAGCACGCCGGAAAACAGAAGACUUUCCCACUAGAAGUCAAAACAGUAAACUCGCUUCAUAUGAUAACACAGAAACAUAGUACGGCACCUGCUAUACCAGGACACCGUCCGCAGAAUGGGGAUAGACCCUACCGAAAUUCACCAUAGCAGCACUUCCUUCAAAGGAGUGACGCCUGGCCUUUACUCCAAAUGUACAGGCUCUGUACCACUAGAGGUCGUGUUCGGUUCAUCCGACAACCUCCGUCGCGAAAAGCUCAUUUUCCAUAUCGCCCCAUUCAAAAGUAGCUAUCAAGCACUACUGGGACGCGAAGCAUUCGCCCGCUUUAACGCAAUACCGCAUUACGCGCCUCUUACACUUAAAUUGCCUGGUCCAUACGGCAUAAUCUCAGCAAAGAGUAAAUCUGAGUGUUCCUCGACCACGGGAAAAGUAAGACUGCGUUGACAGCCGCACACUAAGCCGACCUUGCUGGUCAAAGCCCUAAAAACAGGUCAUUCAGACCUUGGACACGGUUAGGCGAGUCCGGCAUAAAUAAACAAGGGGCUUCACCGCCGCAUACCCCUUUACAAGGGGCUGCACGUAUAAACAAUGAGAGCCAAUAAAGCUCAAAUUCAUCAUAAUCUAUUUUAAUUACACCUCUUGCACGAUAUUUUUUCCAAACUAAGUUCUUCUCCUUUACAGAUGAAGCGCGUGCUACACCCGUCCAGGAUACGGCACAAAGGAGACACAGGCGCAGACGUGCAGCAGGGACCCGUUACAAGGAUUCUUUUCAGAUUAAGACCCUGCGUAAACCUUUCUUACUGUCUCUUGUUGAUACACAUCUCCCGGUUUCUUACCAUAACCGAGGAGGAGGCUGGCGUUUUGGCAUCGGCCGCGUCAGAAGUUCCCGCCCGUACCUGGACACUAGGGGCUUAGGGCAUUGUUCUACCCGGUAUCAUAAAGACUGAACACCUCAGGGAGUGCUCGGCGUCUCGAGUUAGGCCUUAUAUGCAUCAGCUCUGAAUCAUGUCUUUGGUCAAAUGUUGGGUUUGCCCGGCUCCUGUGUUUUGCUGCCUUACGUUUCGCACCAUCGGCUAACGCGGCACCAGGAGAACUACUGCGAUUGUGCCCCAGUUCGGCCGGGCGAGCACCUCAGUAGAGAAAGCCGAAAACUGACUGUCAUGAUAUAGCAAGAAACUGGUCAACCACUCGAUCGACCACUGGAUUGUUUAGAAUUCCUCCGCUUUGACGAAGGACCGCUUCCCGGUCAGGCACAUACGUGCCCCGAGUUCGGAGAAGCGCGGUGCCUCUAGGGGCUAUAUAGUAGCCCCACCUUCGAGCUCCUAUGGCUAAGUGAAAGUGAUAAAGCAUUAUAGUCCGAUUGCCUAGUUUGCUACGCUAUCACCUCCUUCAAAGGACCAAGACGUUGGAUUAAGUGUGAAAAAGCGCUUUUCUUUUUGCAAACACCCCCACACCAUGUGCAUGGGGGCUGAAGCCAAAGACUGCCAUCUUUUAGGUUAUAUAUACAUAUACGGCCGCACAGGAGAUAGUUCAAUACUUGAACGCACAAGUAUAAAAAGCUAUUGCAUUAUAAACAUGAUCUCACAAAUCAUACACGUCAUUUGAACAUAACAUUUUUCGAGCACUGCGACUCUAUUAAAUGAGCGCCCUGCAGGACUUCCUCAAAAUAGUGCUCGGCGGGUAAUCGGCCUUUGUCCGAACCCCGGGAUGCAACAACGGUGGCAUCCAUCUCCGCCCAGUAUGUCUUAACACGGGCGACAGCCAUCCGUGCACCUUCUAUGCAUGUCGACCGCUUCAUCGCCUUGAUAUGCGGCACCGCCCCAAGGAAUUGCUGCAACAAGCCAAAAUAACUAUCAGGCUUGGGCCUUUCCGGCCACAGAUGAGCGACCACAUCCGUCAUGGCAAGUCCGGACAAUCUAUUCAGCUCAGCCCACUCAGCCAGCCGAUCAGUCAACGGAAGUGGACGCUCCGGACUAUGAAAUUGAGACCAGAAAAGCUCUUCCAUUUCGUGAUCCUUCUAGCUUCGAAAGUGCACGACUGCGUCCGCCGCACUCGCCGCCAAAUCCAGAUAAGGAUCCUCCGCACCACACAAUUGGCCCAACUGAGCAUACUUCGGAUCCGUGAACAUCCUACGCAGCAGAAAGGGCUUUCCAGCCGCAAUGUAUCCGGCUUGACGCAGUUCCUCCUUCAUAGCCCGCAUCACACUACGGGCAUCCUUGGCUUCGGCGGCGGCCUUCUUCAGGCCCUCUCGCUCCACUCGGCGUUCUCUUUCAAGAACCUCAUAGCGGUCGGUAGCAUCUUUUAAUUUCACGGCCAUUCCGGCCAUCUCCUCCCUGCUUCAGCAGUGAGCAGCCUUUUCGGCUUUUAGCUCUUCCACUGCCUUCGAGGCAGCCGCAUCACCUUUCCUGGCUUGCUCCUUGGCUCGAGCGAGCUCUGCCCGAAGGUCUUCCACAGCAGCAGCACCAUCUGCAUCAAGCAUACAAAUUGUAAUGAACGGGCAUUAGCUCCCUUACUAGGUGACCGCGGAGCAACCACCUACCUUGCGACUCGUUAAGUCGUUUAUUGACCAGCGCGAUGUCCGCAUCCGCAACGUCAAGUUGCCGCUUCAGCUCGGCAACUCCAUCAGUCCGGAUGGCCACCGAACGUUCCGCCACCUGCAUAGAAAAGGCGACAUUCUAUAACUAAGAUUAUGAUCCUCGGUACGCGGUCGCUUUCGACAGCAUACCAAGUCUCAGGGGCUACUAUCUAUACAGGGCGCGCUCCAUGUGCAAAACUGUUAAAAGGUAUGUCAUUUUUUGCGUACCUCAAGCCCCGUCAGCAAACUUCCGACGGCCUCAUGCAACCCGCUCUCGGCGGAUGAGAUCCUUUCAAUCACCAUAUUCAUUAAUGUGCGGUGAUCUUCUGAAAUAGACGCCCUCUUGAGCAAAUCCUGCAGCUCCACCGGCCGUACCUCAGUGGGUGCCGAACUCCCCGGCCCCACCGGAUUCGGGGAGACCCUCCGUGACGACACCUCAGGGUCGUCCGCCCCGCCCGACGGGGCGGCAGAUGGAGGCGUUUCGCUCUCCAUCAUCUCCGGACGAAGGUCCCCCGAAGAUGAGCUCUGCUGAGAUGGGCUGAGAUCCGAACUACAAGGUGAAAACUUCGGUUACCCUUAGAAAUAAAGCAGGGGUGUCCCCUAUUACAAAAUUCCCCCUUUUUACUUACAGCUCGCUGGAGGGAUGAUUUCUCUGAGGAGACAGUGCAGCCGGGGCUCUUCCCGGCACAGGACCUUCCGAUGCAGAUUUCUUUCCCCGCUUUGAGGCCUUGGCCUCCGGGUCUCCGGAAGCGGUCCUCUUCUCCCCCUGGAAGGAGGGACUCUCGAUUCCCCCCUUUCUGAAAGCCUCCUUGGCAGAGGUGGUAGUUUCCCUGUGCCCCCCUUCUCCCUCCUCCGAAGGUGCAACCUCCAACAUUUUGAUUAACACGGGAUCCGGCGUGAUCUCAGGGAGGGGGCCGGACACCGUAUCAGUUUUGCUUGCGUUAUCCACUCAUGUCCAAGGGAUAGCUGGUUAAAAGGCAAACCCAUGAUAAAUAUAUGGACAAUGUGUCCGGACACAGGGCUACUUACUGAGUUAAUUGUACAGAAGUACCACAAUUGAAGCAUUACAUGCAGAUUGGUACCACUUUUCGUAAUUUUUACGUGUCAGUACCAAGUUUGGGGCGAGUCGUCACAAAAAGGUCUAAAUCGCGUAUAAACACGUAUUGACAGUGUAUCUGACCGAAGGGUCCCGCCUAUCAGGUGCCUAUGUGGCAGGUUUUUUGCAGGAAACCACCUAGCUUCAUAUGUAAUCACAUAAAUACCUAUUUAACAAACAAAUAACAGAAACGAAAAAUAUCACGCGCUAGGUUUCGAACCAGCGACCUGCCGUCGUAGCGCUGCGCCCGCUAGCCACAAAGCCACAGCAACGCGGUUGGUGAAACCCAGGCUCUACACUUAAUAUACGAGAGACGCACAAGCCACUAUUGCCUACAGGCCGGCCCACUAGUGUCCCUCAACCAAAUUUCUUUCUAUUCUUUUUUUCUUUUAACGGGUUUUCCUGUUUCUUUCUUUUUUCUUUUUCCCUUGUUUUGUUUUGCUGUUUCUGUUUCUGUUUAUUUUAUUUUAUCCUUUAUCCUUUUUUAUUUUUGUACUUUGUUUUCAAGAAAAUGUUUUGAAAUCCCAAAUUUUGAUCAUGAUUUCGAAACUCUUCAUGGUUUUAAAAUUUUGUUCACAUUUUGAAAAAUGUGCUCAUAAUUAAAAAAAUCAGUAUAGAUCACAAAAAUGUUCAAUGUGUAUAUAAAUAUAGUUCCGUGUAUAUCACAAAAAUGUUCUAGGUGUAGCAAAAAGUUGUUCAACAUACAUUAAAAAAUUUUCAAUGUAUAUGUAAAAAUGGUUCAGCGUAUAUCACAGAAAAUGUUCAAUGUGUAUUUAUUUAUUGUUCAGUAUAUUUCACAAAAAUUGUAAUGUGUAAUUAAAAUUUGUUCAUUGUACAUUACAAAAAUGUUCAAAUUAUAUUAAAAAAUGUACAACGGUCUAAAUUUCGACUUCUUUUGUCUAGCGUUGCAUUUAGUUCUUAAAUGUUCGCGCGGCCAAAAAUAACAUUUACACUCAAUAGAUCGACUGGCAAAGAACUGUUCCUUUCGAUCGCUGGUCUCGAGUUCGAUUCCUCGAUCCAUCGUAUUUUUUGUGGAAUUUUAGUAACGACUCGGUACGACGCAACGAGUGGGCUGACCCAUUAAGAAAGUGCCCAGCGCCAGCUCGUCUGUUUAAGGCCUCGCUAAGCCCAACUGCCGGCCGAACGUUUCGAACCGUUAUUAAAGAGAUAUCGCCUGCAUACCGUCGUGGGUGAAGCCCUGGCGGCUUGGCUAGCACGCGUAGCUGCAGAACCGCAGAUCGUGGGUUUGAAUCCUUCUGGCGCAUGAUUUUUCGUUUUUAUACUUUAUUUGUUCAAUAUGCCGGAAACUUUCAAACUAAUCUCUGAAAAACUUGCGAACGAAAAAAAAACCCUCUCAGCAGCCUUUUUUACCGUGAAAUAAUGGGCAUUUAUGUGAUUACAUACAAAGCUAGGGGGUUUUCUGCAAAAAAUCUGCCACAUAGGCACCCGAUAGGCAGGCCCGUCAGUUAGAUACACUAUUAAUACGUAUUUAUACGUGAUUUAGACCUUUUUGUAACGGCUCGCCCCAAACUUGGUACUGACAUGUAAAAAUUACGAAAAAUGGUACCAAUCUGCAUGUAAUGCCUCAAUUGUGGUACUCCUAUGCAAUUAACUCCUACUUACUUGAGUAUCCGGGCGAUUGCAGCUUAGGCCAGCAUCCUCGGUCAUGUCCGGACGCAUCUCUUGCGAUCCGAAGAAAAGUUUGUACAUCUCCACGGGCGUCAAACCCAUGAAGUGUUGGAGAGCCCAUGGCCCCUCCGAAUUAAAUUCCCACAGGCGGAGGGGGCGACGUUUGCAGGGCAGGAGACGCCUAAUCAGCAUAAUCUGUGCCACUACAACCAGAUUGAUCUCCCUUUCCUGGAGGCUUUGAAUCCGGCCCUGCAACAGGGGUAUGUCUUUGGACGGCCCCCAGUCGAGCCUCUUGUUGACCCAUGACGACAGCCGUUGUGGAGGGCCCUGGCGAAAGACGGGCGGCGGCCUCUGCCUGCUGCCCCUGGGAGCGGUGAUAUAGAACCACUCCUGUUGUCACAAACCGAGCUCCUCCUGAAAAGAGCCCUUGGGCCAUGGAGCAUCGGCCCUCUUGCUUAUAACCGCCCCGCCGCACUCUGCCUGACGCCCCUCGAUCAUCUUCGGCUCCACGUUGAAGGUUUUGAGCCACAGGCCGAAGUGACGGGUAGUGCGGAGGAAGGUUUCGCAGACGAUAAUGAAUGAUGAGAUGUGGAGGAUGGACUCCGGAGCCAAGUCAUGGAAUUCCAGCCCAUAGUAAAACAUGAGCCCCCUCGUGAAGGGAUCCAUCGGGAAGCCUAAACCCCGACGGAGGUGAUACACGAACACGACACUCUCGGCAGGCUCGGGAGGAGGAAUAACUUGCCCUCGGGUAGGCAACCUAUGUGAAAUCUCGUAGGUUAAGUACCUGGCGUCUCUCAGCUUUAGCACGUCCUCUUCUGUGACGGAGGAGGGCAUCCACCGGCCUCAUAGGUCGGAGCCGGACAUUGUCGAAGGUCGAAGGUACCCGAAUCUGGAGCCCUGGGUGUUGGAACUUGGGGCGAGGGGCGGCGGAUUCGAUUGAGGAUUGAAGAAAAAGAACGGGCCUUGGUCUCAUUAUAAAUAGGAAGAAUACCAAGAGCCAUCCCCGUGACCGUUUGGAACCCGCCUUCGAUGGAGGGGGCGUGGCAACGGGCGCAGUUGGGUUACCCACGUCCGUAUUUAUGAGAAUCCCGGAAUAAGGGGAACACAAUCUCUGCUUAGACAAGACGUGCCAAGGAAACCGCUUCGCUAAACACGCUGAGGUGGUACAAUAAAAACGAUUCGAGUAAAGGCUUGGAAGUGGUGUGACGUCACGCCACCAAAACGUCAGCAGAUUGAACUUGUGUAAAUAUUAUUCUCUCUACUGUGGUAUGCGGAAUUUAUUUUGCAGAGCCGGACACUAUCCUGGUGUUCACAAUCUUCUAUAAAUUAUUCGGAGAAGGAACCCGCCUUGCAAUGCCGAAGACAACAUGCGCGCCGAACUAUCAUCAUCGGCCGGACUCCAAGACUAUGAAGAUACAAGAUUGAAGACUUCGUCCCGUGUCCGGAUGGGACUUUCCUUGGCGUGGAAUGCAAGCUUGGCAAUACGGAUAUGUAGAUCUCCUACCAUUGUAACUGACUCUGUGUAACCCUAGCCCUCUCCGGUGUCUAUAUAAACCGGAUGGCUUUAGUCCGUAGGACGAAGAACAAUCAUACCAUAGGCUAGCUUCUAGGGUUUAGCCUCCUUGAUCUCGUGGUAGAUCUACUCUUGUAAUACCCACAUCAUCAAUAUCAAUCAAGCAGGACAUAGGGUUUUACCUCCAUCAAGAGGGCCCGAACCUGGGUAAAACAUCGUGUCCCUUGUCUCCUGUUACCGUCCGCCUAGACGCACAGUUCGGGACCCCCUACCCGAGAUCCGCCGGUUUUGACACCGACAAGAGGCUCCUACUGCAAAUAAAUUAAAGAAUCAGCAACUGUACAUGGUUUGUAUGUUACAAGGCCAUCCCACUUUGUGGGUGGGGGAGGGUAAAGGGCUAAGUUACAAUGUAGCUAAGUAUGAAAGCAAGAAGGGUUUAUUCUUAUCUCCCACCCUAUAGGUGAGGAGGGACAAGUCUUCUUUAAGUCUAGAGAGCCAAGAGCUUGUGGAUGGAGUAAUUCCUCUGAAGUUCUUGUUGUUCCUUUCCUUCCAAAUACUCCAAGCAGACUGGAGUAUGAUUUCCACAAAUAAUGGUCUAUUCCAUGAUGUCUUGGCUGAUUCCACCCAAUCCAGCCUAUUCCCUUGAGUAGAUCCUUGCAUUCCAAGCUUGGCCCAACAAUUUAAGCUAAAAGGGCAUUUAAAGAAAAGGUGCUCCAUCGUUUCAUCCAUGCAUUUUGGGCAAAGCAGGCAGCCAAACGUGUAACCAAUGUUAAAGUAACGUCGUUUGAGCAUAUUUCUGGUGUUUAGCCUGUCAGAGAGUAGUAACCAGCCAAAAACUUUGAUCUUCAUAGUUGUUUUGGACUUCCAUAGCCAUGAGUAGGCAGGGUGAGCUUGGACAUCUCUGAACAAAAACUCAUAGAAUUUGUUGGCUGCGAAGUGGGUGGAUCCCCAAACAUAUGUCCAAUCAUCGUGUGUUGAUAGGCCAGCCAACUGAAUGUCCAAGGUAAGGCUUUGCAGAUUUAUGGUCUCUGCAUGGGCUUGCUCCGAUAGUGGAAGAUGAAACGUUUCCUGCAAACUGGUGGCCCCUAGGAACGCGCGAACAGAGAUGUCUUCAUCUUUAGCAAACGAGAAAGCACGUGGAUGAGUUUCGGCAAGGAUCUCACCCAGCCACAUAUCUUUCCAGAAGAGAGUGGUUGCUCCAUUAUUCACAUUGACCAUCGUGAUUCCUCUAUAAGUGAGCAUGAGCUUUGAGAUAUCUCGCCACCAGAAGGAGCCACAAGGAUCGGCAGCAUGGGGUAUCUUGGAGGUGUAGUAGGUGUUCCUAAUCAACUCAACCCAGGGCAGGUCCUAGUGGUUGUAGAACUUAUGAAGAAACUUGAGAAGCAAGGCCUCGUUCUGGAUUUUCAGGUUUAAUACUCCCAGACCACCACAUUUUUUUGGUUUGCAAACCAUGUCCCAAGCAGCAAGUGAGGUGCACUUGUCACCUUGAUCAGUUUUCUUUGUCCAUAAACAUUUGCGGCGAAUCUUGUCAAGGAGUUCAACGAUUCCUGCUGGGAGUUUAAGUGUACACAUGGCGUAGAUUAGGAGCAAGGUAAUGACCGAGUUGAGUAGUGAUAACUUGCCACCAUAUGAGAUCAUAUUAAGUGUUGCUGAUAGUCUUCUUUCUAGCCGACAUACCAAAGGUAUGAGAUCAUGAAUGGUAGGUUUAGUAGUCCCCAAUGGAAGGCCUAGGUAGGUAAAAUGCAUCUUUCCCACCACACAUCCAAAAAUAUUCGCCAAGUUGGUAUAGAGUGCUUCAUCACAGUUGAUCGGGACAAGUGUGGAUUUAUGGAAAUUAAUUUUGAGUCCAACAGAGGUGGCGUAGUACGACAGAAUAUUUUUGAUAGUUGUAGCCUAUAGAGGACAAGCUGGCAUUGCAAGAAUCAUGUCAUCCGCAUAUUAAAUGACCGAGUAAUCUUUUUGUGUAGCGCCUGGGAAGGGUAACUUGAUGAGGUCUUUGGCAAAAGCAUCAUUAAUAGCAGCUUGUAAUAAAUCUGCGGCUAGGACAAAGAUUAGGGGGGACAAAGGGUCACCUUGGCGGACUCCACAUUUGCAAUGAAAUUGUCUUCCCAAUACGCCAUUCAGGAGGACAGCAGAUUUCCCCGAGGCAAAGAUGCAUUUAAUCCAACCAAGCCAUUUAUCGUUAAAGCCCAUGUUUCUCAUGAUCUCAAUCAUUGAAUCAUGAUCAAUGGUGUCGAAGGCUUUAGCAAAAUCUAGUUUUAAUAGGACAAUUUCUUUUUUGGAAGAUUGGCACUGGUAGAUGUACUCGAAGGCCCAUGCCAGGCAGUCUUGGAUCGUGCGCCCUUUGAGGAAACCAUAUUGGUUGCGGUGCACAAUUUUGAGCACGAGUCUUUGUAAACGGUUGGCCAGGAGCUUAGUAAUUACCUUGAGACAACAAUUAAGUAGUGUGAUGGGCCUGUAUUCAUUAAUUGUUGACGGCGCCUGAACUUUUGGAAUGAGAGUGAUUAGUCCUUCAUUAACGCUCUCUAAGUUGAGGUUGCCCUCGAAGAACUGGUUGCAAAGCUUAGAAAUCCUCCUUGAUCACUUCCCAACAAGUUUUCAGAAAUAUGCCUGUAAUACCGUCAGGUCACGGGGCCCGGUCCGCUGGCAUUGUUUUGAUCACCUGGUCAAUUUCAGCCAUGGUAAAUGGAACUGUGAGUUCAUCAAGGCCAGCAAUCUUUUUGAUGAUUCUGGGCAAGUCAAAUUUCAUGUCAUGCUUGGUUUUCGUGCCAAGUCAAUCUUUGAAAGUCUGAAAUAUAAUGGCUUCUUUGCUUGCAUGAUCCUCUGCACAAAAGCCAGAUUCAGUCAUGAGGGAGGCUAUGUUAUUUCUGCGAUAUCAUUCUGACGCCAUUGCUUGAAUUUUUUUGGAAUUUUCAUCGCCGAAUUGAACCCAACGAACCGUGCAGCGUUUCUUCCAGUAUAGCUUUUGGUAGGACAGGAGUCUUAAUAAAUGGUUCUUGAGAAUAGUUCUGAAAUUUGCUUCCGGUGUCGCGAGAAGUCUCCUGUUUUCCAAACCAUCAAUUUCUAGAAGGGCCCUGUUAGUGUUCUCAAUAGCAAUUGAUAGCUUAGAAAUGUUUGUACUCCAACUUUUUAGUUCAUGCCGAAGGUGCUUGAGCUUUUUGCAGAGAUUAGACGCCAUGUUUGGAGAGUUCACAUGUAUGGCCCAAGCCCCUUUCACAGUUUCUAAGAACACCGUGUGAUGGAUCCAAUAAGAUUCAAAUCUGAACAUCUUGGAACGUGGGAUUUUUGUUUCAAUAUUGAUGACACAAGGAAUGUUGUCGGAGACCGGUCUGCCAAGUGGUUUAACAAGCGUGUUUGGUAGGAGCUGGUCCAAUGAUUACUAGUGAAGAACCAGUCAAUUUGCUCUAGUAGGGGAUUAGUUUGCAUGUUGCUCCAUGUGUAAGUUCUUCCCUUGAUGGGCAGUUCAAUUAAGGCUUGUGAUCUGAUGAAAUCAUUAAAAGUUAUCAUAUCUCCAAAGUGGCCACCUGGUUUGUUACGAUUGUCAGGGCCUCUAAUGAAAUCAAAAUCUCCACAUAAUAGCCAAUCUUCAUUAGUAGGUAUAUCAAGUGAGAAUAGCCAGGCAAUGAAAUUGUUUCUGGGGUCCCCUUGACAGGGCCCAUACACAUUAACUAAGGCCCAAGAUUGUGCCGACUGGGUAGAGUGAAAUCGAGUUACCAGUGCAAAGUCUUCAGAGGCCACUGUAGUAGCCGAGAAAACCGCACUAUUCCAAAUGCUGGCAAUUCCUCCUGACACGCCCCGGGAGGGGACAAAAUCAAACUUAUCAAAUCUUCGUGGGCAACAAGAUUUAAUGAAAGCAUUAUCAAAAGAUUGUUUUUUCAUUUCCUGCAAGCAAAUAACUGCGCAACCACUAGAGUUGAUCGCAUUAGAAAGUGCUAACUGUUUGGCUUCAGAGUUUAGCCCACGUACAUUCCAACAUAGAACAUUCCAACUAACCAAAAGAGGCAUAAUAAGGAUAAAUAAGGAGAUCAGGCCGCAUCAGAAGAUGGCCCUGCGUCCUUGCAAGCCAGGAGCUUCUCCUCCGAGAGUUCAGCAGCAAGGAUCCCACACAUAACACUGCCAAUCUGCUGAAUGACAGGGAUCGGGGUGGGAAGUGGUAGUUCUGCUUCAUCAGAAAGUUCAGUUAUGGUGAUGGCAGUUUCAGCAGAGGGAACGACCCGUGGUUUUACCUUAGAGGCUCUGUUCUUUGUUUCCGAGAGUGACGGUACUUUGAAUCCAUCAUACUUGUUCUUGCGAGUGCUCCGCCACAGAUUAACGGAGGAUUCAGGAGCAGGAGCCUUUCCAUGACGAGUACUCACCACAGGCUCAUGGACGUGCAGGUCAUCAGAAACAGCAGUAGCAAUCACCGCAGACACCUGUGCAGGCAGUUCAGUAGAAGCAGCAAGACCAAGUGUGUCUGACAAGUGCACCAGCCGAGGUGGAAAGACACUGACAGGAGCCGUUGGAUCCCCAACAUUCAGAUCAAACAGAGAGAGAUCAGCUUCCAUGGACAUUUGUUCAACAAUAACAGCAUUGGAGUUAUGCAGAGUUGUGGUCUUGGUGGCUUCAGUAACAGUUAGCAUUCCCUCCUCUUCAGUAAUUGCCACUUUAAACUCCACUCUAGCAUCCCUAAGACCAUACCCAGAACUCCAUGGGCCAUAAGCUGCAACUAUAGGCAUGAUUGCAGACCUGAGGAAGGUGUUAAGCCUGACAAUGGGAAAACCUUCAUUAAUCAUCAUCGCGCUAAUUCUAGUACCCUGAGCAGACAUAGCAAGCUGCAAACCAGUAGCAGAAAGAGAGAUCUGAAUGUCCAAUGCAUUCUGCUGAGGGGCCGGACUAGAAACCACAAUACUUUCAGGUGCAGCCGAGCAUUCUCCCCUAACAAGAUUGUUAAAAAUGUUGCUUGGCACCAAGACAUAACUUGCAGACCCUCAGCCGUCAGCCAAGCCUGAAAGUUAUACAGUGCAGGAGGCGGCGAAGGUGGCCAAGCACCCUAUCCCGCUUGGAAGUGAACGUCGUGUCCCUGAGGAGCAUUGUGUUGUGGAGCUGCAUCAGGCAUGUUUGGCGCGGCAUUCUGAGCGAGCCAAUUAUGCAGUUGGGCUUGGUACAUCUGCUCCGCAAUGAGAGUGUCACCGAAGAGGGGAUGGGGAAUCCCAUCAGCAGGCGGUGGUUCAAUAUCUGCAGGCGGCACAUCCGGGAUAUGGGCAUUCCAAUCACUGCUGCGCAGAAUCGUGACGCACACAGUCCAGCAUCGGCACUCACCACCCAGCUGAUGCAUAACAAAACUUUUUGGCAUCCGGCGCAAGCUAAGAACUCUGGCUUUGAUCAGAACAAAUUUCCUGUCCCCUCUAGGAUUAUUCCAAGUGAUAAGUUCCCCAAACUUAUCGACAGACUUAUGGAUGUAGUGAGAGGUUUGAUAAUCAUGGGGAAAUCCAAUGUACAACAACCAGACUUGAGGUCCAAAGCAAGUUUGGCGCAUAUUGAUAGCAGCAUCGUGAGGAAUAAAGGAAACAACAGUACCCUGAUUAUCAUCAUCCUCAUCGAGCUCAAAACUAUACAUCGUGAGGAAUAAAGGAAACUCGGAGAAUUUCCCCUCCUUUUGUGGAUUUUGGUGUAAGCACGAAACUAUACAUUUUACUAAUAUUGUAUUGGAACUUAUUUUGACUUGCAAUGUGUUUCACUGAAUAUUUAAUCAAUGUUGUUAGUUGGAAUCAGGGAAGCCCCAAGUACAACAAAGAAACCCUUAUCCUGUAAAGAACAUUUUGUUGAGACUGUGCUGACCAUAUGAAUAGUUUAGAGACUUGUAUCAUUAACAGAGAUCAUCCAGAUGUUUCUCAGGAAAGCAGCUAGUGUAGUGUAGUAGUAGAAGAUAAUAAAAGCCCACAUAUAUAAUUGUUAGGUUGAAAUUGUUGCUCCAUGUGGGCUGCCUUUUUUUGUUGGGGGAAAACUUCCGAUCUAUUGAUCUUCAAUCGUGAUAGUACAACGAACACCAGAAAUAAUAAAAAAUACGGCCAGAUUCGUAGACGACCUUGCAAGAACUACAUCCAAUGAAGUGAGCUGAAGGCGCACCACUGUCAUUGACCCUCCUGUGUCGGAGCCGGGAAAACUUGCUGAAAUAAACAGUCGAGAAGUCAUCGUUUAAAGUCCCCAUAGGACAAGCGCACCAGGAAAAAAGAACCAUCGAUGAAAAUAUGCGUAGACUGGAAGGAUCCAACAUGAAGACAAAAUGAAUAAAGACCGAAUCCGAAUAGAUUCAUCAAAGACAAUCAUCACCACGCCAUGGUCUUGCACCGUGCAGCCACCACGGCCUGGACGCCCGCCCGCACCACACGACCGAGAGCCCCGCCGCCGCCAUGCCCCGCACCAGCGGCACGCCCCCGCCGCACAAGGGUCGAGAUCCACCGCGCCCCUCCGUAUGAUUCUAAGGCCAACGGAGACUAGACGGACGGGCGGGAGGCAGAGGAACCAUAUGUACAUGUGGAUUGUUGGUUGCUAGAUGCAAAUUUUCAAGAUUCAUACCACGAGAGCAUCAAUUGGUGAACCUGCUUCAUUUAGUGAAGAACUGAACAAGUUUUUCUUUUUUGAGGGGAAAUCAACUUGGUUAUGUACGUGUCAUAAUUAUGCUACUUCAAAUUAUCAAAGUAGAUAGAUUAGCUGUAGCUGGCUCAACUGGUUCCCUGGUUGCGUACGACUUCUUGUUUUUUGGGUGGUUGCGUACGGUUGUUGAUUCCUUGGUUGGAGACCUCGCACGCGCAGUGCUCGUUACACGAAAUCCAUCCGUUCCAGCUUAGCCGGUGGGCCGAAGACGCGAAGACCAGGGCGCUUAGCCACAGGUGGGCCGAAGACGAGCGCACCACUCGGUUGACGCUGCGUGCUACGGAGUAGUAGUAUUUUAGUACCACAUCGCUUGUUUCGGUAGACACCUCGCGGCUUAAAUAGCGAGACGUUCAAUCAUGUAUCGUCGAGGACGCAAAGCUAGCACUAGCUAUGCUGGCCUGUCGAGGCAAAAAGCGUUCGUGACGUACUUCUAGCCGGGUUUGGCCCAGCAGCCUGUAACCCUAGGUCGCUGUUAACUCGUGCAUGUUGGGGGCUAGAAGCGCGGAGCGAUUUAAGUCUUUUUUGCGUUUUGAUGCCGUUUUUCUUUUGCCUUGGUUCAUUNNNNNNNNNNNNNNNNNNNNNNNNNNNNNNNNNNNNNNNNNNNNNNNNNNNNNNNNNNNNNNNNNNNNNNNNNNNNNNNNNNNNNNNNNNNNNNNNNNNNNNNNNNNNNNNNNNNNNNNNNNNNNNNNNNNNNNNNNNNNNNNNNNNNNNNNNNNNNNNNNNNNNNNNNNNNNNNNNNNNNNNNNNNNNNNNNNNNNNNNNNNNNNNNNNNNNNNNNNNNNNNNNNNNNNNNNNNNNNNNNNNNNNNNNNNNNNNNNNNNNNNNNNNNNNNNNNNNNNNNNNNNNNNNNNNNNNNNNNNNNNNNNNNNNNNNNNNNNNNNNNNNNNNNNNNNNNNNNNNNNNNNNNNNNNNNNNNNNNNNNNNNNNNNNNNNNNNNNNNNNNNNNNNNNNNNNNNNNNNNNNNNNNNNNNNNNNNNNNNNNNNNNNNNNNNNNNNNNNNNNNNNNNNNNNNNNNNNNNNNNNNNNNNNNNNNNNNNNNNNNNNNNNNNNNNNNNNNNNNNNNNUUUUGUAACACAACCAAUUCGUGGAUGGCAGUCAAUCUCUCCUUUGUGACGCAUAAGGCAAUCAAUUAAUGUAAUCAACCUAUUCUAUCGUAACACAAUAAACACAUGGCCAGUAAAUAUUCACGCGAAAUCCAUCCACCUCCUACAAGUUUUGAUUAUUUUUAUUACCUCAUCCACUGCUUCCUUCUACCUCUCUCUCCCAUCUCACCGAUGACACCGUGUCCCCCGAGCAAACCCUAUUCGUCCCCUCACAUUGGUUCUUCUCUUAUGGCAGCACGCGGUAGAUCAAGCGACAACCAGGAUAGUAUUNNNNNNNNNNNNNNNNNNNNNNNNNNNNNNNNNNNNNNNNNNNNNNNNNNNNNNNNNNNNNNNNNNNNNNNNNNNNNNNNNNNNNNNNNNNNNNNNNNNNNNNNNNNNNNNNNNNNNNNNNNNNNNNNNNNNNNNNNNNNNNNNNNNNNNNNNNNNNNNNNNNNNNNNNNNNNNNNNNNNNNNNNNNNNNNNNNNNNNNNNNNNNNNNNNNNNNNNNNNNNNNNNNNNNNNNNNNNNNNNNNNNNNNNNNNNNNNNNNNNNNNNNNNNNNNNNNNNNNNNNNNNNNNNNNNNNNNNNNNNNNNNNNNNNNNNNNNNNNNNNNNNNNNNNNNNNNNNNNNNNNNNNNNNNNNNNNNNNNNNNNNNNNNNNNNNNNNNNNNNNNNNNNNNNNNNNNNNNNNNNNNNNNNNNNNNNNNNNNNNNNNNNNNNNNNNNNNNNNNNNNNNNNNNNNNNNNNNNNNNNNNNNNNNNNNNNNNNNNNNNNNNNNNNNNNNNNNNNNNNNNNNNNNNNNNNNNNNNNNNNNNNNNNNNNNNNNNNNNNNNNNNNNNNNNNNNNNNNNNNNNNNNNNNNNNNNNNNNNNNNNNNNNNNNNNNNNNNNNNNNNNNNNNNNNNNNNNNNNNNNNNNNNNNNNNNNNNNNNNNNNNNNNNNNNNNNNNNNNNNNNNNNNNNNNNNNNNNNNNNNNNNNNNNNNNNNNNNNNNNNNNNNNNNNNNNNNNNNNNNNNNNNNNNNNNNNNNNNNNNNNNNNNNNNNNNNNNNNNNNNNNNNNNNNNNNNNNNNNNNNNNNNNNNNNNNNNNNNNNNNNNNNNNNNNNNNNNNNNNNNNNNNNNNNNNNNNNNNNNNNNNNNNNNNNNNNNNNNNNNNNNNNNNNNNNNNNNNNNNNNNNNNNNNNNNNNNNNNNNNNNNNNNNNNNNNNNNNNNNNNNNNNNNNNNNNNNNNNNNNNNNNNNNNNNNNNNNNNNNNNNNNNNNNNNNNNNNNNNNNNNNNNNNNNNNNNNNNNNNNNNNNNNNNNNNNNNNNNNNNNNNNNNNNNNNNNNNNNNNNNNNNNNNNNNNNNNNNNNNNNNNNNNNNNNNNNNNNNNNNNNNNNNNNNNNNNNNNNNNNNNNNNNNNNNNNNNNNNNNNNNNNNNNNNNNNNNNNNNNNNNNNNNNNNNNNNNNNNNNNNNNNNNNNNNNNNNNNNNNNNNNNNNNNNNNNNNNNNNNNNNNNNNNNNNNNNNNNNNNNNNNNNNNNNNNNNNNNNNNNNNNNNNNNNNNNNNNNNNNNNNNNNNNNNNNNNNNNNNNNNNNNNNNNNNNNNNNNNNNNNNNNNNNNNNNNNNNNNNNNNNNNNNNNNNNNNNNNNNNNNNNNNNNNNNNNNNNNNNNNNNNNNNNNNNNNNNNNNNNNNNNNNNNNNNNNNNNNNNNNNNNNNNNNNNNNNNNNNNNNNNNNNNNNNNNNNNNNNNNNNNNNNNNNNNNNNNNNNNNNNNNNNNNNNNNNNNNNNNNNNNNNNNNNNNNNNNNNNNNNNNNNNNNNNNNNNNNNNNNNNNNNNNNNNNNNNNNNNNNNNNNNNNNNNNNNNNNNNNNNNNNNNNNNNNNNNNNNNNNNNNNNNNNNNNNNNNNNNNNNNNNNNNNNNNNNNNNNNNNNNNNNNNNNNNNNNNNNNNNNNNNNNNNNNNNNNNNNNNNNNNNNNNNNNNNNNNNNNNNNNNNNNNNNNNNNNNNNNNNNNNNNNNNNNNNNNNNNNNNNNNNNNNNNNNNNNNNNNNNNNNNNNNNNNNNNNNNNNNNNNNNNNNNNNNNNNNNNNNNNNNNNNNNNNNNNNNNNNNNNNNNNNNNNNNNNNNNNNNNNNNNNNNNNNNNNNNNNNNNNNNNNNNNNNNNNNNNNNNNNNUCGGAUUUUGUUAUAACUAUAUGCAUGGACAUUUUGAUAUGAUACAUAUAUAAUAUUUUAAAGAUGGGGUUAUUAACAUAUGGAACUAAAUGAAUAUGCCGAGAACUAAUGAUUUUCUGCCGCGAUGAUUCAUUGACAGUGCUAUGGUAGCGGUUACUUCCACGAUAUGACAGUUUUGCCGCCACGAUAGUGUGUUAACCGUGUAUCCCAUUGCAACGCACGUGUAAUUUCCUAGUAUUUAUUUAAUUCCUUGGCCGAGGAUUGGUUUCCUUGCUCACUUCUGUGUGCUUGGGGGCCAAAAUUUUGUAGCAACAUCAGUAUUUUCCUUCCGCUAAGACUAAUGCAUCGUUUAUUUUCCGUCCUUCGAAUGAGAUGGAUGGAAAUUUUCCCUUCCGCAUGGACUAUCGUGAAAUUUAUAAUUUUUAAUUAUUUCUCUUCAUUCCAAUCGAACAUGCACCAAAUCAUUCGUUUCCUUCCACUCGAACGAAUUCUGAAUCAAAUGUUCCUUGCUCACUAGCUCGUUUGUAUUGGGCACCAAAAGUAUGGUGUAAGGCUAGCCUCUUUUCCCUCUGAUGUUUUUUUCUACUAUUUGGACCUGGAAGUAAUGCAUUCGCAUGGAGUACUUCUGUACACCGCUCCUGUUAUGUAUCGUCGUGUCAUUUCCGUAUGACAAGGAAAAGCUACAACAUGUCCUUCGCUCUCUCAUUCUCUUCGGUGGAACAUAAUGCUCGAGAAUGCUGCCAACUUCAAUGGACAAAUUGUAUGGAGCGUCGUGUCCUUUUUCGGCUUCUACAUAGUGGUCGGUCGGCUGUGCGGUGCUUCAAGGACGGCGAACACCUGUGUGGCAAGCAGUAAGAGGUCAUGUUACGAGCGGAGGAAGAACUUGGUGCCAACCCGUUGAUUGUGGUCAGCUGAGCUCAUGAAACAAAUGAUUGCAAAGUAUGUGGCCAAAGGCGUUUGGUGAGGCGCCCGGCACGACGGAGGGCUAGAAUUGGAGAGGCUCAGUGUUGCAACCGACACAAAAAAAGCUGGAACCAGAGGAACUUAGUGGUGCAACCUAACAUGGCGGCGAGCCUUAGCAACUACAACCAGAGGCGCCCGCUACUGCAACCGGCACGACGACGAGUUGCAACCAGUAAUGAAGCAUUGUAAUUUGAAUGCUAGAUACUUAUAAUAUUCAGUUUUGAAAAUAAUUUUAAUAUACUUGCAUUGAGAUGGGUGGGCGUGGCAACAUCUUUUAUGUUCUAGUAGGAAUGUUAGAACCGAUUGCCGCCUAGAGCAAGUCAUAGGCAAUCCUUUGGGAGCAUGCCAAGGAGAUGCCCAAUAUGUAAAUGGAACCAUGCACCAAAUCUUUGUCCUAGUCUUUGGGAGAAUUGGUAUACAUUUGGAAUGUUUAUGCACAUUCGGUAUGAGUGUCCAAAUAAAGAGUGAAAUGUACCACCAGCCCAUAAACUCAAACCGAUCACACAUUUUAAGCCUAUAACUCGGGAACUGAUAGAAUAUAGUCCGUAAACUCGUUAAUUUGAUCGACUAAGGCCAAAACUGGCCCGAGAGGAAAGAACCCGGCUAUGUGGAUGCCAUGUCAUCGUUCCUUUGACCGCUUAUGGAUUAGCUAUUUUUUUAAGGAUCUAUCUGUAAAUUGGUUGGGUUCUUAUUCACAAACCAUGCUAAGGGCGUUGGACUGAAAAGAAUAUGCACCUCAAAUUGUAUAUAUUCACGUAGAAUCAGGAGAAAACACUGAAGAUCCCAUCUGAUCGUUUUCCAAUCACGCGAUUUCUUUCCUUCUGUUGCAUCGACUACUGUUUGUUGCUAGAUCAUAGCGUUCCCUUCUCUUCUGGUUUGUCUUAUGUGACUUGCCGAUCACGCGACGGAGAUCGGCAAUUGACCACGGUGUCGUCUACCUGCAGAUGAUUCACUUUUGUAUUCUCUGAAAUCCACUUAUUAUAUAUAGAUAUUUCACACGAUUCUGUGCGGAUAUAUAUAAGUUAGGCUGUAUUUUGAUACAUAAAUCAUUUUAUGGUGUGCUGUUUUGGAUUCUGAUACCUUACCCAGUUGUCAUGGGUUCAAGUCGUACAGAACAUAGGUUUUUUUUUAAAAUCUACUGACACUAGUAGAAAAAGGGCCUAAUGUGAAGCUCAUUAGGCCUGGUUUGUAUUUGAACGGGCACUAAUGUGACCAUUAGUGUCGGCUCCAACGGCUAGGCGGGCGGCUCGCAUUAGGUGGUGGCAGGCUUUUGUCAGGCUGGGCCCCACCAGCACCUCUAGUACCGGUUCAUGCCAUGAACCGGGACUAGAAAUGCACCUUUAGUCCUGGUUCGUCUAACAAACCAGUACUAAAGAUCUUCCUAUAUAAACCCCUUCGUCCAUCCCGAGCGCUCUGUUCUUCGCUUUUCCUCUCCUCUGUGUUCUUCCUCUUCCUCUCGAGCUCACACUCCAUUUUUUGCCAAAAUUUGUGAAGAUUUGCAGUCACCCCAUCCAUCCAAGUGAUCACAAAGGUUAGCAACUUUGUCCUUUCAUCUCUCAUUGCUAGAUUAGCUCUUGCAAUGCUCUAUAAGUAUAGUGAUUUGUGGGUUUUAUUUUGGGAGGAAUUAUAUGUGGUAGUAUAUGAUUUACAUGCAAUUUGAGGUCAAAAUAACUCUUAGUUUGCAUAUGUAGGUGUGGUUUACUUAGUGCCUUCCCGUCUCCGUCCUAACCACCGUCGACCGCCCGCACCGACCCGUCGCCGGCUCCACCUUCCAGUGAGCCUCUUGUUCUUAUCUUUUUAAUAUAAAAGAAUCAUGUUUAUGUGAUAUAGAUAUAUAGUUACUUGUAUAAUUAUCUUACCCGUACAUUGUUUGUUAUAUAUAGUGCCAUGGUUUUGAUAUCCGUCCCCAUCGGCCCUCGUCCGGGUUAUGAUUCGGAUGUGGUAUAUUCUCUGUUAUAACUAUUUGUUGCAUUUCAUGUUUAUGACAAAUUAUGCCCAUCAAGUUGACAUAGAUAUUUUUAUCUAGGAGGUAUGUGAACCAGAAAUUCCAACCAACCCUAUUGUCGAGAGGUUAAAUUUAGUUGAAAAAGAAAAUGAGUAUUUAAAAGAAAAAAUGAAAAAAAUUGAGGGGGAGAAGAUGGAAUAGGAUUUGCAUGUUGCCGAUGCCGUCGAUGAUCACAAGAUCGAGAUGGAGAAAAUGCGCUUGAAGAUUAGAAAGAUUAGAAAAUAUGCCAUCGAUAGUGAGGCUUGGUAUCAUUAUAUUGUUGCAUCAAUUGUUACCUUAAUUGCGAUCUUGAUCGCAUUUGUUGUUGCAUUUAAAUGCUUUAGCUACAGAGUUAUAUGUAUGUUGUUUUAUGAGAAUAAGUGUUGUAUGAACUUUAUGUAUGAACUUGUAUUAAUUUGAUAUUUUCGGUGCUGCGUAAUGAAGAUGAGCCGACAAUGGAUGUACGAUGACCGAUGCUCUCCCCAUUUCAUUAAUGGUGUGCAUACUUUUGUACUUGCAGCUGAGGCAAACAAGCAGGCAUUCUACUAGUAAUGAUACGAUCCAAGAGAAAUGAUUUAGUCAAUGGUAUUGUGAGGACAUGCUUAUCCACAUUUCACUCACUUACAUAUGGUACCCAAUGUGCCAACCUUGCAUGGAGUUGCUUGACUAUUGGUUUCAUAAAAUCAAUGGCACUAACAAGCAUAUUUUGUUGUUUAUUUUUUCUGUGUGUAUUUGACUUCAUCAGAAAGGAAAAUACCUUUGUUUUGUUCUUCUGGAUGCUAAUCGAUGAACUAACUUUUGCACAGCUGAUGACCAUAUAUAUUUUACUGAGUGCUAGAUUAUAAUAUUCCAUUUAACAUUUUUGUUUGUGAUGUUUAGUUGCACUUAAUAAGAAUAUGGACACAAAUAGUUUAAUCAUUCAAUUCACCAGGGUUGAUGAAUAUGCUAGACUGUGGGACCUUCCCUAGACACAAGCUUUUGUGGGUGUCGUCGUGUUUUCAUACUCAGGUAGCCACAACUUUGUCCAUAGACUCACAUGAAGAACUAAUUUCGUCCAUAUGUUUUCUAUUAUGAUAUUUGAAGAUUGCUAAUUAUCAUGCUAGGAAAUGUGACUGUCUUCCCUUUUAGAAAAAUAGGCACACAAAUGGCCGCAGAUGAGGGGUGCCAACUUCUAGGGAAGUGAUGCUGGGAAGAGAUGCAUUUCGUGCCAACCAUGUUGUGUGUAUGCAGGCGAAGAGGCUGGUCGAUCUGACACUGAAGACGAUACCGGGGGGCAUGGGAAGAGAUGAUCACUGAGGAUGUCGUUGCUAUAGAAGAGGAACUCGGAGAAUUUUUUUUUGAACCGCUGAAACAGUAGGAGAGGCUCCUACUGCAAUUGAAUUAAAGAAUCAGCAACUGUACAUGGUUUGUAUGUUACAAGGCCAUCCCACUUUGUGGGUGGAGGGGGGUGGGGGAGGGUAAAGGGCUAAGUUACAAUGUAGCUAAGUAUGAAAGCAAGAUGGGUUUAUUCUUAUCUUCCACCCUAUAGGUGAGGAGGGAUAGGUCUUCUUUAAGUCUAGAGAGCCAAGAGCUUAUGGAUGGAGUAAUUCCUCUGAAGUUCUUGUUGUUCCUUUCCUUCCAAAUACUCCAAGCAGAUUGGAGUAGGAUUUCCACAAAUAAUGGUCUAUUCCAUGAUGUCUUGGCUGAUUCCACCCAAUCCAGCCUAUUCCCUUGAGUAGAUCCUUGCAUUCCAAGCUUGGCCCAACAAUUUAAGCUAAAAGGGCAUUCAAAGAAAAGGUGCUCCACUGUUUCAUCCAUGCAUGUUGGGCAAAGCAGGCAGCCAAACGUGUUACCAAUGUUGAAGUGACGUCGUUUGAGCAUAUUUCUGGUGUUUAGCCUGUCAGAGAGUAGUAACCGGCCAAAAACUUUGAUCUUCAUAGUUGUUUUGGACUUCCAUAGCCAUGAGUAGGCAGGGUGAGCUUGGACAUCUCUGAAGAAAAACUCAUAGAAUUUGUUGGCUGCGAAGUGGGUGGAUCCCCAAACAUAUGUCCAAUCAUCGUGUGUUGAUAGGCCAGCCAGCUGAACGUCCAAGGUAAGGCUUUGCAGAUUUCUGGUCUCUGCAUGGGCUUGCUCCGAUAGUGGCAGAUGAAACGUUUCCUGCAAACUGGUGGCCCCAAGGAACGCGCGAACAGAGAUGUCUUCAUCUUUAGCAAACGAGAAAGCACAUGGAUGAGUUUCGGCCAGGAUCUCACCCAGCCACAUAUCUUUCUAGAAGAGAGUGGUUGCUCCAUUAUUCACAUUGACCAUCGUGAUUCCUCUAUAAGUGGGAAUGAGCUUUGAGAUAUCUCGCCACCAGAAGGAGCCACAAGGAUCGGCAACAUGGGGUAUCUUGGAGGUGUAGUAGGUGUUCCAAAUCAACUCAACCCAGGGCAGGUCCCAGUGGUUGUAGAACUUAUGAAGAAACUUGAGAAGCAAGGCCUCGUUCUGGAUUUUCAGGUUUAAUACUCCCAGACCACCACAUUUUUCGGUUUGCAAACCAUGGCCCAAGCAGCAAGUGAGGUGCACUUGUCACCUUGAUCAGUUUUCUUUGUCCAUAAACAUUUGCGGCGAAUCUUGUCAAGGAGUUCAACGAUUCCUGCUGGGAGUUUAAGUGUACACAUGGCGUAGAUUAGGAGGGAGGUAAUGACCGAGUUGAGUAGUGAUAACUUGCCGCCAUAUGCGAUCAUAUUAAGUGUUGCUGAUAAUCUUCUUUCUAGCCGACAGACCAAAGGCAUGAGAUCAUGAAUGGUAGGUUUAGUAGUCCCCAAAGGAAGGCCUAGGUAGGUAAAAUGCAUCUUUCCCACCACACAUACAAAAAUAUUUGCCAAGUUGGUAUAGAGUGCUUCAUCACAGUUGAUCGGGACAAGUGUGGAUUUAUGGAAACUAAUUUUGAGUACAAUAGAGGUGGCGUAGUCCGACAGAAUAUUUUUGAUAGUUGUAGCCUGUAGAGGACAAGCUGGCAUUGCAAGAAUCGUGUCGUCCGCAUAUUGAAUGACCGAGUAAUCUUUUUGUGUAGCGCAUGGGAAGGGUAACUUGAUGAGGUAUUUGGCAAAAGCAUCAUUAAUAGCAUCUUGUAAUAAAUCUGCGGCUAGGACAAAGAUUAGGGGGGACAAAGGGUCACCUUGGCGGACUCCACAUUUGCAAUGAAAUUGUCUUCCCGGUACGCCAUUCAGGAGGACAGCAGAUUUCCCCGAGGCAAAGACGCAUUUAAUCCAACCAAGCCAUUUAUCGUUAAAGCCCAUGUUUCUCAUGAUCUCAAUCAUUGCAUCAUGAUCAAUGGUGUCGAAGGCUUUAGCAAAAUCUAGUUUUAACAGGACAAUUUCUUUUUUGGAAGAUUGGCACUGGUAGAUGUACUCGAAGGCCCAUGCCAGGCAGUCUUGGAUCGUGCGCCCUUUGAGGAAACCAUAUUGGUUGCGGUGCACAAUUUUGAUCACGAGUCUUUGUAAACGGUUGGCCAGGAGCUUAGUAAUUACCUUGAGACAACAAUUAAGUAGUGUGAUGGGCCUGUAUUCAUUAAUUGUUGACGGUGCCUGAACUUUUGGAAUGAGAGUGAUUAGUCCUUCAUUAAUGCUCUCUAAGUUGAGGUUGCCCUCGAAGAACUGGUUGCAAAGCUUACAGAAAUCCUCCUUGAUCACUUCCCAACAAGUUUUCAGAAAUAUGCCUGUAAAACCGCCAGGUCCCGGGACCCGGUCCGCUGGCAUUGUUUUGAUCACCUGGUCAAUUUCAGCCAUGGUAAAUGGAACUGUGAGUUCAUCAAGGCCAUCAAUCUUUUUGAUGAUUCUGGGCAAGUCAAAUUUCAUGUCAUGCUUGGUUUUCAUGCCAAGUCGAUCUUUGAAAGUCUGAAAUAUAAUGGCUUCUUUGCUUGCAUGAUCCUCUGCACAAAAGCCAGAUUCAGUCAUGAGGGAGGCUAUGUUAUUUCUGCGAUAUCGUUCUGACGCCAUUGCUUGAAUUUUUUUGGAAUUUUCAUCGCCGAAUUGAACCCAACGAACCGUGCAACGUUUCUUCCAGUAUAGCUUUUGGUAGGACAAGAGUCUUAAUAAAUGGUUCUUAAGAAUAGUUCUGAAAUUUGCUUCCAGUGUCGUGAGAAGCCUCCUGUUUUCCAAACCAUCAAUUUCUAGAAGGGCCCUGUUAGUGUUCUCAAUAGCAAUUGAUAGCUUAGAAAUGUUCUUACUCCAACUUUUUAGUUCAUGCCGAAGGUGCUUGAGCUUUUUGCAGAGAUUAGACGCCAUGUUUGGAGAGUUCACAGGUAUGGCCCAAGCCCUUUUCACAGUUUCUAAGAACCCCGGGUGAUGGAUCCAAUAAGAUUCAAAUCUGAACAUCUUGGAACGUGGGAUUUUUGUUUCAAUAUUGAUGACACAAGGAAUGUGGUCGGAGACCGGUCUGCCAAGUGGUUUAACAAGCGUGUUUGGUAGGAGCUGGUCCAAUGAUUACUAGGGAAGAACCAGUCAAUUUGCUCUAGUAGGGGAUUAGUUUGCAUGUUGCUCCAUGUGUAAGUUCUUCCCUUGAUGCGGGCAGUUCAAUUAAGGCUUGUGAUCUGAUGAAAUCAUUAAAAGUUAUCAUAUCUCCAAAGUGGCCACCUGGUUUGUUACGAUUGUCAGGGCCUCUAAUGAAAUUAAAAUCUCCACAUAAUAGCAAAUCUUCAUUAGUAGGUAUAUCAAGUGAGAAUAGCCAUGCAAUGAAAUUGUUUCUGGGGUCCCCUUGAUAGGGCCCAUACACAUUAACUAAGGUCCAAGAUUGCGCCGACUGGGUAGAGUGAAAUCGUGUUACCAGUGCAAAGUCUUCAGAGGCCACUGUAGUAGACGAGAAAACCGCACUAUUCCAAAUGGUGGCAAUUCCUCCUGACGCGCCCCGGGAGGGGACAAAAUCAAACUUAUCAAAUCUUCGUGGGCAACAAGAUUUAAUGAAAGCUUUAUCAAAAGAUUGUUUUUUCGUUUCCUGCAAGCAAAUAACUGCGCAACCACUAGAGUUGAUCGCAUUAGAAAGUGCUAACUGUUUNNNNNNNNNNNNNNNNNNNNNNNNNNNNNNNNNNNNNNNNNNNNNNNNNNNNNNNNNNNNNNNNNNNNNNNNNNNNNNNNNNNNNNNNNNNNNNNNNNNNNNNNNNNNNNNNNNNNNNNNNNNNNNNNNNNNNNNNNNNNNNNNNNNNNNNNNNNNNNNNNNNNNNNNNNNNNNNNNNNNNNNNNNNNNNNNNNNNNNNNNNNNNNNNNNNNNNNNNNNNNNNNNNNNNNNNNNNNNNNNNNNNNNNNNNNNNNNNNNNNNNNNNNNNNNNNNNNNNNNNNNNNNNNNNNNNNNNNNNNNNNNNNNNNNNNNNNNNNNNNNNNNNNNNNNNNNNNNNNNNNNNNNNNNNNNNNNNNNNNNNNNNNNNNNNNNNNNNNNNNNNNNNNNNNNNNNNNNNNNNNNNNNNNNNNNNNNNNNNNNNNNNNNNNNNNNNNNNNNNNNNNNNNNNNNNNNNNNNNNNNNNNNNNNNNNNNNNNNNNNNNNNNNNNNNNNNNNNNNNNNNNNNNNNNNNNNNNNNNNNNNNNNNNNNNNNNNNNNNNNNNNNNNNNNNNNNNNNNNNNNNNNNNNNNNNNNNNNNNNNNNNNNNNNNNNNNNNNNNNNNNNNNNNNNNNNNNNNNNNNNNNNNNNNNNNNNNNNNNNNNNNNNNNNNNNNNNNNNNNNNNNNNNNNNNNNNNNNNNNNNNNNNNNNNNNNNNNNNNNNNNNNNNNNNNNNNNNNNNNNNNNNNNNNNNNNNNNNNNNNNNNNNNNNNNNNNNNNNNNNNNNNNNNNNNNNNNNNNNNNNNNNNNNNNNNNNNNNNNNNNNNNNNNNNNNNNNNNNNNNNNNNNNNNNNNNNNNNNNNNNNNNNNNNNNNNNNNNNNNNNNNNNNNNNNNNNNNNNNNNNNNNNNNNNNNNNNNNNNNNNNNNNNNNNNNNNNNNNNNNNNNNNNNNNNNNNNNNNNNNNNNNNNNNNNNNNNNNNNNNNNNNNNNNNNNNNNNNNNNNNNNNNNNNNNNNNNNNNNNNNNNNNNNNNNNNNNNNNNNNNNNNNNNNNNNNNNNNNNNNNNNNNNNNNNNNNNNNNNNNNNNNNNNNNNNNNNNNNNNNNNNNNNNNNNNNNNNNNNNNNNNNNNNNNNNNNNNNNNNNNNNNNNNNNNNNNNNNNNNNNNNNNNNNNNNNNNNNNNNNNNNNNNNNNNNNNNNNNNNNNNNNNNNNNNNNNNNNNNNNNNNNNNNNNNNNNNNNNNNNNNNNNNNNNNNNNNNNNNNNNNNNNNNNNNNNNNNNNNNNNNNNNNNNNNNNNNNNNNNNNNNNNNNNNNNNNNNNNNNNNNNNNNNNNNNNNNNNNNNNNNNNNNNNNNNNNNNNNNNNNNNNNNNNNNNNNNNNNNNNNNNNNNNNNNNNNNNNNNNNNNNNNNNNNNNNNNNNNNNNNNNNNNNNNNNNNNNNNNNNNNNNNNNNNNNNNNNNNNNNNNNNNNNNNNNNNNNNNNNNNNNNNNNNNNNNNNNNNNNNNNNNNNNNNNNNNNNNNNNNNNNNNNNNNNNNNNNNNNNNNNNNNNNNNNNNNNNNNNNNNNNNNNNNNNGGCACAUCCGGGAUAUGGGCAUUCCAAUCACUGCUGCGCAGAAUCGUGACGCACACAGUCCAGCAUCGGCGCUCACCACCCAGCUGAUGCAUAACAAAACUUUUUGGCAUCUGGCGCAAGCUAAGAACUCUGGCUUUGAUCAGAACAAAUUUCCUGUCCCCUCUAGGAUUAUUCCAAGUGAUAAGUUCCCCAAACUUAUCGACAGACUUAUGGAUGUAGUGAGAGGUUUGAUAAUCAUGGGGAAAUCCAAUGUACAACAACCAGACUUGAGGUCCAAAGCAAGUUUGGCGCAUAUUGAUAGCAGCAUCGUGAGGAAUAAAGGAAACAACAGUACCCUGAUUAUCAUCAUCCUCAUCGAGCUCAAAACUAUACAUCGUGAGGAAUAAAGGAAACUCGGAGAAUUUCCCCUCCUUUUGUGGAUUUUGGUGUAAGCACGAAACUAUACAUUUUACUAAUAUUGUAUUGGAACUUAUUUUGACUUGCAAUGUGUUGCACUGAAUAUUUAAUCAAUGUUGUUAGUUGGAAUCAGGGAAGCUCCAAGUACAACAAAGAAACCCUUAUCCUGUAAAGAACAUUUUGUUGAGACUGUGCUGACCAUAUGAAUAGUUUAGAGACUUGUAUCAUUAACAGAGAUCAUCCAGAUGUUUCUCAGGAAAGCAGCUAGUGUAGUGUAGUAGUAGAAGAUAAUAAAAGCCCACAUAUAUAAUUGUUAGGUUGAAAUUGUUGCUCCAUGUGGGCUGCUUUUUUUUGUUGGGGAAAAACUUCCGAUCUAUUGAUCUUUAAUCGUGAUAGUACAACGAACACCAGAAAUAAUAAAAAAUAUGGCCAGAUUCGUAGACGACCUUGCAAGAACUACAUCCAAUGAAGCGAGCUGAAGGCGCACCACUGUCAUUGACCCUCCUGUGUCGGAGCCGGGAAAACUUGCUGAAAUAAACAGUCGAGAAGUCAUCGUUUAAAGUCCCCAUAGGACAAGCGCACCAGGAAAAAAGAACCAUCGAUGAAAAUAUGCGUAGACUGGAAGGAUCCAACAUGAAGACAAAAUGAAUAAAGACCGAAUCCGAAUAGAUUCAUCAAAGACAAUCAUCGCCACGCCAUGGUCUUGCACCGUGCAGCCACCACGGCCUGGACGCCCGCCCGCACCACACGACCGAGAGCCCCGCCGCCGCCAUGCCCCGCACCAGCGGCACGCCCCCGCCGCACAAGGGUCGAGAUCCACCGCGCCCCCCCGUAUGAUUCUAAGGCCAACGGAGACUAGACGGACGGGCGGGAGGCAGAGGAACCAUAUGUACAUGUGGAUUGUUGGUUGCUAGAUGCAAAUUUUCAAGAUUCAUACCACGAGAGCAUCAAUUGGUGAACCUGCUUCAUUUAGUGCAGAACUGAACAAGUUUUUCUUUUUUGAGGGGAAAUCAACUUGGUUAUGUACGUGUCAUAAUUAUGCUACUUCAAAUUAUCAAAGUAGAUAGAUUAGCUGUAGCUGGCUCAACUGGUUCCCUGGUUGCGUACGACUUCUUGUUUUUUGGGUGGUUGCGUACGGUUGUUGAUUCCUUGGUUGGAGACCUCGCACGCGCAGUGCUCGUUACACGAAAUCCAUCCGUUCCAGCUUAGCCGGUGGGCCGAAGACGCGAAGACCAGGGCGCUUAGCCACAGGUGGGCCGAAGACGAGCGCACCACUCGGUUGACGCUGCGUGCUACGGAGUAGUAGUAUUUUAGUACCACAUCGCUUGUUUCGGUAGACACCUCGCGGCUUAAAUAGCGAGACGUUCAAUCAUGUAUCGUCGAGGACGCAAAGCUAGCACUAGCUAUGCUGGCCUGUCGAGGCAAAAAGCGUUCGUGACGUACUUCUAGCCGGGUUUGGCCCAGCAGCCUGUAACCCUAGGUCGCUGUUAACUCGUGCAUGUUGGGGGCUAGAAGCGCGGAGCGAUUUAAGUCUUUUUUGCGUUUUGAUGCCGUUUUUCUUUUGCCUUGGUUCAUUNNNNNNNNNNGCUUCAGAGUUUAGCCCACAUACAUUCCAACAUAGAACAUUCCAACUAACCAAAAGAGGCAUAAUAAGGAUAAAUAAGGAGAUCAGGCCGCAUCAGAAGAUGGCCCUGCGUACUUGCAAGCCAGGAACUUCUCCUCCGAGAGAUCAACAGCAGGGAUCCCACACAUAACACUGCCAAUCUGCUGAAUGACAUGGAUCGGGGUGGGAGGUGGCAGUUCUGCUUCAUCAGAAAGUUCAGUUAUGGUAAUGGCAGUUGCCGCAGAGGGAACGACCCAUGGUUUUACCUUAGAGGCUCUGUUCUUUGUUUCCGAGAGUGACGGUACUUUGAAUCCAUCAUACUUGUUCUUGCGAGUGCUCCGCCGCAGAUUAACGGAGGAUUCAGGAGCAGGAGCCUUUCCAUGAAGAGUACUCACCACAGGCUCAUGGACGUGCAGGUCAUCAGAAACAUCAGUAGCAGUCACCGCAGACACCUGUGCAGGCAGUUCAGUAGAAGAAGCAGGACCAAGUGUGUCCGACAAGUGCACCAGCCGAGGUGGAAAGACACUGACAGGAGCCGUUGGAUCCCCAACAUUCAGAUCAAACAGAGAGAGAUCAGCUUCCAUGGACAUUUGUUCAACAAUAACAGCAUUGGAGUUAUGCAGAGUUGUGGUCUUGGUGGCUUCAGUAACAGUUAGCAUUCCCUCCUCUUCAGUAAUUGCCACUUUAAACUCCACUCUAGCAUCCCUAAGACCAUAGCCAGAACUCCAUGGGCCAUAAGCUUCAACUAUAGGCAUGAUUGCAGACCUGAGGAAGGUGUUAAGCCUGACAAUGGGAAAACCUUCAUUAAUCAUCAUCGAGCUGAUUAUAGUACCCUGAGCAGACAUAGAAAGCUGCAAACCAGUAGCAGAAAGAGAGAUCUGAAUGUCCAAUGCAUUAUGCUGAGGGGCCGGACUAGAAACCACAAUACUUUCAGGUGCAGCCGAGCUUUCUCCCCUAACAAGAUUGUUAAAAAUGUUGCUUGGCACCAAGACAUAACUGUCAGAGACUGUGGCACUGGAAUUAGAGCUGCCAAAAGCUGAAAUGGAAUCAUUCCAAGCUGUCCCUGGGCUAUCCUGGAGAUUAUUAGCAGGUAAAAUCCCAUCUUGCACUUGCAGACCCUCAGCCGUCAGCCAAGGCUGAAAGUUAUACAGUGCAGGAGGCGGCGAAGGUGGCCAAGCACCCCAUCCCGCUUGGAAGUGAGCGUCGUGUCCCUGACGAGCAUUGUGUUGUGGAGCUGCAUCAGGCAUGUUUGGCGCGGCGUUCUGAGCGAGCCAAUUAUGCAGUUGGGCUUGGUACAUCUGCUCCGCAGUGAGAGUGUCACCGAAGAGGGGAUGGGGAAUCCCAUCAGCAGGCGGUGGUUCAAUAUCUGCAGGCGGCACAUCCGGGAUAUGGGCAUUCCAAUCACUGCUGUGCAGAAUCGUGACGCACACAGUCCAGCAUCGGCGCUCACCACCCAGCUGAUGCAUAACAAAACUUUUUGGCAUCUGGCGCAAGCUAAGAACUCUGGCUUUGAUCAGAACAAAUUUCCUGUCCCCUCUAGGAUUAUUCCAAGUGAUAAGUUCCCCAAACUUAUCGACAGACUUAUGGAUGUAGUGAGAGGUUUGAUAAUCAUGGGGAAAUCCAAUGUACAACAACCAGACUUGAGGUCCAAAGCAAGUUUGGCGCAUAUUGAUAGCAGCAUCGUGAGGAAUAAAGGAAACAACAGUACCCUGAUUAUCAUCAUCCUCAUCGAGCUCAAAACUAUACAUCGUGAGGAAUAAAGGAAACUCGGAGAAUUUCCCCUCCUUUUGUGGAUUUUGGUGUAAGCACGAAACUAUACAUUUUACUAAUAUUGUAUUGGAACUUAUUUUGACUUGCAAUGUGUUGCACUGAAUAUUUAAUCAAUGUUGUUAGUUGGAAUCAGGGAAGCUCCAAGUACAACAAAGAAACCCUUAUCCUGUAAAGAACAUUUUGUUGAGACUGUGCUGACCAUAUGAAUAGUUUAGAGACUUGUAUCAUUAACAGAGAUCAUCCAGAUGUUUCUCAGGAAAGCAGCUAGUGUAGUGUAGUAGUAGAAGAUAAUAAAAGCCCACAUAUAUAAUUGUUAGGUUGAAAUUGUUGCUCCAUGUGGGCUGCUUUUUUUUUGUUGGGGAAAAACUUCCGAUCUAUUGAUCUUCAAUCGUGAUAGUACAACGAACACCAGAAAUAAUAAAAAAUAUGGCCAGAUUCGUAGACGACCUUGCAAGAACUACAUCCAAUGAAGCGAGCUGAAGGCGCACCACUGUCAUUGACCCUCCUGUGUCGGAGCCGGGAAAACUUGCUGAAAUAAACAGUCGAGAAGUCAUCGUUUAAAGUCCCCAUAGGACAAGCGCACCAGGAAAAAAGAACCAUCGAUGAAAAUAUGCGUAGACUGGAAGGAUCCAACAUGAAGACAAAAUGAAUAAAGACCGAAUCCGAAUAGAUUCAUCAAAGACAAUCAUCACCACGCCAUGGUCUUGCACCGUGCAGCCACCACGGCCUGGACGCCCGCCCGCACCACACGACCGAGAGCCCCGCCGCCGCCAUGCCCCGCACCAGCGGCACGCCCCCGCCGCACAAGGGUCGAGAUCCACCGCGCCCCCCCGUAUGAUUCUAAGGCCAACGGAGACUAGACGGACGGGCGGGAGGCAGAGGAACCAUAUGUACAUGUGGAUUGUUGGUUGCUAGAUGCAAAUUUUCAAGAUUCAUACCACGAGAGCAUCAAUUGGUGAACCUGCUUCAUUUAGUGAAGAACUGAACAAGUUUUUCUUUUUUGAGGGGAAAUCAACUUGGUUAUGUACGUGUCAUAAUUAUGCUACUUCAAAUUAUCAAAGUAGAUAGAUUAGCUGUAGCUGGCUCAACUGGUUCCCUGGUUGCGUACGACUUCUUGUUUUUUGGGUGGUUGCGUACGGUUGUUGAUUCCUUGGUUGGAGACCUCGCACGCGCAGUGCUCGUUACACGAAAUCCAUCCGUUCCAGCUUAGCCGGUGGGCCGAAGACGCGAAGACCAGGGCGCUUAGCCACAGGUGGGCCGAAGACGAGCGCACCACUCGGUUGACGCUGCGUGCUACGGAGUAGUAGUAUUUUAGUACCACAUCGCUUGUUUCGGUAGACACCUCGCGGCUUAAAUAGCGAGACGUUCAAUCAUGUAUCGUCGAGGACGCAAAGCUAGCACUAGCUAUGCUGGCCUGUCGAGGCAAAAAGCGUUCGUGACGUACUUCUAGCCGGGUUUGGCCCAGCAGCCUGUAACCCUAGGUCGCUGUUAACUCGUGCAUGUUGGGGGCUAGAAGCGCGGAGCGAUUUAAGUCUUUUUUGCGUUUUGAUGCCGUUUUUCUUUUGCCUUGGUUCAUUUUAUUUGAGUCGACCAAAAUAUUUUCUCUCUUACUUACACAUUAUUCGUGGGACCUGCAAAUUUCCCCUUCAACACGGACUAGUGUAAAAAAAGAUUUUUAUUUUUUUUCCAUAUUAUUCCUCUUCCUUCCACUCCGACCGGCACCAAACCAUUUAUUUCCUACCGCUUGUUCUAGCUCCGACUCAUCAUUUAUUUGCUCUAAAGAUUGUGUGUGUUGGGCGCCAAAAGUAUAUGGCCACAUCGUCGUUUCUCUAGGUUCAAAAAAAGAAACAAAUCUGUCCGGAGUACUUCUCUCCACCACUUCCCUCCCUCCAUAGGGCCAAAUUGGUCAUACACCGCAGGGUCAUUUUCCUAUGACAUGAAAAGCUGCAAUAUGACGUUCUAUCUCAUACCCUCUUCGACCGGACAUCUAUGUUGGUGUAAUGCCACACGCUUCAAUGGACAAAUGUAUGGAAUGUCAUGCCCCUUUUUCCCGCUUCGCUAUAGUGCUCAGGCAGUGUGGCGCCAAAACUUUUUUUAAAUUGUUUUUGCAUCAUCAUGCCGUUUUUAGUCAUUCUAUUUGGGUCAAUGCAAUUCUUUUCUCCUCUUACUUAUAAACUCGUCAUCUGAGUUAGGGUCGAUUCGGACGGAUGAAAACUUUUCCCUUUCACAUAGACCAAUGUAAUUUUUUCCUCUUCAUUCCACUCGGACCGAAAGUGAACUAUUUAUUCCUAUCCCUCCCUCUAGAAGGCCAAGUUACUGCUGCACCACCGGGUCAUUUUUCUAUGACAUGAAAAUGCUACAAUAUGUCGUUCUCCCUCACACCCUCUUCAAUUGGACAUCUAUGUUGGAGUAAUGACGCAUACUUCAAUGGACAAAUGUAUGGUGUGUCAUGUCCUUUUUUUCCGCGUCACCGUAGUGGUCAGGCUGGGGGAUGCCAGGACUAUAGAUUAAUGUAACUCUGUUAUUUCGUACCGUCUCUCCAUCAUGCUGGUUCGGCGGUGUGACACCAGAUGUAUGGAGUAUUAAUCUCUACUACCUAAAACAUGUAAGGUUCCCACUCCCGUCUUACGUCUCACCCCUUCGGCCAUUCCUCCCAAUACAUUCCUCCAUCGAUUUUUCUCCACCCUCCCCGGUUUUUCUCCUCUCCUGGUUUACUCGGACAAACCCAAUAAUUAUUUUGUAACACAACCAAUUCGUGGAUGGCAGUCAAUCUCUCCUUUGUGACGCAUAAGGCAAUCAAUUAAUGUAAUCAACCUAUUCUAUCGUAACACAAUAAACACAUGGCCAGUAAAUAUUCACGCGAAAUCCAUCCACCUCCUACAAGUUUUGAUUAUUUUUAUUACCUCAUCCACUGCUUCCUUCUACCUCUCUCUCCCAUCUCACCGAUGACACCGUGUCCCCCGAGCAAACCCUAUUCGUCCCCUCACAUUGGUUCUUCUCUUAUGGCAGCACGCGGUAGAUCAAGCGACAACCAGGAUAGUAUUGGCAGUGGGCCUAGGUGGCAUUGGAGCACAGCGAUGCCUUCGUUUUUCCAGCGUGAGAAUAUGAUCUUUUAUGCCUCUCGCUCGACUUCUUUGGUGCCUAGGGUUUGAAGAUUUUUGGGAUGCCCUCCUUAAUUACCUCUACGAUGGUUACCUCAUCACGAGCAUCUUCUUCUUGCCGUUGUGGGUCGUUGGACCAUUAAUGCCCAACAUGUUCUUCGUUGGCGCACCUCCCGUAGUAAGUGUGCAUGUUUAUAUUUUUGAGAUCAUGACCCAUUAGUUGAUUCUUCCUUUUUAUUUUAUUCAAGUAUGGUAGAAUUUUUUUACUAACAUUUCAUUCUAAUGGCAAUUAGUUUCGUAUUCGUGUAUACAACCAUGCAUCCAUAUCUAUAGCUUGUGCGAUCUCCAUGACGACAACACAAUGCCAUGGCUAUGCGAUUGUCUCCAUCAAAGACACACACACACACACACACAGAGAGAGAGAGAGAGAGAGACACACACAGAGAGAGAGAAAGAGAGAGAGAGCACUGGGGUAUAGGGAAAGCGAGAUUUUCACGGUUGUAACUAAGAAAGAGAGAAAGAGAGAAAUAGAGAGAUUCUCAUGGGCGAGAAAAUACUUUCACACGAGAGAGGGAGAGAGAUUUUCAUGGGAGACAAAUACUAUCAAGAGAGAGGGAGAGGGAGAGAGAGAUUUCAUGGGAGAUAAAUAAGAGAGUAGAGAGAGAGAGAGAGAGAGAGAGAAAGAGAGAGAUAGAAAGUUUAAUGGGAGUAAUUGAAAGCGAGACAUUUUCGUCGUAUGGAUUUUUCUGAGAAGUGUUCGUGAGAGAUUUACAUACGAGAUACAAAAGAAUUUAGUUUUGCUCAUUUCUUGAAUAGGCUUUAGAAGUAUAUAAUGAAAUGGUGUGCACACUCGUUGUACCCUGACUACAAAAGUUAUCAAUAUUUAUUUAGAUCUGCAACACAUAAUGUAAUUAUUGACUAACUGGAUUAUUUAUGGACAAAAAAUGGUUGUUGUAAUAAUGUAUACAUACUAUUGUUUCUCGGAUUUUGUUAUAACUAUAUGCAUGGACAUUUUGAUAUGAUACAUAUAUAAUAUUUUAAAGAUGGGGUUAUUAACAUAUGGAACUAAAUGAAUAUGCCGAGAACUAAUGAUUUUCUGCCGCGAUGAUUCAUUGACAGUGCUAUGGUAGCGGUUACUUCCACGAUAUGACAGUUUUGCCGCCACGAUAGUGUGUUAACCGUGUAUCCCAUUGCAACGCACGUGUAAUUUCCUAGUAUUUAUUUAAUUCCUUGGCCGAGGAUUGGUUUCCUUGCUCACUUCUGUGUGCUUGGGGGCCAAAAUUUUGUAGCAACAUCAGUAUUUUCCUUCCGCUAAGACUAAUGCAUCGUUUAUUUUCCGUCCUUCGAAUGAGAUGGAUGGAAAUUUUCCCUUCCGCAUGGACUAUCGUGAAAUUUAUAAUUUUUAAUUAUUUCUCUUCAUUCCAAUCGAACAUGCACCAAAUCAUUCGUUUCCUUCCACUCGAACGAAUUCUGAAUCAAAUGUUCCUUGCUCACUAGCUCGUUUGUAUUGGGCACCAAAAGUAUGGUGUAAGGCUAGCCUCUUUUCCCUCUGAUGUUUUUUUCUACUAUUUGGACCUGGAAGUAAUGCAUUCGCAUGGAGUACUUCUGUACACCGCUCCUGUUAUGUAUCGUCGUGUCAUUUCCGUAUGACAAGGAAAAGCUACAACAUGUCCUUCGCUCUCUCAUUCUCUUCGGUGGAACAUAAUGCUCGAGAAUGCUGCCAACUUCAAUGGACAAAUUGUAUGGAGCGUCGUGUCCUUUUUCGGCUUCUACAUAGUGGUCGGUCGGCUGUGCGGUGCUUCAAGGACGGCGAACACCUGUGUGGCAAGCAGUAAGAGGUCAUGUUACGAGCGGAGGAAGAACUUGGUGCCAACCCGUUGAUUGUGGUCAGCUGAGCUCAUGAAACAAAUGAUUGCAAAGUAUGUGGCCAAAGGCGUUUGGUGAGGCGCCCGGCACGACGGAGGGCUAGAAUGGGAGAGGCUCAGUGUUGCAACCGACACAAAAAAAGCUGGAACCAGAGGAACUUAGUGGUGCAACCUAACAUGGCGGCGAGCCUUAGCAACUACAACCAGAGGCGCCCGCUACUGCAACCGGCACGACGACGAGUUGCAACCAGUAAUGAAGCAUUGUAAUUUGAAUGCUAGAUACUUAUAAUAUUCAGUUUUGAAAAUAAUUUUAAUAUACUUGCAUUGAGAUGGGUGGGCGUGGCAACAUCUUUUAUGUUCUAGUAGGAAUGUUAGAACCGAUUGCCGCCUAGAGCAAGUCAUAGGCAAUCCUUUGGGAGCAUGCCAAGGAGAUGCCCAAUAUGUAAAUGGAACCAUGCACCAAAUCUUUGUCCUAGUCUUUGGGAGAAUUGGUAUACAUUUGGAAUGUUUAUGCACAUUCGGUAUGAGUGUCCAAAUAAAGAGUGAAAUGUACCACCAGCCCAUAAACUCAAACCGAUCACACAUUUUAAGCCUAUAACUCGGGAACUGAUAGAAUAUAGUCCGUAAACUCGUUAAUUUGAUCGACUAAGGCCAAAACUGGCCCGAGAGGAAAGAACCCGGCUAUGUGGAUGCCAUGUCAUCGUUCCUUUGACCGCUUAUGGAUUAGCUAUUUUUUUAAGGAUCUAUCUGUAAAUUGGUUGGGUUCUUAUUCACAAACCAUGCUAAGGGCGUUGACUGAAAAGAAUAUGCACCUCAAAUUGUAUAUAUUCACGUAGAAUCAGGAGAAAACACUGAAGAUCCCAUCUGAUCGUUUUCCAAUCACGCGAUUUCUUUCCUUCUGUUGCAUCGACUACUGUUUGUUGCUAGAUCAUAGCGUUCCCUUCUCUUCUGGUUUGUCUUAUGUGACUUGCCGAUCACGCGACGGAGAUCGGCAAUUGACCACGGUGUCGUCUACCUGCAGAUGAUUCACUUUUGUAUUCUCUGAAAUCCACUUAUUAUAUAUAGAUAUUUCACACGAUUCUGUGCGGAUAUAUAUAAGUUAGGCUGUAUUUUGAUACAUAAAUCAUUUUAUGGUGUGCUGUUUUGGAUUCCGAUAACUUACCCAGUUGUCAUGGGUUCAAGUCGUACAGAACAUAGGUUUUUUUAAAAAAAUCUACUGACACUAGUAGAAAAAGGGCCUAAUGUGAAGCUCAUUAGGCCUGGUUUGUAUUUGAACGGGCACUAAUGUGACCAUUAGUGUCGGCUCCAACGGCUAGGCGGGCGGCUCGCAUUAGGUGGUGGCAGGCUUUUGUCAGGCUGGGCCCCACCAGCACCUCUAGUACCGGUUCAUGCCAUGAACCGGGACUAGAAAUGCACCUUUAGUCCUGGUUCGUCUAACAAACCAGUACUAAAGAUCUUCCUAUAUAAACCCCUUCGUCCAUCCCGAGCGCUCUGUUCUUCGCUUUUCCUCUCCUCUGUGUUCUUCCUCUUCCUCUCGAGCUCACACUCCAUUUUUUGCCAAAAUUUGUGAAGAUUUGCAGUCACCCCAUCCAUCCAAGUGAUCACAAAGGUUAGCAACUUUGUCCUUUCAUCUCUCAUUGCUAGAUUAGCUCUUGCAAUGCUCUAUAAGUAUAGUGAUUUGUGGGUUUUAUUUUGGGAGGAAUUAUAUGUGGUAGUAUAUGAUUUACAUGCAAUUUGAGGUCAAAAUAACUCUUAGUUUGCAUAUGUAGGUGUGGUUUACUUAGUGCCUUCCCGUCUCCGUCCUAACCACCGUCGACCGCCCGCACCGACCCGUCGCCAGCUCCACCUUCCAGUGAGCCUCUUGUUCUUAUCUUUUUAAUAUAAAAGAAUCAUGUUUAUGUGAUAUAGAUAUAUAGUUACUUGUAUAAUUAUCUUACCCGUACGUUGUUUGUUAUAUAUAGUGCCAUGGUUUUGAUAUCCGUCCCCAUCGGCCCUCGUCCGGGUUAUGAUUCGGAUGUGGUAUAUUCUCUGUUAUAACUAUUUGUUGCAUUUCAUGUUUAUGACAAAUUAUGCCCAUCAAGUUGACAUAGAUAUUUUUAUCUAGGAGGUAUGUGAACCAGAAAUUCCAACCAACCCUAUUGUCGAGAGGUUAAAUUUAGUUGAAAAAGAAAAUGAGUAUUUAAAAGAAAAAAUGAAAAAAAUUGAGGGGGAGAAGAUGGAAUAGGAUUUGCAUGUUGCCGAUGCCGUCGAUGAUCACAAGAUCGAGAUGGAGAAAAUGCGCUUGAAGAUUAGAAAGAUUAGAAAAUAUGCCAUCGAUAGUGAGGCUUGGUAUCAUUAUGUUGUUGCAUCAAUUGUUACCUUAAUUGCGAUCUUGAUCGCAUUUGUUGUUGCAUUUAAAUGCUUUAGCUACAGAGUUAUAUGUAUGUUGUUUUAUGAGAAUAAGUGUUGUAUGAACUUUAUGUAUGAACUUGUAUUAAUUUGAUAUUUUCGGUGCUGUGUAAUGAAGUGAGCCGACAAUGGAUGUACGAUGACCGAUGCUCUCCCCAUUUCAUUAAUGGUGUGCAUACUUUUGUACUUGCAGCUGAGGCAAACAAGCAGGCAUUCUACUAGUAAUGAUACGAUCCAAGAGAAAUGAUUUAGUCAAUGGUAUUGUGAGGACAUGCUUAUCCACAUUUCACUCACUUACAUAUGGUACCCAAUGUGCCAACCUUGCAUGGAGUUGCUUGACUAUUGGUUUCAUGAAAUCAAUGGCACUAACAAGCAUAUUUUGUUGUUUAUUUUUUCUGUGUGUAUUUGACUUCAUCAGAAAGGAAAAUACCUUUGUUUUGUUCUUCUGGAUGCUAAUCGAUGAACUAACUUUUGCACAGCUGAUGACCAUAUAUAUUUUACUGAGUGCUAGAUUAUAAUAUUCCAUUUAACAUUUUUGUUUGUGAUGUUUAGUUGCACUUAAUAAGAAUAUGGACACAAAUCGUUUAAUCAUUCAAUUCACCAGGGUUGAUGAAUAUGCUAGACUGUGGGACCUUCCCUAGACACAAGCUUUUGUGGGUGUCGUCGUGUUUUCAUACUCAGGUAGCCACAACUUUGUCCAUAGACUCACAUGAAGAACUAAUUUCGUCCAUAUGUUUUCUAUUAUGAUAUUUGAAGAUUGCUAAUUAUCAUGCUAGGAAAUGUGACUGUCUUCCCUUUUAGAAAAAUAGGCACACAAAUGGCCGCAAAUGAGGGGUGCCAACUUCUAGGGAAGUGAUGCUGGGAAGAGAUGCAUUUCGUGCCAACCAUGUUGUGUGUAUGCAGGCGAAGAGGCUGGUCGAUCUGACACUGAAGACGAUACCAGGGGGCAUGGGAAGAGAUGAUCACUGAGGAUGUCGUUGCUAUAGAAGAGGAACUCGGAGAAUUUUUUUUUGAACCGCUGAAACAGUAGGAGAGGCUCCUACUGCAAUUGAAUUAAAGAAUCAGCAACUGUACAUGGUUUGUAUGUUACAAGGCCAUCCCACUUUGUGGGUGGAGGGGGGUGGGGGAGGGUAAAGGGCUAAGUUACAAUGUAGCUAAGUAUGAAAGCAAGAUGGGUUUAUUCUUAUCUUCCACCCUAUAGGUGAGGAGGGAUAGGUCUUCUUUAAGUCUAGAGAGCCAAGAGCUUAUGGAUGGAGUAAUUCCUCUGAAGUUCUUGUUGUUCCUUUCCUUCCAAAUACUCCAAGCAGAUUGGAGUAGGAUUUCCACAAAUAAUGGUCUAUUCCAUGAUGUCUUGGCUGAUUCCACCCAAUCCAGCCUAUUCCCUUGAGUAGAUCCUUGCAUUCCAAGCUUGGCCCAACAAUUUAAGCUAAAAGGGCAUUCAAAGAAAAGGUGCUCCACCGUUUCAUCCAUGCAUGUUGGGCAAAGCAGGCAGCCAAACGUGUUACCAAUGUUGAAGUGACGUCGUUUGAGCAUAUUUCUGGUGUUUAGCCUGUCAGAGAGUAGUAACCAGCCAAAAACUUUGAUCUUCAUAGUUGUUUUGGACUUCCAUAGCCAUGAGUAGGCAGGGUGAGCUUGGACAUCUCUGAAGAAAAACUCAUAGAAUUUGUUGGCUGCGAAGUGGGUGGAUCCCCAAACGUAUGUCCAAUCAUCGUGUGUUGAUAGGCCAGCCAGCUGAACGUCCAAGGUAAGGCUUUGCAGAUUUCUGGUCUCUGCAUGGGCUUGCUCCGAUAGUGGCAGAUGAAACGUUUCCUGCAAACUGGUGGCCCCAAGGAACGCGCGAACAGAGAUGUCUUCAUCUUUAGCAAACGAGAAAGCACAUGGAUGAGUUUCGGCCAGGAUCUCACCCAGCCACAUAUCUUUCCAGAAGAGAGUGGUUGCUCCAUUAUUCACAUUGACCAUCGUGAUUCCUCUAUAAGUGGGAAUGAGCUUUGAGAUAUCUCGCCACCAGAAGGAGCCACAAGGAUCGACAGCAUGGGGUAUCUUGGAGGUGUAGUAGGUGUUCCAAAUCAACUCAACCCAGGGCAGGUCCCAGUGGUUGUAGAACUUAUGAAGAAACUUGAGAAGCAAGGCCUCGUUCUGGAUUUUCAGGUUUAAUACUCCCAGACCACCACAUUUUUUGGUUUGCAAACCAUGGCCCAAGCAGCAAGUGAGGUGCACUUGUCACCUUGAUCAGUUUUCUUUGUCCAUAAACAUUUGCGGCGAAUCUUGUCAAGGAGUUCAACGAUUCCUGCUGGGAGUUUAAGUGUACACAUGGCGUAGAUUAGGAGGGAGGUAAUGACCGAGUUGAGUAGUGAUAACUUGCCGCCAUAUGCGAUCAUAUUAAGUGUUGCUGAUAAUCUUCUUUCUAGCCGACAGACCAAAGGCAUGAGAUCAUGAAUGGUAGGUUUAGUAGUCCCCAAAGGAAGGCCUAGGUAGGUAAAAUGCAUCUUUCCCACCACACAUACAAAAAUAUUUGCCAAGUUGGUAUAGAGUGCUUCAUCACAGUUGAUCGGGACAAGUGUGGAUUUAUGGAAACUAAUUUUGAGUCCAAUAGAGGUGGCGUAGUUCGACAGAAUAUUUUUGAUAGUUGUAGCCUGUAGAGGACAAGCUGGCAUUGCAAGAAUCGUGUCGUCCGCAUAUUGAAUGACCGAGUAAUCUUUUUGUGUAGCGCAUGGGAAGGGUAACUUGAUGAGGUAUUUGGAAAAAGCAUCAUUAAUAGCAUCUUGUAAUAAAUCUGCGGCUAGGACAAAGAUUAGGGGGGACAAAGGGUCACCUUGGCGGACUCCACAUUUGCAAUGAAAUUGUCUUCCCGGUACGCCAUUCAGGAGGACAGCAGAUUUCCCCGAGGCAAAGACGCAUUUAAUCCAACCAAGCCAUUUAUCAUUAAAGCCCAUGUUUCUCAUGAUCUCAAUCAUUGCAUCAUGAUCAAUGGUGUCGAAGGCUUUAGCAAAAUCUAGUUUUAACAGGACAAUUUCUUUUUUGGAAGAUUGGCACUGGUAGAUGUACUCGAAGGCCCAUGCCAGGCAGUCUUGGAUCGUGCGCCCUUUGAGGAAACCAUAUUGGUUGCGGUGCACAAUUUUUAGCACGAGUCUUUGUAAACGGUUGGCCAGGAGCUUAGUAAUUACCUUGAGACAACAAUUAAGUAGUGUGAUGGGCCUGUAUUCAUUAAUUGUUGACGGUGCCUGAACUUUUGGAAUGAGAGUGAUUAGUCCUUCAUUAAUGCUCUCUAAGUUGAGGUUGCCCUCGAAGAACUGGUUGCAAAGCUUACAGAAAUCCUCCUUGAUCACUUCCCAACAAGUUUUCAGAAAUAUGCCUGUAAAACCGCCAGGUCCCGGGACCCGGUCCGCUGGCAUUGUUUUGAUCACCUGGUCAAUUUCAGCCAUGGUAAAUGGAACUGUGAGUUCAUCAAGGCCAUCAAUCUUUUUGAUGAUUCUGGGCAAGUCAAAUUUCAUGUCAUGCUUGGUUUUCAUGCCAAGUCGAUCUUUGAAAGUCUGAAAUAUAAUGGCUUCUUUGCUUGCAUGAUCCUCUGCACAAAAGCCAGAUUCAGUCAUGAGGGAGGCUAUGUUAUUUCUGCGAUAUCGUUCUGACGCCAUUGCUUGAAUUUUUUUGGAAUUUUCAUCGCCGAAUUGAACCCAACGAACCGUGCAACGUUUCUUCCAGUAUAGCUUUUGGUAGGACAAGAGUCUUAAUAAAUGGUUCUUAAGAAUAGUUCUGAAAUUUGCUUCCAGUGUCGUGAGAAGCCUCCUGUUUUCCAAACCAUCAAUUUCUAGAAGGGCCCUGUUAGUGUUCUCAAUAGCAAUUGAUAGCUUAGAAAUGUUCUUACUCCAACUUUUUAGUUCAUGCCGAAGGUGCUUGAGCUUUUUGCAGAGAUUAGACGCCAUGUUUGGAGAGUUCACAGGUAUGGCCCAAGCCCUUUUCACAGUUUCUAAGAACCCCGGGUGAUGGAUCCAAUAAGAUUCAAAUCUGAACAUCUUGGAACGUGGGAUUUUUGUUUCAAUAUUGAUGACACAAGGAAUGUGGUCGGAGACCGGUCUGCCAAGUGGUUUAACAAGCGUGUUUGGUAGGAGCUGGUCCAAUGAUUACUAGGGAAGAACCAGUCAAUUUGCUCUAGUAGGGGAUUAGUUUGCAUGUUGCUCCAUGUGUAAGUUCUUCCCUUGAUGCGGGCAGUUCAAUUAAGGCUUGUGAUCUGAUGAAAUCAUUAAAAGUUAUCAUAUCUCCAAAGUGGCCACCUGGUUUGUUACGAUUGUCAGGGCCUCUAAUGAAAUUAAAAUCUCCACAUAAUAGCAAAUCUUCAUUAGUAGGUAUAUCAAGUGAGAAUAGCCAUGCAAUGAAAUUGUUUCUGGGGUCCCCUUGAUAGGGCCCAUACACAUUAACUAAGGUCCAAGAUUGCGCCGACUGGGUAGAGUGAAAUCGUGUUACCAGUGCAAAGUCUUCAGAGGCCACUGUAGUAGACGAGAAAACCGCACUAUUCCAAAUGGUGGCAAUUCCUCCUGACGCGCCCCGGGAGGGGACAAAAUCAAACUUAUCAAAUCUUCGUGGGCAACAAGAUUUAAUGAAAGCUUUAUCAAAAGAUUGUUUUUUCGUUUCCUGCAAGCAAAUAACUGCGCAACCACUAGAGUUGAUCGCAUUAGAAAGUGCUAACUGUUUAGCUUCAGAGUUUAGCCCACAUACAUUCCAACAUAGAACAUUCCAACUAACCAAAAGAGGCAUAAUAAGGAUAAAUAAGGAGAUCAGGCCGCAUCAGAAGAUGGCCCUGCGUACUUGCAAGCCAGGAACUUCUCCUCCGAGAGAUCAACAGCAGGGAUCCCACACAUAACACUGCCAAUCUGCUGAAUGACAUGGAUCGGGGUGGGAGGUGGCAGUUCUGCUUCAUCAGAAAGUUCAGUUAUGGUAAUGGCAGUUGCCGCAGAGGGAACGACCCAUGGUUUUACCUUAGAGGCUCUGUUCUUUGUUUCCGAGAGUGACGGUACUUUGAAUCCAUCAUACUUGUUCUUGCGAGUGCUCCGCCGCAGAUUAACGGAGGAUUCAGGAGCAGGAGCCUUUCCAUGAAGAGUACUCACCACAGGCUCAUGGACGUGCAGGUCAUCAGAAACAUCAGUAGCAGUCACCGCAGACACCUGUGCAGGCAGUUUAGUAGAAGAAGCAGGACCAAGUGUGUCCGACAAGUGCACCAGCCGAGGUGGAAAGACACUGACAGGAGUCGUUGGAUCCCCAACAUUCAGAUCAAACAGAGAGAGAUCAGCUUCCAUGGACAUUUGUUCAACAAUAACAGCAUUGGAGUUAUGCAGAGUUGUGGUCUUGGUGGCUUCAGUAACAGUUAGCAUUCCCUCCUCUUCAGUAAUUGCCACUUUAAACUCCACUCUAGCAUCCCUAAGACCAUAGCCAGAACUCCAUGGGCCAUAAGCUUCAACUAUAGGCAUGAUUGCAGACCUGAGGAAGGUGUUAAGCCUGACAAUGGGAAAACCUUCAUUAAUCAUCAUCGAGCUGAUUAUAGUACCCUGAGCAGACAUAGCAAGCUGCAAACCAGUAGCAGAAAGAGAGAUCUGAAUGUCCAAUGCAUUAUGCUGAGGGGCCGGACUAGAAACCACAAUACUUUCAGGUGCAUCCGAGCUUUCUCCCCUAACAAGAUUGUUAAAAAUGUUGCUUGGCACCAAGACAUAACUGUCAGAGACUGUGGCACUGGAAUUAGAGCUGCCAAAAGCUGAAAUGGAAUCAUUCCAAGCUGUCCCUGGGCUAUCCUGGAGAUUAUUAGCAGGUAAAAUCCCAUCUUGCACUUGCAGACCCUCAGCCGUCAGCCAAGGCUGAAAGUUAUACAGUGCAGGAGGCGGCGAAGGUGGCCAAGCACCCCAUCCCGCUUGGAAGUGAGCGUCGUGUCCCUGACGAGCAUUGUGUUGUGGAGCUGCAUCAGGCAUGUUUGGCGCGGCGUUCUGAGCGAGCCAAUUAUGCAGUUGGGCUUGGUACAUCUGCUCCGCAGUGAGAGUGUCACCGAAGAGGGGAUGGGGAAUCCCAUCAGCAGGCGGUGGUUCAAUAUCUGCAGGUGGCACAUCCGGGAUAUGGGCAUUCCAAUCACUGCUGCGCAGAAUCGUGACGCACACAGUCCAGCAUCGGCGCUCACCACCCAGCUGAUGCAUAACAAAACUUUUUGGCAUCUGGCGCAAGCUAAGAACUCUGGCUUUGAUCAGAACAAAUUUCCUGUCCCCUCUAGGAUUAUUCCAAGUGAUAAGUUCCCCAAACUUAUCGACAGACUUAUGGAUGUAGUGAGAGGUUUGAUAAUCAUGGGGAAAUCCAAUGUACAACAACCAGACUUGAGGUCCAAAGCAAGUUUGGCGCAUAUUGAUAGCAGCAUCGUGAGGAAUAAAGGAAACAACAGUACCCUGAUUAUCAUCAUCCUCAUCGAGCUCAAAACUAUACAUCGUGAGGAAUAAAGGAAACUCGGAGAAUUUCCCCUCCUUUUGUGGAUUUUGGUGUAAGCACGAAACUAUACAUUUUACUAAUAUUGUAUUGGAACUUAUUUUGACUUGCAAUGUGUUGCACUGAAUAUUUAAUCAAUGUUGUUAGUUGGAAUCAGGGAAGCUCCAAGUACAACAAAGAAACCCUUAUCCUGUAAAGAACAUUUUGUUGAGACUGUGCUGACCAUAUGAAUAGUUUAGAGACUUGUAUCAUUAACAGAGAUCAUCCAGAUGUUUCUCAGGAAAGCAGCUAGUGUAGUGUAGUAGUAGAAGAUAAUAAAAGCCCACAUAUAUAAUUGUUAGGUUGAAAUUGUUGCUCCAUGUGGGCUGCUUUUUUUUUGUUGGGGAAAAACUUCCGAUCUAUUGAUCUUCAAUCGUGAUAGUACAACGAACACCAGAAAUAAUAAAAAAUAUGGCCAGAUUCGUAGACGACCUUGCAAGAACUACAUCCAAUGAAGCGAGCUGAAGGCGCACCACUGUCAUUGACCCUCCUGUGUCGGAGCCGGGAAAACUUGCUGAAAUAAACAGUCGAGAAGUCAUCGUUUAAAGUCCCCAUAGGACAAGCGCACCAGGAAAAAAGAACCAUCGAUGAAAAUAUGCGUAGACUGGAAGGAUCCAACAUGAAGACAAAAUGAAUAAAGACCGAAUCCGAAUAGAUUCAUCAAAGACAAUCAUCACCACGCCAUGGUCUUGCACCGUGCAGCCACCACGGCCUGGACGCCCGCCCGCACCACACGACCGAGAGCCCCGCCGCCGCCAUGCCCCGCACCAGCGGCACGCCCCCGCCGCACAAGGGUCGAGAUCCACCGCGCCCCCCCGUAUGAUUCUAAGGCCAACGGAGACUAGACGGACGGGCGGGAGGCAGAGGAACCAUAUGUACAUGUGGAUUGUUGGUUGCUAGAUGCAAAUUUUCAAGAUUCAUACCACGAGAGCAUCAAUUGGUGAACCUGCUUCAUUUAGUGAAGAACUGAACAAGUUUUUCUUUUUUGAGGGGAAAUCAACUUGGUUAUGUACGUGUCAUAAUUAUGCUACUUCAAAUUAUCAAAGUAGAUAGAUUAGCUGUAGCUGGCUCAACUGGUUCCCUGGUUGCGUACGACUUCUUGUUUUUUGGGUGGUUGCGUACGGUUGUUGAUUCCUUGGUUGGAGACCUCGCACGCGCAGUGCUCGUUACACGAAAUCCAUCCGUUCCAGCUUAGCCGGUGGGCCGAAGACGCGAAGACCAGGGCGCUUAGCCACAGGUGGGCCGAAGACGAGCGCACCACUCGGUUGACGCUGCGUGCUACGGAGUAGUAGUAUUUUAGUACCACAUCGCUUGUUUCGGUAGACACCUCGCGGCUUAAAUAGCGAGACGUUCAAUCAUGUAUCGUCGAGGACGCAAAGCUAGCACUAGCUAUGCUGGCCUGUCGAGGCAAAAAGCGUUCGUGACGUACUUCUAGCCGGGUUUGGCCCAGCAGCCUGUAACCCUAGGUCGCUGUUAACUCGUGCAUGUUGGGGGCUAGAAGCGCGGAGCGAUUUAAGUCUUUUUUGCGUUUUGAUGCCGUUUUUCUUUUGCCUUGGUUCAUUCUAUUUGAGUCGACCAAAAUAUUUUCUCUCUUACUUACACAUUAUUCGUAUGACCUACAAAUUUCCCCUUCAACACGGACUAGUGUAAAAAAAGAUUUUUAUUUUUUUUCCAUAUUAUUCCUCUUCCUUCCACUCCGACCGGCACCAAACCAUUUAUUUCCUACCGCUUGUUCUAGCUCCGACUCAUCAUUUAUUUGCUCUAAAGAUUGUGUGUGUUGGGCGCCAAAAGUAUAUGGCCACAUCGUCGUUUCUCUAGGUUCAAAAAAAGAAACAAAUCUGUCCGGAGUACUUCUCUCCACCACUUCCCUCCCUCCAUAGGGCCAAAUUGGUCAUACACCGCAGGGUCAUUUUCCUAUGACAUGAAAAGCUGCAAUAUGACGUUCUAUCUCAUACCCUCUUCGACCGGACAUCUAUGUUGGUGUAAUGCCACACGCUUCAAUGGACAAAUGUAUGGAAUGUCAUGCCCCUUUUUCCCGCUUCGCUAUAGUGCUCAGGCAGAGGGACGCUAGAACUUUUUUUAAAUUGUCUUUGCAUCGUCAUGCCGUUUUUGGUCAUUCUAUUUGGGUCAGUGCAAAUCUUUUCUCCUCUUACUUAUAAACUCGUCAUAUGAAUUAGGGUCCAUUCACAUGGAUGAAAACUUUUCCCUUUCACAUAGACGAAUGUAAUUUUUUUCCUCUUCAUUCCACUCGGACCGAAACUGAACUAUUUAUUCCUAUCCCUCGUACUAACCCGGACUCAUUUUUUCUUUGCUCACAAGCUCGUGUCUGUUGGGCGCCAAACAUAUGGGGUGCUGAGGGAGUCCCAGACUAGGGGGUGUCCGGAUAGCCGAACUACCAUCAUCGGCCGGAGUCCAAGACUAUGAAGAUACAAGAUUGAAGACUUCGUCCCGUGUCCGGAUGGGACUUUCCUUGGCGUGGAAGGCAAGCUUGGCGAUACGGAUAUGUAGAUCUCCUACCAUUGUAACCGACUCUGUAUAACCCUAGCCCUCUCCGGUGUCUAUAUAAACCGGAUGGCUUUAGUCCAUAGGACGAACAACAAUCAUACCAUAGGCUAGCUUCUAGGGUUUAGCCUCCUUGAUCUCGUGGUAGAUCUACUCUUGUAACCCACAUCAUCAAUAUUAAUCAAGCAGGACGUAGAGUUUUACCUCCAUCAAGAGGGCCCGAACCUGGGUAAAAACAUCGUGUCCCUCGUCUCCUGUUACCAUCCGCCUAGACGCACAGUUCGGGACCCCCUACCCGAGAUCCGCCGGUUUUGACACCGACAUUGGUGCUUUCAUUGAGAGUUCCUCUGUGUCGUCACCGAUAGGCUCGAUGGCUUCUUUGAUCAUCAACGACGAUGCAGUCCAGGGUGAGACCUUCCUCCCCGGACAGAUCUUCGUAUUCGGCGGCUUCGCACUUCGGGCCAAUUCACUUGGCCAACUGGAGCAGAUCGAAGGCUACGCCCCUGGCCGUCAGGUCAGAUUUGGAAGUUUGAACUUCACGGCUGACAUCCUCGGGGACUUCAUCCUCGACGGAUUCGAGCCACAGCCGAGCGUGACGUACUGUCACGAUGGGCAUGAUUUAGCUCUGCAGCCGGACAGUACCCUGGAGGCCGCACUCGAACCCGCUCCGAUCUUCGACUCGGAGCCGGCUGCGCAGACCAAGGAUGGAUGGCUAGACACCACCUCGGAGGCUGCAACCUCUACGGCGAUAGAGCCGAACACCGAUCUUGUCCCCCAUGAAGCUCAUUACUCCGAGGUGCCGGACUCCUUGCCGGACUCCGGACCUCCCGCGCCCCCUCCAGUCGAAUCCGAUUGGGUGCCGAUCAUGGAGUUCACCGCGGCGGACAUCUUUCAACACUCACCUUUUGGCGACAUCUUGAGUUCGCUAAAGUACCUCUCGUUAUCAGGAGAGGCCUGGCCGGACUGCGGCCAGGACGGUUGGGAUGCGGACGACGAAGAAAUUCAGAGCCCACCCACCACCCACUUGGUAGCCACUUUCGACGACCUAACCGACAUGCUAGAUUACGACUCUGAGGACAUCGACGGUAUGGACGACGAUGCCGGAGACGACCAAGAACCAGCGCCCACCGGGCACUAGAAAGCCACCUCUUCAUACGACAUAUACAUGGUGGAUAUCCCAAAGGAUGGGAACGGCGAAGGAAUAGCGGAGGAUGACCCCUCCAAGAAACAGCCCAAGCGCCAGCGUCAGCGGCGCCGCUCUAAAUCCCGCCAUAGCAAGAAUGAGGAUUCCGGCACCGGAGACAAUUAUACACCGGAUAGCGCCAAAGACAACCCACUCCAGCAAGAUCCAACAUAGGAGGAGGGGGACGCCAGACCUCAUGAGAGAGCGGCCGAAGAAGAGGUAGAGGACUAUAUGCCUCCCUCCGGAGACGAGGCAAGCCUCGACGACGACGAAUUCGUCGUGCCUGAGGAUCCCGUCGAACAGGAGCGUUUCAAACGCAGGCUUAUGGCCACGGCAAACAGCCUCAAGAAAAAGCAGCAACAGCUUAGAGCUGAUCAAGAUCUGCUAGCCGACAGAUGGACCGAAGUCCUCGUGGCCGAAGAGCAUGAACUCGAAUGCGCCUCCAAAAGCUACCCCAAACAUAAGCUGCUCCCCCGAUUAGAGGUGGAGGCAUAUGAUCCUGCUUCACCAGGAGACAAUACGGCUGAUCGACCACCCCGUGGUCGCGACAGAGAGGCCUCAAGGCCCUUCACUAGACCCGUACCCCGGCAUCGCUCGAAAAGCACAAGGCCACAGGGGAACACUCCGGACCUGCGCGGCAUAUUGGAGGAUAAGGCAAGACAAUUAAGAUCGACCUAUGGAUCACGUGGGCGCCCCAUGAUACGUGACGAUCACCGUCACCCCGGACACAGUAAGUCCGGCCGGGCCGAACACAACAGACAAAGCUCUUUUGAGCUCCGUCGCGAUAUCGCCCAGUACAGAGGCGCCGCACACCCACUGUGCUUCACAGAUGAGGUAAUGGAUCAUCAAAUCCCAGAAGGGUUUAAACCCGUCAAUAUUGAAUCUUAUGAUGGCACAACAGACCCCGCGGUCUGGAUCGAGGACUAUCUCCUCCACAUCCACAUGGCCCGCGGAGACGAUCUCCACGCCAUCAAAUAUCUCCCACUCAAACUUAAAGGACCAGCCCGGCACUGGCUUAACAGCUUGCCAGCAGAGUCAAUUGGGAGUUGGGAGGACCUGGAAGCCGCAUUCCUCGAUAACUUCCAAGGCACGUACGUGCGACCACCAGAUGCAGAUGACCUAAGCCACAUAAUUCAGCAGCCAGACGAAUCGGCCAGGCAAUUCUGGACACGGUUCUUAACCAAGAAAAACCAAAUCGUCGACUGUCCGGAUGCCGAGGCUCUCGCGGCCUUCAAGCAUAACAUCCGCGACGAGUGGCUUGCCCGGCACCUGGGACAGGAAAAGCCGAAAUCCAUGGCAGCCCUUACAUCACUCAUGACCCGCUUCUGUGCGAGUGAGGACAGCUGGCUAGCACGCAGCAACAACCUCAAUAAAAAUGCUGGCAGUCCGGAUAUCAAGGACCGUAGUGGCAGGUCGCGUCGCAACAAAAACAAACGCCGCAUUAACGGCGAUAACAGUGAGGAUACGGUAGUCAAUGCCGGAUUCAGAGGCUCUAAACCCGGUCAACGGAAAAGGCCAUUCAAAAGAAUAACUCAGGGUCCGUCCAAUUUGGAACGAAUUCUCGACCGCUUGUGCCAGAUACAUGGCACCCCUGAAAAGCCAGCUAACCAUACCAAUAGGGACUGUUGAGUGUUCAAGCAGGCAGGCCAGUUAAUUGCCGAAAACAGCGACAAGGGGCUACAUAGCGACGACGAGGAAGAGACCCGACCGCCGAACAAUAGAAGACAGAAGGGUUUCCCCCCACAGGUGCGGACGGUGAACAUGAUAUAUGCCACGCACAUACCCAAAAGGGAGCGGAAGCGUGCACUCAGGGAUGUAUACGCGAUGGAGCCAGUUGCCCCGAAGUUCAAUCCAUGGUCCUUUUGCCCGAUCACCUUUGACCGAAGGAACCACCCCACCAGCAUUCGCCAUGGUGGGUUCGCCGCAUUGGUUCUAGACCCAAUCGUCGAUGGAUUUCAUCUCACCAGAGUCCUGAUGGACGGCGGCAGCAGCCUAAACCUGCUUUAUCAGGGCACGGUGCGCAAAAUGGGCAUAGACGCCUCAAGGAUUAAACCUACCAAGACGACCUUUAAAGGCGUCAUACCAGGUGUAGAAGCCAAUUGUACAGGCUCAGUUACACUAGAAGUGGUCUUCGAAUCCCCGGAUAACUUCCGAAGCAAGGAGUUAAUCUUCGACAUAGUCCCGUUCCGCAGCGGCUAUCAUGCCUUGCUCGGACGUACCGCGUUCGCAAAGUUCAACACGGUGCCGCACUACGCAUACCUCAAGCUCAAGAUGCCAGGCCCUAGAGGAGUCAUCACGGUCAACGGAAACACUGAACGCUCCCUCCGAACGGAGGAACAUAUAGCGGCUCUCGCGGCAGAAGUACAAAGCAGCCUUUUAAGGCAAUUCUCGAGUCCGGCUGCCAAGCGGCCGGACACAGCUAAGGGUGCCCGGAGUAACCUACAACACGACCACCUGGCAUAUUUCCAGCACGCGUAGCAGUGCGGCCCCAACCCCAGCCCCUGUAAAACAUUAAGACAGACCCUUCGCGUACUCCAUUACGCUCUGAAGAUACCAUGGGCACGGGGUAAGGGGCUCGACCACGAUAAUCCCAGACUGCGGCUCAACCGCACCAGGGGCUCUUAAGUGUGUCAUUUCUUUUUCUUUUCCUUCUAUUUUUUACCUACAGGACUCCGUUCGUCAGAGGCCCUGUCCGGCAGCAGACAUGUCGAACCCACGAUGCAACAGCCAGGGAAGGAGAAAGGCUACAACGAAAACCCAGGUGGUCUCGAUCAUGAGCAUUAAAUCUGUUUUAUGCAUUAUUCCGUAGCCUACCCCUGGAGGGGGACAUGUUAAACAGUCCCAUCCCUUGCUUACCGCACCACUUGUAUCGUCCUGCACUUACAGCACUUUUUAUUGAAUAAAGCAAUACAACACAUUUUUGCUUCUAAUUGCAUUUCUUUCUUACACAUAUGUUCAUCUAUGACAUGUUGCAUCCGUGCGUUUUGGUACGGCUAAAUACACCAGGGGCUUAUGUUUCCCGCGUUAUGGAGUGAUAAGUCCGAACACUUUCACAAGUGCGGCACCCCGAACUUAUAGCAUUAUAUGCAUCGGCUCCGAAUCAUGUUCUUGGGUCAAUAGUUGGGUUUGCCCGGCUCCCAUGUUUUGGUACCUUACGUUCCGUUUUAUCGGCUAAGGUAGUACUGGGAGAACCACUGCGAUUGCGCCCCAGUUGAGCUGGGUUAACGCCUCAGUGGAGAAAGCUAAAACUGACCGUCAUGAUGAGGCGAGAGUUGGUCGCUGUUCGAGAGGUUCUUUGCGAGUCCCUAAGACUUAUGCCACUUCGAGCGAGGAGCCGGAUUCUGUCCGGCCAAGGCGUGGAUAGCGCCCCAAAUUCGGCCUUCCGAAAACUAGGGGCUGUGCCGAAAUUUAAAAUUAUAGAAUUCUAUGGCUUAGUGAGAGUGUUCAAGCAUUAUAAGUCCGGUUGCCUUGUUCGUUGUGUUGAGCGCCUCCCUAGAUGGACCCAAAAAUGGGAACAAGAGCGCUCGAGUUUAUCCCGAACACCCCAGCACUCGUGGCAUGGGGGCUGAAGCCGACGACUUGCCAUCUCUCAGAUUUGAUAAACAGCCGCACAGAAGGUAAUAUUUUAAAUUAACAAGAGUUGCUUAGUGCAUAUGAACCAAGUUUUCAGCGCACAGGAUAACAAAAUGCGAGUCUACUCAAAUAUUACAUCUUUGGAGCACUCACCCGCAAUAGUGCGGGCGCCCUUCAGCACACUCCUAUAAUACAUCUCGGGCGUGCGAUGCUCCUUGCCCUCUGGUGGGGGGUCCGUCACAAACUUCUGGGCAUCCAUCUUGCCCCAGUGCACCUUUGCACGGGCAAGGGCCCGACGCGCACCUUCAAUACAGGCGGAGUGCUUGAUGACUUCAACCCACGGGCACGCAUCUACCAGCCACCGCACCAGGCCGAAGUAGCUCCCAGGCAUGGCCUCCUUAGGCCACAGCCGAACUAUGAGGCCCUUCAUGGCCUGUUCGGCUGCCUUGUGGAGCUCGACUAGCUGCUUCAGCUGGUCGCUAAGGGGCACCGGAUGUUCGGCCUCAGCAUACUGAGACCAGAAGACCUUCUCCGUCAAGCUCCCCUCCUCGGCCCGGUAGAAUGCGGCAGCAUCGGACACGCUGCAAGGAAGAUCUGCGAACGCUCCUGGAGAGCUCCGAAUUCGGGUAAGCGACAGGUAAUUAACACUCACAUGCUUACUUUGCAUGAAAAAUGCCUUACCCGCUGCUAUUUUCUUUACUGCCUCGAUCUCCUGGAGGGCCUUGUAGGCUUCGGCCUUAGCGGCUUUGGCACUCUCAAGAGCCGUUGCAAGCUCAGACUCUCGAGUCUUCGAGUCACGCUCCAGGCUCUCAUGUUUCCUCACGAGAUCCUGGAGCUCUUGUUGUACCUCCGCCACCCGCGCCUCCUGUUUCUCUCGCUCGGUGCGCUCCGCAGCCGCAUUGCGUUCGGCCGUGGCCACCGCCUCCUUCAGGGUCGCCACCUUGUUAGUGGCCCCUGCAAUACCCCAGUUAUCCUUGUCAUUUUUCUUGCAACCAAAUCCUUUUCUGUAAGGUACAAUUUUCAUAAGGUAUUACUCACCUUCUUUUUCCUCGAGCUGCUUCUUGGCAUGGCCGAGCUCGUUCUCGGACCGCUCGAGGUUUUCCUUCAAAGUUUUGACCUCCGCAGUUAGUGCGGCAGAGGUCAGCAGCACAGCCUACAAUCCCAUAUUGACAUAUUUUCAUGACUCCUGCGUUUAUCUUUCUAAAGAUCCUCAGUCCGGCUUUUCUUUCCGAACACCGAACCGAGCAUCAGGGGCUACUGUCUAUGCGGUACCAUUUUACAUAUAUUGAAAUUCUUACCUCAAAGCCUGUUAGAAGGCUGCUGCAGGCUUCAGUCAGCCCGUUCUUGGCGAGCUGAACUUUCUGAAUCACCGCACUCAUAACAGUGCGGUGUUCCUCUUCAAUAGAGGCACUAUUGAGCGCCUCUAGCAAAUUAUCCGGCACCUCCGGUUGGACGGAGGCAGCCGGCGUCGCGGUCUUGCCCUUCUUACGAAGGGGUCGCCCGCCAGACUUCGGAGCGACUAUGGGUUUCGGGGCUGAGUCCGGUGCAAAGUCUGGGAGGUUGUCCUGCGACACCUCCGGGGCCCUCUCCUCCUGGUGGGUCCCUUCCUGGGAUCCCACCUCGGCAUCGUCCGCAUCACGGGGGGUGGAGGCAGUCGGAAGAGAAUCCAUAUCCGACGCCCCGAAGGACCCGCUCGACGAAGUGGGGAGAUCAUCCUUAGGCGGACUGCAGGGUUAUAUGCGGCAUUAGAAAGACAUAAUGUGGCGGAAAACGAAAACCUUGAAGUUAUUCGGGAGUCCGGAUACUUACGAUCUCGCCAGAGGCUUGGCCCUUGGAGGCCAGUCCUCGUCGUCGUCACUGGCGUUGGUGGAACAGUCCGGGGGAAGAGUUUUUCCCCUCUUGGACCCUUCAGACUCCCUUGUUGGGGAGGCCUUCCUUUUCUUCCCUCCCCCGGCUGGGGGAGAGGCUUUCUUCUUCUCCUCCUCGCCUUGGUGGGAGGAGUCGGCCUUGGAUUCAUCGUCCGAUAGCACCUGAAAAUGGGAACUCUUCCGAGUCCCCGUGGCCUUCUUCUUGGCCUUCUUCUCCGGCACCACAUGGGGUGCCGGAGCCAGCAGCCCCGUUAGGGCGGCGUCAGCUGGGUCCUCUGGCAAUGGGGCCGGACAGAUAGCCUGUGCGGCCUUCUUCAGCCAGUCCUGUCAAAGAAAAGGGAGUUUAGAUCCCGCAUAGAGUCAAACUAUGAAUAACAAGCGUCCCGUAAAGGACAAUAUCACUUACCUCGUCAGCUGGACGCUGCGAGCUGAAUCCGCGAUCUUCGGUAGCGGAUGCGGGAGACUCGGCGCCCUUGAGCAGCACCUUCCAGACCUCUUCAUACAUAGUGUCGAAGAGCCCAUUCAAAGUCUGGUGUUGCGCCGGAUCGAACUCCCACAUGUUGAAGCCCCGUCGUUGGCACGGGAAAAUCCGGCAGAUGAGCAUGACCUGGACUACGUUGAAAAGCUUGAGCUUCUUGUCCACCAGCUUCUGGAUACAGGCUUGGAGUCCGGUCAGCUCCUCCGAAUCCCCCCAGAUCCGGCCACUCUCUUUCCAGGAGGUGAGCCGUGUAGGGAUACCAGAUCUGAAUUCGGGGGCCGCUGCCCAAUCAGGGUCACGCGGCUCGGUGAUGUAGAACCACGUCGAUUGCCGCCCCUUAAUGGUUUCCACGAAAGUACCCUCCAGCCGCGUAACAUGGGACAUCCUGCCCACCAUGGCGCCUCCGCACUCCGCUUGGCUGCCCUUCACAACCUUCGGCUUGACACUGAAGGUCUUGAGCCACAAGCCGAAGUGGGACUGGAUGCAGAGGAAGGCCUCGCACACGACGAUAAACGUCGAGAUGUUGAGGAUAAAAUUCAGGGCCAGAUCAUGGAAAUCUAGGCCGUAGUAGAAAAUGAGCCCCCGGACAAAGGGAUGAAGUGGGAAGCCCAGUCCGCGGAGGAAAUGGGGAAGGAAUACUACCCUCUCAUGGGGCCUAGGGGUGGGGAUGAGCUCUCCCUCGUCGGGGAGCCGAUGCGCGAUGUCGCUUGACAAGUAUCCGGCGCUGCGCAGCUUCUGGAUAUGCCCCUCCGUGAUGGAGGAGGCCAUCCACUUGCCUCCCGCUCCGGACAUAUUUGGAGAAGGUUGAGGUGAGAUGUGCAGGCUUGGGCGCUAGAGCUCGAGUUCACGGAGAUGGAUAAGCCAAGGAGGAAGAAGGCGCAGGUAAAAGGAUUGGAUCUUUAUCCCCUUAUAUGGGCGGACGGAAACAUGCGUCCCCACCGGCCUGAUAAAACUCGCUUAUCUCCCAAGCGCCGCAAUCAAUGGCGCGGUUGGGUUACCCACGUCCGUAUUGAUGGGAAUCCCGGAAUAAGGGGAACACGAUCUCUGCUUCGACAAGAAGUGCCAAGGAAACCGCCUUACUAAACGCGCUGAGAUGGAACAAUAAAAACAAUUUGAAGGCUUGGUAGUGGUGUGACGUUACGCCACAAAAUACGUCAGCAGAUUGAACUUGUAUAAUAUUAUUCUCUCUACGGUUGUAUGUGGAAUUUAUUUUGCAGAGCCGGACACUAUCCUGGUGUUCACAAUCUUCUAUAAAUUAUUUGAGGGAGGAACCUGCCUUGCAAUGCCGAAGACAACAUGCGCGCCGGACUCAUCGUCAUUGAAGCCUGGUUCAGGGGCUACUGAGGGAGUCCCGGACUAGGGGGUGUCCGGAUAGCCGAACUACCAUCAUCGGCCGGACUCCAAGACUAUGAAGAUACAAGAUUAAAGACUUCGUCCCGUGUCCGGAUGGGACUUUCCUUGGCGUGGAAGGCAAGCUUGGCGAUACGGAUAUGUAGAUCUCCUACCAUUGUAACCGACUCUCUGUAACCUUAGCCCUCUCCGGUGUCUAUAUAAACCGGAUGGCUUUAGUCCAUAGGACGAACAACAAUCAUACCAUAGGCUAGCUUCUAGGGUUUAGCCUCCUUGAUCUCGUGGUAGAUCUACUCUUGUAACCCACAUCAUCAAUAUUAAUCAAGCAGGACGUAGGGUUUUACCUCCAUCAAGAUGGCCCGAACCUGGGUAAAAACAUCGUGUCCCUCGUCUCCUGUUACCAUCCGCCUAGACGCAUAGUUCGGGACCCCUACCCGAGAUCCGCCGGUUUUGACACCGACAGGUGUUGUCGUCUUUUCUCUAGCCUGAAAGAAACGAACCCGCCCCGAGUACUUCUCUCCAUCCCUUCCCUCCCUCUAGAAGGCCAAGUUACUGCUGCACCACCGGGUCUUUUUUCUGUGACAUGAAAAAGCUGUAAUAUGUUGUUCUCUCUCGCACCCUCUUCAAUUGGACAUCUAUGUUGGAGUAAUGACGCAUACUUCAAUGGACAAAUGUAUGGUGUGUCAUGUCCUUUUUUUCCGCGUCACCGUAGUGGUUAGGCCGGGGGAUGCCAGGACUAUAGAUUAAUGUAACUCUGUUAUUUCGUACCGUCUCUCCAUCAUGCUGGUUCGGCGGUGUGACACCAGAUGUAUGGAGUAUUAAUCUCUACUACCUAAAACAUGUAAGGUUCCCACUCCCGUCUUACGUCUCACCCCUUUGGCCAUCCCUCCCAGUAUGUUCCUCCAUCGAUUUUUCUCCACCCUCCCCGGUUUUUCUCCUCUCCUGGUUUACUCGGACAAAACCAAUAAUUCUUUGGUAACACAACCAAUUCGUGGAUGGCAGUCAAUCUCUCCUUUGUGACGCAUAAGGCAAUCAAUUAAUGUAAUCAACCUAUUCUAUCAUAACACAAUAAACACAUGGCCAGUAAAUAUUCACGCGAAAUCCAUCCACCUCCUACAAGUUUUGAUUAUUUUUAUUACCUCAUCCACUGCUUCCUUCUACCUCUCUCUCCCAUCUCACCGAUGACACCGUGUCCCCCGAGCAAACCCUAUUCGUACCCUCACAUUGGUUCUUCUCUUAUGGCAGCACGCGGUAGAUCAAGCCACAACCAGGAUAGUAUUGGCAGUGGGCCUAGGUGGCAUUGGAGCACAACGAUGCCUUCGUUUUUCCAGCGUGAGAAUCUGAUCUUUUAUGCCUCUCGCUCGACUUCUUUGGUGCCUAGGGUUUGAAGAUUUUUGGGAUGCCCUCCUUAAUUACCUGUACGAUGGUUACCUCAUCACGAGCAUCUUCUUCUUGCCGUUGUGGGCCGUUGGACCAUUAAUGCCCAACAUGUUCUUCAUUGGAGCACCUCCAGUAGUAAGUGUGCAUGUUUAUAUUUUUGAGAUCAUGACCCAUUAGUUGAUUCUUCCUUUUUAUUUUAUUCAAGUAAUUGGUAGAAUUUUUUUACUAACAUUUCAUUCUAAUGGCAAUUAGUUUCGUAUUCGUGUAUACAACCAUGCAUCCAUAUCUAUAGCUUGUGCGAUCUCCAUGAAGACAACACAAUGCCAUGGCUAUGCUAUUGUCUCCAUCAAAGACACACACACACACACAGAGAGAGAGAGAGAGAGAAAUAGAGAGAUUUUCACGGUUGUAACUAAGAAAGAGAGAAAGAGAGAAAUAGAGAGAUUUUCAUGGGCGAGAAAAUACUUUCACACGAGAGAGGGAGAGAGAUUUUCAUGGGAGACAAAUACUAUCAAGAGAGAGGGAGAGAGAGAGAUUUCAUGGGAGAUAAAUACUUGGGAGAGAGAGAGAGAUAGAGAGAGAGAGAGAGAGAGAGAGAGAGAGUUUAAUGGGAGUAAUUGAAAGCGAGACGUUUUCGUUGUAUGGAUUUUUCUGAGAAGUGUUCGUGAGAGAUUUGCGUACGAGAUACAAAAGAAUUUAGUUUUGCUCAUUUCUUGAAUAGGCUUUAGAAGUAUAUAAUGAAAUGGUGUGCACACUCGUUGUACCCUGACUACAAAAGUUAUUGAUAUUUAUUUAGAUCUACAUCACAUACUGUAAUUAUGGAGUAACUGGAUUAUUUAUGGACAAAAAAUGGUUGUUGUAAUAAUGUAUACAUACUAUUGUUUCUCGGAUUUUGUUAUAACUAUACGCAUGGACAUUUUGAUAUGAUACAUAUAUAAUAUUUUAAAGAUGGGGUAUAUGGAACUAAAUGAAUAUGCCGAGAACUAAUGAUUUUCUGCAGCGAUGAUUCAUUGACAGUGCUAUGGUAGCGGUUACUUCCACGAUAUGACAGUUUUGCCGCCACGAUAGUGUUUUAACCGUGUAUCCCGUUGCAACGCACGUGUAAUUUCCUAGUAUUUAUUUAAUUCCUUGGCCGAGGAUUGGUUUCCUUCCUCACUUUUGUGUGCUUGGGGGCCAAAAUUUUGUAGCAACAUCAGUGUUUUCCUUCCGCUAAGACUAAUGCAUCGUUUAUUUUCCGUCCUUCGAAUGAGAGGGAUGGAAAUUUUCCCUUCCGCAUGGACUAUCGUGAAAUUUCUAUUUUUAAUUAUUUCUCUUCAUUCCAAUCGAACAUGCACCAAAUCAUUCAUUUCCUUCCACUCGAACGAAUUCUGAAUCAAAUGUUCCUUGCUCACUAGCUCGUUUGUAUUGGGCAACAAAAGUAUGGUGUAAGGCUAGCCUUUUUUCCCUCUGAUGUUUUUUUCUACUAUUUGGACCUGGAAGUAAUGCAUCCGCAUGGAGUACUUCUGUACACCGCUCCUGUUAUGUAUCGUCGUGUCAUUUCUGUAUGACAAGGAAAAGCUACAACAUGUCCUUCGCUCUCGCAUUCUCCUCGGUGGUAUAUAAUGCUCGAGAAUGUUGCCAACUUCAAUGGACAAAUUGUAUGGAGCGUCGUGUCCUUUUUCGGCUUCUACAUAGUGGUCGGUCGGCUAUGCGGUGCUUCAAGGACGGCGAACACCUGUGUGGCAAGCAGUAAGAGGUCAUGUUAUGAGCGGAGGAAGAACUUGGUGCCAACCCAUUGAUUGUGGUCAGCUGAGCUCAUGACACAAAUGAUUGCAAAGUAUGUGGCCAAAGGCGUUUGGUGAGGCGCCCGGCAUGACGGGGGGCUAGAAUUGAAGAGGCUCAGUGUUGCAACUGACACAAAAAAAGCUGGAACCAGAGACACUUAGUGGUGCAACCUCACAUGGCGGCGAGCCUUAGCAACUACAACCAGAGGCGCCCGCUACUGCAACCGGCACGAUGACGAGUUGCAACCAGUAAUGAAGCAUUGUAAUUUGAAUGCUAGAUACUUAUACUAUUCAGUUUUUAAAAUAAUUUUAAUAUAUUUGCAUUGAGAUGGGUGGCGUGGCAACAUCUUUUAUGUUCUAGUAGGAAUGUUAGAACCGAUUGUCGCCUAGAGCAAGUCAUAGGCAAUUCCUUUGGGAGCAUGCCAAGGAGAUGCCCAAUAUGUAAAUGGAACCAUGCACCAAAUCUUUGUCCUGGUCUUUGGGGGAAUUGGUAUACAUUUGGAAUGUUUAUGCACAUUCGGUAUGAGUGUCCAAAUAAAGAGUGAAAUGUACCACCAGCCCAUAAACUCAAACCGAUUACACAUUUUAAGCCUAUAACUCGGGAACUGAUAGAAUAUAGUCCGUAAACUCGUUAAUUUGAUCGAAUAAGGCCAAAACCGCCCCAAGAGGGAAAAACCCAGCCGUGUGGAUGCCAUGUCAUCGUUCCUUUGACCGCUCAUGAAUUAGCUAUUCUUUUAAGGAUCUAUCUAUAAAUUGGUUGGGUUCUUAUUCACAAACCAUGCUAAGGGCAUUGGACUGAAAAGAAUAUGCACCUCAAAUUGUAUAUAUUCAUGUAGAAUCAGGAGAAAAGACUGAAGAUCCCAUCCGAAUGUUUUCCAAUCACACGAUUUCUUUCCUUCUGUUGCAUCGACUACUGUUUUUUUGCUAGAUCAUAGCGUUCCCUUCCCUCCUGGUUUGUCUUAUGUGACUUGCCGAUCACGCGACGGAGAUCGGCAAUUGACCACGGUGCCAUCUACCUGCAGAUGAUUCACUUUUGUAUUCUCUGAAAUCCACUUAUUAUAUAUAGAUAUUUCACACAAUUAUGUGCCGAUAUAUAUAAGUUAGGCUGUAUUUUGAUACAUGAAUCAUUUUAUGGUGUGCUGUUUUGGAUUCCGAUACCUUACCCAGUGGUCAUGGGUUCAAGUCCUACAGAACAUAGUUUUUUUAAAAAAUUCUACUGACACUAGUAGAAAAAGGGCCUAAUGUGAAGCUCAUUAGGCUCGGUUUGUAUUUGAACAGGCACUAAUGUGACCAUUAGUGUCGGCUCCAACGGCUAGGCGAGCGGCUCGCAUUAGUACCAGUUCAUGCGUAACCUUUAGUACCGGUUCGUGCCAUGAACCGGUACUAAAGAGGUGGUGGCAGGCUUUUGUCAUGCUGGGGCCCCACCAGCACCUCUAGUACCGGUUCAUGCCAAGAACCAGGACUAGAAAUGCACCAUUAGUCCCGGUUCGUCUAACAAACCGGUACUAAAGGUCUUCCUAUAUAAACCCCUUCGUCCAGCCCGAGCGCUCUGUUCUUCCCCUUUCCUCUCCUCUGUGUUCUUCCUCUUCCUCUCGAGCUCAAACUCCAUUUGUUGCCAAAAUUUGUGAAGAUUUGCAGUCACCCCAUCCAUCCAAGUGAUCACAAAGGUUAGCAACUUUGUCCUUUCAUCUCUCAUUGCUAAAUUAGCUCUUGCAAUGCUCUAUAAGUAUAGGGAUUUGUGGGUUUUAUUUUGGGAAGAAUUAUAUGUGGUAGUAUUUGAUUUACAUGCAAUUUGAGGUCAAAAUAACUCUUAGUUUGCAUACGUAGGUGUGGUUUACUUAGUGCCUUCCCGUCUCCGUCCUAACCACCUUCGAUCGCCCGCACCGACCCGUCGCCGGCUACACUUUCCAGUGAGCCUCUUGUUCUUAUCUUUUUAAUAUAAAACAAUCAUGUCUAUGUGAUAUAGAUAUAUAGUUACUUGUAUAAUUAUCUUACCCGUACGUUGUUUGUUAUAUAUAGUGCCAUGGUUUUGAUAUCCGUCCCCAUCGGCCCUCGUCCGGGUUAUGAUUCGGAUGUGUUAUAUUCUCUUUUAUAACUAUUUGUUGCAUUUCGUGUUUAUGACAAAUUAUGCCCAUCAAGUUGACAUAGAUAUUUUUAUCUAGGAGGUAUGUGAACCAGAAAUUCCAACCGACCCUAUUGUCGAGAGGUUAAAUUUAGUUGAAAAAGAAAAUGAGUAUUUAAAAGAAAAAUUGAAAAAAAUUGAGGGGGAGAAGAUGGAAUUGGAUUUGCAUGUUGCCGAUGCCGUCGAUGAUCACAAGAUCGAGAUGGAGAAAAUGCGCUUGAAGAUUAGAAAGAUUAGGAAAUAUGCCAUCGAUAGUGAGGCUUGGUAUCAUUAUGUUGUUACACCAAUUGUUACCUUAAUUGCGAUCUUGAUCGCAUUUGUUGUUGCAUUUAAAUGCUUUAGCUAGAGAGUUAUAUGUAUGUUGUUUUAUGAGAAUAAGUGUUGUAUGAACUUUAUGUAUGAACUUGUAUUAAUUUGAUCUUUUCGGUGCUGUGUAAUGGAUGAGCCGACAAUGGAUGUACGAUGACUGAUGCUCUCCCCAGUUCAUUAAUGGUGUGCAUACUUUUGUGCUUGCGGCUGUGGCAAACAAGCGGGCAAAUGGUUUGAUGCCUCAUCCAUGUGCUGGCUGUAAAAACUAUCAAAAUUACUCUAAGUCAAGAACCAUUCAAGUCCACCUGUUUGACUCUGGUUUCAUGCCCCAUUAUAAUGUUUGGACCAAGGACGGAGAAAGAGGGGUUAUGAUGGAAGACAAUGAAGAAGAAGAGGACGACGACAACUAUCCUAGCCAUGGGUUCCCUGAAUACGAUGGUACAACAAUGGGGGAAGAAGCUGAGCAGGCAAUGCGGGAAGAAGCUGAAGAACAAGCAUCAGAUGAGCCCACUGAUGAUCUAGGUCGGGCCAUUGCCAAUGCAAGAGAAACUGCGCAAGUGAAAAGGAGAAGAAGAAGUUGCAAUGCAUGUUAGAGGAUCACAAGAAAUUGUUGUACCCGAAUUGCAAAGCUGACAAGAAAAAGUUGAGCACCACAUUGGAAUUGCUGCAAUGGAAGGCAGAGAAUGGUCUAUCUGACAAGGGAUUUGGAAACUUGUUGAUAAUGUUAAUGAAGAUGCUUCCAAAGGACAACUAAUUGCCCGAGAGUACGAGUACGUACGAAGCAAAGAAGGUUGUCUGCCCUCUAGGAUUAGUGGUGCAGAAAAUACAUGCAUGCCCUAAUGACUGCAUCCUCUACCGCAUUCAGUACGAGGAUGUCAACGCAUGCCCGGUAUGCGGUGCAUUGCGCUAUAAGAUCAACUGCGAUGACCCUGGUGAUGUCGAGGGCGAGUGCCCCAGGAAGAAGAUUCCUGCCAAGGUGAUGUGGUAUGUGUUGACACCAGAUUUUGGCAUGGUCAAUAACUUAUUUAAGAUGGCCUCAAAUGGAGAAGUGAUCUUCAUGAAAGAGUUCUGUAUUGUCGAUAUGAACAUCUUUCAAGUCUGGGUCAUCGCAGUCCGAUUUCAUCUCGAAGGCCGAAACUAUGCUCAAAGUACUAAGAUCUUAUAUUCAGAGUACAGUUUGGCUGAUUAAGCCUCCAAGAAGACCUCAAAUGGAACAAUUAUAUACACGGAUUGUCUUCAUCUCAUCGAAACUAUCGAUUUUGAUAUAAAAAUCGUUCCAAUCCGAGUUCGUAUGCAAAAGUUAGAGCCAUCAGAAUACAGCCCUGUCAGGAGGCAAAAACUGGCGCGCCCCACCAGACACCCUGUCUGAUGGGUAGCGCGAGGGAUAGCCUGUUUUGCGCGACCGAUUUGACCCUCAAGAUGCCCUCUGAUCAAAAAAUGUUCAACAUAAAAGUUGUUCGUCGAAACGGUCAAGAUUGCUUUUGGGCUCGUUUCCAUCUAAAAUCGUUUACCACCACAAAAAAGACCCGCAAGGUGCAGCCAGUUUAAACCAAACAGUUUUGGAAAGUUCGGACAAAACCAAUCCGAAUUUGACUAGGGUUUUGGACGUGAAUCCAAGCCUUUUCCUUGCACGGGAAGUCCAGCCGCCUCUUAUAUACCUAAGGGGUGACGGCUGAUUGAACAACACACAAUCGAACAAAUCAAUCUACCACUUUUAUCUUUUAUCUUUUGUCCUUAACCCUAGUUCUUCUUCUUCCUCGUUCUUCAUUGUUCUUCUUCAUUGCAGGGCGGCGAACCUCGAGGCCAUAGGGGCGGUCAGGCCGACCUAGGGCAGCCCAUAGCCGCUGCGCUCCCAGACGGGGUCCCUCCCGGGCGUGUGAGGUUUCGGGUCUACAAAAGAGCCCGCCGGAUUGUCUUGCAUACCGCGCUUUCGGCGGGUCUCCUUCGACGUGAGCUGCGGUGCAUCACCGCCGGCGUCGAGGGUACACGGUGACGUGUUUGUGUACGAACACACUUUUUGGCGACUCCGCUGGGGACGAAGCUUUGAACGGUCUCCGGCCUAUUUUUUCUACGAAAGGAUCGUCAUCUAGGGUUUGCAAUCUACAAAGGUAAUAUGAAUACCCAAUUCCCUACUGUAGAUGCAAAUAAUUCAUAUGGUUUUAAUAGAUCGUUCAAUGAGUAUACUCUAUCGGCCAGCCCUAGUUUUUUCAAUAAUCCAUCUAAUUACGUGCAAGGGCCGAUUCAAAGUAAUUUGCAUGCUUUAAGUUCUUAUGAUACUAGUAACCUACACCAUAUGUAUCCCAACUCUCAUGCAUCGGCAACCCCACAAAUUGUUAUGCCGAUGAACAACAUGGUGAGUUCAGUUAAUAAAUUUGAAACACCUCAUGUUAGAAUCUCCAAUGCCAUGAAAGAAAGUGUUUCACCCUUUUAUUCAUCGGCAAGUAAUGUGCAAUAUACUAAUCCAACCAUGCCGAUGAACGAGAGAAUUGGCCAUGCGGCUACUAGUUAUUCGGCCAGUUACUCUCAAACGUCAUAUGCUACACCUCAUGUUAGUAAUUCUUCGGCACCAUACACAACUGUAGAUGCUCAUAAUUCGGCUUCACACCUUCCUGGUUAUAGCCGAAUGAAUGUAAAUUUUACAGGAGCGGUUGUGCCCAAUAUUGUAGAAGAUGAGGUAGUGGUGGCUGCAUUGAAGAGUUUAGCCCAAAAUAAGAGAAUUAGUGUUCUUUGCCUUGAACAACAUGAAAAGGGGCUAUUUCCUGAUUAUGCCGCAAUAAAACCUAGAGUUCUGCAAGAAGAUGAAUCUUUGCCAAUUGAUAAAAUUGGCGAGCAAAAGGAUGGUCUUACAACAAUGCAUAUGCCUUCACCUAGUACUACAUCAUAUUAUACACCCCCUACACAAUUGCAAAAUUUCCGCAACACCCGUGUGUCAUUGCCGAAAGAAUCUAAAAGCAUUGGGGGCAAUCAUAUCCGGAGUGGGCUGAAAUUGAGAAAAAGCUUAAAGCUAAUUUUGCUGCUCGCCGUCAGAAAAAAAUAGAAAAAGAAUUGGCUCAGAUAAAAGAAGCAUUGCCAAUUGGUAGUAUCAAUGAAAAGAAGGAUGAUUCGGAACAUGAAAGUGCUUCGGUUGAAAAAUCCGAAUCAAGUAGUAUAUAUUCUGAAUCCAUCAAAUCCAACGAGGCAAGCAUUAUUGAGAAAGGGCAUGGCAAGCAUAGGAAAACAACGGUGCUUGAUUUUUCUGAAGUUAAUGGAACCUACUUCCUCCCCUAUGAGUUCCGUGCCGUAGAAAUUGACAAGCUUCAAGGACAAGAACAAGUAGCCGAACAAAGUUCAGCCGACAAAAAUCUUCAAAGCAAUGAUGCAUGGAUUCAAGAAAAAGAUGAUGACAAGGUGUUGGGGAGCCAUCCAAAGACGGAGCAAGAUGUUCUUCAAAUGGCACCACCAUCAUGCUCUCCCAACAUAUUUGAAGAGGUAUGCAUAGCGAGUAAUUUACCUAUUUUCAGAUUUGGUCGCAACUUCAUUAUUGAUGCAUCUAUAAGAAAUAUUCUCAUAAGUAAUUUUGAAAGACCAAUGAAGAAGGGUAAUUUACUUGUUAGCAAUAAAAUUGUUAUGGAACAUAUCGGUCAAUGAUAACUGGGUGUACCAAACGUCACAACAUAACUGGGUGGCUAUAAAGGUGCAUUACAGGUAUCUCCGAAAGUGUCUGUUGGGUUGGCACGAAUCGAGACUGGGAUUUGUCACUCCGUGUGACGGAGAGGUAUCUCUAGGCCCACUCGGUAGGACAUCAUCAUAAUGUGCACAAUGUGACCAAGGGGUUGAUCAUGGGAUGAUGUGUUACGGGACGAGUAAAGAGACUUGCCGGUAACGAGAUUGAACAAGGUAUCGGGAUACCGACGAUCGAAUCUCGGGCAAGUACAAUGCCGCUAGACAAAGGGAAUUGUAUACGGGAUCGAUUGAGUCCUUGACAUCGUGGUUCAUCCGAUGAGAUCAUCGUGGAACAUGUCGGAGUCAACAUGGGUAUCCAGAUCCCGCUGUUGGUUAUUGACCGGAGAACGUCUCGGUCAUGUCUGCAUGGUUCCCGAACCCGUAGGGUCUACACACUUAAGGUUCGAUGACGCUAGGGUUAUAAAGGAAGUUUGUAUGUGGUUACCGAAUGUUGUUCGGAGUCCCGGAUGAGAUCCCGGACGUCACGAGGAGUACCGGAAUGGUCCGGAGGUAAAGAUUUAUAUAUAGGAAGUCUUAUUUUGGUCGCCGGAAAAGUUUCGCGCAUUAUCGGUAUUGUACCGGGAGUGCCGAAAGGGGUCCGGGGGUCCACCUGCCCCGGGGGGCCACAUGGGCUGUAGGGGGUGCGCCUUGGCCCAUAUGGGCCAAGGGCACCAGCCCCAAGAGGCCCGUGCGCCAAGGAGACUUGGGGAGGGAAGAGUCCAAAGGGGGGAAGGCACCUCCGAGGUGCCUUGGGGAGGAUGGACUCCUCCCCCCUCUUGGCCGCACCCCUUCCUUGGAGGAAGGGGCAAGGCUGCGCCCUCCCCCCUCUCUUGCACCUAUAUAUAGUGGAGGGUAGGGAGGGGAAGACACACCUGAGUUCCUGGCACCUCCCUCCCUCCCGUGACACCUCCUCCUCUCCCGCAGGUGCUUGGCGAAGCCCUGCAGGAUUGCCACGCUCCUCCACCACCACCACACCGUUGUGCUGCUGCUGGAUGGAGUCUUCCUCAACCUCUCCCUCUCUCCUUGCUGGAUCAAGGCAUGGGAGACGUCACCGGGCUGUACGUGUGUUGAACGCGGAGGUGCCGUCCGUUCGGCACUAGGAUCAUCGGUGAUUUGAAUCACGACGAGUACGACUCCAUCAACCCUGUUCACUUGAACGCUUCCGCUUAGCGAUCUACAAGGGUAUGUAGAUGCACUCUCCUUCCCCUCGUUGCUGGUUUCUCCAUAGAUAGAUCUUGGUGACACGUAGGAAAAUUUUGAAUUUCUGCUACGUUCCCCAACAGGCUACUCCGGCACGUCGUGGUCCUUCUCCUCCACCUCGUAAGCAAGCACGAAAGAAGACAGACGCCGCAGCCGCUCCGUCUGCUCCGGCGUCUAGCAGCACAACCAGAGGCGGGAGGCAAUACAGAUACGGUCCACCUCUCAAGCCUCUAGAGAAGUUACCGUACGAGAGGACCGAGGAGGAAAAUGAUACGAUUGUGCGGACCCACGUGAAGGAGUUCUUUGAAGGGGUGAAAGCAAAGAGACAUCCACCUCCGGAGGAGAAGGUAGAUCCGAUGAAAGCAAAGCGCACUCUCGAUGCCCUGAGCAAACCGGCAAAGUCUCCGCCGAGAACAAACUAUGAGCGCAUUACUGAAUAGGCAUAUCUCUAAGCGGAGCGGUCGGGAAGUACUGUCAGACAUCAAAGAGCAAGAGAACGAGCAGCUGCGAAAAAAAUUGACCAGCUCGGCAAACAAGCAAACCAAUCGUGCCCCCCGCUCAAUGUGUCUAGCAGCAACAUCGUCACUAAUGUUCCGGGGAUGGUGGCCGGUUAUGGCAAUCUACAAGAUUACCUGCGAAUUAAAGAGGAGCACGGCCUCGUUGGAAAUGAUCUGUUGCCUGUUCCAUUUGAGGAGUUCUUCGAGUUCUUCAAUCAAAAGGCCCUCGAUAAAUUAACGGUCUUUUGCUACUGCCUGUAAGUACUAUUUCUGUCAUUAAGUCUCUAUAUAUAGCUCGGCUCUUUCAUUGCAUGUAUUUAUAAUUAAUUAUCCUCAAUAUAUUAUGCAGAUUGAAGAUCGUCGAGUGCAAAAAACAAGAAAUGUAUGACAUUGGGUUCAUUAACACAAAUAUCAUAGAUGAAUUUCUGGUUGAAAAGGACGUCAAAGAGGCCGAGGACAACUUGCUACAAUCGUUGAUCAAAAAUCAAAACAAAGAUACCAUACUCUUUCCUUACAACGGCAAGUGAGUGUUACUGUCGUGUGCAUAUUCGGUUUCCCUUAUUACUCGAGCGAGGUUAUAGUAAUGUAAUUGAUGAGUUAUGCAUGCAUGCGCAUGUACCACUAUAUUCUUCUCGAGAUUAAGCUUGAGCGUGGACUAGUAACCGUCUUAGACUCGAGACGGAAAGUUCCCAAAACCUAUGCGGACAUAACUGAAAUGCUCAGCAAGUAAGUUCAACCGAUCAUUAUCGCACCAUAUUGGCAACUUUUUGUUCAUUUCCUGAUAUCUCAAGUAAUAAUAAUUAUUUUCUUUGUCUUGUAGGGUUUGGAAACACUUCACCACAGAAGCUCCGGGACUGCCGAAGGAGCUGCGACAUACAUACCCGAAAGUAAGUACUACUGGCUAGCUAGUUGCAUGCAUCUCCCAUUGAUUCUAUAGCUAUACUUUCAUCAAUGCCAUUUAUAAUGCUUCAUUAUCAGUUUGAUUGACCUCUAUUUCUCGUAAAGUGCUUGUGGCAGGAACAAGGGAAUGAUUUCUGUGGAUACUAUGUGUGCGAGUUCAUCCACACCACGACUUUGAAAAACAAGCGGGGCUACUCUCAAAGACAAUAUGAAGUGCGUAAGCAAUAAUAUUCACAAUUUCAUUUUAUUACACCAUCAUUUCUGUUGAGUUUCAUUCAUAUAUAUAUGGAUUAAUUAACCCCCUUCUUCAAAUUAGACAUGGCAGAUGCGGAAUGAACUCCUAGAACCAGAUCGCAUGAAAGCAAUUCAAGAGGAAUUGGCGGGGUUCUUUCUUGACCACGUCAUCAAUAAAGCCAGAGAACACCAUGUGGAAGUUGAUUUCAAUUGCUAGGGGACUGUAAUUGAGAGAUCUUACAUAUUGUACAUGUAUGUAGCCAGUAGCGUCGGAUACAUGAUACGAAAACUUGUUGUUCGACCAAUCUCUCGGAGAAGGAGAGGUCGAUCGAUCAUUUCUCUCGGUAUGCAUGACGAACUUCUGUACUCAAUGGUUCCCUUCAUUUUCUUACUAGCUAGCGUGUCGAGGGCUAUAUGUAUAUACUACGUAGCGUCGACCAAGCACGGACAUAAGAGAGGACACUUCUCUCUAUUAAUUAGCUAGCUAACACAAUAUAUGAAACACCUAAAUUAACCCCCUAAAACCCCCACNNNNNNNNNNNNNNNNNNNNNNNNNNNNNNNNNNNNNNNNNNNNNNNNNNNNNNNNNNNNNNNNNNNNNNNNNNNNNNNNNNNNNNNNNNNNNNNNNNNNNNNNNNNNNNNNNNNNNNNNNNNNNNNNNNNNNNNNNNNNNNNNNNNNNNNNNNNNNNNNNNNNNNNNNNNNNNNNNNNNNNNNNNNNNNNNNNNNNNNNNNNNNNNNNNNNNNNNNNNNNNNNNNNNNNNNNNNNNNNNNNNNNNNNNNNNNNNNNNNNNNNNNNNNNNNNNNNNNNNNNNNNNNNNNNNNNNNNNNNNNNNNNNNNNNNNNNNNNNNNNNNNNNNNNNCCCUUCAAAAAAAUCAAAAACCCCAGCCACUGGAAUGCUGACGCGUGGAUGCCUUUUGGUCCCGGUUGGUACCACCAACCGGGACCAAAGGUCCCCCUGCCAGGGCUCGAUGCACCGGCCACGUGGAGGACCAUUUGUCCCGGUUCGUGUUUGAACCGGGACUAAAGGGAGGAGGUAUUAGUAACGACCCAUUAAUCCCGGUUCAUGAACCGGGACUAAAGGCCCUUACGAACCGGGACAAAUGCCCCCUUUUCUACUAGUGGCAUGUAAACGUUGCUUGUUAGGCUAAGAGCUAAUCCACUAUAUAAUAUAUUUUUAAGCUUCUCCAGAUGACAUACAUAGCGUACGAGAACAUUGUAACGAAUAACUAUUUGUGUACAAUGUGCUCGGGGUAUUAUGAAAAUAUAAAGCAUGUGCUAUUUGAAUGUAAUGUUGCAAAGGAGGUUUGGAACAAUCUUGGUCUACUGGAACUCACCGAAGAGGCAUGCAUGCUAGACCAUUCAGGUAGUGUUUAUUUUACAAAUUCACAAACGUUUUUUAGUUUGCUAAUAUUAGUUUUCGAAAGCAUGAUUUUUUUAGUUUGAGAAAAUUCAAAAUGUUAUGAAUUAUUUUUAAUAGGGGAAUAUUUAUAACUUGAUGAGCAUUUUUAAAUAUCCUAAAAAUUUAUUUUAAGUACAGAAUAAUUUUUAUAAAGUUGCAUACAUACUUCAAAUCCAUGAAUUAACUUUCAAACUUGGAAGCAUUUAUUAAAAUUCUUGAAAAUAUGGUGAAAAUGAGUAAAAAUUUUCAGCAUUUGUAGACGAACUUUUAGUUAGUUUUCUACUCCCUCCGUCCCAUAAUGUAAGACGUUUUUUGACACUACACUAGUGUUAAAAAAAUGUCCUAUGCUAUGGGACAGAGGGAGAAGUAAAAAGCUCAAAAAUAGAUCUGUACAACCGAGAAAAGGUCAGCGAGAUAUAACCCGAGAUCGCCUCUGAGCCCACCUUAGUGGGUGGGCCCAAUGGUCCAGGUUUGGAAAGGUUGUACUGAGUGGCACAGACUUGUUUUAGAACCAGUUUCUCAAAAAUAAACUUGUUUUACAACCUUUCGAGUGAUUGUUUUUCCUUUUUUUGUGUUUUUUGUAUACUUAAUUUUUACUUCCUAAGUGUUUUCUCUAUUGGCUUUCAUCCGUCUCUUUAUUGAAUUUUAUAUUUUUCAUUCCUUUCCUUUUUUGCAUUUUUCAGAUACACGUUGACAUUAUUAAAAUACAUGUUGACAAAUUUCAUAUACAUGUUGAGCAUAUUUGGAUACAUGUUAAACAUUUUCCAAAUACAAUUUGAAUAUUUUUUUAAAUACACAUUGAACAUUUGACAAAUGUACAUUAAAUAUCUUCAAAAUACAAUGUGAAAUUUUCUUAAACACACAAUGACCAUUUUCCAUAAAUGCCAUGAAUAUCGUUUUUGGUCGUGCAAACAGUUUUAAAGUGCUAUUGAAAUUUCUUCAAAUUCAUGAACAUCUUUUAAAUAUGAUACUAAUUUUUUGAAUAUUGUGAAUGUUUUCUACAAACUAUUCCAAUAAUCUUUUUACAUUACAUGAACAUCUUUUAAUGUUGAUCAAUUUAGGGAUUAACUAUUCGCCACCCUGGAUGAGGAAUAGUUAUUCUUCACNNNNNNNNNNNNNNNNNNNNNNNNNNNNNNNNNNNNNNNNNNNNNNNNNNNNNNNNNNNNNNNNNNNNNNNNNNNNNNNNNNNNNNNNNNNNNNNNNNNNNNNNNNNNNNNNNNNNNNNNNNNNNNNNNNNNNNNNNNNNNNNNNNNNNNNNNNNNNNNNNNNNNNNNNNNNNNNNNNNNNNNNNNNNNNNNNNNNNNNNNNNNNNNNNNNNNNNNNNNNNNNNNNNNNNNNNNNNNNNNNNNNNNNNNNNNNNNNNNNNNNNNNNNNNNNNNNNNNNNNNNAUCACAUACGUAAAAGGAGAAUGUAAGAAAAUAUAUAAUCACUGUAAAAAAUAUUUUAUGUUACAAACGCUAAAACACAGUGUAAAAUAUACACAAAAUGCAUUUUUUCUGGUCUUAUGACCUAUAUUUUUUGUUUACUUAUACCAAAUUUAAUGUAGUGAAUAAAUAUGAAUAUAACUAUUUGUAUUUCAAAUGCAAUUUAUAUAUAAAACGAUCGUCAUAUUACCUCAGGUGAAUAGUAACUUAUUCCGCACCCUGUGUGAUCAAACACAAAAUAACAAAAAAGAGCAAGCCUCCCUACUGGCAGAGCCAUUAUGUGAUCCCUUGAGGCAAGGCGAGCUACUAUCUCACUAAAAGCUAGACAUAGCGACACCCGUAAUGCAUCACAAUCACAUUGGAUAACAACCAGGCAAAGUGGUCCGGCUCACUAUGUGCGUGAGGGUUUGCUCGACUACAGCAGGCAGCGGCCUGGUCCAAGUUGUUGUCCCCCUAAAAAAGUACAUGAUGCUUCUUCACAAAUUUUAGAAACAUUUAACUUUAAAUAAUGUUUGAAAAUUGCAAAAAAUAUCAUGUAUUUAAGAAGGAUCUGAAUUUAACCAAAAUUUUAAAAAAAUAAAAAACGUUCAUGAAUUUAUAUUUUUACAAAACAAAAUUGUUCAAUAUUUUGAAAAAGUGUUCAUGAAUUGAAAAUAAGUUUAUUAACUUAAGAGCAGACAAAAUAUAUAUAAAAGAUAAAAAUGGAAAUUAAAACAGAGAAGAAGCUAGAAAAUCGAAGAAAAGAACAAAGAAAAGGAAAACCAGAAAGCUGGUGAGAGGAACAAAAGAAGAAGAGACCAGAAAACCGAUCAAAAGAACAACUUAAUGAAAGGUUCCAAAACCAGCUCGGAAUGUUCAAAUACAUUCUACACCUAGAGCUCACAGGCUCUCGGUUCUUAAUGGGAUGGCCCAUGUGUGUGCGCUAGUUGGCAGUCGUAGGUGACAUAUAUUGUUAUUAAGCGAUACAUAUCAUUUGCAUCAAGCUAGGUCCCCAGAUGACGGUUAUGCUAGUGCGGCAGGCUAUUAGUUGGCCCAACGUGCAGCAAACCUGGGCCUUCGGCGCUCAGUUUUGAUGAUAGCUAUGGUGAUUGUUCGGUGUAUGGGAUCGGUGGUUGUCGGGCGCGUGGCGGUAAUGGUGUUCUGCGAGGUCUGGUUGGCCUUUUCGAGGCCCGGUUGUGUAGUUGGAAACACAGCCUAGGGUGAAAACCCUGCUUCAAUACGACACACUCUCCUUACUUUGAGGAAUGCUAUCGGAUAACAACGAAAGCGCCAAAGCUCGACGAUGGUUCCCGAAGACCUACUACAUGUGAUCGAGCAGAUCUCCAAAGCCGAGGGAGAAGGAUUUUCGGUAUUUUUUUGGUAUUUCUUCUGGAUUACUGCUCACGUGAAUGCAUAGUGUUGAUUUACUGUUUUUGUUGCUCUGGUUUAUUUGGGUGUGUUGCUCUGGAUUACAAUUCGGUUACUAUUUUGGUUUAUGGUCCAGGUGGGCUAAUGUUUGUGGUUUAUUCAGGUGUUGUUUUGUUUCACUGGUUUUACAGUUCUGGGUUAUUCGGGUUUGCCGUUUGUUUCGGUUAGCAGUUAUUAGUUUAUUCGCAUAUUGUUCCAGUUUUUGUUCGGGUAAUAGUUGGUGCACUGUUCACUGAUGUCGUGGUAUAAAAUAGAACAGUAAUCAGUCUAGGACUUAUUUUCUCCACGGGAUAUUGUUCAUGCAAAUAUACUGUUUACUAUAUUUUGCCUCGGCAGCACCAUCACCGAAAAGGAUCGGGAGAUGAUCGAGGUGGCUCUGCAUUGGUACACCGGUGAAGAGAAAUGAUGUGUAGAACGUAAAUCUUAACCCUCUAUAUAAGGGCGCCAGGAUGGAGGAGGGGGAGAGAAAUGAUAUUUAAAAAAAUUCUAGCUUUUUCAUCAAAGGGGAUUUUUUUUAUUUCCAAAACAUUGUUCAUACGGGGGUACUGUUCGAUGCUAGACACUUUUCAUGUACGGGGAUACUGUUUCGCGGUUAUACUGGUCGUGCGCGGUCAUUGUUAGGGGCCUGUUAACACAACCGGGAGGAUGGGGGUACUGUUCAUACGCUACUGCUGUUUAACACCACUGUUCUUUGACGCCACAUAAUGAACAAUAGAAAAAAAGUCAAAAUAAGAAAAAGAAAAAGGAAAUGCUUCCUCUUGAGUAUAGUUACUUAUUCCGGCCGGCGUCCCAAAAACCUUACUCUCAAUUGAUUCAUAUAUUUUGUCAUCCCUUUAUUUUUCUCUUGUUCCUACGCACGAGGCAUGUGUGCUAGUAUAGAACAAACUAUGGUGGUUGUUCCUUUGUUCUCCACACGAAUAAAGGCGAGCUGGGAACAACAGCAUCCCACGGUAAGCAUGAUCAGUAAUCCACAAAUAUUGAUAUAUGAUUUCAAGAGCUGGGAACAACAGCGUAUCAAACCAAAGUUUGCCCCUCUCAAAAAAAAAGUUUGUCAGUUCCUCCUCCUUCUCUUCUUCGAUAAAUUAUUGUUGCGAGCCACACGCUGCCUUGCCUGCACAAACCGUGAUUAGUAUUAUAUUCCGCUCAUCGGCUAAGGAAGACGACCGUGCAACCGACGAUCAUUAGCAGGAUCUUUCAGACAAGAACCGGUUUGGCCUUUCACGGUGGAGGCUGGAGGCCCGGCCAGAAUUUUUAACUUUAAAAACUUAAUCAUCUUUGCAUAGUCAAAGCGACCAAAUUAAGUCUCACACCUCAGCCUUUAAUAAGGUGUUAAAUCUCUGCUUAGAUCAUCGGGCAAUGACCAAAUAUAUUCGCGACACUGCAUGGUAGUACAAGUUGAACACGACGUCAAUGACCCAACAUCUAGCAGACACAAAUUUUUUCUUUUACACAGUAUAGACGCAAGCGCUUAUAUACACGCGCAUACACUCACCCUUAUAAAUGCACACACGCACACCCUACCCCUAUGAGCACCUCCGAAAGACUAAGCCGACAUAUCAUCUUGAAAUUUUCGAAGUCACCGUAGGCACCUCGUCGUCGACGGGAACGUCUCCUCCCAUUGAAUGUGCAUCGCCGAAAAUCCUGAAAUAAAUCCAAGAAUAAAGGCGAGCACCAGGACUUAAACCCGUGUGGGCUGGGAAUACCACAGUCCCUCUAACCAUCCAACCACAUAGCAGACACAAACUUGUAUUGAAAAAAAGAGAGAUGGUUUCCCCCUAAAAAAUAGAUGUUUCAUGGUCCCGUCAUGGUAGCAUAAGCAAUAUUUUUUACUUCCAAACCAGUUGUAGUACGCGAGGUUAUUAUUAGUCGGAAUAACCCUUACUAAGGUACCAAAACAACAUUUUAAUCAUUAGUGCCGCCUUCGAAUUUCAUAUUUUUAUUAUUAUUGUCCACGGUAUAUCUGAAUCAGUGAGUGCACGUUACAUCCCUAAAAUCUCUAAGCUUCAUGGGAAUAGAAGCCUCUGAGGAGCUUUGGAUUUCCUUUGCGNNNNNNNNNNNNNNNNNNNNNNNNNNNNNNNNNNNNNNNNNNNNNNNNNNNNNNNNNNNNNNNNNNNNNNNNNNNNNNNNNNNNNNNNNNNNNNNNNNNNNNNNNNNNNNNNNNNNNNNNNNNNNNNNNNNNNNNNNNNNNNNNNNNNNNNNNNNNNNNNNNNNNNNNNNNNNNNNNNNNNNNNNNNNNNNNNNNNNNNNNNNNNNNNNNNNNNNNNNNNNNNNNNNNNNNNNNNNNNNNNNNNNNNNNNNNNNNNNNNNNNNNNNNNNNNNNNNNNNNNNNNNNNNNNNNNNNNNNNNNNNNNNNNNNNNNNNNNNNNNNNNNNNNNNNNNNNNNNNNNNNNNNNNNNNNNNNNNNNNNNNNNNNNNNNNNNNNNNNNNNNNNNNNNNCUCUAACCUUACGUCGUGUGUCGCUCAUGCGAGGGAAAUUCAUGAGCCUGGUGGAUAGGAGGAGAAUCGCCGGUGCCAUCCUUCCCAUGUGCUGCCCCAAAAGGAAAAAUUGAGGUUGCUCUCUCCUUCCUUUCCCCAAAUGUGCAGAAAACUCCCUCUCAUGCAACCCGUUAACCUCUUGGUGGCCACCGUCGUGCUGAUGCUCAUCCUUGAUCUGGAGGGAGGACGACACUGGUCGAAUAGCUUUGUAGGAUGGCACCAGCUAUCGUGUAUAGAGAGGCAUCCGCUUCCCAUGCCCAUGAAAUCCUUGUUCUGGUCCAGCUUUAGUCAUCCCCUAGAAAUCCACCCUAGAAACUAAUUCAAGUCUAGCAACAUGCAACCUGUUGAAAGUGGAUGACCACCACUUCUCUGUCCAAGCCACUGCUCCAUCAUCUCAGUACAGAUUGUGCCAUGCUCACCUUCUAGGUUGUCGAGGCAAUUGACAAUUGUUUUGUGGUAUUUAGUCAGUUGAUAGAUUAAAGAGUUUCCCAUUUCUUUUGACCCAACACUACUUUGAAAGAUGACGACGACAUCAGUACAGAAGCGUGUUAGAAAAAAUGUACAUAAACAUACUAGAAGAGAUUAGUAACUUGAAGUUGCUAGAAGCACUUCAACUUCCCGGAUGCAAGCUUACUGGAACCAUCCUUUGGUCAAUUGGUGGUCUCGUCGUUUAAACCUUUUCCUGUGCAAAACAUGUUUUUCUUUAAGUUGUGUGGUUCAUGUAGCCUCUACUACUUUGUAUUAGAAAUUGGUUGGUUCAUUGUACUCUAGUGUGCAAACUAAAUAUUUCAAGUGAAGCUCAUAAACAUUACCAAUAUUGUUUGAAAACUUAGAUUUAAGUUACAAUUAGAGAUGAUAACUUGUGGAUAUUCAUUGAUGCAUUUAAAUAUGUUGAGUGUAUUGAUUCCAUAGUGUGUUGCCAAUGUGCAUCAUAAUAAAAAGCUCCGAAUGCAAUUAUUGUUAGGUAAUGUGUCUCUUGUUACAGUUCUUUGCGCACUUGCUUUACCCCCUACAUGUCUCCACAUUUUUAUUCUUUAUGCUUGUUAAAAUAUGAUUUUCCUCUUAUAUAAAGUAAAUCAGGGAAUAUGAUUGUAUAACAACAUCCCAUUGCCCAAUUACAUUCUCUAGAAGUUUUAACUUCAUUUUUUCUUAUAACAUUCGUGGACAACCAACUGUGGCUAUUGUGUUCUGAAUGUCUGGUGUUGUGCUACUAUAAGUUUAGCACCUUACAUUGUACUAUUUUGGCAUGUCCACUUGAAACUGUGUCGGUUUCGCAAAACAGAAAAUCCAUUAUAAAAGACCAUGCACAAUUUUUUACCCGACAUGUUCUGCAUAUCUUGUUUUUGAUGCUUACCUCUUACUAUUGGAUAGACUAAAACAUUUUUCGGUCACUUUAUCUUGUUGCGGUCUAAUUAGAUUCAGAUGUGUAUGUUAGUUUUAGAAAGUUGACCGUGUACAUUAUUUGGACUUAUCAUUCGGAAUUGAAAUUGUGUUAUGGUUUCAAAAAAAAUUCAAAGAAUUACAUUAUUGUUGCUUACCCAAUCAGAAAUGGCUUAUGCAAACUCUUGGAUAGCAGUUCCAUUUCAUAAGGUGAGUAUUAUCUCCAUUGCUUAAUCCUGAUAUGUGUAGCUAUAUGAUAUGCAAUUCCAUCUUAUGCUAGUCAUAGCUUCCAAAUUCAAAUGGUCAGUACCAGACACUAAAUUAAUAGAAGAACGUAAAUUAUAACAUAUUUAUUGGAUGUAUUCAUAUGAUUUGGAUUGUUCUGCAAAGUUUUUAAAUAACUGGAAGAGAACGUGCUUUGACCAUUGAUCAUUACAUAGUAACGAUGCCUUAAAAACUCCUUGGUGUAUAUAUAGAAAAUUUAGAGCAUGCAUUGCCAAAAAAAUCCCCUCCCCUCUUCUAUGAAGGUUCAAUAAUGUGAUCAAACAUUGUUGCCAUGCCAUGGGGAAAUAAUAUUUAGAAAUGAGUUCUUCCAAAUAAGUUUGAACCACGUGAGCAGACAAUAAAGUGGAAUUGAUAUGAAAGUAUGCUUUAGGUGGAAUGCAAGCACCUCGGGAUAACAUGCUUUGCAAAUGCACCGAAUGACUUUUUUGUUGACCCAAUAUGCAUGCAUGGACAUGUGUAUUCCAACCAUUUUGAUAUUGAACCAAAAUAAAGUUACACAUAAAUUAUGCUUGUAGAAGUGAUCAUUGAUUCUAUGUGACUUCAAAGAUGACCUGGUUUGUCCAUGGGUUUAUAUUGUUGUCCUAUAGUAUACUUAAGUAGAUUGUGUAAAUGUAUAUUUUAUUACAUUGAUCUUGUGUAAAUGAGUUUCUCACCUUUACUUCCAUGCAAAUAUAAUAAUUUUAUAACCAGAGGUUUAGUUUUCUUAUUGAUGCACUUUUGUUGUCAAUUUUUGUCUACCAUGAUCGUGUGAUCGAUUAUGUUUCUUCACCCAAGACCAUUUUUCUUAUACAAAAGAGGAAUUAAUGGUGCUACUAUAGGCACACAAAACAAUAUUUAGUCCAAAACAUAAAAUUAAACAUACAGACAAACUACAUAAUGAGAGUAAAAUGAUCAACACGAUAAAAAAAUGACAUGAGAAAGUGCGUGAUUGCUUCUAACAGAGUCUAUAGUGAGAUUCCAACACAAAAAGAUUGGCCUUGAGGCAGUUGGACUAUAGCAACUGCCCCAACAACACAUGUCAUGAUGCAAGGCAAGGACAAGCCAAAUCUCGUCUGCAGGAGAUGUUAGGCGGCAACAUGCUACUCGCAAGUUUUUGACAAUACAAGUUAUUGACUAAUUAAUGUUCUAAGAUAACAACCUUUGGGUACUGAAAUAAGAAAUCAGGACACCAUAAAUCGAUAAGAAAUCACAAUCCCAUAAAUCAAUUCUCAGUGAUCAAACUACACCACGACAUUUGCACAAUCAUCCAAUUAUUAAAUAUCCCACAUACCCAAGGUAGACUAUGCAAGCAUGAUGAACGGGUGAUGAAAAUGUACAUUCUCCGUGAAUAGCGGAUAACUACACCUAAAUAUGAUGACAUGUCUAUUGUAUGGGCUUUGGGAAUCUUCAAGAUCACCCAUACUCUAUCUUAUCUUACUAGGGAAGGGCUUGGAGCGGAAAUGGAAAAUAUCUAGUAAUCCAGCAUCACAAUGAUUAGCGAGAUUGUUCCUUAUUUCUGGUAUCAUCCGUCUACGAUCACAAUUGAAGAGAAGGCAUCUAGGAAUGAAAAUCAUAGAUCCACAGACCAGCCCUAUCCCUCACUAAUCACCCACCCCAUUUCUAAUCAAAUUUUGGCAUCUCAGCCUGCCACUGAUUGGCAGAGGGGAAAUAUGAGGGAAGUUAUUUAAAAAAAAAUGCAGCUGUCACGUCUGACUUUGCACAAUAGCUCUUGAAACAACAUGUAAAUUACAAAAAAUAAGAAACAACAAGUUGCUUUGUUUCUUCUCAGGUGGAAAUCCCAAAUGACAGUUUGACAUAGAUCUAAAAAUAUACUAUAUCAAGUGGUCUAUACCCUAAUUAAGCAUCUUGCAUUGUACUUGUACGAGGGCUGCGAGCAUUUCCAGUUUUCCACCUCUCCACGUCUGUCUCCGCCGGGACGCCAUGGCAGAAGCCAGCAGAGAGGCCAGCGGCGCAGCGCCUCCACCUCUCCACGUGGUGGUGUUCCCAUGGCUAGCGUUCGGCCAUUUCACCCCCUUCCUCGAGCUCUCGGAGCAGCUCGCCAGGCGCGGGCAUGCCGUCACCUUCGUCUCCACGCCGAGGAACGUGGCCAGGCUGAGGCCCGUCAGCCCCCGCAUCCGCCUCCUCCCCCUGCUCCUGCCUUGCGUCGACGGCCUCCCGGACGGUGCCGAGUCGACGGCCGACGUCCCGCCAGAGACGGUGGACCUGCUCAAGGUGGCAUUCGACGGCCUCGCCGCCCCUUUUGCCGGCUUUCUUGACGAGGCUUGCGCCGGCGGCGACGGUGCGACGGAGUUCGGCAAGAAGCCCGACUGGGUCUUCGUCGACUUCGCACACUACUGGCUCCCGCCCAUCGCUGAGCAGCACAAGGUAACUUUUCCAUUCAUGCUUGCGUGCUGUGCAGUCAUGGCGUCCUCCCAUCCCAUCACACAUGCAGACAUGCAACAUGCUGGCUAGCUAAGAGCCGAUGUCAUGUGCGUGCAGGUACCGUGCGCCUUGUUCCACAUCAGCCCGGCGCCGUUCGUGGCCUUCAUCGGCACCAAGACGGCCAACGACGCGCACCCGCGGACGACGGCGGAGGACUUGAUGGCGCAGCCGCGGUGGAUCCCGUUCCCGACCACCAUCGCCCACCGUUUUCACGAGGCCAAGGACAUGCUAGUCCAGACGUUCCGCGCCAACGCGUCCGGCCCGUCCGACGCCUGCCGGCUCUGGCAGACGGAGCAGCGCUGCCCGCUCGUGAUCCUGCGCGGCAGCCGCGAGGUCGACGGCCCGCUCGGCCCCUUCCUCGCCGACCUCUUCGGCAAGCCCGUCGCCCUCUGCGGCCUCCUCGCCCCAAACGACGCCGCGCUCGCCGCCCAAGAAGGAGCCGCCCAUGUCGACAACGAGAGCGAGAGCGAGAGCGUGAGCCUCAUGCGCUGGCUGGACGAGCAGCCGGCGAGGUCGGUGAUCUACGUCGCGUUCGGGAGCGAGGCGCCGUUGAGCCGCCGCCACGUCCGCGAGCUCGCGCUGGGGCUGGAGCUCGCGGGCGCGCGGUUCCUCUGGGCGCUGCGGGGGCCGAGCGCCGCCCUGCUCCCGGACGGGUUCGAGGAGCGCGUGGGCGGGCGCGGCGUGGUGCGUGCCGGGUGGGUGCCGCAGGUGCGCGUCCUCGCGCGCCGCGCGGUGGGCGCGUUCCUGACGCACGCCGGGCUGAGCUCGCUCACGGAGAGCUUCCUGUUCGGCCACCCGCUGGUGAUGCUGCCGCUGUUCCUGGACCAGGGCGUGAGAGCGCGCGGCAUGGUGGCGAGGGGCGUCGGCCUGGAGGUGCCCAGGGACGAGGGCGACGGGUCGUUCGGCAGGGACGACGUGGCCGCGACGGUGCGGCGGGUGAUGGCGGAGGGCGAGGAAGGGAAAGCGUUCGCGCGCAACGCCGGGGAGCUCCAGGCGGUUCUCUGGACAGAGCGAAGCAGGACGAGUACGUCGACGAUCUGCGCCUGUGAUGCUGCCUCAGCGAGGCUGGAUGGCUGGCCUGCUUCUCGUGGGCAGUGAGUGCGAGAGUAAUUUAUGAGUAAUGCCCACCCCAUGAAAAUCGGAGAAGAGGAUAGUUAGUUUGAGAAGAUCCUAGUCAGCGUGUAAAAACAUGUAAACCUUUGUAUGUUUAUUAUUAUUGUGAGUGCGAUGCUUAGUAAAUGCUAUUCGUACGUACUACUCCCUCUGUAAAGAGCAUUUAGAUAAAUAAAAUAUUAUUAUAAACACUUUUAUAUUUCUUUACGUAUCAGUCUAACAAAAAAUCUAUGCACGAUUCUUUUGUUUUUUGGACAUCAGCACAGAAGCAAGCGCUCAUACAUACGCGCAUACGCUCAUCCCUAUGAACGCACACAUGCACAUCCUAUCCCUAUGAGCGCCUCCCAGAGACUGAGCCGGCAUGUCAUCUUGAAAUUUACGAAGUCAUGCAUGAUUCUUUUUUAACUAGUAGAAUGCCCGUGCGAUUGCCAUGGGCCAUGGAACUUUUUCUUGCCCAUUGCAUAUAUAGACAUAAUGCAUGUCAAUUUUUUUUUUCCUUUACCAUGAUGCACGUCAAAUUUUGUAUGUACAGAAAUGAUAGCCCGUAACAAUCAAUCAAAAAGUAAUUAAAAUUCACUUCACUUGCGAUGUAAGUUGAUAUAGAAAAUCUAACUCAACGAUGUGUACAUAGAGCAAAGCAAUGAUCCAACUAAUUAUCUGUUACAAACUAAGAUUUACUUGAUGCAUUCCGUACAAUGUUAGAAUUGUUGUCUUUUGCCUAAUGAUUUGCAUGGCACAAUGUGAAUUGCAUCCUGUGUAUAUUAAGAAAUAAAUUGUAGGCUACCUAAAGGUCACUUGGUUAGUUUUUUCACUAAAAAUGACUGGUUAGGCUAUGUGACAUUUAUGUCACCGCAUAGCAGCUACCCCUUUCUCCUUUUAUUUCCUUUUCUUAAACGAAAAAAAGCACCAACUCCUCUCACUCACUCAGCGCACAGCCGCCUCCUGCUCUUCCCUCACAACCAGUGAGCCGUCGGGCAUCGCUACACUGGUGGAAAAUGGGCCAUUUAUCCCGGUUCCAGAGGCCCUUUAGCCCCGGUUCUGGAACCGGGACUAAAGCCCAAACCCUUUAGUCUCGGUUCACUUAUGCACUGGGACAGAAGGGGCUCCACGUGGCCGCUGCGGGGCGCCCAGGCAGGAGGACCUUUAGUCCCGGUUGGUAAUACUAACCGAGACCAAAAGGCCUCCACGCGUCAGCAGCUGGCAGGAGCUGGGGUUUUUGUUUUUUUAAGGGGGUAGGGGGUUUUCGAGGGUUAAUUUAGGGGUUUGAUCAUAUUGUGUUAGCUAGCUAAUAGAGAGAUGUGGCCUCUCUUUCUCCGUACUUGAUUGACGCUAACUACUAUACGAUACAGAGAGAACUCGACAUGCUAGCUAGUAAGCAAACGAAUGAACCAUUAAUUACAGAAGAUCGUCAUGAACAUAUAUAUACAGAGAGAAAUGAGACCUCUCUUUCUCCGAGAGAUUGGUCGACCAACAUGUUUUCGUAUAUCUAUCUGACGCUACUACAUAUAUACAAUAUAACAUGUCUUACAAUCCCUAACAUCUAAAAUCGGUUCCAACUUCCACAUGAUAUUCUCCGGCUUUAGGUAUGGCGUGGUCAAGAAAGAAUCCCGCCAAUUCCUCUUGAAUUGCUCGUAUGUGAUCAUGUGGUACAUCCCGCAUCUGCCAUAACUAAUUUAAAGAAGGGGGUCAAUACAUAUAUAUAUGAAUGAAACUCAACACAAUUGAUGGUAAUAAAAUAAAAUUGUGAAUAUUUUUGUUUACGUAUUUCAUAUUGCUCUUCAGAGUAGCCCCGCUUAGAGGCCGUCGAGUUGUAGAUGAACUCGCAAACGUAGUAUCCACAAAAAUAUUCCCGGCUUCCUGCCACAAGCACUUUACGAGAAGUAGAGUUCAAUCAAACUGAUAAUCAAGCAUGAUAAAUGGUAUUGAUGAAACUAGCUAGAAUCAAUUGGAGAUGUGCGGAACUAGCUAGUAGUACUUACUUUUGGGUGUGUAAAUCGUAGCUCCGUCAGCAGUCCCAGAACAAUUGCGGUGAACUCUUUCCAGACCCUGCCAGACAAAGACAAUAAUUACUUGAUAUCAGGAAAUGAACAAGGUUGCCGAUAUGGUAUUGAUUUUCUAUAAAAGACAAAAACAAGGAAAAAAACAGCAACUAGCACUAGGCACUAGGUUAAUAGGAUAUUAAUGCAUAUUAAUGCAUAUAAAACAUCCAAGAUGGAUAGUAUAAUAUCAUGGAACAAUAAAAAAUUAUAGAUAAGUUGGAGACGUAUCAAGCAUCCCCAAGCUUAAUUCCUGCUCGUUAUGUCCUUGUAAGUUUGUUGUAAUUGCAAUGAUUAAUGACAUACUUUAAAAUUAAGUCAAUUUACAAUAUAUUCAUGGAGAGAUCUAGAUCCAUGGUACUUUUCAAUGUUGUUAAUGGUGCAUAUGUGGUAUCAAUGGAUCAUAGGCGGCCAUUGUGUCUCUUCACAUGUCUACUAUGGUUCUAAUUUCUUGAUAAGUUAUAUUCACGUGUAUUAAGAAAACCAUGAUUUCUCAUAUUCCAUAUGAGGUGCACUUGUUGUUCUUGGUAGUGUUAUGCAAUCAGAAGUAAUGGAUUCUAGUCUCUUGAGUUGAAAUUUGGACUUGUUUUCUAUCUUUUAAUUUAUUUAUUUAAUGAGCAUGGCUUCUGUUUUUAUUUGACAUGCUAAUGUUUGCCUCACAAUAUUAUAAGAGGUGCAUUGUUGUAAUACAUGUUCCACUUCUUCAUUUGUAAGAUGAAAAUAAUAUAAACAACAACAAAAAACAACAAAAAUGUAGGUAUUGAUGAAAACACAUCAUGGACCAAGACCUGGAACACUGAGCAUGCAUAUUUUUCCCAAAUAUCCUAAUUAACAAAAUAGUCCAAAGGAAAAUGAAUUUGGAAACAAAUAUAUUUUAUUUCAAUAUAGCUCUUAAAUGUAAGAGCUAAAUAGCAUCUACAAAAGCUCUCCAUAGUCUAUAAGACCAUCAAUAUCUUGUCCAGUGGAAGAGGGCGGCACAUCAACCCAUCCACCAUUUACCAUAGAAGAUUGUCCUAGAUCGGUACCGCUAGAGCCUAAGUAAUCAUCCAUCCCUAGGAAACUAUUGUAGAACGACUGAUCUGAUAGAGCAUAACCCCAUUUUUCGGUGACAAAUGGGUCAUCAAUAGAAAAGGCAUUGCCACUCGAGUACCCCAAUAGCGGAGAGGCCUCCAAAUUCUGCCCAGAUGUUGAGUCGUGGUUUGCAUCACUUUGUUGUGGUUGCACUAUGUUGCAAGGACUUUCAUAGUUCUGAACAUGCAACUCCUCUGGUUGAGUUUGCUCAUGUACCUGAUUUGGUAUGGGUUGGACAUGGGAAGCCAAGUCUGGAGCUAAAGAUGGUGGUGCAAAAUCAAACAUUUGUGGUACCUGCAUAGGAAAAAGUGGUGCCGAAGUUGGUUCUGGUUGUGAUGGUAGUGGAUCUGCAGGUAGCUGGAGUUGUGAGAGAUUGUGAGGCCAUGAUGAUUGCAUAAGUGAAUGAGUAGUACCCAAAUGAUCCACCCGCAGAACACUUGGUAGUUGCAGAUCUUGUGCCACACAUGUGCCACUGGUCUUGGUUUCACGGCCAGGCAAUGGAGGUAGCCGGCAUCUAAUGUCUUUUUGGACCCGAGAGAGCUCACUGAAGAGCUUAUUUAGAUCUUCAACACCGAGAUCUUGUUCCUUCGUGAAUAAAAGAUUUGCCACCAUACUAGGAUUCUCUUCUUGGAUACUUUUCAUACGAAGGAUGGAAAGUUGGUUUUGGUCUUCCUCGGUCAUGUUCUCCAGGUCCAACUGAGCCACCUCAUUUUGUAGGCUUCCAAUCCUAGCGGUGGUUGCCUCAUUGGCGGAGGGAACUACUGGUGGAGCUCCAAAUAGGAAAGCAUCAACAAUGGGAUCGGCCAAUGGCGUCCCAAAUGAGUGCAUCUUUCCAUUGUUCGUCUCUAGGACGACGGCAAUCCUAGCCCUAGUGAGGGCAGAGAUGUCGGUCGCCCUCUUGAACAAACCGGAACGUCGCUUGUAGAAGGUGAGAUCACGAUCUUUGUCAUUAUGGAUGUAUGCCACACCUGACCGCCGCUCUUUCCUCGGCAUACUAAUGUGGACAAAGAGGAAGAAACUUACUACUACAAAUAGGACGCACAAGUAUCUACAGAAAACUAGAGAUUUACGAGUACUGUUGGCUAACCACAUAUUGGUGUAGGAUAUGAG